GAAUGCAAUGCAAGGGUUAGCAUAGACAGUUAUUUCAACAGCAACACUGGCUCGCCUGAGCCCAGAAACUUGCGACAAAGAGCAGGAGGGUGGGGAGGUUCAAGAGAGCUGGUGAUGAUCAAGAGGCAAGGGUAAGAAAGGAAACUGAUGAUCUGAUCCUUGAUAUAGAGGAUGUGGUAUUUUAGGAAGCCUCCGACGCAAGCGCUGAAGGGUUCCUAAAUUUACACAUACACCCUCGGGUGGAAGGAAAGAUCACAGCCGAACCCUCGGGCGAGGCUUAUAAGGGUCGGCGGAACAGACAGGGUCGGGCGAGACGGAACCGGGGUCGGGCGGAUAGGAGGGGUCGGGCGAGGCGGACUGGGGUCGGCAACUCACCUUCUUCCUGAAAGGAAAGCUUGGGGUCGGGAAGAAGCAGACUUGGGCGGAGGGACUAAAGCUUCGAACAAGGGCUAAGACUGGGAAUGCUACGGCGGAGGCGGUGCUUCUUGCAGAUCACAAGAGAGCUUUUACGCAGCACGGAGGAGCAAGCUGCGGGGUGACUUGGAGAAAACUGAGAGAGAAUCUGAGAGAAGAACUCCUCAAGAACUUGGUGGGUGGCGCUAGGAGCUUGAGCAGGGAGCGAGAGAAUGGCUAAGGCAACUAUGGCGGAGGGAACUCCGGCGAUGGGAGCAUUCCUUUUAUAGCUGCUGGAACGGAGAAAGGAAGCGGCGCGGGAGAGAGAGAAGGGGAGCGGCGCGAAGGCCGGGGAGAGGCAAUGGAGUGCUCUGCCGCGGCGGCGAUUGAGCAAAGAGGGCGGUGGUGCAGGGCUCCGGGGGUGACACCAGCGAUCAUUGGGUUCUGCCGUCAGGGCGGCGUAGGGGCGGGUAGACCGGUGGUUGAGAUUUGGUGGAAAGCGGGCGUCGCCGUGCGGAAGAUUUGAUAGAAGCGACCGGUUUAACGGCGCUACAAUCAAGGGCGCACAGGUGAGAAGACAGGCAGCUGCGGGCGCGCGGGCGAGCGCGGAGCAACAGAUUGUCGGGCGGCUUUUUACAGGGCGGGGAAAGGAGCUGUCGCGGCCGCGGUCGGGGUUGGCGGUGGAGGAAUUGUCGUGUAGCGGAGACCAGGCGGCGCGACUGUGGCUGAAGGGACGGAAAAGACGGGCGACAUCGGGCUCUGGGGCCGGGAUCUGGCGGCGUGAUGAUGGGCGCGGGAGGCGAGGCUCUGCAGAAAGGGGUGCAGAGGGGCUUCCGCUGCCAUUGGGGAAAAGGGCGCGAGAACCCACUUGGUCGCUUGCCAGAGACAAAACUGAGCGGCAGGCGUCGGAGAAGACGAGCCAUGCGGCAGGGAGACUCUGAAGCGGGCAUGCAACUUGAGUGCGCCUGUCGCGGAGGAUCUGGGGAAAAGAUCUCGCGGGUCCACCGGUGGAUAGAACGGACGUUUGUGGAGGAUUAGAAGGAUCCGACGGUGGGCUGAGCUCGCUGGGGUCGGGAGAAAAGCGAAGCAGGGAGGGGUCGGAUCUCCGGGGUCGGAACCAGGCGGAAGGCCGAGCACUCGGCGCGGUAAAACAAGACAGAUGACUCUGAUCAAGGGCUCUGAUCAAGACUAACUAGGAAGGUUUAGGGGUCGGUCGUUACAGCCUACCCCUCUUAAAAAUAAAUCUCGUCCCGAGAUUCAGACAUCAAAAAGCGAGGUGACGUUUUUACCUCCUUGACGAGAUAGAAAACCUGGGAAGCGCUUGUUCAGAUAUUCGUCCGUUUGCCAUGUUGCUUCAUCUUCGGUGUGGUUUCUCUAGAGGAUCUUGUACAUCUUUACCACUUGGCAUCGGGUGUGCCUUUCCUUCUGGUCAAGAACUCGAUCUGGGUACUCGGCGUAGGUCAGGUCGGGCUCUACUUGAAGCUGUUCUUGCUCUAAGAUCUCUGCUGGAACUCGGACAUAUUUCUUCAGUUGAGAUACAUGGAACACAUCGUGUACGGCCGAUAGCUGUUCUGGGAGUUGGAUCCGGUAAGCAACGGGUCCACAUAUCUCCACAAUCUCAUAAGGGCCAACAUAGCGGGGAGCUAACUUGCCUUUGACUCCAAACCGUUGCACUCCUUUGGUCGGGGAGACUCGAAGGUACACGUGAUCACCAAGGUCGAACUGCAGGGGUCUUCUUUGCCGGUCGGAGUAACUCUUCUGUCGGGAUUGGGCAGCCUUGAGAUUAGCUUGAAUUACCUUUACUUGUUCUUCGGCUUCUGCCACCAAGUCAGGGCCAUAGACCCGUCUUUCUCCUGGUUGGGACCAGUUCAAGGGUGUCCUGCAUCUCCGGCCAUACAGGGCUUCGAACGGUGCCAUCUUCAAACUGGCCUGGUAGCUGUUAUUGUAGGAGAAUUCUGCUAAGGGCAGACACUUGUCCCAAUUCUUGUCAUAGUGGAUAACACAAGCUCUUAACAUGUCUUCGAGGAUCUGGUUGACUCUCUCGGUUUGACCAUCGGUUUGACCAUCGGUUUGAGGAUGAUAGGUUGAGCUUCGGAUGAGAUUGGUGCCCAUGGAUGCUUGUAGUUGCUCCCAAAAGCGUGCCACAAACUGAACUCCUCGAUCAGAGAUGAUGGUCUUGGGCACACCAUGUAGGGAAACUAUGCGGUCGAGGUACAACUCUGCAUACUGCUUGACGGUGUAGGUGGUGCGAACAGGAAGGAAGUGGGCGGUCUUGGUCAGACGGUCCAUUAUAACCCAGAUGGAAUCAUAUCAUUGCGAUGUAAGGGGCAAUCCAACUAUGAAAUCCAUGCUGAUGUCUUCCCAUUUCCAAGAGGGAAUAGGUAGCGGUUGUAGGGUUCCUGCUACCUCCAAAUGACUGGCUUUGACACGUUGGCAGGUGUCACAUUCUGAAACAUACCGGGCAAUUUCCGGCUUCAUUCCACUCCACCAAAAGGUUCGACGGAGAUCAUGGUACAUCUUAUUGCUGCCAGGAUGGAUCGAGAACUUGGAGAGAUGAGCUUCAUCUAGGAUUUGCUUUCUCAGCUCGGGGUCGGCGGGUACAACUAGUCGGGUUCCGUAAUGCACGCCUCCUGUUUCGUCCUGUCGGAAUUGCUUAUAUCCCUCAUCCUUUACUGAGAUCUUACUGAGGAUCCGUUGUAUUUCCUUAUCUCUUACUUGUGCUGACCGGAUUUGGUCUUCCAAAACUGAGUCAAGGAUGAUGUGACCAAGGGUUCCAUGAGGAAUAAGCUCCAGACUGAGGUUUCCCAUCUCGUGACACAGAGUCUUGGUGAAGGCUGUUGACAACAAGCAGCUGCAAUGGUGCUUGCGACUAAGGGCAUCGGCUACCACAUUGGCCUUGCCGGGAUGAUAGUGCACUUCUAAUUCAUAAUCCUUUAUCAACUCCAGCCAUCUUCUCUGGUGCAUGUUGAGGUCGGCUUGAGUGAAGAUGUACUUGAGGCUCUUGUGGUCGGUGUAGAUGUUGCAGUGGGUUCCCAUCAGGUAGUGUCUCCAUAUCUUCAAGGCAUGUACCACUGCUGCUAGCUCCAGGUCAUGGGUUGGGUAGCUUAGCUCAUGAGGUCGUAACGCCCAUGAGGCAUAGGCAAUGACUCGAUUGUCUUGCAUAAGAACACAUCCGAGUCCAGUGCCAGAGGCGUCACAGUAUACGUCAUACGGCCUAGAGGGGUCGGGCUGAGCCAAAAUUGGGGCUGUGGUCAGCAAGUGCUUCAGGGUCUUGAAGGCCUCUUCACACUUGUUGUCCCACACAAAUUUGACCUCUUUCUUCAACAACUCGGUCAUCGGCUUAGCUAUCUUAGAGAAAUCCGGUAUGAAAAGCCGAUAGUAACCAGCCAGUCCAAGAAAACUUCUGAUCUGGUGCACUGAGGCAGGGGGCUUCCAUUCCAUGACUUCCUGCACCUUACUGGGGUCAACGGCGAUACCAUCCUUGGAGAUAGUGUGUCCCAAGAACUUGACACUAUCCAACCAAAACUCACAGUUGGAGAACUUGGCAUAGAGUUGGUGAUCUCUUAGCCGUUGGAGAACUAUAGGAAGAUGGUCGGCAUGCUCUUCUUCGUUCUUCGAGUACACUAGAAUAUCAUCAAUGAACACCACUACAAACUUGUCCAGCUCGGGCAUGAAUACCGAGUUCAUGAGGUACAUGAAAUAGGCGGGUGCAUUGGUGAGUCCAAAGGACAUGACUAGGUACUCGUAUAGUCCAUAUCUGGUAGAGAAAGCUGUCUUGGGUAUGUCGCAGGGUCGAAUCUUGAUUUGGUGAUAACCAGAACGAAGAUCGAUCUUGGAGAACACCUUUGCUCCGGCUAACUGAUCAAACAAGACAUCAAUGCGGGGUAGUGGGUACUUGUUCUUGACCGUCACAGCAUUGAGGGGUCGGUAAUCCACACACAUACGUAGACUGCCAUCCUUCUUUUUCACAAACAGGGCAGGGCAACCCCAAGAUGAUGUACUGGGUCGGAUGAAGCCUUUUUCCAACAGAUCAUGCAACUGGGUCUUCAACUCGGCUAACUCAGCGGGUGGCAUCCGAUAGGGUCUCUUAGAUAUAGGGGCUGUGCCAGGGAUCAACUCUAUGGAAAACUCCACUUCUCUAUCAGGUGGCAUACCUGGCAAGUCUUCUGGAAACACGUCAGGGUACUCACAGAUAACAGGGAGGUCUUCUAGACGGGCUCCCGAUAGAGGGUAGGCACAAGGAAGCGAAGACUCAGGAUGGGUCAAGGAUAGGGUAGAACUGCCAUGGGAGGGUGAGCUGAUGCAGAGAGAUCGGGCUACUGCAUCUAGAACCACAUGAUGUCGGGCCAUCCAAUCCAUACCAAGGAUGACAUCUAUACCUUCUAGGUCAAGGAUGAUAAGGUUUUCCUUGAAGAGGGUGGGGCCUAGCUGGAGAGGUACAAGAAUAACAAUCUGAUCCGAUGUUAUCCUUCCUCCAGGAGUGGCGAUCACAUAAGGUUCCUUAGUGUGACCGACACUUAGCCCACAUCUUUCCCUAGCCUUACUCCCGAUAAAGCUAUGAGAGGCUCCCGAAUCAAACAACACAACAACAGCUUGAUUUAAAACAAGGAAAGUACCCGUCAUUACUGGCGCACCUUCGGGAAGCUCGGUCAAGCUGGUGUAGUUGAGUCGGCCUUGUCGGACUUGUACCUUGGGCCUUCUUCCUCUGGCUGCCAUGGGGUUCUGACCUUGCGGUUGAUUCUUGUUCCUGGGGCAGUCCUUUGCAAAAUGUCCUUCAUUGCCGCCGGUAAAACAACGGUUAUUGGCUGCCGGGCGGGGUGGCGUUGGCAGGGUCGGCCGGGGCACCUGCGGUUGGAAGCCUGGAAAACGAGGCGCUGUUACUGGCGGGGGUCGGGCAAUCCAUCUUCCUGACUGUUGGGGUCGGCCAGGGGCUUGUGGAGGAACCAUCUGGAACUUUCGAGUCGGCUGACUCGGAAAUGCCACAGAAGCUUUCCUCUUCUGGUCGGCCUUGAGAGCUUGCAUGCAAUCUUCUUGGGAAAUGGCCAGAUUGACCAACUCAUUGUAGGUAUCCACCUUGAUGGGGUUCAACCUUUCCCUGAGCUCCAAGCUCAGUCCUCGGCGGAAUCUGUCCCGCUUCUUCUCGUCUGUGUCCGCAUGAUAGCCAGCAUAACGGCACAGGUCAUUGAAAGCUUGAGCGUAAUGCAGCACAUCCCGAGUUCCUUGGGUGAGGGCCAGAAACUCGUUGAGCUUGCGCUCCAAGAGACCUUCUGGAAUGUGAUGCGCCUUGAACGCCGUCUUGAACUCAUUCCAACUGACCACGUGGCCAGCCGGCAGCAUGGCAUGGUAGUGAUCCCACCAAAGCCGUGCGGAGCCACGCAGCUGUUGGGCUGCAAACCGAGCCUUGUUGUUGUCGGGGCAUGGAGCGGUGAGAAGCUCAAACUUGGAUUCGAUCGUACGAACCCAGGCGUCAGCAUCGAGCGGUUCUUGUGUCUUUUGGAACAAAGGGAGCUGUGUCCCUAGAAAGUCCUCAUACCGAGCGAUAUGCGGCUGCUGCUGGGCUCUUCCACCAUGUGGUUGUUGCUGUUGCCCUUGUACCAGAUGCCUUAGCAGCUCGGUUUGAGUUGCUAGGAUUGCCUCCAGUGGCGAUGAGGGCGGGGGUGGGGGAAGAUCCUGUCGCUGAUCGCUACUGCCGGGCACAGAACCAGACCUGGUGCGAUGCGCCAUCUGCAAGAGUUAACGCUCCAUCAAUUUCAUAACCUUAGGUGUACCCCAACAAAUGGAACGUAUAAAUUAAAUCCUGCAAUGCGACUCUUGCCAUUGGUGCAAUCACACGUCCUCAUAGAGAAAACAUACUUUUUUCGUUCUCAGAGUAGAUAACAUCUAUCUUGACCUGGUACUCAAUCUUCAGGCAAAAACAGGUCAUAUACAGACUCCUAUGAUCCCACUCAAGCCAAGGGGUCGGGCUAGGCGAUCCUUCCGAGAGAACAAGGGGUCGGCAACGAUCCCUACUUAAAAAGGUCGGACGGGGCGGAAACUGCCUCAAGGGUCGGCGCACUCUGCCUCACAAACUGGGGUGGGCCAACUGAACAGGCUCCCCGAAAACAGCAUAUGGUCAUGGCGCAACUUACUUAACCUAGCAUCCACACCAUACGAAGAUGAAAAAGCCAGGCACCAGAAUCGACUUUAUAUACAACGAUGUUCCAAACACAGGGAGUACUCAACUCUAGGCUAACCUAUUACAACCUUUCCAAAACUAGGCUGCCAAGGAGUACAACAAAAGAAUGAUCCCCUGAGAACCCGCAAUCUACCAAUGGACACUAUGCGUCGGAGAAGGGGCGCCAUCUUCCUCGAUAUCCAUGCUGGACGCUCCCUCGUCUUCCUCAGGGUCCUCCUGAGCUUCGAGCUGCAUGUUGAGGGCAUGCAUAUCCUCGAGCUCAGCUUGAUGCUCCUCCAGAUAGGCAUUGGCAACUGCCAACUCCAUUUCCACCUCCAUCUUCUCCUCCGAUAGCUCUAUCAUGCCGUCCACGAGGUCGGCGACUUCUCCCUCAAGCUCGGAGAUCCGGUCUUGCAUGUCGUGGAUCUGGAUACCCCGUUGAAUAAGCUGGUAGGUUUGGCCUACCAUAUCUCUUCGGGCCGCUUGGAGGUACCCGUGAACAUCUGCUGCUGUCCGGGCGAAGAGGGUCAUGGCUCUCCCUUGAAGCUCUAUCAACCGGUAUAGAGCGGCCAUGCACCUGAUGUUGGUGGAGAUGGUGACCAUGGAGCAUGUGGUGGCUAGCACUUCGAUGUUCCCGACACGGUCAAGCCAUGCCGGGUCCAGCCGGUUCCUGACGGGGAAGAGGCCGAUCGGGUCGAGCGUGAUCUCCAAGGGGUGCAGCUAACAGAACUGGGUGAGCAACUGGAGGGCUGCAGACUCCCAUGUAUCCUCAGGACCAAGGCCAUAGGCUAUUAUGCCGAAGGAGGGCCAAUCGGGCCGUGCAGGGGGAGGAGGUACCAACGCCUGCACUUGGCACGUCUGGAUACCCUGCUCCAGAUAUAACCAUCCGGCAUACAAGGGUGGGGACUGGUACCCAAACCACUUCAACGUAUCCCACAGAAUCGCAGGGAAUCCCUCGAAAUGUAGACAUGUCGACUGGAAAGUACCGUCCGCUCCAAAAAGAACAUGUCCGGGAACAGCCAUCUGGAACCAAGAAACCGAAACCACGUGAGAUAGACUCCAAGGAUCAGGGGUCGGAUAGAGAAGCAUUCGGUUUUAACCGAGAGCAACUAAAAGAAACUAGAAAUCCUUAGAUCCAAAAGAACUCUUCCGAAAAAGGUUGCUGUUGAGAGGGAAACAUUACAGCAUUUUUAGACAUGACGCAUGCACGGCCUACCUUACACAUAACCAAAGCAACUGCCCGAACUCGGGUCUUACGUGGUCAGUGCCGGUGACAAGGCAACAAUUACGUCUCUCCCUAUAAUAACUAGUCGAUUCGACAACGUCUCCUAAACGAACGCGGUUAGCAUACCUGCAGAAAAACACCAACACACGAACCUUUCAUGCCAGCACCCACGAAAGCGUUCCCAAACAUUACCGCUCACUAUAGGAACGGCACCCAUGCGUUUAAGGCUGCAUGGACAGCACUCAACCGUGGAAAUAGGUUCCUUUUGAAUGGAACCAUAUAACCCUUCGCAUACUCGUGAUGCGGAAUCGGCACACGUAUGACAAACGUGGCGAACCAACCGUGCUGAUAGGUUCGUUGGAAUCGAACCGUACCAACCUUCGUAUGGAUCACAUACGGAACCUGCGCACGUGUGAUAGACAUGGGCGAAAACAACCGCGAAGAUAGGGUCCUUUGAAUGGAACUCCCUAUCAACCCUCGCAUCCUCGCGAUGUGGAACUCGGCACACGUAUGACAGACGUGGCGAAGUGCUGGAAGGGUUAGCAAAAUAACCAAGUACUUAUUAGUCACCUAAAACAACCCCCAAAAUCCCCUAGGGCCUCUCGCACUAAAGCCAUCCUUAGCGGUCGUACGAGAUUUUUCAAAAAGUUUCUUGCAACUUUUAUCUUUUCCAAAGAAGUGUGUAGGGCUUGUUGUGUUCUCUGAAAUGCUAAACACGGCUCUGAUACCAGCUGUGGCGGAUUCACUUCGGAUUAGCUUGAUUUAGAUAGGGUUAAGCCGCCUAACAUGCGACACUCCUGCCUAAGCCGAGUUAACACGAAGUGCCAUCGGAUUUCAUCCGAUUUAAGCACUUGAACAGGAUCGAGUUUAGCAACUCACACGAAGGUGAGUGGUUCCAGAGAAUACAACGAGUCCAAAGAGUUAGACCAAAUUACCGAUUUAGUUCGACCAUAAAAUCCAACAUCAGAGUUUUACAAGAUUCCAAGAAACAACAGAGAAAAACACUAGCGGAAGACUUCGACGGGGUCGGACAUCCCUGGUGAGGCCAACCGGGACAUCACUGGAUCCUCUCCUCGCCGUCCGAGGAAGGAUCCCACUCGACCGUCCAGCCUGGCGGAAGCUGGGGCGGCCAAGCACCAACCAGAGAGGGGUCGGGAGCAGCAACUCCACCUGAAAAACAGGAGCCACAACAAGGCUGAGCUACUAAGCUCAACAAGGCUUAACCGAUUGGAGUAAAACUACUCCUUCUUCUAGACAUGCAGGGCUUUUUGGCUGAGGGGUUUGUUUGCCAAAAGCACUAAGUAACCCUAUUUUCAAGUUUUAGCUCCGGUUCUAGGUUCAUUUACCAGUCUAGGUUAUGCCACCUAUUCUAAGCAUUCAUAGAACCAAACAAGAGGUAUAGAUACAUCAAUAAACAUGUCAUCAUCAGAUUCCUCAUUUACUCAGGGUGACAUAGCGAUCAAGCAAUCUCAAACUGUGAGAGGCAGACGAAUCGAUUCGAGUUCUUUAACCAUGCAUGGUGAACCUAGCCUCACGACAUCCGCGCACCCGGAGGUCGCUUCCUGUGUCGGCCUUCCCCAUCGAUCCCCUAACCCGUGUCGGGCCCAUUUCCUUUGGUGCAAGGUUCCACAGACCCGGCCUCUGCCGUUCUAUGACCACGCUUGCCACCACGUGCGACAACCAGCAGGGGAAACUCCGUUCCAAGAACAAUGGGGCGACCGCUCACGUCUAGGUUCAAUCUGGUACUAGGCUUCCUCAUCCCAUACUAAGUAUGAGGCUAGUACUUUCAAACACUUGAUCAUGAACACCACCACUGUCGGGCCUUAGCAAGUUUUCAUAGACAGACGGGGCUAACAUCCGACCACCAAAGAGUUACCAAAACCCUGCCCCGUCCAUCGUCCUUAUAGUUGUAACAGAAAGAUAGACAUCCAACUCCUACAACUCGCGAGUGACAGGAGAUCACUCGACUUUUACCGUCUCCUAGUUAAGCAAGGCGACUACACGGUCCAACAGCUAGUGCUCAGAUCAUGGGGACAACUAAGUCAUGCAUCUAGGGUUUCACACAACUCCUAUACGUAAAUGCACAAGCAUGUUACAGAAGGCAUGCACAAGUCUGGUAAAACACUCAAGGUUUUCAUGCAACCGGGGCUUGCCUUCAAGCAAGGAGGACGGGAACUGCUUGACUUCGGGGGCGACUUCGACUUCAGCGGGCAGGAACUUAGCUACAACUUCUUCUUCUGGUGCCGGGUGAAGCUCGUAGAAGCCAUCGGUGAGGUGCAGCUCUACACGAAUGCAAUGCAAGGGUUAGCAUAGACAGUUAUUUCAACAGCAACACUAGCUCGCCUGAGCCCAGAAACUUGCGACAAAGAGCAGGAGGGUGGGGAGGUUCAAGAGAGCUGGUGAUGAUCAAGAGGCAAGGGUAGGAAAGGAAACUGAUGAUCUGAUCCUUGAUCUAGAGGAUGUGGUAUUUUAGGAAGCCUCCGACGCAAGCGCUGAAGGGUUCCUAAAUUUACACAUACACCCUCGGGUGGAAGGAAAGAUCACAGCCGAACCCUCGGGCGAGGCGGAUAAGGGUCGGCGGAACAGACAGGGUCGGGCGAGACGGAACCGGGGUCGGGCGGAUAGGAGGGGUCGGGCGAGGCGGACUGGGGUCGGCAACUCACCUUCUUCCUGAAAGGAAAGCUUGGGGUCAGGAAGAAGCAGACUUGGGCGGAGGGACUAAAGCUUCGAACAAGGGCUAAGACUGGGAAUGCUACGGCGGAGGCGGUGCUUCUUGCAGAUCACAAGAGAGCUUUUACGCAGCAUGGAGGAGCAAGCUGCGGGGUGACUUGGAGAAAACUGAGAGAGAAUCUGAGAGAAGAACUCCUCAAGAACUUGGUGGGUGGCGCUAGGAGCUUGAGCAGGGAGCGAGAGAAUGGCUAAGGCAACAAUGGCGGAGGGAACUCCGGCGAUGGGGGCAUUCCUUUUAUAGCUGCUGGAACGGGGAAAGGAAGCGACACGGGAGAGAGAGAAGGGGAGCAGCGCGAAGGCCGGGGAGAGGCAAUGGAGUGCUCUGCCGGGGCGGCGAUUGAGCGAAGAGGGCGGUGGUGCAGGGCUCCGGGGGUGACGCCAGCGAUCAUUGGGUUCUGCCGUCAGGGCGGCGUAAGGGCGGGUAGACCGGUGGUUGAGAUUUGGCGGAAAGCGGGCGUCGCCGUGCGGAACAUUUGAUAGAAGCGACCGGUUUAACGGUGCUAGAAUCGAGGGCGCACAGGUGAGAAGACAGGCAGCUGCGGGCGCGCGGGCGAGCGCGGAGCAACAGAUUGUCGGGCGGCUUCUGAUAGGGCGGGGAAAGGAGCUGUCGCGGCCGCGGUCGGGGUUGGCGGUGGAGGAAUCGUCGUGUAGCGGAGACCAGGCGGCGCGACUGUGGCUGAAGGGACGGAAAAGACGGGCGACAUCGGGCUCUGGGCCGGGAUCUGGCGGCGUGAUGAUGGGCGCGGGAGGCGAGGCUCUGCAGAAAGGGGUGCAGAGGGGCUUCCGCUGCCAUUGGGGAAAAGGGCGCGAGAACCCACUUGGUCGCUUGCCAGAGACAAAACUGAGCGGCAGGCGUCGGAGAAGACGAGCCACGCGGCAGGGAGACUCUGAAGCGGGCAUGCAACUCGAGUGCGCCUGUCGUGGAGGAUCUGGGGAAAAGAUCUCGCGGGUCCACCGGUGGAUAGAACGGACGUUUGAGGAGGAUUAGAAGGAUCCGACGGUGGGCUGAGCUCGCCGGGGUCGGGAGAAAAGCGAAGCACGGAGGGGUCGGAUCUCCGGGGUCGGAACCAGGCGGAAGGCCGAGCACUCGGCGCGGUAAAACAAGACAGAUGACUCUGAUCAAGGGCUCUGAUCAAGACUAACUGGGAAGGUUUAGGGGUCGGUCGUUACAUAGCCACAUCAUCAAGAAGGCCGUAUAUUCUCUAUCUUGAAUUGUCCCGAUCCUCUUUUUCAUGUUGAUGAACCCUUUCCACCUGCCGAUUCCUUUUGUUUCCAGCCGAUGGGUCGGCUUGACCAGAUAAUUGAAAGGAGUAUCGGGGGAAGAGAUGUCAAGACCGGUCAACAUCACAACAUCGGCCAGAGUUGGGGUCAUGGGUCCGUGCCCGAAAAGAAAUGCGUUGAGAGAGUCAAACCAGAAGUAGGAGUCUGCUAUCACCAAGGGUUCGUUUCUCUCCAUCUGGGACAAGGAAAGGUUGAUGCACUAGCUGAUUUUCUUUUCAUCCCAUUGAACUCUCUUGGAGUUGGCCAUUCUUUGGUACCACUCUUUCCAGCCGGGGUUUUCAUUCGGCCAAGAUCUAAAGGUGCCCAACCACUAGUCCAAAUCCAUGGGUGAUUGUUUAAAUGGAAUCCUCUGGGUCUCUAAAUUAAUCAUAUCGGUUGGGUCCGGGUUCCCCAUAGGUCCUAAACAGAUGAGACCAGGAGCUUUGGAAAGGCAAAUAGUAAUUUGGUGUCUGACUGCCUAAAAAAGGAAAAAAAGGGAAGAACUAAGAACGGAUCUAAAAAGAUGCAUGGACGGUAAAAGUAAAAAGGAAAAAGUUCCGAAUGAGUACCUCUGGAAUGAAAGUCAUCGUUGCCGAUGGGGCUGCUGGUGGAGCUGCGACCACUGAUGAAGCCGCUGGUGGAGCCUCUAUCGCCGAUGGAGCUGUUGCCGCCGCUGAUGGAGCUGCCGGUGGAGCCUCCGUUGCUAGUGGAGUUGCUGAUGGUGCUGCCAUUGGGGCGAUGAAGCGGAAUGCAGAUGAAAGGGGGAUCACCGGAGAAUGCGGUUGGAAGCCAAAAGGGCGCCAGAAGAAGAUGGAAACUAGUGUGCCAGGAAGGAAGUUACUGGCUUGUGAAGAAGAAGUGCAAGGCAUGCCAGUAUUUAAAGGUGGUCCGAGGGGGGUAAAGGCUGGAUUUUUAUUGCGCCGUCUACAUGAAUUUCGGGGGGAGCGGUUGUCUCAAGCACCUGUUUCGAAAGGAUUGCAAUCAUCAUGUAGAAGACUGCGAAAUAGAAGGAGUUUUUUGCCGCGUUUAUUUCGGAGGAGAGGUUAAAAAAGAAUUUCGAAGUAAAAGUCAUGUUUUAUUCCGAAACUGGGGGGCAUGUGUUGACGCUAGAUUUUAACACGUAUGGGAUCGGCGUCAAGAGAAGAAAGGAUUGGCUGAUGUGAUGGAUUAAAAGGUUAUGAUUGGGAAUCGGCCAAUUGGUGCUACAGUAGAGAAUCGGCCGAUUGGCGCUACAGUGUUUUGGUGGAUGGAGAUCGGCUGAUUGGAGGGCUGGAGCGAUUGGGCCAAUGUGGGCUUAAAGUGGCUCCGAGAAAGGAAAGAGAGAAAGAUUGGCCCGUGGGAGUACAAUAACCAACUCCGAUACGAGUUGCGUUUCUAAAUAUUCAUUUUCAUUUAAAAUUAGAGAUAGAUCCUAGUCGGUUAGGAAAUUGGUUGUAACAGGCUAUAAAUAGUCAUCUUUAGAGAUUUGUAAACACACAUCAAUCAAUACAACAAUCUACUUUUUCAUCGUACUUUACUUUUAAGUCGGUGACUUCACCAAUACAUCUUUUUCUUUCACGAGUUCGUACGGGUUGGCAGGGCUGCAUAGACACGAUCUCGGCUGAUUCUGUAAGUUCCGUCUAUCGAGUAAUAUCUAAGCUUUAUUGGAGGUAUGCCCUAGAGGCAAUCAUAGAGAUGAUGAUAUUCCAUUUGUAUCCAUGAUGUAUGUUGUGUUCAUUGAAUAUCCAUUGAAGGCUACUAGAAUUGAUUUGCAAUUAUGUGAAUUGUGUGUGAAACUCUUUACUUGUAUGGGUAUUCUAAAGUUGUCCCUAGUCGGAGUUCAUGUGAGGACACAUAUGAAUAUUAGACUAGCACAUGUAUUAGUUGAUGACUAUGUUUCACAAGUCAUGGACAUGGAGAUGUUGAACUAAUAAUGUGGGCACAUGUGGAGACAUGUGCUAGGACUGACCCAACACGAGAAGUAGUUCUCUCUUUAUACAACAUAUAUGCUUUGUCCUUAGACCUGAGAUUGUCGCAUGUAAUCAAGAUGUGGAUCGACUUACAUAGGGGCUAUCAAAUGCUACGCCGUAACAGGGUAGUUAUAAAGGUAGCUUUCGGGUUUGUCAAGAAGCAUGCUAUGAGACAUGGUCAAUCAAGAUGGGAUUUUCCCCUCUCUGAUUGAGAGUGAUAUCUCUGGGCCCCUUGUGAUCGGAUCCGAAAAUGCAUGGCCAUGUACGUACGGUUAAGAGUUAACCUACAAAGGAAUUCUGAAUCACAGGAUCGAGAAAGAGCGGUCGGCUUGAAGCUAGACCAAAUAUCGUGAGGCAAAGGGAAUAGCAUGUAUAUAAUGUUGUGAUGGUUCGUCUGAUAUGAUCUUCGUGUGCAUAUAGGAGUUGGCACGUCUUGCUAGAGACCGCUACCGACUAUUGGGCCGAGUAGGAGUACUCGGGCCAUGUCUAUACGUAUCCGAACCCAUAGGGUCACACACUUAAGGGGCUGGAAGCCCAAUUCGGAUGUGAUCCGAGUUGGAUUAGGUUUAGAAGUACUAAUGGGCCUCGGACCCAGAGGCCCGUUAGGAACCUCUAUAAAUAGAGGGGUGGGGUCGCCCUAGGUUUUACACCUUUUGGUGAAACACAUCUGCCGCGCCUCCCACGCCGUCGCCUGUUGCAACUCACGGAUCUAGCAGUCCGGGUUGCGACGCUUCCUCCCUGCACGUGUGGAUACCUUGGAGGUGUUGCGCCUGCAGCACUUGGACGAGCCACCGACGAGCCAUGACAAGCCGCCGACGAGCCACAACGAGCCGUCGACAAGCCACGACGAGCCGCCGCCGAGCCGCGGCACGAGGGUGAUCUUGCUGCACGUGGACGAGCUGCUGAGGAGCUGCUGGACAUCGACGUGAUUGACUACGUACGACUACGUUGAUUAACUUCGCUGCAUCGACGCGAAUCUAUAUCUUCCGCACCAGUAGUGCGUCGAGUGGUAAUCCCGUGAUCCUUAUACAGCAGUUUUCCUGGUUUACGCGGUAGAAAUUUUAAUUUGCGCUAGUGUAGCCUACCUUAUAUCCAAACAGUGGUAUCAGAGCCGUAGCUGUUUAGUUUUGGAUUCGGGAUGUGUGCAUAUGGAGAUAUGCGAGUUUUCAGUUUGAUCUAUGUCCUGGUUUCGUGUUCUUGCUGCAAUGGUAGUGUAACGACAUACUCCUAAUGGUAGUGAUACACAUAAUUCCAGUUGCAGUGAGCGAAGAUCAAUGUGAUUGGUCGAAUCGAAAUCCAGGUUCAUACGGUAGGCGCAUGAGAUGUGCAAUAGUAGAUGGGAUCUACUACCGGGGUCGGCAUUUUGCCGUGUGCGUAUGCUUCGGUAAAUCAGUUGUAACUUUUCGGUACGAUCUCGGAUCAUGGCGAAUUUUAUAUGAAAAUUGAUCUAUAGAAAAAGUUACACAUGAAAUUCAAUGGUAAUGCCAUUUUUGGCGAAAUUAGAUUUCCCAAAUUCGGCUUGGAAGAUGGAGUUUCGGGCCUCCGAAGUUUGGAACGUUAGGACGCUUAACUCUGUUUUGCAGGAUGUAUGUAUCUUGUGAUCAGUAUGACCCCUUUGUGUAUGUGAUGCAUGUGUGUAACUCAUUCGUGACCUGCGUGUCAUGCGUACGGCAACACGGCAGGAGCCAUAUGUGUUGUCACUUUAAUGUAUUUAAUGGUCUGCGUACCAAUCUGUGAUGAUCCAAGCAACUAUGUAAUCUUCAUUACUAGCUUUUUACUAGCUAUUAGGCAUAAUAGCAUGUUCUAAUUCUUGGAGGACUCAUCACCAGGAGGAUGGUGCACAUGGAACAUGGAGAUGGAGAUCACCAUGGUGAACAGGUUCUAUGGAGAUGGAGAUCACUAUAAGAAAACGGGCCAUAUUGUGUCACAACUAUGUGAAUGCUAUUCUGUUUAUGUUUUACUUUCUGCAUGCUGUGAUGUUAGAAGUAGAACGAUCCCUCACAAAGUUUAAGUUAGUAUGCCCUCCCAACUAACACUUGCACCGUCCCAUGUCUUGUACAUUUAGUGGUGGGUCUAUGAAAUUAGGAUGCCACUAGUUUUCCUUGACUAGACGGGUUUGCGUCGGACACUUACAUGCAUAAGGGUUGGUUUGCUUAACAAGGUUAUCUUAACGGUUAAGGACCUUGGGGCAUAAGGUUGGGUGCCGAGACAUGGAGAUGUCACCCAACAACAGGAGUCAUAUGUGAUAUGAUUAGCAAAAGUUGCUUACCGAUCUACCUUGUUUGCUAGCGGUGAUGCUAAAGCUCACUAGUAGACUUGUUAGUUGUGGAUCCUGAAUCACUAAGUAUCAAUAGAGGGAUAUUGAUUUUAGUGGGAGUAGAUUCUGUUAAAAUAGUUUAAUGUGAUUUGCUCUAUCAUGGAUACGUUUGUCUUAGUGUAUUUUGCAUUACUUUUGUUGUAGAUUAAAUGGCACCAAGCAGCACUACACCGUUUGCUUUGCGUUCGGUCCUUGAGAAGGACAAGUUGAAUGGAACAAAUUACUCGGAUUAGAUCCGUAACCUAAGAAUUGUUCUUAGGGCUGAGAAAAAGGAAGAUGUUCUAGACAACCCACUACCAGAAGAACCUGCUAAUGAUGCACCUGCUGCUGCUAAGAAUGCUUACAAGAAAGCAUGUGAUGCUAACCUCGAAGUAAGCUGCCCUUUGCUUGCUUGCAUGGAACCCGAGCUGUAGAUGCAGUUCGAAACAAACCAUGAGGUGCACGAUAUGAUCAUGGCGCUUAGAGACAUGUUCCAAACACAGGCCAGGACUGAAAGGUUCAAUGUGUCUAAGGCCUUUGUGGAGAGCAAGCUAGCAGAAGGCGCAGCAGUAGGACCACACAUAAUCAAGAUGGUUGGUUACACUCAACGGUUGGAGAAGCUGGGGGCUUCCCACUGGGCCAAGUUGGCCACUGAUUUCAUUCUUUCGUCUCUUCCGCCUAGCUAUGGGAACUUCAUCUCGAACUACCAUAUGCAUGGGACGGAGAAGGGUCUGAAUGAGCUGUGUGACAUGCUUAAAAUAGCAGAGGCUGACAUCAAGAAAAGCGCUAGUAGCAGCCAUGUGAUGGCUAUACAGAACAAGCCUAGCUUUAAGAAGAAGGGCAAUUCUUGGAAGAAGAAGGGCAAGGCUGGAACGUCCAAGCCAAACCCAGCGCCCAAGGUUAAAGCUAGACCUGGACCUGCUCCAGACAAAGAGUGCUUUUACUGUCAUGAUUUUGGUCACUAGAAGAGAAAUUGCAAGCAGUACCUAGCUUCGUUGAAGAAUGGCGGAAGUAAGAGUACUUCCACCUCAGGUACGCUUGUUAUUAAUGUUAUAGACAACAUAUUUCUUGCUGAUACAAUUAUUAAUUCUUGGGUAUUUGAUACCAGAUCGGUUGCUCAUAUUUGCAAUUCGAUGCAGGGAAUGAUAAGAAGUAGAAGCGUGGAAAGAGGAGAAGUUGAUUUCCGCGUGGGCAAUAAUGCAAGAGUUGCUGCAUUGACCGUCGGGACGAUGCAACUCCACCUCCCGUCAGGAUUUAUUAUGGAGUUGAAUAAUUGUUAUUUCGUUCCUAGUUUAAGUCGAAACAUUUUGUCUCCUUCAUGCUUGAUGAAGGAUGGUUAUUUAUUUGCGAGUGAAAACAAUGGUUGUGUGAUCUUUAAGAAUGAUAUGUUUAUGGCUUUUGCACCCAUUGUGAAUGGAUUAUUUGUUUUAAAUCUUGAUGGUUCACCUGUUUGUAACGUAAGUGCUAAAAGGCCUCGGCCUAAUGAUUUGAGUCCUACCUACUUGUGACAUUGUCGUUUGGGUCAUAUAAGUGAAAAGCACAUGAAGAAGCUCCAUUCUGAUGGACUUCUAACUUCGUUUGAUUUAGAAUCAUACGAGACAUGUGUGAGGCUUGCUUGCUAGGCAAGAUGACCAAGACGCCUUUCACAGGAUUUCCUAAGAGAGCAGUAGACUUGUUGGAACUCGUACAUAGUGAUGUAUGCGGACCAAUGAGCACGACAGCUAGAGGAGGAUUCCAAUACUUCAUAACUUUCACUGAUGAUUUUAGUAGAUAUGGCUAUGUCUACUUGAUGAGGCACAAGUCUGAAACCUUUGAAAAGUUCAAGGAAUUUCAGAAUGAAGUUGAAAAUCAGCGUGGCAAGAAAAUUAAGGCCUUACGAUCUGAUCGUGGAGGCGAGUAUUUGAGCCACGAGUUUAGCAAUCAUCUAAAGAGUUGCGGAAUUAUUCCACAACUUACUCCGCCUGGAACACCUCAGAGAAACGGUGUGUCUGAGCGACGUAAUCGUACUUUGUUAGACAUGGUUUGAUCAAUGAUGAGCCAGUCUGACCUACCGUUGUCAUUUUGGGGAUACGCUCUAGAAACAGCAGCUUUCACACUUAAUAGGGUACCAUCUAAAUCCGUAGUUAAGACACCAUAUGAGAUGUGGACUGGAAAGGUUCCCAGUUUGUCUUUUCUAAAGAUUUGGGGAUGUAAAGUGUUUGUCAAGCGACUUUAGUCGAACAAGAUCACACCCAAGUCGGAUAAGUGCAUUUUCAUGGGAUAUCCAUGCAAUCCGAAAUAGAGUCCAUGGGAGACAAUCAAGUUUGGAACUUGGUUGACCCGCCUGAUGGUGUUAAAGCCAUAGAGUGCAAGUAGAUCUAUAAGAAGAAAAAGGACAUGGAUGGAAAUGUUCACAUCUAUAACGCACGACUUGUCGCAAAAGGUUUUCGACAAGUUCAAGGAGUUGACUACGAUGAGACUUUCUCGCCCGUAGUGAUGCUUAAGUCCAUUCGGAUUACUCUAGCUAUAGCUGCAUAUUUCGAUUAAUGAGAUAUGACAGAUGGAUGUCAAGACAGCUUUCCUAAAUGGAAACCUAGCUGAGGAUGUGUAUAUGAUACAGCCUAAGGGUUUUGUCGAUCCAAAAAAUGCUGGAAAGGUAUGCAAGCUUCAAAGAUCCAUUUAUGGAUUGAAGCAAGCAUCUAGGAGUUGGAACAUUCGUUUUGAUGAAGUGGUCAAAGGGUUUGACUUCACCAAGAACGAAGAAGAGUCUUGUGUUUACAAGAAGGUUAGUGGGAGCUCUGUAGUAUUUCUAAUCUUAUAUGUGGAUGACAUAUUGCUGAUUGGAAAUAACAUUCGUAUGCUUGAGUCUGUAAAGACUUCACUGAAAAAUAGUUUUUCGAUGAAGGACUUAGGGGAAGCGGCAUAUAUUCUGGGCAUUAAGAUCUAUAGAGAUAGAUCAAGAAGGCUUAUAGGAUUAAGUCAAGAUACUUACAUUGAAAAAGUGUUGAAGCGGUUCAGCAUGGAAGAGGCAAAGAAAGGGUUCUUGCCUAUGUCACAUGGCAUACAUCUUAGCAAGACUCAGUGUCCUUCGACUGCUGAUGAGCGGGAUCGCAUGAGUAGAGUGUUAUAUGCCUCGGCUAUUGGAUCUAUCAUGUAUGCAAUGAUAAGUACUUGCCCAGAUGUUUCAUAUGCGCUAAGUGUGACAAGCAGACACCAGUCUGAUCCAGGUGAGAGUCACUGGACAGCGGUGAAAAACAUUGUUAAGUACUUGAGAAGGACUAAAGAUAUGUUCCUCAUCUAUGGAGGUGAGGAGGAGCUCGUUGUAAUAGGUUACUCCGAUGCUAGUUUCCAAACCGAUAGAGACGAUUCAAAGCCACAAUCAGGAUUUGUGUUCACGCUAAAUGGUGGUGCUGUUAGUUGGAAGAGUUCCAAGUAGGAGAUGGUGGCCGAUUCUACGACAAAAGCCAAGUACAUCGCGGCUUCGGAAGCCGCGAAGGAGGGUGUUUGGAUAAGGAAUUUCCUCAUUGAGCUUGGUGUGUUCCCGAAUGCGUCCAGCCCAUUGAAUCUCUACUGUGAUAACAAUGGGGCAAUUGCGCAAGCAAAGGAGCCAAGGAACCACCAGAAGAACAAACACGUAAUGCGGCGAUUUCAUCUCUUUCGAGACUUCGUUAACUGGGGUUAGAUCAAGAUAUGCAAAAUACACACGGAUCUGAACAUUUCUGAUCCGUUGACAAAACCACUCCCGCAGGCUAAGCAUGAUGCGCAUGUAAGAGCUAUGGGUAUUAGGUACCUUCUAGAUUGACUCUAGUGCAAGUGGGAGACUAUUGGAGGUAUGCCCUAGAGGCAAUCAUAGAGAUGAUGAUAUUCCAUUUGUAUCCAUGAUUUAUAUUGUGUUCCUUGAAUAUCCAUUAAAGGCUACUUGAAUUGAUUUGCAAUUAUGUGAAUUGUGUGUGAAACUCUUUACUUGUAUGGGUAUUCUAAAGUUGUCCCUAUUCGGAGUUCAUGUGAGGACACAUAUGAAUAUUAGACUAGCACAUGUAUUAGUUGAUGACUAUGUUUCACAAGUCAUGGACAUGGAGAUGUUGAACUAAUAAUGUGGGCACAUGUGGAGACAUGUGCUAGGACUGACCCAACACGAGAAGUAGUUCUCUCUUUAUACAACAUAUACGCUUUGUCCUUAGACCUGAGAUUGUCGCAUGUAGUCAAGAUGUGGAUCGACUUACAUAGGGGCUAUCAAAUGCUACGCCGUAACAGGGUAGUUAUAAAGGUAGCUUUCGGGUUUGUCAAGAAGCAUGCUAUGAGACAUGGUCAAUCAAGAUGGGAUUUUCCCCUCUCUGAUUGAGAGUGAUAUCUCUGGGCCCCUUGUGAUCGGAUCCGAAAAUGCAUGGCCAUGCUACGUACGGUUAAGAGUUAACCUACAAAGGAAUUCCGAAUCACAGGAUCGAGAAAGAGCGGUCGGCUUGAAGUUAGACCAAAUAUCGUGAGGCAAAGGGAAUAUCAUGUAUAUAAUGUUGUGAUGGUUCGUCUGAUAUGAUCUUCGUGUGCAUAUAGGAGUUGGCACGUCUUGCUAGAGGCCGCUACCGACUAUUGGACCGAGUAGGAGUACUCGAGCCAUGUCUAUACGUAUCCGAACCCAUAGGGUCACACACUUAAGGGGCUGGAAGCCCAAUUCGGAUGUGAUCCGAGUUGGAUUAGGUUUACAAGUACUAAUGGGCCUCGGACCUAGAGGCCCGUUAGGAACCUCUAUAAAUAGAGGGGUGGGGGCGUCCUAGGGUUUACACCUUUUGGUGAAACACAUCUGCCGCGCCUCCCACACCCUCGCCUGUUGCAACUCACGGAUCUAGCAGUCCAGCUUGCGACCCUUCCUCCCUGCACGUGUGGAUACCUGGGAGGUGUUGCGCCUGCAGCACUUGGACGAGCUGCCAACGAGCCAUGACGAGCCGCCGACGAGCCACAACGAGCCGCCGACAAGCCACGACGAGCCGCCGCCGAGCCGCGGCACGAGGGUGAUCUUGCUGCACGUGGACGAGCUGCUGAGGAGCUGCUGGACAUCGACGUGAUCGACUACGUACGACUACGUUGAUUAACUUUGCUGCAUCGACGCGAAUCUACAUCUUCCGCACCAGUAGUGCGUCGAGUGGUAAUCCCGUGAUCCUUAUACGGCAGUUUUCCUGGUUUACGCGGUAGAAAUUUUGAUUUGCGCUAGUGUAGCCUACCUUGUAUCCCAACAAGCUUUAACUUCGGGUGCAUCGCUGUCGUUUCAUUUAGAUUUAUUCACCAGUUAUCGAUAUUUACUAGAAUUAUAAGUUUUAUAUACUGUUCUAGUUUUAUCACCAGUUAUCCAGCUUGAGAUUUGAACUAUCGACUCUAUUGUUGUUAUUUUUCAUUCAUCAUUAUCGCAUGGCUGAUUAGAUCUAUUUCGAGUGUUGCUUUUGUAGCUUUAUCUAGUUUACUCUACUAGUUUUCUUUGUGAUCGCUACAUGAUUGUCGGCUGUAUCAUAGCCAAUUAUCUUUAUAUAGCAAAUCGGCCAAUUUGCUGAUACGCUUUUCGAGAUCAGAACCUUAGCCGAUCGAAGCCCCUGGAAUUUGACAUGUUUUCUUCCUUGCCAAUCAACAGGUUAGAUUGGCUAGCACGCUGCGCGAACCGCACCAGGAAGAUUAUCCGAACAGGAGCUAAGCAGAUUCUCCCGGGUCGUGUGUCCGACGCUGAAGGUCAAUCAGCUGAUUUUUAGCGCCAACAGACGUAAGCCUAGAUAGCACUGGUGUCUUCCUAAGGUUUGUUUUACCAUAAAAAUAAUUCCUUAUCCUUGACCUCUGUGAUGACUAUUCUCGCUCCUUAUACAUUUUAUCUACGCCUUGAUUGCUUAUUUUUGAACAACCUUAGCUCCUGAUUGUUUACCCCCACCUUGUUUUGCUAUCGCUAAACCCUCAAUCCUUGUCUAUUGACUCAUUCUCUCCUUGAAAAAAAAAUUAUUUUUGCUACUCGCACCUUCAAUUACCUUUCUUGUUUUUGCUAAAACCUUAACCCUUGUCUGUUUAUUCUUUCUCGUUGAUGCCUUUUUGAUCUUCAUCAUACGUCUCGUUUGAUGAAUUUCCCUAUCUGGAUGCAUAUCAUCUCCUUAAUUUAAUUGUGAUAUUGUUACCCCCUCAUCCUUGCUCAUUUAUCUCCUUGGUAUUUUCCUUGUCGACCUAUUUAUCCUUGUAAACCAAUCUCCUCCUUGAUUUUAAUUUGAAUAUAUCCAUCUUUUCCCGUUGUACCUCUCCUUGCUUUUCAAAUACCUUGGAAUCUUUCCCUUGAAUUUUGAUUCCAAAGUAUCUUUUCUAAUUUAAAAAAAAUGUUUGGAUGAUCCACGCCUCCUAUUCUAAAGCCUGUUUAAGUCAUCUGAAGAAUGAAGCUAUCGGUUUAUCACAAGAAGUCAAACCUCAACGACUGAAGAAGUAAUCCCUUCAUAGGAGUACCCCUUUACAGCUUUACUAACAACGAUUAGCAUCGUUCCUUGCCUGUGUUGAUUGGUGAAGUUCUGUGUGUUGCUUGAUGAUGCUUGUCUUUAUGACCUUGAUUGAGUUGGUUCUUUGUAUUGAUUGUUGGUGUAUUGUGGGUCUUCUACCUACAAUGACAUUAGUUUUCUAGCUGGGUUCUUCUUUUGACCUCCCACCUCAUUGUUAUCCUCCUUUCUUUCUACUCAAUCCAAUGAAGAAGGUCGAAAGAAGGAAACUGAAGGCAACACCAACACAUCAACAAGCAGAUGUUAACAUCACCACCACCAUCUCGAUGGAAGCAAGUUGAAGAUUUGAAGGCUUUACUUUGAUCUCCCUAAUCUUACUCCAAUGAAGAUUUCAAGAAUCAAGAAGAUGAAGAAAGCAGAAAUUCUACUCGCAACAAGCAAGGAUGAAAGACUAUCCACUCUACUAGAAGAAUCUUGUUGUCUACCUCCUCUUCAUUUCUUUAUCUCUCUUUUCAAAUAUGUAUGUGCUUCCCACCUCCUUGUUACCUUUAUUUCUAUCUAUCAACUCUGAUGGACAUCAAGAAAGCAAGUAAAGGCAACAUCAAUGUCAACAAGCAGAUGUUAUCGCCAUCACAACCGUCGAAAUAGAAGCAAGUCGAAGAAAAGAAGUUCCUACUCUAGUUUCUUUGCUAUCCUGUUGCUUUCUAUCCUCCCAUCUAUCUCACUCUGAAGACAAUUCAAGAACAGAUGAGGAUAUCAUCAAGUACUCUAUCCUGUUCUGCAAUUUUAUCCAUUUCUAUUCUCUAUUCUAAUCUUAUCUUUAUCACCCAACCAGAUGGCGAGUCCUAGUGGAAAUCAUGAAGAUAGCGCCAAUGAAGGUGACCUCAACAUUCCACCCGAAGCCUCAUCGUUUGAAUGCAAGAUGUUAGAGUAUAUGGCAACACAAAAUCGGACUUUACAAGCAGUGGCUCAAAGCUUGGUCACUACCCAUCAAUAUAUCACAGAGCAAGCCUCACUUACUCGAAACAACAACUCUAUCACCAGUGGUGACAAUCAAGUUUAGCCUGUUCCACCACCGUUUGACAAAGGGAAGCUAUUAGCCAUGCAAGCUCAAGACUUACAAGGAAUGAUGCAGACUAACAUGGAGACGAUGAAGGCUGGAAUUCCCACUGAACCAGUGAAGAGGCAAGUUGCUGAAGCAGGGAACCGUCAAAGGAACAAGACAAGCCAUGAAGCGCCAGAGCCAGAAAUGGAGAGACAACAUGAGGAUGUUAAGAUUCCAGGAAAAUGUCAAUGUUGUGAACACCAUGGACUUCCAUGUCUCCAAGAAGAAGAUAGUCUAAUGACAGUUGAAGCCAGACAAUGUUAUUAUUUAGACAUUAAUAAGAAGAGAAAGUUGUAUUCCCAAGGACCGAUGCUAGAGGAAGUUACUCAAGAUGAAGAUAGUACUCAGACUAUGCACCUUGAGGGUUGGAGUAUCUCUUUCAAAGAAUUUCAGCCCAGUCGAAGUAGACAAGUCAAGAAGCCAACUAGUAAAACAAGCAAAGCGCAGGGAUCGAACCCACAACCUCAGACCACAAAGAGUGCAAGCAAUACCACAACUAGUAAAGCAAGUCAAGAAAAGGAUGAUCGACCCCAGGACCAAGGACCCAAUAGCCCCGCAUUCAGUCCGACAACAUCAGUUGGUCUCUUAAUCAAGACGAACGAUCGGAAUGCCUCAGUUAGGAAAGAAUGCCCUCACAUUCCGAUGCUCAAUUGUCAUACCACAUGCAGUUGCCAAGGUUUCAAAACAAGAAAAACAUGUUACUAUUGCAAAGAAGGACAUUUCAAAAAUCAGUGCCCUAAGAAGCGUCUGGACCAAAAGGAGAAGAAGACUAAAGGAUGUGUAUGAAGAGUUGAGUAUGAUUCAAGACAAACAAGUCAAAGAGAAGACAUCAAGCUCUAUUCAAAUCACUUUAUCAAGAUAUGAGUGAAGAAUCUUCAAAGAUGGAGUAAUGAAGGAAAAAAAGAAAUGGAUAGUUAAAAGAUGAAUUAGACUACAUAUCCCUGAAGUGUUUCUGUCUUUAUGUGAGUUGUGGAGAAUAAAGAAGUAUGAUUGAGAAGCUUAUGUAAGGAUGAACGAUCUGGAAGAAAAGCUAAUACGUGUUGGAUGCUACCCACCUAAACCUUUGUCUCUUGCUAGCCUUUGCGAAUCUUGGGACGAGAUUCUUGUUAAGGGGGGUACUGUUAUCACACCCUGAUAUUUGGAUGUGAUUAAAAAGAAAUAAUUAAACAACGAUUUUCUAUAAUUUAAAAUUUUUGCCAACAUUUAUUUUCUUUUCAGGAAAUUUAGUAUAGGAAAAAUAAUUAUUUGUUUUCAAAAUUAAAUAAGGUUGUUGUUCUCUGUCUCUGCAUUCAUGCUGAUGUAUUUUGGAGUUUUAUGAGUGAAAAAGUUUCAAAAAUACGUUUAGACGUUGUCCAAGUUCUUCUUUUCCUUGAGCCUAAUCCAAUUUUUUUUGGAUGGUUCUAAAAUCCUUUUCAUGAGCUCUAAAUAUUUUAUUUGGAUUUCUUGUGUCCCGAUCUAUCUCUGGGAUUUUUCCUAGAUUUUUUGGGAUUUUUAGACUAUUUUUCGUUGUUCAAAGUAUUUAUCUAGAAUUUUCUGGAUUUAUAUUCCCAUGUAAAAUAAUUUCUAAAAAAUAAUCUAAUCUUUCUUUUUUAAAUGGGCCGACCCGCGAACCCGGCCCGCCUCACACCAGCCCAGCAUGCUGCCAACCUUUUUCUUCUGCCGACCCGGCCCAGCUCUCGGCCCAGCUCCUCCUCUCUCAGGCCGGCCUCGCCUUCCUCUUCCACCGGCCUGGCCCACCACCUGUCCCUCUCUCCCCCUCACUGCCAGGCAGGCCCUGCCUGUCCCUCUCUCCCCCUCACUGCCAGGCAGGCCCUGCCUGUUCGAUCCACCUUCCUCCUCUAGCCGCGCCACCAGGCCAAGUUGCGCCGCCAUCCCAGUGUCCCUCCACCUCUCGGAGUCGCUCCGACUCUCCACGCCCCACGCCCCCUCAGCUUCCCGUGCCCGCUCGCCUCCCGCACGAGCGCCGCCUGCCCCUCCAUUUCCUCUCCCCCACCGGAAACCGUCGCCCCCACCGCCGGUUGCCAUUAAUGGUUGCCGCCGCCCUUUCCUGUCCACCAGCGCCCCCUCCGCUCCCCUGUCCCUUCGCCCUAUAAAACGAGCACCUAAGCCCCGGGAGUCCUUGCUGCUGCUCGCCUGCCACCUCGCUGCUUCGCCAAGCGCCGCCGCACCAAGCCUCCGAGCCGCCGCUGCUUACCCGCGCCCGCCGCCGCCUGUGUUGCCCCUGCGCUGAGCUGCCGGGCUACCUGCGCUGUUGUCCUGGCCGCCCGCUGCACCGGUGCGCCACCACUGCCGCAACUGUGCACGCUCUGCCCCCUUUGGCCCGGCCAGCAGCCGCCGCCGAUAAUCUGACCGGCCACACGAGCGGAGCAAGCAGGAAUUGGAGGUAGAAGUGUUGACGCCAGAUUUCGUCACUAGUAAAAUCGGCGCCAAGAAGAGAGGGAAUCGGAGAAGCACAGUUGGGAAUUGGUCGAGUGGUGCUACAGUGUGAGAUCGGCCAGUGACUUCUGUCUUGCUUCGGAUCGGACGUGCCGGGGUCCCAAUCGGUUGCCUUUUGCCGAUAAGGAUUCGGCCGAUUAGGAGGUUGGUUUAAUUGGGCCUGUAUGGGCUUGGAAAGGAAUAAAAGGAUAAGGGGGAGAUCAGCCCAUGAAGCAUAGAGUAACCAACCUAGCACGAAUCGUGCUUCUAAAUAUUCGUUUUUUGUUUGAAUUAGGGAUAGAAUUCUAGUCGGUUAAGAAGUCAUCUGUACGGGGCUAUAAAUAGCUACCUUUGUAAAUCUGUAAUCAUCAACAAAUCAAUACAACAAGCUACUUUUUCCUCGUACUUACUUUCAAGCAGGCGACUUCGCCAAUACUUUUCUCUCUUUCACGAGUUCGUGCGGGUUGGCAGGGCUGCAUCAGCUUGAUCUCCGGCCGAUUCUGUAAGUUCCGCUUAUCGAGUAAUAUCUAAGCUUUAACUUCGGGCGUAUCGCUGUUGUUUCGUUUAGAUUUAUUCACUAGUUAUCGAUAUUUGCUAGAAUCAUAGGUUUUACCUGUCUUUCUAGUUUUACCACCUGUUACCCAGCUAGGAAUCGGUAGUUUCGGCUCUCUUCACAUUCUGCUAUUAGAUUCAUCUAUUGCCGAUUAGACCUAUUCCUGGUGUUGUUAUCAUAGCUUUGUAUCGAUUACUCUAGUGGUUUUCUGUCUACAAGGCUACAGUGAUCGGCUGUUUUAUAGCCGAUUCCUUUAUUACGGCAAAUCGGCCGAUUCGCUGAUAAGCUCCCUCGAGAUCGGAAACUUAGCCGAUCGUGAUUUCCGGACCUGACACGCAUUCUUCCUUGCCAAUCAACAGGUCAGAUUGGCUGGCACGCCGCGCGAACCGCACCAGGGCAAUCACCUGAACAGGAGUUAAGCAGAUUCUCCCGGGUCGUGUGUCGAACGCUGGGAUUCGGUUGACCGAUUUCUAGCGCCAACACACUUUUGGCACGCCUGGUGGGACAAAUACAACCGCCAUCAUGUCGAAAGCUGCUGAAGUCUCCGAAGAUAACGUCAUUGAGGUGACGGAAGCAGAUUUGAAGGACGACCAGAAGGAAGAAUUGGAUAAGUAUACGGCGCAGUUCCGGAAAGCUUGCCUAAAGUCUUUCAGUCACUCCAGAAGCGGGGAGACUAUCAAGAAAAAUCCGUUCCCUGCUCCCCGCCAAAUCACAAUUUCUGAGGAUUUGGACAAAAUGUCCAAUAUGAUUCAACAGUCUAUUUAUCACGCCUUCGUUGAUCAGUCCCCAGUACUUUCAAAUAUGGUGCACAACGCCGUUGUCAACUCCUUCGCUGGUGGGAUACCUCAAGGAUACAGGGGACCGGCAUAUUUUCAGCCGAUUCCACCAAACUAGAAUCAUUCGAAUUCGGUUUCACAGCCGAUCCAAUUUUCUGUCGGGGUUUUAGGUGCUUCUUCGUCAUCAGCUCCUAUGGGGUAUAACUCCAUCCAACUGUCCUCUGCACCAUUCCCUCCAGUUAGCCCAUCACCCUGGGGGGCACCUUCAGCCACGGCCGGUCAGAAUCAAUCGGCCAGUCAAGGAAACCCUCCAUUCCAGGCAUCUUUCCAGGCGGCCAUUCGGCCGACCGUACCGCCAUACCAGCCUGUCGCUCCAGAGGUCAACAAGACAGCAGAGCUCAUGCUAUAUGAUGAAACGACUGGCUCAUUCAAACAACCGACCUUUACUACACAGCCAGCUUUCACUCAGAUACCACCUGCUUUCAAUCAGCCUCCGUUUGUUCCGCCUCCGGUUUACCAGCGCGUGCCAAUACCUCAGCCAACGGUUCACCAGCAACAGCCAGAUUGGUCGGCACGUAUUGCGGAGGUGAUGCAAGAAAAAUUCGGCUUGAAGCCGAAAGUACAAACUUAUACCUACAGGACACCAUACCCGUCUACAUAUGACCUAUUGCCGUUCCCCCAUCGGUAUAAAGUUCCUGACUUCACUAAAUUUUCGGGGAUGGAUGACACUUCGACCGUAGAGCACGUGAACAGAUUCAUCAUCCAAUGCGGAGAGGCAGCCACGCAGGAUGCCCUACGGGUACGGUUGUUCUCAUCAUCCUUGUCUGGUUCGGCCUUUCAAUGGUUCACGACAUUGCCGCCAAACUCGAUUAUCACAUGGGCCGAUUUAGAAAGACAGUUCCACAAAUACUUCUACGCCGGGGUGCAUGAGAUGAAGCUGUCCGAUUUGACCAGCCUCAGGCAAAGAAGUGACGAGCCGAUAUCCUCGUAUAUACAGAGGUUUCGGGAAAUCAGGAACAAGUGCUACUCCCUGGCUCUAAACGACGCGCAGUUGGCCGAUAUAGCUUUUCAAGGCCUUCUGCCCCACAUCAAAGAAAGAUAUGCCUCACAGGAGUUCGAGAGUUUGAGCCAGAUUGUCCACCGAUUGUCUGGACAGGAGGUACGUGCCUUCGAUCCACGGAGGAAUUUCCAGAAGAAAGUGGCGUUCCUGGAAGAAUUAGAGGACGAAGAAGACGUUGAAGUCGGACUUGCGGAGUGGAUCAAGGGAAAGAAGCCGAUAUCAUGCCCUUUCGGAAAAAAGGAACCGGAAGUGUUCGGCUUUGACACAACUAAGGCCGAUAAGAUCUUCGACCUUCUCCUCCAGGAAGGACAGAUUAAACUCUCGCCAUAUCAUACAAUACCUUCUGCCGAACAACUAAAAAAGAUGAAGUACUGCAAGUGGCACAACGCCACAUCCCAUGAUACUAAUGAGUGCAAAAUCUUCAGGCAGCAGAUACAGUCGGCCAUUGAGCAGGGCAGACUUAAAUUUGAAGUGCUGACAAAAUUGGCCAAGCCAAUGAAGAUCGACCAACACCCCUUCCCCACCAACAUGGUUGAUACGGGAAAGAAUUCACUACAAACAAAAGUGCUGACGUCCGAAUCGGCUAAAAAGAGUGGCGUCGUCGACCCCAGAAAUCAAGUUACGCCUGAAGACGUCAAAGGGAAGCGGCGGAUGGAGGAUGACGAUGGCGAAUCAGAAGAGCCACGCAUUACUUCCCAGUUCCUGCUCCAGAAGUACCAACGUCAGCAUGAACGCUCAAGGUCCCGGGAAGAAGCGAUGCGACGGCACGAAGAUCAUUGGAGGUGCCCGUUCUUCAUCCACUGUUGGGAAAACAACCUCAGGCUACCUUCGGCCAAUAAUUGCCCAGAAUGCAAUGGUCCAUAUCGUGGCAAUCGGCCGUUCAACAGGUCUCGCUCCAGAGACGGAAGGCCAGAACCGAUCAGCAGGAAUUGGCGCAACCAAGAUGACCAACGCCCUCCCGUGCGUGAUCGGUUGGGGGGCAGAAGUGACCGAUAUGAUUGGUCGGAAGAUAGACGCCAUGAUAGGCAGGGGGGCAGGACUGAUCGGCAUGACCGGUCAGAAAACAAGGCCAACAUUCACAGCCGGCUCGAAGAGAUGGCCGAUGCUCGGGUGACAGACGAAAACCCGUUAGGACGCGAACCGGAGUGGGAAUGCGCCAAGUCAGGUGGCAGACCAAUAAACCCUAGGUGGUGUCCCGAUGGAUUGACCAAGUCCCAAAAACGAAGAAUCCAACGUCUCCGCCAAUAGGAACAGCAAGAAGAGGAAAGCACGACGGACAAGAAGGAAGGAAGGCCUCGGGUGUGGCGCCCCAAAAGAAACGAUGAAGGAGACGACGAAUCGGCGGGUGGCGAAUCGGCAGCCGAGAUCGGCAUGGUUUUCAUACUGCCGAUGGAAUUCAUGACUCCCGCCGAUCAGCAGGAUAUAUCAGCGAUAGAAGACCAAACGGCACAGUUGGCUUUGGAGCCAAUGAUGGCCAUGUUCGAGAAGCCCGAAGAUGACGAACGACAACACAUGAAGGCACUGUUCCUUAAAGGGCAUGUCGACGGCCGCCCCCUCACUAGACUGAUGGUAGACGGAGGAGCUGCAGUCAACAUCAUGCCGUACGCCGUGCUCCGGAAGCUUGGGAAAAGCGACGACGACUUGACCAAGACAGACAUGAUGCUCAAGGACUUCGAGGGCAACGUGUCAAACGCUCGCGGCGCUCUCUGCGUCGACCUCACCAUCGGCAGUAAGACCCUUCCUACCACCUUCUUUAUUAUUAAUGGGAAGGGAUCCUACAACAUGCUACUCGGCCGGGACUGGAUACAUGCAAACUGCUGCAUCCCGUCAACAAUGCAUCAAUGCCUCGUGCAAUGGGUCGGCGAUAACAUCGAGGUGGUCAACGCCGAUUCCGCGUACAGCAUCGCGGCAGCCGACACGCAGCAGUGGAGCUGCGAAACCGUCAGGUGCAUAUCCGGCAGAGUAUGGGAGACUGAUUUCCUGAAGGUCACCGAUUUUGGCCUACAGCCGAUCCGAGCAGUCGGCUCCGAAGACUCAGAGUAGAUGGAUCAGUUCGCCCGAGAAGAUGGGAAGCUAGGGCACGGGUUCACGUCGGCCGAUUCAUUAGAAAUGGUAGACUUAGGCGAUGGUACCAAACCAAGGCCGACUUAUAUUAGUGCAAAUUUAGACCCAGAAUACAAAUGUAAAUUGACAAAUUUGUUAAAAGAAUUUAAGGAUUGUUUUGCUUGGGAGUAUCACGAGAUGCCCGAUUUGGACCGAUCUAUUGUUGAACAUCGGCUACCCAUAAAACCAGGGUAUCGGCCGUACCAACAGCCUGCACGGCGCUGCAAUCCUAAGAUUCUACCAGAUAUUAAAGCUGAAAUAACUCGGCUAAUCGAAGCAAAAUUUAUUCGGCAAUGCCAUUAUGCCGAAUGGAUCUCCAACAUUGUACCAGUAUACAAGAAAAAUGGAAAGCUACGCGUUUGCAUUGAUUUCAGGAAUCUCAAUCAGGCCACACCGAUGGAUGGUUACCCCAUGCCAACGGCCGAUGUACUGAUCGACGCUGCCGCGGGGCACAAGAUUAUUAGCUUCAUGGACAGAAACGCUGGGUACAAUCAAAUACUUAUGGCCGAAGAGGACAUACCCAAAACGGCCUUCAGAUGCCCAGCACACCUUGGCUUGUUCGAGUGGGUGGUGAUGACUUUUGGCUUGAAGAACGCUGGUGCUACAUAUCAGAGAGCCAUGAAUUACAUAUUUCACAAACUCAUUGGCAUUCUGGUAGAGAUCUACAUCGAUGAUGUCGUAGUCAAGUCCAAAGGUCACGAAGAGCAUCUGGCCGAUUUACGAAGAGUGCUAGAGUGUACCAAAAAACACGGUCUUAAGAUGAAUCCCAAUAAAUGUGCUUUCGGCGUGUCCGCCGGACAGUUCUUAGGAUUCAUGGUACACGAACGAGGGAUAGAGAUCAAUCGGAAGACCAUAGCGGCCAUCAACAAGGUCGUGGCCCCGCAGAACAAAACCGAACUGCAGUCUUUAAUCGGCAAGGUGAAUUUCAUCAGAAGAUUCAUAUCUAAUCUAUCUGGGCGGAUUCAGGCGUUCGCACCACUGUUGAAGUUAAAGCCUGACCAGGAAUUCAUAUGGGGGGAGGAGCAGCGCAAAGCAUUGGAAGAUAUCAAGCAAUACUUGAUCUCGCCACCAGUAUUGGUUCCUCCUCAAACUGGUAAGCUGUUUAAACUAUACUUAUCAGCCGAUGAAAAAGCUAUUGGGUCGGCUCUAGUCCAGGAGUACGAAGGCAAGGAACGAGUAAUUUAUUAUGUCAGUAGAAGACUUCUGGACGCUGAAACAAGAUACCCUCCGGUGGAGCGUUUGUGCCUAUGUCUUUACUUCUCAUGCACCAAACUCAGGCACUAUCUACUGUCGGCAGAAUGCGUGGUCGUAUGCAAAGACGACGUAGUAAAAUACAUGCUAUCACUGCUGAUCUUGAAAGGCCAAAUCGGCAAAUGGAUCUUAGCUUUGUCAGAGUUUGACCUGCGGUAUGAAUCGGCAAAAGCCGUCAAGGGUCAGGUCAUGGCCGAUUUUGUCGCCCAGCACUGCGGACCGGAGAUUGCCCUCGUAGAGCUGGCACCUUGGAUAUUAUAUUUCGAUGGGUCAUCAUGUGGGGUCGGAUCAAGAAUCGGCAUCGUUCUCAUAUCGCCUCGGGGGGGCAAGCUAUGAUUUUUCUCUGCCGAUAGAAACCGCCGCUACUAACAAUCAAGCGGAGUACCGAGCUGUAUUGAAGGGCCUACAACUAUUAAGGGAAGUCAAGGCCGAUUCUGUCGAAAUCUUCGAAGACUCCAUGCUUAUUGUGGAUCAACUGACCGGAAGGUCCGAAUGCAAAGACGACGUAUUAAGAAUUUAUUACGAAGAUUGCUUACAGCUCUUAAAAGAAUUUAGAUCGGCAGUAAUCGAGCACAUCCCAAGGGACCGCAACGAAGAUGCCAACAAACUCGCCCAGCACGCAUCUGGAUAUCGGCCAAUUCUAGGCGCUAUGGCUCUAGAACUCACGGCCGAUGACUGGCGUAAAGAAAUUGCUGACUACCUGAAGGAUCCGUCUAAAAAGGUGGAACGACGAGUACGUUUUCAUGCUACUAAAUACGUACUGCUUGAAGACGACCUGUUCUACCAAACGAUCGACGAAGUUCUUCUCAAAUGCCUUGGGACAGAGGAGGCCAAGACUCUAAUGGGAGAAAUCCAUGAAGGGGUAUGUGGAGCACACCAAUCGGCCCAUAAGAUGAAAUGGAUGAUCAGGAAUAAUGGGUACUACUGGCCAAUGAUCCUCGAAGACUAUUUCAAAUAUUAUAAGGGUUGUCAGGAUUGUCAAAAGUUCGGAAAUGUCCAACGUGCAUCCGCAUCGGCCAUGAAUCCUAUCAUUAAGCCAUGGCCGUUCAGGGGAUGGGGAAUAGACCUUAUCGGCCAAAUUUACCCACCAUCAAGCAAAGGGCACAAAUUUAUUCUGGUGGCUACUGAUUACUUUACAAAAUGGGUAGAGGCAAUUCCGUUAAGAGCUGUGACAUCGGCUAUCAUGGCCGACUUCGUAAGGGAUCACAUCGUCUACCGAUUCGGCAUUCCUCAGACUAUAACGACCGAUCAAGGAACAAUGUUCACAUCGGGGGAAUUUGAGGAAUUUACGACCGAUAUGGGGAUCAAAUUGUUGAAUUCUUCUCCGUAUUACGCCCAAGCCAAUGGCCAGAACGAAUCCUCCAACAAAGGGAUAAUCAAGUUAAUCAAAAGGAAAAUCGAAGAACAGCCAAAAAAGUGGCAUCUGUGUUUGACUGAAGCCUUAUGGGCGUACAGGAUGGCUUGUCAUGGGGCUACCAAGUUAUCUCCCUAUCAGUUGGUGUACGGUCACGAUGCAGUACUACCAUGGGAAUCGAGGGCGGGGUCGAGGCGUAUUUCGCUCCAGGACCAGUUAACGGCCGAUGACUACUCGUCACUUAUGAAAAGGGAACUUGAUGAUUUGGCUGGCCAACGAUUGAGAGCUCUGAUAAGCAUUGAAGAAAAGAAAAAGAAAGUAGCCAGGUGGUACGAUAAGAAGGUCAAAGUCAAACAAUUCUCCCCUGGGACUUAGUAUGGAAGUUAGUAUUGCCGAUUGGGUCGAAAGAUCCUAAAUUCGGAAAGUGGUCCCCUACAUGGGAAGGGCCGUAUAAAAUCGGCAGAUGUGCUCCAGGGAAUGCUUACAUUUUGGAAACAAUAGAGGGAGAAGAAUUUACUAGAGCUCUAAACGGAAGGUACUUAAAAAGAUACUACCCCAGUAUAUAGGUCGGAGCAUAAGAGAUUAACCGUAAUACGAUCACACACAGCCGAUACAAAACGGUUCAAACACAUAGUCGUCCAAAUCGGCCGAUGAAUUCAUUCGGUACGGGCGAUGGGUUACACGGCCGACAGAACACAAGUCACCCUUAGAACAAAAAAUACAAAUAACUAAUUAUUUUUCUUCUUGCGCUCCCUCCCAGUCCGAUCCAACUCGUUCAUAAUACGGAGGUAUUCUUCUUCUAUUUCUUUCAUUGAAGCCUCCGCUUCAACUUGACGAGGGAGAGGAUGGCUCCAAUCCGUGGCCGGGCACGAAGUUCCCGCCGUCGCGUCUUGAAGAACGACUCGCGGAGGAUGCGGAUGGCUCCUGUCGGUUGGAGAGCGUCGGCUACCAUUGCUCUCCACAAACUCCAGGACCACACGAGCUUCCGCGGUGACGUGGUCUCGAAGUUCGUCAUGGUGAGCCCUGAUCAGCUCCAUAUCCUCUGACGACAAUGGGUCCUCAGAGUGUAUGAGCUCAAUGGCGCGUAUGAGCUCAGGGCUAAGACAUUGGGGCUGAAACAAAGAAAGAUUAAAAAAGGGCAUCCUCUUCCUAAGAUCUAAAAGGAGAAAGAGGAGUCGAGGCCAAAGUUUCACCUGGUUGACAGAGGAGGAGGAAGCCGACGAAGACAUGACAGAAAGCCGCGCCGACGAGAGGAGUAAGGAAAUAAAAACCGAAAGCCGAACUGGUACGUUCGGAAGGAAGUGCCUAGGCCGGUACUUAUAAGAAGAAGAGGCGUGGAAAUUUGGUAAGGAUACGUCCCAUCGGAAAUAAGGAAGGCAAUAAAUAGAAAGGGCGUCGCGAAGGGCGGUCAAAGCAGAUAGUAAAUGUUCGUACAAAACAGUUAGUGUUUUACAGAUUACCCAGAAGGGUAUCGAUAGCCGUGAUUGCCCGACGUCGGAUCUGAUCGGCAGAGUCCAGGACCCGUUGGUCUUCAUCCGCCGAUCUGGGGACUUCUGAAGCGCUGCGGUGGAGUUUUAGGGCCUCGUGGGCCAAGCGCUGCCUCUCCCGUGUCAAAUCGGCAAUGACAGAAGGGAGUUCUUGGAGCCUUUUCUCUUCGGCACUGAUUGCCUUGGUCACUUGCUCCAUCUCCUUAGCAAGUUCUUUGAGGCGGUCUAUCUCACCGAUGAUCCCCGGGCGGGAGUCCUCCAGAAAAUGGAUACGCGGAUGUGCCUCUUGAGCUUGACGCUUGAACGCGUCCUCCUCUUCACGAGUCUUGGCCAGCUUGGCGCGAUCGGCCAUGUGGCGAAGGGCUCUGAAGACCGGGAUCCUCAUAGACUCGAUGAAUGCCACCGACGCCAAGGCUUCCUCCGCCUCUUCUGGUACUCGUCCGCUGACGUCACCGAAGAGCUGCCGAAUCGGUGAAGCAUCUUCUACUAGUCGGCCGAUGUCCCCUUGAAGGAGGGAUCGGAUACUAGCCAGUUUGGCUCAGACGUCAUCAGGAAUGGAACUUAAGGCGACUUGGCGGGAAGCGACUUCUUCAUCGUCGGAGAGGGCAACCGCAAAAGAGAAGAGGCUGUUGUCGGGGGUGUCUUGUUCCUGGAGACAAUAAAAAGGAAAAAAAAUGAAUCGGCUGGGAGUAAAAGCAAAUCGGCUGAGUAAAGCCGGAAUAUAACUUACCACUUUGAAGCGAAUUUCUUCAUGUUGCAUUUGGGAAGCCGUCACGCCUUGCUCAGGGGCUUGCACCAUGGGUUCAUCAGAAGAGGAAGACUCCACAACGAUCGGCGCGGUGCUUGGACCAGCUCCCUGAGAAAAGACCGGUGGUUGAGGAGCGCUUGGUGUGCCGAUGACCUGUAUUAAUGAAUUGAAUAAGUAUAUUAUACAAAUAUCAGGAGAAAUUGGCGGAAUAGUGCUAUACCUCAACGGACGGGAGCGGGGGCGUGUCGAUGGCUGAUUGGGCUGCUGCCGAUUGUUGUGUAUCCAUGGGAAUGUUCUGUGCAGUCUAAGAUAAGAAGGGUUAAUAUCGGAACAACAAUCGGGAGGAAUAAAACUUAGGUCUACCUGAACGGCCUCCAAUAACAAUGACGCGGCGGCUGCCCCAGCUUGUGCGAUGACUUGGGUAUCGUCAUCUCUGGUGGCCUGAGAGGGUGGCGCGGCCGGAGUCUCUGCCGAUACAAGCAUAGGAGGAUCCGCCGAUUCUAUACAGGCUCGGACUCGGCGACUGGUCUUCUUGGUGAUCCUCUUCUGAACUUGUUUCGAUCGGCCAAUGAUCACGUCCACGGAUGGAGCAUCAUAGCCGAUGAGAGGAUAAGUGGUGUAUGGAUGAUGACUCUCUAUUAGCUGACCACUUCGGCUAUGUGUUGGAGGUGUACGGUUCUCGGCCUGAAGAAAUAACAAAACCAUUAGUAUUCAAUCACGUUAAGAGGAAUAAAAAUCGGCUAAGGAAAAUACCUCGGCGUUCGGGUCAAUGUUGGCUGGAUCCAGGAGGUUGCAGUAUGCCGAUGCCGAAUUGCAGAAGAGAAAUUGCUUCCAAUCGGCCCACCAGAGUUUGAACGGCUGGACAGCAAAGGGAGCUACUAACCAGUUGUUCAGGUCAAUGGUACUGGAGUCCGGAAUCCGGUCUCGUAACCGACUGUAAUCCAGACCGGAUGUGAGCUCAUCUCUAAACUUGAUUCGGCCAGCAAAAUACACUUGAAUCGGCAGCUGACCCAUGCCGAAUUGACGUGCUGCAACAGAAGGGUUGUAGAACUCAUACGUGGGGGCAUCUUUCCCCGAAAAGAAGUUGGCUGGCAAGAUUCCUGGCUUGAUUAACUCUUCGUUAAGCUCUUCGUCAAAAUGGCCAGUGGUCGAAUCGAAGCAGGUUGGGAGUUCAAAGACCGGGUCAUCCCGCUGAUAAGGAAACCAAAUGGUUGCAUCUUCAUUAAAGCCGUUAUAGAAGCAUCGGAAUACUCGGCUACCUUCAUGGCGGAAUAUGUGCAACCUGGAAAGGCUGAUGCCACUUCACCAAAGGACAUGCAUCGGCGACGUUUGGUAGGGUCUUCUGCCGAUUCGAUGUUGGGGAACAUCAUACGGUCCACCCUCUGCUGAGUGAUCUCGCUCAUGUAAAGGUUCAGCCACAAGUUGAUGAACCACCAGGGUCCGCCUGGAUUUCCGAUCAGCUCUCCCUUGGAUAGUCUGAUGCCGAUUUGGUGGAGCAUGUGGUACGCCGCCCCUAGUAAAUGUUUCCCAAGGGGAACAUGGUUUCCUCUGGACAGCGCUUCGGCUAAAGCCUGGGUGUUGGUUGAUGGGCCGGCGGCUCUUCCACAAAAGAAGUGUUUUUCUAGCCACAUCAUUAAGAAGGCUGUAUGCUCCCUAUUUUCAACAGACCCGGUUCUUUUAUUGCUUCUGAUGAAUCCCUUCCACCCGCCGAUUCCCCUUGUGUCCAGCCGAUGUGAUGUUGCGGCUAAAAGGUGGAAAGGUGUGUCCGGGGAAGAAAUGUCAAGGCCGGUCAACAAGACCACAUCGGCCAGUGUUGGGGUCAUAGGUCCGUGCCCAAAUAAGAAGGCAUUAAGUGCAUCAGACCAAAAAUAAGAAGCCGCUAUUACCAACGGCUCAUUUUUCUCCAUCUGAGACAAGGACAGGUUGAUGCACUGGCCGAUUUUGAGCUCCUCCCAUGAGACACUCUUCGACGCGGCUACCCGUUGGUACCAUUCCCUCCAACCUGGGGUUUCAUUCGGCCAGGACCUAAAAGUACCCAACCAUUGAUCUAAGUCCAUGUCGGACAGUUUGAAGGGUAUCCUGUGGGUUUCCAAAUUGAUAAGCUCUAUUGGAUCUGGGUUCCCCAUAGGUCCGAGACAAACAAGGCCGGGAUUUCCCGUAAGAUGGAUGGUAAUGCGAUGCCUAACUGCUUAAAAAAGGAAAGGGGGGUGUAAAAAAGUAAGAAACAGAUCUAAAGUAAAUGCAUUGCCGAUAGAAGAAGGAUUCGGUAUUAACCUCUGGGAUGAAGUUCUGAGUGGUCGGCGUGGUCGCCGGUGCAGAUGCGGACGAUGAGGCCGUGAUGGGGAUCGCCAUUGGGAUCUCCGAUGAAGCUCCUUCUUCUAUGGAUGGAGCAACGGCCGUCGCCACUACCGCCGGAGGUGCUACCUCUGGAACAUCGCACGUUGGAGAGCUGCCGGAGGGAGCCGCCAUUGGAGGAGAAGGGGAAAAGUAACAGGAGGAUGGCGCUAGAAAGCUUCGGCAGCAAGGGAAAGGUGCUCAAGAAAGAAGACGGCGCGCGCGCUGAGAAAGAGAGACGUGAGCUUGAAGAUGAAGUGCGGGGUGAGCCGCUAUUUAAAGGGUGCCUGAAGGAGGGUAAAAAUGGAAUUUUCACCGCGCCGGCGUUUCGAGUUUUUCGGGAGUAGUGGCUGUCGUGGGCGCCCGUUUCGAAAAGAUUGCAAUCAUCAGCUGGAAGACCGCGAAAUGGAAGGAUAUUUUCAUUGCGGCCGUUUCGGAGGGGAGGUUAUAAAGAAUUUCGAAGUAAAAGACUAUGUUUUACUCCGAAACUGGGGGGCAUGUGUUAACGCCAGAUUUCGUCACUAGUAAAAUCGGCGCCAAGAAGAGAGGGAAUCGGAGAAGCACAGUUGGGAAUCGGUCGAGUGGUGCUACAGUGCGAGAUUGGCCGGUGACUUCUGUCUCGCUUCGGAUCGGACGUGCCGGGGUCCCAAUCGGUUGCCUUUUGCCGAUAAGGAUUCGGCCGAUUAGGAGGUUGGUUUAAUUGGGCCUGUAUGGGCUUGGAAAGGAAUAAAAGGAUAAGGGGGAGAUCAGCCCAUGAAGCAUAGAGUAACCAACCUAGCACGAAUCGUGCUUCUAAAUAUUCGUUUUCUGUUUGAAUUAGGGAUAGAAUUCUAGUCGGUUAAGAAGUCAUCUGUACGGGGCUAUAAAUAGCUACCUUUGUAAAUCUGUAAUCAUCAACAAAUCAAUACAACAAGCUACUUUUUCCUCGUACUUACUUUCAAGCAGGCGACUUCGCCAAUACUUUUCUCUCUUUCACGAGUUCGUGCGGGUUGGCAGGGCUGCAUCAGCUUGAUCUCCGGCCGAUUCUGUAAGUUCCGCUUAUCGAGUAAUAUCUAAGCUUUAACUUCGGGCGUAUCGCUGUUGUUUCGUUUAGAUUUAUUCACUAGUUAUCGAUAUUUGCUAGAAUCAUAGGUUUUACCUGUCUUUCUAGUUUUACCACCAGUUACCCAGCUAGGAAUCGGUAGUUUCGGCUCUCUUCACAUUCUGCUAUUAGAUUCAUCUAUUGCCGAUUAGACCUAUUCCUGGUGUUGUUAUCAUAGCUUUGUAUCGAUUACUCUAGUGGUUUUCUGUCUACAAGGCUACAGUGAUCGGCUGUUUUAUAGCCGAUUCCUUUAUUACGGCAAAUCGGCCGAUUCGCUGAUAAGCUCCCUCGAGAUCGGAAACUUAGCCGAUCGUGAUUUCCGGACCUGACACGCAUUCUUCCUUGCCAAUCAAUAGGUCAGAUUGGCUGGCACGCCAUGCGAACCGCACCAGGGCAAUCACCCGAACAGGAGUUAAGCAGAUUCUCUCGGGUCGUGUGUCGGACGCUGGGAUUCGGUUGACCGAUUUCUAGCGCCAACAAGAAGAUAAGGUGCUGUUUUGUAGUGAAGUCACUGAAAAACUUGUAAAUUGUUAUCUCUUUUCUUAUGUCUUGUACCUUUCACAUAAAACCCCCUAGAUCUUUUAGUAUCUCUCAAUCUUAUCCUUGUCAUGUUUUUUUGCAGAUCUAACCUCGAUCUUUCAGCUUUUCAAGUGUCCUGUUCUAUGAGUCUAGGUAAACUUCUCUACUAACCAUUGUAGUUUACGGUUAAUCGUGUUUAGGUCCCUAGAUCUUGUUUAGCUCGUAGAUUUCACGUUUUAGCUCUGUUUUAAUGCGUUCAAGUUGCAUUCGGUUCAUCACAGCAUAAAGUACACGUUAGUGUUGUUGGCAUCCUAUAUUUCGUGUAUUUAAAAAAUAAAUUUAAUAUCAAUUUGAAUAAUGCCUAAUGAACAUGUGUUUCUCUAGAUAAAAGUUACCAAGAGUUAUCCAUCACUUUUCAUAAUAAAUAUCAAUAUGAUUAAUGACUACUUCAUAAUCUUUCUAAAUAAAAGCCAAUUAGGAUAUACACCGAUUUUUCAUAAACCAAAGAUAAUUUGAUUAACACUUAUUUGAGUAGGUUUCUACCUCGGUCUUUGCAAAUAAAGUAUAAUCUGUCUUAAUUCUAACUUAGGGUAUUUUCUUUCUGAAAUAUCCUUUACAUAUGUUUUGCUAAAUAAAAUAAACCUAGCUUAUAGUUUUUUUAUUUCUUUCAUGAAUCAAAUCUCUCGAUAGUUCCAUUCUCAACGUUUCCCUAAAUCGAACCCUCAUCCUUUAGUACACUCUUUUAAGCCUUUCUUUUGUUUUGGUGUUUUGUUCUUAGUUGCUGUUGUUGUUUGUUUGUUGCUGAUGUUUGUUUCAAUUAGAAGGAUCGCCAUCCGAAGCUUUGAAGGUUAAGAGUUUCAAGAAAGCAAGGACUGAUGAGCAAUAAGAGUAACUUGUCGUUGGAGAAAGGCAAGUGUCCCUAACCAUCCUUCUACCUAUGCUUUAUUCACAAUACCAUGAGAAUGUUAAUUAGAACAUGGAGAACCACCCAAGAAAACAGUACAACCACAACAUCACAUGGCUCUAAUCUUAGCUGACUAAUUAGGCAUGUGGUUGACUAGUGGCCUUACCGAAAGGGCAAAGAGGGGGAAGGUGUCAGGGGUAUGACCCGGAGCGGUAGCCUUCUAAGGUGUUGAAUCAUUACAACAGGUUGUGACCUACACCGCUACUAAAACUCUAGCGGGCUACUAGUUGUCUAUAUGUCUUUGUAAAGGCUUUGUAGUGGACCCCCUAGCCACUCACUGAAGGAAGUGUUGAAGGGCUUUGCAAACCCGGGUGACACGGGAAACCACGAGUUGUGGGUAAAGUGUACAACCUCUGUAGAGUGUAAACUGAUAUAUCAGCCGUGCUCACGGUUAUGAGCGGCUUGGACCCUCACAUGAUUAAUUAAACUUGAAGUUGGACUUAAAUCGUUAAUUAUGGUUAGCUCCUGUGGUCUUGCUAAGUACCAACCAUAAGUGUACUCACCCUUGCUUACCGCUUUUCAGAAGAAGAAGCUGCUAUGAAGAUGAUGCUGAGUUCUAGGCAUACGCAACCCCCAGUCGAGUGCCUGUGAUGUUUCAAGCCUUCGUUUCCGGAGUUUAAGUUGUGUUUCUCUGAUAGUCUUGUAAGUCUUUUUUGUAUCUUGUCGCGUGAUACUGUUGCUAUUAUUCACUAAUGAUGUCACUAUAUGUAUGUAAUUAGAUCCUGGCAUACAUAUAGAUAGUACUUGGUUUUGUUUUAAAAACUGGGUGUGACAGAUUUAAACCAUCAGGCAAAUUCUUUCUGAAUUCUACGAUUAAUAACCUGGUCUGACACACCUUCCAGUUUUAACUGAUCCUUGUAUAUCCUGCAAAAACACAUCCAUCUGAAAAUUAGACCGAAAUAAUUACAGUAGAAUCAACUCAUGAAGGAUCACGUACCUAAUAUAUGGCUCAACAUCUUUGCAAUCAUUUAGCACAUACCAAACCAACUUGUCGUAAUCCAAAUCAAGGAAUGAAGUCUUCACUGCUCCAAGUACAUCAACAUUGUGCUGGAAAUAAGAUAAAUCAGCAUUCUCUCUGUUCCUGCCCUCCUAAUUGAAUCAUGUGCCAAUAUCAUCAUCCGCAAAGUACCUUGAGCAAAAUGUCAAGGCCUCAUUAGCAAUAUAUGCUUCUACAAUGGAUCCUUCAAGCCUAGCCAUGUUUCUCACCGAACGCUUCAAUAUGCAUAGCCUUCUUUCGACGGGAUACAUCCAUCCAUAUUGUAUUAGGCCUCUUCGGAUUGCUUCCUCAAGCAAAUGGAUAGCCAGCACCAUAACAUAAAAAAAAGCAGGUGGGAAAAUUUUCUCAAGCUUGCACAAAACUAUUGGGAUAUUUGUUUUCAGUUUCUUCAAAACAUCCAACUUCAAAGUUUUGCAACAUAGUUGCUGAAAGAAGUUUCCUAAUUUUGAAAUAGUUGAUAAUGUCUGUUUAUCCAUUGAACCUCGAAGGGAAGCAGGCAAUAUCCUUUGAAGUAGGAUAUGACAAUCAUGAGUUUUCAGUCUUUGGAGUUUGCAUCCAUCAGCGGCAAUACAUCUUGAUAAGUUAGAAGCACUAGUCGAGAUUCCAUGCAUUUGCACGGUCUAGUUUAUAGAAUUUUAAUUUAGCUGCUAUAUUAACUCAAAUAACAUUUCCGGUAAACUCGCUAAACAAAUGAGGAUGUUCCAAAUUUAAAUUUAUUUUACAGGAAUUUUGUACAAUAUAUGUAUGUUCUCUACAUUGUCCGUGACCUAUUUUAUGCUAGAACUUUUGCCAUGAGUGUGGUAUAUGUCCAAAUAUAGCCUCUUUGGUAUCAGCUGUAUAUUUUUUAUGAAACAUAAACAUGUGCAUAUUCUCACUCAUGCACACACGUGUGCUAUCCCUAUGAUCAGCCUGGAGAGAUUGAGCCGGCAGUUGUUGAGAUUGAUAUAGCCGUCUUCGUUAUCUAUGGAUCCAUCACGUACCAUUGAAUGGAUAGUUAGCUGCAAAUGUGAGCAACUGUAUUGCAUCAGAGGCUCAAAUAACACUAUAAGAAAUAUGACCUCUCAUCCCGAGGCUUUGUGCCGGUUAGGUUUGGACCCGGUACUAAUGUUAGCAUUAGCGGCUUUGUACAACGUGUUUCGAUAAUGUUAUCGCAUUAAUAACUCUGAUUUUCCUGUGCAGCUAGUAUUUUCUAGCUAGAUAUGAUUGCCCUUUUGCAUAGAAAUAAGUUGUAUCCAUCUGAGUUCAUAUAAAAAACUAUAAAUCUCCAAACACUUAGAUUUUAUUCCUAGUACUCCUAAAUCUCGUCUAGCAAAUAAAUUAGAAUUGAUUUCUCCCAUGAAUUGAAAUACUUAGAAAUUACCGAGAACUUUUAUGAUGUUGUCAUUUAUUGUAACAAAAUUCAUCAAAUAGUUCAAUCAAUUAUAGAAAUGUGCAAAUCACUAUAAAUAUUUUUGUUCUCAAUUAUUGUGUAAGUGUUUCAUUCUAUUUUUGUUGUCAUUUUCUAUUUUUUAUUUCUGCAGUAUAUGAAUUACCUAGAAAUAUUUGGAAAAGCUUAUUAAUUGUAAAUUGUAUGCCAUACCAUGUUACAUAUAUGUCAUUCUUAUCAUAAGUUUAAUUCCUUUAAUUUAUUGUUACAAAUUGUUAUUUAUUUAGUCAUUUAUUUAUUGUUAGAAAUUGUCAUUUAUUUAGCCAUGUUACAUACUAGAAAAGCAUUUUUAGUCAAUUAUUUAUUGUUACAAAUUGUAUAAGUGUUAUAUUCUUUUUGUAGUCACCCUUUUAUUUUAUACUAGUUACAAUGGCACAAUCGGAGGACGAGCAUGACGUACAAAUGGCAGAGGAGCUCAUCUUUCUGAUGAUUGCUGAAGGCGGCAAUCAACCAAAUGAAGAGAUCGAUCACAGCCAGGCUGACAUCUACCUCAACAUGGCUGGUGAUAGCAACGAGGAGCGACCAAUUGUCGAGGGAGGCAAUGAGGAGCAACCAGUUGUCGAGGGAGGCAAUGAUGGGCAACAAGGCAAGGUAUAGCAAGUAUUAUACAUAUACAUUAUUUGAAUUCUCUUCUUAUCAAAAGAAACAUCAUCACGCAACAUUCCAAUCACGCAACAUUUCAAUUGUCAUUUUUCAGCCAUCUGGAUCGAGCAGGAGGCAUCAAAAGAAAUGAGACAAGAACAAGAACUUAGAUGGUUGUAUCAUCGUCACAGAAAUUGCUGAAGAUGGUGAACUGAUUGCUCCUGCCAAUGCUAAGACAAUGUUGGUGAAUUAGAUUGGAUUUCUUGUCAAAGAUAACAUCACAAUCAGCUUUCAGAAUUGGAAAAAACCUAACAAUUGUUGGAGGUAUGCCCUAGAGGUAAUCAUAGAGAUGAUGAUAUUAUAUUUGUAUCCAUGAUUUAUAUAUUGUGUUCAUUGAAUAUCCAUUAAAGGCUACUUGAAUUGAUUUGCAAUUAUGUGAAUUGUAUGUGAAAAUCUUUACUUGUAUGGUUAUUCUAAAGUUGUCCCUAGUCGGAGUUCAUGUGAGGACACACAUGAAUAUUAGACUAGCACAUGUAUUAGUUGAUGACUAUGUUUCACAAGUCAUAGACAUGGAGAUGUUAAACUAAUAAUGUGGGCACAUGUGAAGACAUGUGCUAGGACUGACCCAACACGAGAAGUAGUUCUCGCUUUACACAACAAGUAUGCUGUAUCCUUAGACCUGAGAUUGUCGCAUGUACUCGAGAUGUGAAUCAACUUACUUAGGGGCUAUCAAACGCUACACCGUGAUAGGGUAGUUAAAAAGGUAGCUUUCGGGUUUGUCAGGAAGCAUCAUGUGAGACAUGGUUAAUCAAGAUGGGAUUUGCCCCUCUCUGAUAGAGAGUAAUAUCUCUGGGCCCCUCGAGUGAUCAGAUCCGAAAAUUCAUGGCCAUGCUACGUACAGUUAAGAGUUAACCUACAAAGGGAUUCCGAAUCACAGGAUCGAGAAAGAGCGGUCGGCUUGGAGCUAGACCAAAUAUCUUGAGGCAAAAGGAAUAGCAUGUACAUAAUGUUUUGACGGUUCGUCUAAUAUGAUCUUCGUGUGUGUAUACGAGUUGGCACGUCUUGCUAGAGGCCGCUACCGACUAUUGGGCUGAGUAGGAGUACUCGGACCAUGUCUAUACGUAUCCGAACCCAUAGGGUCACACACUUAAGGGGCUGGAAGCCCAAUUCGGAUGUGAUCCGAGUUGGAUUAGGUUUCGAAUUACUAAUGGGCCUCAGACCCAGAGGCCCAUCAAGAACGUUUAUAAAUAGAGGGGUGGGGGCGCCCUAGGGUUUACACCUUUUUGGCGAAACACAUCUACCGCGCCUGCCAUGCUCUCGCCUAUUGCAACUUGUGGAUCUAGCAGUCCGGCUUGCGACGCUUCCUCCCUGCACGUGUGGAUACCUUGGAGGUGUUGCGACUGUAGCACUUGGACGAGCCACCGACGAGCUAUGACGAGCCACCGACGAGCCACGACGAGCCGACAACGAGCCGCAACACGAAGACGAUCUUGCUGCACGUGGACGAGCUGCUGAGGAGCUGCUAGACGUCGACGUGAUCGACUAUGUUCGACUACGCUGAUCGACUUCGCUGCAUCGACGCGGAUCUACAUCUUCCGCAUUAGUGCGUCGAGUGGUAAUCCUGUGAUCCUUAUAUGGCAGUUUUCCAGGUUUACGCGGUAGAAAAUUUUUGAUUUGCGCUAGUGUAGCCUACCUCGUAUCCCAACAACAAUGUCCUGGUCGCCACAAACCCGGUCCUUUACGUACUUGACCUGGAAAAGGCUAUGUUAUGGCAACAAGUAAAAGAAAACUUCACGUUCGAAGAUGUAGAUGAAAACAAAUUGAAAGAAUGGGGCUUAAAGAAGGCUGCAAUUGUGUUUCAGACAUACAAGAAAAACUUGAACAAAGAGUACAUAAAGAAGGGCUUACACCUGAUUUCAAUAAGCACCCAAAGUUAAGGGAUCAUUGGGAUUCCUUUGUAUAGUUCAAGGAGUCGGACAAGAGCCAGUCAUCAACUCAAACCAACAUCAACAAUACCUAGAAGAAGUCGGGGGUCAUGAAAUGACAAAGGAUGGACGAUGACCUAAUUGCCAGGGGAAUAGUACCAUAUAAUAUCGAAUGGCCUAAGCGAGGAAAGAAUUGGUUUUAAGAAUUGGUUUUAUGCUCAUGGCAGCGAGCUCAAUCCCGAAGAUGGAUCAAUUGUGUUCAGCAAUGAAAUAAGAGAAGUGGCUAUGAGACUUGAUGACUUAGUAAAGAAAAUGGCUGAUGGAUCCUUCGUGAAUGAUCAAGAGAGGGACGAGCUGACAAUGUCACUUGGAAAUCCCGAACACCCUGAAUGAUGUGGAGGCAAAGGAGUCAUUCUGUGGAAGUUUUCCUUUUGUGAGCACACUGAAUUAUAUAGAAGUCGCCAAAGAAGUGUUGACGCUAAAAAUCGGACAAAGACUCCGGCCUCUGCGUCGGACACACGACCCGGGAGAAUCUGCUUAACUCCUGUUCGAGAUGUCGCCCUGGUAUGGUUCGUGUGGCGUGCUAGUCAAUCUGACAUGUUGAUUGACAAGGAAAGCGUUAAAUUCCAAGGUUUUGAUCGGCUAAAGUUCCAAUAAGUUCAGAGGAUGUAUUAGCGAAUCGGCCGAAUUACUGUAGAGACGACCGGCUAUAGCACAACUGAUGAUCACGUGGCAAUUGCAAAAGAAACUGCUAGAGUAACCUAAACAAUGCUACAAAGGCAACACUUGAAACAGAUCUAAUCGGCUAUAUAAUAAUAAACAAAGAAUAUUGAUAAAAAACCGACAAUUCGUGUCUCAAGCUAGAUAACUGGUGAUAAAAACUAAAAUAAUAGGUAAAACCUAUAAUUCUAGUAAUAUCAAUAACUGGUGAAUAAAUCUAAACAAAACAACAGCGAUGUGCCCAAAGUUAAAGCUUAGAUACUACUCGAUACGUGGAACUUACAAGUUGAUGCAGCCUUGCCAACUCACACGAACUCGUGAAAGAGAAAAGUAUUUGGCGAAGUCGCCGACUUGGAAGUAAAGUAUGUGGAAAAGUAGAUCUGUAUUGAUUGAUUGUUGUGUUGUUUACAAGCCUUACGAGACACCUAUUUAUACCAUGUUACAACUAAUUUCCUAACCGACUAGGAUUUAUCUCUAAUUUAAAGAUAACAAAUAUUUACAUAUGAACACAACCCGCAUCGGAGUCAGUAACUAUUUUCUUACAGGCCAAUCUUCAUCUUCGGCUAAUCACCAUCCUGGCCCACUUUAGGCCCACAUCGGCCAAGCCAUUCUGCUCCCAAUCGGCUAGUCUUCAUUGAUUCCCUCAGCCAAUCGACCGAAACACUGUAGCUCUAUCGACCGAUUCCUCAUCUGUAGCUUCUUGCUUACCGCAUCAGCCACUGUUUCCUCUUUGACACCAACCUUAACACAUGUCAAAAUCCAGCGUCAACACAUGCCCCCCAGUUUCGAAGUGAAACAUAUCUUUUGCUCCGAAAUUUUCUCAACUCUGACUCCUUCCUCCAGAGAAAGUGCAACAGUAAACGCAGCAAAACUCCUUUUUGCUCUGGAGUCUUUUCUUUGGUGAUUGCAAUUUUUUUGAACAGAGCGCCCGCGGGCAACCGCUCCUUUCAAAAUUUGCACGGACGGCACAGUAAAAAUUCCACAUUUACCCUUCUCUUCAACCGUCCUUUAAAUGCCCAUUUCCUCUGCCGGUUCUUCUUCUCUGAGCAAAACAGCUUCCUUCCCGGCGAAUCAUCUUCCGACGCACUCCGGCGCCCCUGCUUUCUCUGUUUCCAGGUGCACUCCGGCGACCUCCUCCCAUUCUUUGAUUAAUCGCUCCAAUCUUUCAAAUCCCAAUGGCGGUCCCCUCGGCCACCAUGGCUUCCGUCCCGGAGGUAAAUCCCCUGAAAUUCUCCCCUUUUUACUUUUCACUGUUUCACGAUUCUAAGAUCUACUCUUCUUCCUCAUAUCUUCUUAGGAACUCAGACAAAGAAUCACCGUCCCCAUAGCUGACACACCCGGCCUCAUCGGACUUGGCCCUAUGGGGAAUCCUGAUCCAACCCAACUGAUUAAUCUGAAAACUCAUAGAAUCUCGUUCAAGAAAUCAACUAUGGAUCUGGAUAACUAAACAGGUACAUUCAGGUCUUGGCCGAACGAAACCCCUGGCUGGAGAGAAUGGUUCUUGAGAAUGUCAAACUCCAAGAGAGUUUUUUGGGACGAGGGAAAAAUCGGCCACUAUAUAAAUUUGUCUUAUUUCUGGUCUGACGCCCUCAACGCGUUCCUUUUCGGCCAUGGACUGAUGACUCCCACUCUGGCCAAUGUUUUGAUGUGACCGGCCUUGACAUCUCCUCCGCUGUUACGCCCUUUGAUCUUCUAAUCAAGCCCACUCACCGGCUGGAAACAAAAGGCAUGGGCGGGUGGAAAGGUUUCAUCGAGAAGACCAUGAAGACCGGACCCAUCACUAACAGAGAGUAUAUGGCCUUCUUGAUGAUGUGGUUGGAGAAACAUCUAUUCUGUGGCAAAUCAGUUGGUCCCACAUCCAACACGCAAGCCCUGGCCGAAGCGCUAGCAAGAUGUGCCACCUAUCCCUUUGGGAAAACAUUUGUUGGGGUCGGUUUAUUAUACGACGCAUCAGAUCGCCAUGAAGCUAUCAUCUGGAUAGCCUAUCGGGAACCCUGGUGGUCCCUGAUGGUUUAUCACCCUUUGGCUUAACUUAUACAUGAGCAAAAUCUUUAGAGAACGGGUUGAAGCCAAGACCUUCCCCAAUAUUGAGUCAGAGAUCGAUCCAACAUCACGGCGCCGCUGCACCUCUUUCAGCGAAGUUGUAUCGUCCUUCCAAAGCAGUAAACUCACUCCCUCAAGAAUAGCCGAAUAUUUCCGAUGUUUUUAUAUCAGCUUCAGUGAAGAAACCACGAGUUCGUACCCGUACCAGAGAGAAGACCCACUUUUUGAGAAUCCUGAUUGCUUUGACUCAGACACUAAUUCUUUUGAAAAUAGGGUUAUGGACAUCUUGAUCAAGCUUGGGAUCUUGCCAACAAACUUCUUCUCUGGAAAGGACUCUCCGACAUAUGAAUUCUACAACCCAUCGGUGGCAGCCCGGUAAUUUGGCCUAGGACAGGUGCCUAUUGGAAUUUACUUCGUCGGCCGGGUGAAGUUCCGAGAGUCGCUUUCAAGAGGGUUUGAAUAUAAUCGGCUAUGCCGCUUGAUACAAGACUCUAGCACUAUUGACUUGAGCAAUUGGCUGGUAGCACCCUUCUCCACUCAACAAUUCAAAUUAUGGUGGGCCGAGUGGAAACAACACCUUUUUUGCGCAGCCCCUGCGGUAUAUUGCAACCAGUUGGACCUUGCUCACAUCGACCCAAACGCAGAGGUAACAAAACCUUCUCGGCCGAUUUCUCAUUUUCAUCUCCUUAUACCACAAAGUUCUCACUAUUGACUCUCCCUCUUUGCACAGUCCGAUAUCCAGGCACCUCCAACACGCAGCCGAAGUGGUAGGCCGAUAGAGAACUGUCAUCCGUACACACCAUACCCUCUCAUCGGCUAUCACACCCCAUCGAUGGAGGACAUAGCUACCGGCCGAUUGAAGCACAAGUUGAAGAUGUCCAUUUCAAAGAAAACGAGCCGCCGAGUACGAGCCCGUACUAAAUCAGCGGCAACUCUUACGGCCAAUCAAUCGGCCAUGACACCGGCCGAGCCUUCAGCUGCGCCGAUCCCAACAGAUGUUCUGCCACCGAUCCAAAAUAUUGAUCCCCAAACGGCCUUAGAAGUUGGAUUAGCGGCUGCAUCUCUUCUAGUGGAAGCAGUACAGGUAAUCUUAUAAGCUUUUUAGCUCCUUUGAGUAUAUUGCAAAUAUUAAAUCCACCCCUUCUUAUGAAGCUGCACAACUAACUUCGGAGCCUCCUCAAUCGGCCGAUCCUUGAGCAGAAACUGUACUACCAGCAAGCCUCCCAAUUGAGGUAAAGAAUGUGCUUUUCACUUAAUCUCCCCAAUUUCCAACUAAAACUAGCUGAUUCUUGGCACAGGACGCUCCAGGCACAUCGGUCAUCCCUUUUGAGCAACCAUUAGUUGCGCGGUUUUCCGAGGUAAAAUAACUAAGACCUAUACCCAGAUCCAAUAGCCUUUCAUACUCAUAAACAUUUCUCCUCCCAUUCGCCAGGAGGCUGGCCUAAGUACUGCACUGAUCGUUGUUGAAUCCUCCUCUUCUGAUGAGUUGCCGCCACCAAUUCUUGAAACGGGAGCAGCAAUCCUGCCAACCUAGGCAGAGGAAAUCCGUUUCAAAGAAGUAAGGACCCUCUACGUCCACCAGCCGAUUUCUUACUACUGACGGCUAAAGCAUUUCUUACCUUUUUUUAUAUUUCUUACAGGAACAAGACACGCCCAACAAUAGCCUUUUCUCCUUCGCGGUUGCAGUCUCUGAUGAUGAGGAAGUUGCUUCACGCCAGAUAGCUUUGGGCUCAAUACCAAAAGAGGUCUACGCCAAGCUCCAGAACAUAUGAGCCCUUCUCUAGGACGACAUCAGCUGAUUGGUGGAAGACGCUUCUCCGAUUCUAUAACACAUGGUGUUUUAAGUCAUCAAAGGUGAUUAAGAAAAGCUAAAGGUGAAUUAUGGAGAAAAAGAGAAGAAAUUGACUAAAAGUCAAAUUUGAGUCAAAUUUGACCGGAAUUUGAAUUUUGAAUUUUGAAUUCGAAAUUCAGAAAAAUUGGGCAAAAAUAUGGAAUGGAAGGAUAAGAGUGUUUAGAACUUGGAGAUCAAGAUUGGGGACAAAAAUCUGGUCCUAAAUAUCUCAAGAAAACCAAAGGAAGAAAUCAAAAUAGAAGUGUACUAUUCACCGUCCGAUAAUAGGAUUUCAGAAAAACAGCAUAAGUGUCCAUUUUGGAAUUUGAUUUCUGCCAAAUUUUUCAAAUAAAUGGAUCAAGACAACUAUACAAUAUUGAAGUAUAGACUUUGGACAAGAAUACCAGGAUGUUGUUGAUCAAGAACCACAAAGGGAACCAAUUUAAUUUGAGGCCUAAAGUUGGCACUCUGCCAUUUUCGGUUAAGACACUGAACCAGCAAUUUCUCUAAGUAUGAAAACCGUGACAAAUAGCCAUCUUUGGAUCUGAAUUCAGAAAAAUGGAGUGCAAAAGGCAUGGGUGUUCAUGUGCAAAAUGGAAUCCCUGAUGAUUAUAGAGCAUAAAUGAUUAGUCGUUGGACUGAGAAGUAUAAGUUUGGGCCACUGAAAAUAAUCCCAAAGAUAGGCAAAUAACCAUGAUAAGAUAACUGACGAACUGAAUUGGAAGUUCAUAAGGAUUCAGUUACCCAAGAGAGAAAAACUUAAAUUUGAUAACCUUUGGAUGUUUAUCUCGGGUAGAAGCUUAAAUAAAAGUUGAAGGAUUCGAGUUUAUCUACAACUUUGCUUAAGUGACAUGUGGACCGUCGGAUUCAAAACCGGCCGUGGAGAAGCUCUGAAUUUUUUGGGUGAUAGAGAAGCUAAUGGAAGGGGAGGGGGGUGACAGAGCAAGCACGACGUGUCGUCGCCGGCGUCUUCGGUCGCCCGCCAGUGCAGCAGCUAAGCCACCUCCUCACCACACAAGCCUAGCACUAGGCCACGGUGUCGCCCAUGCGCGCGGUAAGUCCCUUGAAUAUCUACCGCUCCCACCGCCGUUUCUACCGUGCCGCCUUUUUACCGCCGCCGCCCUCUCUGUCAAGCCAUCACCAACGACCCAAAAUUCCACUGCCACAACUCAUCUCCCGUCGAUUCCUCUCGCCCACUCCUCCACGGAUACCCCAACUACAUCCCAGUUAACUUGUUGUCUAGCCUUUCCGCCGGAGUACCCGUAACCAUCGUCGCUCUCGUCCGCCACCGCCGCACCUCCUGCUCACGGUGAGCACCUCCUUGCCCUCGUUCUCUUUCCUUAUGGGUAGCCGUAGGUCAGUCCUUGGGGUACUAGGAAGCCAUAGGGGUAGUCGUCGAGGUAGGCCGAGCCGUCGUCGUGCGUAGUCACGGCUGGCCGUAAGCGCCGCCACCCGCCGCCGUGGAGGGUAUGGCUCCGGCCACCUCCCGGGGAGCUACCGCUGCGCACAGGUGCGCUAGGGCAUGGGGAUGCUUCCCCAGCCUAGCCCCGUCGCCGGUAGGGUGCCGGCCGGCGAGCUGCACCGCCCCCUGCCGCGCUCGAGUUUUGGCGCGAGAAGGAAGAAGGGUCUGGCAUCGGUGGGCCCGCGCGUCAGAGGGAAAAGGGGAGAAGGGAGGCUGGCCAGGCAAGGGCGCCGGAUGGGCCGCAGUCUCGGAGGCCCAGGUGCCGGUAUGGGCGGCCGUUGGAGAAAAGAGACCGGGGGCCCGGGUGGUCUAGCAGGCCGGUUUCGCGAAAAGAAAAGGAGGAGGAAUAACGGGCCGUUGGGCCGGUGCCGUGUGAAGAAAGGAAAAAGAAAAAGGAAAUCGGCCCAAUGAGCCCAGCAGAGGAGGAAGUACGCCUGCGGGUAGAGUGAAUAGGAGAAGGGUGGGCUCGAGCCGGGGGGGCCCAGCACGCAAGAGAGGGGGUAGAAAGGGGGUGCGUGAGAAAAGUGGCCAGGGGUUGUUCGGGAGAAAUUUAGAUUUCCUUUUGUAGAAUAAUAGAUUAAAUCCGAAUCUCACCAUUUAAAUCAUAGAAAUUUUUAGGGGUGUCCAAAAUUACUGAAACCAAUUUUGUUAGGAUUGUUUUAUUUUCCUUUAUGCAUUAAAAUUUAUACACCCUAGGAAAAAUAAUAAAAAUUUAGGUAUUUUCUUAAUGCCUUUUCUUUAAGGUAUUUAAAUAAAUACUUAAUCUUAAUUAUAUGCAUAAAAUAUCGAAUAUCAUUUCAUAAUCACAAAUUAUUGUUAACUCAUAGGAAAUUAGGUUUUAAGGCUAGAAAAUAAUUAUAACGUUUUCUAAAAAUAAAAGAAAGAGCCUUAGGUAAGGUUAAUAAAGGAAAUAAAAAUGGGGGGUUAAUCUUUUCGGGUUUUUGUGUGUUGGGUUGCAACUUUAUCAUGAUAAAUUGUAUAGUCCCUUGUUGGCUUGCAACUUUUGUUGGGAUACGAGGUAGGCUACACUAGCGCAAAUUAAAAUUUUCUACCGCGUAAACCAAGAAAACUGCCGUAUAAGGAUGACGGGAUUACCACUCGACGCACUCCUGGUGCGGAAGAUGUAGAUUCACAUCGAUGCAGCGAAGUCGAUCAGCGUAGUCGUACGUAGUCGAUCACGUCGACGUCCAGCAGCUCCUCAGCAGCUCAUCCACGUGUAGCAAGAUCGCCCUCGAGCCGCGGCUCGUCGUCGGCUCGUCGUGGCUUGUCGGCGGCUCGUCCAAGUGCUGCAGGCGCAACACCUCCAAGGUAUCCACCCGUGCAGGGAGGAAGCGUCGCAAGCCGGACUGCUAGAUCCGUGAGUUGCAACAGGCGAGGGCGUGGGAAGCGUGGUAGAUGUGUUUCGCCAAAAGGUGUAAACCCUAGGGCGCCCCCACCCCUCUAUUUAUAGAGGUUCCUAAUGGGCCUCUGGGUCCGAGGCCCAUUAGUACUUCUAAACCUAAUCCGACUCGGAUCACAUCCGAAUUGGGCUUCCAGCCCCUUAAGUGUGUGACCCUGUGGGUUCGGAUACAUAUAGACAUGGCCCGAGUACUCCUACUUGGCCUAAUAGUCGGUAGCAGCCUCUAGCAAGACGUGCCAACUCCUAUAUGCACACGAAGAUCAUAUCAGACGAACCAUCACAACAUUAUAUACAUGCUAUUCCCUUUGCCUCACGAUAUUUGGUCUAGCUUCAAGCCGACCGCUCUUUCUCGAUCCUGUGAUUCGGAAUCCCUUUGUAGGUUAACUCUUAACCGUACGUAGCAUGGCCAUGCAUUUUCGGAUCCGAUCACUCGAGGGGCCUAGAGAUAUCACUCUCAAUCAGAGAGGGGAAAAUCCCAUCUUGAUUGACCAUGUCUCACAGCAUGCUUCUUGACAAACCCGAAAGCUACCUUUAUAACUACCCUGUUAUGGCGUAGCGUUUGAUAGCCCCUAAGUAAGUCGAUCCACAUCUUGAAUACAUGCGACAAUCUCAGGUCUAAGGACAAAGCGUAUAUGUUGUUUAAAAAAGAGAACUACUUCUCGUGUUGGGUCAGUCCUAGCACAUGUCUCCACAUGUGCCCACAUUAUUAGUUCAACAUCUCCAUGUCCAUGACUUGGAAAACAUAGUCAUCAACUAAUACAUGUGCUAGUCUAAUAUUCAUGUGUGUCCUCACAUGAACUCUGACUAGGGACAACUUUAGAAUAACCAUACAAGUAAAGAGUUUCACACACAAUUCACAUAAUUGCAAAUCAAUUCAAGUAGCCUUUAAUGGAUAUUCAAGGAACACAACAUAAAUCAUGGAUACAAAUGGAAUAUCAUCAUCUCUAUGAUUGCCUCUAGGGCAUACCUCCAACAACUUUAUCAUGAAGGAAAGUUGUAUAGUCUUGUAUUCAAAAAGUUGCAUCACUAACCCCUGCAUAUGCUUUAUCAUAGACACCGAAGCACCGGAAGGGGAUUUCUCGGAAUUUUCAGAAGGAUCUCCAGAGUUCGAAGAGAUCAUUGAGUUGGUCCCCUGCGAAGCCGAUCGUUCAGACCGUGCUAACUUUUUUAUAGAACAAGGCAAGCCCUGGGGCAUUUACCUAUUUAUUUUAGUAGUAUUAUUUCAUAUGUCCAAUUAUUGGUUAUUUGCUAUGUGAAUGCACUAAGUCUAGGAAUUGAUUGAAACCCAUUCUUGUGCAUGAUCCUACCUUGUUAUAAGGACAUCUUUGCCACUUGUUCAAUGAUUAGUAAUUAACCCAUGCUUAGCAAUGCUUAAGUGCUUAAAGUAAUUGGUUUACCAAACCUUAAGGUAAAUGUUGGGUCAUACAUGCUAAAUAUGGAAAGGUAGCUUAAAGGUUAAAAGGCGGACAGAAGCUAGGAGUGUAGUUCUGUCUGCUAGAUUAAAUUGGUUAUGGUCCGAUCGUUGUCUUAACCUUUGAUCAAGUGAAUGACAUCUGAUCACUUACUGGGUAUGGGACCAGUAAAGCCCGGUAGAUUAGUAAACCCUCUGAUCGGGAAUACUUCGUACCCGUGCUUGACGUGCUGGAGAUUGGCAGGGGCGUAGCUUGAAACUCAAAUGGUGAUCAGGCCAGACGUGGGGUCCCAUGUGGGUGUGCGUCCCUUGGUCCGGGUAGUCUUAUUCCCAAUCAUUGGAUUUGCUAAUCGAAAGGUCGUUACGUACGAGCUGGACAGUCGUAUAUAACUGGUGAUCAGGGUACUCUCCUGCAGGAUGUAUUUUGAUCCGGAUCGCCGCAAUUCUCGGUUAUGAAUGCACUUGAUCACUGUUGAGCAUCGUAGUAUAAAUUCAUGAAUGCUAUAUCUUUCCACUAAUGUUUUGGUGUAUGGAAACUAGCAUCGGUGUAACCUGUUACAACGAGCUCCUCCUCACCUCCAUAGACGAGGAACAUAUCUUUAGUCCUUCUCAUGUACUUAAGAAUGUUUUUCACCGCUGUCCAGUGACUCUCACCUGGAUCAGAUUGGUGUCUGCUUGUCAUACUUAGUGCAUAUGAAACAUCUGGGCGAGUACUUAUCAUUGCAUACAUGAUAGAUCCAAUAGCCGAGGCAUAUGGCACUCUACUCAUGCGAUCCCGCUCAUCAGCAGUCGAAGGACAUUGAGUCUUGCUGAGAUGUAUGCCAUGUGACAUAGGCAAGAACCCUUUCUUUGCCUCUUCCAUGCUGAACCGCUUCAACACUUUGUCAAUGUAAGUAUCUUGGCUUAAACCUAUAAGCCUUCUCGAUCUAUCUCUAUAGAUCUUAAUGCCCAGAAUAUAUGCCGCUUCCCCUAAGUCCUUCAUCGAAAAACUAUUUUUCAGUGAAGUCUUUACAGACUCAAGCAUAGGAAUGUUAUUUCCAAUCAGCAAUAUGUCAUCUACAUAUAAGAUUAGAAAUACUACAGAGCUCCCACUAACCUUCUUGUAAACACAAGACUCUUCCUCGUUCUUGGUGAAGUCAAACCCUUUGACCACUUCAUCAAAACGAAUGUUCAAACUCCUAGAUGCUUGCUUCAAUCCAUACAUGGAUCUUUGAAGCUUGCAUACCUUUCUAGCAUUUUUCGGAUCGACAAAACCCUCAGGCUGUAUCAUAUACACGUCCUCAGCUAGGUUUUCAUUCAGGAAAGCUGUCUUGACAUCCAUCUGCCAUAUCUCAUAAUCGAAAUAUGCAGCUAUAGCUAGAAUAAUCAGAAUGGACUUAAGCAUCACUACGGGUGAGAAAGUCUCGUCGUAGUCAACUCCUUGAACUUGUCGAAAACCUUUUGCGACAAGUCGUGCCUUAUAGAUGCGAAUAUUUCCAUCCAUGUCCUUUUUCUUCUUAUAGAUCCACUUGCACUCUAUGGCUUUAACACCAUCAGGCGGGUCAACCAAGUUCCAAACUUGAUUGUCUCCCAUGGACUCUAUUUUGGAUUGCAUGGCACUCUGCCAUUUUUCGGAGUCUGGGUCCAUCAUUGCUUCUGCAUAUGUCGCAGGCUCAUCAUUGUCCAACAAUAAUAUUUCCCGCAUUUCGCGGAGCCUUGCCGACCUUCGUGGUUGUGGCGGUGCUUCUCUUGCCAUGGGUAUCUCAACUUGUUCUGCUACAUUAGCAUCACUCAUUGAUUCUUGCCCAAUCGGCUCAUCUUGAACUUCUUCAAGAUGCACUGUCUUUCCAUUCUUUUCUCCUUUGAGAAACUCUUUCUCUAGGAAAACCCCGUUCUGAGCGACAAACACUUUGCCCUUUGACCGGUUGUAGAAACAAUAUCCCAAAGUUUCCUUUGGAUAUCCCACGAAAAUGCACUUAUCCAACUUGGGUGUGAUCUUGUCCAACUGAAGUUGCUUGACAAACACUUCACAUCCCCAAAUCUUUAGAAAAGACAAACUAGGAACCUUUCCAGUCCACAUCUCAUACGGUGUCUUAACUACGGAUUUAGAUGGUACCCUAUUAAGUGUGAAAGCUGCUGUUUCUAGAGCGUAUCCCCAAAAUGACAAUGGUAGGUCCGACUGGCUCAUCAUUGAUCGAACCAUGUCUCACAAUGUUCGAUUAUGUCACUCGGAUACACCGUUUCUCUAAGGUGUUCCAGGCGGCGUAAGUUGUGGAACAAUUCACAACUCUUUAGAUGAUUGCUAAACUCGUGGCUCAAAUACUUGCUUCCACGAUCAGAUCGUAAGGCCUUAAUUUUCUUGCCACGCUGAUUUUCAUCUUCAUUCUGAAAUUCCUUGAACUUUUCAAAGGUUUCAGACUUGUGCCUCAUCAAGUAGACAUAGCCAUAUCUACUAAAAUCAUCAGUGAAAGUUAUGAAGUAUUGGAAUCCUCCUCUAGCCGUCAUGCUCAUUGGUCCGCAUGCAUCGCUAUGUACGAGGUCCAAAAGUCUACUACUCUCUCAGGAAAACCUGUGAAAGGUGUCUUGGUCAUCUUGCCUAGCAAGCAAGCCUCACAUGUCUCGUAUGAUUCAAAAUCAACGAAGUUAGAAGUCCAUCAGAAUGGAGCUUCUUCAUGCGUUUUUCACUUAUAUGACCCAAACGACAAUGCCACAAGUAGGUAGGAAUCAAAUCAUUAGGCUGAGGCCUUUUAGCACUUACGUUACAGACAAGUGAACCAUCAAUAUUUAAAACAAACAAUCCAUUCACAAUGGAUGCAAAAGCCAUAAACAUAUCAUUCUUAGAGAUCAGACAACCAUUAUUUUCACUCGCAAAUGAAUAACCAUCCUUAAUCAAGCAUGAAGGGGACAAAAUGUUUCGACUUAAACUAGGAACGAAAUAACAAUUAUUCAACUCCAUAAUAAAUCCUAACGGGAGGUGGAGUUGCAUCAUCCCGACGGUCAACGCAGCAACUCUUGCAUUAUUGCCCACGCGGAAAUCAACUUCUCCUCUUUCCACGCUUCUACUUCUUAUCAUUUCCUGCAUCGAAUUGCAAAUAUGAGCAACUGAUCCGGUAUCAAAUACCCAAGAAUUAAUAAUUGUAUCAGCGAGAAAUAUGUUGUUUAUAACAUUAACAACAAGCGUACCUGAGGUAGAAGUACUCUUACUCCCGCCAUUCUUCAAUGAAGCUAGGUACUGCUUGCAGUUUCUCUUCCAGUGACCAGGUUCGUGAUAAUAAAAGCACUCUUUAUCUGGAGCAGGUCCAGCUUUAGCCUUGGGCGCUGGGUUUGGCUUAGACACUCCAGCCUUACUCAUCUUCUUCCAAGAAUUGCCCUUCUUCUUGAAGGUAGGCUUGUUCUGUACAGCCAUCACAUGGCUGCUGCUAGCACUUUUCUUAAUGUCAACCUCUGCUAUCUUGAGUAUACCACACAGUUCAUUCAGACCCUUCUCCAUCCCAUGCAUAUGGUAGUUCAAGAUGAAGUUCCCAUAGCUAGGCGGAAGAGAUGAAAGAAUGAAGUCAGUGGCCAACUCUUUGCCCAUUGGGAAGCCCAGCUUCUCCAAUCGCUGAGUGUAACCAACCAUCUUGAUUACAUGUGGUCCUACUGUUGCGCCUUCUGCUAGCUUGCACUCCAGAAAGGCUUUGGACACAUUGAACCUUUCAGUCCUAGCCUGUGUCUGGAACAUGUCCUUGAGCGCCAUGAUCAUAUCGUGUGCCUCAUGAUUUGUUUCGAACUGCAUCUGCAGCUCGGGUUCCAUGCAAGCAAGCAUAAGGCAGCUUACCUCAAGAUUAGCAUCAAAUGUCUUCUUGUAAGCAGCCUUAAUGGCAGUAGAUGCAUCAUCAGUAGGUACUGGUGGUAGUGGGGUGUCUAGAACAUCUUCCUUUUAAUCGGCCCUGAGAACAAUUCUCAGGUUACGGAUCCAAUCCGAGUAGUUUGUUCCAUUCAACUUGUCCUUCUCAAGGAUCGAACGCAAAGCAAAGGAUGUGGUGUUGCUAGGUGCCAUUUAAUCUACAACAAAAGUAACGCAAAAUACACUAAGACAAACGUAUCCAUGAUAGAGUAAAUCAUAUUAAACUAUUUUAACAGAAUCUACUCCCACUAAAAUCAAUAUCCCUCUAUUGAUACUUAGUGAUUCAGGAUCCACAACUAACAAGUCUACUAGUGAGAUUUAGCAUCACCGCUAGCAAACAAGGUAGAUCGGUAAGCAACUUUUGCUAAUCAUAUCACAUAUGACUCCUAUUGUUGGGUGACAUCUCCAUGUCUCAGCACCCAACCUUUAUGCCCCAAGGUCCUUAACCGUUAAUAUAACCUUGUUAAGCAAACCAACCCUUAUGCAUGUAAGUGUCCGACACAAACCCGUCUAGUCAAGGAAAACUAGUGGCAUCCUAAUUUCAUAGACCCACCACUAAUUGUACAAGACAUGGGACGGUGCAAGUUUUAGUUGGGAGGGCAUACUAACUUAAACUUUGUGAGGGAUCGUUCUACUUCUAACAUCACAGCAUGCAGAAAGUAAAACAUAAACAGAAUAGCAUUCACACAGUUGUGACACAGUAUGGCCCGUUUUCUUAUGGUGAUCUCCAUCUCCACAGAACCUAUUCACCAUAGUGAUCUCCAUCUCCAUGCUCCAUGUGCGCCAUCCUCCUGGUGAUGAGUCCUCCAAGAACUAGAACAUGAUAUUACGCCUAAUAGCUAGUAAACAAGCUAGUAAUGAAGAUUACAUAGUUGUUUGGAUCAUCACAGAUUGGUACGCAGACCAUUAAAUACAUUAAAGUGACAACACAUAUGGCUCCUGCCGUGUUACCAUACGCGCGACACGCAGGUCACGAAUGAGUUACACACAUGCAUCACAUACACAAAGGGCCAUACUGAUCACAAGAUACAUACAUCCUGCAAAACAGAGUUAAGCGUCCUAAUGUUCCAAACUUCGGAGGCCCGAAACUCUAUCUUCCAAGCCAAAUUUGGGAAAUCAAAUUUCGCCAAAAACCGACAAAGCCAUUGAACUUCAUGUGUAACAUUUUUUGUAGAUCAAUUUUCAUGUAAAUUUCGCCCCGAUCCAAGAUCGUACCGAAAAGUUACAGCUGAUUUACCGAAGCACACACACACGGCAAAAUCCCGGCCCGGUAGUAGAUCCAAUCUACUAUUGCACAUCUCAUGCGCCUGGCAUAUAAACCUGGAUUUCGAUUCGACCAAUCACAUUGAUCUUCGCUCACUGCAACUAGAAUUAUGUGUAUCACUUAACUCCGAUGGCGGAAACCCGACCGGUAGGAGUAUGUCGUUACACUACCAUUGCAGCAAGAACACGAAACCAGGACAUAGAUCAAAUUGAAAACUCGCAUAUCUCCAUAUGCACACAUCCCAAAUCCAAAACUAAACAGCUACGGCUCUGAUACCACUGUUGGGAUACGAGGUAGGCUACACUAGCGCAAAUCAAAAUUUUCUACCGCGUAAACCAAGAAAACUGUCGUAUAAGGAUCACGGGAUUACCACUCGACGCACUACUGGUGCUGAAGAUGUAGAUUCACGUCGAUGCAACAAAGUCGAUCAGCGUAGUCGUACGUAGUCAAUCACGUUGACGUCCAGCAGCUCCUCAGCAGCUCAUCCACGUGCAGCAAGAUCGCCCUCGUGCCGCGGCUCGUCGUGGCUCGUCGGCGGCUCGUCCAAGUGCUGCAGGCGCAACACCUCCAAGAUAUCCACCCGUGCAGGGAGGAAGCGUCGCAAGCCGGACUGCUAGAUCUGUGAGUUGCAACAGGCGAGGGCGUGGGAAGUGUGGUAGAUGUGUUUCGCCAAAAGGUGUAAACCCUAGGGCGCCCCCACCCCUCUAUUUAUAGAGGUUCCAAACGGGCCUCUGGGUCCGAGGCCCAUUAGUACUUCUAAACCUAAUCCGACUCGGAUCACAUCCGAAUUGGGCUUCCAGCCCCUUAAGUGUGUGACCCUGUGGGUUUGGAUACAUAUAGACAUGGCCCGAGUACUCCUACUUGGCCUAAUAGUCGGUAGCAGCCUCUAGCAAGACGUGCCAACUCCUAUAUGCACACGAAGAUCAUAUCAGACGAACCAUCACAACAUUAUAUACAUGCUAUUCCCUUUGCCUCACGAUAUUUGAUCUAGCUUCAAGCCGACCGCUCUUUCUCGAUCCUGUGAUUCGGAAUCCCUUUGUAGGUUAACUCUUAACCGUACGUAGCAUGGUCAUGCAUUUUUGGAUCCGAUCACUCAAGGGGCCUAGAGAUAUCACUCUCAAUCAGAGAGGGGCAAAUCCCAUCUUGAUUGACCAUGUCUCACAGCAUGCUUCUUGACAAACCCGAAAGCUACCUUUAUAACUACCCUGUUACGGCGUAGCGUUUGAUAGCCCCUAAGUAAGUCGAUCCACAUCUUGAAUACAUGCGACAAUCUCAGGUCUAAGGACAAAGCGUAUAUGUUGUUUAAAAAAGAGAACUACUUCUCGUGUUGGGUCAGUCCUAGCACAUGUCUCCACAUGUGCCCACAUUAUUAGUUCAACAUCUCCAUGUCCAUGACUUGUGAAACAAAGUCAUCAACUAAUACAUGUGCUAGUCUAAUAUUCAUGUGUGUCCUCACAUGAACUCCGACUAGGGACAACUUUAGAAUAACCAUACAAAUAAAGAGUUUUACACACAAUUCACAUAAUUGCAAAUCAAUUCAAGUAGCCUUUAAUGGAUAUUCAAGGAACACAACAUAAAUCAUGGAUACAAAUGGAAUAUCAUCAUCUCUAUGAUUGCCUCUAGGGCAUACCUCCAACAACUUUAUCAUGAAGGAUAGUUGUAUAGUCUUGUAUUCAAAAAGUUGCAUCACUAACCCCUGCAUAUGCUUUAUCAUAGACACCGAAGCACCAGAAGGGGAUUUCUCGGAAUUUUCAGAAGGAUCUCCGGAGUUCGAAGAGAUCAUUGAGUUUGUCCCCUGCGAAGCCGAUCCUUUAGACCGUGCGAACUUUUUUAUAGAACAAGGCAAGCCCCGGUGCAUUUACCUAUUUAUUUUAGUAGUAUUAUUUCAUAUGUCCAAUUAUUGGUUAUUUGCUAUGUGAAUGCACUAAGUCUAGGAAUUGAUUGAAACCCAUUCUUGUGCAUGAUCCUACCUUGUUAUAAGGACAUCUUUGCCACUUGUUCAAUGAUUAGUAAUUAACCCAUGCUUAGCAAUGCUUAAGUGCUUAAUGUAAUUUGUUUACCAAACCUUAAGGUAAAUGUUGGGUCAUACAUGCUAAAUAUGGAAAGGUAGCUUAAAGGUUAAAAGGCGGACGGAAGCUAGGAGUGUAGUUCUGUCUGCUAGAUUAAAUUGGUUAAGGUCCGAUCAUUGUCUUAACCUUUGAUCAAGUGAAUGACAUCUGAUCACUUACUGGGUAUGGGACCAGUAAAGCCCGGUAGAUUAGUAAACCCUCUAAUCGGGAAUACUUCGUACCCGUGCUUGACGUGCUGGAGAUUGGCAGGGGCGUAGCUUGAAACUCACAUGGUGAUCAGGCCAGACGUGGGGUCCCAUGUGGGGGUGCGUCCCUGGGUCCGGGUAGUCUUAUUCCCAAUCAUUGGAUUCGCUAAGUGAUCAAGGUACUCUCCUGCAGGAUGUAUUUUGAUCCGGAUCGCCGCAAUUCUCGGUUAUGAAUGCACUUGAUCACUGUUGAGCAUCGUAGUAUAAAUUCAUGAAUGCUAUAUCUUUCCACUAAUGUUUUGGUGUAUGACUUUAAUACCUUGUUGUUUGCAAAUAAUCUUUUUAUCAUCAUUUAGAAUGGUUAGGUAAUAACUUAAUCAAAAUAAAAGAUAAAGCUAAGGUCUCACUUUUAGUAAGCUCUUUGGCAAAAAAAUGUGUCAGCCAAGUACACCGAAAAAGCUAUCAUAUAGUUCCAGGAAAAGUUAUUAUAUUGGUUAGUCAGGUAAGCCUUGCUGAGUACCCCGUACUCAGGGUUAUCCCUUGUGGCUGUUUUCAGAGGCACCGCAGGAAUCCACCGAGGAGGAAGCCCUGAAAAACUAGGGUAUUGUUAUGAGUCUCGCAAUACCCUUAGAAGAAAUCUUGAAUGCUCCUCUCCCACCUGAACCCGUUUAUGUUUAAUUCCUAGAACCUCUAUCUGACCUGCACUGUUAAGUUUAUUUCAAACUACGUCUUGUAAUAACUCGUACCUUAUGUAUGUAUGUAAAAAUGUAAUAUUUGUUGAUGCUUUCCCAUCGCGGAAACAAUCCUGGUGAAUGGCUAUGAGACGUGACGUGGAUCAUUCGAGGAGUCCCAGGGACACUUGACGGACGACCGGACUUAUACUGUUUUAAGUGCGUUUCGGAUAAUUGCUGUAUUGGCAGCGAUUAGGCGCAUUUAAACAAGUUUAAGUUAGACGGUUCCUACAAAAGCACAUGAAGAAGAGGAAUCCUACAAACACCAUGCUCAAGAGGUACACGACCGGAUCAGCGCCCUUGAACAUUCCCAUCCAAGCAUUGUCAGCACCAUAGAUCGGCUGAAACGGCACAGAGAAGAACUCGCCAAGGAGAUCGCUGCUGAAGAAAAGAAGCUUCAAGAUCUCCCGGCUGUCAUCACCGAUUUAAAAUAGGAAAGGCAAAACCUUGCCCACGAGGCCAACCAAAUUCACCGCAAUAUUCCAGAAGUUCCCAAAUCGGCCGGUGACAACCAGCGAGUACUAGAUUCAGCAGAUCAAAUCCACCUACGGGUGAUUGAGGCCAUAAAUAUUCUCCUCGGAUAGUCGCACUUGAACGUAAAGUGCCUUUUGAGUGUAUCGUACUGAAUUCAAAUGACAUUUCGGAUGUCCUGCAUAGCAUCGACACUUUUCAACGUUUCCUUCUUGAAUGCAAAUUUGAAUGGCUCUCUCCGCAGCUUUUUAACUCAACGAUCGCUUGCUUUGAAUGCAUUCUUCUACUAACCGUUGCCUGUCACCCCCUCGUCCUAUAAAUACGAGACCUUCGCAUCCUCUCCAGAGGCAUUCGCAUAGCACCCAUACGCACGCCCUCUGCUAGACGUUUCCAGACUCUAGUCAGGCACCCGGAUGGCUUCCUCCUCCUCCGUCAAUUAGGUACGAAAUUGACCUUUACGCACCUUGACUGAUUUUUGCCAUCAAUUGACUGCCUAUUGUCCCUUCAGCCAAACCGGCUUAGCCCCGGUCUCGAACAGGCUAUUGAGAUUAUGCACUCUGAUGAACCGCUGACCUAGGCGGACAAAGAUCUGAUCCAAGCCCAUCGUGAAGAACUCAAGGACCACCUCCCCGCGCAUAUCAAGAAGAUUGUAGACAACAUUGAAGCCAACGCCUCUAGGAGGCCAACCUAGCCACCGGCCGAAAGGAGCCACUAACUGCCUCGUCAAGUCACCCUUGAAGACGCAAUGGUGGAAGUGGAAGAGAAGAGUACCUGCAUUCUAAUCAAAUUAGGCCAGCUUCAUAGAAGAACCGAACUGAGUCAAGUCCAACCGAAACACCAUUGAAUUACUACGACUUCUGAAUAUAUUGAUACUUUUUAUUCUCAGGGUGACUUGUACCAUGUCGGCCAUGUAUCCAGUUAAUGUACCGAACGGUAAUCGGCUUAUUUGUAUGAAUGCUUUAUUGCCUUAUUCAUCCUCAAGGCGAUGCCUUUCACAUCGGCUAUAUGAAUGCGAGUCAAUAGGUAUCGGCCGUGAGAACCUGAUAUGCCAUAUUAUCGGCUAAGCGUCUACCCAUAUGCUGGGAUAGUAUCUUUUUAAAUAUCUUCCAUUUAGAGCCCUUGUAAAUUCUUCUCCCUCAAUGGUCUCCAAUAUGUAUGCAUCGCCCGGCGCACAUCGACUAAUCCUGUACGGCCCUUCCCAAGUAGGUGACCAUUUUCCAUAUUUAGGAUCUUUAGAUCCUAUCGGCAAGAUCAAUUUCCAGACCAAGUCCCCUUGGGAAAACUGUUUGACCUUGACCUUCUUGUCAUACCAUCUGGUGACUCUUUUCUUAUUUUCCUCAAUACUAAUCAAGGCACUCAAUCGUUGAUUUGCCAAAUCUUCCAGCUCUCCCUUCAUGAGCCUGGAAUAGUCAUCGGCUGUUAACUGAUCCUGAAGCGAUGUCCGUCUAGACCCAGUUUUCAACUCCCAAGGCAAUACUGCUUCGUGCCCAUACACUAACUAGUAAGGAGACACCUUGGUGGCACCGUGGAAAGCCAUCUUGUAGGCGCACAAGGACUCGUUCAGCGUCAUAUGCCACCGCCUUGGUUGUUCUUCAAUCUUUCUCUUAAUCAAUUUAAUCACCCCCUUGUUGGAUGAUUUAGCCUAACCAUUGGCCUGAGCAUAAUACAGAGAAGAAUUUAACAACUUAAUUCCCAUGUUGGCAGUGAACUCUUCAAAUUCUCCCGAGGUAAACAUUGACCCCUAGUCAGUCGUAAUAGUCUGAGGAGUACCAAACUGAUAAAUAAUGUGCUCCUUCACAAAUUCAAUCAUGUUGGCCGACAUCACAAUUUUUAAAGGAACUGCCUCCACCCACUUGGUGAAAUAAUCAGUAGCCACCAAUAUGAACUUAUGCCCUUUACUCGAUGGUGGAUAAAUCUGUCCAAUGAGGUUAAUUCCCAACCUCUAAAUGGCUACGGCUUUAUUAUUGGGUUCAUAGCCGAGGCUGGUGCUCGUUGUACGUUGCCGAAUUUCUGACAAUCCUGACACCCUUUAUAAUAUUUGAAACAAUCCUCGAGUAUCGUCGGCCAAUAAUACCCAUUAUUUCUAAUCAUCCACUUCAUUUUGAAGGAAGAUUGAUGGGCCCCACAUACACCUUCAUGAAUUUCUCCCAUUAGAGUUUUUGCUUCCUCCACUCCAAGGCAUUUGAGUAGCACCCCAUCAAUCGUCCGGUAAAACAAAUCAUCCUCAAGCAGUAUGUACUUUGUAGCCUGAAAGCGUAUUUGCCAAUCGACCUUCUUGGAUGGAUCUUUUAGAUAGUCGGCAAUUUCCUUCCUCCAGUCAUCGGCCACAAGCUCCAGAGACAUAGCGCCUUGAAUCGAUCGGUAACCAGAAGCAUGUUGGGCAAGCCUAUUAGCUUCCUCAUUGUUAUCUCUGGGAAUAUGUUCAAUAAGUGUGGUCUUGAACUCUUUCAGUAACUGGAGGCAUUCUUCAUAACAAAUUCUUAGAAUAUCAUCCUUGCACUCGCAUUUUCUAGUUAACUGAUCCACAAUGAAAAUGGAAUCCCCAAAUAUCUCUACCGCUUCAGCCUUGACCUCUCUCAAUAGCUGGAUACCUUUCAAGAUGGCCCGAUACUCUGCUUGAUUAUUAUUAGCAGAAGCCUCAAUCGGCAGAGAUAAAUCAUAACUUGCCUCCCGAGGCGAUAUCAGGAUGAUGCCGAUUCCUGAUCCGGCCCCGCACAAAGAUCCAUCAAAGUAUAGUGUCCACGGAGCUAGUUCGAUAACAGUAAUUUUUGAUCCACAAUGCUAGGCUACGAAGUCGGCCAUUACUUGACCCUUGACAGCUUUGGUUGAUUCGUACCUCAGAUCGAAUUCCGAGAGGGCCAGAAUCCACUUUCCAAUUCUCCCUUUCAAGAUCGGUAGUGAUAACAUAUACUUGACGACAUCAUCAUUGGACAUGACUACGCACUCUGCCGAUAACAGGUAGUGCCUGAGUUUGGUACAAGAAAAAUAUAGGCAAAGGCACAACCGUUCCACCGGAGGCUAUCUGGUUUCAGCAUCGAAAAGUCUUCCGCUAACGUAAUAAAUUACCCUUUCUUUCCCCUCAAACUCCUGGACCAGCACUGAGCCAAUAGCUCGCUCGUCGGCCAAUAGAUACAGUCUGAAAGGCUUAUCGGGCUAUGGAGGAACCAACACCGGAGGGGACACCAAGUAUUAUUUGAUAUCAUCUAAUGCCUUCUGCUACUCCUUGCCCCAAAUGAACUCUUAGUCGGGUUUUAAUUUCAGCAAUGGGGUGAAAUCUUGAAUGUGUCCAGACAAGUUUGAUAUGAACCUUCGGAUGAAGUUGAGCUUGCGGAUUAAGAACAAUAGCUCAGUCUUGUCUUGUGGGGCCACAACUUUGUUGAUGGCAGCUAUAAACUUUCGAUUGAUCUCAAUGCCGCGUUCAUGGACCAUGAAACCCAGAAAUUUACUAGCCGAAAUGCCAAAAGCACACUUGUUUGGAUUCAUUUUCAACCCAUGCUUUCUUGUGCACUCCAAUACCUUGCGCAAAUCGGCCAGAUGUUGUUGAUGCCCCUUUGACUUGAUGACAACAUCAUCAAUAUAAAUCUCCACCAGGACACCAAUAAGCUUAUGAAAUAUAUAAUUCAUGGCCCAUUGAUAUGUAGCUCCAACAUUCUUCAAACCGAAAGUCAUGACUACCCACUCGAACAAACCAAGAUGACCAGGGCACCUGAAGGCCAUUUUUGAGAUAUCUUCUUCGACUAUUAGUAUCUGAUUAUACUCGGCGUUACCAUCCAUGAAGCUGAUGACUUUGUGCCCUGCGGCCGCGUCUAUCAAAACAUCGGCCGUCGUCAUCGGGUAUCCGUCCAUCGGCGUAGCUUGGUUAAGAUUUCUGAAGUCAAUGCAAACACGUAUCUUUCCAUUUUUCUUGUAUACAGGAACAAUAUCAGAAAUCCACUCGGCAUAUCGACACUGCCGAAUAAACCCUGCUUCAAUCAAUCUUGUGAUUUCAGCCUUUAUAUCAGGUAGAAUUUUAGGAUUACAAUGUCGUGCAGACUGCUGAUAUGGCCGAUACCCCAGUUUUAUAGGCAGCCGAUGUUUGACUAUGGACCAGUCUAGACCAGGCAUUUCAUGAUACUCCCAAGCAAAGUAAUCUUUAAACUCUCUUAACAAAUCUAUUAACUCACGCUUGUAUUCGGGGUCUAACCUAGCACUGAUAUACGUAGGCCUUGGCUUGCUACUAUCUCCAAGGUCUACCAUCUCUAAUGAAUCGGCCUACAUAAAUCAGUGCCCAAUUUUUCCAUCUUCUCGGAUGAACUAAUCAAUCUAAUCUGAUUCUUCUGAGCCGACUGCUUGGAUCAGCUGUAGAUCGAAAUCGGACACCUUCAAGAACUCAGUGUUGGAGGUAUGCCCUAGAGGCAAUCAUAGAGAUGAUGAUAUUCCAUUUGUAUCCAUGAUUUAUAUUGUGUUCCUUGAAUAUCCAUUAAAGGCUACUUGAAUUGAUUUGCAAUUAUGUGAAUUGUGUGUGAAACUCUUUACUUAUAUGGUUAUUCUAAAGUUGUCCCUAGUCGGAGUUCAUGUGAGGACACACAUGAAUAUUAGACUAGCACAUGUAUUAGUUGAUGACUAUGUUUCACAAGUCAUGGACAUGGAGAUGUUGAACUAAUAAUGUGGGCACAUGUGGAGACAUGUGCUAGGACUGACCCAACACGAGAAGUAGUUCUCUCUUUAUAUAACAUAUGCGCUUUGUCCUUAGACCUGAGAUUGUCGCAUAUAUUCAAGAUGUGGAUCGACCUACUUACGGGCUAUCAAACGCUACGCCGUAACAGGGUAGUUAUAAAGGUAGCUUUCGGGUUUGUCAAGAAGCAUGCUGUGAGACAUGGUCAAUCAAGAUGGGAUUUGCCCCUCUCUGAUUGAGAGUGAUAUCUCUGGGCCCCUCGAGUGAUCGGAUCCGAAAAUGCAUGGCCAUGCUACGUACAGUUAAGAGUUAACCUACAAAGGGACUCCGAAUCACAGGAUCGAGAAAGAGCGGUCGGCUUGAAGCUAGACCAAAUAUCGUGAGGCAAAGGGAAUAGUAUGUAUAUAAUGUUGUGAUGGUUCGUCUGAUAUGAUCUUCGUGUGCAUAUAGGAGUUGGCACGUCUUGCUAGAGGCCGCUACAAACUAUUGGGCCGAGUAGGAGUACUCGGGCCAUGUCUAUAUGUAUCUGAACCCAUAGGGUCACACACUUAAGGGGCUGGAAGCCCAAUUCGGAUGUGAUCCGAGUUGGAUUAGGUUUAGAAGUACUAAUGGGCCUCGGACCCAGAGGCCUGUUAGGAACCUCUAUAAAUAGAGGGGUGGGGGCGCCCUAGGGUUUACACCUUUUGGCGAAACACAUCUGCCGUGCCUCCCACGCCUUCUCCUGUUGCAACUCACGGAUCUAGCAGUCCGGCUUGCGACGCUUCCUCCCUGCCCGUGUGGAUACCUUGGAGGUGUUGCGCCUGCAGCACUUGGACGAGCCGCCGACGAGCCACGACGAGCCGACGACGAGCCGCGGCACGAGGGCGAUCUUGCUGCACGUGGAUGAGCUGCUGAGGAGCUGCUGGACGUCACCGUGAUCGACUACGUAUGACUACGCUGAUCGAGCAAGAAUCGAUGAGUGAUGCUAACGUAGUAGAACAAGUUGAGAUACCCAUGGCAAGAGAAGCACUGCCACAACCACGAAGGUCGGCAAGGCUCCACGAAAUGCGGGAAAUAUUAUUGUUGGACAGUGAUUAGCCUACGACAUAUGCAGAAGUAAUGAUGGACCCAGACUCCGAAAAAUGGCAGAGUGCCAUGCAAUCCGAAAUAGUGUCCAUGGGAAACAAUCAAGUUUGGAACUUGGUUGACCCGCCGAUGGUGUUAAAGCCAGAGAGUGCAAGUGGAUCUAUAAGAAGAAAAAGGACAUGGAUGGAAAUGUUCACAUCUAUAAAGCACGACUUGUCGCAAAAGGUUUUCGACAAGUUCAAGGAGUUGACUACGACGAGACUUUCUCGCCCGUAGUGAUGCUUAAGUCCAUUCUGAUUAUUCUAGCUAUAGAUGCAUAUUUUGAUUAUGAGAUAUGGCAGAUGGAUGUCAAGAUAGCUUUCCUGAAUGAAAACCUAGCUGAGGACGUGUAUAUGAUACAGCCUGAGGGUUUUGUCGAUCCGAAAAAUGCUGGAAAGGUAUGCAAGCUUCAAAGAUCCAUGUAUGGAUUGAAGCAAGCAUCUAGGAGUUGGAACAUUCGUUUUGAUGAAGUGGUCAAAGGGUUUGACUUCACCAAGAACGAGGAAGAGUCUUGUAUUUACAAGAAGGUUAGUGGGAGCUCUAUAGUAUUUCUAAUCUUAUAUGUAGAUGACAUAUCGCUGAUUGGAAAUAACAUUCCUAUGCUUGAGUCUGUAAAGACUUCACUGAAAAAUAGUUUUUCGACGAAGGACUUAGGGGAAGCGGCAUAUAUUUUGGGCAUUAAGAUCUAUAGAGAUAGAUCGAGAAGGCUUAUAGGAUUAAGCCAAGAUACUUACAUUGACAAAGUGUUGAAGCGGUUCAGCAUGGAAGAGGCAAAGAAAGGGUUCUUGCCUAUGUCACAUGGCAUACAUCUCAGCAAGACUCAGUGUCCUUCGACUGCUGAUGAGCAGGAUCGCAUGAGUAGAGUGCCAUAUGCCUCGGCUAUUGGAUCUAUCAUGUAUGCAAUGAUAAGUACUGGCCCAGAUGUUUCAUAUGCGCUAAGUAUGACAAGCAGACACCAGUCUGAUCCAGGUGAGAGUCACUGGACAGCGGUGAAAAACAUUCUUAAGUACUUGAGAAGGACUAAAGAUAUGUUCCUCAUCUAUGGAGGUGAGGAGGAGCUCGUUGUAACAGGUUACACCGAUGCUAGUUUCCAAACCGACAGAGAUGAUUCAAAGUCACAAUCAGGAUUUGUGUUCACUCUAAAUGGUGGUGCUGUUAGUUGGAAGAAUUCCAAGCAGGAGAUAGUGGCCGAUUCUAUGACAGAAGCCGAGUACAUCGCGGCUUCGGAAGCCGCGAAGGAGGGUGUUUGGAUAAGGAAUUUCCUCAUUGAGCUUGGUGUGUUCCCGAAUGCGUCCAGCCCAUUGAAUCUCUACUGUGAUAACAAUGGGGCAAUUGUGCAAGCAAAGGAGCCAAGGAACCACCAGAAGAACAAACACGUAAUGCGGCGAUUUCAUCUCAUUCGAGACUUCAUUAACCAGGGUGAGAUCAAGAUAUGCAAAAUACACACGGAUCUGAACAUUUCUGAUCCGUUGACAAAACCACUCCCGCAAGCUAAGCAUGAUGCGCAUGUAAGAGCUAUGGGUAUUAGGUACCUUCUAGAUUGACUCUAGUGCAAGUGGGAGACUGUUGGAGGUAUGCCCUAGAGGCAAUCAUCGAGAUGAUGAUAUUCCAUUUGUAUCCAUGAUUUAUAUUGUGUUCCUUGAAUAUCCAUUAAAGGCUACUUGAAUUGAUUUGCAAUUAUGUGAAUUAUGUGUGAAACUCUUUACUUGUAUGGUUAUUCUAAAGUUGUCCCUAGUCGGAGUUCAUGUGAGGACACACAUGAAUAUUAGACUAGCACAUGUAUUAAUUGAUGACUAUGUUUCACAAGUCAUGGAUAUGGAGAUGUUGAACUAAUAAUGUGGGCACAUGUGGAGACAUGUGCUAGGACUGACCCAAUACGAGAAGUAGUUCUCUCUUUAAACAACAUAUGCGCUUUGUCCUUAGACCUGAGAUUGUCGCAUGUAUUCAAGAUGUGGAUCGACCUACUUAGGGGCUAUCAAACGCUACGCCAUAAUAGGGUAGUUAUAAAGGUAGCUUUCAGGUUUGUCAAGAAGCAUGUUGUGAGACAUGGUCAAUCAAGAUGGGAUUUGCCCCUCUCUGAUUGAGAGUGAUAUCUCUGGGCCCCUCGAGUGAUCGGAUUUGAAAAUGCAUGGCCAUGCUACGUACGGUUAAGAGUUAACCUACAAAGGGAUUCCGAAUCACAGGAUCGAGAAAGAGCGGUCGGCUUGAAGCUAGAACAAAUAUCGUGAGGCAAAGGGAAUAGCAUGUAUAUAAUUGUGUGAUGGUUCAUCUGAUAUGAUCUUCGUGUGCAUAUAGGAGUUGGCACGUCUUGCUAGAGGCCGCUACCGACUAUUGGGCCGAGUAGGAGUACUCGGGCCAUGUCUAUAUGUAUCCGAACCCAUAGAGUCACACACUUAAGGGGCUGGAAACCCAAUUUUGAUGUGAUCCGAGUUGGAUUAGGUUUAUAAGUACUAAUGGGCCUUGGACCCAGAGGCCCGUUAGGAACCUCUAUAAAUAGAGGGGUGGGGGCGCCCUAGGGUUUACACCUUUUGGCGAAACACAUCUGUCGCGCCUCCCACACCCUCGCUUAUUGCAACUCACGGAUCUAGCAGUCCGGCUUGCGACGCUUCCUCCCUGCACAUGUGGAUACCUUGGAGGUGUUGUGCCUGCAGCACUUGGACGAGCCGCCGACGAGCCACGACGAACCACGACGAGCCGACGACGAGCCGCGGCACGAGGGCGAUCUUGCUGCAUGUGGACGAGCUGCUGAGGAGCUGCUGGACGUCGACGUGAUCGACUACGUACGACUACGCUAAUCGACUUCGCUGCAUCGACGCGAAUCUACAUCUUCCGCACCAGUAGUGCGUCGAGUGGUAAUCCCGUGAUCCUUAUACGGCAGUUUUCCUGGUUUACGCGGUAGAAAUUUUUUGAUUUGCGCUAGUGUAGCCUACCUCGUAUCCCUACACUCAGUGUCCUAGGUCCUGCCAGAUAUGCAUCUGACGUGUUCGUAACUCCAUUGGUGCACGUCAGCUAUGGUGACACUGUAGGCAGAGUCAGUGGUGACUACUUCAAUGGUGUCGCUGAUCCACUGGACGAGGCAUUUGUGCAUCGUAGACGGGAUGCAGCAGUUUGCGUGGAUCCAGUCUCGCUCGAGCAACAUAUUAUAGGACACUUUACCAUUAAUUAUAAAGAAAGUGGUGGGUAGGGUCUUACUACCAAUGGUGAGGUCGACGCAGAGUGCCCCCCGGACCAGAGAUCUGUUGCCUUCGAAAUCCUUGAGCAUCAUGUCCAUCUUGAUCAAAUCUUGUUCCCUUUUUCCUAGUUUGCGGAACAUAGCAUACGACAUGAUGUUCACGGCAGCACCUCCAUCGACCAACAGCUUAGUGACCGGUCGUCCGUUGACUUGCCCCUUGAGUAAGAGAGCCUUGAGAUGCUGGCAUUUUUCAUCCUCGGGUUUCUCAAAAGUGGUGGUUAUUGGCUCCAGAGCCAAUUGUGUCAUCUGCUCCUCUAUUUCUGUUGCAUUUUUGCGGUCAACAGGAGCCAUGAACUCCAUCGGCAAGGUGAACACCAUGUUGACGUCAGCAGCCGAAUCUUGGUCGUUGUUUUCUCCAUCAGCUUUUCUUCUGGGGUGCCAAACUUGAGACUUGACCCCUUUUUUGUCUGCCGCCCGCCUUUGUGCUUCUUCUUGCUAUUCCCAUUGGCACAGAUGUUGGACCCUUUUUUUCUGGGACUUUGUCAGACCAUCUGGGCACCAUCUGGGGUUCACUAGUUUACUUGGCGGCUUAGCGUGUUCCCAGUCUGGCUCUCGGCCCAUAUCUCCCAGCCGAUCAUGCGCGCUAAUUCUGCCCCCAGCCGAUUACGCUCGUAUACUCUACCCCCUAGCCGAUCACGCAUUGAAACGCGCCAAUCCUCUUGCUCGAGCCUAUUUCUGCUGAUCGGCUCUCGUCCUCGAUCUCCGGAACAUGAUCUCUUGAACGGGCGACUGCUGCAAUACCGACCGUUGCAUUCAGGGCAGUUAUUGGCUGACGGCAAUCUGAGAUUACUUUCCCAACAAUGGAUGAAGAAUGGGCAUCUCCAAUGAUCUUCAUGUCAGCGCGUCAUCUCUUCACGAUGCCUCGUGUCCUCCCACUGCCUCUGGUACUUGUUGAGUAAGUCCCGGGAUGUGAUAGGUCGAGGGAGCCUCUCCGAGCUUUCGCCUUCCGUCUCUACGCAGCCUUUUCCCCUAACAUCCUCGACUGAGGUCUGAUUUCUGGGGUCCACUGCGUCGCUCCGUCUGGCCGAUUCUGAUGUCAGCACCUUGGUCUGGAGCGCAUUCCUUCUGACGUCGACCAUGUUGGCAGGGAAGGGGUGCUGGUCGAUCUUCAUCGGCUUUGCUGGCUUCGUGGGGACCUCGAAUUUAAGUCUUCCUUGCUCAAUGGCCGACUGUAUCUGUUGACGGAAGACUUUGCACUCAUUCGUGUUGUGAGACGUGGCAUUGUGCCACUGGCAAUGCUUCAUCUUCUUAAGCUGCUCGACUGAUGGAAUCAUGUGGUAGGGUGAGAGCUUGAUUUGUCCCUCUUGUAGCAGCAAAUCAAAGAUCUUAUCAGCCUUAGAUGUGUCGAAGCCAAACGUUUCCAGUUCCUUUUUACCGAACGGGCAUGAUAUUCACUUUUUCCCUUUUACCCAUUCUACCAGGCUGAUUUCUGCUUCUUCUUCUGAAUCGGACCCCAUCACAUACACCACCUUUUUCUGGAAGUUUCUUCAUUGGUCAAAGGGGCGUACUUCCUGACCGGAUAGCCGGUGUACGAUUUGGCUCAAAAUUUUGAACUCCUGGGAAGCGUAUUUCUCUCUAAUGUGUGGCAGGAGUCCCUGAAAAGCGGUAUCGGCUAGCUAGGUGUCGGUCAGAACCAGACUGUAGCAUUUUUUCAUGACCUCUCUGAAUCUCUGUAUGUAACUGGCCACCGACUCAUCGCUCCUCUGCUUGAGGCUAGUUAAAUCUGAAAGUUUCAACUUGUGGAACCCUGCAAAGAAGUAUCUUGUGGAAUUGUUUCUCCAAAUUGGCCCAAGUGAUGAUGGAGUUAGGCGGUAGUGUCGUAAACCAUUGAAAGGCCAACUCGGACAGGGAUGAUGAGAACAGACAUACCCUCAGAGCGUCUUGUGCAACAGCUUCUCCACACUGGAUGAUGAACCUGUUAACGUGCUCCACCGUGAAUGUGUCAUCUUGGCCCAAGAACUUGGUGAAGUCGGGCACUUUGUACCGAUGAGGGAACGGUAGCAGAUCGUAAGCGGGUGGGUACAGUGUCCUGUAUGUAUAAGUCUGCACCCUUGGCUUUAACCCAAACUGAUCUUGCAUUAUAUCAGUUAUCCGUGCGGUGCGGUCCACUUGAUGCUGAUGCUGCUGUUGCUGAUGUACAACUGGCUGAGGAAUCAGCAUGUGCUGUUGAACUUGCGGCACCGCGAUUGUACGAUAGGCUGGUACGUGCUGCAGAUCUUGCAGCUGGACUGUCAGCUGAGGAACCAACGGCUGCUAUCGUAUGGGGUAAACAUGACGUAGUGCGUCCGCCUCCUCAUCGUACAAUACUAUUGGUGCCGCAGUUCUGAGGGGAUCUGGAGCGCUUGCCCCCCUGUUGAUUUCCGGGGUAGUCUGCUGGUAUUGCGGGGCGGUCGGCCGAGAGGUCGAUGGAAAUGAUGCCUACACUGGAGAUUUUUCGUAACUAGUGGAUGGAUCUAGAUCGGCAGGUAGUCCCGCCAUUCCCCACUACGCCGAAGCUGCAAACGGCGGUUGCGCGGAGGGAACCGGUGCAGGGUAAAACGGUGCUUGUGAUUGAUAGGGUGUUGCACUAUUAUAUCCUAGGGGUAUUGUGGUGUUGUAUCCCCCACUCUGCAUCUGCAUCGGCUGAGGAGCCGACUGCGACAUAUUUGGCGCCUCCAAGAAGCCUCUGACUGGUGCGACGAUAGGAGGGGCGUAGGCUGGUCCCUGAUACCCCUGAGCUACGCUGUUGACCAUGGAGCUAACGACGGCGUUGUACACUGUGUGAGUCAUCACCUUGGAUUGAUCGAUCAUAGCCUGAUAAACAGACUGCUAGAUCAUCUCAGACAUCUUCCCCGAGCCUUCGACAAUGGUGAUCUGGCGAAGAAUUGGAACAGCAGUCUUUCUGACGAUCUCCUAGCUUCUAGUACAACUGUAGGAUUGCAGGCAUGCCUUCUUGUAGUUUUCCAUAGCUUUUGCCAGCUCAUCCCUCUGGUCAUCCUUGAGAUCCACCUCGGUGACUUCAAUGACGUUAUCCUCCGAGAUCUCAGCAGCCUUUGACAUGUUGGAUCUUGCUUCGGUCCCACCAGGCAUGCCAAAAGUGUGUUGACACUAAAAAUUGGACAAAGACUCCAGCCUCUGCGUCGGACACACAACCUGGGAGAAUCUGCUUAACUCCUGUUCGGGUUGUCGCCUUGGUACGGUUCGCGCGGCGUGCCAGUCAAUCUGACCUGUUGAUUGACAAGGAAAGCAUUAAAUUCCAAGGUUUCGAUCGGCUAAAGUUCCGAUCUAUUCAGAGGAUGUAUCCGUGAAUCAGUCGAAUUAAUGUAGAGACGACCGGCUAUAGCACAGCCGAUGAUCACGUGGUAAUUGCAAAAGAAACUGCUAGAGUAACCUAAACAAAGCUACAAAAGCAACACUUGAAACAGAUCUAAUCGGCUAUAUAUAAUAAACAAAGAAUAUUGAUAAAAAGCCGACAGUUCGUGUCUCAAGCUGGAUAACGUGCGAUAAAAACUAAACUAACAGGUAAAACCUAUAAUUCUAGUAAAUAUCGAUAACUGGUGAAUAAAUCUAAACGAAACAACAGCGAUGCGCCCGUAGUUAAAGCUUAGAUAUUACUCGAUACGCUGAACUUACAAGUUGGCUGGAGGUCAUCUUGACACAGCCCUGCCAACUCGCACAAACUCGUGAAACUAUAAAAGUAUUUGGCGAAGUCACCGACUUGGAAGUAAAGUACGUGGAAAAGUAGAUAUGUAUUGAUUGAUUGUUGUGUUGUUUACAAGCCUUACGAGGCACCUAUUUAUACCCUGUUACAACUAAUUUUCUAACCGACUAGGAUUUAUCUCUAAUUUAAAGAUGACAAAUAUUUACAAAUGAACACUGUUGGGAUACGAGGUAGGCUACGCUAGCGCAAAACAAAUUUUUCUACCGCAUAAACCAAGAAAACUGCCGUAUAUGGAUCACGAGAUUAUCACUCGACGCACCGGUGCGGAAGAUGUAGAAUCCCGUUGGGGCAGCGAAGUCGAUCAGCAUAGUCGAACACGUAGUCGAUCACGUCGACGUCGAGCAGCUCCUCUGUAGCUCGUCCACGUGUAGCAAGGUCGUCCUCGUGCCGCAGCUUGUCGUCGGCUCGUCGGGCGUGGGAGGCGCGGCAGAUGUGUUUCAGCCAAAAGGGAUGAAACCCUAGGGCACCCCACCCCUCUAUUUAUAGAGGUUCCUGACGGCCCUCAUGGUCCGAGGCCCAUUAGUACUUCUAAACCUAAUCCAACUUGGAUCAUAUCUGAAUUGGGCUUCCAGCCCCUUAAGUGUGUGAUCCUAUGGGUUCGGAUACAUAUAGACAUGGCCCGAGUACUCCUACUCGGCCCAAUAGUUCGUAGAGGCCUCUAGCAAGAUGUGCUAACUCCUAUACGCACACGAAGAUCAUAUCAGACGAACCGUCACAACAUCAUGUACAUGCUAUUCCCUUUGCCUCACAAUAUUUGGUCUAGCUUCAAGCUGACCGCUCUUUCUCGAUCCUGUGAAUCGGAAUCCCUUUGUAGGUUAACUCCUAACCAUACAUAGCAUGGCCAUGCAUUUUCGGAUCUGAUCACUCGAGGGGCCCAGAGAUAUCACUCUCAAUCAGAGAGGGGCAAAUCCCAUCUUGAUUGACCAUGUCACACAGCAUGCUUCCUGACAAACUCGAAAGCUACCUUUUUAACUACCCUGACACGGUGUAGUGUUUGAUAGCCCCUAAGUAAGUCGAUCCACAUCUUGAGUACAUGUGACAAUCUCAGGUCUAAGGACAAAGCUUACAUGUUGUGUAAAGAGAGAACUACUUCUCGUGUUGGGUCAGUCCUAGCAUAUGUCUCUACAUGUGCCUACAUUAUUAGUUUGACAUCUCCAUGUCCAUGAGUUGUGAAACAUAGUCAUCAACUAAUAUAUGUACUAGUCUAAUAUUCAUGUGUGUCGACACAUGAACUCUGACUAGGGACAAUUUUUAGAAUAACCAUGCAAGUAAAGAGUUCCACAUACAAUUCACAUAAUUGCAGAUCAAUUCAAGUAGCAUUUAAUGGAUAUUCAAUGAACAUAAUAUAAAUCAUGGAUACAAAUGGAAUAUCAUCAUCUCUAUGAUUGCUCUAGGGCAUACCUCCAACAGUCUCCCACUUGCACUUGAGUCAAUCUAGAAGAUAUCUAAUACCCAUAGCUCUUAUGUGUGCAUCAUGCUUAGCUUGCAAAAGAGGCUUUGUCAAAGGAUCAGAAAUAUUCAGAUCCAUGUGUAUUUUGCAUAUCUUGAUCUCACCCUGAUUAAUGAAGUCUAUAAUGAGAUGAAGUCGCCGCAUAACGUGUUUGUUCUUCUGGUGAUUCCUUGGCUCCUUGGCUUGCGCAAUUGCCCCAUUGUUAUCACAGUAGAGAUUCAAUGGGCUGGACGUAUUUGGGAACACACCAAGAUCAAUAAGGAAAUUCCUUAUCCAAACACCCUCCUUCGCGGCUUCCGAAGCCGCGAUGUACUCGGCUUCUGUUGUAGAAUCGGCGACCGUCUCCUGCUUGGAACUCUUCGAACUAACAGCACCACCAUUUAGCGUGGACACAAAUCCUAAUUGUGACUUUGAAUCAUCUCUGUCAGUUUGGAAACUAGCAUCGGUGUAACCCAUUACCACGAGCUCCUCCUCACCUCCAUAGACGAGGAACAUAUCUUUAGUCCUUCUUUAAGUACUUAAGAAUGUUUUUCACCAUUGUCUAGUGACUCUCACCCGGAUCAGAAUGGUGUCUGCUUGUCAUACUUAGCGCAUAUGAAACAUCUGGUGAGUACUUAUCAUUACAUACAUGAUAGAUCCAAUAGCCGAGGCAUAUGGCACUCUACUCAUGCGAUCCCGCUCAUCAGCAGUCGAAGGACACUGAGUCUUGCUGAGAUGUAUGCCAUGUGACAUAGGCAAGAACCCUUUCUUCACCUCUUCCAUGCUGAACCGCUUCAACACUUUGUCAAUGUAAGUAUCUUGGCUUAAUCCUAUAAGCCUUCUUGAUCUAUCUCUGUAGAUCUUAGUGCCUAGAAUAUAUGCCGCUUCCCCUAAGUCCUUCAUCGAAAAACUAUUUUUCAGUGAAGUCUUUACGGACUCAAGCAUAGGAAUGUUAUUUCCAAUCAGCAAUAUGUCAUCCACAUAUAAGAUUAGAAAUACUACAGAGCUCCCACUAACCUUCUUGUAAACACAAGACUUUUCUUCGUUCUUGGUGAAGCCAAACCCUUUGACCACUUCAUCAAAACGAAUGUUCCAACUCCUAGAUGCUUGCUUCAAUCCAUAAAUGGAUCUUUGAAGCUUGCAUACCUUUCUAGCAUUUUUCGGAUCGACAAAACCCUCAGGCUGUAUCAUAUACAUGUCCUCAGCUAGGUUUCCAUUCAGGAAAGCUGUCUUGACAUCCAUCUGCCAUAUCUCAUAAUCGAAAUAUGCAGCUAUAGCUAGAAUAAUCCGAAUGGACUUAAGCAUCACUACGGGCGAGAAGGUCUCGUCGUAGUCAACUCCUUGAACUUGUCGAAAACCUUUUGCGACAAGUCGUGCUUUAUAGAUGUGAACAUUUCCAUCCAUGUCCUUUUUCUUCUUAUAGAUCCACUUGCACUCUCUGGCUUUAACACCAUCGGCGGGUCAACCAAGUUCCAAACUUGAUUGUUUCCCAUGGACACUAUUUCGGAUUGCAUGGCACUCUGCCAUUUUUCGGAGUCUGGGUCCAUCAUUACUUCUGCAUAUGUCGUAGGCUAAUCACUGUCCAACAAUAAUAUUUCCCGCAUUUCGUGGAGCCUUGCCGACCUUCGUGGUUGUGGCAGUGCUUCUCUUGCCAUGGGUAUCUCAACUUGUUCUACUACGUUAGCAUCACUCAUCGAUUCUUGCUCGAUCGGCUCAUCUUGAACUUCUUCAAGAUGCACUGUCUUUCCACUCUUUUCUCCUUUGAGAAACUCUUUCUCUAGGAAAACCCCAUUCUGAGCGACAAACACUUUGCCCUCUGACCGGUUGUAGAAAUAAUAUCCUAAAGUUUUCCUUUGGAUAUCCCAUGAAAAUGCACUUAUCCGACUUGGGUGUGAUCUUGUCCGACUGAAGUCGCUUGACAAACACCUCACAUCCCCAAAUAUUUAGAAAAGACAAACUGGAAGUCUUUCCAGUCCACAUCUCAUAUGGUGUCUUAACUACGGAUUUAGACGGUACCCUAUUUAGUGCGAAAGCUGUUGUUUCUAGAGCGUAUCCCCAAAAUGAUAACGGUACAUCCGACUAGCUCAUCAUUGAUCGAACCAUGUGUAACAAAGUUCGAUUACAUCGCUCGGAUACACCGUUUCUCUGAGGUGUUCCAGGCGGCAUAAGCUGUGGAACAAUUCCGCAGCUCUUCAGAUGAUUGCUAAAAUCAUGACUCAAAUACUCACCUCCACGAUCAGAUCGCAAGGCCUUAAUUUUCUUGCCACGCUGAUUUUCAACUUCAUUCUGAAAUUCCUUGAACUUUUCAAAGGUUUCAGACUUGUGCCUCAUCAAGUAGACAUAGCCAUAUCUACUAAAAUCAUCAGUAAAAGUUAUGAAGUAUUGGUACCCUCCUCUGGCUGUUGUGCUCAUUGGUCUGCAUACAUCGGUAUUUACAAGUUCCAACAAGUCUAAUGCUCUUUCAGGAAAACCUGUGAAAGGUGCCUUGGUCAUCUUGCCUAGUAAGCAAGCCUCACAUGUCUCGUAUGAUUCAAAAUCAAACAAAGUUAAAAGUCCAUCAGUAUGGAGCUUCUUCAUGCAUUUCUCACUUAUAUGACCCAAACGACAAUGCCACAUGUAGGUAGUACUCAAAUCAUUAGGCCGAGACCUUUUAGCAUUUAUGUUACAGACAGGUGAACCAUCAAGAUUUAAAACAAACAAUCCAUUCACAAUAGGUGCAAAAGCCAUAAACAUAUCAUUCUUAGAGAUCACACAACCAUUGUUUUCACUCGCAAAUGAAUAACCAUCCUUCAUCAAACAUGAAGGAGACAUAAUGUUUUGACUUAAACUAGGGACAAAAUAACAAUUAUUCAAUUCCAUAACAAAUCCUGACGGGAGGUGGAGUUGCAUCGUCCCGACGGUCAAUGCUGCAACUCUUGCAUUAUUACCCACGCGGAAAUCAACUUCUCCCUUUUCAACGCUUCUACUUCUUAUCAUUCCCUGCAUCGAAUUGCAAAUAUGAGCAACCGAUCCGGUAUCAAAUACCCAAGAAUUAAUAAUUGUAUCAGCGAGAAAUAUGUUGUCUAUAACAUUAACAACAAGCGUACCUAAGGUGGAAGUACUCUUACUUCCGCCAUUCUUCAAUGAAGGUAGGUACUGCUUGCAAUUUCUCUUCCAGUGACCAAGUUCGUGAUAAUAAAAGCCCUCUUUGUCUAGAGCAGGUCCAGGUCCAGCUUUAACCUUGGGCGCUGGGUUUGGCUUAGCAGCCUUGCCCUUCUUCUUCCAAGAAUUGCCCUUCUUCUUAAAGCUAGGCUUGUUCUGUAUAGCCACCACAUGGCUGCUAGUAGCACUUUUCUUAAUGUCAGCCUUUGCUGUUUUAAGCAUGCCACACAGUUCAUUUCGACCCUUCUCCAUCCCAUGCAUAUGGUAGUUCGAGAUGAGGUUCCCAUAGUUAGACGGAAGAGACGAAAGAAUGAAAUCAGUGGCCAACUCUUGGCCCAGUGGGAAGCCUAGCUUCUCCAACUAUUGAGUGUAACCAACCAUCUUGAUUACGUGUGGUCCUACUGCUGCACCUUCUGCUAGCUUGCUCUCCACAAAGGCCUUAGACACAUUGAACCUUUCAGUCCUGGUCUGUGUUUGGAACAUGUCUCUAAGCGCCACGAUCAUAUCGUGCACCUCAUGGUUUGUUUUGAACUGCAUCUGCAGCUCGGGUUCCAUGCAAGCAAGCAUAAGGCAGCCUACUUCAAGGUUAGCAUCACAUGCUUUCUUGUAAGCAUUCUUAAUAGCAGCAGGCGCAUCGGCAGCAGGUUCUUCUGGUAAUGGCUUGUCUAGAACAUCUUCCUUUUUCAGCCCUAAGAACAAUUCUCAGGUUACGGAUCCAAUUCGAGUAGUUUGUUCCAUUCAACUUGUCCUUCUGAAGGACCGAACGCAAAGCAAAUGGUGUGGUGUUGUUAGGUGCCAUUUAAUCUACAACAAAAGUAAUGCAAAAUACACUAAGACAAACAUAUCCAUGAUAGAGCAAAUCAUAUUAAACUAUUUAACAUAAUCUACUCCCACUAAAAUCAAUAUCCCUCUAUUGAUACUUAGUGAUUCAGGAUCCACAACUAACAAGUCUACUAGUGAGCUUUAGCAUCACCGCUAGAAAACAAGGUAGAUCGGUAAGCAACUUCUUGCUAAUCAUAUCACGUAUGAUUCCUGUUGUUGGGUGACAUUUCCACAUCUCGGCGCCCAACCUUUAUGCCCCAAGGUCCUUAACCAUUAAGAUAACCUUGUUAAGCAAACCAACCCUUAUGCGUGUAAGUGUCCGACACGAACCCGUCUAGUCAAGGAAAACUAGUGGCACCCUAAUUUCAUAGACCCACCACCAAUUGUACAAGACAUGGGAUGGUACAAGUUUUAGUUGGGAGGACAUACAAACUUAAACUUUGCGAGGGAUCGUUCUACUUCUAACAUCACAUAAUGCAGAAAGUAAAAUAUAAAGAAUAGCAUUCACACAGUUGUGACACAGUAUGGCUUGUUUUCUUAUGGUGAUCUCCAUCUCCAUAGAACCUGUUCACCAUGGUGAUCUCCAUCUCCAUGUCCCAUGUGCGCCAUCCUCCUAGUGAUGAGUCCUCCAAGAACUAGAACAUGCUAUUACACCUAACAGCUAGUAAUGAAGAUUACAUAGUUGCUUGGAUCAUCACAGAUUGGUACGCAGACCAUUAAAUUCAUUAAAGUGACAACACAUAUGGCUCCAGCCUUGUUGCCGUAUGCGUGACACGCAGGUCACGAAUGAGUUACACACAUGCAUCACAUACACAAAGGGGUCAUACUGGUCACAAGAUCCAUCCAUCCUGCAAAACAGAGUUAGGCGUUCUAAUGUUCCAAACUUUAGAGGUUCGUAAAUCCAUCUUCCAAGCUGAAUUUGGGAAAUCUAAUUUCGCCAAAAAUGGCAUAGCCAUUGAAUUUUAUGUGUAACUUUUUCUGUAGAUCAAUUUUCAUAUAAAAUUUGCCUCAAUCUGAGAUCGUACCGAAAAGUUACGGCUGUUUUACCGAAGCACACGCAUACGGCAAAAUUCCGACCCGGUAGUAGAUCCAAUCUACUACUGCACAUCUCACGCGCCUAGCGUAUGAACCUUGAUUUUAAUUCGACCAAUCACAUUGAUCUUCACUUGCUGCAACUGGCAUUAUGUGUAUCACUUAACUCCGAUGGCGGAAAUCCGACCGUUAGGAGUAUGUCGUUACACGAUCAUUGCAGCAAGAACACGAAAACAGGCCAUAGAUCAAUCUGAAAACUCGCAUAUCUCCAUAUGCACACAUCCCGAAUCCAUAACAAAACAGCUACGGCUCUGAUACCACUGCUGGGAUACGAGGUAGGCUACGCUAGCGCAAAACAAAAUUUUUCUACCGCGAAACUGGAAAACUGUCGUAUAUGGAUCACGAGAUUACCACUCGACACACUGGUGCAGAAGAUGUAGAAUCGCGUUGGGGCAGCAAAGUAGAUCAGCGUAGUCAAACACGUAGUUGAUCACAUUGAUGUCGAGCAGCUCCUCAGCAGCUCAUCCACAUGCAGCAAGGUCAUCCUCGUGCCGCGGCUCAUCGUCGGCUCGUCGGGCGUGGGAGGUGCGGCAGAUGUGUUUUAGCCAAAAGGGAUGAAACCCUAGGGCGCCCCACCCCUCUAUUUAUCGAGGUUACUGACAGGCCUCUAGGUCCGAGGCCCAUUAGUACUUCUAAACCUGAUCAAACUCGGAUCAUAUCCGAAUUGGGCUUCCAGACCCUUAAGUGUGUGACCCUAUGGGUUCGGAUACGUAUAGUCAUGGCCCGAGUACUCCUACUCGGCCCAAUAGUCGGUUGCGGCUUCUAGCUUCAAGCCGACCGCUCUUUCUCGAUCCUGUGAAUUGGAAUCCCUUUGUAGGUUAACUCUUAACCGUAUGUAGCAUGGUCAUGCAUUUUCGUUCCAAUCACUCGAGGGGCCCAUAGAUAUCACUCUUAAUUAGAGAGGGGAAAAUCCCAUCUUGAUUGACCAUGUCUCACAGCAUGCUUCUUGACAAACCCGAAAGCUACCUUUUUAACUACCCUAUCACGUUGUAGCAUUUGAUAGCCCCUAAGUAAGUCGAUCCACAUCUUGAGUACAUGCGACAAUCUCAGGUCCGAGGACAAAGUGUACAUGUUGUGUAAAGAGAGAACUACUUCUCAUGUUGGGUCAGUCCUAGCACAUGUCUCCACAUGUGUCCACAUUAUUAGUUCAACAUCUCCAUGUCCAUGACUUGUGAAACAUAGUCAUCAACUAAUAUAUGUACUUGUUUAAUAUUCAUGUGUGUCCACACAUGAACUUUAACUAGGGACAACUUUUAGAAUAACCAUACAAGUAAAGAGUUCCACAUACAAUUCACAUAAUUGCAGAUCAAUUCAAGUAGCCUUUAAUGGAUAUUCAAUGAACACAAUAUAAAUCAUAGAUACAAAUGGAAUAUCAUCAUCUCUAUGAUUGCCUCUAGGGCAUACCUCCAACAAACACAACCCGCAUCGGAGUCGGUUACUAUUUUCUUACAAGCCAAUCUUCAUCUUUGGCUAAUCACCAUGCUGGCCCACUUUAGGCCCACAUCAGCCAAGCCAUUCUGGCUCCCAAUCGGCUAGUCUUCAUUGACUCCCUCAGCCAAUCGGUCGAAACAUUGUAGCUCUAUCGACCGAUUCCUCAACUGUAGCUUCUUGCUUGCUGCAUCGGCCACUUUCUCCUCUUUGACGCCGACCUUAACACGUAUCAAAAUCCGCGUCAACAAGAAGCAAGGCCGACCAAGCACGACAGCUACGAGAGCUACAAGAACAAGUAGCAGCAUCAAAGGCUAGAAUGGAGGAAAUAACAGACCGGCAUAUGGCGCUAGCUCGGAGCAAACAAGGUAGUGAACAAGCAGCUGUUGCAACAUCAGGGCCACAUGUCGACAUGCCCGACUCAGCAUCAAAGCAGUGUUGCUUCCACGGAAGCCCUAGCAGGAGGAUCCACUAAGAUACUUGAGGAAUGCCACCCUGUGGACAACAUCACUGGGAGAGCCCCUUGUGAUCUUGUUACUCCUGUGAAAAACAAGCUCAUAGUGGUGGCUUAUGGUGUGGCUGAGCAACCGACCCAAGGCCAAACACUACAUGGCGUGGAGAUUCUAGCUCGCGGUUAUGCCAAAGUUGGGGUGGACCUAGUGGUUGACGGUUGGGAUGACCUGGAACUAGAGAUCCCUGGAGGUGAUGGGGAAACGAAUCUAGGAGAAGCUAUCCAUGUUUGGAUUCUAUGGCCCAAGCACUACAUAAGGAUUACGCAGCCGAAUCCCUCGACCUUGGGAUCAUCUCCUCAAGGCUGAAGGGCAAGAUCACCUAUGCCAUCUACCAGGACACCCUUUCCACUACCAAACAGGUCUCCUAGCAUGAGUCUAGUACUAGAAAGGGGUCCAAGCAUGAGUCCACCUCCCUUUCCUAUGAAGAAGCGUUCAGUUCCUCCUCCACCUCCUAAGAAGAAGGAGAAGAAGCAAAAGGAGAAGCAACUAGCUGAGAAAUUACCAUAUGAUAUGACAAAUGAGGAGCUAAAGGAAGCAGUGGAAGCUGAGUACAAAGCAUGGAGUGAGGCUCAAAAAGAAGCAUGGAGGCAGAAACAGAAUCAGAAGCCACCACUUGAUAAGCAUGAACUUCGGUCUUCAUCAGAAGAAUGGAGGUAGAGCAAAGGAAACAACUAGAGAAACCUCCGCUAACUUAGAAAGAAAAGUGGGACAACUAUUCCUCAACUCAGAACCCAAUCCAACCAAUCAGUUGCCCCGCUUGUGGUGCUUUCUGAGUUUGAGAAAAACCUACUACAAUUUAGUAAAGAUACAAGUCUGAGAGCAGCACAACUUCAAGGGGAGGAUCACAUCCCAACGCACCCUGUGCCUACUAAAUGGAAAUAUGAGUAUGGUAAACCGCUCGUGUGGCCGCAGUUGGUGAAACGUCUCCCAACGAAGAUGUACAAGUUGCAUGAAUGGUACAUGGACGCUACAACAUAGGGUUUGGCCGUGAUGGAAGUUUAGAUUAGUGAUGAACAUUAUUUUCGUGGGGAUGACACAAUAAAUGUGUUGCUGGAGGAACUGUAUAUGCUAUUCAAUCAAGACGCACUAGACAAGUCACUGAUCAAUUGCUGGGUCCUGUAAGUCUUUAGUAUAUUCCUCUACUUCAAAAUCCCCGCUCUAGUCAAUUUGCAAUGUCUUAACUCCUAUUCAAUUUUGUAUCAUGCAGGAUGGAGAUUCAAACUUGUUGCAGGAACGGAUACCAUGAUGCAUGCUUCAUGGACCCCCAAGUUAUACACCAAGCAAAUCUAAGGAAUAAACCAAAUCGGACCUUAAAGAAUAUAUUUACGUUCCUAAACAAGCAUUUUUACAAGAAGUACACAUUACUAUCGUACAACUUCAAGUGCGCGUGUUUACCAUCUCUUUCUUUUUCGAACUUGCAGUUAAACAUAAUACUAACUAGCUUUAAUUUGGCUGUAGAGCUUCCAUUGGAUACUCCUUGUUACUAUGCCCGAUAUGAGCUUCGUGUAUGUCUUGGACUCCUUGAGGAAACAAAAAAAGAAUACGCUGUGAACAAAGCCUAGGCUCGAUUCCGUCAAACUCACAUAGGUGACUUCAAGGAGGAAAUUGUUUGGAAGAUAGAUUUCCCGAUAGGUGUUGAAUUUUCACAUCUUGUGACACUUCCUUUAAUACAACAAAUAUUUCAUAACUUUUUUCCAUAUAUAUGGUAUUCGAGACAGCCGCCGGGUACUAAUUUAUGCGAAUAUUACGUUUGUGACUGCAUCCACAACUUUAUGAGUCCAAACUGUAUCACCGACCACGAUUUAACCGUACGCAUACAAAAUUCUCAACAAUAAAUUAGUUCAUAUGUAUAUACUUCAAAAACCAAUUCAUGUGUAUAUACUUAUAAAAAUUAGAUUAAAUUUUUCAAUUUAUUUGCUUAUACUUCAAAAACCAAUCCAUGUGUAUAUACAUAGAAAAAUUAGAUUAAGUAUUUCAAUUCAUUUGCUUAUACUUCAAAAACUAAUCCAUGUGUAUAUACUUAGAAAAAUUAGAUUAAGUAUUUCUGAUCAUUUGCUUAUACCUCCAGAAAGUUUCAAUUGUGCAAACCCGUUAUGCAAACCCAUUCAUCUACUAUAUAUAUGAUAAACUUUGUUAAUGGUACAGAUGAUGUACAGGAAGGAAAAACUCCUCGAGACGGAAGUUUUCAAGGUAAUACAAGAACAACUAUAUGGAUUUCUUUUGGAUGAGGUCGUAAAUCCUGCGGGGAGUUCCAUAAUACCGGAUCAAAUCUAUAGCACCGUCAGGACUCGGGUUCGGAUUAGUAGAUACGAUAUGUGUAUGCACAAUAUGUCUAUAUAUAUGUGUAAUAUUUUUCAUAUAUGUGGAUGCACAAUAUGUAUAUAUAUAAUAGUAUCUUAAAUGUAAUAAUAAAGAUAAAUAGAACUUUAUAUAUAUUAGCGUAUUAGAACUAGUAUACGUUAAGAAAAUAAAUAUAAAAUAUGAAUAUAGAAUAAAGAAACAAAAAUAAGAAAAGAAAGAGAAAAAUUAGUACCGGUUGCGGAUACCAACUCAUACUAACGAGGCCACCCCCGUGCGAGUACCAGUUGGUAUCCCAACUGAAACUAAAGGGUACCCUUUAAUACCGGUUAUUUCAACCAGUACUAAAGGAUCCCCCUCUAGUACCGGAUUACUAGUACCGGUUGCACAACCGGUACUAGAGGGAGGUUAUGAACCGGUACUAGAGGCGAUUUUUUCAGUACCGGUUGCACAACCGGUACUAGAGGGAGGUUAUGAACCGGUACUAGAGGCGAUUUUUCCAGUAGUGUAAACUCAUGUGACAGGAACAUAAUCAGCUUCUCAGUCUGUGGUAACAACCGUGCAUGCUCUCCAAGCUAGGAGCAACGUUUAAACGUGAUAAGCUGAAAAAUUAUAAAAAUUGCGAAACUAUAAAUAUUCAUUUAUUUGACUACUUCGUAUUACAGCUCUGAUCUGUCCACGGAGCUGGUCAGACCUGGCUUAGCUCCCCGUGAGGCCGUGACUACUUUGUGAUGAUCAACCUCUGCUGCGCCAAUUCCAAUGGGAUGCUGGCCCCGUGAGGCCGUGAGCCAUGGUGCCUUUAGGUUCUUUUGAGUCCAAUUUAGAUACAGGUUCAGGUCGAAGAAAAGGUAAAGUCCAAGUGGACUUCUGGAUAUAAAAAGGCAACUCUCAUUAAUUGUAGACCAUAUAUGGCCACGUUUUGGAGUUUAUGAAUAGUUUGCACAACGAAAUAAGCGGAUUCUAUACUGGGAAUUGACCCUACUUUCUUUCUUUUCCAUGGAUGAUCAGUUGGAAGAAAACGGCGGUGAUCAAUAUAACAUAUCUUGUUCUUCAAUCUCCUUGAGCAAGGAUCCUUAUCACAACGCACGUAGGUCUAAUAAUCUUUCAUGACUCACCCCGCAAAUGUGCUCAAUGCUAGAUAAUCAUGUAUGCACCAAAUAACCGCAUCAUACAGUUUAAAGGAUUAAUGACUACAAGCAUCGUAUGAAUUGACACCCUUCCAAUGGUCCAACAGCUCAUCUACGAGAGGUUGCAAGAAGACAUCAAAAUCCUUUGAUGGAGAACUCGACCCAAGGAUCAAUAAUGCUAUCAUGAAGUUUGAUUCUUCCAUGCAUACCCAUGGUGGCAUGUUAUACGGCACAACAAAUACUGGCCACAUACUAUAUGAGUUGGUCAUGUUGCCAAAUGGAUUGAAACUAUCAGUUGCAAGGCCAAGUCUAAUGUUCCUAGCAUCUUUUGCAAAUUCCGGCCAAUUUUUAUCGAAGUCUUUCCAUGCCUCACCAUCAGCUGGAUGGCUAAGCUCAUUGUCCACCGGUUUUUGCUUCAACUUGUGCCAUUGUGCAUCCUUUGCGGUUUUUGAUGGAAAAAACAUCCUCUUCAUCUUUGAAACCAACGGAAAAUGCCUCAAUAUCUUCUGAGGAACGCGCUUCUUGUUAUCUACAUCUUUCCAUCUUGAAUCCACUUCACAACACACUGGGCACACAUCAUCUUUCGCUAGCGUCUUGCAAAACAAUACACAAUUAUUCAUGCAAACCUGGAUAGAUUCAUAGCCAACUCCCAUGGCACACAUGUACUUCAUUGCGUCAUCAUAACAUGUUGGAACACAUGCUCCUGUGAAAGCAACAAAUAACACCUUCAGAAUCGCAUUGAAUGCGACAUUGCUAAUCCGAUAGAAAGACUUGUUAUGAAUUGACUUCACAACAAAUGUAAAUUGUGUAUAUUUAGACCCUGGUGACACCGUAAGGUUUAUAUGUUCCUUUAUACAUUCUAACAUUUUCCCUUCAAGCUCUUUAGCGUGGCACAUGUCGGCUAUCAUUUCAGAAAGUCCAUCUUUAGUGCCUCAUCCUCCUCCAUACCCGAUAUGUGUUCGUUUGCUUGAACCAUUUUCUGAUCACCAUUUUCCUGCAAAACUGCAUUAUCCACAACCCCCUCAUCCAGCAAAUUUGCAAUUUCCUCAAACCCAUCAUCCUGCAAAAUUGCAUUUUCCUGAACCCCAUUAUCCUGCAGAUUUGCAUUUUCUGGAACCCUAUACUCGAAUGUUUCUCCAUGAUGGAUCCACCAAGUGUAGGUAAUUGCCAUCCCAGUCAUAAGUAAGUACAGGUUCACCACACUAUAGUACAUCUAGACUGAUUCAGGCAUCCACGACACGAGCAUAAUAUUUUUUCAUCAUUAGAGUAUCUACUCUUAACAAAUUCCAUGAAAUCAUUAACCCCUUUCUCAUGCUCGGGGGUAAAUAGUUGAAUGCAUUAAAUGUGACAUUCCUGAUCUGCUAGAAAGACUUGAUAUGAAGUAACUUCACAAGAAAUGUAAAUUGUGUGUAUUUAGAUCCCUAUUGGUAUUUUUUUCAUUCACAAAUAAAUCCACAAGUGUCGGGCAUACACCCCAAGUCCACGAGUAGGCCUUGGACGGCCCACCAAGGGAUGUACUCGGACAAGAUCAGAACAAGGAUGGGCAUAUUCUACUCGGAUUAGUCAAGUAUGUUUAUGGAAAACUACUCGGGCCAUUACCGAGUAGAACUCUGUAAUAGUACCCAACUAGGACUCAGACUUGUAACCCUGCCCUCCCGUGUAUAUAAGGGCGGGUAGGGACCCCCCUCAAAAUACACAAGAACAACUCCAGUUCAUCAAAUACAAACCAACACACAGGACGUAGGGUAUUACGCGAUCUAGCGGCCCGAACCUGUCUAAAUCAUGUUCCUUGCGUCACCAUUGAUUCCUUGAUUCUCGACGACCCUUACCGCAUAAAAGACCACCUAGGGUACCCCUUAGGCGGGUUGCCGGUCUAAAACACCGACAGCUGGCGCGCCAGGUAGGGGAAGUCGUCGAGUUUCUCAGUGCGAACCCAAUGGCAAAGGUCAUCAUCAGGCCCGUUUUCUUCAUCGAAGCCGGCGCCACCUUCGUUUUCGAAUCCUGGCUUUGCGUCGCCGAAGGCUCGGGUUCGUUCCGGCGCCAGGUCGUUGAUGUUCAGGAGAAGAAACCAGAAAAUCUGAUCAGAAAAAACAAGAUUUCAAGGUCGACGAGUUCGAGUUCGAUUACGCGUUGGAUUCGACUUCGCCUCGGACUACUCCAACCAUCUACUCAGGGGUCGGGCGCACCCGACCCCAGGACUUAGGGUUAGGCGAGGCAGAGUUUCACCCCUCAGGGUCGAACUCGCCUCGGACUAGUCAGUCCCAGCCAGUGUCCAAGUCGGUUUCAACAUCAAAGCGGUUCCCGCACGGACUCCGCAACGCAACCAAAGUCCACCAAGGUUUUCUUACUCGAACCCGAUUCGAACUCGAGCAUGACGAAGAUGUCGACUCCGACUCGUCUUAUUCACCAGAGAUACCAUUAUCUGGUCCAGCCCAAGGAUUGGUAAUAACUUUGACAUCACAAGGCAGAUUCGUCCAUUGGCCGGGAUUGCGACCGCCUCUUCUCAACCGUGACUACGACUCGCGCCUUGUCGCCCAUAUAGACAACCUUCCAUAUCAAGAAGGCGUUCCACUCACUUCCAAUCGCGAGGAAAGUUCCACAGAGAUUGCAACAUUAAGCUUUGGAAGCUACUACCCGGACAGGAAGAUACUUGUUAUUACUCAGAAUAACAACCCAGGUACUAGCCAGAACAGAACCCCUAGGCGAUUAGCACAAAUUGACAACAUCUCCGAAGAUGAGUCUACAGCUAACGCCCCUCACGAUGAAACCUCCGAGCAGCGCAACCAAAGAAGGGUGCGCAAUUCUACUCAAGCCGAGCGACGACAGUUGAUGGCUACAAAUAUUCCCAUCACAAAUCUUGAAAGGGUUUUCAAUGCAGUCCAGGCUCAGGAGCACAAUACUCAACUCGCGGCUAUCGCCUCAAUCAACCUUUUAACAACAUUGAUGCCUUAGGAUAAGGAUAACGCAGCCACAGCUCAACUCAUGCAGCACGGCAACGGACUGAUCGCACAACUCGUGAAGCAAGCUUACAAGCUACUCGACAAAGAAUCACCAAUCCCGUCUGUUCCUCAUAUCACAUCUCAUCAAGAAGGUAGCAGGGGAGCUGCAAACAAUAACACCGCCCCACGACACGAUAACGCAGUCAACCAACCUUGGCAACACAGCCAAGGUCCAAGCAAGCAUAAGGCCCCUGCUCGACAUAAGGAUGUUGGUGAGGUCAGCUGCACCAACUCGGUUAAAAACAUCCGCCCUACUCGGAAGAACCAUGAAAUGUCCAACUUCAGUGAUUUGCGAGAAAUUCUCAACAGUCGGCGCGAACGGGAAGUCGACAGCUACAACCAUUUUCCUACUUUCACAAACCGGGUAAUGAAAACAAAAUUACCCGAUAAGUUCAAGCCAACCGGAAUCACCAAGUAUGAUGGAAAGCAAGACCCAAUUCAAUAGCUACGAUGUUACUUGCUAGCCGUCCAAGCAGCCGGGGGCAAUAACGACACCAAAGUUAUCCAUUUCCCCAUAUGCAUGGAACCCGCACCACUGACCUGGCUUGAGUCACUCAAACCCCAGUCCAUUGAAUCUUGGGCAGACUUGACAAAGGCUUUCACCAACAACUUCGCCGGCUUCAUGGCUAGACCAGGCAACAAGAUCGACUGAAGUCAAAUUAAGCAAAAAGAAGGCGAGACCCUACGCGACUAUCUGCGACGGUUCUUCGAAAAGAAGGCUACCAUAGUUGACAUCUUCGAAACAGACGUCAUUGAGUGCUUCCAGAAUGGACUCUAUGAUCGACGAACAUACCAAGACUUCGGUCGCCGACGACCAGCUGAUGUCAAAGAACUCAAAGUCAUGGUGCAACAGUGGGUGGAUGAAGAAGACAAAGAGCGAGAACGGUUCGGCUCCCACUGUAACCGCGGACGCGACAACAACCACAACAAUGACCCAGAUAGAACUCGGCAUAACGAUGCUCGGAACACUUAUUCGAGUAACCACAAUCGCAAAAGGAAGCCCGACAACACUGUUGCUACCAUGACCAACUCCGGGAAAAAGGGACACCGCAGAAACGAUGAAGGGCCAACCUUCACUGAGCUACUCAAAAAGCAGUACCCAUGGCAUCCGACUAGCAAGCACUCAGUGAUAGACUGCUACAGCAUGCGCCGAGUCAUGCAAGACUUACCUGCACCACCACCCCCUGAAGAGUACACCAAGAAUAGAGAUAAGGGUAAGAAUAAAGCCCGCAACGACGAAGAUGAAGAAGGCGACUUCCAGACAGCUUCAAAAACCGUCAACGUCAUUUUCAGCAGUAUCCCAGGCACUGCAUCCAAGCGAGCCAACAAACUCGUACUUAGGGAGAUCAUGGCCAUCGAACCAACGGACCCUACACUGUUAAAAUGGUCAGAAGUUCCAAUUUCUUUCAGCAGAAAAGAUCAAUGGACAAAAUUUUUAGAACCAGGUCGUUUCCCACUAGUCCUGGAUCCAGUUGUGGCAGGAUCAAAGUUAACCAAAGUACUCCUCAACGGCGGGAGCAGCCUCAACGUUAUCUUCGCCAAGACAUUAAGGAAGAUGUGCCUCGACGUUACUGAAAUGCUUACCCCAACGGAUUCACCUUUCUACGGCAUCGUGUCUGGAAAUGCGGCCAUACCACUAGGACAAGUUGUCCUUCCAGUCACCUUCGGCACUAAAGAACAUUACCGUACCGAGUACAUCAGAUUCGAAGUCGCAGACUUCGAGACAUCUUACCAUGCUAUACUCGGACGGCCAUCACUCGCCAAGUUCAUGGCCAUACCACAUUAUGUCUACCUGGUACUCAAAAUGCCAGGCCCCAAGGGGGAGCUCACGCUACGAGGAGAUCUACGGCGAUCCUACGAAUGUGACACUGAAGCCGUGGAAAUUGCUGUGACUACUCAAGCACCCAGUCCCAUACAACAAGUCUUCACAGCUUCAAAGAAGCUCAAUCCAACCGAACUAGAGAUCCCGGAAAACAAGUCGGGGUCCACAAAGGUGAAACCCGCCAGUGAGCAAGACUUCAAAUAAGUUGACCUCCAGACAGGUGAUCCUUCCAAGACAGCCCUGAUAGGAACAGGGCUAGAUCCUAAAUAGGAAUUCGCGCUCGUCAGCUUCCUUCGGGCUAACCAUGAUAUCUUUGCUUGGAAACCGGCUGACAUGCCAGGUGUGCCCAAGGAACUGAUUGAGCAUUCUCUCAAUGUCGAUCCCAAAGCUACUCCAAAACAGCAACGACUCCGCCGGUUCGCUCAGGACAGACGAGAAGCAAUCAAAAAAGAGUUAGCGAAGCUACUCACGACAGGGUUCAUCAAAGAAGUCUUUCAUCCUGACUGGCUCGCCAAUCCUGUGCUUGUUCGUAAGAAAAACAACGAAUGGAGAAUGUGUGUUGACUACACCGACCUCAACAAACACUGCCCAAAAGACCCUUUCGGGCUACCCAGGAUCGAUCAGGUGGUUGACUCCACCGCUGGGUGCACUUUGCUAUGCUUUCUCGACUGCUACUCCGGCUAUCACCAGAUAAGCCUCAAAGAAGAAGAUCAAUCCAAAAUAGCGUUCAUCACGCCCUUCAGAGCUUUCUGCUACAAAACAAUGUCCUUCGGACUAAAAAAUGCAGGAGCAACUUAUCAAAGGGCCAUACAGAUGUGCUUCGAAAGGCAAAUUCACCGUAAUGUCGAAGCUUAUGUCGAUGACGUCGUUGUCAAAACAAGAAAUCGGGAAGAACUCAUUGCUGACUUGGAGGAAACUUUCUCUAGUCUCCGCGCUUUCCGAUGGAAACUCAAUCCUACUAAGUGCGUCUUUGGAGUACCUUCUAGUAAGCUACUCGGGUUCAUCAUUAGCCAUCGCGGCAUUGAGGCCAACCCGGAAAAAAUAUCUGCCAUCACAAACAUGCAGGCACCAGCCAGCAUUAAGGAUGUGCAGAAACUCACAGGCUGCAUGGCCGCUCUCAACUGGUUCAUCUUGGGACUUGGAGAACGGGGACUACCCUUCUUCAAGCUUCUCAAACGCCAGGACAAGUUCAAAUGGAUGGAAGAGGCAGAUGAGGCACUAACACAACUCAAAGACUUUUUGUCAAAGCCUCCUGUACUCACCGCUCCUUCUCCGAACGAAGACUUGCUCCUAUACAUCUCAGCUACUACUCAUGUCGUCAGCACGGCAAUAGUAGUCGAACGGUUUGAACCGGGCCACGCUUACAAGGUCCAACGACCUGUCUACUUCGUCAGCGAAGUACUCUCGGACUCCAAAACUCGGUAUUCACCGAUACAAAAGCUCUUAUACGCUAUUUUGCUCACCUCCCGGAAGCUGCACCAUUACUUCCAAGAGCACAACAUCACAGUCAUCUCCGACUUCCCGCUCGGCGAAAUUCUCCACAACAGAGAUGCCAUGGGUAGAAUCUCCAAAUGGGCAGUUGAACUCGAAGCUCUCACGUUGAACUUCAAGCCAAGGACAGCCAUCAAGUCCCAGGCUUUGGUCGACUUCAUAGCUGAAUGAACUGAAAAUCAAGUUCCAACACCAGUCGAACGACCAGAACAUUGGGUAAUGUACUUCGACGGAUCCCUCAAACUUGAAGGAGCCGGUGCAGGCGUAUUACUCAUCUCCCCCAGGGGAGACCAGCUCAAGUACGUGCUGCAAAUAUUCUGGGAAGCAUCUAAUAACGAAGUCGAGUACGAAGCACUGCUACACGGCCUUCGCCUCGCAAUCUCCCUCGGCAUCAAACGACUACUAGUGUAUGGCGACUCUCUAGUCGUUAUAAACUAGGUCAAUAAUGAGUGGGACUGGAACAAGGACAACAUGGACGCUUAUUGCAAAGAAGUCCGCAAACUGGAAACCAUGUUUUCUGGCUUGGAAUUUCAUCACAUCGUCCGCGACAACAACGUUGCCGCCGACGUCUUAUCCAAAAUGGGCUCUACUCGCGCAGAGGUUCCAGCAGGAAUCUUUGUACACGAACUGCGCAAGUCGUCAAUAUACGAUCAAGUCACACUGCUAGCAAUCCCGACUGCUAACGUCUCUCAUGAAAUCAUGAUGAUAGAAGUCGACUGGAGGACACCCUUCAUCAACUAUAUCAAAGAUCACCAGCUACCAUCCGACAAAAAUAAAGCUGAGCAAACCUCCCGGCGAGUAAAAAAUAACGUUCUAGUCGGAGACAAGCUCUACGGGAAAGGUGCAUCGUCUGGAGUACUCAUGAAGUGCGUCACCAGAGAAGAUGGCCAAGAAAUCCUAGAAGAGAUUCACAGAGGAAUCUGUGGCAACCACGCCUCUUCGAGGACACUAGUUGGCAAGGCUUUCAGAGCAGGUUUCUACUGGCCAAUGGCUCUAGCUGACGCCAAACAACUAGUUUAGAAAUGCAAAGGUUGUCAAUUCUUCACAAAACAGCAACAUGUACCGGCCUACAAGCUAGUCACAAUACCUCCAACAUGGCCGUUUGCCUGCUGGGGGCUCGACAUGAUAGGUCUGUUACCAACUGCGCCAGGAGGAUUCAACAGAGUACUCGUGGCAAUCGACAAAUUCACCAAAUGGAUCGAGGUCAAACCGGUCACUUGCCCCAAGGCAGAUUGGGUCCUCAACUUCUUGGAUGAAAUCGUACACUGCUACGGUUUUCCCAACAGGAUUAUCACAGACCUAGGGUCAAACUUCAAUAAUCACGACUUUUGGGAAUAUUGCGAGAACAGCGGCAUCAACAUCCGCUAUAUCUUGGUCGCUCACCAGCGAGCCAACGGACAAGUCGAGCGUGCUAAUGGCAUGAUACUCGACGCCCUGAAGAAAAGACUACAUGACGUUGGCAACACCAGAGGUGGCAAAUGGCUCAAAGAGUUACCAAAUGCUUUGUGGGGCCUCCGUACCCAACCGUGGAAGACUACGGGGCUAUCACCCUAUUUCCUGGUAUAUGGCUCGGAAGCCAUACUACCCGCUGACAUCAUGUGGCAAUCACCAUCCGUUGAACAAUACCAUGAAGAACUGGCAACAGAAACACGACGAACAGAUAUAGACAGUCUAGAAGAAACAAGAUGCGCGACACUAGUACAAUCUGCGAGGUACCUUGAUGGUUUAAGGCGUUACCACGACCGCAACGUCACGGAAAGAUCUUUCAACUCGGGCGAUAUGGUCCUUAAGCGUAUCCAAGACACGUCAGGAUUUGCAUAAACUCAAUUCACAUUGUAUCAAAGGUUACGGGACCCGGAUCUUACAAACUCCAAGAGCUUUCAGGAGAACACGUACCGAACUCUUGGAAUAUAGAGCAUCUUUGUUGCUAUUACCCAUAGCAGUAUCCGAGUAACUGUUUCAAGGCAAUAUCUCAUGAUGACUACUUGGGCCAACUGCCCAACUACCGACUUCAAGAUAUCUCAGCUUCGACAAGAGUUUUCAGCUCAACAAGGAUCAUUGCCCUGGUAUAAAAUAUCCGUAUCAAUAUUUCUUUAUUGAAACAAGGAUACAUCAGGUUACAUACGAGUACAAGUACUCGGAAUACACGAAGACUACAAGAAACUGCCUACUGGCGGGCUGCAUUUAAGCCUCAGGCUUUUACUAUAUCACAAGGCCACUCAGGUCUGCCGACCACAAGGGGAAGGGCCCACACACAAGGAAGCUGCGCAAAACGCAGCCAUACCUAGGUACUCUACCCAAGGCAACGCCAGGAACUCCAGCAUUGCCAUUACCUUGACAGCGGCAAUGAAGAAUCCAGCACGACGCGCCUAGAGGGAACCAAGGCUGCUCUUUUGCUAGCCUUGCAGAGCCAAUCCAAUCUACGGCCACACCUCCACCUCUCAGAGAGCGGGAUAAAGACCGCGGCACUCAUCACCCAUCACUCGCAAGUUCCAGCACGUACCCCACUGGAUCAUGAGCUGCAAGAUGAGGCAUGCGACAAAACCUCCUACGAGGAUUCUUCUAGCAUCGCGGCUAUCCCUACGAGCGCAGGAGUCUGUGGAGGGAAGGUGGCCUCAAUCUAUGAGGAAUCUUCUAGCACCGGUGCACUUUCUGACGGCUCUCUACACUCAAACAGAAGCAACCGAAGGCAGUCCAUCGCUGAUCAGGAACUUGAGUUGGUUCGCUCACCAGAUGGCUCUAUUUAUAGUCGAAUGCCGCAACUACCACCUGCCAAAGAGUUACCAUGCACCCGUGAUCAAUGAGUCUAGCAACUCCUGACUUCGCCCACGUGACGGUACUUGCGCCACAAAGGAUAAAAGAGUACAGUCCACCCGUGCAUCCACAAAGGACAAAGUACAGUACACCCGUGUUCCUCGAAAGACGAGUACUCGACAAGCAUUACGACUACUCGACACUCAGGACUACUACAAGCCAGGUGUGGCCUAUGUUCACACCAUUAUCUCGGGGGCUCGGACUACUCUGACCCUCCGCUCAAGGGUCGGGCGCAUCCGACCCCAGGAUUCAGGCUCGGGCGAAGCGGAGUUUUUUACCCUCACAGGGGUCAGGCUUAGCCGACCCCAGGACUCAGGGUCAGGCGAGGCGGAGCUCCUCCCCCAGAGGGUCAGGCUCAGCUGACCCCGGGGCUUCGGAUCGGACAAGCUAGAGUAAAACUACCCUUUGCAAGACAGCAAACAAGUCCAAUAUCCAUUUAUCAAAAAGUAUCGUUCAAAAUACUCGACACAAGUAGAAGAGUGCAUACAAAGCUCAAGGCUCUUCUAAAGAGACAAACUCCGACAUCUUCGAUGCAAUAGGCUCCGCCUCCUCGAGGUACUGCGCAUAUGCCUCUUCUGUGCAGUUGCGGGCCACGCCAUCACCAGCUGCCACCAAGUCUGCCCUCGGGUAGUAGGACUUCACAACUACAAGGACCUAUUUGCAAACAGUCUUGCAAAGUCCCACCACUCUACUCGGGGUAGCCUUCAAUCGCUUGACUAGUGAUUGCGGCCCUGCGCCUUCUUCCACGGGGGCUCUGGUGUUCACCAAGUCUUCAGCUACUACAGACAGCUCUUGGAGUUCGCCCCGAAGUUUUCCCAUGGUCUGGGCAUGAUCUCUUAAUGCCCCCAUGGCCAUGGCAAGCAUCACGCCAUUUUGCAUCUUUCGGUCCCGCUGAUGUUCGCAAGCAGCCUGUGCUUCCGUCAGCGCAGCCUGAAGAUGUUCGGCUUCAUCCGCCACUCUGUCGUGCACGUUUCUCCAGUUAAGAACUUGGCUCCUUGCAGCCGCCUCUUGCUUUUUGAGCUCUACAAGACAAAAAACUCAACCACAGCCCAACUACAGUUGGACACAACCAGAGUAGGCGAAAUGCUUACCUUGAUACUUCUUGUUCAGCGACUUGUAGCGGCUCUCCAGUUUUUGCUGCAGAACCGCGAGAUCCGUGCGUUCCACGGCAAAAGACUUUGCCCCAACUUCAUGAACCCUCAGAGCUUCUGUCAGUCGGGCACAUUCCUGCUCCAGUUGAUGACUUUGUUCCUGAAAAAGUCCGAGUAUGGAGUGGUGAGUUUCAAGCCUCACAACUACUCAGGUCAUGCAACAACUCAACAAGAAAAUUUACCUGGAAGCUCCGGAAAACAUCGAUGGCCUUCUGGAACUCCAAGUUGGAUGGCAGGGUGACCACCGGUCUUUGAGUACUUUCAGCAAGAUGAGGAGUUGUACCCAAAAUGGCACCUACAUCAUUUAUCGUCAGUCAACCGCCUGCUACGACUACAAUAACAAGACUACAGAAACAUACCUAGAGCAGUUGCUUCUUUGGUUUUUUCAACACUCACUACGGCCAGUGAUCCGCCAGUAGAUGCAGAUAAGGCAGCACUUCCGGAACCCGAUAAAGCGGCGAGAACUUCCGCCGAACGGAUGACAUCUUGAAGCAUCGACAUGGUAGCUCCAAGAUGACCGGCGUCAACCCCGGGCACCUCCUCAACAAUUAAAUCCUCAAAAGGAGCAGAUAGUAUAGUCAGGGGAUCCGACCCUACCCCUGCCUCCACAGGGAUAGUUUCUUCCGCAUACCUCCAUCAAGACAAGUCAUUAGACGACUUCAAAAUGACCUAAAGAUAUACAUCGGGUAAAGUAAGCUCACCGAGUCGAGCGUGGCGGAAGUCGCACACAUUUCUUCUCGACAACAGGUGGCCGAGUAAUUGGUGCUGUAGGAACAACCGUCGGCAUCGUCUUCUCGCCAAGACCUGUAAAGCAAAGGUCAAGACUACAAAUCCACUCGGAUCAACGAAUCUAGCCGGGGCAGAACACUUACCACUGGCGAUCACACUGGACAGUAAAGAACCAGUAGCGAGUACUGGCGACACUUCCUUUACAACACCCGCUGAUUCAGCAGGUAACCCUAGGACCGUCUGGUUAGCAAUGGGUGGCAUGGCAGGCGAUGGAGUCGGCACGGAUAGCUCGGGGGCUACUCCAGUUUCUGUUGAUGGCACCUUCUCCGGCACCAUGUCAACAGAUACAUUAUCGACUUCUGGGUCGGUCACGACCAUUUCUUCAGAAAUAGCCUCAUCAUCACCAAGCGUCGUAUCAGCCUUUACGAACAAGACAAAAUUCGUCGCAUCAAUAGCAAGCUCAAAUUCAUCAGCUACAGAUACGCUCACGACUACAUACCUUGGUCCCUCGAGACUUCUCAGGGGUUGAAGCAGACUUAGCCGCAGACAUCUUGCGGACUACUCUGUGUCUCUUGACAGGAGGAGAAGGCUCGUCCUCCGACUCCUCAGCAACAGCUUCUGACUCUUCUUCCGACUGCGCCAAGUAGCCGGCAAGAACUUGAGACUACAAACAACUAGUCGGUAUCAACAACAAAUAUCACAUAAGUCAAAAGAGAACAAGUCAGGUGCAAAAGACAUACCACUUCUGGCUCAUACCAGGCGUCAUACUGAUGCAGAGCCGCGGGGAUUACUAGUACUCCCUGGUAGUUCCUGAAAAACUUGGCCAGCAGCGCCUCUACAUCAUCAUCGGAUAUAUCCUCAUCGGACAUACGCGAUGGAUCUUUAAGACCUGUGUACUCACUUCCAGAGUAAGCACGUUUUUGAAGCAGCUGAACUCUUCUCUUCAAAAAGUUGGCCGCCAUGUUAAUCCCAGUUAGCCCGAGUGCCUUCAACUCGGUGAUUUGCUGCAUCAGGUGAUCCAGCUCGGGAGUAUCUUCAGGUUCGCUCACCCAGUAUUCUGCAUGCUUGGGCACGUGACCAGUCACCACAGGCAAGCGAGGUUCAUGGUUCCCGAUGUAGAACCACCUUUUUUUCCACUCCCCAUGGGAGUCAGUCAAAUUAUACUCAAUAUAUACGCCCGAGUUCCUGAGUUGGAACCUGGUGCCUCCAAAGACUUCUGUCCUAUGGACACUAGGCUGCGGCUUACAGCGAAACAGUUUCCUAAACAACUCGAUACUCGGAUGAACUCCCAAGUACACUUCGCAGAGGUGUACGAAAAUCGACAUAUGCAGUACACCGUUGGGGUUCAAAUGGACAAGUUGGAGUUUGUAGAACUCGAGGAUACCUCUGAAGAAGUCCAAGGUGAGCACCGCCAACCCCCUCUCCACAAAGUGUGCGAGCAUCACUAUCUCGCCUGGAUGCUCCUCAAAUUGCCAUGCAUUGGGAAAUGCGGGGAGCCACUCUAGAAUUUCUUUCGGCUGAAGAAGCUUCGCAUCGACUAGUGCUUGAACGGCCUCCUCCUUUAUCACUGAAUGUUGCCAGGUUGCCCUAGGCGGCGGCGGUGCAGUCUGGUUCAUCGGCCCCACCUUCGGCGCCGGCAGCACCAGCUCCUUCACCUUCUUGGAUUUCGCCUUGCCCAUCGCUGGAGCCUGGCCCUCGAUCUUCUCGGGUUUCUUGCCCAUCUUCUUAGUGCGCAUCCGACGGACUCAACUUCAAGCUAAAAUGAUACUCUCCCUCGGAUCUCCCCCAAGGGACGACAAUGGCGGCGGUGGCACUUACGGCGGCGCAAAUGUGGAGCAGAAGAACAGGGGAGGCAGAAAAACAGAUCUGAUUACCGUACGGCAUAAAACCAACCGAAAGGGUACCUUCCACUUUUAUCUCUGCCAGCUCCGAUUCCCAUGCGUCAGUUGCGCAACGGACAGAUUAAUUGCAGAUUAAUCGCCUUUAAACACUCAACGGCUACUCUUUUCAAUGGACUGCUGACCACUUCAACGACAGAGAUUGCCCAAGUGCUCGGGGGCUGCGGGUACCGUACCCGUUGGUCAGUUUUUUCAUUUUUCCCAAGAUCUCCAAGGGUAAAAUGGACAAAAGCUAGUUUGACCCUAAGCUUGACUCUUCGACUCAACCUAAGGCUUGGAGGCUACUCCAUAUGGAGUGCGAUUGACAUCGCACUACCAUAUAAAAUUACUCAGGACGGAAACAACUCGAAGGAACAAAAAGAGUACCUUCUAGCCACGCGACAGUACUCGAGCAUUUCAGUCUGCAACCUCUACGACUAGCUACUUGGAUAGUGCCCGCAGUGCCCAAGACUGUGGUGCACGACUACAAAGUACUCGGGGGCUUGUCGGGCAUACACCCCAGGUCCACGAGUAGGCCUUGGACGGCCCACCAAGGGACGUACUCGGACAAGAUCAGAACAAGGAUGGGCGUAUCCUACUCGAACUAGUCAAGUAUGUUUAUGGAAAACUACUCGGGCCAUUACCGAGUAGAACUCUGUAAUAGUACCUGACUAGGACUCAGACUUGUAACCCUGCCCUCCCAUGUAUAUAAGGGCGGGCAGGGACCCCCCUCAAAAGACACAAGAACAACUCCAGUUCAUCAAAUAUAAACCAACACACAGGAUGUAGGGUAUGACGCGAUCUAGCAGCCCGAACCUGUCUAAAUCGUGUUCCUUGCGUCACCAUUGAUUCCUUGAUUCUUGACGACCCUUACCGCAUAAAAGACCACUGGGUUGCCAGUCUAAAACACCGACAGCAAGCUCACGGAUAUAACGUUUUAACACUUCACCUGGAGAGUAUUCAGGGUAUCAUUAUUUAUAUUUUCCCAAAGGAAGCAUCCGUCAAGGUACAAGCGUGGGGGAGUGCCGUCAGGCCGGCACUUCCCCAAACUACCCCUCACUCUCUCCCUAUUUUCUAUGCACUAUGGAGGUAGGGCUUUGCCUUGGAGUGGAGCUUUUCUCUUCUCUUGUGUGUUGUGUGCUGAAUGGACAGGAAGUGGUCCUUUUAUAGUGGAGAGGGAGCCUUGGGGGAGUGGAGAUCCUAAGGAAUAUCCCCCUAUUCCCUCCACUUGUGAAGGAACCGACGUCCAAGUUCAUUUGCUUCGCGCCAAACCGCUACAACCGCCAUAGGGAGAUCCGGAGGGAGCGACACGUGGAGGAUGAGCGCGAGAGGUUCCAUGGGUGAUUUGGCCAAACUAGGGGUUCGGCCGAACCCUCGGGGUCACCCCAAGCACCGCCUUUCAUCCGGGAUGUUGUCCAGUGGGCCCUCAUGUGGGUACAUGGGGUCUAGUACGGAGUUAGGUCGGUUUUCCCUAGUUUGUGGGCCCAUGGAUCCAUGUGUUUCCCUCUGAUUGGUCAUGGGUUUGUUUCUUUACUCCUUGAGUGUGUUUUGAGCAUGUUUAUCCCCGUGUGCAGACAUGAUCUCCUGUAAACAAUGACUAACCAAAGCUAGUGGAAAUGGUUAGAAUUAAACCCCAAUCUCUAGUUUGGUGAUUGUUAUUUCACUGAUCUUUAUUACAGUUGUCGGUCAGAUAUGACAUUUAAGGACCGUCAACAACACCCUCACACUUACCCCUUUGCUCAUUCUCGAGUGAAGGUUGAAGGACAAAGGUGGAACAUCUCCUGGACUGGUAUGAUACUUGCAUAUAAGUUAUUCCAAACCUCACCUGUACUUGUGAACUUUGAAGUGUCUACCAUGCCAUCUUGGGUGGUUGAGGAAUGGAAUGGAUUAGAAUCAAGUCAUAUUCACUUCUGCUACUCAAAUAACUUGGCUUUUUGAAAGAUUUUCAAAUCAAAACAUAGUCUUGCUCCUCGAAUGUAUAUGGUUCUCUCAAAUCGCUCAAUGUGUAUGGUUUCUUACCAAGGCUUUGACUUGCCUAUUUUCUUCCUACUUCUAAUAAGUCUUUUUGUGGAGCUUAGGGUAGGGGAUGAAAAGGAAGCAUAUUUGUAUUGCAUAUUUUGCAAAGUCAAAAACCAGAUCCAAGGAGAAAACAAGUCAUACAAUCCGAUCAAGAUGUGCAUGUGUGUGAAUAUGUGGAUGGUGGAUGGAGGAUUUAUGGAAACUUCUUUUUUAUAUGAUUAAUCUCCCUUUGUAAAUGUUUUGAGAACAUUGCUAUCUUUCUCUUUUUUUAUAUACUUGGACCUUCAUGUGUCCAACUCUUUUUAUUAUAUACUUGGACCUUCAUGUGUCCAUAUAUUUCUUUUUCUCUACUUGGACGUUCAUGUGUCCAUUUUUUUUGAUACCCCAUGUCUCUUUUGUAACAAUAACUGGAGAGAGAUAUCAACAUAUAUAGUGAAGCAUUUAUUUUGUGGAAUGGAUGGAUGGAUGGCAUGUUUUGUGCAACUUCUAGUGUAGAAGUUAGCAUACAAAUGUGGGUUGUACGUGAUCUUGAUCAUGAAAGUAUGACAAGUUUCUCACAAGGGUCACAACAGUUUUACAAAGCUCAAUGAAAAAAUAAGUAGCAUAUGUAUGAGGUAUUUUUUCAAUGUGGUCAACAUAUGGCUUUGGUAGGAAUUUAUCAUCAUUGAGGAGUCAAGCUAUUGAUUUUGAAUUUUCGCAAGAUAAAAUUCCCAAGUACUUUGCAGGAAAAAGCAAAGUUUCUUUCAUCAUACCAUAUCUAAUUCGUCAACUACUUAGAUGACAUGCUUUCCCUAUGAAAAAUUGUUCACAAGUAACAGGAAUAUUAGCGAGGAAUAAAGAAUAUGCAAGCCAACCAUAGGAAAGGCAUGUUCGUCAUGAGGAGAUAGGAAGGUUCAUUGAGUUUAAUUUUAGUGAUCAACAUAAAAUUUGUUUAAACUCAAUAAUUUAGGGAGUUAGAGGGUUGUGUUGCACAAACUAUUGUUGAAGAGGAUGAAGAGGGAACUGAGGGGAGUUAGAGGUGGUUCGGCUGAACCGAAGGUUCAUUCGUCCCCCUCUGGAGUCCAUUUGUCCUAUUCUACUACAGAUUGUACCGUCCGAUGUUGUGCAACAUGUUGGUGGGAGAUCUCAAAUGAGUGUGCGUCUGGUAAGCUUGAGAGAUCUCCCCCACACUUAUUCUUGUACCUGUUUUUACCAAAAGUGGAAACAAGCAAGGACUCUGCCGGUUGUAAACAUCAAGGAGUCUAAAUUUUAUUGAAUCAAGGCGCAUGAAGGGUUUGAAAUGCCUAAAGUUCGUUUUGUUUUAUUAUAUUUAUCUUUAUUGUAUCAUGGUAAAUUUGGCAUGAUGGGUAACUUAGCAAGGUGGAAAUAUGGGGAAAGGAUGCACGAGGUGUUUGGGAUACUUACCUAACAAAUCUCCCCAAGCGUAGAACAAAAAUGCAAGAGUUAAGCUUUAUAUGCAUGAAGCAAAGCUUUGUAUUUGUUCUACUUGGUUCCUCGUGCAUCUGUCUUCCCAUGGGACCAAGGAGCGUUGUAUUAGUGUUGCAGUUAUUGUACACUGCUCCUUGGUUAUUUAUUUUAUUCCCUGCAAAAGGUUAGUGGACAACAAAUACUCAUGGGACGCUUAAAGAAUUUUGAAAGGAUUUCAUUUUUGCCUUGAGAUUUGUUGUUCAUAUCCACUCUUAAGGAAAAUCAGAGAUUCAAAUAGCAUGGAUCCCAAAAUGCUUGCUAUUACUUUAUUUCAUCAAAAAAAAUUGAGAGACUCUUUUAUUUUAGAAAGUUUCUUUUUUUUAAACCUUAUUGUUCACUAAAUUUUUUGUCUUUUCAGCAUAACUCAAACAAGGCUGAGAUAAAAUUGCAGGAACAAAAACAAGGGGUAUUUGGCAGUAUAACUCACAGUGCACAUUGAACGGUGAUAUGUGCCUCCUUUGUAGGUCGUGCAAUUUUUUUUGUUGAAGUGUGUCCUGGUCCUUGGUUUAUCUCCAGUAUGAAUUUAGCUUGAGGACUUACCCAUCUAUUUGAAAGCUUCCCUAUAGGGGUUAGUCCAGAAAAGAUAUGCAUCCAUAGUCUAUGAUAGUAUUAACUCUAACAGUUCAUGAAUCAAACUUGACACCAUGUCUUAUUUGAUCAAAGAAGGCUAUUUUAACCUAAGCACCAUGCUUAAUUUAAAAAGCCUACGGGUGUACCACGUGAGAACACCCAAACCAGAGCAUACGAAAAUAAACAAAGGAAGCAUGAAUUUAUAUGAUCAAGCUAUGUUCAUAUGGAGAUAAAUAUGAGUAAAGGAUUGGUGAAUCUUACCUUCACAUACCUGAGUAUUCUUACCAGCAGCAUAUGAGGAUGGAUGCCUUGGAAUUGCUGCAGCAGCGUCAUGGUCUCCAAUGGUUGUCGAUGACUCCUUCGUUUUAGCGAAGGAAGGCACUUGACCAUGCCAACUUGGGUCAGCAAUACGGCUAGGCCUCACAUGACCCUAGUGUGCAGGAACCAUGGGCCUUGGUGGCAUGAUUCCAUUGGCACAAUGCUGUAGGAUUGGAGGUGUAGGGUGCGUCCCCCUCAUGCAUGUGAGCAAGUGCCAAACGAAGUGGAGUUGCAAAGGCCUGAAAAGAAGAGGAGCAUUCCUCUUGUUUGUAUGCACGCAGGGGUUGCUAGAGCGAAGGUUAUGCAUAGCUGGGAUCGGAUGAAGAGUAAGCCUAGGCUAGCACGCACUCGUGAGGGCAAGGGUAGGUGGAGCUAAGCGGCAAAAUGAUAUCUAUCAAGGUGCAAUGCCAUGGCGUGGAGGCACGCUCACAAUGCGGCCUUUGAUCCAUGUAAAGCUUGCCGGCUCACUCUCUUCUUCCUCUUUUUUUCAUCUCUCUCUUUCUUUUUUUUAUAUAUCCUUUCUUGUUCUUCUUUUUUCAUCUUUCUUAUUUUCUCUCUUUUUUAUAUCUCAUUUUCUUUCUCUUCUUUUUUUCAUAUCUCUUUUUCUUUCUCUUCUUUUUUCAUCUCUUUUUUCGUCUCUCUUCUUUUCUUUUUCUUUUUCUUUUUUCUUUUUUUCUUCUCUUUUUCCUUCCUUUCUUUUUUCUGGCAAGACAGAACUAACACCAUCUUUGGUAUGCAUGCAUCCUGUUGCGAGGUGCUCACCAAUGUCCCCCACACUUGGACUUCUGUGUCUCGCAACACCAAAAACAUGUGUUUGAUGUUGGUGUCUCCUUCAGAGUGUGUUUCAUCACAAAAGAGUACCAAGUGUACAGUCGAUGCAUCUCCCAUGUUUUUGGGCAUGGCAUGACCCUCGUUCUUUUGAAUCCUCACCUGAAAUGGUUAGCGACCAAAAAUACCUGAAGGUGCAUACUAUCCUACAAACAUGUUCUUGCUUUUAUUGAUAAAAGGAAACUUUAUUGGAAAGGAAAAUGAAAGUCCGGGCCAUCUCCCAGGUGCUUUGUUUAUGGUCACAAGCUCAACCAUGGGAAAUCUUCACAUUGCAGCUACCAUUGGCGAUGUAGUUCCCACCAUCACCACCAUUUGUUGAUGCUUGAGCUGCAAGGUUAGUGCCACAAUGCAUCCACAAAAUAUGCAAUGCUUACAAUAAACAAAAGCAUCCACAACCAUCCUUCUAAAUAUUUUAGAAACGAGGACUAAAAUGUGGUUGUGGUCCUCGUACAGGCAUGCAGCAAUAAGUGAAGCGGACUCUGAAGGUUCCUUACGCGAGCAUGAAUCUUUAGGGAAUUCGAAAGAGAAUCUUUCAUGCUCAUUUGUGGACUUCUUUGCCUCAUCCUCCAGAGUUGAUAUUUCGGUAAUGUCCAUGGCACAAAAAUUCUCCUUCUCAAGAGAUUCAUCAUGGAAGAUCGGGGUUGUUUCCUGACCACUAUCGAGAACAACGUUCCAAGGGCCACAGGGACACAACUCGAUCGAGGGUGAUGAAGGUCACUUAGCUUCACAAAGGUGAAGUUCUUCUAAGUCAUCUUCUUUGCGGGCAGAGACUUCUACACCUUUAUAUAGAAUAGGCUUGGGCAAAAAGUUCUAUGCCUUUAUAUAGAAUAGGCUCAGGCAAAGUGUUCUACGCCUUUAUACACGCAUCACCUUCUCCAAGGGGUUUUGCUCGAAAGAGGUUUUGCCUUAGGAUUUUAUAAGCAAAAGCUAGUGGUGGCGGAAGUGGAUUUCCUAAGCUUUUUAUCAAGGCUCCCUUGAGAUGAAUCUUCUAGGUGGAGUCUUUCCAAAGGGUAGCCUAUGAGAAGAUCAAAAUUGAGCAUGGGAUAGAUGUGGAAGUCUAGAUGAACCUCAAUUUUUUUCUAUCUUGAUUGGCACAGCCCUUGUGAUCCCCUGACAUUCAAAGAUGAGUCAUGAGGGACUUUUGAGGAGUCUGUCGGUCAGGACUAGAGGAAUAUUUCCGAAGAAAUUGUCCACGAGGAAUUCGGACAUGAUACAAGCCUCGACAGUGGGGUCAUGAAGGGCUUCUAUGGCAGUUCCCCUCAUGGAGCAACAAAUGGUCGUGAAGAUGAGCUAAUCCGGAUUGCUUCGGAAGAGCGUCCCACUUCCUCCGACCAUUCCUCCUUCAUGGUCUUCUUGAGAAAUGCUUCGUUGGAAGGAGAAGGAGGUACCGUAGGUCCCUUCUCACAGAGGUAAUUUGAGGUCUUUCUAUGGUUUUCAUAAGGAUUAUCCUUGAAUGGGGAAGAGAACUUCGAAUAUUGAAUUUCUUCUUCCUUCGGUGUUUGUGGUUUGGGAGCGGUUUCAACAGCUAAGGAUGAGAGAUGGAAGGGCUCAAAAAUGGAUGUUGAGGGACCCUCGUAGCUCAACUUGUCUUCCUCUCGGAGGGAUUUGCUAGGAUUGGUGAGGAAGGAAGAGUUUUCAAAAAUGUGAUCUAGGAUUUCUUUUCCUUGGAGUUUUGUGUGCAAAUGAACCUUCGACAGCAAUGUCGAGAUGUAGGGCAGAGGUCAUGUCUAACCCCGUACAAAAGAUGUGUAAAGAUGCAUCUUCGGGUAUAGACAAGCUUGGGCUUGAUGCUAAAAGGUGUGAAAAUCUAGCCCAUGCUGCACCUAUGGACUGCUUCUCUAAUUGCUCAAAUUCAAGAGUGUCACUCCGGAGAGAGGCUAUGUGGGAUAAAGAGAAGAAUGAGUGACAAAAGUCAUCUUUAAGCUUUUCCCAAUUACCAUUCGCACUCUUCAUGUUGUGAGUGUACCAUUGCUCCGCCCUAUCUGUGAGAGAGAAAGGAAACAACUUCCACCUCAAGGUUUCCUGUGUCAUGCUUGGGAUUACCAAUUAUGAACACAGUUCCUCAAACCGUUGCAAAUGAAGGUAAGGGUUUUCAUUUUCAAAUCCAGAGAAGGUUAGUCCCCGAACCAUGGCAAUGAUGUUAGGAUGGAGUUCAUAGCUCAAAGCUAUGAUAGAAUUUGAAAAGGGUGGUGGCUCUAAGAACUCAUCCUCAGGAGCAGAAAGUUUUUGGAUAGGUGUAUUUUUCAUGGUAAAGAAAGGAUAAAAGAAAGAGAAAUAUAAAAUAAAAGAUACGAGGACGAACUACGUUCGAAGAUAAUAUAGCAACCGUUCCUCGGCAACGGCACCAGAAAUGCUUGUUGGUAUUUCUUAACGUUCACGAAUAAAUCUGCAAGCGCAUGAAUAUACCAUUGUAGCACUUCACUCGAGAGUAUUCAGGGUAUCGUUAUUUAUAUUUUCCCAAAGGAACAUAUGUGUAAAGGUCUUUUAACUAGUCAUCCAAGGACAACAAGAGUUAGGUAGGCGAUGAUAGAGAGGAUUCCUAUUGCUUUAGGGACUUUGGAUAAGAUAAACUCAACCUCCACUACUUACUUCAGGCACCGGUUUACGCCUGGUCUGCCAAGCACCUCCGGCUAUUAGCUCUACGCCGAACUUGAACGUGGCGGGGUACAAGUGACGGAUAGGGCUGUCACCACCUACCGCCUACCUCUCAGACUGUGGGGAAAGGUAUCAAACAAAGGCAACCUCAAGCCUAGACACCACGUCUAUGCUAUCGAUUACUACUCUAGAUCCAGCCAGACUCUGUCAUAAGACUAAAGUCCUUAAGCUAGAGAACCCAUCACAAGGACGAACGAUGAACCCACAAGCAAAUAAAGGAUAGAACUUAUCUUACUAAGAGACUCAUCACCAUAGGAGAUCACGAACACUUACUUAGCAAAGGAAGCAUCCGUCAAGGUACAAGCGCGAGGUAGUGCCGACAGGUCGGCACUUCCCCAAACUACACCUCACUCUCUCCCUAUUUUCUAAGCACUAUGGAGGUAAGGCUUUGCCUUGGAGUGGAGCUUUUCUCUUCUCUUGUGUGUUGUGUGCUGAACGGAGAGGAGGUGGUCCUUUUAUAGUGGAGAGGGAGCCUUGGGGGAUUGGAGAUCCUAAGCAUUAUCCCCCCUAUUGCCUCCACUUGUGAAGGAAUCGACGUCCAGGUUCAUUUGCUUUGCACCAAACCCCUGCAACCGCCAUAGGGAGAUCCGGAGGGAGUGACACAUGGAGGAUGAGCGCGAGAGGUGCUACGGGUGAUUGGGCCGAACUGGGGGUUCGGCCGAACCCCUGGGGUCGCCCCACGCACCGCCUUUCAUUUGGGAUGCUGUUUAGUGGGCCCUCAUGUGGGUACAUGGGGUCUGGUGCAGAAUUAGGUCCAUUUUCCCUUGUUUGUGGGCCCAUGGAUCCGUGUGUUUCCCUCUGAUUGCUCACGGGUGUGUUUCUUUACUCCUUGAGUGUGUUUUGAGCAUGUUUAUCCCCGUGUGCAGAUGUGAUCUCCUAUAAAUAGUGAUUCACCAAAGCAAGUGGAAAUGCUUAGAAUUAAACCCCUAUCUCUAGUUUGGUGAUUGUUAUUUCACUGUUCUUUAUUAGAGUUGUCGGUCAGAUAUGACAUUUAAGGACCAUUAACAAUCCUGGUGACACCUUAUGGUUUAUAUGAUUGUUUAUACAUUCUAACAUUUUCCCUUCAAGAUCAUUAGCGUGGCACCUGUCAGCUAUCAUUUCAUGAAGUCCAUCUUUAGUACCUUCAUCUUCCUCCAUAUCCUGUAUGUGUUCAUUUUCCUUAACCAUUUCCUGAUCACCAUCUUCUUGUUGAACUACAUUAUCCACAACCCCCUUAUCUGGAAGAAUUGUAAUUUCAUCAACCCCAUCAUCCUGCAGAAUUGCAUUUUCCUGAACCCCAUUAUCUUGUAGAAUUGCAUUUUCCUGAACCCUAUCCUCAAAUGUUUCUCCAUGAUGGAUCCACCUAGUGUAGGUGCUUGCCAUCCCAUUCAUGCAGGUCCACCACAUCUACAGUACAUCUAGACUGAUUCAGGCAUCCAUGACAUGGGCAUAGUAUUUGUUCAUCAUCAGAGCUUCUACUCUUAACAAAUUCCAUGAAAUCACUGACCCCUUUCUCAUGCUUGGGGAUAAAUAGUUGUCAACUGUGUAGCCAACGUCUAUCCAUCUAGGAAAUUUUGGCAAAUUCAAUUCAAAAUUACUGACAUUGAAAGAUCUCAAUGCAAAAUUAAAUUUUGGUGAAUUCAACUCAAAAUUACUAACCAGAUUGACAUGCCGUAGCAGAAAGCACCAGGUUUUUGCUGCCGUAGCACUGAGCCGCCGUGGGGAGGCGCAGAUCUCGGCCGGAGUGCUCCGUCCUGGCUACCUUCUCUCUGUUCUUCUUUAUUCCCUAUCGUGGGAGCGCGGCAAUGGGUAAACUAUUUUAGUGCUAGCUUUUGUGCCGCCAACUACCACACUCACCUAAAACUUACCUUACAUGUGGGAUCCGGUCGCGAUAAAGACUUCCCAUUCAUCGGUAAUAGGUUCGACCCACAGGAGGAGCACAUUUUCUAUUUUAUUUUACCACCUUAUUUAUCAACUUAAACUUACAUGUGGGACCCUGGUUGGUUUAUGAUAUUUCUGCGGAGCUUAUAUCGUCACAAAACCACCAUGUAACAGCGAGUGAUGAUUUUCUUUUUGGCUAUAGUGGCAACUUUUAUGACGUUCCAUAACUUUGUCACUAAAUUUGCUAGAAUGUGAAACUUUAUGACUUUUUCAGCCAGAAACGUCAUAGAUCUAUGAUGAGAAUAAAUGUGUCAUAAAAUUUUCAUCAUAGAUCAACAAAUUUCUUGUAGUAGUUGCAGAACUGCGCACCGACGCUAGCUCUAGUCUUUAUCACAGCCAACAGGAGCGUGGUGCCUGUGAGUCUCUUGAAGUAGUGGACUCCGUGUUGAGAAAUGAGAAAUAUCUAGCCGAUGCUUGGGCCUGCAACUAGCAUGUGGACCACAUUUAUUAGAAGCAAGAUAUAUAAAAUGUAUCCUAUCUAAAAAACAUACACAGAUCAUGUCUUAGUGGUAGUGCUGUCUCAGCACAAUCAAGAGGUCAUAGGUUCGAGCCUUGCUAUGGACACUCAUUCCUUUAAAUUUCCCUUCCCUUUUUUCAUCUCAGUUCGAUCAGUAAUAGGUUCAACCCAUGGGAUGAUGGGAGGAGCACGUUUUCUAUUUUAUUUUACCUCCCUAUUUAUCAACUUAAACUUACAUGUGGGACUCUAGUUGGUUUAUGACAUUUUCACGGACCUUAAAUUGUCACAAAACCACCAUGUAACAUUUAGUGAUGAUUUAUUUUUAGCUACAGUAGCAAUUUUUAUGACAUUCCUUAACUUUGUCACUAAAUUUUCUUGGAUGUGAAACUUUAUGACGUUUUCAGCUAGAAACAUCAUAGAUCUAUGAUGAUAAAAAAUGUGCCAUAAAAUUUUCAUCAUAGAUCGGCACAUUUUUUAUAGUACUAUCAUACCUCGAUAGUGUGAUAAGUGCCUGAUCAGCACAGCGUGACGGGGUUUCCGCGACUCAUGGGUAAAGAUGUACCACCUCUGCGGAGUGUUAAAAACUGUUAUAAUAGUCAUGCUCACGAUCAAGAGCGUCCUGGACCCUCACAUGGUCAGCUGGUUUGAGUGGAUCGCAAAGCGGUAUCUAUGGUUCGGGUUUAGUUAUAAGAGGGUUAACCUUAAGUUAGUUCUGGUUGGGGAAGCAUUACAUUAAUAAUCUCUCUAGGUGCUUAAUUAAAAUUUGACCAACUAAAACUUGAGAUUGUAGUCCACCAAAUAAAGCCUUCCUUGCUCUAAUCCUGCACGUUAUGUAUAUAUAAUUCCUUCCACUUGCAGAGUACACGCCUCCAAGUGUACUCACUAUUUUCCCUUUCAACCCUGCUAUUCUCCCCAACUGCUGCUCCGAUAGAUAGAAGCUACAAGACACGGCUACCUCGUGAAGACUUGGAAUUCUAGGCGUGCCCCCGAUUGACUUCCCGAAGAUGGUGCCUACUCUGCUGCGAUUAGUCCACGACUGUGUAAUCUCUUUUUGUUUAGACAUUGUGGUCACUUUGUAGUUAUGAACGUCUUGUAAUGAUAUAUGUUGUGAUAUUCACUGAUGAAGUCAGUUUAUGCAUGAAAAUUGAUCCUAGGAUGCAUAAAGGGUGCAUUCGGUUUUGUCCUUAAAACCACACGUGACAAGCAAGUGCAACAAGCUGGCGGUGCGAGAUAGGUACAAUGGCCAGUAGAUCAGGUAUGUUGAUUAGUAACAUUGGUCAUGUAGAUUUACAAACCCCAAGUCAAUCAAUCUAUCUUAAGAAUGUUCUUCAUGUACCACGUGCACAAAAAAAUCUUGCUUCAGUCCAUCGAUGAGCCUCUGAUAAUAAUGCCUAUAUUGAAUUUCACCCAAACUUAUUUCUUAUCAAGGAUCAGCAAUGAAUAGAAUCCUUCAUCAAGGAAGAUGUGAAGGAGGUCUUUAUCCCUUAGUGUCCCAUGGCACAAGUCUUCAUAACCAAGUUCUUGGAGUCAAUAAACCGUCUACUUUAUGAUGGCAUAGCAGAUUAGGUCAUCCAGCUUUUCCAAUUGUCAAGCAUGUUUUAGAGAGUAAUAAUCUCCCUAGUUUUAGUGAUCAAGUAAGUGAGUCUAUAUGUGAUUCAUGCCAAAGAGCCAAGAGUCAUCAAUUACCUUAUAAUAAAUCCAACAGUGUUUCCCUUUCGCCACUUGACCUCAUAUUUUCUGAUGUGUGGGGACCUGCCCCAAUUUCCAUUGGAAAGCAUUUUUAUUAUGUGAGUUUUAUUGAUGACUUUAGCAAAUACACCUGUAUCUACCUCUUGCGCCACAAAUCAGAUGUGUUUAAAGUUUUUUCAAAACUUCCAAAAUUUAGUAGAAAGAAAAUUUGGUAGGAAGAUCAUUGCAAUGCAAUCUGAUUGGGAAGGUGAAUAUGAGAAGCUAAAAUCCUUCUUCCAGAAGAUAGGCAUAUCUCAUCACAUCUCUUGUCCUCAUGCUCACCAGCAAAAUGGAUCCGCUGAGAGGAAGCAUAGGCAUAUUGUAGAAGUAGGCCUUUCUCUUCUUGCAAAUGCAUGUAUGCCUCUUAAGUUUUGGGAUGAAGCGUUUCUCAUGGCCAUGUAUCUCGUAAAUCUACUUCCUAGGAAAGUUAUUGAUUUCCGCAAACCAACGAAACUUCUUUUGAAGCAAAAACCUUAUUACAGUUCCUUGAGCAUAUUUGGAUGCGCAUGCUAGCCAAACCUUCACCCACUCAACUCAAAGAAACUUGCCUUUUGAUCAAUUUAGUGCACCUUUCUUGGUUAAAACUCCUUGCACAAAGGCUUCAAAUGCCUUCACAUAUCCACGGGAUGAGUUUAUAUAUUUUGAGAUGUUAUUUUUGAUGAAAUAGUGUUCCUUUUGCGCAAAGUUGCAUUGAAAUAAGGGGAUUUCAAAUUGGUAAGUGCAAGGUAUGGUUUACUUCAAUUUGGUAUCCAUUGCAUAAUUGAAAUUAGCAUAUGUUCUUGCUCUUGCAUUGCAUCCAAGAAAGUAGUUGAUUAUGUUGUCAUCAAUCACCAAAAAGGGGGAGAUUCUAAGAAACAUAGUCAUUGAGACUAAUGUGUUUGCAAGGUGAACCUUUUAGGUGUUUAUAGGCCCUAAGGAUGAAUUCCAAAGCCAUCAAAAUAGAAGAAAAUGAAAGACGUAGAAGAAUUCUAUGGCAUCCAAAUGACAGUAGUCUUUUUCUAAGGCGUACAAAUGAUGGUAUUGGAGCCAGGACAAAGACACGUAAAGACUUGAAGGGAAUCCUACUGGAAUUGAGAACCAACACAAUUCACUUAUAGUGAUGACUAGGAAUGUCACCAAAUCAGUCAGUGACCAUGGACAACAGUAGGGCCAAGAUAGCAUGCACUGUGACCAUCGAAUCAUUUGGUUUCAAUAGUGGAUCGCCACCGAAUAAAUCGGUUGUGAUCAGCUUGGCUUGCGAUAACCUCAGAUUCAGCUCUGGAACUUUUCAAAGUUAUUUCAGGCCUCAUCAAUUCAUAAGAUGGGAACAGUGAUAAGAAUAGCAAAUCAGUCGGUGAGGGAAGGCAGGUGAAGACUGCGGCUCAGAGUCACUAAUCCAUUUGGUGUUGUUCAAGAUGUUUCACCGAAUCAGUCAGUGAUACAUGGAGCCCAGGUGUCAGUUGCUCCACGGCUAGCUGAGGUGGCAUGCGUCGAUUCAUUCAGUGCUACCCCCUGCGUACCACUGAAUUAGUCGGUGAUAUGCAGAAGGUUAUAACAGCUAUGUAAUGGCUAGUUCAUCGACUUGGGGCUAUAAAUACCCCCAUUGCCCAGCCAUUUCAUGAGUGUUAGAGCUUGGAGAAGCUAUAGUUUCAUAUACAUAUGUGUUCUAUCCACCAAAGUGCUCAAGAGAAGAUUAAGGCAAUUAGCAUAAGACUUAGGUCUUGAUUAGUGGUAGUUUAGGCCUAUUAGCACAAUGCUUUAGGGGUUAGCCUAGAGUUAGGCGUGGUUUGCACACCUCUUUGUUCUUGGUGCUUGCGCACACCAAGAGUUGUAAAUCUGGAGCUUGUAAGUCUUGCGAAACCCUCCAACCACGUUUGUGGAGUGGUCGCUGGUGCAUUUGAAAGGGAGGAGAGACCCUUGGCAUCCAGGAGAAGCUAGCCGGAGACCCACUUGCGUGUGGGGAAGGCUCGUUGGCUAUCCUACGGAGUUACUUGACCGAGGAGCUUAUGUCAGUGUUUCAUACCCGGCAACUUACCGAGGGGUAUCUUGAGGUAGUAGAUUGGUUGGUGGGGGGUCGCUGGACCUAGAGCUUGAUGGUAAAAGUGAGGAUAUAAGACACAAAUUUAUACAGGUUUGGGCCACUAGAGUAGCAUAAUACCCUACAUCCUGUUUGAGGUGUUGUAUAUUGUGUCCUACGCUUGGGUGUUGUUUGGUGUUCUUGGUUUAGGUUCUGCUCUGAGGUGGUUCUGCCGAUCUAGGUACCUCUACUCUCCUUUCGGGAUUACUAGUCAGUUACAAGGUAAGAGUCCUAGUAGAAUUACAAGGUAUGAGUCCUAGUAGGAUUAUAGGGGAAUCCUAGUAGGAGUCCGUCUUCUUUCUUCCUUGUGGGUAUGGAGGAUCUAUCCCCGACAAGCCCCCGAGUGCUUCAUAGUUGAAUGUAACAGCCUUUGAGUACUUUUCAGAUCCUCCCCAAGUAGUUUAGCUCUCCUCGAAUACUUUGUCGUGCUGAAUCUUCAAAGUGCUUCAAGGAUGCUACGAGGCUGUGAUGUGCUCAAGCCCCAAUCUUCUUGAUAUCGUAAUGGUCAUCUUUGGAAUGUGAUAUGGAGGGUGGUGAAGUGGAAAGCUUUGCUUUCUGAUAACUCGGUAAAAAUCGUCGUGUCACCACACCAAGAGUUUAUCUUCUUUACUUCAUUUACCUUUCGCAUUUAUUAUUGCACUUAUAUUCCACAUUUACUUUUCCUAGAAUUGCCAUGUUUAGUUUAUAGGAUUGGAACCUCUAGGGUGCAAAGCUCUUUUACGGUAGAGAUAGAAACACAUAGAAAAACCUAGUGCACAUCUAGAUAGAAAUUGAAAUAAGUUUUUAUAUGUGCGUGGAGCCUUAAAUUUUAGAACACCCAAUUCGAACCUCCUCUCUUAGGGUGUCAUGCGACAAUCCUUGAUAGCCCAAUCUGAUCUUGCUCUACCUCCCGCAAUCCUAAUUUCAAUCUUAUCUCGGGCCAAAUCAUAGUAGGAUUACUUAGUCGGUUACCCCUGCCUUCCUUUAUAGGUGGUUCUGUCGAUCUAGGUACCCCUGCCUUCCUUUAUAUCUCCAUGGGGUGGGAUUACUCAGUCGGUUACAAGGUAGGAGUCCUAGUAGGAUUAGAAGGUAUGAGUCCUAGUAGGAUUAUAGGGGAAUCCUAGUGGGAGUCCGUCUUCUUCCUUUCUUGCGGGUACUGGGGAUCUAUCCCCGAUAGCUUAUGCCCUUGUGCGGGCAUUCCCUGGAGAGGGGCACCAACAACAAGGACUAGUGGAAAGCUUUUCUUUCCGAUACCUUGAUAAAAAUUGCCGUGUCACCAUGAAGGCAAUUUGCCUUCUCUACCUUAUUUACCUUCCGCAUUUCUUAUUGCACUUACAUUUCUCAUUUACCUUUCCUAGAAUUGCCAUGUGUAGUUUAUAGGAUUGGAACCUGUGGUGCAAAACUCUUUUGCGGUAGAGAUAGCAACACAUAGAAAAACCUAGUGCACAUCUAAAUAGAAAUUGGAAUAGGUUUUUAUAUGUGCUUGGAGCCUUAGUAUUUUAGAACACCCAAUUCACCCCUCCUCCUAGGGUGUCACGGUCCCUUCACCACAGCCCAGUCCACCAUCGCCACAUGCUCAUGAGAGUGCGCAACGGGAGGAGUUAGCCGGUAGGUGAAUCGAGGAGGAUCUUCCUCAGGAUUCCGCACCUAGAUCCUCUACACCAGCACAUAGAUCCAGUACAGUACGUUCCUCUUCAACGACUGCAACUUCUUCACCAAGGAUUGCUGCAUCUUCUCCUCAACAUCAACCUGAACCUGAGCUAAGGUGCACAACACGAGGACAGCAUGGUAUAGUAAAAGCAAAAAUACCAACUGAUGGCACUGUACGGUAUGGUUUCUUGUGUAAAAUAGGUGAACAUGAGCAUUUGCAAGAUGCUCUAGGAGAUCACAAUUGGAAACAAGCUAUUCAGGAAGAGUUUUCAGCCAUGGUCAAAAACAAGACAUGGCAUCUUGUUCCUCCAGUUAAGGGACAGAACUUGAUUAAUUGCAAAUUAGUGUACAUAAUAAAGAAGAAAGCAAAUGACACAAUAUAUUGGUAGAAAGCCAUGUUAGUUGCAAAAGGAUUCAAGGAAAAGGUGUGGAAUUGAUUAUAAAGAUAUGUUUAGUCCUGUUAUCAAGAUUGCCACUAUCAGGUUAGUUUUGUUCAUAGAUGUAUCAAGAGGUUGGGUUGUUAAGCAAUUGGAUGUACAAAAUGUGCUCCUUCAUGGUGUUUUGGAAGAAGAGGUUCACAUGAAACAUCCUUAAGGUUUUGAGGAUAAAAAUAAGUCCCAAUUCGUUUGCAAGCUUGACAAGGCCAUAUAUGGAUUAAAGCAAGCACCUCAAGCUUGGUAUUCUAGAUUGAGUUCUAAGCUUUAUGAUCUUGGUUGUAAAGGUUCAAAGUCAGAUACAUCCCUAUUUAUUUAUCAGAAACACGAUGUAACUAUUUUCAUGCUUUGUUGAUGAUAUCAUAGUCACCGGUUCUUCUCAAGAUGCAAUUUCAACAUUAUUACAAGACCUGAAGACAGACUUUGCAAUGAAGGAUUUAGGGGAAUUAAAUUUCUUCCUCUCGGCAUUGAAGUAAAGAGGGAAAGGCAAGGUGUUGUUCUUUCACAAGAGAAGUAUGCCUCUGAGUUACUUCAGCGAGUAGGAAUGCUCAAGUGCAAGCCCUGUUCAACACCAUUGCCUACCUUGGAAAAACUGCCAAAAUUUGAAGGAGAAGCCUUGAGUGAUGAACAUAGCACAAGGUAUAGAAGUAUAGUUGGUCCUUUGCAAUUUAACACUCACUCACCCUGAUCUAGCUUUUGUUAUAAACAAGGUCCACCAAAUAUUGCAAGCGCCCACAACUACUCAUUGGACUAUUGUGAAGCGCAUUUUGAGAUAUAUUAAGUUCACAUUAAAUCUUGGUACGACAAUAAGCAAGUCUAACUCAACAUUGGUGAGUGCAUUCUCAGAUGCAAAUUGGGCAGGGAAUGUCAACAAUCGAAGAUCAACAUGAGGUUUUGCUAUUUUCUUCAGACCAAACCUCAUCACUAGAGUGUUAGAAAGCAACCAAUAGAGCUCGUUUAAGCAUAGAGGCUGAGUAUAAAUCAUUAGCAAAUGAAACUAAGAUAAUUUGGGUUGAAUCACUUCUUGCAGAACUCUGAGUCAAGCAAGAUCAGACACCAUGCCUUUGAUGUGAUAAUUUGGGAGCCACCUAUCUAUCAGCUAACCCUAUCUUUCAUGCAAGAGUUAAACAUAUAGAAAUUAAUUUUAAUUUUGUUAGAGAAAGAGUUGCAUAGAAAUUGUUGCUGGUUCAACUCAUACCGUCCAAGGAUUAAAAUUGCAGAUGGUUUUACCCAAGCUUUAGGCGUCUAGGCAUUUGAUGAAUUUAAGCGCAAUAUGAACUUGAAGAUAAAAGACAAGUUAGAUUGAGGGAGGCUGUUAACUAAUAUGAGUUGUACUAGUUGCAUGUAUCUCAAAGGUUGUUAGCAUUCUUUCCGAUAUCUCUUGUAGAUAGAGUCCCAUCUUUGUAAACUUGCUUUGCAAGAUUGUAAUCCUAACAAACCCUAUGUAUAUACCACGCUAGGGGCUAUUCCUAGCUUAUAUAAACACGCAACCAUAGAGCUCGGAUGGCUAACCACGUUCAACAAAUUUCACACUCCCGCCUCCCCUAUCGGUUCCAAGGACACCAUCAUUGCUGGAUUCCUUUCCCUUCCCGUGACCGCUCCCUCUCUAGUCCGGCCAAAGAAUGAUUCUUGCACCACCAAAAUUGCCCAACCACCAUCCUCCACCACGAUGGUGGGUGCUGCUAUUGCUGCCUUGCCAUUCCACUUAUUGCCCGCCACUACUGCCAGGCAGCAACCUCCCUAUACAUCUACCCAACUCGAAAUCGCAAAUCCUAACAUCACCGGCAUUGCCAUCCUAUGACUAGAAUCACAUGUUACUUUUACCAUCCUUUCUUACUUCUUUCCCCCGUGUUCCUUUUUUGAAAAUUUGGUUAUCCAAAACAUGUACCAUUCCCACUCAGGAAGGACUCUCACGUUAGUGCUAUGCUAUACCGAGAGCACUCUUGCGUUUCGGCAAAACCUUUUGAGUAAAUUGCACCCACCAUACAAUAACUUGGGAGGCAGGUGCAAAUUGGUUCAACAACUUGAAAAAUGCUCAAUUUAGUACAAUAACUUAUCAAGUGGGUGCAGAUUGGUCCAACAACUUGUAAAAUGCUCGAUUUAGUACAAUAACUUGUCAGGUGGGUGCAGAAAGGUCCAACAACUUGUAAAAUAUUCAAUUUAGUACAAUAUCUUAGCAAAUUGGUGCACCUACAGUUUAAAGAUUACAGUAAUAACAUAUUAGUUAAAGUAUAUGGAUAUAUGAAUUGUUCCAAAUAAUAAUUCUUAGGUUUUUAUCAAUAAAAGUUGUUGAUCAUGAUCAGGUUGUUGCUUCUCAACUAUGUACAUAGGUUCUUUGUUCAUUAUUUAAAUUGACACAAAUUUUAGAAUUACUCUAUUGGCAUUAUCGAAAGAGUAAAGUCAAUAAGAGAGAUCAUGUGACAUUAGAUUUUUUCUGCACUUUUGCUCUUGUAUUCAACAACUUUAUAGAAGUACAUUUGUUUCAUUCUUUUACCUUAUUUUCCGUUUCUAAAUAAGUACUCCCACCAUUCCAGAACGGGUUCAAUUCUGAUUAUGUUUGUGAACAAAUGCCCAUCCCAAAAGAAUGAAAUUCUAGCAAUAUCUAGACAACAGUUUGAUAUAUAGCUAGAAUUGCAUUCUUUUGGGACGGAGAGAGUACAUGUGCUUUAAAAAUAUAUUUAAGUCAAAUGCCUAAAGGUAUUGUUAGUAUAUAUUAACAUAUUGAUAUUUUUUAGAUGAAAAAUACACGGUGUUCGCCUAAACAGUCGUUUAAGCGGUGUCUAAACAGUGAACGGAGGCUAACCGUUUUGUUUAGGCUUAAACCGUCCAUUAAACACAAAUAGACUUAAACGGUCAAAAACAGGAUUAAACGGGCUAAACGACCUAAACAAAAUGGUAUUAAAUACCAUUAUACAUGCUAAACGGUCAUUUAACACACUGUUUAGGUGAACACUGUCAAUUCCACUUGAAUUCUUACUUCCAUAAAUAUAUAUACUUUAGUUUUCCCAUAGAUAUUAUUUAUAUUUGGUUUGUUGCAUGCAUGAAUAUAUGUACUUGGUCUUUUAUAUGCAUAAAUAUAUAUACUUUGUGGAAUGCUUGACCUUUUAUGAGCAUGAUUAUGUAUAAUUUAGUGAUAAAGUGCAAAACUGUUUAGACCGUUCAAUUCCGUCUAAACACCAUUUAAAGCAUCUAAACACUAAAUAAAAAGUGGCUGACCGAAAAUACAUAUAAUCAAACAUAUAAAAAAUAGUAAAGGUGAUUAUCAAUAUUGAAUAUAAAAAUAAAUAUUUCCAAUCAAAAUUAAGUAACGUAUAAAAAUAAUUAAAAUGAAGAUAUAAUAUUAAUUUCCUAAACUCUGAAGGUUCUAGUCUCGGCCAAAUAUAUUUUCAUUGCGAUGUGAAUAUCAAUGAUUAAAUAAUUUUUCAUAAUUUGUUCCAACCUGAAUAUAUCCUAACCCAACAUUAGCAAAUGUGUUGGUUGUUAUAACAUUUGGACCGCAAAUACACCAAUAUACCAAUUUAUUGCACUAAAUUGAGCAUUUUAAAAGUUGUUGAACCACUAUCAAAUUAUUGUUUACAAGUUGUUGGAUCAAUCUGGACCCACGUGAUAAGUUGUUGUAUGGUGGGUGCAAUUUACUCAAAAUUUUUUGAUGGGGUUUUGUAAAUUUCGAAAAAAUCAAAUGCAUACUUUCCAGAAGUAACAUGGGUCCGUGUUAGCCCAUUUCGCUGUUGUGUGCGCCCACUGGCCCAGCCCACUCCAUGUGCUCGCAGCUCGCGUUGGCUUUGUCUCCCUUUCUUCGGCGGCGCGGGCAUCGUCCUCGUGCACGCCGUCACAAAAGAUUGCAGAGGAAGCCUAAAUCCCAAAUCCCCCAUCUGCAACCCCAAAUCGCUAAUCAUAUCGCCUACCCACUUCAAGCCCUCUCCAUUCCUGGCUGCUUUUCUCUCCGUCGGCAUGCGGUUGGGUCGCGGGGCUGUAGGCGGGCGGUGACGGGCACAAGCCGCACCCGACGCGCACGGCAGCCGGGCGGCAGGCCCGAGGAGACGCAGGGCACACGGCAGCGAACGCCCAGAAGGUAAGCACAUCACGCAGGGGCCAUGAUUUGUUUGUACUGUCACGCUAUCUCCGAUUUUCGAGUGCCAGGGCCAUGAGAUCAUUUCGCACACCCAUUCGAGGGAAUAGGAUUUGAAGGUGGCUGCCGGAUCGGCGAUUUAGUAUUGUUCUUGAAUCUUGAUGUAGAUGGAACUGGAAGUGUUUUGGCAUAUCGACAAGGAUCACGGCAGUAAAGUACUGUCGAUGCCAAUUUAUGGUGGCAGAUGGCUUAAAGAUUACGACAGGGGAGGAGAUGAAGAGAGGAACUGGGGAGUUUUUAGAGGGGUAUAGGAAGGUGUCACUAGCCAGGAGCUCAUGAUAGUCAACGGCAGAGUCUGAAAUGUCGACAGAAAUUAUUUGUUCCUUUCUCUUCAUUCCAAAUGUGCUCCACUGGUAACUUUCCCUUUCUAAUCUCAAAACAUUACUAGCUUUUCUCAUAUCAGCUUACUUCAAAACUAUGUAAGGGACCUACGAUUUAAGUGACUUCGAGACGUGCUAUGAUUAGGCUAGGCCUGUGCUCGACAAAACCCCCCAAGGCAAGUAUCAUUUAACAAGCAAGCGUACUGCUCUUAUGCAAAGCACCUGGUGAACCUGCUGGCAUUGUACUCUGCAGUCUCAAGAAGGGUUGGUUUUAUUCAUUGCGUUGUGUUCCUGGCAUUUUAUUCAGAUAUGGAUUAGCUGAAUUUGUGCAAUACCUUGAUGUCUUUCGCUGUCAUCAACUAACCCGUUUGAUGUUUUUCCAUAUCAUCUACUCACAAGUUUGGUCAACCUAUCAGGUGGAGAACAAUUCGUGGUACCACUAAUCUCAACUGCUAUCCUCCAGCACCAAUGCCUAUAUGAGAAACAAAGUCAACAAGCGAUUGCCUCCACCAAUAACUCACCCAAAUUUGGAUAAGUUUUGAGGAACAAAAAUACAACUGAUGCAGGUAAUGUUUCAAACUCCAAAAGGUAUCAUUGACCGUAGCGCCUCUGGAGGUGCUGCCCAUGCAGACCAUCCGCAAUCUCGCUUUUCUGAGUUUGUGAGCAUCGAGCCGCUCACUUUCUCAAUUUCACAGGAGCCCAGGAGAGAUGAUGGUCUGCUUCGGCUUCGCAUUAUAAAAAGAAAUUGGAAGGCAGCAACACAAGCAAGUUCCUGGUCCUCCAAUGGCCAUAAUAAGAUACAAAAUAGGUAUCCAACUAAGCUACAGCUAGCCUUUCCUUAGUUUCCUGUGUUUCAAUGGCCAUAAUAAGAUACUACCUCCAUCCAUAAAUAUAUGAUGUUUAGUACAAGCUAUUUAGUUCAAACAUGAAAUAAUUUGCUUGCCCUAAACGUCAUGUAUUUGAGAACGGAGGAUUAUUACAAAAUAGGUAUCCAACUAAGCUACAGCUACCCUUUCCUUACUGUGUCAGCUGCCCUGCCAAGGACAAACUCUGCGUGACCUGUUCGGAAAAGGGACAUAAUUCUCAUGAUUGCCCCAUGAAGGAUCGAGAGGAAAAACUCAUAUGCACUAUCUGUAACAAGGUUGGUCACUAUUACUUGCGGUGCUGCCGACUGAAUGUGUCUGAGAACCAUGCUUGCCAUCGUUGUGGCGAAAAAGGACACUACGCCAGUAAGGGACCCAUGCAUUGUGGUGAUAAGUUCAUUUAUACGGGCCUCAGUUGCUCCAGCUGUGAUACAAACCAUUUGCUUGGGAGAUGCCCUAUGAGCAACAUUACAUGUUUCCUUUCUGAAGGUAAGGAUUGUGUCCCUGCUCAAUGUCACUUAAGUCCAAUACUCACUGCAGUAAAUCAGCACUGUCGAGAAAGCUUCCGAGGUACUCUGAAAGAGGGGAGAACAGUCACACGACUCGAUCCACCCAGCGGAAUAGAGCUAUAUGAUGAUAGCCGUGAAUGCCAAUUGAACGGGAAUAAUGAAAUGGCACCCAAGGUCUCAAGCUGCAGCCUUGGUGAGCCAGUCAACCGUGAUGGGGGGAGCCCCAUAAAAACUCAUGUACUAGCUGCUGACAAGAACAACCCUGCAACUACGACGGAUGAGCCACUAACACCAGCGUCAGGAUUCACCUGCUUAGACUGCCAUGAAGACAACUGCCACUCUGCAAAUAGUUGUUCUAAAAAGAAGUCACCUAGAGAAUUAGAGCCAUAUGAUUGUAACCAUGGAUGCCAAUCUAUGGGGGCUAGUGAAAUGGUGGUACCCAAUGUCUCAAGCAUCAGUCCUGUUGUGCAAGACCGAUGUGAUUGGGUGAGCCCCAUAAUAACUAAGAUACCAGCCUCUGAAGACACCAACGCUGAAGCUAUGACGGAUGUGGUGCAAACAAAAGUACUAGUAGUCACCUGUUUCAGCUGCCAUGAUGAAGGCCAUUGGGCAAGGAAUUGUCCCAAGAAGAAGGCACCUAGAAAAUUGGUUCAUUGUGGUGUCACCUGCCUAAAUUGCAAUGGCAACCACUACACAAUUAGAUGUCCCAAGAAAAAGAAGCCUGGUGAAUUGAAGCUAUGUAAUGUCACCUGCUUAAGGUGCCGUGACAAAGGCCACUUUGCAGAUAGGUGUCCUAAGAUGCAGCAGCCUAGAUAAUUGGAGCCAUAUGAUGAAAGCCAUGGACAUCAAUUGUGAUAGGAAGAGCCUAUCGUAACUUGCUUACUGUAAGCCUGUGUUGUUAUUGUUGCUGCUUAUGCAGGCAUAAGUUUGAUUGUUGUAACAAUUGGGAUGGUACAUAUAAAUCAUAGUGUCACAUGAAUGAAUCUUUUUGAGUGGUAUACUUGGUUUCAAGUAUUUUAUUCAUGGUAUGUUUUAUCUGGCUACUCGCAAGCUGGGAGGCUUGUUAAUGCUCUUGUUUUGCACCACCAUUGGAUAUACAAGACCUCGUUCUUGUUAGGUAGAGCUGUACACUAGUACAUUUUUUAUCGAGUAAUUACAUCCACCAUAGCAAAAUGUACGAAUAUAUACGCGAAUUUGUCAAAUGUGUGCACAUGCACACGGUCAAAUGUACGCUACAUAGAUGUAUUUUGCCAUCAUGGUAGGUGAAGUGGAUGGUUUUAUGCAUAUAACCUCUAUCUUUAAUCCCCUUUUCAUCUAAUAAGGUACUUUCACCUCAUAUAAAUUGUACAUGUCUGGUAUAUAGUCUGCGAUAGGCUGCCGUCUCAAGGGUACGUGUAUGAAAUCUUGCUUUUGGACUGUUGAAAAAGAGAUUAAGUAUCUGAGAAAUGUUUACUGGUUAAAAUCUACAAUUAUUUAUAUGGUAACAGGAGUAUUUUUUUUAUUACUGUGCGAGUGCAUUUUCCAUCCUUCGUGCUAUUGGCAAGAUUAAAGUUUGAUAUUUGUGUGUACGUGAUUCUGAUGGCUUUUUUCUCGGUAAACUGACAAGAUUAUUGUGGUUCGAGAAAACAAUACCUAGCUUCAAUGUUGCUUGGUGCUUGGAAUGAUGCAUUUAUAUCUCUUACAGACUAAUGUUUUGUUGCUUUCUAUGGCAGACAGAAGGAUUAGGAAGUAACACACCUUAACCCAGUAUCCUUUUUCUCGACUGAACACCCCCAUGAACAUUACCUUGAGCUUGAAAGCAGCCGAAAGACAACCAUUGUUUUUGCCGCAGCUUGAGCCCUUCAUUCAUUUGUUGAAUUGGAUUGUGUGCCCGCGUGAAUGAAGGUUGAGGUUUAGUGUGUGGACUCAUCAUUUGUCUUUCUGUUUCCUCUUAUUAUUGUUUAAUCAGGUUUUUGGCACGAGACUGACUCAGUUUUUGUCAAGACGAACAAUGCCAUGACAGGUGCUAUAAAUACUACAAACAUUCUAAAUGGUUCUAUUACUGUGCUUGACAAACUUUAUCAGCUUUUCUAAUUUAUAUUCGCCGAUGUUAAAAAAAAAACAUGAGCUGUGCGCAUGAUUAAGACUAGUCUUUAAUGAGAAGGGGACAAAGAUAUGGGGUUAUGUGCAUAAAACCGUUCAUUUUACCCGGUAAAAUAGCGUACAUUUGACCGUAUAUGCACACAUCUAACAAGUUCGUGCACCUGUUCAUACAUUUUGCUACUUAUUGGAUCAAAAUGAUACAACCACCUGUUCAUACAUUUUGCUACUUAUUGGAUCAAAAUGAUACAACCAUACAAGUUGUUAUGUGGUAGGUGCGAUUUACUUUUUUUACCUACACUACAAUUUUUUCAACCCUAGCUAAGCAUGUUGGGGCUUCGGCAUGAACCAGUGAGGGUGGACGCUUCCGGUUGGCGCUGUAUGCAGGUAAGCCAUUGUCGUCGGGGGUACGCCAUGGCAACUGAUGAUGGAUAGAGUCGCUGAAUUGAGCUAGCUUGUUUGGUUCGACCUAUAGGAGUUUCAGCCAAAGUGAACGAAAUUCUCUUCAUCACUAAAAUUAAACACUUCUAUGUAUUCAAUCAAGGGCUAGCCUAUUUUAAACACUUCUAUGUAUUCAAUCAAGGGGUAGCCAAUUGAUAUUCUUCCUGCGAUUGUUGUAACAUCUAGUCGCCAGCGCUAAUUGGUUAUAGCGAUCACUACAUGUUUUUUCAAAAGUAAAAUACAAGGGCGGUUCCUUAACCUGUCACGACGUGUUAUCUAGGUCUCGAAACUUUCAAAAUGCAUUUUCAGCUCCAUAAACUUGUCUUAAGAUGUUAUCUGGGUCCAUAAACUCUCAAAACACAUUUUCUAGGUCCUCCAAUUUGUCUCAGGGUGUCAUCCAAGUCCUUAAAGUCUCAAAGUGCAUUUUAAGAUACCCAAUCAAGCGCCAAGCAACACAUGCGUGAUCACUAACAUAAGGUGGUUGUGAAGGCAACAAGCGAGGAGAAAGCAUUGCCAUCAGCGACAGUUGACAAGUUUUAAGAUUUGAAAAUGUAUUUUGAGAGAUUAAGGACUCGGAUGAAACCCGAGGACAAGUUUGGGAGGCCUAAAUAUGCACUUUGAGAGUUUAUGGACCCAGAUGACACCAUGAGACAAGUUUGGAUACCUGAAAAUGUAUUUUGAGAGUUUAGGGACCCAGAUGACACCACAAGAUAAGUUCAAGGACUGCCGGUGUAUUUUACUAUUUUUUCAGUCUCCAACAAACAUUAUAUUUUCGAACCAAAACACUACCUCAGACACCCCCCUCAGUAGGUUGCCGAGUCUAAACACCGACAGCUAGUGUGCCAGGUAGGGGAUCUCACCGAGAAUCCACUGGCGAACUCGAUGGCACAAGUCAUCAUCAAGCCAAUCGUCACGUUUGAAGUAGGCGCGACGUUCAUCUUUGGCUCCUGGUGAUUAGGACAUCACCUGCUCAAAUACAACCACAUUAGCAACUUUUGAUUUAAAGAUGAAAUAAUUCUUUAUCAUGAUUGUAUUUGAUACAUUUGAUUAAUUGAUGCUGCACCAUGAUGUGUGUUCAUUGUCAUUUUUAGAAAUACAUACGUGGAUCAAAAAGAGCGUUAAACAUACAUGGAAGGCAUGGAGGGCCAAAGAAGUUGAUUGGAGGCUAAGUCCAAGUAUUCCCAACGUCCUCCACCAGGCCACCACGUCAUUUUUGGCUCAAGGAAAGAAAGAGAUCCAAUCCAACACAUUUUGGGGCUGGAUUCGGACUGCAGCACUGCGCCAACUUGCGACGGCCGCCACGACCUCAUCCAGACUCUGUUUUGGGAGUUCAAGUACUAAUUGGAAUCCUUAUGAAGUCUAUUUUCAUAUGGAUCUAGACUCAGGUCCAUAUCUAUUCUGAGGCAGCCACAAUAACCGAAUUAGUACAAAGAGGUUUUCUGUCCAAAGGUGCUGCGUCGCCUUAUUUUGGUCUGAUGGGUCGUAUAUCAAAUUGGAUCCAUUAGGGACACGUCCUAGGGUUGGAGCACGACCCCAACACCCCCCUGGUCGUUCUCCUAGGUAUUAAUAAGGAUUAGAGCUGCCACAAAUAGAUUGGGUUUUGUUUUGUUGAAAGUUUUGCCAUUGCUACUUUCUUGUAGACACAUGUGUCGAUUAGACCAUCCGUUCUACUCGAUUCAGAACCCCAACUUUGUGAUUUCAGAUUGGCUCUUAUCUUCAUAUUUUGCAAUUGAGUUGCUUGUUCUACUUGUUCUUGCUUGUUCCUCGAUUGCUUGCAGGAAUUAACCUAGUGGUUUGGUUGAUCGUGCUCCACAAGAUUGCGGCGACCAUUAGAGGUGGUGUAUCGGUUGCUAAGGCGCAGCAUCCUUGGAUGGUUGUAGUCAGGCCGUGAACGUCGUCUCCAUCCUCAAAUCGAGUUAUCCACCUUCUCUCAUCGAAAGAUCGGGAUUCAACCCAAUAGGUUCCUAUCAAUUGGUAAUCAGAGCAAGGUUAAUCGGUGAGAGACUUCUAAUUCUUUGCUGUUUUUAAUCUCCUAUAGUCCAGAAAAAGCCAAGAAAAAUAGUAGAUUAGUUCUCCAUAAUCCCCAAAACCCUUUGACCUUGAUACUGUUACUGCUUAGUUAUGGCUUAUUGAAUUAACGGUUGCAUUGUCGUGUCAAGUUGCUGGUCUUAGCGUCUAGUCGUUUAGAGUUUCAAGUUGUAGUCACGUUUGUGUCACCAUCGUAGAUUUGAGUUUAUUUGUUUCUCUCCAUGAAUCAGAGUGGAUUUCCAAAUUCCUUUGUUUUGUUUACCAACAUUAACCUAACCACUUCCUUUGAGGUUUCAUCCACAUCCAUCCUUCCAUCUACAAAAACGAAAUCCAACAAGUUGAUUCUAAAUAUAGCCUCGAAACCUUAACUUGUGCUGUUUCCAACAGAUCUGACCUUGGUCCCAAAUUCUUUUUGAGCGCUUUGCAAUCACCCAAGAGAUUUGCGCAUCUGCUAGUUUUGCAAAACAGCCACUUGUUUGACUUCGCUACUGAAUCACCCUUCCCAAGAAAACAUUUAAUUGCUGUAAGUCGCUUGUUAUCUUUUGUUGCAAAAUUUCAGCUACUUGAAAGAAAAAAAAAGAAAAGAAGGAUAGAAAGAAAGAAAAGAAAGAUAGAAAGAAAGAAAAGAAAGAGAAAGAAGAAGAGCAGGGUUUUUCUUUUGUUGUUAUUCCUCCCUUUGUGAUCCUUCUUUGCUGCAGCUUAAUGACUUCGUUUCCCAUUCGGACUCCGCAAUGCGACCACUGUUUAUCAGGCGGCCCUGUCCAAAUUAUAAUCCGAUACAGAUAUGAUCGAGGAUCUCGACUACUUCUUGGAUCCGAGCGAGGAAACUCCUUUAUCAGGUCCGCAACAGGGCCUGGUAAUCAUAUCAACUCCUCAAGGUAGAUUCAUCUACUAGCCAACAUGAAGCUACCUGCUCUUGCCAAGGAUGACGAUUCAUGCCUCAUCGACACUCUCCCGUACCAGUAGGGAGCUCCUCUGUCACCCACCUACGAGGAAGGCAGCACCAUGGAGGUCAUCACUUUAAGCUCGGGAAGCUACUCUCCAAAGCGAGAACUCUUCGCGAUCUUUACUUGACAAGAGGACAAAGAAAAAGAGUUACAGGACAGAAACUCACAACAUGAGUGUCACCCAGAUGACGUCUCGCAGGAUGAGCUCACUACCAAUGUUAUCAGAGAAGAGACCAAAGCUUCAAGAAUUUGACGACAAGCAAGAAACACCGUAAGAGCAGAGCGCCACCGCCACCUUGCAGCGGAUCUACCAAUCUAGAACCUGGAUAACUCCUUUGAAGUAGUUCAAAUGCGUCACCAUCGUACUCCUCUAGAUAUCAUCACGUCUAUUGAUCUCAUCGCCCGUGCGAUGCCCCAGAACAAAUACACUAGACAGUUGGUUGAACUAGCGAAACUCGCGUAUGAACAACUCGAUAAGCAGAGUUCGAUACAGUUAGUCCAACGCUCCAUAUCCCAGCGAAGUUAACAUGGUAGUAGCCAUAGAAGCCCUCCAUCAAGACAAAGUUAAAUCGGAGGCACCAGACCAAGCCAAGCUGGAGCUAAAGGUGUCGAUGUUUAAACCUAGCAACCUACCAAGGGAGUACCCGAGGUAGAGUUUUGGUUGGUGGGUGUCGCCAAAAUCAGGAGCUCGAUGGUGUACGCAGGCACGCGAUUUAGACAGGUUCGGACUGCUAGAUCGCGUAAUACCCUACAUCAUGUAUGUUAUUUUUUGUAUUGGAUUGAACUUGUCUUGAGGAGGUCCCUACCCGCCCUUAUAUAUUGGGGGAGCAGGGUUACAGGGUAGUUGUUUUACAACAGUACUAGUCGGAUUCGACUACUGAUUACUACUCUAACUAGGAAGAGUAGUUUCCUUGUCCUUGACUAGUCCUCUGGAGUUCCAUGUAGACCACGCCACCCUGUAUCACAGUCUCCAUGUCUUGAUACGUCUCGGUGUACUUCUCCACAUGUGGAUACAUAUGAACCUUCUGGUAGGCCCAUGGAUGUAUGCCCGACAAGCUCCCGAGUACUUUGUAGUCAAAUGCAACAGUCUCAAGUACUUCUGCAGAUGUGGUUCGACUAGUUUCUGGUGCUCUUUAAGUACUUCUGUUGUAACUUAGUCUUUGAGUACUGUCAUGAGGCUGGAAGGUACUCUUAGCCUCAUCUGACAUUGUUUCUGGAAAGUCAGUCUUCAAGUCUGUAUAUGGAAGUGCGAUGAAAAUCGUACUCCAUAUGGAGUAGCCCCCGAGCCUUAGGUUGAAUCGAAGAAUCAGGCUAAGGGUCAAUCUACAUUUGUUCCAUCUUUGUCUUGAUCUUGAAGAAAAAGAAAUUUUCACCCGAUGGGCACGGUAUAUGCAGCCCUCGAGCCGUUACAUGACUAGUUUCGGGAGGUAUAAGGGUCUUUCAAUCUGUUACCAUGACCUUUCAGCUUCUGCCAGUUUGAAAAAAUCUGUCUUGCGCCAAUAAGGCCGUAAUUGCCGCUAAUUAGCGAAAACAUCGGCCCAUUAGCCGUAGAGACUCCUCCGCAGUUAUAGGGGAUAGGGGAAAGUUAUCCCCUACCCUUACGCUGUCAUUUGCAUAUGUUAGCCUAUUCCUCAAAAAACCCUAACUUUUCCUCGAGCGCCGCCGCACACCAUUCGUGAAUCGCCUGCGCUGCUUCCCCACACUUAGUCCCCAAGCGUAUGCGCGUGAAGCGGCUCGUGAAGACCAGGAUGGGGAAGAAGCUUGAGGGUUCCAAGAAGGGGUCCAAGGAGGGUUCCAAUAGAGAGACUUGUAAAGGUGAAUCCAAGAGGGAAACUCCUAGGAAGGGGAAAGAGCCCCAACUGCCGCCACCAAAAUGUGGAGAAACGAACCAGACUGCGCCACCCAAUCAAGCCAUGGUGUGGAAAAGGUCGACGAUGAAGGAGGCGGAGAUCCAGGAGUUGGUCGAUGCCAAGCUGUUGAAAGAUAAAGCGACCUUAGGCUGGAGAUCAUCCUAUAACAACUCAUGGAUGUUCGAGGCACACUCCAAGGAGACGGUAACUUUCACCCAAUUUGUUGAGCGCGGGUUUGCCAUCCCAACUUCUAAUUUCUUCUGGGCCUCCUAGAUUACUACUCUUUUCAACUUGUCCACCUAAACCCAAACAACAUUUUUGCACAUUUUGAUUUUCAUCCACUUGUGCGAGGCCUUUUUGGCGAUCCAGCCCUAUUUCAGUUUGUUCCGCAAGUUGUUUCACCUCAAACCGUAGCCAAGUCAAGAGAACAUGCAAGUCAUUGGAAGGGCCGGCAUUCAAAUCCGUGAGCAGUACUCUGAUAUGUAUUUGGAGUAUAAGCUGGUUGCGUCCCAUGGUGGCUGGAAAGAUAAAUGGUUUUAUGUUGAAGAUCACAAGCCAUCCUUGCCCAAGAUCACUGGACACUGCCCAAAGUAUAGUAGCCGGUGGCUCGACGAGCCGACUACUGCUGAUAGUAUGCAAGUACCCGAUCUGCUAAACAAGAUUGCUGAGUUGAAGAAGAAUGGGCUAACGGGAGUAGUCGUAGCCGCUAGCUUUCUGAAGAGACGGGUAUAGCCAUUGCAACUCCGCCAAACCUGGGGGUAUGAGUACUCUAGGCUUGAUGACCCAUCGAGAAUGUCGGUGGAUGACAUCUCUGAUGAAGAAGUAGCAGUGCGGCUGAGUCGAAUGUUCAAGGAAUUCAACGGCAUGCCCGAAACAAGUGAAGCAAUCAAGGAGUUUGACAACUGGAACAAGCCGAGAGAAGUGAGUACUCGUCGCCCUGUAUCAUUUGAGUACUCGUGUUGUUUAAUUUGUUGUUUCUGACUUAUUUUUCCUUAUGCAGGAGAAUAUACUCAUGUAUUUUUUGCAUCCUCCUCCCCCUGGCGCUGAUGAUGCGAAAGCUGCAAUGCCAACACACUGGGGGCAGUUUCCUGGGGAGUCCUCAGGAGAAGAGGAGGACGAAGAAAGUGAGUCCUUUAGCAGCUCCGAAUCUGAUGAUGUGGAUAAUUUUGUUGUGCAGCCGCGCGCCUCCAAGCAGAGCAAGUCUUCUUCCUGUGCGUGGAGACACCACGGGAUGUUGAUUUGGUGCCGCCGCUAAAGAAACAGCGAAUUGGCGUGCCCAAAAGGCGCACUAGGCACAAUCUUCGCAUUGAUGGUGCGGCCCCACCGGUAAUAACUCUUGCAGAAGGACAAGGCAUCAGGGUGCGAGGUCAUUUGUAGUUGCCUUGUGAAGUCAUGACUACCUAUCUUGAUUCUUUUUUCUUUUUGCAGGCUACCAUUGAAGUAGUCGAGACCGUGGAGGUGGCCACUGAUGAUGUUUUUGGUUUGACGGAGGCAGCUACUCAUAAUGUAACCGAGAUGGAGGUAGCGACCGUUGGCGAUACUGUUGCGGCAGAGAGGGCCACUGGUAGUGUGCCCGUAGCAUCGGAGAUGACUACAUCCCAUGUGACCAUGGAGAUAGGGGUGACUACUGAUGGUGUGGCCGGAGCUUUAGAGGUGGAUAUCAACGAAGAGGUCAGGAUGCCCGAACCAGUUGCCGGUGCCACGCUACCUAAAAUGUUCGUGGGCAGAGAUGAUGUAGCUACUGGUGGUGGUCUUCAGCCCCCUGCUGCGCAGGAGACUCCCACGGGUAGUUCUGAGAACCAAGAUCCGCCACCUGGCCCGGCAAUUGUGCCAGUCCCCACCAUACUGCCAAUACGAUUGGGGGGCAAACCUCCUUUGAUUCCUCGUCGGUCGAGUAGGUGAGUACUCUGGUAUUAUGUUGAGUAGCUAUCUUGCUUUGACUAAUUGAUUCCUGUCGCUUACAGUUUGACUUGUGCAGAGCGUCUUCAAAUGCAGACUUUGGUUCAUCAGGUACUGAUCCGGCAGCUGAUGGAGUGCGCCGCUCAGCUAUGGACCCAGUCUCCGUGCCCAUUAUCGAUUUGACGGAGGAGAGUCCCGCACCAAGGGGACAGCCCGGCGCUACGACUUUGGUGGCUGCUCUUAUGCAGGACGUGAUUGGCUCCCUCCAAGAUGUCACGCUGCCGCAAGCUGAAACUACUACGACUGGCCCGUUGCUCGAGGCUACUUCCAUUGAAGACUUGCCAACUCGAAUGUUCUAGACGCCGUACCCCUCACAGCCACUGAAGGACGGAAAAGGCGACCAGAGGGGGGGGGGUGAAUGGGAGCCUCAAAUAUUUCUUUCAAAAUCCUAGGCCUUUGUCUAAAAAUCAAACCCCAAAUCCUAGCAAGCGGAAGAUGAGAGAUCCACAAGCCAAUUGGUUGGCUGGGUGUCUAUGAUAAUGACCAAAAGACACAGUAGGACUCUCGAGAAGCAAUCGGAAGCAAACUAAAAGGAUUAAGGCAAAAUAGAACGCAAAACACCUUCCAGGUAUUGGAACUUCCGACCUCUUAUCGGAACUUACGAAAGUGGAUUGUCGGAACUUCCGACCCUGUAUCGAAACUUUCGACACCUAUCGGAUGUACCAAGGAACUCCCGACAGAGGUUUUCUGGUUUUCAACAAUUAACCCAUUGGAACUUCAGAUCCUGUGUUGGAACUUCCGACCCAUCGAAACUUCAGACCCAUCAGAACUUUCUACACAGUGUCGGAACUUCCUACAGCUCAAAAAUCAGCCUUCGUGAGGAGAGAAGAAAAUUCCAAAACUUGAUCAAACGACCUCCAAAAAUUAUGAAAUUUGAACCAUAGCAUCACAAGAUAGUAGAGAAGCUACUCCUAAGAAAUCAUCCCUCAAAGAUUUGUCAAACAAUAGGAAUUCCAAAUCUUGUGAAGAACACAACUUUUCACACUUCGAAAGGUUCAACUCACGUCCUAGUUCAUAUCCAAACAACCGGUUUGACUCAAAACCCCCCACAAAACAUGAAUCAAACAAAAACGUGAAGGAAGAAGGUAGGGAAGAAAUAAGAAUGCGAAGCACACAAACGGGAAUCGCAUAAAGUUGUUAUCCCCUAAUACACGGAGGUCACGAGGAGGAUAGGCCCUCCAUUCCCGCAACAAACUUUGGUUCAAUACACGGAUUCGGAGCUCAAAACAUCCGAGGACUUCUAGAGAGAUAAACUAGAGCGAGAGAGAUGAGGCUAAUGAACUACUAAAACCCUAGAUAGAAGAGGUGCUUAGAGAGGUGCUGAAACAACCAGCCCCCCAUCCCUAUUUAUAGUAUCGGACUAGUUACUAAACUACCCCUACAGCUACUACUAGGAUAACUACCCACGCAGGGGCAUUUUGGUCUAAGUUUUUCUGCGCUCAUCGGACGGACACGCCACCUACACGACUUUGCUUUACCUCGACGCAAGCUUCACAAUGAUGCCAUGUUCCUUCCUUGUCGAAGCUCUAGUCGCACCAGGCUCGCCCCCGGUUUUGAGGCCCAAACCGGGAAACCUGCUUGCGCGGUGGUUUUGAGGCCCAAACCACCCAAACCGUCCAUCUUUGCUUGGCCGCCACACGACCUCCUCGAUAUCGACGUGUGUUCAGUCUCCGCCAAGACUUUGACGCCUCCAAGUCUUUUGCUCCUGACUCCCGAGCCGCCUACUUGACUUGCCUCCAUCCCGCUUAACUUAACUGACGCCAUAUCCAUCCGUCAUGUUCUCUUGCCAUUCUAUGCACCAUGUGGACCGCCCAUUACUCUGCCUGGACUCCUCGGGUCCAUCGGUCCAAGCCUACUCGCAUUCAUCCUUCACCACCCUUGGUCCAUCGGCAUGAACCUUUUGCUUGACCUUCACCGCAUUUCGUCGGCCGUCACACCACAUCCUACACCUGCACAUCACAAGCCAAGAGCAACAUCAAUCCAACACAACAUUAUCAAUCACUCAUCAUACAAGGGUGACCACCAUUGGUCCUCAAUCUCCCCCUUGAUGAGUGCAUUGACAACACCCCACAAAUUCAUAGUUUGAAAAAGAAAACAAGAAAUGCAAAAUAGAAAAUCUCAGUCCCCUAAGAUAAGGGCAAUGGCUCUACACGACUAAGAUAAAAUCGUGUGAUCCUUCAAGAAGAGGCAGAAAAUGGGCUCAACACCAAUCACAUGAAAUCCAAACUCAAAUCACAUGCUGGCUCUUCAAGAAGAGGUAAAAAGUUCAACACGAUCGGGACAAGAGAAAAGUUCACAGAGACUCGAAAACUGGCUCCUCAAGAAGAGGUAACAAGCUCAACGUGACCAGCAGAAAGACACAAGAGCAAGCAUAAAAACUCACAGAGACUCCCCCUGAACAAAUGCACUCCCCCUAAAACUAAGGCAUGCGAAAGCAAAGUUCUCCCCCUUGUGAAACUAAAAAAAGGCAAUAAUUUGCAAGAAUUUGUGCAUUUCCAAAUAUCUCCCCCUUGUUGACAAUGCAAUCAUCAAAACGAGCAUGAGAGCACAAAAAGGAUGCAUGAAAUGCAGAAUCUGUCAAGCUUCUCAGAUAUACCACAGAAUACUCUCAAAUGCUAUAAGAGAGAAAACGCUUGGUGGAUCAGAUAGAAGCAAUAACACCGCUAGCAAGAUGAUAUCAUGUGACAGGAGGUGAAGUAGAUGUCAAGUUUUAGUAAUGUAGAAAAAGAUCACCACAUGAGGAAACAUCUAGUCAAGAAUCACCCCAGAAAGAAUAAGCGAGGCCAUCAAGAGCUCAUACUGGGAAGCCACAUUCUCCACAAGAGAUCAUUGAAAACACCCACAUAUGCAUCACAAGUCAUGUCUGAGCUUGUUGAAACCAUGUGCCUGCUUCUUUUUUGGCAGACAUCAUGUAACAACUAAGCAAUCUAGAAUAUGAACAUUAAGCAUAACAACAUGGUGAAUUUAUGAAUUUUUCUUUUCAGCACUAAUCUUUUCAUUAUUCACACAAAGCAAAAUACAUGAAGUGCCUUUGCGGCACAAAGAAGCCAUGCUUCCCCAAGUAGUGCAUCAUGGGCUAAACAUCUGCAAUGAUACCUAGAUCUUUGACCCAAUUAAAAGAGCAUGAAUUCCAAAUAUAAGCUAAAUAUGGAACCAGCAUUCGAACAAGGGCAAAUCAUAACCAAGCAUCUACUCAUGGGUGAUAAGCAAGUUAAUAGAGUAGAAUUUAGCAUUGGAUUUCAAAAAUAGUUAUCUCAACAUGUAUACAAUAUCAUCAAGAGUAUAGCUGCACAUUGCAUCAACCAUUACCUACUAAGGCACUACCUCACAAGUAGCAUAAGAUAAUAAUCAGGGCAUAUAAGAGAAGCUCAUCUAAUGCAAAUAGAUGCAAUAUGAUACAGAUGCAGUGAAAGCCAACCUAGCAUAUUACAAAGAUGCUAAACAAGAAAAAAUGGCUAUACAAAUAUAAUAUAAGAGAAGCUUCAAAACCCAACUCAGAAAGGAAAACAAAUACCCAACUCCCCCUGCAAGCGAGCAAAAGUGGCUUUAUCUAGGGGUUUGGUGAAGAUAUCAGCGAGUUGGUUUUGGGUAGCAACAUAGCCAAGGUCUCCUCUCUCAACAUGAUCUCUCAGAAAAUGAUAUCUCACAUCAAUGUGUUUAGAUUUUGAGUGGAGAACAGGGUUCUUGGCUACACUAAUGGCACUUGUGCUGUCACAAAGAAGAGGUACACGAGUAAUGUCCAAACCAAAGUCUCACAAAGUGGAAAUCAUCCAUAAAAGCUGGGAACAACAACUAGCAGCAACAACAUACUCAACUUCAGUGGUAGACUGAGCAACACUAGACUGUUUGCGAGAAGACCAAGAGACCAAAGACGAACCGAGAAACUAGCAAGUGCCCAAGGUAGACUUGCAAUCCAAUCAACACCCAGCAAAGUCUGCAUCGGAGUAUCCGCAAAGCGUGAGUGUCAAGGAGGCAGAAUACCACAAACUGAAUUCAUGUGUGAAACGGAGAUACCUCGUGAUUCUUUUCACUGUUUGACAGUGAGAUGUCCUCGGUGAAGCCUGAAAAUGAGAGCACAGACACACUGCGAAGUGUAUGUCCAGCCUCGUCACCGUCAGGUACAAGAGGGAGCUGAUCAUGCUCCGGUACUCCUUCUGGUCUACUUGUUCUCCAUCUUCAUUUGCAUCCAGCGCCGUCGUCGUCUCCAUGGAUGUUGAUAGUGGCUUGGCAUCAGCCAUGUCAAACUUCCUCAGCACGUCCUUCGUGUACUUCCCUUGGUCCACGAAGGUUUCAUCCUUGCUCUGCUUGAUUUGUAGCCCGAGGAAGAAAGUCAGCUCACCCAUCAAACAUCUUGAAUUUCCUGCUCAUGUCAUCUGCAAACUUGGCAACCAAAGCAUGAGAGGAACCACCAAAGAUUAUAUCAUCCACGUACAUCUGAAUAACUAACAAGUCUUUGCCUUACCUAAGGAGAAAGAGAGUUUUAUCAACUGACCCCAUUUCAAACCCAUUCCCAAGCAAAAAGGAUUUCAACCUAGCAUACCAUGCUCAGGGUGCUUGUUUUAGGCCAUAAAGUGCUUUUUGGAAUUUGAAAACACGGUCAGGAUACUUAGGACUCUCAAAAUCAGGGGGUUGUUUCACAUACACUUCCUCCUCUAUAAAACCAUUUUGGAAGGUACUUUUUACAUCCAUUUGGAAGAGCUUAAAACCUUUAGCCACAUAAAAGGCUAGAAAAAUUCCAAUCACUUCCAAACGGGCAACAAGGGCAAAGGUUUCUUCAUAAUCUAUUUUUUCUUUUUCUUGCUAAAACAUUGGGCAACCAACCUCGCUUUGUUUCUCACAACCAACCCAUUUUCACCCUGUUUGUUUUUGAAAACCCAUUUUGUUCCUAUAGGGUGGUAAUUUGGAGGUGAUUCAACUAAGACCGAAACCCUGUUUCUCUCAAAGUUUUCUAACUCCUCAUGCAUGGCAUUGACCCAGUUUGAAUCAGAUAAAGCAUGUCCAAUAUCUAGGGGUUCAAAUGUGGCGGAAUCACCUCGGAUUAGCUUGAUUAAGCAGGGUUAAGCCGCCUAAUAUGCGACACUCCUGCCUAAACCGAGUUAAUACGAAGUGCCAUCGGAUUUCAUCCGAUUUAACCACUUAAACAGGAUCGAGUUCAGCAAACCCACACGAAGGUGAGUGGUUACAGAGAAUACAACAAGUCCACUGAGUUGAAGAAGUUUUUAUCCAUUUAGUUCGGCCAUAAAAUCCAACAUCAGAGUUUUACAAGUUUUCCAGAAACAACAGAGAAAAUACUAGCGGAAGACUUCGUCGGGGUCGGACAUCCCUGGUGAGGCCAACCGAGAUAUCACUGGAUCCUCUCCUCGCCGUCCGAGGAAGGAUCCCACUCGACCGUCCAGCCUGGCGGGGGCUGGGGCGGCCAAGCACCAACCAGAGAGGGGUCGGAAGCAGCAACUUCACCUGAAAAACAGGAGCCACAACAAGGCUGAGCUACUAAGCUCAACAAGACUUAACCGAUAGGAGGAAGGGCUACUCCUCCUUCUAGACAUGCAAGCUGUUUGGCUGAGGGGUUUGUUUGCUAAAAGCACUAAGUAACCCUAUUUUUCAAGUUUUAGCUCCGGUUCUAGGUUCAUUUACCAGUCUAGGUUGUGCCACCUAUUCUAAGCAUUCAUAGAGCCAAACAAGAAGUGUAGAUAUAACAACAAACAUUGCCAUCAUCAGAUUCCUCAUUUACUCAGGGUGACAUAGCGAUCAAGCAAUCUCAAACUGUGAGAGGCAGACGAAUCGAUUCGAGUUCUUUAACCAUGCAUGGUGAACCUAGCCUCACGACAUCCGCGCACCCGGAGGUCGCUUCCUGUGUCGGCCUUCCCCAUCAAUCCCCUAACCCGUGUCGGGCCCAUUUCCUUUGGUGCAAGGUUCCACAGACCCGGCCUCUGCCGUUUUGUGACCACGCUUGCCACCACGUGCGACAACCAGUACGGGAAACUCCGUUCCAAGAACAAUGGGGCGACCGCUCACGUCUAGGUUCAAUCCGGUACUAGGCUUCCUCAUCCCAUACUAAGUAUGAGGCUAGUACUUUCAAACACUUGAUCACGAACACCACCACUGUCGGGCCUUAGCAAGAUUUCAUAGACAGACGGGGCAACCAUCCGACCACCAAAAAGUUACCAAAACCCUGCCCCGUCCAUCGUCCUUAUAGUUAUAACAGGAGAGUAACAUACAAAUCCUACAACUCGCGAGUGAUAGGAAAUCACUCGACUUUUACCGUCUCCUAGUUAAGCAAUGCAGCUACUCGGUCCAACAGCUAGUGCUCAGAUCACUGGGAUAACUAAGUCAUGCAUCUAGGGUUUCACACAACUCCUAUACGUAAAUGCACAAGCAUGUUACAGAAGGCAUGCGCAAGUCUGGCAAAACACGUAGGAUUUUCAUGCAACCGGGGCUUGCCUUCAAGCAAGGAGGACGAGAACGGCUCGACUUCGGGGGCGACUUCGGCUUCGGAGGACAGGAGCUCGGCUACAGCUUCUUCUUCUGGCGCCGGGUGAAGCUCGUAGAAGCCGUCGGUGAGGUGCAGCUCUACACGAAUGCAAUGCAAGGGUUAGCAUAGACGGUUAUUUCAACAGCAACAAUGGCUCGCCUGAGCCCAGAAACUUGCGACAAAGAGCAGGAGGUUAUGGUGGUUCGAGAGAGCUGAUGAUGAUGAAGAGGUAAGGGUAGGAAAGGAACUAGUGGUCUGAUCCUUGAACUAGAGGAUGUGAUAACUGGGGGUCCUUAGACGCAAGCGCUGAAGGGUUCCCAAGUUUUACACAUACACCCUCGAGUUGAAGAAAAAGAUCACAGCCAAGCCCUCGGGCGAGGCGGACAAGGGUCAGCGGAACAGAUAGGGUCGGGCGAGACGGAACCGGGGUCGGGCGGAUAGGAGGGGUCGGGCGAGGCGGACUGGGGUCGGCAACUCACCUUCUUCCUGAAAGGAAAGCUUGGGGUCGGAAAGAAGCGAACUUUGGGGCGGAGGGACUUCGGUUUGAACAGAAGCUAAGACCGGCAAUGCUCCGGCGGUGGCGCUGCUUCUUGCGGAUCACAAGAGAGCUUUUACGCAGCACGGAGGAGCAAGCUGCUGGGUGACUUGGAGGAAACUGAGAGAGAACUCCUCAAGAACUAGGUGGGUGGCGCUAGGAGCUUGAGCAGGGAGCUAGAGAAGGCUGAAGGUAACAAGGGCGGAGGAAACUCCGGCGACGGGGCAUUCCUUUUAUAGCUGCUGGAGCAGGGGAACGGAAACGGCGCGGAGAGAGGGAAGGGAAGCGGCGCGAAGGCCGGGGAGAGGCAAUGGAGUGCUCUGCCGGGGUGGCGAUUGAGCGAAGAGGGCGGUGGUGCAGAACUCCGGGGGUGACGCCAGCGAUCAUUGCGUUCUGCCGUCAGGGCGGCGUAGGAGCGGGUAGACUGGUGGUUGAGAUUUGGCGGAAAGCGGGCGUCGUCGUGCGGAAGAUUUGAUAGAAGCGACCGGCUUAACGGCGCUAGAAUCGAGGGUGCACGGUGAGAAGACAGGCGGACGCGGGCGCGGGGGAGAGCGCGGAACAACAGAUUGUCGGGCGGCUUCUGACAGAGCGGGGGAAAGGAACUGUCGCGGCCGCGGUCGGGGUUGGCGGUGGAGGAAUCAUCGUGUAGCGGCGACCAGGCGGCGCGACUGUGGCUGAAGGGACGGAAAAGACGGGCGACAUCAGGCUCUGGGGCCGGGAUCUGGCGGCGUGAUGAUGGGCGCGGGCGGCGAGGCUCUGCAGAAGGGGUGCAGAGGGCUUCCGCUGCCAUUGGAGAAAGGGGGGGCGCGGGAACCCACUCGGUCGCUGGCCAGAGACAAAACUGAGCGGCAGGCGUCGGAGAAGAUGAGCCACGCGUCAGGAAGACUCUGAAGCAGCCAUGCAACUCGAGUGCGGCGGUCGCGGGGGAUCUGGAAAAGAUCUCACGGGUCCAUCGGUGGAUAGAUCGGAUGGUUGAGGAAGAUUAGCAGAAUCCGACGGUGGGCUGAGCUCGCCGGGGUCGGGAGAGGAGCGAAGCGGGAAGGGGUCGGAUCUCAGGGGUCGGGACCAGCGGAUAGCUGAGCACUUAGGCGCGGUCAAGCAAGACAGAUGGCUAGGAUCAAGGGCUCUGAUCAAGACUAACUCGGGAAGGUUUAGGGGUCGGUCGUUACAGCCUACCCCUCUUAAAAAGAAUCUCGUCCCGAGAUUCAGAGAUCAAGGGGGUGUGUUGUCCUUACCUCCUUGAGGGGAUAGAAAACCUGGAAAACGCUUGCUCAGAUAUUCGUCCGUUUCCCAUGUUGCUUCAUACUCGGUGUGGUUUCUCCAGAGGAUCUUGUACAUCUUUACCACUUGGCGUCGGGUGUGCCUUUCGUUUUGGUCAAGAACUCGAUCUGGGUACUCGGCGUAGGUCAGGUCGGGCUCUACCUGAAGCUGUCCUUGCUCUAAGAUCUCUGCUGGAACUCGAACACAUUUCUUCAGUUGAGACACAUGAAAAACAUCGUGUAUUGCCGACACCCGCUCUGGGAGUUGGAUCCGGUAAGCAACGGGUCCACAUAUCUCCACAAUCUCAUAAGGGCCAAUAUAGCGGGGAGCUAACUUGCCUUUUACUCCAAACCGUUGCACUCCUUUGGUCGGGGAGACUCGAAGGUACACAUGCUCACCAAGGUCGAACUGCAGGGGUCUUCUCCGCUGAUCGGAGUAACUCUUCUGUCGAGAUUGGGCCGCCUUGAGAUUUGCUCGAAUUACCUUCACUUGCUCUUCGGCUUCUGCCACUAAGUCAGGGCCAUAGACCUGUCUUUCCCCUGGUUGGGACCAGUUCAGGGGUGUCCUGCAUCUUCAGCCAUACAGGGCCUCAAACGGUGCCAUCUUCAAACUGGCCUGGUAGCUGUUAUUGUAGGAGAAUUCUGCCAAGGGCAGACACUUGUCCCAGUUUUUAUCAUAGUGGAUAACACAAGCUCUUAACAUGUCUUCAAGAAUCUGGUUGACUCUCUCGGUUUGGCCAUCGGUUUGAGGAUGAUAUGUUGAGCUUCGGAUGAGCUUGGUGCCCAUAGAUGCUUGUAGCUGCUCCCAAAAACGUGCCACAAACUGAACUCCUCGAUCAGAAACGAUAGUCUUGGGUACACCAUGUAGGGAAACUAUACGGUUGAGGUACAAUUCUGCAUACUGCUUGACUGUGUAGGUGGUGCGAACCGGAAGGAAAUGUGCUGUCUUGGUCAGACGGUCCACUAUAACCCAGAUGGAAUCAUAUCGUUGUGUUGUAAGGGGUAAUCCAACUAUGAAGUCCAUGCUGAUGUCUUCCCACUUCCAAGAGGGAAUAGGUAGCGGCUGCAAGGUUCCUGCUACCUUCAAAUGACUGGCCUUGACACGUUGACAGGUGUCACAUUCUGAAACAUACCGAGCUAUCUCCGGCUUCAUUCCACUCCACCAAAAGGUUUGAUGGAGAUCAUGGUACAUCUUAUUGCUGCCAGGAUGGAUCGAGAACUUGGAGAGAUGAGCUUCAUCUAGGAUUUGCUUCCUCAACUCGGGGUCGGCGGGUACUACUAGCCGGUUUCCAUAAUACACACCUCCCGUUUUGUCCUGACGGAAAUGCUUAUAUCCCUUAUCCUCUACUGAGAUCUUACCGAUGAUCCGUUGUACUUCCGUAUCUCUUACUUGUGCUGACCGGAUUCGGUCUUCCAAAACUGAGUCAAGGAUGAUGUGACCAAGGGUUCCAUGAGGAAUAAUCUCCAGACUCAGUUUUCCCAUCUCGUGACACAGAGUCCUGGUGAAGGCUGUUGACAACUAGCAGUCGCAACGGGGUUUGCGGCUGAGGGCAUCGGCUACCACAUUGGCUUUGCCAGGAUGAUAGUGCACUUCCAAUUCAUAAUCCUUUAUCAACUCUAGCCAUCUUCUUUGAUGCAUGUUGAGGUCGGUCUGAGUGAAGAUGUACUUGAGGCUCUUGUGGUCGGUGUAGAUGUUGCAGUGAGCUCCCAUUAGGUAGUGCCUCCAUAUCUUCAAGGCAUGUAUUACUGCUGCCAACUCAAGGUCAUGUGUCGGGUAGCUUAGCUCAUGAGGUCGUAACGCACGUGAGGCAUAGGCAAUGACUCGAGUGUCUUGCAUGAGAACACAUCCGAGUCCAGUACCAGAGGCGUCACAGUAUACGUCAUAUGGCCUAGAGGGGUCGGGCUGAGCCAAAACUGGGGCGGUGGUCAGCAAGUGCUUCAGGGUCUUGAAGGCCUCUUCACACUUGGUGUCCCACACAAAUUUGACCUCUUUCUUCAGCAACUCGGUCAUCGGCUUAGCUAUCUUGGAGAAAUCCGGUAUGAAACGCCGAUAGUAACCUGCCAAUCCAAGGAAACUCCUGAUCUGGUGUACUGAGGCAGGAGACUUCCAUUCCAUGACUUCUUGCACCUUACUGGGAUCCACGGCGAUACCAUCCUUGGAGAUAGUGUGUCCCAAAAACUUGACACUAUCUAACCAAAACUCACACUUGGAGAACUUGGCAUAGAGCUGGUGAUUUCUCAGCCGUUGGAGAACUAUAUGAAGAUGGUCGGCAUGCUCUUCCUCGUUCUUCGAGUACACUAGGAUAUCAUCAAUGAACACCACUACAAACUUGUCCAGCUCGGGCAUAAACACCGAGUUCAUAAGGUACAUAAAAUAGGCGGGUGCAUUGGUGAGUCCAAAGGACAUGACUAGGUACUCGUACAGUCCAUAUCUGGUAGAGAAAGCUGUCUUGGGUAUGUCGCAGGGUCGAAUCUUUAUUUGGUGAUAACCAGAACGAAGAUCGAUCUUGGAGAACACUUUUGCUCCGGCUAACUGAUCGAACAAGACAUCAAUGCGUGGCAGCGGGUACUUGUUCUUGACUGUCACAGCAUUGAGGGGUCGGUAAUCCACACACAUACGUAGACUGCCAUCUUUCUUCUUUACAAACAGGGCGGGGCAACCCCAAGAUGAUGUACUGGGUCGAAUGAAGCCCUUUUCCAGCAGAUCAUGCAACUGGGUCUUCAACACGGCUAACUCAGCGGGUGGCAUCCGAUAGGUCUCUUAGAUAUCGGGGCUGUGCCAGGAAUCAACUCUAUGGAAAACUCCACUUCUCUAUCAGGUGGCAUACCCGGCAAAUCUUCUGAAAACACAUCAGGGUACUCACAGAUAACAGGGAGGUCUUCUAGACGGGCUCCCAAGAGAGGGUAGGCACAAGGAAGCGAAGACUCAGGAUGGAUCAAAGAUACGGUAGAACUACCACGGGAGGGUGAGUGAUGUAGAGAGAUCGGGCUGAUGCAUCUAGAACCACUUGAUGUCGGGCCAUCCAGUCCAUACCAAGGAUGACAUCUAUGCCUUCUAGGUCAAGGAUGAUAAGGUUUUCCUUGAAGAGGGUGGGACCUAGCUGGAGAGGUACAAGAAUAACGACCUGAUCCGACGUUAUCCUUCCUCCAGGGGUGGCGAUCACAUAGGGUUCCUUAGUGUGACCGACACUUAGCCCACAUCUUUCCCUUGCCUUACUCCCGAUAAAGCUAUGAGAGGCUCCCGAAUCAAACAACACAACAACAGCUUGAUUUAAAACAAGGAAAGUACCUGUCAUUACUGGCGCACCUUCGGGGAGCUCGGUCAAGCUGGUGUAGUUGAGUCGGCCUUGUCGGACUUGCACCUUGGGCCUUCUUCCUCUGGCUGCCAUGGGGUUCUGACCUUGCUAUUGAUUCUUGUUCCUGGGGCAGUCCUUUGCAAAAUGUCCUUCAUUGCCGCAGGUGAAACAACGAUUACUGGCCGCCGGGCGAGGUGGCGUUGGCAGGGUCGGCCGGGGCACUUGCGGUUGGAAGCCUGGAAAACGAGGCAUUGUUGCCGGCGGGGGUCGGGCGAUCCAUUUCCCUGACUGCUGGGGUCGGCCAGGGGCUUGUGGAGGAACCAUCCGGAACCUUCUAGUCGCCGGACUCGGAAAUGCCACAGAGGCUUUCCUCUUCUGGUCGGCCUUGAGGGCUUGUAUGCAGUCCUCUUGAGAGAUGGCCAGGUUGACCAACUCGUUGUAGGUGUCCACCUUGAUGGGGUUCAACCUCUCCCUGAGCUCCAAGCUCAGUCCUCGGCGGAAUCUGUCCCGCUUCUUCUCGUCUGUGUCCGCAUGAUAGCCAGCAUAACGGCAUAGAUCAUUGAAAGCUUGGGCGUAAUGCAGCACAUCCCGAGUUCCUUGUGUGAGGGCCAGAAACUCAUUGAGCUUACGCUCCAGGAGACCGUCGGGAAUGUGAUGCGCUUUGAACGCCGUCUUAAACUCGUUCCAACUGACCACGUGGCCAGCCGGCAGCAUGGCAUGGUAGUGGUCCCACCAAAGCCAUGCGGAACCCCGCAGCUGCUGAGCUGCAAACCGCGCCUUGUUGUUGUCGGGGCAUGGAGCGGUGAGGAGCUCGAACUUGGAUUCGAUCGUACGAACCCAUGCGUCAGCAUCGAGCGGUUCUUGUGUCUUUUGGAACAGCGGGGGCUGUGUCCCCAGAAAGUCCUCAUACCGUGCGAUAUGCGGCUGCUGCUGAGCUCUUCCACCCUGUGGCGGUUGCUGUUGUUGUCCUUGUACCAGAUGCCUUAGCAGCUCAGUUUGAGUUGCUAGGAUUGCCUCCAAUGGCGAUGGGGGCGGGGGCGGGGGAAGAUCCUAUCGCUGAUCACUACCACUGGGCCCAGAACUAGACCUAGUGCGGUGCGCCAUCUGCAAGAGUUAACGCCCCAUUAAUUUCAUAACCUUAGGUAUACUCCAACAAAUGGAACGUAUGGAUUAAUUCCCUAAUUGCGACUCUUGCCAAUGGUGCAUCAUACGUCCUCAUAGAGAAAGCACCUUCCUCUCAUUCUCAGCAUAGAUAACCUCUACCUGACCUGGUACUCCACUUCAGGCAACACCUGCCACAUACAGACUCCUACGAUCUGAUCCACUCAACCCAAGGGGUCGGACACGGUCCGUACUUGGAAAGGGUCGGACGAGGCGAAAACUGCCUCAAAGGGUCGGCGCACUCGGCCUCACAAACUGGGGUCGGCCAACUGAACAGAUCCUCAGAACACAGCAUAUGGUCACGGCACAACUUACUCACCUAGUAUCCACGCCAUACAAAGAUGGGAAAGCUAUGCACCAGGGUUAACUUUAUAUACAACGGUGUUUCAACACAGGGAGCACUCAACUCGAGGCUAACCUAUUACAACUUUUCCAAAAUCUAGGCUGCCAAGGAGUUCAACAAAAAGGUGGUUCCCUGAGAACUCUUAAUCUACCAAUGGACACUAUGAGUCGGAGAAGGGGCGCCAUCUUCCUCUAUGUCCAUGCUGGACGCUCCUUCAUCUUCCUCAGGGUCCUUCUGAGCUUCGAGCUGCAUGUUGAGGGCAUGCAUAUCUUUGAGCUCGGCUUGGUGCUCCUCCAGGUGGGCAUUGGCAACUGCCAACUCCAUUUCCACCUCCAUCUUUUCCUCCGAGAGCUCUAUCAUGCCGUCCACGAGGUCGGCGACUUCUCCUUCUAGCUCGGAGAUCCGAUCUUGCAUAUCGUGGAUCUGGAUACCACGUUGGAUCAGCUGGUAGGUUUGGCCUACCAUAUCUCUUCUUGCUGCCUGGAGGUAACCGUGGGUAUUUGCUGCCGUACAGGCGAAAAGGGUCAUGGCUCGCCCUUGAAGCUCUAUCAACCGGUAGAGAGCGGCCAUGCACCGGAUGUUGGUGGAGAUGGUGACCAUGGCGCAGGUGGUGGCUAACACCUCGAUGUUCCCGACGCGGUCAAGCCAUGCCGGGUCCAACCGGUUCCUGACGGGGAAGAGGCCGAUCGGGUCCAGCGUGAUCUCCACAGGAUGCAGCUGACAGAACUGGGUGAGCAACUGAAGGGCGGCGGACUCCCAUGUAUCUUCCGGAGCGAGACCAUAGGCUAUUAUGCCAAGAGAGGGCCAGUCGGGCCGUGCAAGGGGAGGUGGUACCAACGCUUGCACUUGGCACGUCUGAAUGCCCUGUUCCAGAUAUAACCGCCCGGCAUACAAGGGCGGGGACUGGUAUCCAAACCACUUCAGCGUAUCCCACAGAAUCGCGGGAAACCCCUCGAAAUGCAGGCACAUCGAUUGGAAGGUACCGUCCGCUCCAAAAACAACAUGUCCGGGAACAGCCAUCUGGAACCAAGAAAACCGAAAACCACGUGAGAUAGAUUCCAAAGGUCAGGGGUCGGAUAGAGAAGCAUACGGUUUUUAACCGAGAGCAACUAAGAGAAACUAGAAAUCCUUAGAUCCAGAAGAACUCUUUCGAACAGGGUUGCUGUUGAGAAAGGAAACCGUACAACCUUUUAGAUAUGACGCAUGCACGGCCUACCUUACUCUUAACCAAGAACAACUGCCCAAACUCGGGUCUUACGCGGUCAGUGCCGGUGACAAGGCAACAAUACGUCUCUCCCUAUAAUAACUAGUCGGUUCUAGUAACGUCUCCUAUACGAACGCGGUUAGCAACCUGCAGAAAACACCACACACGAACCUUUCGUGCCAGCACCCACGAAAGCGUUCCCAAACAUUACCGCUCACUAUAGGAACGGCACCCAUGCGUUUAAGGCUGCAUGGACAGCACUCAACCGUGGAAAUAGGUCCCUUUUGAAUGGAACCACCCUUCGCAUACUCGCGAUGCGGGAUCGGCGCACGUAUGACAAACGUGGCGAAACAACCGUGCUGAUAGGUUCGUUGGAAUCGAACCGGACCAACCUUUGUAUGGAACACAUACGGAACCUGCGCACGUGUAAUAAACGUGGGCGAAAACAACCGCGAAGAUAGGGUCCUUUGAAUGGAGCUCCCUAUCAACCCUCGCAUGCUCGCGAUGCGGAACUCGGCACACGUAUGAUAGACGUGGCAAAGUGCUGGAAGGGUUAGCAACAUAACCAAUUACUUAUUAGUCACCUAAAACAACCCCAAAAUCCCUUAGGGCCUCUCGCACUAAGCCAUCCUUAACGAUCGUACGAGAUUUUGUUUUUUUUUCAAAGGUUUCUUGUAACUUUUAUCCUUUUCAAAGAAGUGUUUAGGGCUGGUUGGGUUCUCUGAAAUGCUAAACACGGCUCUGAUACCAGCUGUGGCGGAACCACCUCGGAUUAGCUUGAUUAAGCAGGGUUAAGCCGCCUAAUAUGCGACACUCCUGCCUAAACCGAGUUAAUACGAAGUGCCGUCGGAUUUCAUCUGAUUUAACCACUUAAACAGGAUCGAGUUCAGCAAACCCACACGAAGUUGAGUGGUUACAGAGAAUACAACAAGUCCACUGAGUUGAACAAGUUUUUAUCCAUUUAGUUCGGCCAUAAAAUCCAACAUCAGAGUUUUACAAGUUUUCCAGAAACAACAGAGAAAAUACUAGCGGAAGACUUCGUCGGGGUCGGACAUCCCUGGUGAGGCCAACCGAGAUAUCACUGGAUCCUCUCCUCGCCGUCCGAGGAAGGAUCCCACUCGACCGUCCAGCCUGGCGGGGGCUGGGGUGGCCAAGCACCAACCAGAGAGGGGUCGGAAGCAGCAACUUCACCUGUAAAACAGGAGCCACAACAAGGCUGAGCUACUAAGCUCAACAAGACUUAACCGAUAGGAGGAAGGGCUACUCCUUCUUCUAGACAUGCAAGCUGUUUGGCUGAGGGGUUUGUUUGCCAAAAGCACUAAGUAACCCUAUUUUUCAAGUUUUAGCUCCGGUUCUAGGUUCAUUUACCAGUCUAGGUUGUGCCACCUAUUCUAAGCAUUCAUAGAGCCAAACAAGAAGUGUAGAUAUAACAACAAACAUUGCCAUCAUCAGAUUCCUCAUUUACUCAGGGUGACAUAGCGAUCAAGCAAUCUGAAACUGUGAGAGGCAGACGAAUCGAUUCGAGUUCUUUAACCAUGCAUGGUGAACCUAGCCUCACGACAUCCGCGCACCCGGAGGUCGCUUCCUGUGUCGGCCUUCCCCAUCAAUCCCCUAACCCGUGUCGGGCCCAUUUCCUUUGGUGCAAGGUUCCACAGACCCGGCCUCUGCCAUUCUGUGACCACGCUUGCCACCACGUGCGACAACCAGUAGGGGAAACUCCGUUCCAAGAACAAUGGGGUGACCGCUCACGUCUAGGUUCAAUCCGGUACUAGGCUUCCUCAUCCCAUACUAAGUAUGAGGCUAGUACUUUCAAACACUUGAUCACGAACACCACCACUGUCGGGCCUUAGCAAGAUUUCAUAGACAGACGGGGCAACCAUCCGACCACCAAAAAGUUACCAAAACCCUGCCCCGUCCAUCGUCCUUAUAGUUAUAACAGGAGAGUAAACAUACAAAUCCUACAACUUGCGAGUGACAGGAAAUCACUCGACUUUUACCGUCUCCUAGUUAAGCAAUGCAGCUACUCGGUCCAACAGCUAGUGCUCAGAUCACUGGAAUAACUAAGUCAUGCAUCUAUGGUUUCACACAACUCCUAUACGUAAAUGCACAAGCAUGUUACAGAAGGCAUGCGCAAGUCUGGCAAAACACGUAGGAUUUUCAUGCAACCGGGGCUUGCCUUCAAGCAAGGAGGACGAGAACGGCUCGACUUCGGGGGCGACUUCGGCUUCGGAGGACAGGAGCUCGGCUACAGCUUCUUCUUCUGGCGCCGGGUGAAGCUCGUAGAAGCCGUCGGCGAGGUGCAGCUCUACACGAAUGCAAUGCAAGGGUUAGCAUAGACGGUUAUUUCAACAGCAACAAUGGCUCGCCUGAGACCAGAAACUUGCGACAAAGAGUAGGAGGUUAUGGUGGUUCGAGAGAGCUGAUGAUGAUCAAGAGGUAAGGGUAGGAAAGGAACUAGUGGUCUGAUCCUUGAACUAGAGGAUGUGAUAACUGGGGGUCCUUAGACGCAAGCGCUGAAGGGUUCCCAAGUUUUACACAUACACCCUCGAGUUGAAGAAAAAGAUCACAGCCAAGCCCUCGGGCGAGGCGGACAAGGGUCGGCGGAACAGAUAGGGUCGGGCGAGACGGAACCGGGGUCGGGCGGAUAGGAGGGGUCGGGCGAGGCGGACUGGGGUCGGCAACUCACCUUCUUCCUGAAAGGAAAGCUUGGGGUCAGAAAGAAGCGAACUUUGGGGCGGAGGGACUUCGGUUUGAACAGAAGCUAAGACCGGCAAUGCUCCGGCGGUGGCGCUGCUUCUUGCAGAUCACAAGAGAGCUUUUACGCAGCACGGAGGAGCAAGCUGCUGGGUGACUUGGAGGAAACUGAGAGAGAACGCCUCAAGAACUAGGUGGGUGGCGCUAGGAGCUUGAGCAGGGAGCUAGAGAAGGCUGAAGGUAACAAGGGCGGAGGAAACUCCGGCGACGGGGCAUUCCUUUUAUAGCUGCUGGAGCAGGGGAACGGAAACGGCGCGGAGAGAGGGAAGGGAAGCGGCGCGAAGGCCGGGGAGAGGUAAUGGAGUGCUCUGCCGGGGCGGCGAUUGAGCGAAGUGGGCGGUGGUGCAGAACUCCGGGGGUGACGCCAGCGAUCAUUGCGUUCUGCCGUCAGGGCGGCGUAGGAGCGGGUAGACUGGUGGUUCAGAUUUGGCGGAAAGCGGGCGUCGUCGUGCGGAAGAUUUGAUAGAAGCGACCGGCUUAACGGCGCUAGAAUCGAGGGUGCACGGUGAGAAGACAGGCGGACGCGGGCGCGGGGGAGAGCGCGGAACAACAGAUUGUCAGGCGGCUUUUGACAGAGCAGGGGAAAGGAACUGUCGCGGCCGCGGUCGGGGUUGGCGGUGGAGGAAUCAUCGUGUAGCGGCGACCAGGCGGCGCGACUGUGGCUGAAGGGACGGAAAAGACGGGCGACAUCGGGCUCUGGGGCCGGGAUCUGGCGGCGUGAUGAUGGGCGCGGGCGGCGAGGCUCUGCAGAAGGGGUGCAGAGGGCUUCCGCUGCCAUUGGAGAAAGGGGGGGCGCAGGAACCCACUCGGUCGCUGGCCAGAGACAAAACUGAGCGGCAGGCGUCGGAGAAGACGAGCCACGCGUCAGGAUGACUCUGAAGCAGCCAUGCAACUCGAGUGCGGCGGUCGCGGGGGAUCUGGAAAAGAUCUCACGGGUCCACCGGUGGAUAGAUUGGAUGGUUGAGGAAGAUUAGCAGAAUCCGACGGUGGGCUGAGCUCGCCGGGGUCGGGAGAGGAGCGAAGCGGGAAGGGGUCGGAUCUCAGGGGUCGGGACCAGCGGAUAGCUGAGCACUUAGGCGCGGUCAAGCAAGACAGAUGGCUAGGAUCAAGGGCUCUGAUCAAGACUAACUCGGGAAGGUUUAGGGGUCGGUCGUUACAUCAAAAGAGGCAACAAAUGCAGAAUGUGCAAAGUGUGAAAUCGGCCUAGAGCUGUGCCAAGUGGUGUGCUCAUGCAAGUUACCGAUCAUCUGUUGUGGAGGAUGGUUACACUGAAUGUGUCCUGGAGCCUCUCAUUCUGAAGUCACUUCCCCCUCAACAGCAGCUGGCUCACUCUGAUCUUCUUCAUCAUCAUCUUGUUGUGGUACAUGUUGAUGGUUUGAAGUAGUGGAAGUAGUGGUAGGGCCAUCAACUCUCGUAGUCAAAGUAGAAGCUACACGAGUGGCUGUCAGGGAUAGAUCCCCAGUACCCGCAAGGAAGGAAGAAGUUGGACUCCUUCUAGGAUUCCCCUAUAAUCCGACUAGGACUAGUCCCGUGUACUCCUACUACGACUCCUUUUUGUAAUCCGAUUAGUACUCUUGCCCCCUGGAGUAUAUAAAGGAGGGUAGGGGUACAUAGAUCGGAAAGGCACAACGUGAGGGUAAAUCCUCAUACCUCAACACCCAAGUGCAGGGCGCAAUAUACAACACCCAAACAGGAUGUAGGGACGCUACUCUAGCAGCCUGAACCUGUAUAAAUCCGUGUCUUGUGUCCUCGCUUUUACCUUCGGGUUCCAGAUCCGGCGAUCCCCCAUUGACAAAUAGACUACCUCGAGUACCCCCUUGGUAGGCUGCCGGUAUAAAACACCGACAUCUAGCACCCACUGUGGGGCUGAUCGUCGAGAUCAUCGGGCGAGCUUGAAGGACCUCAUCUACUAAAUCAAUCUAUUAGCAUGGCUUUCUCCACUACGCCGACUUGUCGAGGUGAUGGCUCAGCAGUUCAAGACAAAAUCGGCUUCGAGUCCGAGGCGGAGAGGAUUACCUGCGCCAAUCGAUGAUGACUCAAAGUAGCAGUUAUUUCUUGCAUCUGCUUGGGCUACGGCCAUCAACAAGUAGCAGCACUGCAUAAAAAAAUCUCAGGAAGAUGCUGCGCCAUCGGCAGGAAGCCAACAACACACUCUUCGAGAUGGAAUAGAGAGCAUCAAGCUGCUGCAAGCGGGUCAGCUGCACGUAGGUCAAGGUGGAGGAUUCAUCGACUCCAUAAUCGAGUCGAAGUCAGGAUGUCAUGAUGCUUGGAGCCUUUGACAGAUAGUUGCGCCCAUGCGGCUCAUCCUUCUCCGGUUGAAAAUAAAAUUUGGUGGAAUUCAACUAUGCGCACCAAAAGUUCUACCAAAAAAGCAACAAAUCUUUGCUUAAUGUACACAGAAGAUGCGCAUGAGCUUUACUAAACCAAUGCCCAGUCGCAUCGACUCACCGACGACUUCUCCAACUACGUCGCGGUGCUCGCCAACGACUUCUUCGACUACAUCAUGGCGCUCACCAACGACUACUCCGACUACGUCAUGACACUCACUGAUGACUACUUCGCGAGGGCGCUUGGCGACCCGCCGAUGACAACAUUGACCUUCCGUCUUGACAAGAAAACUAGUCAAGGAUGGGUUCUACAUGAUCAACAAUUAGUCGGAAUCGACUCUAACUAGUUGACUUCAUCAACAAUCGACAAGACUGAUCUGCCGCCUUGCCGACGACUACUCUAAUGGAUGACACACCGGCGACUACACCGACUACGUCACGAUGAUCGCCGAUGACUACUUCGACUACUCGUCUCAUCUACCUACUAGUCGAGGACGACUACCUUGACGGGUGACUCGCCGCUGACUGCUCCGACUACAUUGCAACGCUCGCCGACGACUACUUCGACUCCUCGUCUCGACUAGAAAAUUAGUCGGGACGAACUUCAUACGGCCGACAGCUAGUCAGAAUCGACUUCAACUAGUCAGCUUCAUCCACAACUGUCGCGGCUUCAUCGACGAUCACCACAGCUUCAUCGAUAAUCCUCCACGAAUCAAGCUAAGUCACUUUUCUAAUUAUUUUUCGGCUUGUUUUCCGCAUGCGCGCAACACGCGCUCUACUCGCCGGAAACUCUUGCGCACAACAUGCGCUCUGCUCACCGGAGGGCAGCUAACUCUUGUGCACAACACGCACUUUACUCGACUUCUCAUUUUUGUCUUCACUUAAGGUCACUACUCUUCUCGAGCAGAACACGCCUUAACUCGUGAAAGCCUCGGGUGCACCUGCGACGCCAAAUGCUAGCAGACAUACAUGAGACCAAGCUCUCAGCUGUUCACACAGUAGUGCCCAUACGCAUACACGAGACAAAGCUCUCGCACAUGCAGCGGCUACGGCUAAACGGGGACUAAGAGACUGAAACAUAAUAGGCUAACUACUCGAGAAGAGUAUGACUGAAAUAAGAGCAUGACACACAAUAUUUAUAUUGAUCACUAAAUAAAUUUCAGCAGCUUCAAUAUCCUACAAAAAUGCUACAUAAUAUAUGCAUCUUUUCUUUCAGAUCAAGCUUCGGCGACGAUGCUCCAGGACGCUAAGCGUACCUCCAAAAGCGCAGACUAGUUCCCGAACUCAGGGGCUAAGCACCAAUCACUACUCGGAGUAUCUCCAAAAUGGCUCGGCUACCUUCCAAGCUCGGGGGCUGAACACCGCAAAACUACUCGACGUGGCUCCUUCGGCUCACCUGGCGCAUAAGCUCGGGGCCUUAAUGCCGCAAGACUACUCGGAUGAUGACUUGAGUGAAGAUUCAAGAUCCUUAAAUUGAUUACUCAAUCAAUUCAAGGCUCAAGGGCUGAUAAGCUACACCCAAGACUUUUUUAAGCCGAAAGAAGAAGAUUCAAGAUUUUGACCCUCAACCUAAUUCUACGAAUCAACCUAAGACUCGGGGGUUACUACAUAUGGAGUGCGACUUUCGCUGCCCUCCAUAUAUGAAGACUAUAAUAUCAAGAUGAUCAAGGCUUUGAGCACACCAUAGCGUCAUGGCAGCUUCGAGAAACUUUGAAGAUUCAACCAAGACAAAGUACUCGAAGAGCACCAAAACUACUCGGCAAGGAUCUUAAAACUACUUGAAGACUGCUGCACGACUAUGAAACGCUCGGGGGCUUGUCGGGGAUAGAUCUCCAUUACCCGUAAGGAAGGAAGAAGUUGGACUCCUACUAGGAUUCCCUUGUAAUCCGACUAGGACUAGUCCCGUAUACUCCUACUAGGACUCCUCCUUGUAAUCCGACUAGUACUCUUGCCCCCUGGAGUAUAUAAAGGAGGGCAGGGGUACCUAGAUCGGCAAGGCACAACAUGAGGGCAAAUCCUCAUACCUCAACACCCAAGCGCAGGGCGCAAUAUACAACACCCAAACAGGAUGUAGGGACGCUACUCUAGCGGCCUGAACUUGUAUAAAUCCAUGUCUUGUGUCCUCACUUUUACCUUUGGGUUCCAGAUUCAGCGAUCCCCCAUCGACAAAUAGCUGCAGCACGGUCAAUCUCAUCAUCUUCUUCAUCACCACUAGCACCUCGCUCGUCCUCUUCCUCAAAGAUGCUCUGUCCUAUCUCAUGUUCACCUGCAGCUUCAAAGACAGGGGUUGUGCAAGGCAUAGUUUCAUCUAAAAUAAUCUCACAAGUUUCCACGAUCUGGCUAGUUUCAAGGUUAAGCACAUGAUAAGCAUGACUAUGAGAAGCAUAUCCAAGAAAAAUGCCACCCGUGGAACGAGACUCAAACUUGUCCAAAUUCCCUUGCUUGAGAAUGAAACACUUGUAGCCAAACACCCUCAGGUGACUCACUUUGGGGGAACGUCGAUGCAUCAGCUCAUAAGAAGUUUUCUUCAGGAAAGCUCGCAAGAAGAUUCGAUUGGAAAUAUAGCAAGUAGUAUUAACGGCUUCGGUCCAAUAUUUUCUAAGAGUCCUAUGCUCAUCAAGCAUCGUCCUAGCCAUUUCACAAAAGGUCCGAUUCUUCUGUUCAACAACACCAUUCUGAGGAGGGACAUAAGGCGAUGAAAGCUGGUGUUCAAGACCAAGAUCGCCUCAAGAGUCUAAAAUCCGUGAAGCCCCAUGCUUGAAACGAAACUCAAAGCCAUCAUCAAGGAGUUGCGAAACCGAGAGAAAAUUGAAAUCGAGAGAGUCAAUAAGAGCAACUCGCUUGAGCAUGAAAGUCUCACUCACCUUGAUGGCACCCUCAGACAAUACCUUACCCAUGCUAUUAUCCUCGAAAGUGAUGUACUCCCUAGUCAUCACUAGGGUGAGGCAGGAGAACCAUCUAUGAUCACCGGUCAUGUGUCGAGAGUAACCGGAAUCAAUAAGCCACAUGUUCUCCAGGCCUCCGACCUACUCAAAUGAAAGGAGACCAAGAAUGAGCAAAUGUUUCAACACUAGGGUUAGUGAAGCAAGUAGAGUACCAAUGUCGAACCAUUUGCUCAAGUGGGGUUAGCAAAAUCAACCAUCUCUCAUCUCACUGGAGGACUAUGGCCACCACGAGAGGGAAACGUGGUCCAUUGUACAUCUGAGACUCAAAGCCACGAUAAUGUUGUCCUAAGUCAUAUUGAACAUGAUGAGGAGCAUGCCUGGCAAAACUACGAGAAGGAGCUGAACACACACUAUCCACAAGACGAGGUGGAGGAGCUGCCCUAGGCGCAUGUACACCAUGAGAAGGGUGGUACUUGUCCUUGUUGCUCCACGCACGCUCACGCCUCAAAACUUUCUUCUUUCAAAAGCAAAACUCCUCAAGAUGACCCUCUUUCUUGCAAUACCCACAGUGGAAUCGAGCAGGCUGUUUUGGUUGUGGAUUUGCUUUGGGCAGAGGGUUUGUUUUGGGUUGAGGAUUCACACUUGGUUGUGGCUUGGCUUUAGGUUUUGGUAGGGGAUGCUUUGGAGUCAUAUCAGGGAGUGUGUCAAACUUGUUCUUGAGGUAAUUUGGUUUUUCCACCCAAAUGACUUUCUUUGGGACUUUAGGUGGUGUCUCAAUGAACACUCCAUGUCGAACACACUUAGAGAGUUUUUUCUCACAUUUUGUGCUAGGUUGCUCUUCACUCUGUUUAGAUGGCUCACUAGGGGUGGAGGUUGCUUAUUUCUCUCUCUCACCACUGUAUUGACCAACCUUCUCAUCCAACCCAUCAAAAAUCUUUUCAUACAACCCAUCAAAUCUACACUACUUGAUAAGAUUCCCAAGCCCAAAACCAUCAAUCUUUUAAAACUCCUGAAUUAUCAUACCCAACUGAGGUUCCCUACUUGACACCUAACUGAGAACUACACGCAAGUAGUGAUUUUCAUCCUCAGGGCAAGAUUUGCAAGCACCAAGUAAGACAGGUCUAGUCUUAACUUCAUCUAGAGUAGCCCUAGUCAAAUCAAGUUCAUCUACAAGCAAAGCAUGCUUAGAUAGCAAAGAAGCUAUACUAGCCAUGUGAACAGCACAUUCAUCACACUCAAAAACAUCAGAAACAGUAGGAGUAGAUUAAAGCAUAUCUAUCUCAACCAAAGCACCCUCCAACUUAGCCUUAAGCUCAACUCGUUCAUGAACCGCCUUCUUAAUAAACUUAUCUUGAUUGAACAAGCAAUCAUUCAGUUCUUCUACUUCUAGGGCAAGUUGUUCUGGAGUAGGCUUUACCUCCGUUUCUAUGUCGGAGUCGCUUUCUUUGUCAUCCUUCUUGCUGUCGGUGUUGAGGGCCAUGACGCAGUACCCGUCACGGUUCUUGCCGGAGUAGAAGCAAAGGCCAUUGAGGUUUUUUCCAUCCUUCUUCUUUGCCUUGCGGUCAUCGUCCUCCUUACUUGAUCUUGAGUCGGUGUGGUCGUUGGUGUUAGAGUCGACAUCACUAAGGGAGGCGAUGAAGGCGUGUGCUUUGGCCUUCUUGCGGUACUCCUCCUCACGAUUGGUGUACUUCUUCAUCUUGGUGCUAUUCUUGUUCUCGUUCUUGUUGUAGUCGUACCCGCUCUUGGACUUGUUCUUGUCGGGGCAGUCGGCGGCGAAGUGACCUGGCCUGCCAUAAUCGAAGCAAUUGUUGUUGUUCCUUCCCCAUUUCUUGCAGUUAUCGUUCAAGCGCACGAAUCACCUCGUGAUCAAGGUGAGCUCCUCAUCAUCAAUAACCUCCAGCUGCUCCUCUGAAACAAAAACCAAGGAAGACAAGGCAAACGACAUAAAAGAAGAGUUACCCAAAGACUUAGGCUGUCCAAAGCCUGACAUGAGAGCCAUACUAUGUGGAUCAGUAGGGCUCCCUUGUUUUGCUCAGAGCCUCUUUUUCAACCUCCGUCGACUUCAGCUUAGCAAAGAGCUCAUCAGUAGAAAGAGUCUCAUAGUUUGUAGACUCGAUGAUAGCAUCAACCUUUGUGCCCCACACCUCGUGAUCCAAAGCAUAUAGGAGCUUCAAAGCUCUAUCAUGAUCGGUGUAGGGCAAGUUGGUAGUGUUUGUUUUCAUCUUGUUCACAAUAGCAAGAAAAUGCUGGAACAAGGCAUCAGCAGACUCACAGGGCAAAUGAACAAAAUUCUCAUACUCAUGCCGGUAAGUCUCAAAGAGUCUUGCUUUUACCUGACUAUUUCCCUCAUGGAAACUCUGAAGUUAGGACCAAAUCUCAUGUGCAAGAGAUAGAUCCUCGACACGGUCAAACUCAGUACAGCACAGACUCGCAAACAAGAUAUCAACUGCCUUGUUGUUGGCGUGAUAUUUAUCUCUUUCAUCUUGAGUCAAGCGAGUAGCAGGAAUCACAUAAGUCACAUCCUGAGUGAUUUCCCAAACCCCUACUCCCUUACUAUUAAGAUGCGCUCUCAUGCGAGUUUUCUAGUACCGAUAAUCAGAGCCAUCAAAGUAAGAUGCAGCGGUCAAGGAAGAAUGUUCAGAGGGCGCCAUAAUGGAUUUCGAAACCGAUUAGGGUAUGGAGAAAACCUUAACCAGCUCUAAUAACAAUUGAAGGAUCGAAAAGGCAACCAAAGGGGGUGAAUGGGAGCCUCAAAUAUUUCUUUCAAAAUCUUAGGCCUCUGUCUCAAAAUCAAACCCCAAAUCCAAGCAAGCAGAAGAUGAGAGAUCCACAAGCUAAUUGGUUGGCUGGGUCUCUAUGGUAAUGACCAAAAGACACAGCGUGACUCUCGAGAAGCAACCCGAAGCAAACUCAAAAGAUUUGGGCAAAACAGAACUCAAAACACCUUCCAGGUAUCGGAACUUCCGACCUCUUAUCGGAACUUCUGAAAGUGGAUUGUCGGAACUUUCAACCCUGUAUCGGAACUUCGGGCACCUAUCGGAUGUACCGAGGAACUCCCGAUAGAGGUUUUCUGGUUUUCAGCAAUUAACCCAUCGGAACUUCGGAUCCUGCAUCAGAACUUAUGACCCGUCGGAACUUCCUAUACAGUGUCGGAAUUUCCUACAGCUCAGAAAUCAGCCUUCGUGAAGAGAGAAGAAAAAUCCAAAACUUGAUCAAACAGCCUCCAAAAAUCACAAAAUUUGAACCAUAGCAUCACAAGAUAGUAGAGAAGCUACUCCUAAGAAAUCAUCCCUCAAAGAUUUGUCAAAUAAUGGGAAUUCCAAAUCUUGUGAAGAACACAACUUUUCACACUCCGAAAAUUGAAUCGCCCCGAUCUAUGAACUCCUGAGGUUUCAAUCAAAUCCCUUCAGUGGAAAGGUUCAGCUCACAUCCUAGUUCAUAACAAACAAUUGGUUUGACUCAAAACUCCCCACAAAACAUGAAUCGAACAAAAAUGUGAAGAAAGGAGGUAGGGAAGAAACAAGAACGUGAAGAACACAAACAGGAAUCGCACAAAGUUGUCAUCCCCUAACACGCAAAGGACUCGAGGAGGUUAGGGCCUCCAUUCCCACAACAAACUUCGUUUCAAUACACGGAUUCAGUGCUCAAAACAUUUGAUGACCUCUAGAGAGAUAAACUAGAGAGAGACGAGGCUAAUGAACUACUAAAACCCUAGAUAGAAGAGGUGCUUAGAGAGGUGCUGAAACAACCAGCCCCCCAUCCCUAUUUAUAGUCUCAGACUAGUUACAAAACUACCCCUACAACUACUACUAGGAUAACUACCCACGCAGGGGCAUUUUGGUCUAAGUUUUUCUACGCUCAUUGGACGGACACGCCACCUUCACGACUUUGCUUUGCCUCGACGCAAACUUCACGAUGAUGCCACAUGCCCUCCUUAUCGAAGCUUCAGCCACACUGGGCUCGCCCCGGGUUUUGAGGCCCAAACUAGGAAACCUGCCCGCGCAGUGGUUUUGAGGCCCAAACCACCCAAGCCAUCCAUCUUCGCUUGGCCGCCACAUGACCUCCUUGAUGUCGGCGCGUGUCUGGUCUCUGCCAAGCCUUUGACACCUACAACUCUUUCGCUCCCGACUCCCAGGACACCUACUUGACUUGCCUCCAUCCCACUUGACUUGACCGACGCCAUCUCCAUCCGUCAUGUUCUCUUGCCGUUCUGUGCACCAUGUGGAUCGCCCAUGACUCUGCUUGGACUCCUAGGGUCCAUCGGUUCGAGCCUACUCGUGUUCAUCCUUCACCGCCCUUGGUCCAUUAGCAUGAAUCUUUCGCUUGACCUUCACCGCAUUCCAUCAGCCGGCACACCGCAUCUUACACCUGUGCAUCACAAGCCAAGAGCAACAUCAAUCCAACACAAUAUUAUCAAUCACUUAUCAUCCAAGGGUGACCACCAUUGGUCCUUAGCCACUGGAUCUGAAGUCCCCGAGCUCGAGGCUGCUCGAGCCCUCGAGGCUGUUGCUGCUGCUGCGGGGACGGCAUCGGAGGUGGGGACUUCAUCAAGAAAAGGUCUAGCCUUAGUACUUGGCGAGGAGAAGGAUCCGGUUACAGAGGACCCGUAGCAGACAGGGGAGAUUGAGGCCUCUAGGGAGCCCCUGCGACAAGCCAUGGCUUCCAUGGUGGAGAUGAACCAGCGAGUGAUGGCAUGCACCAAGGUAAUUCUUGAUCCUUGUGAUAUGAUGUCUUGGCUGUAGUUAUUUGAGGGUCUUCAAGUACUAAUUUCUUGGUAUUUAGGACUUGUUUGAGAGUGCUCGUUAGAACACCCAACUUCUUCGAGAGCGGGGUGAAGCUACGCGCCGCAUUGAACAGCUGGAGAAUCACCUAGCUGAGGAGCAGCAGUGGACUUCUCAGUUCAUGAUAAAGUAUGAAAGUGUCGUGGCGUUGCUCCAUGCAGAAAAAUGUAACUUUGAAUGUGAGAGAGACCGCAUUGUGGUGCGAAAUAAGUCUUUGUAUCACCAGGUGCAAGGUAAGUACUCGUAGCCUCAGCGAUAACUUGUCUUUAGUAUGUAGUAUUUCUCGUGACUUUUUUCUUGUCUAAUUUGCAGAGUUUCAGAGCCAAGAGACAGUGUUGAAGAACUCUAUAACCGACUGGAAAAAUGCCUACUAUUGGGUCUCGGAAGAGAAUGAGGAGCUUAAGGCUCAGUUGUAGAAGGAGAAGAAGAUGUGCCUGGAUGGUGAUACUAGCCUGGUCGAGGCUAUGACUACCAUCAAGUUGCAACAAGAACAACUCCAACGGUGGUCAGAUGCAGUGCAACCAUUGGCGGAGAUGGUGGAGCCCCCCUGCUGAAGGAGUGGAGCCACGCCUAGUUUUUGAAAGGGUCCAAGAUGCACCAGCAAAGAUCACCAGCUACAUCCAGGGUGUGGCGAAGAUGGUGUCCAAGUAGCUACUGAGCUUCAUCAAGUCAUUCUACCCGAAGGUUGACUACCCCUGUUACUGAGGGCGUUGCUGCGGACUGCAUGGAUGAGGCUUUCCAAUGGUACAUGGACGAAAUGGAUCCCAUUGCCGAGGAAGUAGCCAAAUUUAUCAACCUUUAGUAGUCUUUAAGCUUCCCCUGAAGGUAAUCGGGCAGGACCCUCAAGAGUCCGUGAUCACCGUGGGGCUAACCCAGAAACCUAAACACUAGUAGGAGACUUCCACAACAAGAUCAACACUAGCCCCGACACCCGUACCAUCAUCGAUGGAUGGCACCGCGAGCGUGAGCAAGAAGUCGAACACCCAGGGGACAAUUCUACUCGAAAAGUUUAAGCCCCGAGCAUCACCAAGUACAAUGGCAAGCAAGACCCAAUCCAAUGGCUCCGGUGCUACUUGCUAUUAGUACAAUCAGCUGGGGAAAACGACGACACCAAAGUCGUCUACUUCCCCAUCUGCAUGGAGGCGGCGCCACUCACAUGGCUCGAAUCGUUGGACAAGAUCUAUAUCGACUCAUGGAAGGACCUCAAGGUGGCGUUCACCAACAACUACGAAGGGGCAAUGCAACAUUCUGGCAAUAGGAUCGACUUGUCUCAGGUCAAGCAACAAAAAGGUGAGAUCCUGCGAAGCUACUUACGUCGCUUCUUUGACAAGAAGGCCACAAUCAUGGAUAUCACAGAGCGCGACGUCAUCGACUACUUCCAGAACGGCCUCCAUGACCAUCGGAUGUUUCAAGACUUUGGCAGAAGACGCCCCGCUGAUGUUAAAUCUCCCAAGAUAAUGGCAGAGACGUUGGCAAAUGAAUAAGACAGGGAGAUCGAAAGGUUCGAGUCCAAUCGCAACAAAGGCCAGAAUAACAACAAUCAUAACAAUGGCCAACACAACGACAAGAACCGCAGCGAUCGCCCCAACAAUGACAACUGGAAUAACUACUCGGGAAGUUAGAACCGCAAGUGCAAACUAGACAAUACUGUCGCGGCAAUCUCGCAGUCGUCGAAGAAAGGUGGCGGCAAGAACCAAGAAAGGCCCUUGUUUUAACAAGAUCCUGAAGAAAAAGUGCCCAGGUCACCCAUACCACAAGUAGUCUACAAAGUCCGCAUCGGAGUAUCCGCGGAGCAUGAGUGUCGAGGAGGUAGAGUACCACAAAAUGAAUUUAGGUGCGAAACGGAGGUACCUCAUGAUUCUCUUCACUGCCUGUCGGUGAGAUAUCCUCGGUGAAGCCUGAAAAUGAGUGCACAGACACACUGCGAAGUGUAGGUCCGGUCUCGUUGCUGUCAGGUACAGGAGGGAGCUGAUCAUGCUACGGUACUCCUUCUGGUCCACUUGUUCUCCAUCCUCAUCCGCAUCCAAAGCCAUCAUCGUCGCCAUGGGAGUUGACAGUGGCUUGGCAUCAGCCAUGUCAAACUUCCUCAGCACAUCCUUCGUGUACUUCCCUUGGUGCACAAAGUUUCCAUCCUUUCUCUGCUUGAUUUGUAGCCCGAGGAAGAAGGUUAGCUCACCCAUCAUUGACAUCUCGACACUAGGGUUAGAAAAACAGGUAGAAUACCAGUGUCGAACCAUUUUCUCAAGAGUGGGGUUAGCAAAAUCAACCAUCUCUCGCCUCACUGGAGGACCACGGCCACCAUGAGGGGGAAAAUGUGGUCUUUUGUACCUCUGAGACUCAAAUCCAUGGCCAUGCAAUCCUAAGUCAUAUUGAUCAUGACGAGGUGCCUGACAAAACUGCGAGAAUGAGCUGAACGCUCACUAUCCACAAGACGAGGUGGAGGAGCUGCCCUAGGCGCAUGUACACCAUGAGAAGGGUGGUACAUGUCCUUGUUGCCUCACGCACGCUCAUGCCUCAAAGCUUUUUUCUUUCGAAAGCCAAAACUCCUCAAGAUGACCCCCUUUCUUGCAAUACCCACAGUGAAUCGAGCAAGGCUGUUUUGGCUGUGAAUUUGCUUUGGGCAGAGGGUUUGUUUUGGGUUCAGGAUUCACACUUGGUUGUGGCUUGGCUUUGGGUUUUGGUGGGGGGAUACUUUGGAGACAUAUCAGGGAGUGUGUCAAGCUUGUUCUUGAGGUAAUUUGGUUUUUUCACCCAAAUGGCUUUCUUUGGGACUUUAGGUGGUGUCUCAAUGAAUACUCCAUCUCGAACACACCCAGAGAGGUUUUUCUCACAUUUUGCGUUGGGUUGAUCUUCACUCAGUUUAGAUGGCUCACUAGGGGUGGAGGUUGCUUGUUUCUCUCUCUCACCACUAUAUUGACCAACCUUCUCAUCCAACCCAUCAAAACAAAAUUCAUACAACCCAUCAAGUCUACACUGCUUGAUAAGAUUCCCAAGCCCAAAACCAUCAGCCCUUUUAAACUCCUGAAUCAUCAUACACAACUGAGGUUCGCUACUUGACACCCAACUGAGAACUGUGCGCAAGUAGUGAUUUUCAUCCUCAGUAUUUUGCAAAGAAUGACUAAGUUCAGGACACUUUCUACAUUCAGGAACUUUAGAUUUAGCAAUUAAAUCAGAUUUCUCAAGAGUUUUAAUCUUAGCACAUGCAUCAUCAAAUUGAAUCUGUAAAGCAGGGCAAGAUUUGCAAGCACCAAGUAAAACAGGUCUUGUCUUAACUUCAUCUAGAACAGCCCUAGUCAAAUCAAGUUCAUCUACAAGCAAGGCAUGCUUAGAUUGCAAAGAAGCUAUACUAGACAUGUGAACAACACACUCAUCACACUCAACAACAUCAGAAAUAGUAGGAGCAGACUUGAGCAUAUCUAUCUCAAUCAAAGCACUCUUGAACUUUGCCUUAAGCUCAACUCGUUCAUGAGCAGCCUUCUUAAGCAACUUAUCUUGAUUUAGCAAGCAAUCAUUAAGUUCUUCUACUCUAAGGCAAGUUGUUCUAGAGGAGGAUUUACUUCUUUGUCAUCCUUCUUGGCGUUGAUGGCCAUGACACAGUACCCGUCACGGUUCUUGUCGGAGUAGAAGCAGAGGCCAUUGAAGUUCUUGCCGUCCUUCUUCUUUGCCUUGCGAUCGUCGUCCUCUUCACUUGAGCUUGAGUCGGUGUGGUCGUUGGUGUCGAAGUUGAUGUCGCUGAGGGAGGCGAUGAAGACGCGCGCUUUGGCCUUCUUGUGAUACUCCUUCUUCUCACGAUCGGUGUACUUCUUCUUCUUCUUAUUGGUGUUGUCCUUGUUCUUGUGCUUGUUGUAGUCGUACCCGCUCUAGGACUUGUUCUUGUUGGGGCAAUUGACAGCGAAGUGACCUGGCUUGCCACAAUCGAAGCAGUUAUUGUUGCUCCUUCGCCGGUUCUUGUGGUUGUCGUUGAAGCGCAUGAACCGCCUCGUGAUCAAGGCGAGCUCCUCAUCAUCAAGAACCUCCAGCUGCUCCUCUGAAAUAGAAACCAAGGAAGACAAGACAAAUGACAUAGAAGAAGAGUUACCCAAAGACUUAGGCUGUCUAGAGCCUGACAUGAGAGCCAUACUAUGUGGAUCAGUAGGGCUCCCUUGUUUUGCUCGGAGCCUCUUGUCAACCUCUGUCGACUUUAGCUUAGCAAAGAGCUCAUCAGUAGAAAGAGUCUCAUAGUUUGUAGACUCGAUGAUAGCAUCAACCUUCGUGCCCCACACCUCGUGAUCCAAAGCAUGCAGGAGCUUCAAAGCUCUAUCAUAAUCGGUGUGGGCAAGUUGGUAGUGUUUGCUUUCAUCAUAUUCACAAUAGCAAGAAAAUACUGGAACAAGGCAUCAGCAGACUCACCGAGCAAAUGAAUAAAAUUCUCAUAAUCACACCGGUAAGUCUCAAAGAGUCGUGCCUUCACCUAACUCCUCCCCUCAUGGAAACUUUGAAGUCGGGACCAAAUCUCAUGAGCAAGAGAUAGAUCCUUGACAUGGUCAAACGAGUCAAACGAGUAGCAGGAAUCACAUAAGUCACAUCUUGAGUGAUUUCCCAAACCCCUGCUCCUCUACUAUUUAGAUGGGCUCUCAUGCGAGUUUUCCAAUAUAGAUAGUCUGAGCCAUCAAAGUAGGAUGCACCGGUCGAGGAAGAAUGAGGUCUCCAUAAUAGGUUUCGAAAUCGAUUAGGAUAUGGAGAAACCUUAAUCGGCUCUGAUACCAAUUGAAGGACCGAAACGGCGACCAGAGGGGGGUGUGAAUGGGAGCUCUAAAAUUUCUUUCAAAAACUUAGGCCUCUGUCCCAAAAUCAAACCUUGAAUUGAAAACGAGCAGAAGAGGAGAGAUCCACGAGCCAACUAGGUGACUUGAUGCCUAUAGUAAAGACCAAUAGACACAGCGGGAUCCUCAAGAAGCAACCGAGCCAAAACCACAACACAAACACCUUGAAAACUGUGUAGUCUCUGACUGUUCUGCGAAAUAUAGGCGGACGGUCCGUAGCACAGGAGCGGACGGUCCGACCCUAGCGGAUAGUCCGACACCUAGGGGCGGACAGUCCGCAUGCUGCGAGACAGAACCCCAAAAACAAACCCACGAAUAACUAUUUACCCGAAUCCCGAUCAAAUCAAAACCAACUGCCACCAAAAUUGAACCAAGGCAUUGUAAGGCAGUAGGGAAGCUACUCCUAAGAGAUCAUUGCUCAAGGAUUUGUCAAUCGACGAGAAAUUCAAAUCACGUGAAGAACAUCACUUUUUCAACUUCAAAAAUUUAAUCGCCCCGAUCUAUGAUCUCGUGAGGUUUCAAUAGAAAUCCUUCAGUAGAAGGGAUCAACUCACGUCCUAGUUCAUUUCGAGACAAUCGGUUUGACUCAAACACCCCCCACAAAUCAUGAAUCGAACAAGAACACGAAAGGGGUGGAGAGGAAGAAGCAAAGAACAUGAAGAACACAAAUGGGAAAAUCACAAAGAGAUCAUCUCCCAAAUCCUGGAGGACACAAGGAGGUUAGGGUCUCCAUUCUCGCAACAAACUUCGGUUCAAUACACAGAUUCGGUGCUCAAAUCAUCCGAGGACCUCUAGAGCGAGACACUAGACUCUAAUCUAAGGAUAAUUAGCUGCUAAGCAAGAGGUGGAAGAGGUACUAAAAUAACCAGCCCCUCAUCCCUAUUUAUAGUCCAGGACAAAAGACUAAACUACCCCUACAACUACAACUAGGAUAACUAACCACGCAGGGGUAUUUUGGUCCAAGUUUUUCAGCGCUCAUCGGAUGGACACGCCACCUUCACAACUUUGCUUCGCCUCGACGCAAGCUUCGCGAUGAUACCACGUGCCCUCCUUCUUGAAACUCUGAUCGCACUGAGCUCACCCCCGAUUUUCAGGCCCAAACCGGCAAACCUGCCCGCGCGGUAGUUUUGAGACUCAAACUACUCAAACCGUCUAUCUUCGCUUGGCUGCCAUACGACCUCCUCGAUGUUAACACAUGUCCAGUCUCCGCCAAGCCUUUGACGCCUCCAAGUCUUUCGCUCUCAGCUCCCGGGCCGCCAACUUGACUCGCCUCCGUCCCACUUGACUUGAUCAACGCCGUCUUCAUCCUGUCAUGUUCUCUUGCUCUUCCAUGCACUGUGUGGAUCGCCUAACUCACCCGUGACGGGCAUACACCCCAGGUCCACGAGUAGGCCUUGGACGGCCCACCAAGAGACGUACUCAGACAAGAUCAGAACAAGGAUGGGCGUAUCCUUCUCGGAUUAGUCUUGUAUGUUUAUGGAAAACUACUCGGGCCAAUACUGAGUAGAACUCUGUAAUAGUACCCGACUAGGACUCAGACUUGUAACCCUGCCCUCCCGUGUAUAUAAGGCCGGGCAGCGACCCCCCUCGGCAUAUCUCUCAAGAUCCUAAAGACCAGAACAUACAUCAAUACAAACCAACACACAGGACGUAGGGUAUUACGCUAUCUAGCGGCCCGAACCUGUCUAAAUCAUGUUCCUUGUGUCACCAUUGAUUCCUUGAUUCUCGACGACCCUUACCGCAUAAAAGACCACCUAGGGUACCCCCUAGGCGGGUUGCCGGUCUAAAACACCGACAGCUGGCGCGCUAGGUAGGGGGCUUCGUCGAGUUUCUUAGCGCGAACUCAAUGGCGAAGGUCAUCAUCAGGCCCGUUUUCUUCAUCGAAGCCGGCGCCACCUUCGUUUUUGAAUCCUGGUUUUGCGUCGCCGAAGGCUCGGGAUCGUUUCGGCGCUAGAUCGUCGACACUUAGAAGAAGAAACCAGAAAGUCUGACCAGAAAAAAUCAAGAUUUCAAAGUCAACAAGUUCGAGUUUGACUACGCGUCGGAUUCGACUUCGCCUCAGACUACUCCAACCUUCCGCUCAGGGGUCGGGCACUCCCGACCCCAGGACUCAGGGUCUGGCGAGGAGGAGUUUCACUCGGGGUCGAGCGAGGUGGAGCUACUCCUCCAAAGGGUCGGGCUCAGCCGACCCCUGGACUCAAGGUCGGACUCGCUUCGGAUUCGACGGCCCCAGUCAGCAUCCAAAUCGGUUUCGACUUCAAAGUGGUUCCCGCACGGACUCUGCAACGCAACCAAAGUCCACCAAGGUUUUCUUACUCGAACCCGAUUCGAACUCGGGCAUGACGAAGAUGUCGACUCCGACUCGUCUUAUUCACCAGAGAUACCAUUAUCUGGUCCAGCCCAAGGAUUGGUAAUAACUUCGACAUCACAAGGCAGAUUCGUCCAUUGGCCGGGAUUGCGACCGCCUCUUCUCAACCGUGACUACGACUCGCGCCUUGUCGCCCAUAUAGACAACUUACCAUAUCAAGAAGGCGUUCCACUCAACCGUGAAGAGAGUUACACAGAAAUUGCAACAUCAAGCUCUGAAAGCUACUACCUGGAUAGGGAAAUACUUGUUAUUACUCAGAAUAACAACCCGGGUACUAGCCAGGACAGAACCCCCAGGCGAUUAGCACAAAUCGACAACAUCUCCAAAAAUGAAUCUACUGCUGACGCCCCUCACGGUGAAACUUCUGAGCAGCGCAACCAACGAAGGGCGCGCAAUGCUACUCGAGCUGAGCGACGACAGUUGAUGGCUACAAAUAUCCCCAUUACGAAUCUUGAAAGGGCUUUCAAUACAGUUCAGGCUCAGGAGCACAAUACUCCACUCGCGGCCAUCGCCUCAAUCAACCUUUUAACCACGUUGAUGCCUCAGGAUAGGGACAACGCAGCCACAGCUCAACUCGUGCAGCGCGGCAACGGACUGAUCGCACAACUCGUGGAGCAAGCCUACAAGCUACUUGACAAAGAAUCACCAAUCCCGUCUGUUCCUCGUAUCACAUCUCAUCAAGAAGGUAGCAUGAGAGCUGCAGACUAAAAUGCCGCCCCACGAAACGAUGAUACAGUCAACCAACCUCGGCAACACAGCCAAGGUCCAAGCAAGCAUAAAGCUCCUGCGCGACAUAAAGAUAUUGGUGAGGUCAGCUGCAUCAACUCGGUUAAAUGCGUCCGCCCUACUCGGAAGAACAACGAAAUAUCCAACUUCAGUGAUUUGCGAGAAAUUCUCAACAGUCGGCGCGAACGGGAAGUCGACAGCUACAACCAUUUUCCUGCUUUCACAAACCGGGUAAUGAAAACAAAAUUACCCGAUAAGUUCAAGCCAACCGGAAUCACCAAGUACGACGGCAAGCAAGACCCAAUUCAAUGGCUACGCUAUUACUCACUAGCCGUCCAAGCAGCCGGGGGCAAUAACGACACCAAAGUCAUUCAUUUCCCCAUAUGCAUGGAACCCGCACCACUGACCUGGCUCGAGUCAUUAAAACCCAAGUCCAUUAAUUCUUGGGCAGACUUGACAAAGGCUUUCACCAACAACUUCGCCGGCUCCAUGGCCAGGCCAGGCAACAAAAUCGACUUAAGACAAAUUAAGCAAUAAGAGGGCGAGACCUUACGCGACUAUCUGCGAUGGUUCUUCGAAAAGAAGGCUACCAUAGUUGACAUCUCCGAAACAGACGUCAUUGAGUGCUUCCAAAAUGGACUCUACGAUCGACGAACAUACCAAGAUUUCGGUCACCGACGACAAGCCGAUGUCAAAGAACUCAAAGUCAUGGUGCAACAAUGGGCUGACGAAGAAGACAAAGAGCGAGAAUGGUUCGGUUCCCACCGUAACCGAGGACGUGACAACAACCACAAUAAUGAACCAGAUAGAACUUGGCAUAACGAUGCUCGGAACUCCUAUCCGAGUAAUCACAAUCGCAAAAGGAAGCCCGACAACACCGUUGCCGCCAGGACCAGCUCCGGAAAAAAGGGGCACCGCAGAAACGACGAAGGGCCAACCUUCACAGAGCUACACAAAAAGCAGUGCCCAUGGCAUCCGACUAGCAAGCACUCGGUGAUAGACUGCUACAGCAUGCGCCGAGUCAUGCAAGACUUACCCGCACCACCAACUCCUGAAGAGUACACCAAAAACAAAGAUAAGGGUAAAAAUAAAGCCCGCAACGAUGAAGAUGAGGACGGCGAUUUCCAAACAGCUUCAAAAACUAUCAACGUCAUAUUCAGCGGUAUCCCAAGCACUGCAUCCAAGCGAGCUAACAAACUCGUACUCAGGGAGAUCAUGGCCAUUGAACCAACGGACCCCACACCGUUAAAAUGGUCAGAAGUUCCAAUUUCUUUCAGCCGAAAAGAUCAAUGGACAAAUUUUUCAGAACCAGGCCGUUUCCCACUAGUCCUGGAUCCAGUCGAUCCCAAAGCUACUCCAAAACGGCAACGACUACGCCGUUUCGCUCAGGACAGACGAGAAGCAAUCAAAAAAGAGUUAGCCAAGCUACUCGCAGCAGGAUUCAUCAAAGAAGUCUUUCAUCCCGACUGGCUUGCCAAUCCUGUGCUUGUUCGUAAGAAAACAACGAAUGGAGAAUAUGUGUUGACUACACCGACCUCAACAAACACUGCCCAAAAGAUCCUUUCGGGCUACCAAGGAUCGAUCAAGUGGUUGACUCCACCGCUGGGUGCGCUUUGAUAUGUUUUCUUGACUGCUACUCCGGCUAUCACCAGAUAAGCCUCAAAGAAGAAGAUCAAGCCAAAACAGCGUUCAUUACGCCCUUCGGAGCUUUCUACUAUAAAACAAUGUCCUUCGGACUAAAAAAUGCAGGAGCAACUUAUCAAAGGGCCAUACAGAUGUGCUUUGAAAAGCAACUUCCUCGCAAUGUCGAAGCUUAUGUCGACAACGUCGUCAUCAAAACAAGAAACCGGGAGAAACUCAUUGCAACUACCUGGCAAUGUCGAAGCUUAUGUCGACGACGUCGUCGUCAAAACAAGAAACCGGGAGGAACUCAUUACAAGUACUUGGCAUACACGAAGACUACAAGCAACUACCUACUGGCGGGCUGCAUUUAAGCCUCAGGCUUUUACUAUAUCACAAGGCCACUCAGGUCUGCCGACCACAAGAAGGGCCCACACGCAAGGAAGCUGCGCAAAACGCAGCCAUGCCCAGGUACCCUACCCAAGUCAAUGCCAGGAACUCCAGCAUCGCCACUGCCUUGACAGCGGCAGCGCCAAAUCCGGCACGACGCGCCUAGAGGGAACCAAGGCUGCUGUUUUGCUAGCCUUGCGGAGCCAAUCUACUCUACGGCCGCACCUCCACCUCUCUUAGAGCAGGAUAAAGACCACGGCACUCAUCACCCAUCACUCGCGAGUUCCAGCGCGUACCCCAGUGGAUCACGAGCUGCAAGAUGAGGCGUGCGACGAAACCUCCUACGAGGAUUCUUCUAGCAUCGCGGCUAUCCCUAUGAGCGCAGGAGUCUGUGGAUGGAAGAUGGCCUCAAUCUACGAGGAAUCUUCUAACACCGGUGCACUCUUUGAUGGCUCUCUACACUCAAAUAGAAGAAACCGAAGGCAAUCCAUCGCUACUCAGGAGCUUGAGUUGGUUCGCUCACCAGGUGGCCCUAUUUAUAGCCGAAGGCCACAACUACCACCUGCCCAAGAGUUACUAUGCACCCGUGCUCAAUGAGUCUGACGCCUUCUGACUGUGCCCACGUGACCGCACUCAUGCCACAAUGGACAAAAGAGUACAGUACACCCGUGCAUCCACAAAGGACAAAGGAGUACAGUACACCCGUGUCCCUCAAAAGAUGAGUACUCAAUAGCAUUACGACUACUUGACACUCGGGACUACUACAAGCCAAGCGUGGUCUACUGUUGGAGGUAUGCGCUAGAGGCAAUCAUAGAGAUGAUGAUAUUCCAUUUCUAUCCAUGAUUUGUAUAUUGUGUUCAUUGAAUAUCCAUUAAAGGCUACUUGAAUUGAUUUGCAAUUAUGUGAAUUAUAUGUGAAACUCUUUACUUGUAUGGUUAUUCUAAAGUUGUCCCUAGUCGGAGCUCAUGUGAGGACACACAUGAAUAUUAGACUAGCACAUGUAUUAGUUGAUGACUAUGUUUCACAAGUCAUGGACAUAGAGAUGUUGAACUAAUAAUGUGGACACAUGUGGAGACAUGUGCUAGGACUGACCCAACACGAGAAGUAGUUCUCUCUUUAAACAACAUAUACGCUUUGUCCUUAGACCUGAGAUUGUCGCAUGUAUUCUAGAUGUGGAUCGACCUACUUAGGGGCUAUCAAACGCUACGCCGUAACAGGGUAGUUAUAAAGGUAGCUUUCAGGUUUGUUAAGAAGCAUGCUAUGAGACAUGGUCAAUCAAGAUGGGAUUUGCCCCUCUCUGAUUGAGAGUGAUAUCUCUGGGCCCCUCGAGUGAUCGGAUCCGAAAAUGCAUGGCCAUGCUACGUACGGUUAAGAGUUAACCUACAAAGGGAUUCCGAAUCACAGGAUCGAGAAAGAGCGGUCGGCUUGAAGCUAGACCAAAUAUCAUGAGGCAAAGGGAAUAGCAUGUAUAUUAUGUUGUGAUGGUUCGUCUGAUAUGAUCUUCGUGUACGUAUAGGAGUUGGCACGUCUUGCUAGAGGCCGCUACUGACUAUUGGGCCGAGUAGGAGUACUCGGGCCAUGUCUAUACGUAUCCGAACCCAUAGGGUCACACACUUAAGGGGCUGGAAGCCCAAUUCGGAUCUGAUCCGAGUUGGAUUAGGUUUAGAAGUACUAAUGGGCCUCGGACCCAGAGGCCCAUCAGGAACCUCUAUAAAUAGAGGGGUGGGGGCGCCCUAGGGUUUACACCUUUUGGCGAAACACACCUGCCGCGCCUCCCACGCCCUCGCCUGUUGCAACUCACGGAUCUAGCAGUCCGGCUUGCGACGCUUCCUCCCUGCACGUGUGGAUACCUUGGAGGUGUUGCGCCUGCAACACUUGGACGAGCCGCCGACGAGCCACGACGAGCCGACGACGAGCCGCGGCACCGGAGGCGAUCUUGCUGCACGUGGACGAGCUGCUGAGGAGCUGCUGGACGUGAUCGACUACGUACGACUACGUGAUCGUCUUCACUGCAUCGACGCAUAUCUACAUCUUCCGCACCAGUAGUGCGUCGAGUGGUAAUCCCGUGAUCCUUAUACAGCAGUUCUUCCUGGUUUUACGUGGUAGAAAUUUUGAUUUGCGCUAGUGUAGCCUACCUCGUAUCCCAACAUCUACAGCUCGGGGGCUCGGACUACUCCGACCCCAGGACCCAGGGUCGGGCGAGAGAGUUUUUCACCCUCGAAGGGGUCAGGCUUAGCUGACCCCAAGCCUCAAGGUCGGGCAAGACGAAGCUUCUCCCCUAGAGGGUCAGACCCAGCCGACUCUAGUACUUUGGAUUGGACAUAAUGAAGUAAAACUUCUCUUCGCAAGACAACGAACUUCAAAAUCCAAAGGCUUGAUAUUCAAAAGUAUCAAACGUACUCUAUAAAAAACAAGAGUACACACAAAAGCUCAAAGCUCUUCUAAGGAGACAAACUCCGACAUCUUGGCUGCAAUAGGCUCCACCUCCUCGAGGUACUGCGCAUACGCUUCCUCUGUGCAGUUGCGAGCCACGCCAUCACCAGCUGCCGCCAAGUCUGCCCUCGGGUAGUAGGACUUCACAACUGUAAGAACUUGUUUGCAAACAGUCUUGCAAAGUCCCGCCACUUUACUCGGGACAGCUCUUAGUCGCUCAACUAGCGAUUGCAGCCCUGCGCCUUCCUCCACGGCGGCUAUAGCAUUCACCAAUUCAUCGGCCGCUCCAGACAGCUCUUGGAGUUCGCCCGAAGUCUUCCCAGGGUCGGGCAUGAUCUCUGCAUGCCACCAUGGCCAUGGCAAGCAUCACGCCAUUUUGCAUCUUUUGGUCCCGCUGGUGCUCGCAAGCAACCUGUGCUUCCGUCAGCGCGGCCCGAAGAUGUUCGGCUUCAUCUACCACCCGGUCAUGAGCGUUUCUCCAGUCGAUGACUUGGCUCCUUGUAGCCGCUUCCUGCUUAUUGAGCUCUACAAAACAAAGAACUCAGGCCACAGCCAACUAUAGUUGGACACAACCAGAGUAGUCGGAAUGCUUACCUUGAUACUUCUUGUUCAAGGACUUGUAGCGGCUCUCCAGUUUUUCCUGCAGAACCGCGUGAUCUGCGCGUUCCAUGGCAAAGGACUUUGCCCCGACUUCAUGAACCCGAAGAGUUUCUGUUAGUCGGGCACAUUCCUGCUCCAACUGAUGGCUUCUUUCCUGAAAAUAUUCAAGUAUGGUAUGGUGAGUUUCAAGCCUCACAACUACUCGGGUCAUGCAACAAACUCAACAAGGACAUCUACCUGGAAGCCCCGGAAAACAUCAAUCGCCCUCUGGAACUCCAAGUCAGAAGGCAGGCUAAGUAUUGACCUUUGGGUACUCUCCACAAGAUGAGGGAUCGUACCCAGAGUAGCACCUACAACAUUUACCAUGUCAGCUACCGACUACGACUACAAUAAAAAGACUACAGGCACUUACCUGGAGUAGUCGCUUGUUUGGUUUUUUCAACUAUGGCCAGCGCUCCGCCAGAAGAUGAUGAUAGGCCAGCACUCUCCGAGCCUGAUGCAGCAGCAGGAACCUCCACCGAGCGAAUUACAUCUUAAAGCAUCGACAUAGUAGCUCCAAGAUGGCCGGCGUCAACCUCGGGUACCUCUUCAACAGUCAAGUCCUCCAAAGGAACAGAUGUUGUAGUCGAGGGAUCCGGCACUAUCCCUGUCUCUACAAGGAUAGUCUCCUCUGCAUCUCUGCACCAAAAAAGUGUCACUACAUGAUUUCAAGACAAUCCAACAUCAUUCAAAAAUACAAGGAAGCUCACCGGGUUGAACGUGGCGGUAGUCGCACACGCCUCUUCUUGGCGAUAGGCGGCCGAGUACUAGGCGCCGUGGGAAUACUGACCGGCGCUGUCUUCUCACCAAGACCUACAAAACCGAAGUUAAGACUACAGUACUACUCAAACGAAUACAAUAGGAUGGGACAACGCUUACCACUGGCGAUCUCAUUGGACAGCAAGGUACCAGUAGCGAGUACUGGCGACACCUCCUUCGCUGUACCCGCUACUCCAGCAGGCAGCCCCAGGACCGCCUGGUCAGCAAUAGGUGGCAUGGUGUCCGAUGGAGUUGAUGCGGUUAACUCGGGGGCUACCCUAGUUUCUGUUGAUGGUACCCUCUCCGGCACCAUGUCAACAGCCACAUCACCGACUUCUAGGUCGGUCACGGCCAUUUCUUCAGAAACAGCCUCAUCUUCACCAAGCGUCGUAUCUACAGCCUUCACGAACCAAAACAAGAUUCGCCACAUCAAUAACGAGUUCAAAUCCAUCAGUAACAGACAAGUUACCAACUACAUACCUUGGUACCCCGAGACUUCUCAGGGGUUGAAGCAGACUUAGCCGCAGACAUCUUGCGGACUACUCUGCGUCUCUUAACAGGAGAAGAAGGCUCGUCCUUCGACUCCUCGACGACAGCUUCCGACUCUUCUUCCGACUGCGCCAAGUAGCCGACAAGAACUCGAGACUUCAAACAACAAAUGGGUAUCAACAACAAGAAUCACAAGUCAAAGAAGAACAAGUCAAGAGGAAAACACGUACCACUUCUGGCUCGUACCAGGCAUCAUACUGACGAAGGGCUGCAGGGAUUACUGGUACUCCCUGAUAGUUCCUAAAAAACUUAGCCAGCAGCGCCUCUACGUCAUCAUCGGAUAUGUCCUCAUCGGACAUACGCGAUGGAUCCUUCAGACCUACGUACUCACUUCCCGAGUGAGCACGUUGUUGGAGCGGCUGGACCCUUCUCUUCAGGAAGCUGGCCGCCACGUUGAUCCCAGUCAAACCGAGUGCCUUCAACUCGGUGAUCUGCUGCAUCAAGUGAUCGAGCUCAGGGGUGUCCUCGGGCUCGCUCACCCAGUUCUCCGCAUGCUUGGGUGCGUGACCAGUCACCACAGGCAAGCGGGGUUCAUGGUUCCCGAUGUAGAACCACCUUUUCUUCCACUCCCCAUGGGAGUCGGUCAGAUUAUACUCAAUAUACGCGCCCGAGUUCCUGAGCUGGAACCCGGCGCCUCCAAAGACUUCCGUCAGCUGGGCACUCGGCUGAGGCUUACAACGGAACAGCUUCCUAUACAACUCAAGACUUGGAGGUACUCCCAGAUAAACUUCGCAAAGGUGUACGAAAAUAGACAUAUGCAGUACACCAUUGGGAUUCAAGUGGACGAGCUGAAGUUUGUAGUACUCGAGAAUACUUCUGAAAAAGUCAGAGGUGGGCACCGUCAAUCCCCUUUCCACAAAAUGCACAAGCAUCACCGUCUCGGCAGGAUGUUCCUCAAACUGCCACGUAUUGGGAAACGCUGGGCACCACUCAAGAAUCUCCUUCGGCUGAAGGAGCUUUGCCUCGACUAGCGCCUAGACCAAUUCCUCCUUCAUCACCGAGUGUUGCCAAGUUGCCCCAGGCAGCGGUGGCACAGUUUGGUUCGUUGGCCCCACCUUCGGCGCCGGCAGCACCAACUCCUUGCCCUUCUUGGAUUUGAUCUUGCCCGUCGCCAAAACCUUGCCCUGGAUCUUCUCGGGUUUCUUGCCCAUCUUCUUGGUGCGCAUUCGACGGACUAAACCUCAAGGAAGAAGGGGCUCGACACUCGGAUCUUUCUCAAAAGAUGGCAAUGGCGGUGGUGGCGGCUCUGACGGCGGCAAAAUGCAGAGCGGAGGCGCAGAGGAGGAAGAAGAAGAGAUCUAAUUGCCGUACGGCGUAACAGCAACCGAAAGGGGGCCUCCCAGUUUUAUCUCCACCAGCCCCGGUUUCCACGCGUCAGUUGCGCACCGGACAGAUUAAUCGCGUAUUAAUCGUCUUAAACACCCAACGGCUACUCUAUUCAACGGGCUGCUAACCACUUCAACGACAAAGAUCGCCUAAGUGCUCGGGGGCUGCGGGUACCGUACCCGUUGAUCAGUUUUUUCUUUUCCCAAAGAUCCCCAAGGGUAAAAUAGACAAAAGCUGGCUGGACCCUAAGCCUAACUCUUCGACUCAACCUAAGGCUCGGGGGCUACUCCAUAUGGAGUACGAUUGACAUCGCACUGCCAUAUAAAAUUACACGGGACGGAAACAACUCGAAGGAGCAAAAAGAGUACCUUCCAGCCACGCGACAGUACUCGAGCACUUCAGUCUGCAACCUCUAUGACUAGAUCUACUCGGACAGUGCCUGCAGUGCCCAAGACUGUGGCGCACGACUACAAAGUACUCGGGGGCUUGUCGGGCAUACACCCCAGGUCCACGAGUAGGCCUUGGACGGCCCACCAAGGGACGUACUCGGACAAGAUCAAAACAAGGAUGGGCAUAUCCUUCUCGGAUUAUUCUUGUAUGUUUAUGGAAAACUACUCGGGCCAAUACCGAGUAGAACUCUGUAAUAGUACCCGACUAGGACUCAGACUUGUAACCCUGCCCUCCCGUGUAUAUAAGGCCGGGCAGGGAUCCCCCUCGACAUAUCUCUCAAGAUCCUAAAGACCAGAACAUACAUCAAUACAAACCAACACAUAGGACGUAGGGUAUUACGCGAUCUAGCGGCCCGAACCUGUCUAAAUCGUGUUCCUUGUGUCACCAUUGAUUCCUUAAUUCUAGACGACCCUUACCGCAUAAAAGACCACCUAGGGUACCCCUAGGCGGGUUGCCGGUCUAAAACACCGACAGCCCGGACUCCUCGGGUCCAUCGGUCCAAGCCUACUCACGUUCAUCCUUCACCCCCCUUGCUCCAUCGGCAUGAACCUCUUGCUUGACCUUCACCGUAUGCCGUCGGCCGCCACACCACAUCCAACAUCUGCACAUCACAAGCCAAGAGCAACAUUAUUCCAACACAAUAUUGUCAAUCACUCAUCAUCCAAGGGUGACCACCAUUGGUCCUCACAAAGCAAGAAAAUAAUUACAUAAAGACUUUAAUAUAUUUCAAGCAUUGACAAUAGUUCUUUAUACAAAUGCUAAUGUUUGUUCAUCUCCGGAUCUACUCAAGGUCUAGCUGCUUGGCUACUUCUUCAGCUAUGGGAUCCAUCUCCCGCAUAAUCUCCUUGAAUUGCUCGUCCAAGCAGUCUGAUGCCAUCCCUUCAACAACAGGUUGUAAAUUUACCAAGGAUAGAAAGACUUCACAAAGCUCAUGACCUGCUGGGAGAUAGACUUCACCAUCUUUUGAAUAUAUCCAGAAACCUUCUCUAGUGCAUCCUUGAGUAUCUCUGGCAGUGGACGAGGCUCUACACCUUCAGCUGGGGGCUCUAUCAUAUCCGCAAUUGGCUGGGCGGCCUCACAAAUCUUAUUCAGGGUGAAUGUGGCAGUUUCCGCCUUAGCCUCGCGAUAUUUGAUGGUCUCCAUGGUAGUAACAAGAUCAGUCUCGCCAUCUUUGCGCAUCUUCUUCUCCUUCUCCAAGUUAUGCUCCAACUUCUCAACUUGCAAGACAAGCCUAUCAUGUUGGUCAGUCACAUGAUAGAAUGCAUUGGUCCAAUCGGUGGCUUUCUCCUGGAGUUCUUUACUCGAUUUCUCAAGCUCUGCACAUUAAGGCAGCAGAGGAUCAGUACCACAAGCAGAAUUAGUAUUCGGAAAGCAGUAAGAAUAACAAUUACCUCUAAUCCGCUGGUUCAAGGACUUGUUGCGUCUGCUGAGUCGGUCUUUCUCUUCUUCAAGUUGCAAGAUGCGAUUCCGAUAUUCAGUAGCAGGUCCGCCAUACUUCAUCAUUAAUCGAGAACAGUGCUCCCUCUCCUUAGCAAGUUCUUUUUCAAGGGCCUCAACAUGAAGUACUAUGUCCCCAUAUCCUUCAAGCAUCUGGGAUUUGUGGCGGGAGCGCUUGAUGACAUCCUGCAACACGCACAAUAGGUACUUGUAUUUGUACACGAGCAUAAGUUACAAGGCAACUAUAGCCACAUCAAGUCAGAAAGAAGAUAUCUCUACAUAAUUGCUGAUACGGCGGUGCAUCUCCAUCAUUCUAGCGACCACGUCCAUAUUCAGCAAGGGGUCGUCAAUCAAUCGGAUAUCUUCAAGAUGAAUUUCUCUGGCCUAUAGAGGAUCUGCAUGAGCUUUAGAAUCAGUUGUGCUUUGUGAAACCACGGUAGGGUUUGUCGACGGACCUAGCUCGGAGGACGCGUUGGCAGCCAUGACUUCCAAAACUAUCACCACUUCAAUUUCCACGUCUGGCUCAGGGGCUAUGCGAGUAGCCACGGUGCCAGAAGUAGUCACCGCCACUUCUUCGACUACUUGUCGUCGAGGAUUGGCGGCACAACAUCGGUCGACGAUGCCAACACCUCAUGCAUAAGAGCUGCCACAGCAGACAUAGCCCUUGGAGUAGACGACUUCUCCACAAUUUUCUCCUGCAGUGGAAGUACUGCUUGAGCCUGGAUGAUGCCUUGAGCUGAGUGGCUGCUGCCAUCAGUCAUAGGAUUGGAGUCAGGCCUAGCCAAAUCUAUGUUCGAGGAUUUUUUGCAGAAGAGCACCUAUUUUUGUCACAAGCAACUUACUUACAAGUCAUAAUAAGUACUCAAAAGAACAACAGAGGAUACCUUGAAGAUCUCCUUAGUUUCAAUUUGGGUUCUCCUGUUAGGCGCAGUGGCUUAAUAGCCGGAGAUGGUGCCUUUGGCGUGGCCUGAGAAGUCGCAGCUUGAUCCUGGCCAACCAUAGUUACCGCCCCCCGCUGUUGACGUCAUCUCUGCGCUAGCAGUGUUCACCGUAUCUCUAGAGGAGUUGUCAUUGCUAAUAAUAGGCUUUGGACCAUCUUCAACAUCGAUCACCUCCUCGAUGAUCGGUGACUUGUCCUGAGCAGCCAAGGCAGCUGCCUUCUCAGUAUUCGUUGCAAGCUUGAGUACCUACAAACCACCAGUGUCAUCCUGAGUAGACACGGUGGUGACAUUGAAGACACAUUUUGGAAGUAUGUGAUACUUAGGAUCUUGUCCUUCCUCAUAGGUAAUUACCUUGGGGGCACAUUAUUCGCAGCGAUGGAUUUUUUCACGGCCUGUUUCACAACAAUGGUCCAUUUCUUCUUUGGUGGUGGAGGGAUCACGGCUUCAAGCUCAUCUGUAGCUGAGCGCUUCUUCGACCUGGACGACGGUUCGACCUUAGCAAACGGCUGGGCCUUGACUUUGUAUCGAUUCGCAGCAUCAGAACUAGUGCCGCUCGAAGACUCGACUACCUGCUCCUCAUGGUCAUCGCCUCUCAUGACUUCCCGCGUAAACAAGCGACAAGUGUCUUCACAAACAUCUUUAGAUCCGGGAAGAGAAGGAGUAGAGAAGUACAAAGCAACAUCUUCCUGCAAAAUGAGACAAGUCAAUUAACUAGUACAUUCAAAAUAAGUACUCGGGGGCCACAGUCAUGAGUACUUACAGACUUUGGCGAGUGUAAGGUGUUGAAUUCCCGCACAAAUAGUGGGGAUCCCGCCCACGUUCUUGAACAUUCGCUUGAGCCUAACCAUGAUUUCAUCCAUGCUAAUUUCAUCAGGAGAGAAUCUAGAUGGAUCAUUAAGGCUAGUAUACUCGUAGUCAUAAUGGCAUCGCUACUACAAAGGCUGGAUGCAGCGCUUCAUAAAGCUAAAGGCUACUCCAACUCCAGUAAGCCCUUCUUGUUUCAACUUGGCAAUCUUAUCCAUAAGUUCAAGUAAUUAGAGGCAAUCUCCAUGUUUCGGUUCAUCAAGCCACCGGUUGUUCCAAGAGGGGCAGUAUCCUAUCAGCUUGGGUAGUUUCGGAUCAUGGUUGCCAAUGUAGCACCAUUUUUCCUUCCACAUGGCAUUGGAGUCUGUCAACUCGUAAUCCAAAUACAGAGUGCUUACUGUCUCCUGAAUUACGGUGCCUCCAACCAACAAUAUGUAUUCCCUCAAGGGUUGUGGCUUCACACGGAAAAACUUCCGGAAUAACUGAAAGCGCGGCCUGAUCCCUAGAAAAGCUUCACAGAAGUGGACGAAAAUAGUAGUAUGAAAAAUUCCAUGGGGAUUCAGAUGCACCAACUCCAACUUAUAGUAAUCAAGAAGAUCCCGGAAGAAAUCAUAGGUGGGCAAUCAAAGGCCUCGCUCAAUGAAGUGCAGAAAGGUUACCGUCUCGUUUGGAUAUGAUUCCAAUGGGCAGGCAUUCCUAAAGGCGGAUCUCCACUGAAUAUAGCACCGCUCUUGCAACAGCUUUGCGGCAACAAGAGCCUUGAUGUCACUCUAGGUUGCCUUCGACUCUUUCCAGGCGCACACGGCGUUGGGCGGUGCAGUCUGAUUGGUCUUGCCGUACUUGGGCGCUGGCAACUGGGGAUCCUUCCCUUUGCCUGAUCUCUUUUUCUUCUUCUCGUCCUCGGCAGGCUUGGAUGCAGCGAUCUUCCUCCUCAUCCUUGAUGUCACGAGCGUCUUUAGUCGCAUACGCUCGGGGGUUGCGUGGUGGGGGGCGGCGGCGCUAGCGUUCAUAGAUCGAAUAGUGGUAGCGGCGCUAGGGCUACAAUGUGGAAGUUGGAAAGGCAAAUGGCAAAGGUAAAACAGAAGGGAUAACUUCCUCUGUUAUUUAUAACAGUGGCACAAUAAAAAUUAUGCAAGUGAAUAGAUUUCGAUUUAAAGGGUCCCCAGAAUUCAGGAAACCUGAUUGGUGGUUACUUUUAUUUUGGAAAGAAGAUUUGGAUAUUCCAAAAGAUGGUCACGUUGACCAAGUUUGACCCUUAUACCCACCAAACUAGUCGGCUAAAGGCUCGAGGGCUGUAUACCACGUGUCCAUCGACAAAAAGUUUUUUCUCUUGGUUUUAAUGGGAAAGUGAUGCAAAUUACAAAUUGACCCUUAGUCUAAUUCUUCGAUGGCUACUCCAUAUGGAGUGCGACUUUUGUCGCACUUACAUAUAAAAUUCAAGAUUUAAGAAUACGAGACUAAGUUAAAAGAGGCUUGAGCAUAUUCUAGCCUCAUGACAGUUUUUGGGUACCUUUAAAGAUCCAACUAGAUGAAGUACUCGAAGAGCACCAAAACUAGUCGGUGAAGUAUACAAAAGUACUCAGAACUGCUGCAUUUGACUAAAAGGUACUCAGAGACUUAUCGUACAUACAUCUAUGGGCCCACCAGAAGGUUUGAACAGACCCAAAUGUGAGGCUGGACACCGAGACGCAUCUGACAUGGAGACCAUGGUGCAGGAUGGCAUAGUCUACAUGGAAAGACAGGAACUAGUCAAGGAUUAGGAAAGUACUCGCUAUAAUAGGGUAGGCUUCUUCUAAUCAUAUCCGACUAGUAUUCCUGUAACCAACCGACCUGUAACCCUGCCCCCGACUAUAUAAGGCAAGGCAGGACCCCCUCCAAAUUCAAUCCAACCAACACACAGGACAUAGGGUAUUACGCAAUCUAGCGGUCCGAGCCUGUCUAAAUCAUGUGUCUACGUUUACCUUCGAGUUUCUGAUCUCAACGAGCCCCACCAACAAAAAUACUACUUCAGGCACCCCCUCGGUAGGUUGCCGAGUCUAAACAUUGACAAUGGUCCACUGGGGGCGUGAGGUGGAGGGUGGCAACGCUAGGGCUAGCAGGCGGAGGCGCCGGGGUCCGGCAGGCUGGAGGGAGGCGCUGGGGAGGUGGUGGAGCAGAGGCGUUGGAGCGGAUAAGAGAUCGGGAGUGAGAAAAGGAAAGAGCAGAUAAGAGAGGAAGGAAAGAGAAAAAAAGAGGAAAAAAGAAAUAUGAAGAAAAGAGGAAAAAGUGGAAGAAAAAAAUAAUGAAGGUAUUGUGGACAUUUCACAUAUUUUUCCAUUUGAAACAACCUGUUUUGCCGAUCGUUUUUCCAACUAGAUAAAAUAUAAAAAAAAAGCCGCUCCACCAGAGACGCCAUAGCCGGAGCUGCUUCAGCUACGGCCACAGUCUUGUCAAAUUAGCCCUUUCAUUUCCUAAGGACGUGGCACAACUGUGAUUGGGUCUCCCUAUCUUUAAGGUGUAAAAUAAAUCAAAGGGAGGGGUGUUGCAAGAAAAAGUUUGGUAGAUCGUAAGGCACACAAAGAGGGGAAUCAGUAAGACAAUUACAAUAACAAUUACACAAGUGAAAAGUAUGUGGGUUGGAGUUUUAUUUUUCAACAAAAAGUUUAUAAUAUUCCCUAUCUCUUAUAACAUUAAGACAGGCAUUAAACAUGCUUUUACCAUAGCACUUUAUUAAACAUGCUUUUACCAUAGCACAAAGUCCAAUUCACCUAACAAAGCACAAAGAAACCCACGUCCGGGUCUUUUUGAACAACCACUAGUACAUUGGGCCUGUUUGGCAGAGCUCCACGCAGCUUCAGAUCCUAAAAAAUAGCUCUGCUCCCAAUUUUUCCAGCCAAACGGUUUUAGCUCUAGCAACUCCACCGUAGAUCUGCUCCACGAAAAUGGUGGAUCUACCCCCAGAUCCAUGGAUUUGGUGGAGCUCGUCAGGGGGUGCUCCACGAAAUCAAAUUUGGUGAAGUUGGAGAAAAUUACCCACCACUGCCACUCAUUAGUGGAAAAUGACCGGUUCAUUCUAUUUCUUUUUCUUCUUCUCUGUGCAAAACGCUGCCGUCCUUCUCUUCCUGUGCUACGCCGCCGUUUGCCCCUGCACGCCGGAGCGUCGCCCGCCCUUGCUCGCCCCUGCCCGCCGGAGCCCCGCCCGCCCCUGCCUGCCCCUACCGCCGGAGCGCUGCCCCUGUUUGCCUCUGCUCCCCCCGCCUGCCCCGCUCGCUCCGCCUGCCAGAGCCCCAUCGCGCCUGCCGCUGGAGCGCCGCCCCUGCUCGCCUCUGCUCGCCCCGCUCGCUCUGCCCGCCGGAGACCCAUCUGCCCCUGCCGUCAGAGCGCCACCCCUGCUCGCCUCUGCUCCCCCCACCCGCCCCUGCUUGCCCUUGCCCGCCCCUGUCGUCGGAGCGCCGCCUCGCCCGCCGGAGAUCUUCUGCGGGAGGCGUCGUGGUGGCCGCGGCAGGUGUCGCGUCCCGUGGUGGUGGCCGCAAGCGAGGAGGAGGGCGGCGAGUCCGCCGGCGCGGCGACGCUUGGUAGGGAAGGCAGUGGCGGCAUGGAGAGGGCGCGGAGCCUGACGGUCGAUGACCUGGAGGAGCUGAAGGGUUGCGUGGAUCUGGGCUUCGGCUUCAACUAUCACGAGAUCCCCGAGCUCUGCGGCAUGCUGCCUGCGCUCGAGCUCUGCUACUCCGUGAGCCGACGUCAGCGCGCGAGGUCACACUCGCGGUGAUGAGGAAGGAGACGUUUUUUUUAUUCUGAUGCAUGGGUCCAAAUCGUCAGUGAGACAAAGACAAGAGUGGAGCUGUACCAAACGCUUUUUGAGAUAUUAGAUCCACGGUGGAGCAGCUCUAUGGUGAAGCUAGCUGGAUCUAUGGAUCUGGAGCUGUUUUUUCAGAGUUGGAGCUCUGCCAAACAGAGCCUAAGCUUCUUGACGCCACAAACAAAAGUAGCUCCUUGCACAACCCCUAGCCGAGAAUGUCUAAUCAGUUACUUCAAUCUCCUAUGUUUAAUUGUACCUCGUUAAAUGCGCUAACUGUUGAGUUAUUAUUUUGGUAUUGAUCAAUAUGCUAUCAUUUUAGUCAUCAUCGUUGACACAAAUACACAACGAAUAUGGCGUUAGGGGUUAUUACGGUACUAUCAUUAUACUCACGAAUGUUGUCGUUUAGUGGGUUUUGAACCUAUAUAUAAUCUGUAGAUCCACCAAGAAAGAACUAAGAAAGAACUAAUGAUAAUACGUUCUGAUCAUGUGACUAUCGGGGGUGUUUGGAUCCAUGGACUAAUUUUUAGUUCGGGUCACAUCGUAUGAUUGAAUACUAAUUAGAAGGACUAAACAUGAACUAAUUAUAAAAUUAAUUGUAUAAGCCGUGGCUAAUUCGCGAGAUAAAUCUAUGAAGCCUAAUUAAUCCAUAAUUAGCACAUAUUACGAUAGUAUCACAUGGUCAAAUCAUGAACUAAUUAGGCUUAAUAGACUUAUCUCGCGAAUUAGCCUUCAUUUAUGCAAUUGAUUUUGUAAUUAACCUAUAUUUAAUACUCCUAAUUAAUAUCUAAACAUUCGAUGUGAUAGGGAUUAAAUUCUAGUCAUUGUCUCCAAAUGGGCCUUAGUUUGGUGGCUUCCAAAGUGAAGCGGUCAAUGAUAACUAGGGGGCGUUUGGUUCAACUUGCGUAUUUUUAGUUCAUGUCACAUCGAAUAUUCGAAGACUAAUUAGGAGGAUUAAAUAUGAAUUAUUUAUAAAACUAAUUGCACAGAUGGAGGCUAAAUAGCGAGAUGAAUUUAUUAUGCCUAAUUAAUCCAUCAUUAGCAAAUGUUUACUGUAGCAACACAUUGUCAAAUCAUGGACUAAUUAGGCUUAAUAGAUUCAUCUCGCCGUUUAGCCUCCACUUAUGUAAUGGAUUUUAUCAAUAAUCUACGUUUAAAUACUUUUAAUUAGUAUCUAAAUAUUCAAUGUGAUCAAUAAUCUACGUUUGAAUACUUUUAAUUAGUAUCUAAACAUUCGAUGUGAUAGGUGCUAAAAAUAAGACAAAGUAACAGGGCCUAAUCCUUCUUCAGUGGCAAAAUCGUGAAAGCCGUCGAGUGAGGAAAGGAAUGGCAAAUUCGUAAUAGACGGGAAAUCAGGAAAGGAAAGCAGCAGCCUCCUCUCCCUCUAUCCAUCGCCUUCCCAAUCUCUCUCUCCCCUCCCUCGUCGUCGCUUCCUCCAAACCCUAGCCCGCCUUCCUCCCCACGCCCCCCCUAACCUCUGCCUCCGCCGCUCCGAUUCCCCGCGGCGGCGCGCGAUCCCGACGCUCCCAUCGCGCCCCGCGCCUGCGCUUCAACCCCUCCAUCCGGGCGAGAUCCGGCGGAUGGAACCCCCGGCGGCGAAGGAGGCGCCGCCGCCGCCCCAGCCCGCAGCGGAGGAAGACGCGAUGCUCUCCGCGACGGCAGCCAUGGCGAAGGAAGCCGCAGUGUCGUUCCAAGGCCGCCGCUACUCCGAGUGCGUCUUGGUGCUUAAGAAGCUCCUGGAGAUGAAGGAGGGCGAUCCCAAGGUGCGCGAUUCAUUCCUGCUCUCGUGUUACUACUCUCUGUGUGUGGGAAAGCGAGGAGGGUUAGGAACUUGAAUCUUCUAGCUGUGAACAUAGCAAAUCUGUGCGUUGGGUACCUUUCGGUUGCUAUCUGGAUGCGCAUCUGUGGUUGGAGCCAUGCUUACGCGCCCCUUGACCGUCCCUUGCGUCGGAAAUGGUUCUGGGGCUGUUUAUUUAGUUCCAUUCAUGGCUGUUCGCUCUGGGGUGGGUAGUGUUAAGUUUGCUUAUGUAUGUGGUUGGGUUCGCCAUGUGUGUGGCUGUUCGCUGUGUGUGUGCAUAUGUGCUUGCAACUGUUUCUUGAGCUGUAUUUGUCAAUGUCACCACCCACUCUUGUUGCAUCCAGUUUGACUCAAUGCCCAUGUUAGUCUGCAUGUUUUGAUUUUGUGAGCGUGUUGUGCAUUGGCGCAUGUCAAUGCCAGUUGGCAUGCUAUUGGGUCCAGAUUUUCCUCUGUUUUAUAUUCAUUAGCUGCGUCACUUGUUCCAUGAAGCUUACGUCAGGGCCUCUUUAAUCUUGUUGUCUUAGGCUUUAAAUUUGAAGCAUAAUUUACCUGAGACCAGCAAGGAAACAGUUCCGUUGGAAGGGUGGAUGAUAUAGUUGUCCAUUGUCUUUGUAUAGGACAACUGUCAGCUUGAAUCGAUAGUGUUUCUUCUUUUGCUUUGGGAGAAGAAAUUGUUGUUCUAUCAAAUUUGUUUUUCUGCAUCUGAUGUCACAUUUUGCAAUUUCAGGUCCACCAUAAUAUGGCAAUCACACAAUCUUUCUUGGAUGGUUGUCCUGAUCCAGAGAGACUGCUUAAAAUUCUAGGUGAUGUUAAGGUUAGUGAAUCCGCACUGCUCACUGUAUAAUCAUUUGAUUGACAUGUUGAUUAUUUUCAGUAAAGUAGCAUCAACAGAUUACCUUUUAUGAGUAACUUUUUAAUCCAAAAUGAAGAUACUUUUCACAUGGAUGAUUUUGUUUUUCAUAUGUGGCUACUGACAAAAUCCUUUCAUGUAUAGAUAGUGGACCCUGUUGUUUAACCUUGUAUUUUCUGUUGCAUUUCUGUAUGUUUCUUUAAGCAUAGAGUUGGAUUAGAUUUCUGCAACCAAAUAGAAAAAAACUUUUCUUGUACUUAAAGUUUUGCUGCGGUGUGCAUGUGUACACGAAACAGGUGUGUUCUAUAGGACUAAAGGAUACACCCACACAUUGACAAUUCUGAUAGUCGCUCAGUAUGCUUAUUUACGUUGCCUCCCAACUUGCGUGAAGAAUUGUACAUGUUAAGGGCUUAAAAAUUCAAAUUAUGAAAAUGUUUUGCUUAUACGAGUAAGAAUUAAGAUCAUCAUCUUUUGGGUUCAUGGGCCUAUUGUUAGAGCUGGAUGCGAAGUAAUAUAAUCCAAUGAACUCCUACACUGUUUUUUUGUGUAUUGUAUGUGAGUUAUAUUCAUGAAUAUUCUGCUUUUAUUGCACCAAACAAAUGCCUUCAUAUUCUGAGCAGUUUGCCCUUUAUGGUUUAAUUAAUGUUUCACUUUAGCAUGCUGAGGAAAUUUCUGUUUGUCGAACAAACACCUGAAUUUUUGUAAUGUGUGUUGCUCCUGAAUUUUCUAGCUACAGUAGCUUAUCUUUCUUUGAAAUAUCUAGCGUAACCUACUGUUCUAUAUUGGAGCUGCUGUGACCUUGACAGCAGCUGGCUGCGGUCAAAAUUAUGCUUUAUUGUAAUAAUAUAUGUAUAAGUAGCAGUUCAUGUGAGACUCCUUCAAACACCUAAGUGGCCUUGCAGCCUCCAAAUAGUUCCACGAUUUUUUUUAAUGGCUUGUCUUUAAUUUUUUUUAAGCUGCAAUUCAUGGUAGGCGAACUUGUUGCAGUUUGUCCUGAACUGGUAUUACACUCAUUGGUGCAACAUAAUGUUUGAUAUUUUUGUAUGAUGUAUAUCAAAACAUAUCAGUAUUAAUAACUGCACUAGUGUCAUCGUGUUAUUGACAUCUAUUUGUGACUUACUAUGUCAUUUUGUAGUGUACUACAUUUGUGCAAUACUCAUCUCUUUUAACCACUUUAUAAUUCACAAUUAUUAGGCACAUUAUAGUGAACUUUACCAUCAAUCCUGCCAUCUCUAACUAUUAUCAUUUGCCAUACUUUGUGCAUGUCAUAUUAGUAGAGUAUUUUGGCCCUACUUUAUUUAAACUAUGUUUUUUCUUGUUUUAUGUGCUUCGGUAAAAAUUGACAGGUUUUACAAUUGUAGGGAGUAUUAUGUUACCAUCUUUGGUGUGUAUUUGUUUUCCUGUUAGUUGAGGUAAUUUUGUUCUUAAUAUUGUACCGCUAAUUUCUUCAGAAAAGAUGUGAGGAGCUUGCAUGUGCAUCUAGAGAACAAGCUGAUUCUGCCAAUGGCGUAGGAAGCAAUGCAUCUUCAGGAUCAAGAGGGAGCGGCAUAGUACUACCUUAUUCUGCUGCACAUAAUGCGUCAACCUAUGGGGAUGAGUUUGACACAACCAUAAUAACAUUCAACAUGGUAUGUCUUGUUAUGUGGCAGUAACUAUGUGAUUAUUUUUCUGGUCAUUGAUCUGUAUCAAAUAAACUACGACUAUUAAAUACAAGCACAAAAUAUGCUGAUCAUGGACUCAAAUUCGCAGGCUGUCAUCCUCUACCAUCUUCAUGACUAUGAAUCUGCUCUAUCUGUUUUGGAUCCAUUGUACCGAAAUAUUGAACCAAUUGAUGAGGUAUUAUUAGCGAUUGAGUAGCUUAGUGACAAGGGAAAAUUGUGUCAAUGCUAAUUAUUCUUUACUCUUACAGACAACUGCUCUUCAUGUAUGCUUUCUAUUAUUGGAUAUUACUUUAGCUUUGCAAGAUGCAACAAAGGCUGCGGUACGUUUCUUUCCUUGGUGUGGGGCAUUCACCACUUAAAAAAAAGGCAUUUUUAACAUUUAAUGUUGGUAUUAUUACUGGUUCUUUGUAUGCUAUUUAUAUUUGACAUGUUGGAUUUUUUGUAAUUCUCUCUGAUACCUUUUCUUGUGCCAUAUCCUGCCAUGACAUUUUUUGUGCUGUCGCUGACAAUUUCCUUGUUAUGAUGACUGUUAAUAUGGGAGAGGGAUCUGAUGUGUAGGGUGUGUUGAUCAUGAAGUCAUCUGUCAAAUUUGGUUUGUUAGGGUGAUUGUCAUACUCCUACAGUUUUCUCCGUGUGGGAACUUUGAACUUUUGAGGUUUAUACUGUCAGAUUUAAUUGGGAUCUUAGCCUGAACAGUUGGUCUUAGGCCAUUCUCAGUGCAAGGUUUCAUUGCAUGAUUUCCAAGAGUGCCAUGUCAUCUAAUAAUCAUUGAGCUGAUGAAUGAAACUAAGUCUCUCAAUGCAAUAUUUCAUUUCACGAUUUCAUAUGCUAGUAUAUCAUUUUAAUCUUUCAUCUAAGUGACCAAUGGGAGUUGAUGCAUAUGUGGAGAUGAAACUCAAAUCCUCUCAAUAGAGUUUCAUUCUAGUAUCAUGGCUCUUGGUACUGUGUACACCUAGUUUCAUCCCCAUGAAACCCAAUUCUUCUCUUUCCUCUAAAAUGCCAUGCCUUGUCAUCACUUUUGCCUAUGUGGCAUGUCAUUUAAUGAGAAUGAAACUCAUAUGAAACUUGCAUUUAGAAUGGCCUUAGGCUCAUAGCAUUUAUUUUGGCCUGGUUUCUUUUGGGAUUUGGACCAUUGACUUGUGCCUAGAGGAAAUUUUAUUCAUCUUGUUUAACUUUAUGAUUACUUAUUGCCUUACAGGAUGUAAUACAGUACUUGGAAAGGUCAUUUGGAGUAGCUAACACAACGAACCAGAAUGAAAAUGCUAGCAUAGCUCAGCAGCAAUUAGCUCAACCGAAGCCUCCUGCAAAAAGUAACACACCUCCAGAUUCUGAUUCAAAUGCUUAUGGUGGUGGAUGUGAGAACCUUUCAACAGGAAGUUUCCCAGAUGAACCAAUAGAAUUCGAAUCUUUAUACUCUAGUUUUGAUGGACAUCAGAAUCUGGGUCGGCCUAUAUUGAAUGAUUUCCCCAGGGCAUCUGCUGAUCUUGCUGCUACUGCUGCUGAUUUGAAAGUCAGACUGCAGAUUUACAAGGUCCGGCUUCUACUGCUCACUAGGAACCUUAAGGUUGCAAAGCGAGAACUUAAAGUACUGAUGAACAUGGCACGUGGUAGGGAUUCAUCUACAGAGCUUCUCUUGAAAUCUCAGCUGGAGUAUGCCCGGGGGAACUACCGGAAGGCUGUGAAGCUAUUGAGCACACCAAAUAAUCGAACUGAACCAGCAAUGCUAGCUAUGUUCUACAACAACCUUGGAUGUAUACUCCACCAGCAGAGAUCUAAUCACACCUCUAUAUGGUGCUUUAGCAAAGCGCUGAAGUACAGCCUAUCUCUUCGUUCAGAGAAACCACUGAAGCUGACUGCAUUAUCACAAGACAAGUCUUGUCUUAUUUCGUACAACUGUGGUAUCCAACAUUUGAUGUGUGGGAAGCCUUUGUUAGCAGCUCAAUGUUUUCGUGAGGCUAUGCCACUCUUCUACAAACGACCCCUUUUCUGGCUCCGUUUUUCUGAGUGUAGUCUGCUAGCUCUAGAAAAGGGUCUACUGUGUGCAGCUGGUGCUUCUUCAUGCAAUGAUGAGAUUGAAGUCAAUGUUGUGGGGUCAGGACAAUGGCGGCAGUUGAUCGUCAACCCUGUGCACUCGAGAAGUAAUUCAGCUUCUGCACGUGUGACUUCAGAUGAACAUAAAAAUUUGGUAUCACUUGGAUUUGCUAGACAAUGUCUGCUCAACGCUCAGCUAUUAUUGGAUGCUUCUGAGCAGGAAAAUCCGGUGCCCGCAUCCGAUGCAGAGGAUGGCAACCAAGGAGUAGUACAAGGACAUAAAAGCUCAGGUCAGAAGAACACUGUAAGUACAGAUUUUAAAGCACCUUCUGGCCCAACCCUGGCUUUUGUAAACGGAGAACAAAAAGGAACGAGCUUGAAUGCCACCUUGCAGAGCUCUCUUGCUUUGUAUGAUGAGAUUUGUAGAAAAGAGAACCUCAAAAUCAGACAGGCCAUCCUGGGGAGCUUGGCGUUUGUUGAGUUGUGUCUUGAGAAUCCUUUGAAAGCUUUGUCUUAUGCGAAGUUGCUACAGCAGCUGACUGAUUGCUCUAGGAUGUAUGUAUUCCUCAGCCAUGUAUAUGCAGCUGAAGCUCUGUGUGCUCUGAACAGACCAAAGGAUGCUGCUGAGCAGCUGUCAGUUUAUAUCAAAGAUGGCAAUGAUAUUGAGCUGCCAUACAAUGUGGAGAACUGUGAGAAGGCCUUAGAUGAGAAAGACAGUGAUGGUGAAGACACGGUUGCUCCUGCUGUGACAAAACUGACCUCAGAAGAAUCUCAGCACUCGGAGAGUCUCAAGCCUGAGGAAGCUCGGGGCGUUCUGUAUAUUGACCUCGGCAUGACCGCUGCAAUGCAGGGAGAAUUUGAGCAGGCUGACUAUAUGGUGAGCCGUGGCCUUGCCAUGCUGCCCAACAACCCUAGGGCAGUGCUAGCAUCAGUUUACAUGGACCUUCUGCAGGGAAAGUCCCAGGGGGCCGUUGCAAAGUUGAGACACUGUAGGCAUGUGAGAUUUAGACCUAGUGUACUAGCUACCAGCUGAGCUUAGAGAAGCAUACCUUUUCAUGGUUUCUGUAGUUUACAAUUACCAUUACAAUCUUUUUGGACCCUGACCCCAGUGCGGAUGAUGAUUAAAGAUGGUAAUGCCCCUCCUGUGUACCAUACAUAAGAAGUGAACUGUAGUUCUCUUUUUAGCUUCGCCCCAGAUUCAGGGUGUAAUGUGUUGAAACUAUAUCGUUUAAAUUCGCUGCUCUUUGGACUGAAGAGUGGCCAGGUGAUCAAAAUAGUUUCCUAUAUCCGUUUAAUCAGGAAUCAAUCUGGAGAACAAUGUGCAGAGGCUUUGGGCUCUGAUACAUGCGUCAUAAGAUGAGUAGUCACUUUGCCUGCAACCGUUCAUCUGAUGUGACUCGGUACCGGUUGCUUGUGUACCCGUUUGUUUUUGCGAACUGUUGUUUUUUGUUGGGUUUUGCGAACUACUUUUAAGAAAGACGAACAUUUUUACUGCAAAGCCCGCAUUUGCAAAUCAUUACUUGACUAAAACACCUCAAGUUAAAAAAUAAUUGAUGCUGGUGACAUUUUUAUGGUCUUUGGUGUACAACUUUAGUUGCUAUUUUUCUAUUAGAAUAUGGUUAUGACAUCUAAUGAAUAUAUGAGAUUAUGAAAAAGGCUUUUAAAGACAAAUCUGUUGAUAUGUUUUCGAAUUGAAAAGCUAUUGAUGCAAAGUUUUAAAAGUUUGAGUAGAUUUCCGUUAAAACAUCAAGUAUUUGCGUUCAAAGGUAGUAUAUGUUUUAUUUGAAAAAGAAAAAAUCGAGCUUUUUAUGCCCAACAGAACAACUGAGUAAUUAACAAUUCACUCGACGAUCGUGAUCGUUUUUACCAGUUCCGCCCCUAAAUUCAACGACCUACUUUCCAGGACACCGGGGUGAGGUGGAAGGCACUCGUAGGUCUCCGCUGUGCAGCGAAUUCCCGUCGCUGAGGGAUGUACAACGCCAUUUGAUAACUCGUUGGAUCCAUACAAUUAUAAUUUUUCAAUUUUUGAACGCACUUCUUCCUAUAUGUUUAAGAUAUGACAUUUUCUACGUUUUUAAAACUAUUGGACCACACACAUGCCGUCGUAUUUUCGUAUGGACUAAAAUACCGUCCUUCAACUCUUCUUCUCCACUCACGGACGCGUGGAUCCAUGUGUCAUCCCCUUCCUCCCUCGUUCCUUUCCCCUCCUUCCCACCCCCGCAAGGUGAGCGAGAACGCGGCGAUGCCGCACCUGAAGCAGCCCGGCAGCAGCUGCGCUCGGGCCGCCGAGCCCUAUGCCGUGAAUCGGAAACGGGUCGACGUCGGCAGGCACGCGUCCUCCUCGCCAUCCGUGCGCAGCGGCGCGUCGUCCAGCGGCAGCAGCGGUGGCGCUGCGAGCGGAGGCGAGCUCCUGAGGCCGCGCCCGUCGGCGGCAGGGGCGAGAGUAAGCCACUGUGGCGAAUUUCAAGGGCGCGAGAUGCCUCUAGGGGCCGCCGUUCAACUAUGUCGCCGUGGCCAAGGGUGGCGGCGGCGGCAUGUCCUCGUCGCUGGCGCUAUCUUGAAGACUUGAACUGAUAACGGGUCGAAAAUGAGUACUAGUAGAAAAGGUGUCGUGUAGACAUUUGCUACUGGAUACGUCUAGAAGGUUAAUGUUGAACAUUUGCUAGCUCUGUAACGGUGUAAAAGUUUAUAACUUUUACAGGCGCGUAGCCAUGCAUCGCACGCGUCACCCGUCGGAUCACCAGCUCGUCCGGAGAAUGCCGUCGCCGCGACGAACCCAUUCCCCUCCACCUCGCACGUCCGCAUCUCGUCGAGGGCGCCCCGCCGCAGAAGACGCGGGAGGCGAGGUCGGGGCGCGCGUUGCCGAGGUACGCAGUGAGCAGCGCGUUGAGCGACUGCGUGUGGGUGUGGAAGCCGAGCUUGAGGAGCAGCGGGUGGAGCUGGGCGACGAGAAGGAGCGGCCCGGCGUCGGGGAUGGGGAGAGGCUCCGGUGGUGGGGCGGCGGAGGCAGAGGGGGUCACCGCGGGGUAGGAAGGAGGGGAAAGUAAGGAGGAGGAAGGGGAUGACACGUGGGACAUACGUGUUAGUGAGCGGAGAGGUGCAUUUUAUUCCAUACGAAAAUACGAUGGCCUAUGUAAAAUGGCAUAUUUCAAACUCAAAUAUACGAAGAAUUAUAAUAGCACCGUUCCUAUAACGCGAACAGUGUGGUCAAAAAUUGGAAAAUUAUAAUAGCUCAGAUCCAAUUAACUUUUUAUAAUGCUAUGUCAUAUUUAAUGACUCGUCUAUAUAGUGCCAUGUCAUCGUACUUAUCCUACGCCCGACUUUUUUGUAUUUUGGCCCUUUUCGCGAAAAAAUCUCACAAAUAGGCCCCUGGCGAAACCAAUUCCGAAAAUGGACCCUCAGCUUGGCUGGCUGGCGCCAAGGUAUAACGUCUUGGCGCCAGCCGUCCUGGCGCCAAGGUCCCUACACCGUGCCUCCGACGUGGCGCCGGCCCGCUGACGUGGCCCCGAGGCUGGGCGCCAAGAUCCAUGGCGCCAAGGCUCGGCGCCAAGAUCUGUGGCGCCAAGGCUCGGCGCCACCGUCGCUGGCGCCAAGCCUCGGCGCCAUCGAUCUUGGCGUCGAGGCUCGGCGCCAGCCUCCCUGGCGCCAAGCCCCCUACCAUAUAUACCGCCCCUUCUUCCUGCCCGAGAGUUCCUCCUCAUUAUUCUCCACUCUCUCGGGUUUUUACUCUCCCUACUUUGCCCUAGACUACGAAUCGACAUUGUAGCUUAGGAAACUUUCAUUUGAUCCGUGGAUCCUGAAGAGCAAGGUAUCCUCUCUCCGUCGUACCUUUUUUCACAUCGAUUCGCUAUAUAUUUCUUGCAUUUUUGAACUUAGGGUUUCAUGCAAAUGUAGGAUGCCGAGGCGUGGAAAAGCUAAGAAACUAAGGUAAUCUCAACGCCCGUAGUUAUGUUAUAUACUCAUUGUUGUGGAUCAAAUGAAAAAACCUUAAUUGUAGGUUUAUUCUUAAGUGCGUUUGAUUCAUAGAACCAAAUAAACAAAAUUGUAGUUAUGGCGCAAAGAAGACCGGAAAUGCGUUCGAUCCAUUGCCUCUGCCUAGUGGUGUUCCAGUGCCGAUGUGCUUUUGCGGCGAUCCUUGCAAGGUAGCCAAGUCCGAAGAACAUGCCACGUAUAGGCAGAGGUAUUGGAUGUGUUCCAACUUUGCGUUUGAACCUACACUUCGUCAGCGCUGCAUUAACAUGUUGGUAAGGAAAUGUUGUUGUCUUAUAAUUAUUGUCCAUAAUUUUUUUGUUUUAUAACAAUUGCAUUUGUUGUAGACCCCUCCACCGCUAUGUGAUUUUGAGCAGUGGAUCGACGCUGAGAUCAAUCCUGAAGACAAGGAGUUUUUGGAGUAUAUGAUGCGCUGGGAUGCAGAGAGGAAGGAGGUGUACGAGAAGAGGCUCAUAGAGGAGGCUGCGGAAAAGGAGCACAAGGAAGAGGAGGAAAGGAGGCGGGUUGCUGCGAACAGGGAGGAGAGAGAGAAGAAGCUUGAGCGGGCACGCCGAGCGAAAGCAACGGUUGAGGAGAAUCCCGAUGCCUUAAGGAAGGGAAAGUGGCCUCGUUGCACUCAGUAGCCAUAUUUAGGUUCUAGUUUUAUGGUUUAUUUAUGAACAAUAUUUUCUACUGUGAGACUUUUAUUAUGUUGUCAUGUAAUAAUGCACUUUAAGUAAGGACACGCAAUUUGUAGACGACAUAUGUUCAUUUUGCGAUGUAAUGCAUUUCGAAGUCGUAGUCUACUGAAAUAUCCGUAGAAAAUAAAAAUGGUACUUGUUAGCGAAAUUUCGGCAGAAUUUCCCCUACUUGUUGAUGCAAUCCAUACAAAAUUACGAGAUGAAUAGUGAAUAUAAAUACAAGCAUAGAAGCAUAGAAGCAUAUGACACAAGCAUAUGACACAUUCAGAAUAGAAUCCACAAUAGUUCAGAAUGAAAGUCCAUAUAUAUACAAAUAGUCCAUAUGAUACAAAGUUCGCAAUCAGAAUCGUCACUGCCUCCUAGUCUUACCCUUACCCUUGUGACCAAGGGCGUCGGUGCCUGGAGUGUAAGGAGAACGUGGACGACGUAGUCUAGUGCCCCCUACAACCUGUGUAGGCUGAGUCAAGGGAGCCUCCUGGAGCUGAGACGGGCCAAUCUCCUCGGCCCUCUGCUCAUCGUCGUCGUCAUCAUCGUCGUCGUCGACUUCCUCGGAUGCAAUUGAUUUCGAACCUGAGGGGCCUUGGCUGGACGUACCGACGCCUCCUUCGCGCAGGGAUGGAACGUGCACGUCUCGCGUCGUGGCAGUCCUGCAACCACAACGAGCAGCGGCACUGCGAAGCCGAUUUGACAAUCGCUGCAGUAGUAAAAACAAGUUACACAAAUGAAGAAUGUAACGUAUUAAUAAAGUAUUAGAAAGAAUAAUUUGAGACUUACCUCUAGGACGCUCCGUAUCUCGGGGUCCCUAACUCGUGGACGGAUAUGCUCUAUAUCUCUAACCGAGCUUUGUAGGGUACGCCCCUGCAACAAAUGACUAAGUCACUAAAGCAACAAAUGUCUAAGUCACUAAACGACUAAAUGAUUAAGUCAGAUGAUCACUAAGUCCUUCUCUAACUAACUAAAUCUCUAAGUAACUUAACAUAGAACAUAGAAAAGUGAAGCAAUUGUCUUACCAUCCUAUCCAGGAUUGGUCCUGCCUCCACCUGCCUUCCAGCACGAGUACUCUGAUCGUACACCGUGUCUUCAUCGUCGGAUGAGUGGAUAUCGGCGUAGUCAUCUUCCGUCCACGCUUCCCUCAGCCUGUGCCGCGUCGCACCUUGGUACCAGCUCUGGUAUUGCCUGUACGCACUGUUUGUGUGCGGCUCGUUGUUCUCGUCCAAGUUCUGCUCGAACUGCUCCCAUUCCUGAAUGUAUGCGUGGUGGAACGCGGCCCACUCGGAGACCUUCCGUUUCUUCUUUCGAUCCACGCUGCACGUCACGUUACACGUUACUGUUAGCCAAAAUUUAGUUAAUAGUAUUGAAAUAUAUGAAAUAGGAAAAGACUUACUUGUGUAACUCUAUACUAGUCGAGGUCGCCUGUGGUGGCCAAAUCUGCCUCAUCCCAAAUUGACGUGCUACUCGAUGUGGCAGGUGGUACUCGACAGCAUAGAAGCAAAUAAGAGGGCACACCAUCCUAUAAAUAUCAUCGUCCGUCGCACACAUGAAGCUAAGGGGAAAAGGAAGUGGAUCGUCUCCGUCGUAAGGCUGCCAAUUUACCUGCAAAAUUUGAAUCAAAAACAUUAGUUGUUAUACUAAAAGAUUACAAAGCAUGUUUAAAAAAAAUUCACUUACACUAUGAGCAGUGAGCGCGUCUAUCUCGUUGAUGUAAUCCAGGUACGCACGGUCCAACCUCGUAUGGCUAACCUUAACCUGAUCCCAAAUAUAUGCCCAUGUCGGCUGUCGUCUCGGCGGCUCACCUGGGAACCACGGUCGACGCGGUAUAAUCUCGGGCCGACCAACAGGAAGACGGGACCACAUCCAUAAUUGCAACAGGUAGACACACCCACCAACUGACGGGGAGCCCGAAGUCCGACGGCAUGCCUCGCACAGCUGCCGGUAUAGAAAGCACAACACAGCUGAUCCCCAGCUGUAAAAACCAGCCUGGUGCCAGUCAGUGAGGCAGUGGAUCCACAUCCAAGACGCAGUGUCACCUGUAGCGUCUGGGAAAAGAACGCAGGCAAAGAGGUGUAGUAUCCACGCCCUGCAGUAGUGUCCAACUGUCUCAGCAUCCGCGUCCUGGGGGCACUGGCCGAAGUGUUCCCGCAGCCAUGAGAUUAGCACUCCAGAUGUGCGAGUCCCCUGCUCCUCAACCUCUCGCCCCAGGAAGGCUGCGACUCGUGCUCUCCAACCAUCUGAGACGCACGGCCCAGUGACUGGCUGGCCCCGAAUCGACAGACCCAGCAUCUUCUGACAGUCCUGUAGGGUCACUGUCAUCUCUCCGAACGGGAGGUGAAAGCUGUGAGUCUCGGGUCGCCACCUACAUUUCGCCGGAUUAUUAUUUGAUAACAUGUAAAGACAUAACAAAAUGAAUAUGAUUAGUGGUAAUAGUACCUGUCAACCAACGCAGUUAUAGCCGCUGAAUUGAACUUGGGCAUCCCACGACGAACCUGAUACGAGAUGACAUCUAGGCCAGCCAUCUGUAGCAAAGGAGUGUAGCGGUCGUCGUACUGCAGUGCAAAAAAACCCAUCAUGGGCUCUAGAACGAAGGAGCGGAAGGACCUGCAUGCAAAUAAACCGAGUCAGAGAUUUCAUAGGACACAAGACAUGGACGCUCGCAAAGCUUUAAUCAUGAAUUGUAGAUUAUUACCUGCCCUCCCGCUAUGAGACGACCUCAGUGGGUCUGGUCGUACGCCUGGUCUAGAAGGUGGAAGUGCGCCAUCCUACGAAAAGGCAAAAAGAAAUAAGAUUAGUAAACAAUAAAUCAUGAAGUUAGAGAUGUAGAAACACAACCUGUAUGAAUAAAACACAUAUCAAGUAACGAAAAGAGCUACUAGUCGCACCUCACUAAUUUGCCAACGGCAAGUGCGUGAAUUAUGACCCAAUCUGCCGCACUUGCCGCACUCGUUCUGUUCUGGAUCAGCAAGAAAUGGUGUUGCUCUACCACGCCUCGUUCUUCCAGAUACCUGAUCCAUAGUCAUGUUAUGCCUCGUCCGCUUCCUUGUUCCACGUUUGUUCCAACGGUAUGCAGGAUCCGCAACAUAUUUUGGCCCAUCAUACGGAGGCCACUCUCUAGGAUCCCGGAAAGGCACGAAGCGGGGGCUCCAUGUCCGCACAAGGGUGCCUACGCUGAACUCAUGUGGUAUCAUGCUCUCGAUAUCAAAAUUGCGAUGCCUAGCUGCUGCCACCAAAUGAGAACUUACAAAGUGGUACUGCCUUGGCCUACCACAAGUGCACUUGAAAUCUCGGAGAACUACCACAUGUAUCCUCGACUCUCGGAUCUCACCGUCGGACGUUGUACCGCCCCUAUGCUCCACCUGAUAAGUCCCUGAGCCGAGAUCAAAACAUUGCACCUCAUGUGUGGAAGCCCUUUCAUUUGCAAUGAUGAGAUGUCUCUUUGGUUUUUCAGCCCAUCUCUCCCCAGCAAUCUGCAACGCUUCUGCUUUUGCGUGUCUUUCAUUGAACCACGCAACAAGCCUGUAGAAGGUGAAUUCAACGAUUGCAUUCACAGGCAUACCACGUAUCCCCAAUAACAACUUAUUGAAUGACUCGGCCAUGUUACUGCACUGAAACUCGUACCUCCAACCACCGGCGUCGUGAGAUCUAGUCCACUUAUCUAAAUCUCUCAUCAAACCAGCGAGCCAUUGUCGACCUUCUGCAUUUGUUGCGGUCCUUACCUGCUCCAAUUUGCGCUGAAAGUAAUAGUCCUCAAGCUGACGUGCUGCAACUUGAAACAGAUCAAAAUUAUCCUUCACACCAUCCUUCCGAAGAAGGUUCUCCGCAAGGUGCCGAGUGCACCAACGAUGAUGCAAAGGUGCAUAACCCUCUAUCUGUUCUUGCACAGCAUGAAGUAUGCCCUGAUGCCUAUCGGAUAUGACGCCAACAUCCCUACUAGGACCAACCACAUGUAUCCGGACUAGUCUUAAGAACUACCCCCAACUGUCAUUGUUCUCCCUCUCAACCAAUGCAAAUGCCAAAGGAACCAACAUAUUGUUCGCGUCACAAGAUAUGGCUAUAAGAAGUGUGCCUCUAUAUUUGCCAAUCAAAAACGUACCAUCAAUAGAGAAAACAGGACGACAGUGCCUAAAGGCUUCCACAGACUGAGGGAAGCACCAGAACGCACGCCCGAAUAUCUACCUCCCGUCCUUCCAAGCAUUUGGCUUUGGGAUGUACUCAUAAUGCAUGCCUGGAUUCACCGCUUUAAUUGCAUUAAAAAGCACUGGCAGCUACUCGUACCCAGACUCCCAAUCCCCAUAAAUCAUCCUCCACGCUCGCUGCUUAGCCCUCCAAGCUUUACCAUAAGUUAUCACAUAUCCUCCAUAAAUCUCCUCAACAAUUCUUAUAAUUGUUCUCACUUUCAUGUUGGGUUGUUCCUUCAAUAUUCCCAUCAACCGCUUCGCAAUGAGGGUAGAUGUUAGCUGCGGAUGUCUCACUGUAAGCUCAUGGUCAGCACAAUUGUGUGGACCGACAACUUUUGUGAUCUUCCACUUCCCGGUGAUAUUUUGCUUUCUUGCACAAACCCUCCAUGGACACCGUUCCUUGUCACACACAACUGUGUAACGGCGCUCCGCAUAUGAAUGCAACACUUUGUACGGUCUCUUCCGUAUCACCGCAAAAGCUUGCAACCAUCUCUUCAAUGCGGGAAGGUCCUUAAAUACCCUACCCUCCUCAAUAACCAUACUAGGACCAGCUUCAGGAGCUUCUAGGAGCUCAUCAUCACGUCCUUCUGCAAACGCCUGAUCGGAAAGAGUCAGGUCGCUAAACUCGUGAACUAUCGGAUCACGACGUCCGGGGAAUAUACGCCUGAACAUCUCAAUAUCACUCUCUGUCAUCUCUCCAACAGGACGAUCAUCAUCAGAAUCAAGAUCCACUCCCAUCUCGUAUGCAUCUUCAUCAUUCAAAAUUUCAACACUAUUAGAGCCGCGCAAUCCAUCUCCACAUUGCACUUGCGCAUCAACUAGAGGCACAUCCACAUUUUCUGGAAUAUCUCCUGCGCCAUCAAGUACAAAUAUGAGUAAAGAAUAAGUGGAUGGAACGAAUGGAUUAUCUCUUAUCAAUAGAAACCGGUGAGACACUUACUCGGAUCAUUCUGAGUGAAAAGGAACUCAUUAGGAGAGUCCGCCACAUCAUCAACAAUCCGACAACCAUGUCCAACUACUUCAUUAGGGGCAGAUUCAGCAUCGGGAAUAGUAGGUGCAACAUCCACGUCCAUAACAGGUUCUGGGACGGGAGGAUCGAAAUGUGCCCGUUGACCCAUUGGUCGGGAAAACCGACGAGGAUUUCGAUCAACUCCCACCGGACGAACAACCACUUCAACACUUGGGGAAUGACCAUUCAUAACCGUCCUCACAUAUUUCUCCCACUGACCUGCACACCGAAUUGGGACCAUCUUCCUUUGAAUGUUGAGAGGGGAACCUAGGUGAAGUAUGCCCUCGACUGUGAUUUCAUCAUUUUCAUGACAAUGUAACUCCUCCCGAGCCCUUGCAACCAACUCACUAAACGAUGGUUUCUCAUCGAAUAUGACAACCUCGCACUGCAUGCCAACAAACUUAACACAUCCAUAUUCAUCCCUUUCCAUAGUGCCUCCGUAAUAUAUGCUCACUACGUUCUCCAUCUAGUAUAUCAAUAUAACGACGCACAAUUCAUUUAGUCCAUAAUAAAUUAAACAUUCUAAGUCUAGUAUGAAAUCAGAUAGUAUCAAUUGACUACUAACUACUAAAUACAACUAACUAACUAUGUCACAUAUACUAACUAACUAUAUCACCUAAUAUGUACAUACGUACUUACCUAUACAACUACUUAACUAAAUAUCAUAAUAACUAGUUUACUAUGCUAUUAGUUAUCAUAUCUAACAAUUAUAUCUAUCUAUCAACUUAUCUAUCUACCUAUUUUAUCUAACAAUUAUACCUACCUAUCUAAAUUUUACCUAACUAUUCUAAUUUAUCAAUAUUACUAUUUUAUCUAAACCUAUCUAUCUACAUUAUACUACAACUAAUUACCUUCGAUCGGCCGGGAGCGGGCACACGACGGGGGGCGGGCGGCCUCAGGCCACGGCGGGCGCUGGAGCCUGGCCGGGGGGCACCGGCGAGCGGGGAGGCGCGGCUUGGGCCGGGCGCCUCUGGGCGGCGCGCGCCGGGGCGGCUCGGGGCGGCGCGCGGCGGCCCUCCGGGCGGGGCGGCCGGGCCGACGCGCGGGGAGCCGGGGCGCCGAGGCCGCCGGGCGGGGCGCCGGGCGAGCGCGCGGGGCGUCGGGCGGGGCGCCGGCCGGCGCGCGGGGCCGUCGGGCGGGCGCGCGGGGCCGCCGGGCGGGCGGCGGCGGGGCACCGGGCGGGACGGCGCGUACGGCGGCGGCGGCGCGGCGGACGACUACGGAGUGGGCCGACGCGAGAUGUGAGCGAGAUGCAAAAUCAAACUGCGCAAAAGGAAGGGGAGCCGUUAUGGUAAAAGGCUUGGCGCCAGGGAGGCUGGCGCCGAGCCUCGGCGCCAAGAUCUAUGGCGUCGAGGCUUGGCGCCAGCGACGGUGGCGUCGAGCCUUGGCGCCACAGAUCUUGGCGCCGAGCCUUGGCGCCAUGGAUCUUGGCGCCAAGCCUCGGGGUCACGUCAGCGGGCCGGUGCCACGUCGGAGGCAUGGCGUAGGGACCUUGGCGCCAGGACGGCUGGCGCCAGGACGUUAUACCUUGGCGCCUGGCGCCAAGCUGAGGGUCCAUUUUCGGAAUUGGUUUCGUCAGGGACCUAUUUGUGAGAUUUUUUUGCGAAAAGGGCCAAAAUCCAAAAAAGUCGGAUCCUACGCCUACGUGUCUCUGAUUAAAUGAGCAGAGGACGUCGUCGCCGGCCGGAGCUUGCCUGUCCCUCUCUAUGUCCCUAUCGGUGUACCCGCACACGUGGAGCACGCCAAUUCGUUCUCCUCCCAAAGCUGGGGCAUCUAAUUUUCUUUUGCCGACGCCCACACCACGAGAAAACGGCGCCAUCAGUCCGUCCAAUCCCGCGUGAUUCUCUCUCUCUCUCUUACCGCCACAAAAACAUUUACGGAAGUUAGCUGAUAUUAAUGGAGGGAAAAAAGACCCCAAAUACUAAAAAAGUGGCGCCAAUUACAACUGAAGGUUUUUUAUCGGCAUUCGGCAAGGUAACCAUCAGAUUAGCAUCUUCCUCAACGACAAGAACGGCAUCUCAGCCAAAUCUCCCCACAUUUAACCAGACCAAUUACAUGUGGAUGGAAGCACCAGUAGUUGCACAAGUACCAAGCAUCGUUAUGCUGUCUGCUCCCGCUGACGUCGCCACCACAUCCUCGACAAAUUCGCCAAAUUUCUCCAGGGUCAACAUUCAUGCUGGUGACGCAGGAACAAUAGACUUAGACCAGGAUUCUAUUAAAAUCAAUAUACGCGGGAUAUGGAUCUUAGCGGAGGUCUUCAAAAAAUGCUAUGAGUGCUAUAGCACCCGCUAUAUAGCAACGCUAAGCCAUUUAGGGGAUUGAAAAAACAGGAAAAAUCAUAGUCCAUAACAUAACUAAAUAUUAAUACUUUAGUACAGUUCUACACUCUGGUGCUGGCAUGCUGCUGACCUGCCGUGUGCAGGUGCAGCAGAGGAGAUGACGUGCUGGCAUGCUGCAGACCUACCGUGCUGGUGUGCAAGCGUGAGCAGAGGAGAUGGCAUGCAGCAGAGGAGAGUCCCAGGCACAAGCAGCCACGGCAAAGGGAAAAGGCCAAAGGGGAGAUGCACUCUCGGUCUCAUCUCUCAGGCGAUUUAGACGCCGGCGGCGACGACGAUUUUUGGACGGGAAUGACAGUGCUAGGGUUCCCAAGAAGAGCAGCAGCACAUAUAUAUGAUCGAUCUAUUAGGCCGCCGAACAAGUGCUGGAAGCCUGGAAAUCGGCCUGCUUUGGCCGCGCCUGACUAUUCUAUCAUAGCGAUGCUACGCGCUAUAUGCCGCUACGCCAUUUAGCGCCACUAUUUAACGCAAUAGCGACCCUAGCGGUCAUAUUAGCAUUAUGCACUGUAGCUUAGCGCCUAUGCCUCCAAAACGCUAUAGCCCCGCUAUAGUGGUGCUAUAGCCCGCUAUUUCGUACAUUGAGGGCCUGUUUGGCAACCAGCUGCUAAAGUUUAACACCCGUCACAUCGAAGGUUUGGAUGCUAAUUAGAAGUAUUAAAUAUAAGCUAAUUACAAAACUAAUUGCACAAAUGGAGUAUAAUUCGCGAGACGAAUCUAUUAAGCCUAAUUAGUCCAUGAUUUGACAAUGUGGUGCUACAGUAACCAUUUGCUAAUGAUGGAUUAAUUAGGCUUAAUAGAUUCGUCUCGCGAAUUAGCACAGGGUUCUGCAAUUAGUUUUAUAAUUAGCUCAUGUUUAGUUCUCCUAAUUAGUAUCCGAACAUCCGAUGUGACACUGUUAAAGUUUAACACCUCGUAUCCAAACACCCCCUGAGUAAAACUGAAUCUAUCCCAGUAGAAAAUUAUCUCGAAGGCCGCGUACCAAAGGUUGGUAUGAAAUUCCACAGUAAACAAGAGGCAUAUGGCUUUUACCAUGCCUAUGCUCGAGACAAGGGUUUCAGCAUUCGAAGGAGUAGUUCGCAUAACGUGAGAAAUAGUACCACAAUAAAGAAUAGAACUUUGUGCUAUUCUCAUGCAGGUAUGAAUUAAACUAUCUUAUAUUACUUUCUUCAUGGUUAGGGAUACAACAUCAUUUUGAUGAAACUAUUUAUUUAUUUAUAUCAAUAGGAAUUUGAGGGUCUGAUAAGAGAGAAGAAGCUUCGAAUUAUAGCAGGCUAGAGACACGAUGUAUGUCCCUAGCACACAUGAAGAUCAGUUUGAAAGAUAGGUUCUGCUACAUAUAUGAAUUUGUGUCUGAGCAUAACCAUAUUCUUGCUACUGCUAGCCAAGUCCAACAUUUAAGAUCUCAAAGGACAAUAACAGAAGCACAGCUUGCAAGCGUCGAAGCUGCUAAAUCGGUUGGCAUUUCAAAUAAAGCUAAUUUCGAUCUCAUGGCAAAAGAAGCGGGUGGAAUUGAGAAUCUUGAAUUUACACGUGAAGAUAUGAAAAGUAAAUUGUAUUCAAAGAGGUCAUUGAAGGUACACGAAGGAGACACUAGAGGAGUCUUAGAAUAUCUAGAGAAGAAAACAUCAGAAGAAGAGAAAUUUAUCUAUUCCAUUCAGGUUGACGAGGAUGACUUGAUAACGAAUAUUUUCUGGACCGAUUCUAAAAUGGUUGUAGACUAUGAACUUUUUGGUGAUGUUGUAUGCUUUGACACAACAUAUAGAAAACUAAAUGAUGGGCGUCCAUUUGGUUUGCUAUGUGGCGUGAACAACCAUAAGAAAACUAUUAUUUUUGGUGCUGCACUUUUGUAUGAUGAAACUGCUGAAAGUUUUGUUUGGCUUUUCAAAACCUUUUUAGCUGCUAUGUCAUGCAAGAAGCCACAGACCAUUUUGACUGACGAAGAUGCAGCAAUGGCAAAAGCAAUCAAGAUUGUACUACCAGAGAGUCAUCACAGGAUAUGUAUUUGGCAUAUGAACCAGAAUGCAUGCAAGCACCUCUCUGGAGUUGUGGAGGAAUAUAAGAAGUUCAAUGCAAACUUUUAGAGCUGUAUUUAUGAUCAAGAGGAGGAGGAGGAUUUUAUAAAUGCAUGGAACAGUUUGCUAGACAAGUAUAAGCUACGAGAAAAUAAUUGGCUUGAAAGGUUAUUUCAAAAAAGGGAGAAAUGGGCCUUAGCAUAUGGACAGAAUACAUUUUCUGUUGAUAUUGUUAGCACUCAAAGAAGUGAAAGUAUGAAUAACGAGUUGAAAGGAUAUAUUAGUGUCAAAUACAAUAUACUUACCUUCUUUGAGCAUUUUGACAGGUUAGUGGCAGAUAAAAGAUACGAGGAGGUGAAAUGUGAUUUUAAGGCAACACAAAGUACACCAAAGUUGAAAUCAGAUCUGAGAAUACUAAGCCAUGCAGCAAAAAUUUACACUCUAGCACUGUUUAAGGUAUUCCAAGAACAGGUAAUGCAAACACUGAACUGUGAUCUAUUCUAUUGUGGUGAUAUAGAUGAUGAAAAGGUGUACAAAAUAAAGGUUUAUGGUAGGAAAACUGAGCAUGGGUUGAAGUUUUCUACAUCAGGAAGUCAAGUGAAGUGUAACUGCAAAAAGUUCAAUUUUGUUGGAAUCUUAUGCUGUCAUGGGAGUUGAAGAUACUUGAUAUUAACAUAUCAAAAAAAUUCCUGAGCAGUAUAUAUACUAAAUAGAUGGAUGAUUGAUGCGAAAGUACUUCAGAUAAAGAGCAAUUAUCAAACACCUGAAGAUCCAAAAUAAAGCUCUCAUGACGUAGAAAAGAGUUAUGCAGAAUGUAUCUUAAAUUAUCUGCCCGAGCUGCAGAAUCUGAUGAAACAUACUUUAUGGCUGUGAGCAAUGCAGAGAAAUUAGCAGAAGAUGUGGAAAAAGCUAAGCUUGGGAAAGAGACUUGGGGGGCGUUUGGUUCCAGCUGCUUAUUUUAAGCACCUAUCACAUCAAAUGUUUAGAUACUAAUUAGAAGUAUUAAACGUAGACUAUUUACAAAACCCAUUACACAAAUGGAGGCUAAAUGACGAGAUGAAUCUAUUAAGCCUAAUUAGUCCAUGAUUUGACAAUGUGCUGCUACAGUAAACAUUUGCUAAUGAUGGAUUAAUUAGGAUUAAUAGAUUCAUCUCACCGUUUAGCCUCCAUCUGUGCAAUUAGUUUUAUAAUUAACUCAUAUUUAGUCCUCCUAAUUAACCUCCGAAUAUUCAAUGUGACACGGAUUAAAUUUUAGCUCGAGGAACCAAACGCCCCCUUGAUCAGGAUUUGGGUAGUUCAUCUCAUCCACAAGGUUUGCUCUGUGAUAUGACCUGAAUAAUACUUGUGUUAACACCACAUACGCGACACGAUUUAACUGUUAUGUUUUUUUUCCUAAUUGAUUUUUUUCCAGAAACACAACAACAAGACCAGUCCAGAAACCAAUAGGCAUUAAGGUUAAAGAGAAGGAAAUUCGUGGAUCUGAGAGACCAAUUCGUGGAUCUGAUCUUAUGCAAAUUCUACAUAAAACAGCUAACUCAAUUUGGUUUUUUGACAUAGUAAUCCAUUAAAUUUGAAGUAUCAAACUAAAAUUGUAAAGUGCAUAUUCCUCACGAAGAAGAAGGGGACCAGCACAAGACAACUAACCAGAUUAAACUUGUUGGGGGAAGAAAAUGCUUUGCAGCCACACUCUGAUGUGAGAGUAGGUCCUUGAUGCCUCUCAGCUCGAUGUCCCAUGAUGGUGACUUCGAUUCGACGCAGCCGAUGAAGAAACUCCAAAAUCGAAGUCCUCAUUGCCUAAAUCAAGAUCCUACAGCAGGAAUUGAGGUCUGAGCCACCCAAAUCGAAAUACUCAUCACCCAAAUCGAGACCCUACAACAUGAAUCGAGGUUUUAGCCACCCAAACCGAGGAUCAAAUAGCUAGAAUUGAGGAUACCCACAAGAAUCAGCUCGCCGUCACCAAGCUCGAGCUUGCUGCUAUUCAAGAACGGCAGCAGCGACAGCAACCUAUUCUGCACCUUCGACCUUGCCAGCGCCGCCGGCAGCAGUCACAGCCGGUGCCGCGCAACGCGUGGGAAGGACCUUCGGCCGCCCAGGGGGCUGCUCCAUGUCGCGUGCGCUAGAGAGCUGGAACAGAGAAGGGGGAAAGAUAAGACAGAGUAAGGAUGGCAACGGGAUGGGUUCGGAUUGGGUGGAGUGUCCGGGCACCCCAAAACCGAAACCCAAACCUAAAACCCAAAUCUGCUGAGAACACCAAUUCGGGUGAAAAUACAUCCCCGAAACCAAACCCGUGGAUCCUCGAAACCCGACGGAUUAAUCGAAACCCGAGAAUAUUACAAUAAAUUAACAAGGACAACAUACAACAAUACAACAAAGGCGGUGUCUAGAUUUCAAAGAUUAUUAUGAAAAAAGUAACGCCACAAAGGUAGAACUGGAGAAGCAACCCAAGUUUAGUACAGUUCACAUAUUACAGUCCAGACUGCAAACAAAUAACAGAACAUGAACAUUACUAUAAAUAAGAGUGUUUUUUGGAUCAAAUAGGUAGGCAACACGGGGAAUUCAUCUUUGCUUGAUGAGUUCAUUAUUCAUCAAUUAUUGUGAAAUCAUCUUCAUCCUGUGAAAUAAAAAUAGAGAGAAUAGCUCAUUACUAAAAUGUUGAACACAUUGUAAAUUCACAAGUUGAAAAUAGAAUCAAACAACAAUACCAUUUCUUCAUCUUUUUCAUCAAGACAAGUCAUUAAAGCACCAACAAAAGUGGAUUGAGAACCUGCAUUGAUAUAGUAUUCAGAAAUUAGUUUUAUAGCUUAUCCGGAAUGAAGACCACAUACUUAUAGAAAUUGCACUUACCCAACAUGUCGGCAUGAGACCAUGCUUGCAUGCACAUAAGUGCUUCUAUCAUUGAUGGUGCAAGCCUACUACGAUGUGGACUAAUUGUUCUCCCACUUGUACUAAAGACUGACUCGGAUGCCACCAUAGUCACAAGAAUAGCAAGGACAUCACGUGCAAUUUUUCGUAACGUUGGGUAUUUUAGCCCUGCAUGUUGCCACCACUUAAUGAUAUCCAACUCUUGUGUCCUAGGCAGCAGUGGCUCUUCCAAGUACAAUUCUAACUCUAUUCACACAUAAGUGGAGGUCACCGUUGGCUGCUUGGACAUGUAACCAUCAAAAGUGUCAAUCCAAUCCUCAUCGUCCAUCUGAGUAGGAGCACUAGGUCUAGUUUGAACACCAUAUGUUGUGGCAACAUCCUCCAUAGCACCUUGGUAAUCCAAAACUAGAUUGUACAACAAGUCUUUCACUUCGUUGAUAGCUUCCAUAGCUACACUUUCUAACCCAUGAAUUUUGAGAAAAAGAGCAUUCAACAGUUGCAAUUUAUACCUAGGAUCUAGGAUAGCAGCAACAACCAUCAAACCAUGCACAUCUGACCAAUACUUGUUGAAUUUUUCUUUCAUUUUAAUAGACAUUUCUUAUACCUUAGGAAUAUCACUGCUUUGCCACUUCCUAAUUGCAAAAAAAUUGUUGCAUAUUUUGGGGAAGAAAAGGUUGGCUGUGACAUAUCCUGACAGUAGCUCAGUUACAUCAUAGAACAUCUUUAACCUAUCACAAAGCUCUCUAGCAAACUUCCAAUCAUCUUCAGAUGGAACACAUGGAGCACGAGAAGUAAGGCACUCAAAAACAUCUUGGUAAAUUAGUGCAGUGCUAAGCAUAAUAUAAGUUGAGUUCCAUCUAGUUUUACAAUCAAGAGCAAUUCUUUUUUUCAUAUUUUCCUUUCAUUUGUGCUGCCAUUUUCUCAAACUUCUCAUAUCUUUUAGGAGUGGCCGACCAGUAUGCAACACUAUCACACACUUGAUCAAUUCCCUUCUCCAUGACACUCAUUCCAUCUUUCACAAUCAGAUUUAAAAUAUGUGUAGCACAAUGCAUAUGAAUUGAUUUUCCCUUCAACAUACAAGAGAGGAUUGCUAACUUGCCUUCCAUAGCAGCCUUGUUCUUUGCAAGGUCAUCACGAUCAGUGCCAAUCAUAUUCUUCAUGAGGUUGUCAUUAACACUACAAUUGUCAAGAGUUAUAGUGGAUAGAUUCCUCUCAAUAUGCCAAUCUAGGAGAACUUCAUGAAGAACAUCAAUUAUAACCUCUGCUGUAUGUGGCGCUGGAACAUAAAUAAACCUACAACAACAAAAUAUCAUAAGUGAUUGUGGUGGACAGUUUGCUCUCAAUAGAAAAAAUGCAUAACACAAGAAAAAAAUGUUGCGAUUUAUAGUUACCUAAUAAGAAAACUUUUUAGCUUCCAAUCUUCAUCCAAAAAAUAGGCUAUAACUGCCAUGUAACCUUUCCUCUGGUGGUUUGCUAUCCACAAGUCUAUAGUAAGAGCAACCUGAGAACUCAAUUUCUUGAUAUAAUUCACCAUAGAUUGCUUCUGCACUUGAUACAUAUUUAAGAUAUCCUUCCUAAUUGUGUUUCUAGACACUACCUUGAAUGUUGGCUGUAAUGCAGCACAAAACUUGCGAAAUCCAAUAUGGUCCACCAUGGAAAGAGGAUACUCAUGGACAAUAAUCAUUAAAGAAAGUUCUUUCCUCGACAUCUUGAUUGAACACAUACUUCUCUAAUGUGACUGUGCCAUCUUGUGGUUUUGCAGAUAAUUUAAGAGUUGACUAUGUUAAACCUUUUCUAGUAGCUCUAUCCUGACAUACAACAAUAUGAUUCUUCAAGUGAGUUGUACCAUUUCUUGUAUCCCCACCUAAAUGUUUUUUUACACCAUUUACAUUUUUCUUUCCAAACCCCACUUACAUUAAUCAAGUCAAAGUCUUUCUAUACUUCAGAUCCUAGCUUCCUCUUACUACCAGCAGGAACAUCAUCUUCUACCUCUACCACAUCAGUAUUACCUACAGUUGCAGAAUCAGUUGCCGGUGCUGUUGAAUUGGAUGCGGUGUUACUGAAUUGGUUGCAAGACAUGGACAAGUUUGAGGAUGAGAACCCAUAGAUUGAGAUGCAGCAGCAGCUUGAGAUCCACUCAAAGCACCAGGAGCUGACAUUGCUCCGGGUGCCGGACGGACUAGAGGCACCGGGCGAGCGCCGGGCGGACUGGAUGCGGCCGUGCGGGCGUGCGGCCGGUGGCCACUGUGCGGGGCGCCGCCGUGCCAGGCGGGGUUGGCGGCGUGGCUGGGUGCAGGACGGUGGGGUGCCUGGGUGCGGGGGGCCUGGGGGACGGGGGUGCGGCCUUGCGGGCGGACUGGAGGCGCUUGGCGGGUGCCGGGCGGACUGGAUGCAGCCGUGCGGGCGUGCGGCCGGUGGCCGCCGUGCAGGGUUGGCGGCGCGGCUGGGUGCGGGACGGUGGGGUGCCUGGGUGUGGGGUGCCUGGGGGAUGGGGGUGCGACCGUGCGGGCAGACUGGAUGAAGAUGAAGCAAGGAUUUCAGGCUUAUAUACCUAGGGUUGCUAGGUGGGCUUCUAGUGGGCUGAAUGUUUCGGGGCUCUGAUGGAGCUCCACGGGUGAAUUUAAGAAUCCGUCCCAAACCCGAAGUAUUUCGGGUAUCCGAACCCGCAAAUCCAUGAGCGAAAACUAGGAACCAAAACCGAAACCCGUGGAUAUUCCCCCAAACCCGAUCCGCUGCCAUCCUUAAGACAGAGAGAUAGACGGGGGGCCUCGCAUAGAAGGUGCACUCCAUUUCCUCGGUGUGGAGGAGUGGAUGGAAAAAUAAUAGAGGACGCGGCUCCUGGAGCUAGCACACAGAUGGUUUUCACAUGUAUGGGGACAUCGAUGGAGACAUAGAAAGGAGACACGCAAGUUGCAGCCGCACCUGGUAGGCCAUCUGUGGCCCCGCUAGCCGGAUUGCUCUGACUCACCUCGCCGGACUUGUCGCGCCUUGCUCGGCUGGAGUGCUCCACCUUACUCACCUCGCCAGCCUUGUCGUGCAGUCGCGCCUCCCCUGAAUACGCCUCAACCGUCUGGUCAUGCCGCAGCUAGCUGCGUCGGUGCUUCGCUAGCUGCACCUCCCCUCACCUAGUCGGCCUGGCUGAGCCCCGCAUGGCCGGCGGUUGCACCUCGCCUUUGCCUGCAUAUGGCAGGCCUUCUCUUUCCAGCCAUAGAGAUAGGUUUUGUUUGUUGAGGCUUUUGUUCUUGCUCGUUGCGGUGCAAUUCCGCUGGCUUUUAGUUCCUUUUUCCCUUGUGUGAUUCCCAUGACAACGAUCGAGCAUUGCUGUGUGUAUAAACCUUUUCCCCUUGUGCGAUUCUAGUGGCCAUUAUGGGAAAUGUGCUGCGCACCUGCGCCUCAUCUUGCCUACACUAUUGGGGAAAGCACCUUUAGUACCGGUUCCUAACCCACCUUUAGUAUCGGUCGUGCAACUAGUAUUGCUACUUCGGUAAUAAAGGGGGCCUUUAGUAUUAGAUCAAAUAACCGAUAUUAAAGGGGUAUUAAAAAUAAAAAAUAAAAGAAAUCCCACCGCCAUCCACCGCACCCUCCCACCGCCAUCCGCCGCGCCCUCCCGUUGCUGUCCGCCGCUCCUUACCCCGCGCCCUCCCACCGCUCCUUGCCCGGUCGCCCCUACCUCCUACCGCUCCUUGCCUGGCCUCGCCGCCGUCCCCCGCUCCUUGCCCUACGCCCUCUCGCCACUCCUUGCCUGGUCAUCCCGCCCUCACGCCGCCGUCCGCUGCGCCCUCCCGAUCGCCCCGCCCUCCCGCCAUUCCUUGCCCGGCCCCACCACCCUCCCGCCAUUCCUUGCUCGGCCCCACCACCCUCCCGCCACCAUCCGUCGCCCUCCCACUACUCCUUGCCUCCUGCCGCCACCCUUGGCCCCAUUGCCGCCCUUGGCCCCGUCGCUGUGGCGGAACCGCCCAAAUUAACUUGGCUAAAGCACACUUAAGUCGCUUAACACGCGAUCAUGUACUUUAAUCAAGUCAAUUCGGUCGUCCGUCGGAUUUCAUCCGAUAAACUACUUAUCUCAGGAUCGAGAAAGCAAGACUCGCACGAAGGCGAGUGGUUACAGAGAUUACAACAGUCCAUCUCAAUUAAACAAGUGUAACAAUUUAUUACAAUAUCAAGUUCAAAAUUCAACAAAGUUUGUAGAGUUUUCAAGCGACAGAAAUAAAUAAGCGGAAGCUAAACGUCGUUGCAUGAUAUCAUGAAGAAGCCAAUCAUGGCAUCAAUGAUCCUUGUCCUCACCGUUCGAGGAGGGAUCCCACUCAACCGUCCAACCAAGAGGAAGUUGGGUAGGCCGAGUGCCACUUGCAGCGAGCUCAGGGGUAUAAACAUCACCUGAAAAGAUGUGCCACAACAAGGCUGAGCGACUACACUCAACAAGACUUAACCGACAUGUGGUACUACUCCACCAACACCUAGACAUGCAAGCUUUUUGGCUCUGGGGUUUGUUUUGCCAAAAGCGACUAGUGUAGGUCCUUACUUUCAACAUUUUAGCCAGAAGUUCUACUGUAGUUUACCAUUCUACGUUAGCAACUAUACUAAACCAAGCAUAGUUUCCAAGCAAUUAAUAUAGGUAACAAAAUUAGAUCAUCAUCAUCUUUCAUUCUUACUCAGUGUAGCAUAGCGAGUAGUCCCAAACUGUAAGAGGCAGACAAAUCGAUUCGAAUUUCUUAACCAUGCAUGGCGAACCUAAUCCCACGACAUCCGCGCAUCGCGAAGGGUCGCUUCACUUGUCAGCCGUCCCCAUCAAUUCCCAGACCCGUGUCGGGCCCACUUUCCUUGGUACAAGGCUCCAUAGACCCGGCCUCAGCCAUUCAAUGACCGCACUUGUCACCACAUGAUGCACCAGGGGAAAACUCAGUUUCCAGAGAUAGUGGAACGAUCCGCUCACGUCCCGGUUCAAUCAGGUACUAGGCUUCCCUAUCCCAUACUAGGUAUGAGAUUACUACUUUCAAACACUUGAUCACGAACACUAUCACAUCUCAACCUUAGUCCAAUUUCAUGUAGACAGACGGGGCAAUCCACCGACCACCAAAAUAGUUCACAGAGCCCUACCCCGUCCAUCAUCCUUAUAGUUGUAACAAAAAGGAGAGCAAACAACUCCUAUAACUCGCGAGUGACAGGCGAUCACUCGACUUUUACCGAGUCCUAUUAAGCAUUGCAACUACUCGACUUCAAAUACUAGUGUUCAUAUCAAAAGGGUGCCUAUCUCAUGCAUCUAUGGUUUCAAACAAUUCCUGCAACAUAAAUGCACAAACAAGGCAAGCGAUUGUAUUGCAAGUAAUUAAAACAUAGGAAUUUAUGCUCCGGGGCUUGCCUAGAAUCUAACACUAGGUUAAUGUUUGUCAGACAACACUCGCUUGGCGAGCAUCUCCCAUCUCGGCACUUGCUUAGUCCUUCCAUCUUCGGGAUAGCUCCACCAUACACCGUCUUCGGGUUUGGUUCCAUCAUCACGUCCUUCACGUGGUUUAUAUAGCGUAUCUGGAUGAGAUGCAAGUGCAUGAAUACAAAGAAUAGUAACAUGAGAUGCAUUACAUAAAAGCAUUCAGGACAAGCACAAGGUUACACCACAAGACAUAAGUACUUAGAGAGCAAGUUAUUUAACUAACUAUCACUCAAGUCUCCAUAGAGAUAGCAAGCAUAACAAGCAUGACACACUAGCUAAAUCAAGUCAAGCUAUUGCAAGCAUUUAACAGUCAAGAGCUAAUUAAGCAUUUAAAUGAGUUGCAAUUUUUUAAUUUUGAAAUCUGAUUUGUAUGUUUGCAUUUGAGGGGUUUCUCACAUUUAGAAAUAAUUUGUUAUUUUACUGACUAUAGAAAAAUUUGUUUAAGGUUAUAAUUUUGCCUUUUGCAUUUUUUUCUUCUCGUUUCUACAUCAGUUUGUUUACUAUGUGCUUAGUUUAGUUGUUUUUUAUCUGCAUCAUUUGACCAGGAUCCUAGAGUCAUAAUUUUUGGGUGACAGAAAUAUUUGCAGCACCUAGUUUUUUUCUCUCCACAAAACAGGGUGUUUUCCACCUUCAAAUUACCCAGGUGAUUGUGGACACAGUAAUACCCGGGUUAGCAGUAGACACUCCCAUCUUUUAUUCCCAAUUAACUCUUUUUUCGUAUGGUCGAUCUCUUAGCUCCUUAUCGAUGUGGAGGAAAAUUCGGACUAUUUGGGGGAGAACCUAAAGGAAAAGGACUCAUGACUUCCACCAUGUCUAUAUCUCGAUAUAUAUAAAAGAAAAUCUCUUAGGCACAAUUUCGUGACUUCCACCACGUCAAGGUGACCAUGACUGAUCCUCAAAGGUAAUGGAUGGAAAAAAUAGCAUGUUUUAAUAAAAUUGAUGGGAGGAGGCUGGGUCAUUCACAUUUGAUUUGAUGGUCAGAGGCGUAUUAACCCGUUACAAAAUUGGAAAUUUUGAAUUUAAUCCAUUUUCUAAUCUAUUGUAUUCUUUUUCGAGAAUGCCGCCCCUUGGACUCCAACCGAGAAUAGCGAGUCUUGUAAUAGUAUAUGCAAGUAACAUACUAUCAAAAUGCAAACAUUGACCGCAACAAUGUACGCACACUCAAUACAAAUAACAUAGUACAUAUUUUGUUAACAAAUAAUCAUAAUUGUCACAAUAAACAAAGUUCUCUCACAAAUGAAAAUAGUUUUUCACAAGUAAUCGUAGUUCUCACAAUAAAGAUAAACAUAGUUGUCUCAUAAAUGAACAUAGUUUUGACAACUAAAGAGAAACAUGAUCCAGCUAAAUCAACACGUUCAUCUAGUCCGAGUCACCUUCACAUAGUAACUCAUUAUCGUCAUCAUCAUCCCCAGCAAUAACAACUCCCUUCCCUUUCUUAUCGACAUUAACCUUACCAACAGGUAAAUCGGCAACAAGAGCCUUCAUCGUCUCCAUCUAUGCCUCUUCCGCUUUUUCUUGUAACUCUUCCAUUUCAAUCCUUCUCUUCCUUGCCCUAACCUGCUGCAAAUAUUCUUCCCAUGAACCCUUAGGGUAUUUCGCAUUCGAAUCAACCACAUAACCUAAGCGAUCUCUCUCCUCCCUCAACCUUUGUUUCUCCAACUCCCUCUCCUCCUGCAACUUCCUCCUAUUUUCUCUCUUCUCAUUUUCAGUUAGAAGUCGUGGAUACUUGGUUCUGUUCUGCCUUCAAUACUUAAUAAUAGUUUCCCUCACAUAAAGUCCUUCAGGCUCCACUCCAGUCUCAUGAACCAUAUCUUGGUAUAUUUUCCCCCAAAGCAAGUCGCCGUCAGGGAUAGGCACAUCAUACUCCUUCCUAAUCUUUUCUAUCAGUUCUUGUUGUUUUCUUGACUUCCAAUAUACCACACCUUGUGUUGCCAAUAUACCACACUUGCAUUUACAACUAGGAGAGGACACACAUGACCAUGGUGCCUUUCUACUCUCGAACUCCUGCACUUGCUCCUCCAUUGGCCACAUCGCCUUUGGGCCAUAUAUAUACUCAUUGAAAUCAUAAACGGCCACCCAUCCUGCAAAAAACCAGUGACGACAUUAAAAGUGACCAUAUAUCAAUAAAAAUAUCACUGCUAGCUACACGUCAUACUAACAUUCUCAUAAUAAACUUACAUGAGUCUUUAGCGAGCAUCGAAAGAAUGGAGUGAACUUAGGUGGAACCCCUAAGUUAGAACGCAUAAGCUUAGCAUGAACACCACACUUGCACAUGGGAGGAUCCCUCACACGCCUACAAGCAGCCUCCUGCUUCUCCUCCUCGGUCAUCCUAGGUGGGUUUGGUGGAGGAGGAACCCAAUGCCUAAACUGAUGGUAUGGUUUAAGCUCUGUGCUAUGAUAUGGGAUCAUAUUUGUCGAGUCCAUCGAUCCACUGAAAGAAAUCACAAGGUGCGGCAGGCAUUGGAUCAAAAGUCCACUUGCAAACAUAGAAGAAUCUUCCAGCUGUCUUUAGAUGCCUUGAUUGUUUCACCUCUACUUCCACGCCACAUCUACAAAGAGGUACCGGAAGGGCAGGAGGUAUGGGACCAGCUGCAUUGGACUCGCCCACGUAACGCACAUACCACCUAUGCCGCUUGUAUUUACAACCAAACGACGUCAUCUCACCUAUACAUCAAGUGCCAGUAAAUUAAUACACAAAUAAACUUUACACACGUAAUCCAUACGAACUAUAUACAUCAUUUCGAAAAAAUACAAACACUCCAUCUACAAAAUACAAACACUUAACCAUAUCAACUAUAGAAACUAUAUGAAGGAAUAAAAAUACGAGACAAAUUAAUUGAACAUAUUGCAAAAAAAAACGUCAUGUACACCAUGUCAUGUUCACUACACAAUUGCAUACCAACAAAAUACAAUCCCACCAUCAAACAUACAAAUUAAACAAUUCAUCUGCAAAAUACAAACACUUCACCAUAUAAACUAUAUUAUAAACUAAACGUAUUGGACAUAUUGCAAACAAAAAAAUACACAUGUCAUUUACACUACACAAUUAGAUGAAUAUAUACCUAAAUCGAAGCAUUCAACAAGUUCUACGGGUCAAUAUCGUGGGCAGAGACUCAAUUGUGUCUAAACUACGCAUCAUCUAACACAUAACAACAUUGCAUUUCAUUCAAAAUUGAAAUCAUCAACCUAACCCUAAGUCACCUAAACAUCCUCCAAUCUACCAAAUGCAACGCUAAACCAAGGGAAAAAGUUGGGGGAUACCUUCCACACAAAGCGAUCACCAAUCCUCAACUUUCCCCCACCAAAAUCGCCAGAUUUUGGGUAGAUUUGGGGGUGGGGCGACGGGCGGCGGCGGCAAGGAGCUCGGCCACGGGUGUUCUAAAGGAAGAAGAAAGGAGGGAGGGACGAAGGAAGGAGCCGGCGCGCGUGUCUAGGUGGGGCGCUGCUACGCCAGGUGGGCUGGCGCGUCAAGCGCUCGCCCACGUCAGCGCCCGCCUGGCCUGACGCCGCGCCGCGCCAGCGUGGCAGGGGUUCGCCGCUCCAGUGCAUGUGCCACGGUAGAGGCUUCUUGCCGCGCCUGGCGGUCUGGCGCGGGCAAAAGGGUCACCCGCCACAAAUAAACUUUGGCUGAGGUUAUUUUUAAAAAUAAAUUUAAACAAAGGUUAAAAAUAAAAAAAAUUCCUGAAAGGGCAGUGCAGGGGUGACGUCAUAUUUCUGCAGGAAAAUCUACAUCAUGGCAGCCGCGCAUGACUACCUCUUUGACCGGACGUGCACCUCCACCCGUUCCCUCUCCGAAUCGGCUAGCACCACCAUCUCCUUCUAGCGACAAGCAACGUGCUCCUCCCACAAAUUCAGCAACCAAGACUGCCCCAAAACUAGCCACUAGUACCACUUCGGUUGCAUCCACGGGUAGAACAAGAGAUGUUCAGUGCCAUCGAUGCAAGGGCUUUGGACACGUGCAGCGUGACUGUCCUAGCAAGCAUGUUUUGGUGGUCAAAAAAGAUGGUGGGUAUUCCUCUGCUACUAAUUUUGAUGAAGAUACACUUGCUUUGCUUGCUGCUGACCAUGUAGGUAGUGAGGAAAAACCAGAAGAGCAGAUCGAUGUAGAGAAUGUAGAUCAUUAUGAGAGCCUCAUUGUGCAGUGUGUGCUUAGCGCACAAAUGGAGAAGGCGGAGCAAAAUCAGCGGCAUACACUGUUCCAAAGAAAGUGUGUCAUUAAAGAGCGUUUGUGCCGUUUGAUAAUUGAUGGAGGUAGCUGCAACAACUUUGCUAGUAGCAAUAUGGUGGAGAAGCUUGCACUUACAACCAAACCGCAUCCACAUCCAUAUCACAUUUGAUGGCUCAACAAUAGUGGUAAGGUUAAGGUAAUGAGACUGGUGCGAAUUAAUUUUACUAUUGGAUCAUAUCGUGAUGUUGUUGAAUGUGAUGUUGUGCCUAUGGAAGCUUGUCAUAUUUUGCUAGGUAGAUCGUGGUAAUUUGAUACGGAUUGUAUGCAUCAUGGUAGAUCAAAUAAGUAUUCUCUCAUACACCAUGAUAAGAAAAUUGUCUUGCUUCCUAUGUCUCCUGAAGCUAUUGUGCAUGAUGAUGUUGCUAAAGCUAAGAAAACUAAAACCGAGAGCGAUAAACAUGUCAAAUCUGUUAGUAGUAAGAAAGAUGAGAUAAGAUUGAAAGGACAUUGCUUGCUUGCUACUAAAUCUAAUAUUAAUGAAUUAGUUGCUUCCACUUCUGUUGCCUAUGCUUUGGUAUGCAAGGAUGCUGAAGAACCAUAAAGGCGACCAGAGGGGUGUGAAUGGGAGCCGGUUCAAAUUUUCUCCAAGAACUUCAGCUAAAAAUUUGCAAGCCUCUCUUCUAGCAAAAUCAAGUCAACUUAGCUAUGCACAAGCUAAUGGACCUAGGAAUGAUGCUAGGAACCCAAUUUGAGAAUAGCGGAAGUAAGAAAGACUCCAAACAAGCUCCGGAAGACAAACUUUUAAAACCAAUACCUCUAUUUGGAAAAAUCCGGAGGAACCUUCGAAAAAUUCCGGACGUGCAGAAAUUUCCGGAGAAAUCUUCUGAAAUUUCCGGAGGUCCAGAGAUUUCCGGAAUUAUGUACGGAGAUUUCCCGAAUUCCAAAACAGCCUGCGUGAAGAUGGAAGAAAAAUCCGAAACUCAAUCAAACAAUCUCCAAAAAUCAUGAAAUUUUAACCAUAGCUUCCCAACAAUAUAGCAAACAUAUUCCCAAAAGAUAUCCUCAAAAAGAUUAGCCAAACAAAGAGAAUUAAAAAUCUUGUGAAGAACACUGCUUUUUGAACCCUAGAACUUGAAUCGCCCCGAUCUAUGAACUCGUGAGGAGUUAGAUGAAUUCCUUUGGUAGAAAGACUUCACUCACAUCCUAGUUCAUUUUCAAAUAAUCGGUUUGAGUCAAGACUCCCUAGAAAUCAUGAAUCGAACAAAAAUGUGAGAAGGGAAAAAUGGGAGAAAAUAAGAAUGCGAAGAACACAAGCAAGAGUUUCACAAAACAGUCAUCCCCCAACACUCGGAGGACACAAGGAGGUUAGGGCCUCCAUUCUUGCAACAAAAAAUUGGUUCAAUACAUGAAUUCGGUGCUCAAAACAUCUGAGAACCUCUAGGGAGAAAGGAGAGAAAGAGAGGAAAAACCAAAUGAAACACUAGAGAGAGAGGUGGUGGUAGAGAGAUGGAAUAGGUGCUGAAAACUUCAGCCCCCCAUCUCUAUCUCUAGGCGUGGAUGAAAGACUAAAGUACCCCUAUAACUACUACUAAGAUAACUACCCACGCAGGGGCAUUUUGUUCCAAGUUUUUGUGUGCUCAUCGGACGGACACACCACCUCCAUGACUUUGCUUCGCCUCGAUGCAAGCUUCGCGAUGAUGCCACGUGCCCUCCUUCUCAAAGCUCCGGCCGUAUUGGGCUCGCCCCCAGUUUUGAGGCCCAAACUGGGAAACCUACCAGCACGGUGGUUUUGAGGCCCAAACCACCCAAACCGUCCAUCUUCGCUUGGCCGCCACGCGACCUCCUCGAUGUCGACAGGUGUCCAGUCUCCACCAAGCCUUUGACGCCUCCAAGUCAUUCGCUCCCGGCUCCCAGGUUGCCUACUUGACUUGCCUCCAUCCCGCUUGACUCGACCGAUGCUGUCGCCAUCACCGUCAUGUUGUCUUGCCCUUCCGUGCACCAUGUGGACCACCCAUGACUCCACCCGGACUCCUCAAGUCCAUUGGUCCAAGCCUACUCACGUUCAUCCUUCACCGCCCUUGGUCCAUCGGCAUGAACCUUUCGCUUGGCCUUCACCGCACGCCGUCGGCUGUCACACCGCAUCCUACACCUACACAUCACAAGCCAAGAACAACAUCAAACCAACAUAACAUUGUCAAUCACUCAUCAUCUAAGGGUGACCACCAUUGGUCCUCAGAUGCUUUGAUUUCGGUCACGACAUGCAGCAUUCUUUGCCCCCUGCUAUUGCUAACAUUUUGCAGGAGUAUUCUGAUGUGUUUCCAAGUGUGAUACCAGCGGGGCUGCCACCAAUAUGAGGGAUUGAGCACCAAAUUGAUCUUAUUCCUAGUGCAUCUUUACCAAACCGUGUGCCAUACAGGACAAAUCCGGAAGAAACGAAAGAAAUUCAGCAACAAGUGCAAGAACUACUUGACAAAGGUUAUGUGCGUGAGUCUCUUAGUCCUUGUGUUGUUCUUGUUAUUUUAGUGCCUAAGAAAGUUGGAACAUGGCAUAUGUGUGUUGAUUGUAGAGCUAUCAAUAAUAUCACCAUUCGAUAUCGACACCCUAUUCCACAUUUGGAUGAUAUGCUUGAUGAGCUUAGUGGUGCUGUUGUGUUUUCCAAAGUUGAUUUGUGUAUUGGGUACCACCAAAUUCGUAUUAAAUUGGGAGAUGAAUGGAAAACUGCUUUUAAAACUAAAUUUGGUUUAUAUGAGUGGUUAGUCAUGCCUUUUGGGUUAACUAAUGCACCUAGUACUUUCAUGAGAUUAAUGAACGAGGUUCUGCGCGCUUUCAUUGGAAAAUUUGUUGUGGUCUAUUUUGAUGAUAUAUUGAUUUAUAGCAAAUCUAUGAAUGACCAUCUUGAUCACUUACAUGUUGUUUUUAAUGCUUUACGAGAUGCACGUUUAUUUGGUAACCUUGAGAAGUGCACCUUUUGCACCGAUCGAGUGUCUUUUCUUUGUUAUGUUGUGACUCCACAAGGAAUUGAGGUUGAUCAAGCCAAGGUAGAAGCUAUACAAGGAUAGCCUAUACCAAAGACUAUCACACAGGUGUGGAGUUUCCAAGGACUUUCUGGUUUCUAUCGCCGUUUUGUGAAGAACUUCAGCACCAUUGCUGCACCAUUGAAUGAGCUUACGAAGAAGGGAUGCCUUUUAGUUGGGGCAAUGUACAAGAAAACUCCUUCAACAUGCUGAAAGAUAAGUUGACACAUGCACCCCUCCUCCAAGUUCCUAAUUUUAAUAAGACUUUUGAGCUUGAAUGUGAUGCUAGUGGAAUUGGAUUGGGUGGUGUUUUGUUACAAGAAGGCAAACCUGUUGCCUAUUUUAGUGAAAAAUUGAGCGGGCUUGUUCUAAAUUAUUCUACUUAUGAUAAGGAAUUGUAUACUCUUGUUCGCAUAUUAGAAACAUGGCAGCAUUACUUGUGGCUCAAAGAAUUUGUUAUUCAUUCUGAUCAUGAAUCUUUGAAACAUAUUCGUAGUCAAGGACAUCUGAACCGUAGACAUGCUAAGUGGGUGGAAUUUAUUGAAUAUUUUCCUUAUGUUAUUAAGCACAAGAAAGGGAAAGAGAAUGUUAUUGCUGAUGCUUUGUCUAGGAGAUAUACUUUGCUGAAUCAACUUGAUUACAAAAUCUUUGGAUUAGAAACAAUUAAAGACCAAUAUGUUAAUGAUGUUGAUUUUAAAGAUGUGUUGCUGCAUUGCAAAGAUGGAAAAGGAUGGACCAAAUUCAUCGUUAGUGAUGGGUUUGUGUUUAGAGCUAACAAGCUAUGCAUUCCAGCUAGCUCCGUUUGUUUGUUGUUGCUACAGCAAGCGCAUGGAGGUGGCUUGAUGGGGUAUUUUGGAGUGAAGAAAACGGAGGACGUCCUUGCUGGUCCUUUCUUUUGGCCAAAGAUGAGAAGAGAUGUGGAGAGGUUUGUUGCUCGUUGCGCGACAUGCCAAAAGGCUAAGUCACGAUUAAAUCCACACGGUUUGUAUGUGCCUCUACCUAUUCCUAGUGCUACUUGGGAAGAUAUUUCUAUGGAUUUUGUGUUGGGUUUGCCAAGGACUAGGAAGGGACGUAAUAGUGUGUUUGUGGUUGUUGAUAGAUUUUCUAAGAUGGCACAUUUCAUACCAUGUCAUAAAACUGAUGAUGCUACCCAUAUUGCUAAUUUGUUUUUUCGAAAAAUUGUUCGUUUGCAUGGUGUGCCAAACACAAUUGUUUCUGAUCGUGAUGCUAAAUUUCUUAGUCAUUUUUGGAAGACUUAUGGGGAAAACUAGGAACUAAGCUUUUAUUUUCUACUACAUGUCAUCCCCAAACUGAUGGCCAAACUGAAGUUGCCAAUAGAACUUUGUCUACUAUUUUAAGGGCUGUUUUAAAGAAGAACAUUAAGAUGGGGGAAGAUUGUUUGCCUCAUAUUGAAUUUGCUUAUAAUCGUUCACUGCAUUCUACUACAAAGAUGUGCCCAUUUAAGAUUGUAUAUGGUUUCUUGCCUCAUGCUCCUAUUGAUUUGAUGCCUUUGCCAUCUUCUGAAAAGUUAUAUUUUGAUGCUACUAAGCGUGCUGAAUUGAUGUUAAAACUGCAUGAAACAACUAAAGAAAACAUAGAGCGUAUGAAUGCUAAAUAUAAAUUUGCUGGUGAUAAAGGUAGAAAGGAACUAAUAUUUGCACCUGGCGAUUUAGUUUGGUUGCACUUGAGAAAGGAUAGGUUUCCUAAAUUGCGAAAGUCCACAUUGAUGCCUCGGGCUGAUGGACCAUUUAAAGUGUUAGAGAAAGUUAAUGAUAAUGCAUAUAAGCUCGAUCUGCCUGCAGAUUUUGGGGUUAGUCCCACAUUUAACAUUGCAGAUUUGAAGCCAUAUUUGGGAGAAGAAGAAUAGCUUGAGUCGAGGAUGACUCAAAUGCAAGAAGGGGAGGAUGAUGAGGACAUCAACACCAACGAUACAUCCACGCCUACACAAGUACCAGUUUCCGGUCCUAUUACUCGCGCCCGUGCUCGUCAACUUAAUCAUCAAGUAAGUUCACUCUUGAGUUCCUGUCCAUCCUAUUUAGACCAUGGAGACGCGUGAACUCUUGUUUUGGUUUGGAACCAGGGACAAGACCGAAAAGGAAAAGGACUCGCGCAGGCUGGAUUCAGACUCUAGGACAGUACCAACUUGUGAUGGUCACCACAGUCACAUACAGACUCAAAUUGCGGUGUUCCAGUACUUCAUGGUUUUGUUAUGAAGUCUACUUUCAUAUGGAUUUGGACUCAAGUCCAUAUAUGGUUUGAGGCGGUCGCAAUGAAAAAUUUACUACUGAGAGGUUUUGUGGUGCUGCUUCACAUUAAUUUGGCCCAAUGGGCCGUGUAUCAAGUCAGAUCCAAUAGGGAUGCGUCCUAGGGUUGGAGCAUGACUCCAACACUCUGGUGGUCAUCCUCCCACCUUCAUAUACCCCUUAGCCACCACCAGUUGGGUUUUGUUUAGAUCAAGUUUAGCUCUCGCUACUUGCUUGUAAGCGCGCGUGCUGGAUCAGUCGCUCGUCUUCCUAUCUUCGGAACCCCACCUUAUUGAGAUUGAGUUGGAAGCCUUAAUCUUCAUCUAGUAAAUUCAAUACUUGUUAUACUUGUUAUUGCUAGUUCUUCGAUUGCUUGUAGGACGAGUGCCCUAGUGGCCGGGUGACGCGCUCCACAAGAUCGCGGCAGCCAUUGGAGGUGGUGUAUCAGUUGCUAAGGCGCAGCUUGGAAGGCUGUAGUCGGGUCGUGAACAUCGUCUCCAUCGACCAAUCGAGUUAUCCCAUGCCUCUCAUCAAAAGAUCGGGAAUCAACCCUAGCGGGUUCAUAUCACAUAGCUUCUAGAUCCUGAGCGGUGAGGAAACAUGACCAGUCCAUGAUUACUGGUGAUUAUAGUAUACCUCUCCUUUACAAUAAUGAUAACUCGUGUAAGAUAUAUAAAUAAUAGGAACAUAUCAGUACAUGCAAAUGUGCUAGUGGCAAGUUGAAGUUUUAUCAUACCCCAUGAGGUUGGCUAGACCACAUUGUAACUAGUCCAUUGGUCAUCAUCCAGUGUGGUCACAUGAGAUUUGGUUGGGACUUCAUUUGCUGGAAGAUCAUUGAAGAACUUUUUCUUGAGCUGGUACCUUCCCUGUAUCUGUUGCGACUUGAGCAUGUCAGUGCAUGCCUUUAUGACAGGUUGACUAGUGGUGUCAAUGUCAAAUUGUCCCUAUAUUAAGUGCAACACAAGAGUAGUCAAAAAAUGGAUGAAAAUAAAGGAUGCAAAGAAUUAUGGUAGUAGAUAAGCACAACACCGCCAGUUUGCCAAUGUAGUGCUUGAGAUAUUUUUUAUUAUUGGUCUUGUAGUCCUUCUAGCAAGUAAGGAUCGGUAUAUGCCCACGUAGUAUGAUCCCACCCUCUGAUGCAAACUUUGCAGCUUGCAUUGGUGCCUUUUGUUGUUUGAGCCCUUCUCGAACAUGGAUUGGAAGCUUGGUGUGCAAUCCUCUACUUAUCCUAUCCAGAUCUCUGCCCAACCUUCUUGAAUCCCAUGGCACUUGUGCUCUUCUGGAAGGGCGUGCAUCACCUAACAAUUUUGUUACAUUCAUACAGAUGGUGUGUGUUAAUAAUGAUUUGGUUGCUAAUUGCGAUGUUCCAAUUUUUUGGCUUUGGGAAAAAAAGAUCAAAUGACUUGCCUUUGCCAGUCAUCAUGUCGAUGAUGUCCUUAGUGUGGGUGGCUGUUGCUUGGCCUUUGGUUGGCAAUUCUUGUGAAUCAGGAGUCGUCCCAUUCAAAACUCCUGCUUGAACUAAAGACAAUUCCUUUGCCUUGGUCCUAGUCACUCUAGGAGGCAUACUGUCAGAGGCAUCAGGUGCCCGAAUUCUCUUGGACAACCCUCUUCCCCUGUUGACAGGUAUGCUAUCACUGACCUAAUUGGACAAAUUGCAUAAACAAAAUUAACGAGAAGCAAUCCUGCAUAACUGAUACAAGAAAUUUGGUAGGCAACAACAAUAGAUACCUCGUGUUGGCCUGUCUCUUGGUCAGAUUCAGGCCAUUCCGGUCAUACUCCAAUUUUGGAUCUUCACUUCUUCUUUCAUUGGUAUCCCUUUUUUUACCUUUUCUAGACUAUAAAAGGAUGCUUGUGAGUUUUUCAAUGCUGAGGGAAGCCAAUACACCCUGGUUCCUUAAGAUAAGUGCAACCCUCUUCCUCUCAUAAGGAUGCAGCUCUGGUUCUAUAUCUUAGGAAAAGAAAGAAACUUUUGUAAAAUUAUCCAACCACUAUGAUGAGUACAUUGAGUGGGAAAUAGCAAUAGAUAAAAUAUUUGCUAAUCAUUUUAUGUGUUCAAGGAGGAAGAUUAAGAAUGCAACUAGUGUCUUGCGAGAUUCUGCUUUAACUUGGUGGGAGACCAUAAGUCCAUCAAAUAAAUCUCAAACUUGAGAUGAUAUGAAAUUUCUUAUGAGAGAAACUUUUGCUAAUCCAUCUCAUAUAAUUAACUCAUAUGAUGAGGUGCAUCAAUUAGAGGAUCAGUCUAUUGUUGUAUUUCUUGCUAUGCCUAACCUUUUUGCAGGAUUAUGAACAAAAGCAAGAGGACAAGGAUGGUGCAAAAGAAAAUGAGGAGCUUACAACCUCAUGUGCAAAUUCACCAUUACUUCACAAUGCACCUAUUACUCCUGCUGAAAAUAAGAACACAGAUAAUGCGCAUGGUACUACACUCACGAAAGGUGAGAAUUAUCUUGAUGUCCUAAAUUUUUCCACAAAUCAUGCUAUCACAGGGCAAUUGUUAGUGGAACCUUCUCUUGAUUUAUGUUUGUCACAAGAUGACUCGCUUCCUAUUCCUUGUGAUAAAGAUAAAUUUUGUGACAAUUAUGUUGUACCAAUGAAUCAACAUGCUAUAUGUGUUUUGGAACCCAACACUUGUGCUGAAAGUAGACAUGUUAUUCAUAUUGCUAGUGAUAAAGAUGAGCUGAAAUUAUUAUCUUCUUUAAAUAUUUUGGGUUACAUUGAAUUUGAUAUAUUGUAUAAUCUAGGUUUUUUGGAGGAGAGACUUUUUGGAUAUUCUGAUUUUCCAUGGUUUUCUAGACACACAUAUCAUGUUGGUGGAAAAUAUAACAACAAUGGACAAUACAUGAUACAUCGUGUUUACAUUAGUAGCAAUAUGGAUUGUUCUUUUGUUGUGCAAUAUUGUAAUCAACUAAAUGGAUCCAAUACUGCUAAUAUUCAUAUGCCAUCUACUCCUAUGCUGCUUCUUGUUAGUACUAAUCUUUUGCAGGAUAGUGUUGAUAAACAUCAUGUACAUUGCGAUCAAGGAGCCUACAUGCUUGCUAGAAUUUCUGUGCGAGAUGACACACUAGAAACCUUGAAAUAUGGUCAUAUCCCUCCUCACAAUUAUUCAAUUCCCUUUGUUUUCACAAUUCCAUUCUCCUUUGUGUUGUGCAGGGUCAGUUUAGAGCACAAUCGAUGCCAAGGACAGCUUUUCAUCAAGAAGGGGAGGACGAAGAGGAUAUGACACUCAUGCAUAUGACCAUGAUUGGCGCAUGGCAUGAAGAAGGAGGAGCCUAGCAAGGGUGUACAAGUCAAGAAGGUGGACCGAGGCUAAUUUAGUCUGAGCCGCCAAGGUGGAAGCCCCAAAUCAACUCAAGUUCGAGCCCACCUUGGAGUCCAGGAGCAGCACACACCAAAAAUGACGGCUAGGUCGCAUACGGAUCCAUUUUGGACGUUCUUUAUAUCAAUGGAAAGAUAAGUUCAUAAAGCUUCCGAUGGAACUGGUCCCACAUCAAAAUUAUAUCUAAGUCAAUGGUAAUUGUCGAAACAAUUGGACAUGCAGAAUCUGUUAGGGUGUUGCGCCACUGUCUUUUAGGCCAUUGGCCCGUGUAUCAUGCUGGAGCCCAUAGGGGUGCGUCGAGGGGGUCAUCCACAACCUAACCCUCAUAUAUUCAAUAGCUGUUGCCACAUUAGGGUUUGAGUUUAACCCUAAUGUGGCGACCGCUACUGAAUAUAUGAGGGUUAGGUCAUGGAUGACCGCCCUGGAUGCACCCCUAUGGGCUCCAGCAUGAUACACGGACCAACGGCCCAACAGACAGUGGUGCAACACCCUAACACAUUCUAGAUGUCCACUUGUUUUGAUGAUUCUCAUUGACUCAGAUGAAAUUUUCAUGUAGGACCUGUGACACUGGAACCUCUAUGAAAUUAUCUUCCCAUCCAUAUAAAGAACAUUCGAAACAGACUCUAUAUGCACUUGGGCGCCCAAAACAGAUCUACAAACAAACAACAAAGUAAAAGCAGUACCAAAACCAAACAAGGAAACUAUUUAAUUGCAUCACUGGGGACGCUUAACUGGGGAGGAAAACAUUGUACCUCAUUAUUGAUGUUUCCUCCGUAAGACCUUCCCGCCUAGUGCCAUUGCGUCACCUCUGGUCCUACGGAGGAAGAUGGGAAAUGGGAGGUAGCUAUGAGGGGAAGAUUGUGGAUGGCGGUGAGCAAGUGAAGAUUUGGGAUGAUGGUGAGGAGGAGGUGAAGAUUUGGGAUGGGGUGAGGAGGAGGUGAAGAUUUGGGAUGGGGGCGAGGAGGUGAAGGGGAAUUGCUGGUAGAAAGGUUUUGGACACGGAAGAUUUGGGCAAAGGGAGGAAAGGGACGGGGUAUUUAGCCAAUUGGGUGGAUGGCCCUCUUACAUUACCAAUAUACCCUUUUACUAUGGUGGUGGAUGAAAUGGGGUGCUAUUGGGAAGAGGGGGAGGAAAAUUAACAUUUCACAUCUGUCACACGGCUUGGCCUGGGCGUCCGAAUAUUUGAACAGCAUGCCGGAAAGAUUUUGCGGUUGGUCCGCACCAGGUAAUGGUGACCAAAGGCUAUUCUGCUCAGUAGAAUAUGCCGAACAAAAACCCGAAUAGUGGAAUGUCUAGUAGUCUAUUCAUGAACAUUUCUUAUUCUUGGUACAAUCAACGGAACCUGUACCAAAAAUUUUUGCUAGAAUUAGGAGAAUUUGGACCCAAAUUCAACAAAUUAUCAUUCAAAAUCUUUGGUAUAUAAUGAGAACACCUUCAAAAAGCUAAAUAUUCUGUUAUUUGGUACCACUCCAUCUGUUUAUGUACUGCUCCGCUUAUAUUGAAGUACGUUGUUAGGUACUACUCCCUUCGUUUAUAAGGCGUAUGCGCAUAAGUGUAAUAAGGGCGACAGCGUCAUGCCAUAUCACAUCUUAUAACAAGAAUAGAGUGAGUAUUUAGGAUGGAGAACUACUCUAUAUAUUUAUUUUUACAUUGGAAAACCAAAGAAACCUCCCAUCUAUUCGGUGUACUUACUACGAUUGGAAAUCCUUGUACCAUCCCAGCAACAUUGGAAAUCCUUGUACCAUGCCUUCCAUUGGUGUGUUUACUAAUUAAUCAUGUGCACAUUGGAAAUCAAAUAACCCUCCCUUUGGUUGCAUGUGCUUACUUACAUAUCAACAUUGGAAACCAAAGAAAUUACCCUUCGAUUGGUUGUGCGUACUACUUAUUCAUGUGCACAUUGGCAAUCAAACAUUAUUUUUCCCGAUUGGAUUUCCUAACUACUCAAUCAUGCGCACAUUGGAGAUCAAACAUCCCUCCCUUUGGUUGCAUGUGCUUACUUACACACAUGUCAACAUUGGAAACCAAAGAACUCUCCUUUCGAUUGGGUGUGCUUACUACUUAUUCAUGUGCACAUUUGCAAUCAAACAUCAUUUUUCCCGAUUAGAUUUGCUAACUAUUCAAUCAUGUGCACAUUGUAGAUCAAACAUCCCUCCCUUUGGUUGCACGUGCUUACUUACACACAUAUCAAUAUUUGAAACCAAAGAAACAUCCCUUCAAUUGGGUGGGCUUACUACUUAUCCAUGUGCACAUUGGCAAUCAAACAUCAUUUUUCCCAAUUGGAUUUGCUAACUCCUCAAUCAUGUGCACAUUGGAGAUCAAACAUCUCUCCCUCCGAUUAAAUGGCUCCCUUGGAUUAAGUAGCUCUGGACAUAGUUUUGGGUUACAUUGAAGAUUACAAACAAAAACACUACGAAGGUAGUUUUGGAUUCCUUGUAUUGAUAGCAUCACUCAUUACAUGAUGGCGAGGUCGGAGAAGUCUCCUUUUUGGGUGGUGGAAGACUAGACCUUGCCACGCCUAUAUUCCCGCAUGUAUCCAUAAUAUUAAUUCACUCCGUUGACUCAAACACUUGGAAAUCCGAGUCUUGAACGCCCCUAGAGUAGUUUGAUGAUUUAGCUUCAUCCGCAACUUGAAGACGACAUGCCAGCCUACCCGAUUGGUCAUUCUGUACCCCAUUGGUACCAUACAAGUUAUAAGACUCGUACGACUCCGAUACAAACUCCGCCAGAUCACCAAAAGUUAAAACUUGAGCACAAUGCCUAGGAAAAUAUUAUUACAAGGCUUAACAAAAUAGUUGGUUCGUACAUGACAAUGAAACAUUUAUUGUUCAAAUUGAAUACAACAGUCAAUGUCAACAAAAGAAUUGUUUAACAUUCUACCUCUUUGUCAUCGGGGUUCGAAGAAGGUGUCAACGUUGUAGGAUUGGUUGACAGAAGAGGGACAUCAGGAGCUAGAGAUACAAGAUUAUUUGAAGGAGGAGGAGCAGCAGUAGCAGAGCCUUCCGAUGUAGUUGGAGAAGGAGCAGGUGCAGUAGAGCCUUCCAACAUAGUUCGACUAGGAGCAGGUGUAGGAGAGGCUUCCGAUGUAGCGUGACUAGGAGCAGGUGUAGGAGACCCUUCCGAUGUAGCGAUACCAGGAGCAGGAGCCAUCGCAGGAUCAUCCUGAGCUUGCAAACUAGUGAGACCAGGUUCAUCCAUAGGUUGUGAAGUAGUGAGACCAGGAUCAUCUUGAGUAGUAGGGGUAGACACUUUAUGAUCAUCUGAAUCUAUAGCUGUUUCCACCAUAGGAUGUUCCUCUUGCUGGUGCGAAGCAGCAAGAUUAGAUAGAACCCUGAGUAUUGAUGCAUUUUCUUCCUCACCAUUGCCACCCUUCUUUGUCGGAACAAGUGUGGAAUCAUUUUCUAUCAGGGUCGUCAUUGAUGUCGACAAUUGUGGAAUUCCAGCUCAACUGUUAUGCGACACGGAGACCUUAGAGGUUUUACCCGGUUCAGUCGGAGGCAUGAUUAGCAAGGGGGUCUGACCAGCAUGUGGGAGUUGAAUUUGCGGUCGUGGUAACCCGACAUGCUGAUGCAACUGAUUGAGGAUGGUAGAUACGGUGGUGAGCACAGUGUUCAUGUUCUAGUCUGCCCUCUAUGCCACCUGCUCUAGCCACGUGAAUUGUCUCUCCUCCUAAUGAGCUAGUCUCUCGUCCAACCAUUUUUGUAGCUCGGCCAUAUGGAGAUUAUUUUCGGCUUGUUUAGCCUGACCAUCAACCAGUCUCUGAAGAAUUAAGGCAAGCUCGGUCGGCUGACCGCAUGUAUCCACGCCUGUAUUCCCACAUGUAUCCACGGUGGUGUGCAAGAGGGUUUGACUGGUUUGACCUCAAAAUCGGGGGUGAGUCACGCCAGGUGGGUCUGCAGAGGGUUUGGGUGGUUUGGGCCUCAAAACCACCGCGCAGGCAGGUUUGCCGGUUUAGGCCUCAAAAUCGGGGACGAGUUCGGUGCAGCCAGAUAGCGUCGAGUCGGAGGACGCGUGGCACCAUCGCAAAGCUUGCGUCGAGGCGAAGCGAAGUCGUGAAGGUGCCGGGUCCGUCCGAUGAGCAAAGAAAAAGUUGGAGGACUUUACCCCUGGGGGUUAUUUGGGUGGUGUGCUUAAUGUAAGGGCAUUUUAGACAUUUGCCAAAUGCCUAUGUAUGUAUAGGAGGGCUGUUUGGGGCAGCCAUCCCUUUGGUUGUUUUGGUGGGGGGUUUUCUCAUUUGUUUUGUGAGAGCCUAUAGUAGAGGCAGAGAGGGAGAGAGGAGGGAUAUUUGUGUUGAUCUUUUUGCUAUCCUAGCCUUGAUUGUGCUUAUGAGUGGCUUGUAACCAGACAUGGUGACGUAAUCCAAGAAUCAAUUUCGUGCUCAAUUGCUUCUCCUUCUCAAGAUUUGAAAUUUAUCUUUUUUCCUAUUUUUGAAGCAUUUUUGGUGAAUUUUUGGAUCUCACGAUUGGCCACGAUUUGGGUGUUUUUCUUUGAGAAAAUCGGUGCUAGGAUAUGUGCAAGAAUAUCUAGGAUUAUCCCCUAGCAAAUCCAUGCACGAGCACCUUGAAUUUUGAGUUUUCCCGAAAAUCCCCUUUCUUGUGCCCAUCCUAAAUCCUUUGAAUCUGGUGACCAAUUCUUGGGAUUUUUGACUUGAGCCUUGGGGAAUACCUUUGGUAUGUUGUUGUGAGUCUAUGGUUCAAAUUUCAUGAUUUUUGGAGGUCAUUUGAUUGAGUUUCGGAUAUUUCUUCUCUCCUCACGAAGGCUGAUUUCUAGAAUUCCAGAAUAUUCUGGCAGAUUCCGGAAAUUUCCAGACCUCCACAAGUUUCCGAAGGUUUCUCCGGAAAUCUUCAAAAAUCCGGAAUUUUCCAAAGGUUCUUUCGGAUUUUUUGGAACUGAGGUGUUGUUUUUCAAAGUCCUUCCGACACUUGUUUGGACUCUUUCUUACUUCCGCUAUUCUCAAAUUGGGUUCCUAGCAUCAUUCUUAGGUCCAUUAGCUCGUGCAUAGCUAAGUGGACUUGAUUUUGCUAGAAGAGAGAUUGAGGGGAGUUUAGCCGAAGUUCUUGGAGAAAAUUUGAAUUGGCUCCCAUUCAUCCCUUCUCUGGUCGCUUUUUCGAUCCUUCAAUUAGUAUCAGAGCUUGGUUAAGGAUCAUUCCACCUUAAUCGGCUUUGUGAUCCACGGGGCGACAAGCGAAAGGGUGAUUUUGCUUGCGGAUUUGGUUUUUGAGUUUUGUGCUUGAUUUCAGCUAAUCCUAAGUGGUGCUUUGAGCUAUGGCACCUAGCUCUUAUUCUAUUGGUUCUUUGUCCUUAGGUGGUAUGGUCACAUCGAAGGACGAUUACAAGUGGAGAAAGAAGCGGGAUGAGCUGAACAAGGAUGAUGAAGCAAUGGCAUUGAUGUGUCUUUUGAUGGAUGAGAUGCCUCAAGAAGAUGAUCUCCGACGCAAGCUUCACAAGAUGAGUAGAGGUAAACUCUCCCAAGGUAUAAUUGGUUUGUUCACUUGCCUUUGUGCUCAUGGCGAGAUGAUUGCUGAGCUUAAGAAGAAUUUGGACAUGUCUAGACUUGAUAAUGUGAAUGCUUCAACUUCAUGCAAGUCUAGCUUACCUUUACCAUGCAAAUCUUGUGAUGUUUUGCACAUUGAAAAUGAGAAACUAAAAAGAGAUGUUUAUCUUAGAGAUAAGAAACUUGAAUUUCAUAGAAGAUUACUUGAUGAGCUCUCAAUUGAUUAUGAUGUUUUAAAAUCUGAAAAUGAAAUGUUGAAAUCCAAUACCUCUAUGCUAUGUAAUUCAUGUGUUGCUUUAAAUAAUGAUCUUAAUAAAACUAGAGAUGAAAUUUCUUUGUUGAAGUCAAAUGCAUCUUUACCUUGUGUUUCAUCUGAGUCUUUGCUUGCUAAAAUUAACGAACUAAAAUUGACUCACACCACAUAUGUUGAACAACUUGAGCAUGCUAGGGCUAAACUUUAUGAAAUGAAAUCUAUGUCUUGUAGCAUGUGCUCUUUGGUUCUUGAUGAUGAUGCCUGCCUUACUUCUUGUGAUAAUCAUGAUGCUUUGCUUGAUGUGAAUGAUGAUGUUUCUUCAUGUGGUCUCAUUUGCACAUUAUGCAUUGAAUUGGAAAGUGAAGUUUUGACUUUGAAGCAAAUGCGCGAUGAUAUGAGCGCCCAGUUGGUUGAGCACAAUGAGAUGAGUGCCAACCUUGAGAAAGAAAAUGAACUCUUGUGUACCACAUAUUCUAAGUGAAUUGAAAAGGAGAUGGAUAAUGUGAGAAAUACUCCAUGUGGUACUUGUGAUCGCCUCAAACAUGAAAAUGAGGUUUUGGCCACAAGAUGCAAGAGUCUUUGUGCUAAGUCUUUUGAUUCUCACAAUUCUUAUCACUCCGAUGUUGGUGUUUCCAAAAUUGCUUCUUCUCAACCGGAGUUGGCUUCUUCUGUUGACCGUGAGUCUUUGGACGGUAGUACUUGUGCUAGUGCUUUGGAUAGCUCUUUUAUAGUUACUCCUAAGCUUGUUGCUUCUUCCGGUAUUGCCCAAGACAAUUCAAGUGGCAAGGGUGCUUCUCACAUUUUUGGAACUCAUGCUCCCAAACUGAAGUUCCAUUGCACCUUUUGCAAGAAAGAUGGGCAUACCGAUGAGUUUUGCUUUCGCCGUGUCAAGCAUGAGCGACGUGUGCGUGCUAAAACUUUUAGGAAGCCACGUAGCCUUUCCCAUGGCACGUGUGAGCCUAAUAUGGGCACCAUGUCAAAUGAUGUUGUUGAUGCUUCUUUCUCUAAGUCCCAAGGGACUUCUCACUUGAAUGAGAAUGAUGAUUCGUCCUCUCGGAACGUGCCUACAAAAAGGCCUUUGUACUAUUGCUCUUAUUGUGAGAAAGAUGGGCAUCAAAAGAGCUUUUGUUAUCAUCGUGCAAGACAAAUGCGGCGAACUCGUGUUUCUAGGUCUUUGGUUAUUCAUAGCCCUUCUCAUGAUAUGAACACUUGUGAGCCUAGUAAGAAGCUACAUUUCAUUGAUGGGUUUUAUGACUCCUUCUCUAGUGAGUUAGGUCAUGCUCGUGGACAUGCUUCUAAUUCUUCUUAUGUUGGUCCACAACAUGGUUCUCAUGGUGCUUGUGUUGGUUCUUCUCUUAAGAUCUUGGGGGAUCAUUGCCUUUUUGCUAGUGGUAGCACUUGUUCUUCUUCUUGCGUUGCUCCUUUGAGGCAUGUUUCCAAGGGUAUUUCAAAAUCAUCAUAUUUGAACCGGCAUUUGCAUCAUGCUAACCCACAUGAUAAGUUGAGUGCAUCUUUUACCCGUAUGACUAAGUUUUGGAUUCCCAAGUAUAUGCUUGCUAACCCUUUGGGAUCCAAGACUCGGUCUUCUUUGUCCCCUCAUGUGUAGGUACGGGGAUGCGGGUGGAGGACAUGAGCUUGAAGGGACUUGAUCUUUUUCUUGAGGUGAUUGAGACUUGAUGGUUCUCCACACCGUUUGAAUGUACACUUGUAUAGUGAGUUUUUCCUUUCAUGUAUACUACUCACUUGCGGACUCUUUUGCAUGUUUUAUACUUGUAUCAUGCUGUGAAUAUACCAUGGUAGGCUAGCCACCAUUUUAUGUUAGCAUGUGUGAUCUUCAUGUAUAUCUUGUCAUGCUAGCUUUGUAAUAUAUCUUGGUGGAUGAUCCACGUGAACAUCGUGCCAUGCUUUAGCUUAGUCUUCAUAUUGGUUAUGGCAUGUUGUUCAUUUGGUAUCAUUUUAGUAUCUUUGUAUGAUCAUUUGCACCUUGUCGACAUGUUUCCUUACCCAAGCUUUUAUUCAUAAAUGUGGAAUCAUGUUGCAAUGCUUUAAUUUCUCUCACUAGUAUCAUCAUUACAUUGUGUGACAUGAAUUGAGCUUUAUCUUGCUUUUGCGCUUGCCUUAUCUUUGGGUCGCAUUUUGCUCCUUCUUUGGAUUUUCUCUUCCUUUUGAUUGGUGUUGGAGUUUUUCAUUUUCCCUGUUCUUUUCCUAGUUUUUGUUUGCUAGUUGUCUGUGGUUGAGGGGGAGUUCAGCUUCAUUCGAGGGGGAGUUUGGACCAAGGACUUGCUUUGGUUUUUGAUAUCCGCUUUUGAUUUUUUUAAUUGGUAUCACAUUUGAUCUUUAAAUUAGAUUUCAUUUUCUUCAAGUGAUAUCAAUUUUUGAUCCUUCAAUUACUAUCUUUUCUAUGGUACUCAAUUGGGAUCCUUGGUGGUUCUUCUUUUGCCAUGGAGCUUUUCCUGGAUUUGGUUGACCCCUCAUGAGCUUUCUUCAUUUUGAGUCGAACCCCAUCUCUUUUAACACUGCAUUACAUUUGUAUCAUAUUGCACCAUGUACACUUUGCACUAGAUGAGCUUCUCCUAUAUAUCCUUAGCAUUUCCUUAUGCUAUUUGUGAGCUAGUGCAUUGGUUGGUGAUUAUGUAGCAAUGUGCAGCAUAUGCUCUUGAUGAUAUUGUCAUAUAACCAUGUUGAGCUAAAUGCUUUUGUGAAUCAAAUGUUAAUCUUGAAUAAUGAAUUCUGAAAUGCUUAUCACUCAUGACUAGCUACCUAUUUAUGCAUUGCUCUUGCUUGAAUGCUAGCUCCAUGUUUAGCUUCUACUUGGAAUUCAUGUUCUUUUCAAUUGGAUCAAAGAUCUAGGUAUCAUUGCAAAUGUUUAGCCCAUGAUGCGUUCCUUGGGGAAGCAUGGCUUCUUUGUGUCGCAAAGGCACUUCAUGUAACUUGUUUAAUGUGAAUGAUGAUAAAAAAAAUUCAGUAAUUCACCAAGUUUUUGUGCUUAACGUUGAUAUCCUUGCUUGCUUAGUUGUUACGUGAUGUCUACCAAAAGAAGUAGGCACAUGCUUUCAACAAGCCUUGACAUGACUUGUGAUGCAUAUGUGGGUGUUUGCAAUGAUCUCUUGUUGAGAAUGUAUCUUCCUUGUAUGAGCUCUGAUGGCCUAGUUUGCUUCUUUCUUGAAUGAUUCAUGACUAGGUGCUUCCUCAUGUGGUGAUACUUUUAUAAAGUGCAAAUUUGUCAACUUGCUUCGUCUUUUGCUUAUAUCAUAAUAUCCUCUUGAUGGCGAUGCAAUUGCUCUUUAUGAUCUACCUACUUGUGCAUUAUCUCAGUUGUAGCCUUUGCAAGUGCUUUGUGAUAUAUUUGAGAAGCUUGGUAGGUUGUACACCCAUGGCAUGCAUUUUGUGCUGGUGUGUAUCUUAUAUUUGCAUUUAAUGGGGAGUUUUGCAUUUGAGGGGGAGCAUGCAUUCUUUUGCUCUUGUGCAUGUAUUUCAUUGUGGCAUGUUUUCAGGGGGGAGUGCAUGUGUUACGGGGGAGCUUGUGAGUUUUGUGCUCUCUUUUGCUCUUUUGCCAGUUGUGUUGAGCUUUUACCUCUUCUUGAGGAACCGACAUUUGGUUUGAGCUUUCGAUCGUCACAUGAUUGGUGUUGAGCCCUUUUUGCCUCUUCUUGAGGGAUCAUGUGUUUUCGAUUUUCACAUGAUUGGUGUUGAGCCCUUUCUGCCUCUUCUUGAGGGAUCAUGCGUUCUUUGUCUCGGUUGUGUCAAGCUGUUGCCUAUGUCUUUGGGGAUUGAGACUUUACUAAGUUGAUUUUGCCUUUGUGAUGUUUCUCAUGCCAAGUGACUUUAAUAUUUGCCUUUACAUGGCUUUCGAUCACUUGGAUGAGAGUUUUGCCUAAUUGAUUCCACAACUUGGCUUUUAUGGCUCUUCUCAUCUCAAGUGACUUUGAUCUUGGCUUUUGAUCACAUGGAUGAGAUUUUUGGCUUUUACCUUUCAAACCAUUUCUUGCGCUUGAAUGUUGUCAACACACUCAUCAAGGGGGAGAUUGAGAAAUCAAGUUGAUAUGAACCUUGAUUUGAUUGUGAUGAGCGUUUGACAAAUGUUGAAAUGGCUUUGAUGGCAGUUUGGGAUUCAUGCAGCUCUUAUGUCUUUUGCUUGACUCUUCGGUUGCGUUAAGCCUUGUCUCUUCUUUGGGAACCGAGAGUUUUUUGUUUGGAGCUUGCAUGAUCCUUUCUCCUACCAAGUUGCCUUGUGUUUGCUUUUUCUUGGCUUUUGGGCACUUGAAUGAGUUCUUUUUUGCUUCCAAAUCAUCUUUUGUCAAUGCACUUAUAAAAGGGAGAUUAAGAGACCAAGUUGACAUGUGCCUUGGUCUAUUUGUGAUGAGUGAUUGACUAGAUGAUUUGAGGUUUUACCGGUUGAGUCGAUAUUCCAUAUGCACUUGAUUAUGCUAACGGCUAAUCGAAGGUGUGAGUUGUGCAUUGUGUUGUGGUGUUUGUGUAAACCAUAUGUUGUAUGUUGUGUCUCUUGGCUUGUGAUAUGCAAGUGUAGGAUGUCACAUGGCGGUCGACGGCAUGAGGUGAAGGUCAAGCGCGAAAGGUUCAUGCCGAUGUACUAGGGCUGUGAAGGGUGGACACAAGUAGGUUUGGACUAAGGGAAUCGAGGAGUCCUGGCGGAGUCAUGGGAGAUCCACAUGGUGCACGGAAGAGCAAGAGUACACGGACGGUAAUGGAGACGACGUCGGUCGAGUCAAGAAAGACGGGGACAAGUCGAGUAGGAGGCCCGGGAGCCGGGAGCGAAAGACUUGGAGGCGUCGAAGACUUGGUGGAGGCUGGACACGUGUCGACAUCGAUGAGUCACGGGUUGUGGGGCAUGCAAGAGGAUUUGACCACGAGUGAGUCACGCUAGGUGGGUGUGCAGAGGGUUUGGGUGGUUUGGACCUCAAAACCACCGCGCAGGCAGGUUUGCCAGUUUGGGCCUCAAAACCAGGGGCGAGUUCGGUGCAGCCGGACAAUGUCGAGUUAGAGGACACGUGGCACCAUCGCGAAGCUUGCGUCGAGGCGAAGCGAAGUCGUGAAGGCGUCAGCUCCGUCCGAUGAACGAAGAAAAAGUUGGACGACUUUACCCCUGGGGGUAUUUGGGUUGUGUGCUUAAUGUAAGGGUAUUUUGGACAUUUGCCAAAUGCCUAUAUAUGUAUAGGAGGGCUGUUUGGGGCAGCCAUCCCUUUGGUUGUUUUGGUGGGAGUUUUCUCAUUUAUUUUGUGAGAGCCUUUAGUAGAGGGAGAGAGGAGAGAUAUUUGUGUUGAUAUUUUUGCCAUCCUAGCUUGGAUUGUGCUUACGAGUGGCUUGUAACCAGAUAUGGUGAGGUAAUCCAAGAAUCAAUUUCGUGCUCAAUUGCUUCUCCUUCUCAAGAUUUGAAAUUUAUCUUUUUUCCUAUUUUUGAAGCAUUUUUGGUGAAUUUUUGGAUCUCACGAUUGGCCACGAUUUGGGUGUUUUUCUUUGAGCAAAUCGGUGCUAGGAUAUGUGCAAGAAUAUCUAGGAUCAUCCCCUAGAAAAUCCAUGCAUGAGCACCUUGAAUUUUGAGUUUUCCCGAAAAUCCCCUUUCUUGUGCCUUUCCUAAAUCCUUUGAAUCCGGUGACCAAUUCUUGGGCUUUUUAACUUGAGACUUUCGGUAUACCUUUGGUAUGUUGUUGUGAGUCUAUGGUUCAAAUUUCGUGAUCUUUGGAGGUCGUUUGAUCGAGUUUCGAAUUUUUCUUCUCUCCUCACGAAGGCUGAUUUCUGGAAUUCCGGAAGAUUUCGAAAAUUUCCGGACCUCUGGAAGUUUCUGAAGGUUUCUCUGGAAAUCUCCGAAAAUCCAGAAUUUUCUGAAGGUUCUUUCGGAUUUUUCCGAACUGAGGUGUUAUUUUUCAAAGUCCUUCCGAUACUUGUUUGGACUCUUUCUUGCUUCGGCUAUUCUCAAAUUGGGUUCCUAGCAUCAUUCCUAGGUCCAUUAGCUCAUACAUAGCUAAGUGGACUUGAUUUUGAUCGAAGAGAGAAUUUUUAACACAAGAAAACAUCACUGAAAAAUUAAGUAAAAAUAUUGUAAAACUAUCAAAUUGCCUCUAGUAUUUAAAUAAAAUAACAUGAGGCAUAGUUGCAUAGUAGAAAUCGGAGUUGCUUCACAAGUUUGAAUUUCGACAAUAAACAACAAUGCAUGGUCAAGAUGCUCCAUUAUGCUCAAAUGAUGCUCAUGAUGCUCAAUUUUGAAGAGAUCUACCACUUUUACAUUGCCAAAAUUUGAGUUCUUAUAUAAAAUUUGUUUUUACUUGCUCCCCAAGUGCUUUAGUACAAAGGUGUUUAACACUUAGUCAUUUAGAGUUAGCUUUGAUUUAUUCCUUAAUCACUUUGAUGUUAUUUUGAUUUAGUCUCUUAAUUACUAGGGAUGUCACACCCAUAAUCGACGUAGGGGCCCCAUCGACAGUCGCCACGUGGAGGUUGAUCACGAGGGGGGCCAGAGGCGGUUCGGCCGAUCCAAGGGUUCUGCCGAACCCCUGGUGGCCCCCCUCGCAACCGCCUUUCUCCGGGUGACUGCCUGGUGAGUUCCAAUGGCGGUUGUGUGUGUUAUCCGGUAAAUUGAGGCGGUUGUGGUAGUUUGUGGGCCCUUCAAUCCAUGGGAUGCACACGUGGCAACCUCCCAUUGGUCAGAUUUGUGUUUCUUUGCUCCUUAGAGUGUGCUUUCUCCUUCCUUUUGUGCUUUUUCACUUGUAAUAAAAUAUUCUCUAAGGACAAGUGGAACUACAUUAUUCUUAACUAAGUAUGCGUGAAAGAAAUGUCAAUCUUCCUUUAUUCUUGAGAAUAUUGAUGGUCAUAUUUGGUACUUAAUGACCGUCAACAAAGGUGGCGUUGUUUCUUUUAAGUCUUGCAAGCAGACCAUCUUAACGAGGUCAAUAAUGGAAGCAGAACUCACAUCACUGGAUAUUGCCAGAGUUGAGGCUGAAUAACUUCGUUAUCUCUUGAUGGAUUUUCUAGGGUUGAGAAACCGAUAUCGGCUAUCCUAAUGAACUGUGAUAAUCAAACUGUAAUUGUCAAAAUAAACAGUUCAUGAGACAACAUGAAGUUAUCAAGGUAUGUGAAAAGGCGAUUGAAGUCUGUCGGUAAAAUAAGAAACUCUGGAGUAAUAGCUUUGGACUAUGUCCAGACUACUAAAAAUCUGGCAAAUCCGUUUACUAAAGGUCUUUCACGAAAUGUGAUUAACGAGGCAUCGAGGGAGUUGGGAUUGAGACCCACAUGAGAGUUAUGUCAUAGUGGUUACCUGUCCUAUUUGCUCGGAGAUCCCGUGAAUUAGGAUGGUAAAAGAAACUAUUGGCUAACAGUGAAGGAGAGUACUUUUGUACAAACCCAUCCCUUUGGAGAUGCAUUCUCUCCUUUUCUGCAUGACAAGUUGGUUAAUACCUUAAUGUGAUCCAAGUGGCUUAUUUUAAAGCAAAGAUGUUUACCUGCAAAAAUAUCUUUUGAGGAAUACACCUAUAUGAGUUUGACUACUAGUCACAGUCUAUGAGAUUGGGUAAUCUCUACAGACUCAUGAAAGACCCUGAAGUAUGACUUUUAUGCUUCAACCAGAGGGGAUGCAUUUUGCAGCCUAGUAUCGGUUAAGGACAUAAGUGAAACUUGUUCACACAAAACUGUUAAUUCAAGGCAUAAUCCAUUGUUCAACUGUGGACAAAUGUAGCUUAUGCUCUAGGUGGAUGUUCAACCUUAUCAAGAUCUCCAUCGAAAAACUGAUAUAUCAAAUAGUAGUGGAACUGAACAUGUGCCUUGUAAUUUGGUGGGGAUUGUUAGAUUAAAUGAGUUGGCGACCUAUUAAUUCAAUUAAAUCCCAAGGCCCAUGCACAUGGUGGUAGUUACAUUUGGAAUAAAACCACCUUGGAAGUUGAGAGUGUCCCUAACCAACUUAUAAGGUGGAGCCAUGCUACACCUAUUGAGAAGUUGAGGAAGGGAUAGCAGGAUGCCACACGCAAGUGCACUCUCGCUCGCCUCGCUGAGCCGAGCCAUGCUGUGCUGUGCCGUGCCAAGCCGCGAUGUGACAUGACCGAGCGGCCGGCCGGACAUGAUGUGUGUGUUGGAGGUAUGCCCUAGAGGCAAUCAUAGAGAUGAUGAUAUUCCAUUUUGUAUCCAUGAUUUGUAUAUUGUGUUCAUUGAAUAUCCAUUAAAGGCUACUUGAAUUGAUUUGCAAUUAUGUGAAUUGUAUGUGAAACUCUUUACUUGUAUGGUUAUUCUAAAGUUGUCCCUAGUCGGAGUUCAUGUGAGGACACACAUGAAUAUUAGACUAGCACAUGUAUUAGUUGAUGACUAUGUUUCACAAGUCAUGGACAUCGAGAUGUUGAACUAAUAGUGUGGACACAUGUGGAGACAUGUGUUAGGACUGACCCAACACGAGAAGUAGUUCUCUCUUUAAAUAACAUAUACGCUUUGUCCUUAGACCUGAGAUUGUCGCAUAUUUUCAAGAUGUGGAUCGACCUACUUAGGGGCUAUCAAACGCUACGCCGUAACAGGGUAGUUAUAAAGGUAGCUUUCGGGCUUGUCAAGAAGCAUGCUAUGAGACAUGGUCAAUCAAGAUGGGAUUUGCCCCUCUCUGAUUGAGAGUGAUAUCUCUGGGCCCCUCGAGUGAUCGGAUCCGAAAAUGCAUGGCCAUGCUACGUACGGUUAAGAGUUAACCUACAAAGGGAUUCCGAAUCACAGGAUCGAGAAAGAGCGGUCGGCUUGAAGCUAGACCAAAUAUCGUGAGGCAAAGGGAAUAGCAUGUAUAUUAUGUUGUGAUGGUUCGUCUGAUAUGAUCUUCGUGUGCGUAUAGGAGUUGGCACGUCUUGCUAGAGGCCGCUACCGACUAUUGGGCCGAGUAGGAGUACUCGGGCCAUGUCUAUACGUAUCCGAACCCAUAGGGUCACACACUUAAGGGGCUGGAAGCCCAAUUCGGAUCUGAUCCGAGUUGGAUUAGGUUUAGAAGUGCUAAUGGGCCUCGGAUCCAGAGGCCCGUCAGGAACCUCUAUAAAUAGAGGGGUGGGGGCGCCCUAGGGUUUACACCUUUUGGCGAAACACACCUGCCGCGCCUCCCACACCCUCGCCUGUUGCAACUCGCGGAUCUAGCAGUCCGGCUUGCGACGCUUCCUCCCUGCACGUGUGGAUACCUUGGAGGUGUUGCGCCUGCAGCACUUGGACGAGCCAUCGACGAGCCGCCGACGAGCCACGACGAGCCGACGACGAGCCGCGGCACCGGAGGCGAUCUUGCUGCACGUGGACGAGCUGCUGAGGAGCUGCUGGACGUGAUCGACUACGUACGACUACGUUGAUCGACUAUGUACGACUACGUGAUCGUCUUCACUGCAUCGACGCAUAUCUACAUCUUCCGCACCAGUAGUGCGUCGAGUGGUAAUCCCGUGAUCCUUAUACGACAGUUCUUCCUGGUUAUACGCGGUAGAAUUUUUGAAUUGCGCUAGUGUAGCCUACCUCGUAUCCCUACAGUGUGGGCUGGGCUUGGACGGGUUUUGCAGUUUUUAAUCUCAGUUUGAUGACUAGUAAGUGAUGCUAGUUGAUUGCUAGUUGUUAGUGACUAGUAACUGACUAGCUAGCACAAAUGACUUGUAACUGAUGAACGUUACCAAUAACUGUCAGUUCUGAUGGCUGCCAAAUUACUGCAAUUAACAUGGACGCUCAAGGGUCUCUGCGUCCUAUAAGAUAGGUGCUCCUUCUCUGUCUUCCACGUACUACACACACCACCGGAGCUCCUCCACUGCUGCAUUGCAUUUUUGCUAUCCCCAUUCUGGCGAUCUGUGUGCAUGGACUUCACCCAAAGAGCAGGCCUUCGAAGCUGCGCCCUUGCCGGAGACUCUGCACCCGAGGAGUAGAAGGGCGAUCAAGUUUUUGGGAAGCGCGUUUGCACAAAUGCUCACUACGCACAUGUACUUCCUAGAGGCGCAACUGCACUGCGAUCACUUGCACUGCAUUGACCUCUGAUCGACUACAUCGAACAGGCUCGACUAACGAUGUCGGGUAACGGCGCAUUCGGUUCCUCCGAAACUGGCCCCGCCUCAUGGUACUUCCUCGUGAAUUUUCUAGUUUAGUUCUUGUGUUCCAUAGUAUACAUUGCAUGUUUUAUGUUCACAGCAAAUACAAUAGACCAUACUCCUGUUUAUGCUAUCUUUUAUGUCAUGAUUUAUGUUUUACUUCGGAUUAAAGUGAUAAAGUGAACCAUAAAAUGCCUCUAAUUCCAACAAUUGUUACUUAUUCUUCAACUUGUAAAAUUAACUCACAAACCAACAUGAACAAGAGAUUACAUGUGACCAGUCUUGCAAAUUUGGAAAAGGAAAAAGAAAACUAGAACAUCAAAGUCGAGGUAUAUUUGUAAUUCUUUCUUUGUUCGGUGAUGAGAGAGAUAUAAGUGGUAGCUAUUAUAGAGUUAUUUCAUUAAAAAUAAACCAGGUCUUCUUUUGUUUCGUCUGUUGUCACUUUGUAUUGCAAUCUCCCAUCCAUCUCCCAAGCAUUUCCACUUAUAGAGUCAGCACCUCAGUGCUGUAUCGAUCCAUCUCCCAAUGCUAAUUUGAUUUUUCUUUCUCAAAUUUGUAUGCAUGGCCUCCCAAUGUCACACUGAUUUGCUCUUCAUUUAAACUCAUAGUCUUCAACACAUUAGUUCGCUCUUGACUUGUGUGCUACAAAUGUUUGCUCCCAACUUCCGUACUGAUCUUCCCUGGAUUUUUUUCAGAGGAACUAUCCCAUCUUGACUUCAAAUUAUUCUGAUUAGACCUGAGAUCAAUUUUAAUUUGGUUUCUUAAGUGGUGAUAGUUUUUCUUAUCACUUUGAAACACGGAGGAAUUUUGAUUUUUGACAUUCAUAUUUUUUCGUUUUACUAUUGUUUAUUAGCAACUCAGAUGGUGAGAAGGCUCAAUUUAUUGUGUUAGAACUUAGAAGGAACACCCGCAUGGUGGACAAAGCAACAUGUAUGCUACGGUGUGAGGCUGUUAUCAAAAUCAUAUCCAACUAACUAAGGGCUUGUUCAAAUUGGAGAGGAUUGGAGGGGAUUAAAUCCUCUAAAGUCAAAACCCCCCUCGAUCCUUCAAUCCCCUCAAUCUCCUUAAGGAAGGGAUUAACUGGAAAAGCCCUAAGUGGAACUCUAUGGACACAUGUGAUUGUUUAAAUUUGUUGGAAAAUGUCAUAUUUUUUAAGAAUAAUAGCAUUGGUGUUUUAUGGUAUCAAAUGUGUAUUGCGUACUUUCGGUAUAUAAUAACAUAGGGACAUUUCCGUGACUUUGGUUGAUGCUAGGGAUGAAGAGAUAAGAGAGACUUAGGUGAUACUUAGAUUGGAAGCAAGGCAGAGAUUAGCUAGAAGUGUGAGAAGUGAAGCUCUGUUUUACAUAGAGAUAUCAUUGUAGAAUUUCUAUCAACACCAAAUGAAUAAUAGGAGAGGAAGAUAAAUCUAUGUAUAAAUAUUUUUUAUAUAUUUAUUUUACAUAUUCAGUUUUUCUUUCUUCUAAGAAGGCCUCUAUCAUCAUAGGAUGCUAGGAACUGGGGUUCUAUGCCUCCCCCCCCCCCCAAACACUGUAGUGGGAGUGCAGCUGUGAGGAUUCGAUCCUUGAGUGCCUAGUUUCGUGUGUGGUUGGUCACCGAGGUUCUCUUCCUCUUCCAUUUCUACAUACUUAUUUCGUGUGUGGUUGGUUUCCAUGUUAAUAAAGUUAUCUUUGGAACUAUUUCAUUUGGAUAUUUUGACAACAUUCGCAGAGCUUACUAAGUUUUGUUGAUAGUUUUGAUGUUGAAUGGAUGGAGCAAUGUAACUCCAAUGUUGUGGGAUAGUUUAGAUUUUCUCUUUGAAUAUUGAUAUCGCCACAUAACUGCUUAUAAGGUAAGAGACUAAGUGGGGCAUGAAAUUCAUUUUUAGCAUAGUGUGUAUCAUAGCAAGCUAUCAACAUAACAAUUACAUAUGAUGCAUGAAACUUACAAGUGUGUUGCCACCAAACAAGCUAAGUCAUGGCCUUGUGUGGUUUUCAUUUGGUUGUCUACGAGCAAAAACUAUGUAUAAGUGCUAACUUUAAAACCUACGCCCUCCAUCCAAAAAACGAGUCAUUCGGUGAUUCAAAAUUUGUCCAAAAAAUGAGUCGUUGUACUCGAUUUGGCAUGUGUGCAUGUGCAUGUGGACAUGCAGCAAUCAAUUAGCACCAAAUAUGACUAAUAAUUAGGAGCAAUUGAGGUCAUUUUACCUGUUGUUAAUCUGUCCUAAAAUUUCUAGGAUGACUUAUUUUUUUAUAGAGAGAGUAUGACUUAGUUGGAACUUUUUUCAAUAUUGAAAACUUGUUGCAGUUUAGUUGGAUUUGUAAAAGGGUGCAAAAGCUCAGUUUUAAGUUCCUAUGCAAAUUUCAAUAAUUUGAGGAUUUCCACUUCCAUCAAUUUUUUUUACGGGCAUCACCAUGGCAUUCGUUGGUAAUCACUAAUCUCUACAAUUAAGGGGUGUUUGGCAGCACUCUAUUCCAGAAAAAACAGGUCCACUUCACCAAGUCCACAAAAUUGCUUGCCAAAUAAGUCCAGCUCCACGAACUCCAACUCAAAAAAAAUGUGGAGCUAGGGGUCAGAUCCACGUUUUUCCUAAAGUACCUUAGGGGGUGCUCCAAAAACAUCAAGUUUCAUACUUCCUCAUGGAGUUGGGGGUUAUUUAUCUACCUUUGCCACUCGUUACACAACGUACCCGUUCAUUUCUAAUUUUUCCUUUCCGUUCUUGCCAUCUUCAUUUCUUCCCUCUGUCCGUUGCCCGCCGGCACCGCGCCGCCCUCGCCAGUCAGCGCUGUGCUCCCCACGUGGCCCUCGCCCAACGGAGCCGUGCUAGUGCACUACCCGCGCCGCCGUCGCCCUCCGAAGCUGUGCCGCCCUCACCCUCCUCGAGCGCGGCCUGCCGCCCCUGCUCACCGAACCUCGUCGCCCCUGCUCGCUACGGUCGCGCGGCCCAUGCUCGCUGGACCUCGCCGCCCCUACCCACUAGGGCCGCGGGGCUGCACUCUCUUAUCCUUUCCACAUCACCGGCCUCAUCUCUUCCUCCUCCUUAUUCUCCCCCUUUCUUCUUCCUCCAGCCAGGUCAAUCCAAAAGUAGAGCCGAGUCGAGCACCUUUGAUCCACCGCCCAAAUUUGCCCCUCUCCCUCCACGAAAAUCAAAUCGCCACCAAUCGAACCUCCCUCACCUCUCCAGCUCCACCCUCAGCCACUCCUCGCAGCCGGCCAUGGCUCCUACAGCUGCAGGCUGAAGUUUCCCUGUCCACUGGGUCCACGAGCCGCCGUCGGCUACCCUCACAUUGACGGCCUAGCUCCGGCCACCUCUCCCCAAGCUGACCAUCUUGGUGAGCUACACACAAUGCACUGAUGCUCAUCUCCCCCUCGUCUUCACUUUUUCGGUGACUUUCCACAGCGGUUCACCGCGCCGCCGCUUGUCGCCGGCCAUGCUCCGGGCGGCAUACAUGCGCGACAAGCACAUGGGUAGAUGCGCCUCAUGUCGCCAAUCACCUUGGGUGUGUCGUUGUCACCGGCCGGCUCACCGCCGGUGAGAUAUCGCCGGUCAAAGCUGGUGAACUCCAGCUUUGACUCGGUCUUGACCGGCCUGGAUCUGUUGACCCUUGCCCCACGCGUUAGCGACCGUAGAGGAAGGUGGCUUGGUAAAGCUGAGUAGGAAAAGUUUGAGUAGGAAAAGAAGAGAGAUGAGACUGACAUGUGGACCCAUCCACAAAGGGCAAAAUAGACUAUUCAUAGCAAGUCUCCAUAUUUGUAGAGCUGCGGCACUGCAAUCAGCCAAACACAUGCAACAACUACAGUAUUUUUAUGGAGUUGGUGGAGUAGAGUUGAGGUGGAGUGGAGAUAUAAAAUUUAUAGUGGAGUGCUGCCAAAAGUGGCAACAAAAUCACGGUGAAGCCGUCAGCCUGCCCCGAGUUAGUUACUUGUCUCUCCUCUCUGAUUGUCGCAAGUCCCGGACUCCGGCGCAACCGCCGCAGCAACUCUUCGAUCGUGCACAACCAGUGCCUCAGUCGGCCUGUGCAUCCCAAGUUCCUGACACCGAGUACAGCCGUCGGCCGGUGUGUCGUCCCUCGCCUUAGACAACCAUCGAUCUACCGUUGAGGUCAAACAGGCGGCGCGCCGACUGGAAUUUAUCUCUACAGCCGUCGAAGCCAGGGGCGUAGCUAGAAUUUUCGUAUGGAGGGGGCAAUGUAAACAAUACUUAAUGGACUACAUGUUUAAAUUUAGUAUACUAGUGCAUGAUUUCAAUUUCAAUUUAACUUAAUAGACUACAUAUUUUUUAUCAUGUGCACAAACAGAGCAGUAACCAAUAAUCAUUCAAUUCAUCACUAUUUUUCUGGCUCACCUACUAAAAAACUAAAGGGAUGUUUGGAUACAAGGUGUUAAACUUUAGUAGGGUCACAACGGAUAUUCGAAUGCUAAUUAAGAGAACUAAAUAUGAGCUAAUUACAAAACUAAUUGCACAGAUGGAGUCUAAUUCGCGAGACGAAUCUAUUAAGGCUAAUUAAUCCAUCAUUAGCAAAUGUUACUUCAGCACCACAUUGUCAAAUCAUGAACUAAUUAGGCUUAAUAGAUUCAUCUCGCGAAUUAGACUCCAUUUGUGCAAUUAGUUUUGUAAUUAGAUUAUAUUUAAUACUUUUAAUUAGUAUUCAAACAUCCGGUACGAUAGGUGCUAAAGUUUAGCAGUGUAUCAAACACCCUCUAAAUAUAAAGUAUAUAUUUGCAGAAACAUCCAAACAACCUCUAAAUAUACAGUCUAUGUUUGUAGAAACACUAGGGGCCAUGACUAAAGUUGGCCAGACGGGCCGCCCAGCACGGCACUGGCACGAGCACUAUCUGGCACGGCACUAUAUGGCACGGCACUAUAUGGCACGGCACUAACAGGCACGAUCACUUAGCCGUGCCAUGCCGUGUAGUGCCGUCGUGCCUAACUGUCGGCACAGGCACGACACUAACAGCCAGUUAGCGUGCCAUGCCGUGCCAUAGGGCAUGACGGCACUGCAGUGCCCGUGCCGGCACUGGCACUAAGUGUGCCUACCAAACUCACAAACACAUAGUAACAAAGUAACAAAGUCACAAGCAAUUUAUAACUUAUCUUGUUGUAUUCACAAACAUAAAGUAACAAAGUCACAACACAGUCACACAGAGUCACAGAGAUAACAAAAUAACAUUUUAUUGGGAGCUUUAGUGUAAUGGCUGCCUCAUUAAAAACCUAUCUAGGUAAAACUCACCCUUGUGAGAAACCCUAGACAGGAAAAAAGAGUGCAGCCCAGCUCCAAUUAUAAAGUUCAUCACAGUCCAGUACUUAAUGUUACAGUCCCAUUACAUAAAUGAUAACUAAUCAAGAUAAAGUUCUUCAAAAGCUUCUUCAAGUUCCUUGUCCUCCACCAUGUGCUGCAGCCUUGCUUCUGCAGCCUCCCAGUCUUUGAUGCAGGUAAGCAUCUCCACCAUGUCAGGCUUUAGCUUCCUCCGCCGCUCCUCGAUGAUCCUGCCAGUCAUACUAAAAGUGGAUUCUGAAGAUAUGGUUGAAACAGGAACAGUUAAUAUAUCCUUAGCCAUGGUUGACAACACUGGAUAUGUGAGUUUGUGUUGAUGCCACCUGUUCAAGAUGUUAAAAUCAUCAUCUAAAUGGUUCACUGUGUCACAGUCCAAGUAAGAAACAAGUUCAGAAACAUUACCACCUAAAGAACUUGCAGCCUACAGAAGGGCAGUUGCAGAUGUAUCUCUAGCCAUGCUUAGAGUAGCAGCUAGAGUAUGCAUGCCACCAGCAGAACCAACAUCAUCAUCAUCAUAAAUUUCAUCCCAAGCAGAUCUUUUCUUACCAGAUAGGUGAGGAGGUACAGUCCUCCUCAACCUAACACCUCCAUAUUUCUCCUCAUACUUGUUGUAGACAUCAGUAAGUCGAGCUCUAGUGCUAACCUGGUAAGCACUGUAAUCUGUACUGGUAAGGGUACCCAACCUCCUGAGCACUCUAUUGAAACCUUUCAUUUUAGCUCUAGGGUCCACGAUGAAUGCAAAAGAAUAAAGCAAAGGUAUGUCCCUCCAGUAUUUGUUAUACUUGUCUAUCAUAGGUUGAACCACAUGUCUGAUGUGAAUAUCAUUAGCAUAAUUCUUUAAGUGCAUAGCAAUCUUAACAAGAUAAUGAAUCAUAAGUGAAGAUGUAGGAUAGUACACACCAGACAAUGCAACUCUAGCAUCAUAAAACAGUUCAAGAAAUCUUAGCACUUUUUCUGCCAUAGCCCAAUUAUAAUCAGAUAAAAGCAACUGAUCACCUUCAACCCUAGGAUAUUGAGCAACGAUGAAAGUUGUGAAUGGGACCUUAUGAGGAAACAAAUGCUUAAGCAUUAGAUAUGUAGAAUUCCACCUAACUUCCAUGUCUAGCUGAAACUUUCUAGGCCUAACACCAGUGGCAAUGCAAUAACUUUUAUAUGCAGCAAUUCUCUGAUUAGAUGAGUUUAAGAAAGAUAUUGCAAUUCUAAACUUCUCAAUCAAUGGCUUAAGAGUAGUUAGAGCCUCCUUAACAAUCAGAUUGAUAAUAUGGCAUGCACAACACUGAUGCAAGAACAAAGAAUUAACUGAAUGUGCAUUGUCAUCCCUAUCAUCAUCCACAACUUCAAUACCAAGAUAUUUAGAAAGAAUAGGUCUAAGCUUUUGCAUGGCUGAAACAUUAGAUGAUGCAUUGUCCAAAGUAAAAGCAAAAACUUUUCAGUCAAACAAUAGUCAUCAAGCACAGAUGCAACACGAUCAAUAAUAUUUUGACCAUUGUGUGAACAAUCAAUCAGCCUAAGACCAAGCACUCUCUUCUCUAGUUGCCAAUCAGAGUUUAUGUAGUGAGCAACAACACUGAGGUAGUCCUCUUUGGCAUUACCAGACCAAAUAUCAGAGGUUAGACACACACAAUUAACACUAGCAGAUUUCACAAUCUCAACAAGCUUAGCCUUGCAAUCAUUGAAGUAUUUUAGCAGGUCUCUAGUGGUGGUUUGCCUAGAUACUGCAACAAAUUUAGGAUUAUGGGCAGUUCUAAUGUAAUCUUCAAGUGCAUAAGAUUCACCCAAAGAGACAGGAACAUCAAGCCUAGCAAGCAGUCUAACAAGUUGAGUACGAGCAACCAUAUGACAGUACUCCCAAUUACGAAUACUACCAUCAGGAUUAAAAGAGAUUUGUGAUUGAGACAUGCGAGUUUUCUCACACCUUCUAGGGCAUCUAUCCCUAUGGCGGGUGAGGUGACCAGUGCCACCACUAGAGCGCCCAAAGUACUCCUUAGAGCAAUGGAUGCAUUUAGCUCCAUAUCUUACCUUCUUACCUUUCACCAUUUUGAAUAUCUUCUUGAAAUCAAGCCACACGGCCGAGGUAGAGGGGCGUGAGCGCUUACCAUUGUUCUCUUCCCCGUCCCUGUCCACUUCUUGGUCAUCGCAGGGCUCGAGGACGAUGGGAGGUUGAGGUCGAGCCACACGGCCGAAGAGCUCCGCGGCAUCCUCGCGCAUGUCAUCCUCGUCAUCAUCUCCGGCCAACCCGCAAAGCCGCCUCUCUUGGUUCGACCCACCCUGAACCGUCUCGUCGUCGUCGGAUCCGGCCAUCGUCACACGCCCGCGCCCUGGUUCCUCAACGGCUACACAAAAACAAGAGUUAGGGUUAGGGAUAAGAGAUCAAUUGAGCAAGGGUUAGGGUUAGGGUUUCCUACCUUGAUAGCCGGAGCACCGGAGUCGCCGGCGACGUUGACGAAGCACAGAUCCAGCGAGACCGACUACGGAUCCGGCGAGUUCUAAUGCGGAUCCAGCGAGAUCGACGCGGGGCCGAGACCUGGCGAGGCCAACACGGAGAUGACGAGAAGGACGACGCGAAGCGAGAAUGCGAGAUCAAGAAUAGGUGAUAGGAGUAUACAUGGCCGUGCCGUGUGCAAGUGCCGGCGGAGGCCGGAGGUCACCGGAGGGGGAGGAGAAGGGCAGAAGGGAGGGGAUCCGGGGAGGGAGGCGGAGAGAGCUGAGAGCUAGAGAGAGAGGAGAGCGAGCGAAGAGAGAGAGAGGAGCGGCGCAAAUGAGCUAGGGUUACGGAUGGGGGUGCGGGUCGCAGCGGCCUCGCUUAUAUACGCGCCCCCGCCAACGGUCGGAUCGACGGUCGGAUGGAGCGGGGGAGGAGGAUCCAACAGCUGAUAUCCGUUUCAGCCGUGCCUUAUGCGGGCCGGCCCAUUAAGCGUGCCGUGCCCGUGCCGGCACUACGGGCCGAAUAAGCGGCCCAGACACGGCACUAACGCCGGGCCAUGCCUAGCACUAGCACGAUGGCUCACGGGCCAGGCCCUUUUCAACCGUGCUUCUUUGUGUCGUGCUCGGGCCGGCCCAUCGUGUUAGUGCCAAAUGGAAAUCUGUAGCCAUGACCCUGCCAGCCCGCCUUGGCUACGCCAGUGGCCGGAGCAGGUUACCUUCUCUCCGUCUCCAACCCACACGCUGCCCGCCCUCGGUCACUAGCGCUUGGUGUUGUGCAGGCCAAUCACUACUCACGCUCGGUGUUGUGCAGGACUCAGUAGAACCGAAUUGAAGAAGUGCCGGGGUGCCAUCUGCGCGUGCGGCGUGCCUCCGCGUCUCCUAUGCGCUGGGCCACCGGCCGCCGCUGCCGCACCUCGGCGCCUGCCCACCGGGGUGCCAUCUGCGCGUGCGGCGUGCCUGCGUGGCUAUGUGCGCUGGGCUGCCGGCCGCCGCUACCGCGCCUCGGCUCCUGCCUGGCCGUGUCUCCGAAGUUCUAGUGAUCGGAGUUCUAGCGACUCCGCCGGCGUCUUUGAUCUGAAGUGGAGGCCCGUGUAGCCGCUGCUCGCGCAGGCCAAUGCCCACGGCUGCCUCGCGCUCCGACGCCUGGAGCAGGAGGACGGGUCGGACAAGGUUACUAUUCUUUGUCCCUGCAUUUAUCCUUUUACUGUAGCACAAGUGUUGUUCACUUGCAUAAGCAAUAACAAUGGCAACUCAAAGCUAUAGGCAGUAUGAGGUGCUUAGGUUUCUCCUUAUGUUCACUCGGUAGAUGGAUGAUUGAUGCUUGCGGUUGAUUGAUGCAUAUGCAAUGUUCAUUUGAAGGUAUUGGCUAUAGUUUAGCUUGAAAGUCAUACCAAUUAUUAAUCUGAUGCAGUUGUCGGUAGUUUGUCAUGGCCUCAUAGAAAAGAAGGCUAACUUUCAGAUGAUUGGUGGUGAAAGGAGUUCUCAGGCUCUUGCGUAGCUUUCACUUUAUUCUAAAAAAACAUUUAGUAGGCAGCUUCUGCUUUUGCUUUUGCAUUAUAAGAUUUGCUAGAUGGUUGCCCAGUGCGUAUGGCUUAUCUUGGAAAAAGAAAAAAAAAGAGUUCGCAAGUUCUGAUUUAUUUCGAGCUCUUGAAAGAGGUUUCUUUUUGAAAUGGACUUCAGGAGCUUUUUCAUAAGAAAGAUGUCUGAAGUUCAGAAUUUCAGGGUUUUUAAAUUUAGUGACUAAGACAACCACGUGCUCUGCUACAUAUGCAAUCCGUUUAAGCUUGUUAUCCAAUCAGUUUCAGUUCAUACGUUUUGUAGACAUUCUCAAUCGCUGAGGUUAUAUUCUGAAUGCAAUGGAAAUUCUAUUCGUGCAUUCAUUAGCGUCUUAGGGAGAAGGAGAACUGCGGCCAUAAGAUGGAACAGUAUCAGCAGAGGUUCUUCUACCCAUCAGGGCAGUACAAUUCAGAGGGGUUUGCUGAAUUAGACAGAAAGCUCAGAAAAAGAGGUAAUCAUAACAUUACUUGAGUUUAGAUUUAAAAUUCAGCAACCAUCAAUCCUUUAUAAUAUGAUUAGCAAGAAAUCAUAUUCCUAAGCUGCUACAAGAUUUAGUGCAUGUACCUUGGCUCUCUUGAAAAAUUUGCAGAUAGUUGUCAUGCGUGACCAUUAAAUACCUUCUGGCUGCAUGCCAAGAACACAUCUCCCUUUUCCCACCUGUGCUUGCACUUUUUUCUGUUUCAGACAAUGAUUGACUGGCUGAACGACUCUCGACAGGGCCAAUGAAACAGAUGGACAAGAAUAUUAUCUCAGGAUCAGAUGUGUGAUGCAUUGUGUCAGAACUAUGGCUGCUGGUUGCUUUAAUACAAAUUCAAUCACCACACCCUUCAAUUUGUAUUUGCAGUGUUAGAUCAGAUUGGCAGAAUCAUUUUCAAGGAAUUCUGAACUUUUGGCAUUGCCAGCGUCAUGCAUAACAUUUAUCGUGAAAUCCAAAUUGAAGAACAUUUAUGUUAUUCACAAGAUUUAGAUGAGUAAGGAAGGAUGAAAGGUAUUUUGAUUCAUAACAGUUUAGUUUCUUUUGCCAUUUGAGCUGGAGUCUUAUAGAAUGCUAGAAUUCUUAGACAAUCAAAUGUUUUUACUCUCUCUUUCUCUCCCUCCCUCUCGGAGGCCAUUCAUGACUUCACAUGUGUGAUCCGCUCACGUUUGCCAUACUCUGAUCUCUUGCUUGCUUUGUAAAAGCAAUCACCAUCCUAACAAUGGUCUCCUGUUUCCUUUGCAUGUCAGAUGGACACUGCCUUUGGAGUUGCAGUGGAGAUGCCCUGUUGUGUCAUUGGGGACGGGUGGGAGGAAAAACUAUGGAUUGUGCCAAUAUGGGAUUUUGCAACUGCAACUAAUCACUCUUCCUUAUCUGCAGAUUGGGCAAUUUUAUACAGUAGAGAAACAUUGCCUCUGUUGCAAGGAGAUUUUGUUACUACUCGGACAUUAUACAAGCCAAUACUUUUUCCUAAACUUCCGUGAUGGACAUUAGCAUCCAGCUUGUGUGAAUGUAUGCAUACAUCCAUUCUGACAUCUUUUAGAUGUUAUGAUUUAUGAUGCUACUUUUCAAAAUAGCAAUAGUUUAGAGUUUCGUCAUAUGUUUUCCCCUUCUUAGUACUUGCAAAUAUGAGACAGUUUUGAAACUAUGUUCUUGAUGCGGUGUCUAUUAUUGCAAGCAGUUAAGAGUUCUAUGAAAUAAAAUAACUGAAGCUUCUAUGAAAUAAAAGUCAUUAAGUGUGGCUUUGGAAAUGAUUUGUUAAGAAAGGUUAUGUCUUCACUAUAUUGUCUUAAUCCGUAGCAAUGCACGGACACGAACCUGACCUAGUACUCCUAUCUUUACCUAUUAUUAAAGCAAGUAACGUUUCUACCUGGAUUUUUCGUCCGUCGGGCUAUUUUUCAAAAAAACCCCUGACAUUUCGUGAAAUCAACCCGCAGUCCAAAUGCUAAACAGAUGAGGGGCUCGGGUGGAAAAAAGGAGGGAAGGGAGGGGGUUAAACCGAAACAACGCUUCUGCCACGCAUCGCUCGCUCGCUCGCCAAAUCAGUCACCCCUCCGUCCGCCUCUAUCGGAUCCGCGCCCCCGCCACCCACGAACUCGUUAGCGGCCACCAGAGGAGGAGGAGGGCGCGAUGGACGACGGCGGGAUCCAGGAGGAGCCGCCGACGGUGCGGUUCCUGACGCCGACGCGCUCAGGGGGCUCGCGCUGGGUGGACGGCAGCGAGGUCGACUCGUCUGAGUCCACGUUGUCAGCUGGGGUCCAGCGCAGGCCCACCCGCCGUGCCGGGGCCGGCGGCCCCAUACCCCAGCUUGACCACGCCGCCGGGGUCACAGUGGCCCACGCUCGACCUGUGCAGCGCCGUGGCCCCCUCCCUCCGAGUCGCGCCCCGCGUCGGAUCUGGAUCUGGCGGGAGCGGGCUGCGGUGGUGGAGAGCAGGGAGGGGCAGCGGAAAGAAGGGAGGGGCGGAGCGGGGGAGCCUGGCGGCGGGGAGCGAGUGCGCCUGGGGAACUCCUGGAGCGGCGGGUGAGGCUUCCCGGCGUGCCCGACGGGGUCCAGGACCUCGGCCACCACGCCGGUUACUUCCGCCUGCCACACACACACGACGCCAGGUGAGCAAGGCCUCAUUGCCUCUUUGCUCUGAGAGAUUAGUAGAAUCCCGCGCUCUUAGGUUCUAAAGCUUUGAUCUUUUGGUGGGAAUUUGCUUUUUUUCCCCUGUAUGAAAUUUAAAUCUCCAACUUAAUUAGUAACGACAGUCCAAUGCGCUCUUGGUUACUGAUGCUUCGAUCUUUGGUUGGGAAUUCUGCAUUGAUUUCUGUGGAAUUAAAUGUGCCAAGAUUUGUAACAGUUCUUCAGAGGAAAACAGUUUCGCCAUCUGAAAUACUAGCUGACUAGCAGUGGAAAGAUACGACCUUGCCCCUUUCCAUGUCCUAGCUUUGCUUGUAGUUGAUGUAAAGAAUAAGCCUUAUAUGAGUUAUAUCUACGAGAAAACUUCGCAAUUCAAACAAUUGAGCGUUUGUGUGCUUGUGAUUGGUGCUGCAGGAUGUUCUACUUCUUCUUCGAAUUGAGAGGAAAGAAGGAGGACCCAGUGUUGAUCUGGCUCUGGGGAGGGCCUGGUUGCAGUAGUGAGUUGGCCGUCUUCUACGAGAACGGGCCCUUCACCGUUGCAAAAUAACAUGUCGCUUGCUUGGAAUAAGUUCGUACACGGUAAAUAAUGAUAUCAUACCCAUGUUAUGAUCCCUGUUAGGUUAGGGAAAAUCAGUCUAAUCACGUAACACCCAAAGUCUGAAACUGAGGUGUUCUAGAGAAAAAAAAGUCUGAAACUGAAUGUUACAAUUUUUUGAUGGAACUAAGUUUGAAGAAGAUGUUAAGACCUAGCUAUUUCGUCCUCUUCCUCGGUUUCUGAUAUGACUUGAUUUCUGCAGAUCUCCAAUAUCAUAUUUGUUGAGACUGGUGUUAGCAAUGACUUAUAUGACUUUCUCCAUGUGCUACUUAUGUAUCAAAUCCAUGGAAUGUGUGAUUACACCAUAUGAGUUUGUUCAGUUUAUUUUUGAAGAGUACUUGAGGAUAGAAACACUGGUUUUAAUCGUUUCAGAAAAUAAAGAACACACUCAAGAUUUUUUUAACCUUUUUACUAAUAAUAAACCUUAACCCACUAGAGUUUCUUGGAACUCACACGGUGUCUAAAUGUGCUGCUGUAGCAAGGAUUUAGCCACACCACAGCCCAUGCCUGGCUAAACGUGUUCUGAUUGAUUUUUUUUAGACCAGCCCAUGCCUGGCUAAACGUGUUCGCAUUGAUUUUUUUUAGCCCAUCCAUCCAUAGCUAGCAUCUGUGUCCCAACAUGGUUCACAGAUUGCAUCCUUUGGGUCUCAUUUGGUUUUUUAUAUGAUUCUACAUAACAGAUUGCAUCCUUUGGGUCUCAUUUGGUUUUUUAUAUGAUUCUACAUAACUAAGUAUAAAUUGACAAUAUUACUAAUUGCACUGGCUUCACGACAACAUGAUAAAAAAUAUGGUGCGCUAUACAACACGAUAAAAAACAUCGCGUGCUAAGCAACGUCGUUUUACCGUAGCAACGCACGGGCAUCUUGCUAGUAAAACUGAAAAAGAAAAAGGUGUCCAAACGCACUGGUGUGGAUCCAAAUGCUGUGAGGGCUUGAUCUGUAUGCGCAACAGGUUGUUUCGUUCAAAAACCACGGCCCAUGGGCUGCAAUAGGAAAACAAAACCAGGAGGGUGUGGGUCCCAGGCCUCAGAGUCCCCCAACCGCCUCGCCUCGCCUCGCCUCGCCGAGGAGGGAUUGGAGUCCAACCCCAACACGGCGACGACGCGACGACAAAAAGACAAGGAAAUCGCCUUCUCCCCCCUCUUCCUCUCUCGCUCGCUCUCCAAUCCCCCACAAAUUCCCCUCUCCUCUCUCGCUCCCGUCGCGAGAGCAAGCGACGACCAGGUACGAAUUCCUCCCCCGCACUCGCGAUUUCCUCAGAUUCAUCCUCCCCGCUCCCCCGAUCGCGAGCUUUCCCCGCCGCGGAACCGUGGAUUUGACCCCAGAUUUCGCAUCCCUUGGCGCCGGGUUAGCCGGGGUUCGGGGAGAUCCGCGGAUUCGUGGCUGCUCGCCGGGGUUGGGGGGUGGCGGGGUGGGGUUAGACGGGUCCUUAGAUUCAUCGGCCCUCCGCUUGGUCUCUUGCUGGGAGGGGGAUUAGGGUUUGUUUUGCUCUUGCCGCGCACCGGAUGCUCUAGUUACCUACCUGCUCGAGGUUGGAUUUAGUACUUUCCGGCGUGAUGUUUGCUUUCCAUUGCUGACUUGAGGGCUCGUAAUUUUGUUGCAGGUGCUGAAUCCCGUGCGCGUUUGAUGGAUGAUGACUGUUCCGAUGGAUAGUGCUACCUCCGCCUCGUCCUCGCGGGACCUCGCGGAGCGCCUCUUCAACAAGGUCUCGAGCCCCUUAGUUUCUUGCGUUUCCGUUGCAUGUUACAGCUAAUACUGCUUUGCCACGGCGGGUUUUUUAUGUGGUGGUGGCCAAUAUCCCGCCUUUUCCGUGAUUUGCAGAUGGCUUGUGCUACUUGUUGGUGUUAUCUGUCAUGUUCCGUAGAUGCUAUAUUAGACUUUGGAAGGAUGUAACUGUGUCUAAGUCAUGUUUUGCAUGCAUUCUGGUUUCUCCAAUGUUGCAAAGAGAUACAGUUGAUAUCAGUCUAUGUGAAGCACUAAUAUAUAAUGAUGACAUCACAAUGUUAUUGUGCAGAACAACGAACUCGAAGAUCAGCUCCGCAAGUCCGUGCAGUCCAAACUCCCAUCAGAUCCCAACACAUGGAUUCAGAUGCGUGACAACUUUGAGAAGAUAAUUCUUACAGAUAAUGACUUCUCUGAACAGAAUGAGGUAGAGUAUCUCCUCUGGCAGUUGCACUACAAAAGAAUCGAGGACUUCAGGAGGAGCAUUAGUGCCGCAAGCUCGGCUGCAUCUCAGAGUGGGAAGAACAAUGCCAACCCAGAUCGAGUCAAGAGAAUUAAAUCAGCCUUCAAAAGCUUCCUUUCAGAAGCAACUGGCUUCUAUCAUGACUUGAUGUUAAAGAUCAAAUCCAAUUGUGGCCUUCCACUCGGUUACUUUCCGGAGGGCUUUGAGAAUGCUAGCAACUCUGACAAGAAAACAGCUCAUUUGAGGAAAGGUUUGAUUUCAUGCCAUCGCUGUCUGAUAUAUUUGGGAGAUCUUGCUCGUUACAAGAGCUUGCAUGGUGAUGGUGAUUCUGCUAGUCGUGAAUAUGCUGCCGCUUCUAGUUACUACAAGGAGGCAGCUUCUAUCUAUCCUUCCAGUGGCAACCCUCAUCAUCAGGUAUGAUCACGUUGCUAUAUUUGCUCAGUUGAUUAUUAUACUCAAUAACUCAGUUUUUUAAUGAUGGCUGCUGUCCUUUUCUUUGUUUUUCCAGCUUGCUAUACUAGCUUCUUACUCAGGCAAUGAGGUGGUAGCUGUUUAUAGGUACUUCCGAAGCUUAGCUGCGGAUACUCCUUUUAGUACUGCACGGGACAACUUGAUUAUUCUUUUUGAGAAGGUAUUUGUGCUAUCCUUCAUUAACUCUGAUCCAUAGUUCUUAUCAUGCUUUCUCAUUUUGGUUUGAUACCUUCGGUAGAACUUGUUUACUACAGUAUGUGAGAAUUAUCAUUUGUUUCCUGACUUGUUUGCCAAUCCUUGUAUUCUUUACCUGAUGAUAUCUGAAUACCAGAUGGUUAAAAUCAUUGUUGGAUUUCUGUUUAGCAUUAUUUUAUUAUUGCUGUUGAUCUAAUAUGUCCUAUGACAAUUGGCACUUACUUUUUACAAUCGUAUAUGACAGAGAUAUAAUGAAAUGUCACUUGGUUUGCAUAUUCAGACAUGGCAAAUGAUUUAUUUGCUCCUCUGUCCUUGUGAAAUCAUGUACAACCGUCGGGCUUCGAAUGUUUUUUUAUGUAAAGCUAUCGUUAGAAUGUCAGUUCAUCUUAAGAUGUUUUUUGUUUUAUUACUCCAGGCACACAAGAGUGCCAGUUUUAUGUGGUCUCCAAUGGCUGACCUUGGGCAAUAACUUGUAUUGUAUAUGCUAAUAGAAUUAUGUGGAGAUAGCUUUUGAGGCAUCUAUACUUGUGCUUUGUCAUAUGUAAAUCUUAUCAUUUUGGUUGAUAUCGAUAGCCCAAGGUAUCAUUCCUUUGUGACUCAGGGAGUAAGCACUAGAUAAGUUGAUGCAUUUGCUCUACUAUAGAUGAACAUAUGUAGUUGAUAGCUAAUGGUGGGAUAAUUUUCCGAUUGUAUGCAUCCGAUAGUCUUGCGUCACUAGUUGUAUUUCAAUCUCCUAGUAUGCUGUCAUAAAGAAUGUUAAAGUUUUGCUGGUCCAUGUAACUUCUGUUCAUCAGAUCAGGUUAACCGUUAUGGCAUUAUCCUUGAUUGUACAGUUUAUCAUUAUUUGUUCAUAAUUUCCUAGUAUCUCCCAUCAUAUUAGCACUACUCUUGAGUAACAGUACCAUCAAACAGAGACCAGACAUAACAGGUCUAAAUUUAUGAAUGUAGCAAUAUGACAUGAAAUGGUGGGCAGGUUAAGGUUUCCUUUUUUCUAUUAAAAGAAUAUAUAUGUUUUCAUCAGCAAAUCGACAUAUGUUUCCAGCUUUGCACUAUAAAGUAGAAAUAAUGAUGGUACAACUUCAUAUGCAGAAUCGUCAAAGCUAUGGACAGCUGCCAGAUAACAAUAAAGUUCCCAUUGCUAAGAUAUUACCCCCACGGUCAUCUGGGAGGGGCCGAGGACGGGGAGAAGUAAGGUUUCAGCCAAAAGAUGUUAAUACAGAAACAGUUGCAAGGGAACGGGAGUGCAAUAUUCCAGAUACAUUGAAGACCUUCUAUAUACGAUUUGUUAGGCUCAAUGGAAUUCUUUUCACGAGGACCAGGUACACUCCAGUCCCUUCAACACUCUUCCCCUUUGUGUCAACCUACCUAAUUAAUAAUUCUUCUUUAUUUUCUCCUUUCUCACAGUUUGGAAACAUUUGGGGAGCUGUUUUCUUCAGUCAGCAAUGAUUUGCAGAUUCUUCUUUCUUCUGGUCUUGAGGAGGAGCUUAAUUUUGGUUCUGAUGCGGCAGAGAAUGCAUUAUCUGUUGUUAGACUUACCGCCAUCCUUAUAUUCACAGUGCACAAUGUAAAGAAAGAACCGGAUAGCCAGUCGUAUGCUGAAAUUGUGCAACGCAGAGUACUGCUUCAAAGUGCGUUUACAGCUGCUUUUGAGUUUGUUGGACGAAUUCUCAGGAGGUGUUCAGAGCUUCGGGAUGUUGCGUCAAGUUUUUAUCUGCCAGCCAUUCUGGUCUACAUCGAAUGGCUGGCAUCCCAUCCAGAAUUGGCUGUUGAUUCAGAGAUGGAGGAAAAACAUGCAAAUGCCCGAUCUUUCUUCUGGAACCAGUGUAUUGCAUUUAUGAAUAAGCUGGUCCUCACGAACCUUGCAGCUGUUGAUGGUGAUGACGAUGAGGCUUGCUUUUCUAAUAUGAGCAUGUAUGAGGAGGGUGAAACUGGCAACAGGCUUGCCCUUUGGGAAGAUCUUGAAUUGAGAGGUUUUUUGCCAUUAGUUCCUGCACAUAUCAUUUUGGAUUUCUCAAGCAAACAUGCAUUUGGAAAUGUUGGAAGCACCAAGGAGAAGAAAGCACGGGUCCAACGGAUUUUUGCCGCAGGGAAGUCACUGCUGAACUUUGUUCAGAUUGAUCAGUUGAGGAUAUUUUUUGAUCCAUCUUCUAAGAAGUUUGUUAUGGCCAAGAAUCCUCCUGUUUCUAAAGUUGAUGCCCCUCUACAUGAAUCUCCUGAUGUUCUUAAAACAAAUGCAAUUGAAAUGGAGCAUGAAGCUGCUAGAAGAUUUGAUUCAGUUUCUGGUAUGAGUGCAAUUCAGUCGAAAGUGCAGUUGUGUCCUGAAGGAGAUGAUGAUGAAGAAAUUGUUUUCAAGCCUACGGCUUCUGAGAAGUUUCCAAAAGCUCCUUCAGACCUGUCAGUUAAUGGAUACACCCAUCCUGUCCCAGUGUCUGCUCCUGGUUGGCCGACCAAUGCUAAUUUAGCGUCUGUUCAGAGCACUGCAUCAAUGUCUGCAGCUGGUAAUUAUAAUAACACUGCAUCUGUAUCAGUUGCUGGUAAUUAUAACAUUAACCAGUCACUUCCCAUUUCUUCGAUUGGUUGGGCUGUCAAUGGUGAGCAAAAGGUGAUUCCUAGUGCUGCUUCAAGAUUUGAACUCAUGCAGCCUGUUGAGGUGCCUGCUUCCAGCUGGACAAGCAAUGGUACACAGCAUGUUGGUCCUCAGAACACAAUUUCAGCUUGCCCAGAUGUUGCCUCUGACCUGCGGGUAUCUGCCUCAAUGGUUCCACAUUUCAAUAGCCCUGAUUAUUCGAAAUUGCUCAGUGAACAAGAAAUGCUCUUGAUGAAUGGAUUGAAGAAUAUCAACAUAACUGGAAAUGGUUAUCUGGAGCAGAGAUUGCAGGCUGGAUUGAGUGGUUUACAGUUUAUGGGGUAUUUACCUCAGAUACCUGUUGAAUCUGGUGGUAACAUUACAAAUUUGAUACAUAAUCAUAUGAAAAUAACUGGAGAGACCAUCCCCUCUACAUUUGAUUCAGUUGUACCUUCAAUAGCACCAUCGGGUGGCGUACCGCUGAAAUUCACUGAAACACCACUAGCUGCUUCAAAGAAGAACCCUGUUAGUCGUCCGUCAAAGCCUGUUGGACCACCUCCAGGAUUUAAUCAUGUUACCCCUAAGCGUCAAGACGAUUCUAUUUCAGUUGAAAAACUGCAGAGCCCACAGGUCGAUGACUACAGCUGGUUGGAUGGCUACCAGCCAUCAAUGGAUCAUGUUCACAAUUUGAGAGCUGUUUAUCCUGGUGUGAGUGCAAGUAGCACUGCAUUCACCACUACAUUCCCCUUUGCUGGGAAACAACAGGUCUCUGGGGUGCACCCGCAAGGGGCCAUUGAGCAGACAUGGCAAGAUUUCCACCUUUUUGAGCCUGCAAAACAGAAUAUGUUCCAAAAUUUCCCGCAAAGAAGUCAGCAAAGUGGUCAAAUGGCUGAACAAGAGCCAACAAAUUCUAUCUGGUCCAACAGUUACCAUGUGUGACUCGGUAUUUUGUACCAGAAUGAUUGCUGGUAAAGAUCCUUCCUUCCAGUUGUCAAUUGGUGAUUACAAUGUUUCAGUAUUUGUUAUAGCGUGUGGUCUUUUUAUAUUCUAUUUUUUUGGUGCAAAAUUUGGUUUACAUCUCUGAAGAUGUUACCAUUCUCACUAGUGUUUUGUUUCGUUUCAUUGAUUAUGUAGGAGUUGCUGGGGAUCGUUGGAUUAAGUGGCACAGCUUGACCCCCUAUUGAGUUCGGCCCAUACCUGCAGCCCUCUCAUAGUGUUAAAUUUCUUUUGAGAAUGGUAUUCUUUGAAGCAUGGCAAUGGCUGCUGUUAGGUUUGGUAAGUUUUGAUGCCUCAGUUCUAUGCAGGCUUUUAAUUCGUAUUUCCCUAUUUUUUGUUCUUUUGAGAUGUAUUACAACGGGAGAUGGCUUAUAUCAUAAAAUUGUUGAAAGUUACUUCCUCAGUUGUUUUAUUUUAUUAAUUGCUAUUAGAUGCAAUUCUAAUAUGCACCAUGAUUUUUUCAAUCAAUUUACCUUUAGUGCCAAAAGGAGGUAUCCAUUCCAUUAUAUUGCUAUUAUCAACAAUUUCUGUGGCAUCAUAUACCUGGAAUUGUAUCUGAUUGUAUUAGUUUAAUGCCGUUUUAGGGGUUUGUUCGGGGGCUUGUUAAUUAGUUAUAAAUGAUAUUAUUUAUCUUUCAAUAGUUUAUCAUUUGCAAAACACAUCAGAUGCACUCCCUUUGAUUUUAUAUGCUUUGGGUGUGGUUGUAUAAGAGUGUAAUUACAGUGGACGUACUUCUUUUAUUCCUAAACUUUUACCUGCUUCUCUCUUUAGUAUGUGGUAUAAAGGAGAGGGUUAAGAAAGUGACUGCAUUUACUUAUGAGAAUUGGAGCAUCAUUUGGUAAGGUAUACCAUGAAGAAAUAAGACAAAUGUGAUUCUAAAUUGACUUGUAUCAUUAUAUUUAGAGAGUAGACCGUAGGGCUAAAGGACUUCUUGCAAUUGGAUGAAAUGGGGGGUGGUGGUUUUAAUGCUUGAGAUUUUUCUGAUACAAUCGUUUUUGUGAGUACAGGGCUUACAUAUGCAUUUUGCAUUCAUUGUUGCAAGUUGCAACUUGCAAAUUUGGUUAGUGCGUUUUUAUUGUUGGUAGCUAGAUAAGUUGUCUUUGUGGAACCUUAUAAUUAUGGUUUUGCUAAUUUCUUUUAUAGAUCAAAUGUCCAAGUCUUACUCUAAAUGAGGUCUGCUUGGGAUGUUUGCAUGUGGUGCUUAUACAUUGUUUGGUUGGUUUGCAAUUUACAGGGAUUGCCAUGGUCUUUGGGCCAAAGAGGGAGUGGAAGAUGAUUGAUCUGUUGGCAGUCUGAUGGGAUGAAUUGUAUGAGGUCUUAAAUGCACAGACACAAAGGUUUGAUGAAACAGACUCGAAUCCAGUGAUUAUAGGCACUCUGCACGUACCAUAUGCUUCAUCUCUCAUUGGACAAGUUAGCUACCACAAGAACGGUGCGAGUGGAUGGUUGUUGGAGCGACUGAAAGGCCAUCAAGUGUGGAUGUCAGUUGGUUCCGCUAUAUGCGAUCUAUCUACGAAUAAAAGUUCGAGGAACAACUAGCAUGUGUCCUAGUCGUUUCUCAAGUAUGAUUACUGUGUCGUUUUAUGAUUUUAUCAUGCUCUGUACCGUUUGGAAACAACGUGUCGGUCGCACUUGUUGCAAGUUGCAAUUAAAUAUUUGGAACAGUUUGUCAUGGUAUUUGUGUGGGACCUAUAUAAAUGGUUUCCGUUUAUCUUUGUCAAAUUGCUUCGUAACUGCCUGUGUUACCGUGGUCGUUUUGGAGAACGAUGCCCUGUACUCAGUUUUCAAGAGUUUUGAAAAUACUGUACACCGUUUCUUAAAAAGAAAACUGUAAACCCAGUUUUAUUGCUCUCUUCAAAUUUGCUUGUGUUGUCUCAUUUAAUCUAUAUGAAAUCCUCUUGGGACUGACCUUAGCGAUCGAUCAGCUGCACGCGGGAUGGUGGUGAACAUCUACGCUUGAACGUUUUUUUAACACCUUCGAUCUUUUUAUGACUAUAUGGAGUUUCUCAGCUGCUCGAGCUUGAAUGGCAUUGUCCAGCUCCAUAAGUGAAUGUCAGAACUACUGACACUGUUUUAUAGAAAAAAAAGAGAUGUAGAGAAAAUUAGCCCUUGUUUACUUCCCUCCAAACUCCCAACUUUGACACUAUGCAAAAAGAAGAUUCCCCAUCACAUCAAACUUGCGGUACAUGCAUGGAGUACUAAAUGUAGACGAAAUCAAAAACUAAUUGCACAGUUUUGUUAUACUUUGCGAGACGAAUCUUUUGAGCCUAAUUAGUUAUUUGGACAAUAAUUCACAAAUACAAACGAAACGCUACAGUGUCGCAUUUAUGGCAAAAUGCCAAUUUGGCACCUCCCAACUUGGGAAGUAAACAAGGCCUUAACCAAAGAUCCAUAUCCAUGAGGAAAGGCAUAACCUUCACAUCACAGACAUUUUUGACAAUUCCAAUUUACUAGUACAAUACCCGUGCUAGAGCUACGGUGCAAUUUUACGUAGCAAAUCAGACAACCAAACGUUUAUUUCCACCAUUCACAAGCGUUCUAAUAUUUGAUUAUGAUUUUUUUCCCAUAGCAACGCACUAUUUCCUUCUCAAUGCAGAUGGAGAUAAAUGAAGUCAAGUGAUCUACUAGGGAGUAGGAAAUGUAAGAGUACAAAUCUAGGCACAUAUGCAUAUAUCCUCUGAUUCUAUCCUAUGGAUAUUAGUUAUUUAGGAUUUGGGUCACAUGAAAAAAUAACACUGGUUAGAAUUGAGUAGGUACAAGUUGCGCAGUUGUGUCAUGCAUGAUUGCAAUUAUCUUUGGUGGUUUAAGUUGUUAAUGUCCUCCCCUUGACAUUGGAAUAUUUCUGAUCUAGGCUACAUGUUUGAAGAUUUAGCCCAAUGUUAGCUUAUACUCUGAAUUUUAGGAGCUACUCCUUCCGUCCCAAAUUACAAUUCGUUUUGACUUUUCUAGGUAUAUAGAUUUUGCUAUACAUCUAGAAUUCUAGAUAUAUGCUAUGUCUACAUACAUAGCAAUAACUAUGUACCUAGAAAAGCCAAAAUGAAUAAUAAUUUGGGAUGGAGUACUAAGGUAGGACCAUAAUCUGAAAGGUGCUAAGUUCUUCUGACUCCAGAAGUAAAUGAACUUGUUAGAAAUCACAACGCAUUGCCUUGCAUAUUGAUCCUGACAUAAGUUUUUGUUUUUAAAAUCUAGUUCUUUUAUUGUUCGUGUCAUGAAACUUCGUUGUCUUUUGGCCCUUCAGUUGUCCUCUGCUGUGUGCAACUGUGCUCUCUUCCCUGAUGCAUAUGCCAAAUUGUUUGCUGAGAUUCAGAAAACUUAUUCACACCAAGUUGCCACACUUCUAUGGCAAAAUUAAUUGUGACGGAUUCUUAUCACACAAUAAAACGCAGCAAGAUCAGUGGCGGAACUGGAGAGAAAAUUAAAGAGGGGCCGGACAAACAUUGCCGGUUCAAGUAUUUGGCAAUUUGCCCAAAUUUUUCAUUGUCCACACAAGCGUACAAUAGCUAGUCAUGACUAUAGUAGUUAAUUAUGCAACUGCAAUACCCAAAAGCGAAUAGUUUGCAAAAGUGAUCAAUAUAUCUUAUUCAUUUCAGCGCGAUUCUUUUAGGUUUUGCCUUGGUUUCCUACAAGGAUUUGUAAAAUCAUCAAAAAAUCCCAUGAUAUUAUUAGAUAAGAAAUAAAAUUGAAACAAUUUUGAGGACAUACUGAUAUGGCUUAGGGAAAUAGGACUUGCUUACAUUGGUUUGAGUUGGAGGAACAUCACAAGCAGAAGGGUUAGCCGUGAUGUUGCCUUCCAUUGCAGCUAUGCCGCCGCGGCCACCGGCUUACCCGUCGUCAAUGGCGUAAUGGCAGUGCAAGAUUCCAGCAGUCCGCAGGCCGCAAGCGACGGGUGACUGAGCGUCGGGCGAGGUUUUAGCGGCGUCGGCAUGUUGCGAGAUUGGAAUGAAACGUCGCAUGAUGAUAAGGUACGCGAACAACACCUGACCAAUUAAUCUAAGUGCUUACGUGCAUUGUUGGGUAGCAAAUUGGGCUUGGCCCCUGCGGUCUUUGGCCUGCUGAGUGAUGAUAUGCUUUAUGGGCUGACAUUUGAUAAGGGGUAGUAGAUGUUUUUGGUUGGGGGAGGCCAUGGCUCCCACCGCCCCCCUCAGUUCUGUCAUUGAGCAAGAUCAGCGUGUUUUACCUUAAAACAUUGGACUUGACAUAUAUAUUAAAAAUGUGAAAUAGCUAAAUCUGCAUUAUGGUAUGAAAAUGGCUAUAUGAUAUCAGUGCUUCUGAAUCAGAAUCCUUGAUAUGUUAGCUAACUAAAUGGUCAGAGAGGGAAGUUCUUGCUUUAUGUGCCUGUCAAAGUGACUCACUAUGUAUAGACAUUGAGUGUCACUAUGUGCAGACAUGGAGUGACAAGUGAAAUUUUUGCAGGCUAUUUAGUAUUCUGUAACGAUGUUUAUCUCUUUCCUAGAGCUACACCUGUGGAGUGUGGCUUUUAUACUUAUGUAAAUACACCAUGUAAUUUGUCUCCUUUUAAUCAAUAAAAUGGAUCCAAGUCUUUAUGUCCAAUGCAAUUUGUGGCUUGGUGUGUAUUUUGUGACUUUCUGUCCACUGAAAUUUCUGCAAUCAACAAAGGUUGGAAGAUUUGAACCUCAGUCUACCAACAUUUGAAUCAACAAGCUCCACCGCAUCUUUUCUGAUUGACUAAAUCACCAUUCAAUAGAAAGAGCUUACCUUCUUAUAUUAGGAAUCAACAUUUUAGGAGCUCUGAAUAAACAUGCCAUCUUUGUAGAUAACAACAUAAAAUCAUUAUUUAUAAAUUAGAAUACUUGUAUUGUGUGAAAUACUCUCCCAUACAAAAAACAACAAAAGGUGGGCAGUGAAGCAAGAUACACAUAAUUAAAUUGAUUAACACUGGUCAGGCUCAUGCCUGCAAAAACAUUCAGAUUGCCGCCGAAGAUUCAAAUUCUCACAUCACAGUACAAAGCAUGAGAGGAUCACGAUGAUCAAAUAGUAGACAACAAAUCUUUCAGAUUGGCAUCUCUAUUUACUGUUUACAGCAUAUGAUAACCAAGUAAUAUCAACCCAAAAUACUGUAUGAAUACUGAUACUCCAAGAAACUGCACUACUGAUGGCACUCAAGUCAUAAAUUAUUCAUAAGUUACACAAAUCUCUAUUCGUUUAUAUGUGCCAUAGCAGCAUCCACCAAAGAUGCCUCGCACUUUCAGGCUUUCAGCUACAAAGGAAAGAAAUCCUUGUCUUUUGAGCAUCCCUUUUCUUAUAUGUGGAAUAUCAUACCAGUUGCCAUUGCCAUCACCAAUUUUCAUGAUUUCUUUCAUGCAUACGUGGAGAGUUAAGAAAAUUAUGUUCGACUGGCUCACUGAAUAAUCUUUUUUUUAAGAGUCAAUGGUGGGCUAAGAAUCAUUUCUUCAAAGCGAGAUUAUAAGAUCAGGCACCCGUCCUUAGCAAUGAGGGGUGGGGAGGGGGGGGGGGGGGCUCAGAUAGGCAUUCUCCCUGAAUAAUCUUCGAAAGCCUAGUCCAUGUAAUGAAGAUGUCAAGUCCAUGUAAUGAAGAUGUCAGUUCAUAAUACCCUAGAGUACAAGUUACAAAAUUGACAGAAGGAAAAUCUGUAGUAAAAGAAGCAUCGGCGGGGUGGGGACGUGGCAUCCGAAUGCUGAGACAUGUCGUACAUACAUCUAUAGGCCUACCAUCUAUAAGCCUACCAGAAGGUUUGCACAGUCCCAAAUAUGAGGUUGGACACUGAGACGCAUCUGACAUGGAGAUCAUGGCAUAGGACGGCGUGAUCUACAUGGAAAGACAGGAAGUAGUCGAGGAUUAGGAAAGUACUCGUUGUAAUAUAGUAGGACUUCUCUAGUUGUAUCCGACUAGUAUUCUUGUAACCAACUGACCAGUAAGCCUAUCCCCGUGUAUAUAAGGCAAAGCAGGGACCCCCUCCAAAGCAAUCCAAUACAACCAACACACAGGACGUAGGGUAUUACGCUAUUCAGUGACCCGAACCUGUCUAAAUAAUGUGUCUGCGUUUACCUUCGAGUUCCUGAUCUCAUCGAGCCCCACUAACCAAAACACUACCUCGGGCACCCCCCGGUAGGUUGCCGGUCUAAACAUUGAUAGCUGGCGCGCUAGGUAGGGAUCUCGCUGAGAAUUUGCUAGCGAACUCGAUGGCAUAAGUCAUCAUCAAGCCAAUCGUGACGUCCAAAGAGGGUGUGAAAUUCGUCUUUAGCUCCUAGGUUUGCAUCGUAGAUGGUGCUAGAAGCUUCUGCCGCCACAUAGCACCAGCCCUGGAGAAGAAGUAGCUAACCAUGAAGCUCCAACGCGAAGCUCUGGAGGAUCUCAUCGAGAAUCUCGGCGAAUUUUCAAUUUCUGACCUAGUUAGAGGCUGGGGGGACGAGUCCGAGUACAUCUCGACUUCUUCUGCUAGUUGCAUUAACUUGCAUGAGCUAGCGCAGCAGCCAUCAUGUGAGUCGGACUACUCCAAGAGUCGAUUCCCAUUCGGACUCUGCAACACGGCCACUGUCUUCCAGGUGGCCUUGUCUAGAUCACAAUUUGAUAUGGAUGAGAUCGAGGAGCUCGGCUACUACUUGGAUCCGUAUGGAGAGACUCCUUUAUCAGGUCCGCAACAGGGCCUAUUAAUCACAUCAACUCCACAAUGCAGAUUCGUCUACCGGUCCAACAUGAAGCCACACGCUCUCUCCAGGUAUGACGACUCGCGCCUCAUCGCCUACCUUGUCACUCUCCUGUACCAGGAGGGAGCUCCUCUAUCACCUAUUGUAGAAUAAGGUGGCUCCACGGAAGUCAUCAUCUCUAGUUCGGGAAGCAUCUCACUAGAGUGAGAAGUCUUCGUUGUCAUCGCGGGAUAAGAAGCUGAAGAAGACGAAGAGGUGAGGGAUAGACACCCACGACGUGAACGUCACCCAGAUGAUGUCUGGCAAGAUGAGCACACUGCUGACGUCGUUGGGAAGAAACUGAAGCUUAAAGAAAUCGACGAAGGGUGGGGAACACUGCGAGAGCGGAGCGUCGGCGCCAUCUCGCAGUAGAUCUACCAAUCCAGAAUCUGGACAGGGCUUUCGAGGCAGUUCAGACUCACCGUCACCGUACUCCUCUAGCCACCAUCGCGUCCAUAGACCUCAACACCCGUGCGAUGCCCCAGAACAAGUACACUGAGCAGCUGGCUGACCUGGCAGAACUUGCGUACAAGCAACUCGAUCACAUGAACCCCAUACAGUAAGUCCAACCCUCCGGAUCCCACAGGAGCCAGCAUGGUAGUAGCCAUAGGGGUCCUCCCCUGGGGGAGCUGGAGGCGCCAGACCAAGCCAAGACGGUGGCGCCAGACCAAGUCAAGCCGGAGGCAGGAGACCCAGCCAAGUAGUAGCUAAAGGGAGCCGGGAUGGACCCUCGGGAGGUCGUGCCCACCGUGGGGGCGCAUCGGAAUGCCCAACAGAAGACCUUCGCAGCAAAAUAAAUGCUAGCCACGACGCCCGCACCAACAUCGAGGGUCGACACUGCGAGCACGAGCAAGAAGUUGGAUAACCAAGAGACAACGUCAACGGGUUCCCCGCCUUCUCCAGACGUGUGAGGAGAACGAUUGUACCCGAGAAGUUCAAACCCCCGGGUAUUAGCAAGUACGGCGGCAAGAAAUACCUAGUGCAAUAGCUCCAAUGCUACUCGCUGUCAGUCCAGCCAGCUGGUGGAAACAACGACACUAAAGUAGUGUAUUUCCCCAUCUGCAUGGAGGUGGCGCCUCUCACAUGGCUCAAAUCAUUGGAAAACAAAUCCAUUGACUCAUGGCAAGACCUGAAGGCGGCAUUCACGGGCAACUAUGCUGGGGCAAUGCAGCGUCCUGGCAAUAGGAUUGACUUAUCCCAAGUCAAGCAACAGGAAGGCGAGACCCUGCGAAGCUACGUACAUUGCUUCUUUGACAAAAAGGCCACAAUCAUGGAUGUUACGGAAUGCGAUGUCAUCGACUACUUCUUGAAUGGCUUCCAUGACCGCCGAAUGUUCCAAGACUUAGGUAGAAGAUGCCCCAGCGAUGUCAAAUCAUUAAAGAUUAUGGCUCAGACCUGGGCGGAUGAAGAAGAUAGGGAGAUCAAGAGGUUCGAGUCCAACCGCAACAAAGGCCAAAGCAACAACAGUCAGAACAACAAUGGCCAACGCAAUGACAAGAACUGCAACGAUCGACCAACACAACGACAACUGAAAUAACUACUCGGGAAGUCAAAACCGCAAGCACAAGACAGACAACACAGUCACGGCACUACAGUGCCUGCCCAAGAGCAGCGGUAAUAAGAACCUCAACAGGCCUUCAUUCAACAAACUCCUAUAGAAGCAGUGCCCAUGGCACCCAUACCACAAGCACUCUGCGUGGGAUUGUUUUAGCCUGCGCAGAGCCAUGAAGGACAUGCCGGAACCAUCUGGCACAAAAGACAAGGGCAAGGCCAAGGAAGACGAAGACGAUGGGACCAAUGGCAAGUUCUAGAACCCAUCCAAUAGAGUCAAUAUCAUCUUCGGUGGAACCCCGGGUACUGCCACCAAGCGGUCCUAGAAGCUCACUCUACGGGAGAUAAUGUCCAUCGAGCCCACGGCAGCUAUGAUCCUUAAGUGGUCCAAGGUGCCAAUUACCUUCUCCAGAGCAGAUCAAUGGACUAGAAUCUCAGACCCAGGAUGCUAUCCUCUCUUCUUGGACCCGAUGGUCGCUGGCUCCAAACUCACAAAAGUACUCAUCGAUGGCGGCAGUGGCCUCAAUGUCCUGUUCACCAAGACGCUGAAGAAGAUGGGCCUCAAUGUCACCGACAUGCUUACCCUGACAAACUCUCCAUUCUACUGGAUCAUCCCAGGCAACAUGGUUGUACCCCUUGUUCACGUGGUUUUGUCAGUUACCUUCGGGACCAAAGAACACUACCAGACAGAGUACAUCUGGUUCGAGGUGGCGAACUUUGAAACAUCAUACCAUGCUAUCCUCAGAAGAAUAGCAUUGGCCAAAUUCAUGGUCAUCCCGCAUUACAUGUACUUAGUACUCAAGAUGACCCAAUGGAGUACUCUCCCUGCGCGGAGACUUGAAUAGGUCGUACGACUGUGAUACAGAAGCCACGGAGCUAGCAUCAACUACUCAGGUACCAAACUCAAUGAUGCAAGUCUUCGCAGCAUCCAAGAAGCUAUCCUCUUCAGAACUCGAGAUACCAGAGAAAAAGUCAGGGGCAACCAAGGUCAAGCCUGUGAGCGAAGUCGAUGUCAAAGCCAUUAACCUUGAGACUGGUGAUAGCUCCAAGGUAGCCCUGAUACACACAGGGCUGGAUCCUAAAUAGCAAGAUGCGCUCGUUAGCUUCCUCGAGGCCAACCGAGACAUCUUCACGUGGAAAUCAGCAGACAUGUUGGGGGUGCUCAGGGAGUUGAUCGAGCACUCACUUAACAUGAAUCCAAAAGCUACACCAAAGAGACAAUGCCUACACCGAUUCGCACAAGACAAAAGGGAAGCUAUCAAAGCAGAACUUGCUAAACUACUCACAACAGACUUCAUAAAAGAAGUCUUCCAUCCAAAGUGGCUCGCCAAUCCCGCCCUGGUGCGAAAGAAGAACAACAAUGAGUGGAGGAUGUGCGUCAACUACACAGACCUCAACAAGCAUUGUCCAAAGGAUCCCUUUGGGCACCCUAGGAUUGAUCAAGUAAUCGAGUCCAUAGCUGGAUGCGCCCUACUCUGCUACUUGGGGUAUCACCACAUAGCUCUCAAGGAAGAAGAUCAGAUCAAGUCCGCGUUCAUCACCCUAUAUGGAGCUUUCUGCUACACGACUAUGCCGUUCAGGUUGAAAAACACAGACGCCACAUAUCAACGAGCGAUCCAGGAGUGCUUCAAGAAACAGCUAUACCGCAGUGUUGAGGCGUAUGUGGAUGAUGUGGUUGUCAAGACCACAAAUCCUGAUGACUUGAUUGCUGACAUAAAAGAAACCUUCGACAACCUGCGUGAAUUUCGGUGGAAGCUGAACCUGACAAAGUGCAUCUUUGGCAUGCCUUCCGGGAAACUACUUGGUUUCAUCAUCAGUCACCAAGGAAUCGAGGUGAAUCCAGAGAAGAUCUCUGCCAUUAGCAACAUGCACGCUCCAUCAGGCAUCAAGGACGUUCAGAAGUUGACUGGAUGUAUGGCGGUGCUAAACAGAUUCAUCUUAAGACUUGGAGAAUGGGGCCUACCCUUCUUCAAGCUACUCAAGUGGCAAGACAAGUUCAAGUGGACUGAGGAGGUAGAUAAAGCCCUGCAACAACUAAAGGACUUCCUGUUAAAGCCACCAGUUCUCACUGCCCCAACCCCCAAUGAAGACUUGCUGCUCUACAUCGCCGUGACUACUCAUGUUGUUAACACCAUGAUCGUGGUUUUAAGACCAGAACCACGACGUGUAUUCAAAGUAUAGAGGUCUGUCUACUUCAUUAGUGAGGUGAUGUUAGACUCCAAGACUAGAUACCCACCAGUCCAGAAGCUGCUGUAUGCGAUACUGCUCACCUUGCGGAAGUUACAACACUACUUCCAAGAACACAAGAUUUCCGUCGUCACAGAUUUCCCUCUUGGAGAAAUUCUCCACAAUCAGGAUGCAACAGGCAGAAUAUCUAAGUGAGCGGUAGAACUCGGUGCAUUAUCCCUAGAAUUCAAGUCGAGGACUGCAAUCAAGUCCCAGGCCCUAGUUGAUUUCAUGGCAGAGUGGUGGGAGAAUCAACUACCAACACCAGAUGAUCACCCAGAGCAUUGGGUCAUGUACUUUGAUGGGUCUCUCAAGCUCGAAGGCGCCAGUGCAGGAGUACUCUUGAUAUCCCCCAAAGGCGAACGACUCAAAUACGUCCAAUAACGAAGCUAAAUACGAAGCACUUCUGCACGGGCUCCGCCUGGUAGUCUCGCUAGGAAUCAAGUAUUUGUUGGUCUACGGUGACUCACUGGUGGUGAUCAAUGAAGUCAACAAUGAUUGGGAUCACCACAAGGAGAACAUGGAUGUGUAUUGUCUAGAAGUAUGCAAGCUAAAGAACAAAUUCUCUAGCCUGAAGUUUCACCAUGUAGUUUGCGAUAAUAAUGCCGCCGCGGAUGUCUUAUCAAAGCUCGAAUCUACUCGAGCCCAAGUUCUAGCAGUAGUUUUCAUCCAUGAGCUACACAAGCCAUCCAUAACGGAGUCGAUGCCAUCACCAACCACUGAUCGAGGUCCUGAGGCACCAGAUUAGGAGGUUUUGAUGAUCGAUGUAGAUUGGACGACACCCUUUGUCAACUACAUGAAAAAGCACAAGCUACCUCCAGACAAGAAGGAGGUAGAACAAGUCUCCAGGCGCAGCAAGAACUACAUUCUAGUCGGGGACAAGCUAUACAGAAGAGGCGCAUCAUCAGGUGUGCUCAUGAAGUGCGUCUCAUGACAAGAUGGCAAGGACAUACUAGAGGAGAUUCACAAAGGCAUCUGCGGGAAUCACGCGUCCUCACGAACAAUCAUGGGCAAAGCUUUUAUAUUAGGAUUCUAUUAGCCUACAGCUCUCGCUCUUGCUGAUGCUAAAAAACUAGUCUGCUGAUGUCAAGGGUGCCAAUUCUUCGCCAAGCAACAACAUGUCCCUACCAUGAUCGACCCAUUACCAACGGUGCCGGGAGGGUUCAAUCGAGUUCUGGUGGCAAUCGACAAGUUCACGAAGUGGAUUAAGGUUAAGCCAGUAAGCUGCCCCAAGGUAGACAUAGUAUUCAACUUCCUCGAUGUGAUUGUCCACCGAUACGGCUUCCUAAUCGCAUCAUCACAGACUUGGGUUCCAAUUUUAACAACUAUGAGUUUUGGGAGUACUUCGAGAAUAGCAGGAUUGAUGUCUGGUACAUUUCUGUGGCUCAUCCACAGGCCAAUGGCAAGGUUGAACAUGCCAAUGGGAUGGUUUUGGACACCCUCAAGAAAAGGCUGCAUGAAAUAUCAAAUACAAAAGGAGGCAAGUGGCUCAAAGAACUACCCGAUGUCCUUUGGGGGCUCCGCACCUAGUCGUGCAAGCCUACAGGGCAAUUGCCCUAUUUCCUGGUCUACAGAUUUGAAGUUGUCAUACCUACCGACAUCAUGUGGAAAUCUCCAAUGGUCGAGCAAUAUGAGGAAGGUGCAGCCAAAGAAACAAGGCGUCUAAAUCUAGAUUGCCUUGAAGAAGCUCGCUAUGCAGCGCUCGUCCAGUCAGCAAGAUACCUUGAGGGGAUCCGUGGUUAUCACAAUCACAACAUCAAAGACCGUUCAUUCAAUGUAGGAGACAUGGUCCUAAAAUGUAUCCAAGACACCAAGGGGCUGCACGAGCAAAACUCACGAUGGGAGGACCAUUCGUUGUCUCCAAGGUCACUGGGCCUGGGUCGUAUAGGCGUAAUUUGACUACUUAUUUUUACUCCAUCACGACUUUUAAAGCAAGUUUGCAGUUUACCAGGAGUUACUUAACAGCUUGGAAGAAUACUUAUCAAACAAAUUUGUCUUGUUGUGGCUUGUAAUAAGAAGUCUGCAGUCCUAGGAAUUUUAGAGCGCACAUCGAUACAACUCAAAGAAGUUGCAAAGAUAGGCUCUAGCAUUGAAUUCCUGAAGAGACUACUUGUUUAGAGGUCUAUUACCAUGAUAGCUCGAGUACUCAUAGUUCACAUAACAAAAUCAUGGUCUUAAGUACUCUAUAUUGGCAUUUGAUGAGGCUCACAAGAGAAGCCUUAUGCAUAGACACUUACAUUAACCGCACAAGCAUAAAUCAGGGUUAUUUGUAAGAAGCAUAGAAAAUAACAAGUCGUAAAGCAAUAUAAUAACUGCGAGAAGACUUAGAUAUAUUAUAAGCAUUAAUCAUUGUUUUCAUACAAUGCCAACAUCUGCCAGAUACAGAUCUACUCAAGAUUUAGCUCAGUGGCUACUUCUUUAGCGAUGGGAUCCAUCUCCUACGUUAUCUCCUUGAAGCGUUCAUCGGAGCAAUCUACCGCUAUGCCUUCAGCAACAGGCGUCAGGUCAGCCCUGGGGUAGAAUGACUUCACGAAGCUUAAGACUUGAUGGGAGACAGAUUUUGCCAUUUUCUAAAGAUAGCCGGUGUUGGUAUAAUUAACGAAUGUGAAUGAAUCCUCAAGCACAUGGAUAUCAUUGUAGCUUUCACCUCAGAGUAUUCCAAGGGUAUCGAAUCCAAGGGAACGUGUGUGUAUAUCUACGACUGUAUAUCCGUAAGCGCAUGGAUUCCUAUGUAUAGCACUAGAUAAGUUACAGGUCGAUCUCUCGAUCAAGGAACUCGCUUCGGGAACCGGCUUACCCUAAAUUAGUCAUGCACCUCUGGCCAACGGCUCUACGCUAUAUCCGAACAUGGAGGAUUACAAAGGACAGAUAGGGUUGCCACCACCUGCUACCUACCUCUAGCAACCCAUGAGAUAUAAGGCAAAUGAAGGAUAACCCUUAGCCUAAACACCAUGUCUACACCACUGAUUACUACUGCAAUCUAACUACGUCUAUCGACCCGUAGUAGAUAUACAGCACUCCGUGACAAACCCACAAGUAAGAGAACUGAUCUCACUUAUAAAUAAGCACUAAACCAAAUAACGAAUCAUGAAUACUCACUUACUUAACUCAGAAGGAAGACAACAUCUGUAGAGGCACAUGGUCAGAGUAGAGUGCUGAGGAACUCAGCACCCCUCCGAGCUACUCCCUCUCUCUCCCUAUCCUAAGCACUAGCCUAAGCAGGGCUUCGCCAUGGAGCUCUUCUCUAGAUAGGAGUGGAGGCACUCCUCCAAGUGGAGGUAAGGAAGGUGUUGGUGUUGGUGGGUGUUGUUGGUGUGUCUUGAAAUGAGACCCCUCCCCUUCUAUUUAUAGGCUCCUGGGGUCGGUUUUGGGGAGGAAUAUUUAGGGAAUCUUCCACAACCACAUUUGGGACACCGUCAACCACUGCCAGGCGUCAGCUAGGGAUGAAACAAGAUAAGGGUGGUUCGGCCGAACUAGGGGUUCGGUCGACCCCCUACAACCACCUUUCACAUCGCCUUUGCUUUGGGUCGCUACCCUGUGGGUCCUCAUGUGGGUACAAGGUGCUUGGCAGUGAAUGUAGUCAGUUUCCUUCUGAUUGUGGGUCCAUGGAUCCGCGUGCUUGCUUCUGAUUAGUUGAGAGUGUGUUUCCUUGCUCUUGAGGUGUGUUUUCUCUCUUAAUGGACCAACAUAAAUUUUUUUAACAAUACUUGUGGAAUUCAUUAGUAAUAACUCCUACCACUACUAUUGAUGCUUAUCUUUUCUAUGUUUAUGCAGGAGUUGAUGGCCUAGAUUUGGUACUUAAGAGCUGUCAACAACACUCCCACACUUAGCCUUUGGUCAUCCUCGAGCAAAGGAGAAAGGACUAAGUUGAAAUAUAAGAGAUAUUCCAAGACUUACCUUGUACUUGUGAACUUUGAGGUGUCUAUCAUGCCAUCUUGGGUAGUUGAGGAAUGGAACUGUCUUGAAUCAAGUCACCUCUACUCCUUACGUCAAGUAACUUGGGAUUUUUCAAUAAGUUUCAAAAACAAACCUUGCUUAGCUCCUCAUUUGAUUCUCUCAGGUUGCUCAAUGUGUAUAUGUCCACACCAAAGCAUUAGACUUGCCUUUCUUCAUCCUACUUCUAAUGAUGGCUAUAUGUGGAGCUCAAGGUAGGGUAUGAAGGAUAAGGCAUACUUGUAUCACAUAUCUUGCAAAGUUAAAAACUGGAUCCAAGGAGAAAAGCAAGUCAUAUAAUCAGAAAAGCAAGAUGUGCACGUGUAUGUAUAUGGUGGAUGGUACUUGAGAUGGAAACUCCUUUUUGUAUGAUCUCUCUCUUUUUGUAAAUUCUUUUGAGAACAUGGCUAUAUUUUUUUUUCUUGGACCUUCAUGUGUCCAACUUACUUGGACCUUCAUGUGUCCAUUUUUUUGAUAGCCCAUGCCUCUUUUGUAACAACAACUGGGGAGAGAGGGACCCACACAUAUGGUGGAGCAUUUAUUUUGUGGAAUGAAUGGAUGGUAGGAUGCUAACUUCUCAUGGAAGCAUAGCAAGGGAGUAUAUGGUGUGCACAUAAAUAUUGAUCAUGAAAGCAUGAAAAGAAUUCUUCCAAAGGGCACAAGAAUUUUACAAAGCUUAAUGCAAAGAUAAGCAGUAUAUCCAUAGGGUUUUCAAGAUAACUCAUCAUAUGGCUUUGGUAGGACUUUGGCAUAUUAAAGAGGAGCUUGCAAAAGGUUUUUUAAAUUUUCAAAAAAAAUUUCCCAAGCACUUAAACAUUAAGAGCAAAGAUCAUAUGAUCAAACCAUAUCUCAAACAUCAAAUACUUAGAUGAGCAUGCUGUCCUAAAGAUUUUUGUUCACAAGUAUCAAAAUGUUAAGCAUGGAAUAAAACAUAUCUAGGCCAACCAUAGAAAGCAUGUAGAGCAUAUUGAUUCAUUUUAUUUGAGUUUGAUUUAGUUGAUCAGAUUUAAAAUUCAUUCAAACUCAUGAAUCAGAGAUCAGGGAUAAAGAGACACAAUCUGACGCGGUGGAUGAAAAUGAGCCUGAGUGGGCUACCCCUUGGGUUGGCCGAACCAUGGGUUCGGCUGAAUCCCUUUGGGUCUAGCUCUGGCUCCCCUUUCGCGUAUGUACUAGUGCAAUGCGAUAUGCUCUAUUUGUGGGUGUUUACGCAUCAUUUCAGCUCUAGAGAGUCCGUGGUUCUCCCCCACACUUAUUUUGUUGCUAGGUGCUUCUUCCAAAAGACAAGUAAGUGACACAAGGACUCUACUGUGUUGGAUGACUGAUGAAUCAAAUUUUAUUGAAAUCGAAUUGGAGGCGCUUACAAUUUUGAAGGGAAAUAGAAUGAAAGGGAAAAAGUAAACCUAUUCUAAAAGUGCCUAAUGGGAAAGGAUACAAGGGGGCACAUCUACUGAGUUGCAUCGUAGAGAUUGUCGUGCCCCCUAACCUUGUACAAGCGCUUUAUCUUAGCGCAAAGACCACGGCGGAGGGUACAAAAAUCAUCCUUAAGCUCUUUUGUUUCUAACUUUCGCUCCGCUAAUGCAUCCCUAAGCCUCAUAUUUUCUAAACAUAGGUCUACGAUCAUGGAGGUUAGCUGCUUAACCGUGUGGGCCUUCAGAGAUUUCUUAUUACUACCCUGAAAUUAGCCCACCGACCUUCUGAUUGGCGGCGGUGAGAGGUGCCGCUAGACCUUGUUGCCUCCUGGAGACGAACCAAAGAAUCCGGUCAACUCCUUCUCCAUAGGAGUGAGAGCUGGCUUGACUCUCUUUUCGCUUUUGCCGUUUAGGGUUCACACCCCAAACACCUCAAAGUGAGAUGCCGGUAGUGGCGUCUCCAGCAAGUAGGACGCUGAAUCAGAGUUGUUGCAUCCUCUGGUCUUCGAUGGCCCUGGGAUGUCAAUCCCAUGGGGCAGCGGGACUCUUGCCGCCUUCCCUGGGUGAAUGUCGCUCGUUGUUGGCCUUCUGUAAGGGCUCAUCCCGUGCGCACAUGAUUUUGGUGUCUUCCUUGGUGAAGGCAAGCAUGUGGUCAAGCGGAAGGCUGAGGUGGCGCUGACCUGGCCGAACCCUUAGCGGCACCUCUCGUGCCUCUACUUCACCCCUCGGGCGGUAUGAGAGCUAGGGGCUCAACCUCCAGUGCUUGGACCUCCUGCAUCGCCAGAUCGCCAUUAGGGACAAUGGCAUUUGUCGGAGCGAUUUACCCAUCGAGAUCAAAGGUUGAGCCCGGCUUGACGAAGGGAACAUGGCCUUUGCCAGCCAUGGUGGUGAGCAGUGUGAUGUUAGUGUGGAUCUAGGUGGGUUUGAUAGGGAUGAGAGUGAAGUGGAUGAGGAGAGGAGGUGGAUGAGAUUUUAAAGAAGGGACUCCUCUCUUGCAACGUCAAACCCAAUGGGACGCCAAGAGACGAGUCAAGGAAUGUUGGAGGAGCGUCUGUGCGGGGUUCGGCUGAACCCUUCUAGGCUCUGCUGGGCCUCCCGUUGCUCAUGUGCAUGUGUGCAGCAGAGAGGGAAGUAGAGAGAAUGGUCCCAACCACCAUAUGUGCCAGGACUUUAGUAAAAGAUAGGAUAGAGCUAGGGUCAAUGACAUUGAUCUUUGCUUAAUUUCACUUUUAUUUAAGCGACAUAUAUUUCUACAAAGAUCGUAGUGGUGGACUUAUCUUAAUGACAUACCUUAGCCAUCGCAAGGUAUGAUUGUCCCAUGUGACAAUGAUGUGUUGAUGAUGUUCAUUAUGCUGGCAACGAUGAUGUCAUACUCUCGAUGCAUUUCCUUCUUUGCGUCUCUCCAUCCUUGAUGUAGCUUCUCGCAACCUAUAAGGUUAGUGUCCCAAGAAUACCCGAAGGAUAAGCUUUCCUUAUGAAGUUAAAUCAUUUCAAUCAAGGAAGCUUAUGUUCUUGGGCAUCUAAUGGUGAUCCUUUGCUCAACCACAUGUACGCCCACCUUGCUCCGCCAUUUGGAAUGAAUCGGUAAAGUCUUGGCUGCAAGGUUAGUGCACAAAUACAACUAUGUGCUCUGCAUAGAUAUUAUGAUAAAGCAGAACAAAAUAGAACCAUCCGAAAGGGCGUCUAUGAUGUGAAACCCAAAGAUGAUCGUAUGACUCAUAGUGCCUUAGCCCAACGGACGAUAGAUCUUGGAGAUAUCUAGGAUGAGAAUGAUCCUUGUAAUGAAUCGGAAUGAAACUUCAUGCUCAUGGAGUGAAUGGCUUGUGUCGGUGUUUAAACCCGGCAACCAACCAAGGGCAUGCCUGAGGUAGUGUUUUGGUUGGUGGGGCUUGUCGAGAUCAGGAACUCGAAGGUAAACGCAGACACACAAUUUAGAUAGGUUCGGGCCCCUAGAUUGUGUAAUACCCUACGUCUUGUGUGUUGGUUGGAUUGAGUUGCCUUGGAGGGGAUCCUUGCCUUGCCUUAUAUAGUCAGGGGGUAGGGUUAUAGGUCGGUUGGUUAUAAGAAUACUAGUCGGUUAUGACUAGAAGAAGCCUACCCUAUUAGAAUGAGUACUUUCCUAAUCCUUGACUAGUUCUUGUCUUUCCAUGUAGAAUACGCCAUCUUACUCCAUGGUCUCCAUGUCAAAUGCAUCUCGGUAUCCAGCCCCACAUUUGGUUCUGUCAAAACCUUCUGGUGGACCCAUAUAUGUAUGUAUGACAAGCCUCCAAGUACUUUUUAGUCCAAUGCAACAGUUCCAAGUACUUUUGUAGACUUCACCAACUAGUUUUGGUGCUCUUUGAGUACUUCAUCCGGUUGAAAUCUUCAAAGGUACCCAAAAACUACCAUGCGGCUAGAAUGUGCUCAAGCCUCAUUUAACUUAGUCUCGUAUCCUUCAACCUUAAAUUUUAUAUGGAAGUACGAUGAAAAUUGCACUCCCUAUGGAGGAGCCCCCGAGCCUUAGGUUGAAUCAAAGAAUCAGGCUGAGGAUCAAUCUGUAAUUUGCAUCAAUUUUCCCUUAAAACAUGGAGAAAAAACUUUUGUCGAUGGACACGUGGCACAUAGCCCCCGAGCCUUUAGCCGACUAGUUUGGUCGGUAUAAGGGUCAAACUUGGUCAACGUGACCAUCUUUUGGAAUAUCAAAAUCUUCUUUUCAAAAUAAAAGUAACCACCAAUCAGGUUUCCUAAAUUAUAGGGAUCCUUUAAAUCGAAAUCUAUUCACUUGCACAAUUUUUACUGUGCCACUGCUAUAAAUAAUGGAGGAAGUUAUCCCUUCCGUUUUACCCUUGCCAUUUGUCUUUCCAACUUCCACACUAUAUCCCUAGCGCCGCCGCCAGUGUUCUAUCUCCGAACGCUAGCACCGCCGCCCCCCACCAUGCAGCCCUCGAGCGUAUGCGACUGAAGAUGCUCGUGACAUCAAGGAUAGGAAGGAAGAUCGCUGCAUCCAAGCCUGCCGAGGACAAGAAGAAGAAAAAGAGAUGUGGUAAGGGGAAGGAUCCUCAGUUGCCAGUGCCCAAGUGUGGCAAGACCAAUCAGACCGUGUAGCCCAACACCGUGUGCACCUGGAAAGACUCGAAGGCAACCGAGAAUGACAUCAAGGCUCUUGUUGCCGCAAAGCUGUUGUAAGAGCAGUGCUAUAUUUAGUGGCGAUCCGCCUUCAGGAAUGCCUGGCCAUUGGAAUCAUAUCCAAAUGAGACAGUAACCUUUUUGCACUUCAUUGAGUGAGGUCUUGGAUUGCCCACCUGUGAUUUCUUCCGAGGUCUUCUUGAUUACUAUAAGUUGGAGUUGGUGCAUCUGAAUCCCAAUGGAAUUUUCCAUACUGCUAUUUUCAUCCACUUCUGUGAAGCUUUUCUAGGAAUCAGGCCGCACUUUCAGUUAUUCUGGAAGUUUUUUCAUGUGAAGCCACAACCCUCGUGGGAACACACGCUGUUGGUUGGAGGCGCCAGAAUUCAGAUGCGGGAGAUAGUAAGCAGCCUAUAUUUAGAUUAUGAGUUGAUAGACUCCAAUGCCGGGUGGAAGGAAAAAUGGUGCUACAUUGGCAACCAUGAUUUGAAACUACCCAAGCUGACAGGACACCGCCCCUCUUGGAACAACCGGUGACUUGAUGAACUAAAACAUGGAGAUUGCCUCCAAUUACCGGAACUCAUGGAUAAAAUUGCCAAGUUGAAAUAAGAAGGGCUUACUAGAGUUGGAGUAGCCUUUAGCUUUAUGAAGCGCCACAUCCAGCCUCUGUAGUAGCGAUGCCAUUACAGCUACGAGUAUACCGACCUUAAUGACCCAUCCAGAUUCUCUCCUGAUGAAAUCAACACGGAUGAAAUCAUGGUUAGGCUCAAGAGAAUGUUCAAGAACAUGGGCGGGAUCCCCACUAUUGUGCCAAAGCAUGUAAGUACUCGUGACCGUGGCCCCCUAGUACUUGUUUUGAAUGUACUAGUCAACUGACUUGUCUCAUUCUGCAGGAAGAUGUUGCUUUGUACUUCUCUGCUCCUCCUCCUCCCAGAUCUGAAGAUGUCUGUGAAGUUGCUCCUUGCUCGUUUAUGCGGGAAGUCAUGAGAGGCAUGAUCAGGAGGAGGAGGUAGUCGAGUCCUCCAACGGCACUAAUUUGUCGUAGAACCACCCAAAUUAAUCUGACUUAAGUGUGCUAAACCUCACCUCAAAUGCGAUCAGACACUUAAAUCGAAUCAAGAUGGCAGUCUGUCGAGUUUUACCUGAUACAACCACGUAUUUCCGAUUGAAACAAGCAUACAACACUCGUACAAUGAUGAGCCCAGAGAUUACAACAAUCCAGAUGAAAAUUAUGGAGGUUCCAAAUUAAAUUGUUAUAAACCAAGUUUCAGAUGCAUAAAGUAGCUUAGAGUUCAAAUCAUAAAAAGUGUUCAGAGUUCAAAAGUGGCGGAAAAUAAUGAUAAAUCUGUCAUCGAUACACGAUACCAUGGUGAAGCCAUCCAUGAUAUCACUCACCAUGAUCCUCACCCACCGAGGAUGGGUUCCACUCAAUCGUCCAUCCCGGAGGGAGCUGGCAUGGCCAAGUCACACUAGCAAUCUUAUCAUCAACAUUAACAUUAACUAAAAAUAUAGCCACAAGCAAGGCUGAGUAUACUAAUACUCCGCAAGACUUACCCGUCAGGUGGUAUCUAAUCCACCGACUCCUAGACAUGCAAGGCUUUUUGGCUGAGGGGUUUAUUUUUGCCAAAAGCUUCUAAAGUGGAUCCUUACUUUCAAGUUUUAGCAUCAAGUUCUAGUUGAUUAACCAUUCUAGGUAAGCACCUAUUUUAAGAAAGCAUGGUAGAACAAGAAAUUUAACCAAGCAUCAAUAUUAAGCACCAUCCUUGUUCAACUUCUUACUCAGUGUAGAAAGGUGGUCAAGCAGUCCCAAACCGUGAGAAGCAGACGAUUCGAAUCGAAUUUCUUAACCUUGCAAGGUGGACCUAAACACACGACAUAUGCGUACCACGCCGGGUUCACAUAUAUCAACUGUUUCCAUCAAUCUCAGGCACGUGUCCAGGGCCCACUUCCCUUGGAUACAAUGCCCCAACGAUCCUGGAAUGACACUGUACUGUGGCUGCACUUGUACCCACAUGAUGCAUCAGGUGAACCCGGUUCUAGAGAGAGCAGGGAGUAUGUCCAUGCCCCGGUUUAAUCAGGUACUAGGCUUCCGGAUCCCAUACUCGGUAUGUGUUUGGUAUGUUCAAACACUUGACCACAACUCUAACACAUUUCAACCUUAGCAGUUUUCCUCUAAACAAACGAGGCCUCCACCAUUUUAGAACAUAUUACCAAGCCUCCCCCCCCCCCCGUCAACCUUAUGAUUCCAACAUAAGUAAACAGGCAACUCCUAUAGCUCGCGAGUGACCGGAAAUCACUCAACUUUUACCGUGUCCCUAUUUAGCAUAGAAACUAAACAACUUAUCAUGCUAUUAUUCAAACAUGGGUACUAGGAGCAUGCAACUAAGGUUUCAAUACAACUCCUAUGAACUUAAUGCACAGACAUAAGUAAACAAGAUAUUGCAUAAAUUUGAAAACCAGGGUUAUGCUCCGGGACUUUCCUUCUUGUCCUACGUUAGCCUGGGGCUCUUCCGAAGCUUGGCUCGGGUAUCUUGAGUUGUUUUGAUCAGGUUCAAAGCAGCAGGAGAGUGUUCCUCUUCAGCUUCUGGGACCAGCUCGUAUGUGCCGUCAGCGAGUAUAGCUUCUACACAAGAUGCAUAUGCAUAAGAUUUUAUCUGUAAGCUUUCCUGAUGUAUAGGUUGCAUUUCGUUAAUCAUUGCAAAAGCAUAGGGUGCAUUUUCGACCACAUUCACCUAAACAAGUUUAUACACCUUUCUUUCUUUUUGGCCACAUUCACCUAGACAAGUUUGUAACAAUUCUUUUCUUCGCAAAACAAGGUGGGUUGGGAAGAAAACAUGGGUUUUAUUUUGAUGGUGAUUGUGUACACAUAUAAGAUUCUUAGAAACUUAUCAUUCAAUAGACAACAGGUGGUGUUUUGGUGUUGUUUAGCAAACCUUGAUCAUGUCACUACUGAAGAGCAUAAAUAACUAUUUUGUGAGCCUACAAAUCCUAGUAGCAAUUAUCCUUAUUCAAUAAAUUAGCUUUUAACAUGAAUAAAUGUUUCAAAAGCAUCUAUUAAGAUAUGAACAUUAAAUUUUUACAGGAGCUUUCCCUCUACACAGGAAAUCUACUAUAAAAAUUUAAAAUGAAUUUGACAAUCACAUAAUUUAUUAAAAUUCAAACAGUGUUAAAUUGCAAAUCAUGAAGAAUGAUUUUUAACUAGAGUUCUAGCAUCAGUUUGGUUGCAAAUUUUACAGAAGGGUUUCCAACAAUAACAUAUGCUACUGUGAAUUUCUCAGGAUUUUACGAGCAUGAAAACUAUUUAUCCCAUAAAAAAGGAGAUUAAACAACAUGUAUUCUCUUAAGCAAAGGAAAACAUAUAUUUCACAGGAUCAAGUAUUUUUACUAGUCAAGCAUGAGCAUCAAGAGCCUAACAUAAUUUAUUUUGCAUUUUCAUCUAUUUUUUACUAAUUACCAUGUAAAUAACAAGAUUAUGAUAGCAAUUAAACGUUUGAAUUUAAAACAAUACGAGCAUCAUUGAUUCCAUUAACACAAAUUAUAGAUAUGGAACAUUCAUGUUAAAAGGAAGCUAAAAAAAUUAGUUUCACCAUUUUUAGACCACUAUAUGAUUUAUAAGGUAUUUAAUGGCUUUUAUACAAAAUAAAUUCUAGUGCUAGAUACAAGAUAGUAACAUGCACAUGAACAUUUUUAAAUUAAACUAGACAUCAUCAAGAACCGAACAAAAUAAGUUUCAUAUUUUUCUCAUUUUUCUACAGCUUCCUAGACAUUUUUCAAUUUUCAGUCAUUUAAAUCAAUUUAAAACCGAAAAGGAAAACAUGUUUCAUGACCAGACCCUUAGAUCUUUUGAGACUUCAUAACAAGGCCCCUACAUUUUUACACCUACGACCCUAGAAACAAAGUCACUUUGCAAUGUGGCCCUUGGGGGAAGGCUGGCAGUGAGGGCGGCGCAAUCCGGCGAGGUCCGGCCGCGGGGGUGCGAGCUAGGGGCGGAAAUGUGACGAGGAGCUCACCGGUGAUCCUUGGGCUGUAGGGGUUGAGGACGGAGGUGGGCGGAGCUUCGGGGACGACGUCGGUGCUUCAUCUCUGGCAAAGGUGGUGGCGGAGAUGGCCGGAGAAGGGGCUAAGGAAGUGGAGUGAGGCUCGGGAAGGGUGCUGGUGUGCUUGGGUGGUGUGGGGGCACUCAGAGGCAGGAGCUCGACGGGGUGGCUGCAAUGGCGCACGACAGAGCUCGGGUGCGGUGGAAGGGUGGCGCCAGCGAGCCUAGGCAUUGCCCUUUUAUAGCGGCAAAGGGGCGUGAGGGGAGUAGGAGGUCCAAGCACGCCUUCUCGCACAUUGGUGUGGACGGUGGUGGCCUGGUGCUGGCUAGCAGGGGGUGGCUGCACGAGGUUGGCUAGCGGCCGUGGGGUGCGUCGGCAUGCGGCGUGCGUCGCGUGCUGCGGUUGGCUAGCCAAGAUAUGCGUGCCAGGGGGAUCAUGCGCGCGGAGUGGGUAGUGGCCAGGCUCAUUCUAUCUCAUUGCCGGUGGCGGUUGGGCGACGGGGCGGAGCCAGGCAGGAGGCACCGCGUGGUGACGGCAUGUUCACCGCAUGUGGUGACCGUGCUCCGGGCGCACGUGUGUUCGUGUGUGGUGCGCGAAGAUAGGAUCUGUGUGCUGGAUUUUCUCCUAAGAUUUGAACUAAACAAUGAAAACUUCAAAUAUAAAAGUUUGAGUUUGAACUAUGGACUCCAACUUCUACAAAGGCUGAUGAGUUUGAAGAUAGCCGGGCAAGGCUGAUUUCAAUUUGACUUGAAUUUGACCCAACUUUGACCCAUUAUUUUGAAUGCCUUCCACUCAUAAUCAGGGAAAGUGUAAAUUAUGAAAGUUGUUCAAUUUGGAAAGAUCUACCACUUUUAUAUUGGCCAAAAUUUAGUUCUUAUAUAAAAAUCUGUUUUUAAAUCCUACCCAAGUGAGCACCAUUUAGGGGGUGUUUUUAACACUUAGAAAAAUUUGAAGUGUUUUUUAAUUUGACACUUGGCAAAUUUGAUUUGUUUCUAAUCUCUUUCUUAAUUUCUCUUGAUUUAUCAUUUUAAUCACUAGGAUGUCACAUAGUUCUGAUGCCGUGGAUCGAUACAAAGUCAAUGCCAGUCCGUCUACUAAAGCCGGACCAUCCUCCGGGUUGAAGAAGCGCUCAGCUACAGAUGAGCUUGAAGCCACGAUCCCUCCACCACCGAAGAAGAAACGAACCAUUGUUUGAAAAUGGGCCAUGAAGAAAUCCAUUGCUACGGAUAAUGUGCCCCCCAAGGUUAUUACUUAUGAGGAAGGACAAGAUCCUGAGUAUCACAUACUCCCAAAAGGUGUCUCCAAUGUCACCACCAUGUCUACUCAGGAUGACACUGGUGGUUUUACAGGUACUCAAGCUGGUGACGGAAACUGAGAAGGAAGCUGCCUUGGCUACUCAGGACAAGUCGUCGAUCAUCGAGGAGGUGAUCGAUGUUGAAGAUGAUCCAAAGCCUGUUGUUAGCAAUGAAAACUCCUAUGGAGAUGCGGUGAAACUUGUUGGCGCAGAGAUGACAUCAGCAGUGGGGAUGGUAACUAAGGCUGGCCAGGAUCAAGCUGCGACUUCUCAGGCCAUGCCAAAGGCGCCAUCUCCAGCUAUUAAGCCACUACGCCUGACGAAAGAACCCAAUUUGAAACUAAGGAUAUCUUCAAGGUAUCCUCUAUUUUUCUUUUGAGUACUUAUUAUGACUCGUUAGUAAGUUGCUUGUGACAGAAAUAUGUGCCCUUCUGCAGGAAAUACUCGGACAUAGAUUUGGCUAGGCCUGACUCCAGGCAUCAUCGACCGAUGUUGUGCCGCUAGCCCCCGAGCGACAAGUACACGAAGAAGUGGCAACGACUAAUUCUGGCAUCGUGGCUACUCCCGUAGCCGCUGAGCCAGAGGUGGAUAUUGAAACGGAAAUAGUUUUGGAAGUCAUGGCAGCCAGCGCAUCCUCCGAGCUAGGUCUGGCCAGAGAAAUUUGUCUUGAAGAAAUCCGACUGAUCGAUGACCCCUUGCUGAAUAUGGACGUUGUCGCUGGAAUGAUGGAGAUGCACCACCGUAUCAACAAUUAUGCAGAGGUAUCUUCUUUCUGACUUGAUGUGUUGAUAGUUGCCUUGUAACUUGUACUCAUGUGCUAAUACAAGUACCUAUUGUGCAUGUCGAAGGAUGCCAUCAAGCGCUCCCACCGCAAAUCCCAGAUGCUUGAAGGAUAUGCGGACACAGUACUUCAUGCUGAGGCCCUUCAAAAAGAACUUGCUAAGGAGAGGGAGCACUGUUCUCGAUUAAUGAUGAAGUAUGACAGAGUUGCUGCUGAAUACCAGAAUCGCAUCUUGCAACUUGAAGAAGAAAAAGACCGACUAAGCGGACGCAACAAGUCCUUGAACCAGCAGAUUAAAGGUCAUUGUUAUUCUUGCUACUUUUCUGAAUACUGAUUCUGCUUGUGAUACUGACCCUCUGCUGCCUUAAUGUGCAAAGCUUGAGAAGUUGAAUAAAGAACUCCAGGAGAAAGCCACUGAUUGGACCAAUGCGUUCUAUCGUGUGACUAACCAGCUCGACAGACUUGUCUUGCAAGUUGAGAAGUUGGAGCAUAACCUAGAGAAAGAAGAUAAGCAAGGAUGGCGAGGCUGAUCAUGUUACUGCCAUGGAGACAUCAAAGAUCACAAGGCUAAGGCAGAAACUGCCACAUUCACCCUGAAUAAGAUUUGUGAGGCCGCCCAGCCAAUUGCGGAUAUGAUAGAGCCCCCAGCUGAAGGUGUAGAGCCUCGUCCGCUAUCAGAGAUACUCAAGGAUGCGCUAGAGAAGGUUUCUGGCUAUAUUUAGAAGAUGACAAAGUCUAUCUCCCAGCAGGUCUUGAGCUUUGUGAAGUUUUUCUAUCCCUAGAUAAAUUUACAACCCGCUGUUGAAGGGAUGGUGUUAGACUGCUCGGAUGAGCAAUUCAAGGAGAUUAUGAGGGAGAUGGAUCCCAUCACUGAAGAAGUAGCCAAGCAGCUAGACCUUGAGUAGAUCUGGAGAUGAACAAACAUUAGUAUUUGUAUAAAGAACAACUAUCAAUGCUUGUAAUAUAUUGAAGCCUUUAUCCAAUUAUUUUCUUGCUUUGCAACUUGUUAUUUUUAGUGCCUCUCACAAUUAAUCUUGAUCGUUGCUUGUAUGAUUAAUGUGAGUGUCUGUGCACAAGGCUUCUUUUGUGAGCCUCAUCAGGUGCACAUUGUAGAGUACUUUAGGACACGUGUCCUUUUGUGGAGCACAAGUACUCGAGCUAUCUGGAUAGUAGAUUACUAGGCGAGUAGUCUCUUCAGGGUUUUGACAACUAGAGUCUAUCUUUACAACCUAUGUAAGUUGUAUUGAUGUUACGCUCUAGAAAGUCUGGAACUGCAGACUUGUUAUUACAAGCCGCAACUAGACAGAUUUGUCUGGUGAAUAGUCACUUAGGUAGUUAAUAAAUCUUGAGGUACUGAUGGCUUCUUUUUUGCAAGCCGCCAAGGGACAGAUUUGUCCAAUAAGUUAACUAACUCAUGAAGUUUAUUGCAGACUUGCUUUGCAUGCUGCAAUGGAUGGUUUUGUCUAAUGAGUUGAAUACUCAUUAGAAUUUUGCAGGCUCGUUAUUACAAUGUGUAUUUGCACGAUUUUGCCCACGGAGCUGAAUAGCUCAUUGGAGUUUUGCAGACUUGUUAUUACAAGCUGUGAUUGGGCGAUUUUACCUAGGGAGCUGAAUAGCUUAUUAGGGGUACUACGAACUUGCUUCUGCAAGCCGCGAUAAGGCAGAAAUAAGUAGUCAAAUUAUGAUGAAAAUAUGACUGCUUUAUUGAAUUGUAAAUCUACAACUAGGGCCGAUGGCCAAAAACAAGAAUAUGUAAAUCUAAAUUAAGGAUAAAAUCGACAGAGUUGGUUGAUGUUCCAUGAGUUGUCAACAUCUUUACAAAAGGGGUAUUGUAGACGAUAUGAUCUAGGUUCAGGGACCUUGGAGAUGAUGAAAGGCCCCUCCCAUGGUGAGUUGAGCUUGUGCAGCCCCUUGGUGUCUUGGAUACGCUUCAGGACCAUAUAGCCUACAUUGAAUGAACAUUCUUUGACAUUGCGAUCAUGAUAGUGAAGGACCGGAAAGGCAACUAAAGAUUUCCAAAGGUUUCUCUGAAAAUUUCCGCACGUUCGGAAUUUUUCGAAGGUUCCUCUAGAUUUUUCUGCACAGAGGUGUUGGUUUUACAAAGUUUGUCUUCCGGAGAUUUUCAGAAUUAUGUCCAGAGAUUUCCGGAAUUCCAAAACAGCCUGCGCAAAGAUGAUAGAAAAAUCCGAAACGGGGUCAAACGACCUUAAAAAAUUACAAAAUUUGAACCAUAACGUCACAACUUAGUAAAGAAGAUUAUCCUAAGAAAUCAUCCCCAAAAGAUGUGCCAAUCAAGAGGAAUUCAAAAUCUUGUGAAGAACUCUAUUUUCUCAACCCAAAAACUUGAAUCGACCUGAUCUAUGAACUCGUGAGGUUUCAAUCAAAUCCCUUCGGUGAAGGUUCAACUCACAUCCUAGUUGAUUUCCAAACAACCAGAUUGAUUCAAACACUCCUUACAAAACACGAAUCGACCAAAAAUGUGAGAGGGAAGAGAAGGGAGAAAACAAGAACGCGAAGAACACAAGUGAGAUUUGCACAAAGCCGUCAUCCCCAACACACGGAGGACACGAGAAGGUUAGGGCCUCCAUUCCCACAACAAACUUUGGUUCAAUACACAGAUUCAGUGUUCAAAAUAUCCGCGGACCUCUAGGGAGAGAGUAGAGAGAGAGAGAGAGAGGUAAAACCAAAUGAAACACUAGAGAGAGAGAGGUGGUGGUAGAGAGGUGGAAGAGGUGCUGAAAACUUCAGCCCCCCAUCUCUAUCUAUUGGCGCGGACAAAAGACCAAACUACCCCUAUAGCUACUACUAAGAUAACUACCCACGCAGGGGCAUUUUGGUCCAAGUUUUUGUGCGCUCAUCGAACGGACACGCCACCUUCACAACUUUGCUUCGCCUCGACGCAAGCUUCGCGAUGAUGCCACAUGUCCUCCUUCUCGAAGCUCUGGCCGCACCGGGCUCACCCCUGGUUUUGAGGCCCAAACCGGGAAACCUGCCAGCGUGGUGGUUUUGAUGCCCAAACCACCCAAACCGUCCAUCUUCGCUUGGCUGCCACGUGACCUCCUUGAUGUCAACGCGUGUCCAGUCUCCACCAAGCCUUUGACACCUCCAAGUCAUUCGCUCCCAGCUCCUGGGCCAUCUACUUGACUUGCCUCCAUCCCGCUUCACUCGACUGAUGCUAUCUCCAUCACUGUCAUGUUGUCUUGCUAUUCCGUGCACCAUGUGGACCGCCCAUGACUCUGCCUGGACUCCUCAGGUCCACUAGUCCAAGCCUACUCAUGUUCAUCCUUUACCGUCCUUGGUCCAUCGGCAUGAACCUUUCACUUGACCUUCACCGCACACCGUCGGCCGUCACACCGCAUCCUACACCUCCACAUCACAAGCCAAGAACAACAUCAAACCAACACAACAUUGUCAAUCACUCAUCAUCCAAGGGUGACUACCAUUGGUCCUCAGAUAGCGGCGGAUCCCUUCCAAGUACCUUGCGGACUGGACGAGUGUUGCACAGCGUGCUUCUUCGAGGCUGUCUAAUUCUAGACGUCUUGUUUCUUCUACUGUGCCUUCCUUGUACUACUCGAUUGUUGGAGGUUUCCACAUGACAUCGAUGGGUAGGAUAGCUUCAGAUCCGUAGACCAGGAAGUAGGAUGAUUGCCCUGUAGGCUUGCACAACUGGGUACGUAGCCCUCAGAGUACAUUGGGUAGCUCCUUGAGCCACUUGCCUCCCUUGGUGUUGGAGAUGUCAUGCAGUCUUUUCUUGAGAGCAUCUAGCACCAUCCCAUUGGCGCGCUCAACCUGGCCGUUGGCCCACGGAUGAGCAAUGGAGAUGUAUCAGACGUUGAUCCCACUAUUCUUGCAGAAUUCCCAGAACCCAUGGUUGUUGAAGUUUGAAUCCAGGUCUGUGAUUAUGUGAUUGGGGAAGCCGUAGCGAUGAACAAGCUCGUUGAGGAAGUCGAGUACCCUAUCUGCUUUGGGGUAGGUGACUUGCUUCACCUCGAUCCACUUGGUAAACUUGUCAAUGGUCACCAGAACUCAGUUAAACUCCCAGGUGCAGAUAGUACAGAGCCCAUCAUGUCAAGCCCCCAGCAUGCAAAGGGCCAAGAUGGUGGUAUGGUGAUCAGCUUGUAGGCAGGGACGUGUUGCUGCUUGGUGAAGAAUUGGCACCCUUGACAUCAGCGGACUAGUUCCUCGAUGCCAGCGAGAGGCGUAGGCCAAUAGAACCCUGAUAUGAGAGCCUUUUCCCACAAUUGUCCGUGAGGAUGCAUGGUUACCACAGAUGCCUUUGUGUAUCUCCUCCAGGAUAUCCUUACCGUCUUGCCAUGAGACACACUUCAUGAGCACCCCUGAUGAUGUGCCUCUUCUGUAUAGCUUGUUUCCGACUAGAAUAUAGUUCUUGUUACACCGUGAGACUUGUUCUAUCUCUUUCUUGUCUGAAGGUAGCUUGUGCUCUUUGAUGUAGUCAAUGAAGGGAGCGGUCCAGUCUACAUCGAUCAUCAUAACCUCCCAAUCUGGUGCAGUAGGAUCUUGAUCAGUGGUUGUUGAUGGUGGUGGCUCCAUUAUGGAUGGCUUGUGUAUCUCAUCGAUGAAAACUUCAACUGGAACUUGAGCGCGAGUAGACCCAAGCUUUGAUAGGACAUCUGCGGCAACGUUGUUGUCACGGACAACAUGGUGGAACUCCAAACAAGAGAGUUUAUUCUCUAGCUUGCGUACUCCUAGACAGUAUGCAUCCAUGUCCUCCUUAUGGUGGUACCACUUGUGGUUGACUUGAUUGAUCACCACCAGUGAGUCACCAUAGACCAACAAUUGCUUUAUUCCUAGAGAGACUGCUAGGCGAAGUCCAUGCAAAAGCGCCUUGUAUUUAGAUUCGUUGUUGGACACUUCCCAAAAGAUUUGUAGGAUGUACUUGAGUUGUUUGCCUUUGGGAGAUAUCAAGAGUACUCCUUCACCGGUGUCCUCGAGCUUGAGUGAUCCAUCAAAAUACAUGACCCAAUGUUUUGGACGCUCCGCUAGUGUUGGUAGUUGAUUCUCCCAUCACUCUUCCAUGAAAUCGACUAGGGCCUAGGACUUGAUUGCAGUCCUCGACUUGAAUUCUAGGGAUAAUGAACUGAGUUCUACCGCCCACUUAGAUAUUCUGUCUAUUUCUGAUUGUGGGGAGUUUCUCUAAGAGGAAAAUCUGUGAGGACAGAGAUCUUGUGCUCCUUGAAGUAAUGUCAUAACUUCCGCGAGGUGAGCAGUAUCGCAUACAAAAGCUUCUGGACUGGUGGAUAUCUAGUCUUGGAAUCUAACAGCACCUCACUUAUGAAGUAGACAGGCCUCUAUAUUUUGAAUACAUGGCUUGGUUCCGGUAUUUCAACCACAAUCGCCAUGCUGACAUUGUGAGUAGUCACGGUGAUGUAAAGCAGCAAGUCUUCAUUGGGGUUUGGUACCAUGAGGACCGGUGGCUUUGAUAGGAAGUCCUUCAAUUGUUGUAGGGCUUGAUCUGCCUCCUCAGUCCACUGAAACUUGUUAUUCUGCUUGAGUAGUUUGAAGAAGGGUAGGCCCCGUUCUCCAAGCCUUGAGAUCCACCAUGCAUCCAGUCAGCUUUUAUACGUCUUGAUGCCUGAUGGGGCAUGCAUAUUGAUGAUGGCAAAGAUCUUCUCGGGGUUAGCUUCAAUGCCUUGGUGACUAAUGAUGAACCCGAGUAAUUUCCCAGAAGGCACGCCGAAGAUGCAGUUUGUUGGGUUGAGCUUCCAUCGGAACUCUCGCAGACUUGUGAAAGUUUCUUCUAGAUCCGCAAUCAGGUCAUUGGGAUUUAUGGUCUUUACAACCACAUCAUCCACGUACGCCUCCACAUUGCAUUGUAGCUGUUUCUUGAAGCACUCUUUGAUUCCCAUUGAUAAGUAGCGUUUGCGCUCUUCAUCCUGAAAGACAUUGUUGUAUAGUAGAAAGCUCCAUAUGGGGUGAUGAACAUGUUCUUGAUAUGGUCUUCCUCCUUGAGAUCUAUCUGGUGAUACCCUAAGUAGCAAUCGAGGAAAUAGAGGAGGGCACAUCCAGCUGCAGAGUCGAUGACUUGAUCAAUCCUAGGGAGCCCGAAGGGAUCCUUUGGAUAGUGCUUGUUGAGGUCUAUGUAGUCGACACACAUCCUCCACUCAUUGUUGUUUUUCUUUUGCACUAGGAUAGGAUUGGCGAGCCACUCUAGAUGAUAGACUUCUUUUAUGAAAGCCCACCGUGAGUAGUUUGGCUAGCUCUUUCUUGAUGGCUUCCAUUAUGUCUUGGGAGAAUCAUCGUAGGCAUUGCCUUUUUGGUGUAGCUUUUGGAUUCACAUUGAGUGAGUGCUUGAUCAACUCCCUGGGCACCCCCGGCAUGUCUGCUGGUUUUCACAUGAAGAUAUCUCGGUUGGCCCGAAGGAAGCUAACGAGCGCGCUCUCCUAUUUAGGAUCCAGCCCUGCGCAAAUUAGGGCUAUCUUGGAGCUAUCACCAGUCUCAAGGUUAAUGGCUUUGACAUCUACUUCACUUGCCGGCUUGAGCUUGGUUGCUCCCGACUUCUUCUGCGGUAUCUCAAGCUCUGACAGGGAUAGCUUCUUGGAUGCGGUGAAGACUUGCAUCAUUGAGUUUGGAACUUGGGUAGUUGGUGCUAGCUCCACAGUUUAUGUGUCGCAGUCGUAUGACCUCUUUAAGUAUCCAUGAAGGGAGAAUACUUCCUUGGGUCCUGGCAUCUUGAGUACUAAGUACACAUAGUGCGGGAUGGCUAUGAAUUUGGCCAAUGCUAGUCUUCUGAGGAUGGCGUGGUACAAUAUUUUGAAGUCCGCCACCUCAAACCGAAUAUAUUAUAUCCGGUAGUGUUCUUUGGUCCCAAAGAUAACUAGCAAAAUCACUUGCCCGUAGAAUAUAGAGUUUAUUGGGGUGAGCAUAUCAGUGACGUUGAGGCCCACCUUCUUUAGUGUAUUAGCAAAUAGGACACUGAGACUGCUGCCACCGUCAAUGAGUAUUUUGGUAAGUCUGGAGUUAGCGAUAACCUGGUCCAGAACGAGGGGAUACCGUUUUGGGUCUGAGAAACUAGUCAUUGGUCCUUCCUGGAGAAGGUAAUUGGCAUCUCGGACCAUUUGAGGAAUGUUGGCGCCGCAGGUUCAAUGGGCAUUAUCUCUCGAAGAGUGAGCUUAUAGGAUCGCUUAGUAGCAGUACUCGGGGUUUUGCCGAAGAUGACGUUGACGGUGUUGGAUGGGUUCUGGAACUUGCCAUUGUCACCAUCGUCUUCGUCUUCCUCAGCCUUGCCCUUGUCUUUGGUGCCAGAUUGCUCUGGCAGGUCCUUCAUGACUCUGCGUAGACUGAAACAAUCUAACGUAGAGUGCUUGUGGUAUGGGUGCCAUGGGCACUAUUUCUGCAGAAGCUCAUUAAACGAGGGCUUGCCUUGGUUCUUGCCACCACCUUUCUUGGAUGACUGCAAGAUUGCCGCGACAAUAUUGUUUGGCUUGCGCUUGCGGUUCUAACUUCCAGAGUAGUUAUUUCUAUUGUCAUUGUUGGGGCGUUCGUUACAGUUCUUGUCAUUGCUUUGGCUAUUGUUGUGAUUGUUGUUGUUUUGGCCCUUAUUGCGAUUGGACUUGAACCUUUCAAUCUCCCUAUCUUCUUCAUCUGCCAACAUCUGUGCCAUGAUCUUGAGAGAUUUGACAUCAACAGGGCAUCUUCUACUGAAGUCUUGAAACAUCUGGCGGUCGCGAAGGCCGUUCCUGAAGUAGUCGAUGAUGUCGCAAUCUGUGACAUCCACGAUUGUGGCCUUUUUGUUGAGAAGAGAUGUAAGUAACUCCGCACGGUCUCGCCUUUGCUGUCGUCGUUUCCCUAGCUGAUUGUACUAAUAGCGAGUAGCAUCGGAGCCAUUGACCUGGGUCUUGCAUGCCAUUGUACUUGGUGAUGCCCGGGGGUUUGAACUUUUUGGGUAGAGUUGUCCUCCUCACAUGUCUGGAGAAGGUAGGGAAUCCAUCAGUAUCAUCCCCUAGAUUUUCGACUUCUUGCUUGCGCUCACGACGCCUUCCAUUGAUGAUGGUACGAGCAUCGUGGUUGGCGUAGAUUUUGUUGCGGAGGUCUCCUACUGGGCAUUCAGGCUCUGGGUUAGCCCCACGGUUGCAACGACCUCCCGAGGGUCCUGUCCAACUACCUUCAGCUCCAGCUUGGCUUGGUCUGGCACCUCUGAGUUGACUUGGUCUGGACGGAGGGCCUCUAUGGCUACUACCAUGUUGACUUCAUUGGGAUGCGGAGCAUUGGAUUGACUGUAUCGGACUUUGCUGAUCAAGUUUUUUGUACACGAGUUCUACCAGUUCAGCCAAUUGUCUAGUGUCCUUGUUCUGGGGAAUUGUGCGGGUGAUGAGGUCAAUAGACGUGACGGUAGCUAGGGGAGUACGAUGGUGACGCGUUUGAACUGCUUCAAAGGCAUUAUCCAGGUUCUAGAUUGGUAGGUCCACUGUAAGACGGCGACGGCGCUCUGCUGUUGCGGCGUCUCUUGCUUGUCGUCAAGUUCUUUGAGCUUCAGUCUCUUCUUUGACAACGUUGGUGGUGAGCUUAUCCUGCGAGACAUCAUCUGGGUGAUGCUCAUGUUGCAGGUUUCUAUCCCGUCGCUCUUCUUCUUCGCCCUCUAGUCCAGCAACGACGGUGAAGAGUUCUCGCAGUGGAGAGUAGCUUACCAAGUUUGAAGUGAUGACGUCCAUGGUGCCGCCUUCCUCGUAGAUGGGUGACAGAGGAGCUCCCUCCUGGUACAGAAGAGUGUCGAGGUAGGCGAUGAGGCGUGAAUUGUCGUCCUUGGCAAGAACGGGUGGCUUUAUGUUGGGUCAAUAGAUGAAUCUUCCUUGAGGAGUUGAUGUGAUUACCAGGCCUUGCUGCGGACCUAACAAAGGAGUCUCCUCAUCCAGAUCCGAGUAGUAGUGGAGGUCCUCAAUAGUAUCCGUAUCGGAUUGUGAUCUAGACAGGGCUGCCUGAUAAUCAAUGGUCGUGUUGCGGAGUGCGAACACGAAUUGACUAUGGUGGUAAUCUGACUCGCACGAUGGCUUAUGCGUCAGCUCAUGCAAGUCAAUCCGACUGGCGCAAGAAGUCAAGUUGUACUCGGACUCGUCCCCCCAGCCUCUGACUAGGUCAAAAAUUGAGAAUUCGCUGAAAUUCUCAACGAGAUCCUCUAGAGCUUGGCGCUGGAGCUUCAUAGUUUGCUGCUUCAUGGUGCGCUGACGUAAUGACUGGCUUGAUGAUGACUUGUUCCAUCGAGUUCACCAGUGGAUUCUCAGUGAGAUCCCCUACCUGACGCGCCAGCUGUUAGUGUUUAGACCCGGCAACCUACCGAGGGGGGUGCCUGAGGUAGUGUUUUGGUUGGUGGGGCUUGUCGAGAUCAGGAACUUGAAGGUAAAUGCAGAUACAUGACUUAGACAGGUUCGGGCCACUAGAUUGCAUAAUACCCUACGUCAUGUGUGUUGGUUGGAUUGAAUUUCCUUGGAGGGGGUCCCUGCCUCACCGUAUAUAGUAAGGGGCAGGGUUACAGGUCGGUUGGUUACAAGAAUACUAGUUGGAUAUGACUAAAAGAAUCCUACCCUAUUACAAUGAGUACUUUCCUAAUCCUUGACCAAUUCUUGUCUUUCCAUGUAGACUACGCCGUCCUGCGCCAUGGUCUCCAUGUCAGAUGCGUCUUGGUGUCCAGCCCCAUAUUUGGGUCUGUCCAAACCUUUUGGUGCGCCCAUAGAUGUAUGUACGAUAGCUUGAUCUGCCUUAUUUUGGAUCCUUAAGCAAAAACGAGCCUUUGGAGAGGGCAUCAAGUUUCCAGCAAGUGUCCUCCAAUAAUGCUAAUCGAAACUGUUGAAGCAACACGUGGUCAGGUAUGGAUAAGACUGGACAAAUCUCCAUAAGAGUAUAGAAACGAGCCUAUGCUGCGCCUAUCGAUUCCUCCUCUCGCUACUUGAGGCAAAGGACCUUAACUCGCAAAGAAGCGAUGCAGGAUAGAGGAAAGAGGAAGAAGCAAAAUCUAGCCCUCAACUCUUUCCAAUUAUCGAUCAUACUCUCUUCUAAGCGAAGGUACAACUUUCUCACUCUCCCUGAGAGGGAGAACGGGAAAAGGUUCCUCUUAAGAGCGUCUUGUGUCAAGCCGGAUAUUCUCUGGCAAGAGCACAAGUGCUCAAACUCUCGCAUGUGAUGGUAGGGGUUCUCAUAGCUUAUCCUCGAGAAGGAAUUUUCCUGAACCUGCUCUAUGAGUGAGGGAUGAAUGUUGUAGCCGGAUGUGGAAUUGUGUUCCCAAAAGGAUGGCUCUAAAGACUCACCCCGAAGGGUCAAAAGGUGUGUACGAGGAUAACCUUCCAUGGAUAAUGGGGGUAGAGGUAGAAAUAAAGAAAUGCAAAAAGAUACGAGGACCACUACAUUUGUAGAUAAAUAGCAAUGGUUCCCUGGCAAUAGCACCACAAAGCUUGUUGGUAUAAUUAACAAAUGCAAAUGACUUCGCAAGUGCACGGAUACCAUUGUAGCUUUCACCUCAGAGUAUUCCAAGGGUAACAGAUCUAGGGGAACGUGUGUGUAUAUCUAUGACUCUAGUAUCCAUGGACAACCAACCAACGAGAAGCGAAGGGCAGAGAGGAUUCCUAUGGAUAGCACUAGAUAAGUUAAAGGUCAAUCUAUUGGUCAAGGAACUCGCUUCGGGCACUAGCUUACCCUAAAUUACUUAGGCGCCUUCGGCCAAUGGCUCUACGCUAUAUCCAAACAUGGAGGAUUACAAAGGAUGGAUGUGGUUGUCACCACCUGCCGUCUACCUCUAGCAACCCGUGGGAUAUAUGGCAAAUGAAGGAUAACCCUUAGCCUAGACAUCACGUCUACGCCACUGAUUACUACUGCAAUCUAACUAGGUCUGUCGACCCAUAGCAGAUAUACAACACUCCGUAUAAAUAUGGAGCAACAAACCUAUGAGUAAGAGAAUUGAUCUCACUUAUAAAUAAGCACUAAACUAGAUAAGGAAUCACAAAUACUUACUUACUAAACUCAGAAGGAAGACAACAACCAUAGAGGUAUAUGGUCGGAGUAGACUGCUGAGGAACUCAGCACCCCUCCGAGCUACUCCCUCUCUCUCACCCUAUCCUAAGCACAAGCCUAAGCAGGGCUUUGCCAUGGAGCUCUUCUCUAGAUAGGAGUAGAGGCAAGUGGAGGUGAGGAAGGUGUUGGUGUUGGUGGGUGUUGUUGGUGUGUCUUGAAAUGAGACCCCUCCCCUUCUAUUUACAGGCUCUUGGGGUUAGUUCCAAGCAGAAAUAUUCAGGGAAUCUUCCACAACCACCUUUGGGACAUCAUCAACCACCGCCACAUGUCAGCUGAGGAUGAAAGGAGGCAAGUGUGGUUCAGCCAAACUAGGGGUUCAGCCGACCCCCAAUAACCACCUUUCACACCGCCUUGGCUUUGGGUCACUGCCCUGUGGGUCCUCAUGUGGGUACAGGGUGCUUGGCAAUGAAUGUAGUCGGUUUCCUUCAGAUUGUGGGCCCAUGGAUCCACGUGCUUGCUCCUAAUUGGAUGAGAGUGUGUUUCCUUGCUCUUGAGGUGUGUUUUCUCUUUUAAUGGACCUGCAUACAAAUGUUCAACAGCACUUGUAGAAUUCAUUAGUAAUAACUCCUACCACUACUGUUGAUGCUCAUCUUUUCUAUGUAUAUGCAGGAGUUAACGGCCUAGAUUUUGUACUUAAGAGCUGUCAGCAGCUAGAGAACUUCUCUCGUACAUCCAUGAGCAUCUCUGACAACGGAUAAGGCUCCACACCCUCAACUGGGGGCUCUAUCAUAUCAGCAAUUGGCUGGGCAGCUUCUCACAUCUUGUCCAAAGUAAACUUGGCCAUGAACGCUUCAGCCUCAUGAUCCUGGAUGGUCUUCAUGGCAUUGACAAGUUCAACUUCACCAUCUUCGUGCAUGUUCUUCUCUUUCUCCAGGUGAUACUCCAGGUUCUCAUAUUUCAAUACAAGCUUGUCGUGUUGAUCAGCUAUGCGUUAAUACGCAUUCUUCCAAUCUGUGAGCUGUCCCCGGAGAUCUUCAUUUGACUUCUCAAGAGCUGCACAGUAAGGCAGAAGAGGGUCAAAGUUCCAAACACAAUCAGUACUCGGAAAUCAAGAAGGAGAGCAAUUACCUUUAAUCCACUGGUUUAAUAUUUUGUUGUGCCGGCAGCUCCAUCAUAUUUCAUCAGCAGUAGGGAGGAGUACUCUUUCUCUUUGGCCAGUUCUCUUUCGAGGGCCUCACCACGAAGCACUGUGUCCCAUAGCCUUCAAGCAUUUGAGACAUAUGAUGGGAGCGCUUGAUAACAUCCUGCACCACAGAAUUAGUACUCAUGUUACAACAUGGGUACAAGCCAUAGGCUAUAUGUCAAUGGAACAAGUUAGAAAAGGCAUACCUCUGCAUAGUUGCUGAUGCAGCGGUGCAUGUCCAUCAUUCCAGCAACUGCAUCCGUCUACAGUAGAGGAUCCUCGAUCAACUGAGUGUCCUCUAGGCAAAUUCUUUCGGUCAAUAAAGGAUCUGCAUUAGCUUCAGCAUCAGCUAUGCCUUGUGGAACCAUGGCAAGACUAGUCGAUGGACCCAGUUUGAAAGGUAAAUGUGUGGCCAUCAUUUCCAAAGUUGUGGCCACCUCGACCUCCAUAGCUGGCUCGGGGGCUACAAGAGUAGCCACAUCGGGAGCCACAAAAAAUAGCCGCAUCAUCGACAGCAGCCACUACCUCUUCAUGUACUUGUUGCUCGAGGGUUGGCGGCACCACAUCUAUCGAAGAUGACAACACCUCGCGCAUGAGGGCUGCCACAAUAGAUAUAGCCAUUGGAGUAGAUGGUUUCUCCAUAGUUUGCUCUUGCGGCUGAUGGACUGGUUGGGCGAAGGCAACAUCUCAAGUUGAGUGGCCAUCACCAUCACCUGAAAGUCCGAAGCCAGGCCCUAACAGAUCCAUGUCCGAGGAUUCCCUGAACGAGAUAGAUUUUUAUCAAAUAGAAAGACAAUAUUGUUGGAGGUAUGCCCUAGAGGCAAUCAUAGAGAUGAUGAUAUUCCAUUUGUAUCCAUGAUUUGUAUAUUGUGUUCAUUGAAUAUCCAUUAAAGGCUACUUGAAUUGAUUUGCAAUUAUGUGAAUUGUAUGUGAAACUCUUUACUUGUAUGGUUAUUCUAAAGUUGUCCCUAGUCGGAGUUCAUGUGAGGACACACAUGAAUAUUAGACUAGCACAUGUAUUAGUUGAUGACUAUGUUUCACAAGUCAUGGAUAUGGAGAUGUUGAACUAAUAAUGUGGACACAUGUGGAGACAUGUGCUAGGACUGACCCAACACGAGAAGUAGUUCUCUCUUUAAACAACAUAUACGCUUUGUCCUUAGACCUGAGAUUGUCGCAUGUAUUCUAGAUGUGGAUCAACCUACUUAGGGGCUAUCAAACGCUACGCCGUAACAGGGUAGUUAUAAAGGUAGCUUUCGGGUUUGUCAAGAAGCAUGCUAUGAGACAUGGUCAAUCAAGAUGGGAUUUGCCCCUCUCUGAUUGAGAGUGAUAUCUCUGGGCCCCUCGAGUGAUCGGAUCCGAAAAUGCAUGGCCAUGCUACGUACGGUUAAGAGUUAACCUACAAAGGGAUUCCGAAUCACAGGAUCGAGAAAGAGCGGUCGGCUUGAAGCUAGACCAAAUAUCGUGAGGCAAAGGGAAUAGCAUGUAUAUUAUGUUGUGUUGGUUCGUCUGAUAUGAUCUUCGUGUGCGUAUAGGAGUUGGCACGUCUUGCUAGAGGCCGCUACCGACUAUUGGGCCGAGUAGGAGUACUCGGGCCAUGUCUAUACGUAUCCGAACCCAUAGGGUCACACACUUAAGGGGCUGGAAGCCCAAUUCGGAUCUGAUCCGAGUUGGAUUAGGUUUAGAAGUACUAAUGGGCCUCGGAUCCAGAGGCCCGUCAGGAACCUCUAUAAAUAGAGGGGUGGGGGCGCCCUAGGGUUCACACCUUUUGGCGAAACACACCUGCCGCGCCUCCCACGCCCUCGCCUGUUGCAACUCACGGAUCUAGCAGUCCGGCUUGCGACGCUUCCUCCCUGCACGUGUGGAUACCUUGGAGGUGUUGCGCCUGCAGCACUUGGACGAGCCGCCCACGAGCCACCGACGAGCCACCGAUGAGCCACGACGAGCCGACGACGAGCCGCGACAACGGAGGCGAUCUUGCUGCAUGUGGACGAGCUGCUGAGGAGCUGCUGGACGUGAUCGACUACGUACGACUACGUGAUCGUCUUCACUGCAUCGACGCAUGUCUACAUCUUCCGCACCAGUAGUGCGUCGAGUGGUAAUCCCGUGAUCCUUAUACGGCAGUUCUUCCUGGUUAUACGCGGUAGAAUUUUUGAAUUGCGCUAGUGUAGCCUACCUCGUAUUCCAACAAAUAUAGAGUUUCGAUAAGUACUCAAUGGGGAAGCAAGAACUACCUUGUAGAUCUCCUCAACUUCAAAGUAGGUUCUCCCGUAAAGCACAGAGGUUUGUUGGUAGCAGAUGGUGCCUUUGGCAUUGCUUGAAUGGUCGCAGUUAGAUCCUCGCCGUUCGAGUUGUUCUUGCACCGGCAGGAUCCACCACUAGUCAAGAUGUGUUGCUAUCAUCAACAACUUUGAGCUCCGGAUCAUCUUCGACAUUGAUCACCUCAUCAGUGAUUGGCAAUUUUUCUUGUGCAGCCAAAGCAGCUGCCUUUUCAGCAUCUAUCUCUGGCUCGAGUACUUGCAGUCGACCAGUGUUAUCCUGAGUAGACACUGUAGUGACAUUGGAAACAUCCUUUGGGAGUACAUGAUAAUCAGGAUCUUGUCCUUCCUCAUAGGUAAUUACUUUGGGAGGCACAUCAUCUGCAGAGACAUAUUUCUUCACAACCAACAUCACAAUGAUGGUCUGCAUUUUCUUCGACAGCAACGGGAUCGUGACUUCAACCUCCUCUGUAGCAGAGCGUUUCUUCACUCCGGAGGAAGGUCCAACCAUAGCAGACAGCCGAGCCAUGACUUCAUAUUGCUCCGCGACAUUGGAACAAGUGCCAAUGGAGGACUCUACCACAUCCUCUUCCUCAUGAUUACCUCUCAUAACUUCCCAUGUAAACAUGCGUGGAGCAGCUUCAUAGGCAUCCUCAGAUCCAGGGGGUGGAGGAGCGGAAAAAUAUAAAUCAACAUCUUCCUGCAUAUAAGAACAAGUCAGCAGAACAAUAAUCUCCAAAUUGGUACUUAGGGGCUAUGGCCAUGAGUACUUACAUGCUUUGGUGGGCAUGAGGCGCUGAAUUCGCCCGAGCCUAAUUAUGAUCUCAUCCGCACUAAUGUCAUCUCGGGAGAACCUAGAUGGAUCAUUAGGGCUGGUGUACUCAUAACCAUAGUGACAUCACUGCUGUAGAGGCUAGAUGUGAUGCUUCAUGAAGCUAAAUGCUACACCAAUUCCAAUGAGCCCUUGCUGCUUCAACUUGGAAAUCAUGUCGAUCAGCUCGUGUAGUUGGAGGCAAUCUCCGUGCUUUGAUUCAUCAAGCCACCAGUUAUUCCAAGAGGGUUGGUGGCCUGUCAGUUUGGGUAAUUUCACAUCAUGUUUGCCAAUAUAGCACCACUUCUCUUUCCACCCUACAUUGGAAUCUAUCAAUUCGUAGUCUAGAUACUGACUACUCAUUGUUUCCCGCAUCUGGAUCCUGGCGCCUCCGACCAAAAGUGUGUGAUCCUUUGAGGGCUGCGGUUUGACAUGGAAAAGUUUCCGAAACAACUAAAAAUGGGGCUUGAUUUGUAGAAACGCUUCACAGAAGUUCACAAAAAUUGCAGUGUGGAAAAUGCCAUCGGGAUUCAAAUGGACCAAUUCCAACUUGUAAUAAUCAAGAAGGUCCCGGAAGAAAUUGGAGGUGGGCAAUCCAAGACCUCGCUCGAUGAAGUGAGGGAAGAUCACCAUCUCAUUUGGGUAUGAUUCCAGUGGACAAGCAUCUCCGAGGGCAGAUCUCUAGUGAACAAUGCUCUGCUCUUGCAAUAGCUUCAUGGCAACAAGCGCCUUAAUGUCUUCCUCUGUUGUUUUCGACCGCUUCUAGGCAACAACAGCAUUGGAAGGUGCAGUCUUAUUGGUCUUUCCAUACUUGGGCGCUGGCAACUAAAGUUCCUUUUUCUUGUUAGAUCUCUUCUUCUUCUCACCUUCGGCCAGUUUGGAUGCGGCAGUCUUUCUCCCCAUCCUCGAUGUCAGAAGUGUCUUCAGUUGCAUACACUCAGGGGCUGAGAAAGUGGUCGGAGACGGCAGCGCUUGCACUCGGAGAUCAGGAAGUAACAGCGGUGCUAGGGCUACAGUGUGGAAGAUGAAAGGGUGAAUGGCAAAGGUAAGACGGAAGGGAUAACUUCCACUGUUAUUUAUAAUAGCGGCACAGUAAAAAUUGGGCAAUAGAUGUUUUUUGACUUAAGGGAUUUUUUGAAAAUUGGCAACAGAUUGAGGGAUACCUUUAUUUCGAGAAGAGAUAAGGAUAUUCCAAUAGAUGGUCACGUUGACCAAGUUUGACCCUUAUGCCAACCAAACUAGUCAGCUAAAGAGGCGGAGGCUGCGUGCCAUGUGUCCAUCAACAAAAAAGUUUUUCUUUUGGGUUUUAAGGGGAAAGUGAAGCAAAUUAUAUAUUGACUCUGAGCCUCAUUCUUCGAUUCAACCUAAGGCUCAGGGGCUACUCCAUAUGGAGUGCGAUUUUUGUCGCACUACAAUGCAAGUUUCAAGGUUGAAGACCAUGAGUUCAAGAUAAAUGGGGCUGGAGCACAUUCUAGCCUCAUGGCAGUUUUUGAGCACCUUCGAAGAUUCGGCCGAACAAAGUACUCGAAGUAGUCAGUGAAGAUCAACAAAAAGUACUCAGAAUUGCUGCAUUCGACUAAAAUGUACUCGGGAGCUUGUCAUACAUACAUCUAUGGGCCCACUAGAAGGUUUGCACAGUCCCAAAUAUGGUGCUGGACAAUGAGACGCAUCUGACAUGGAGACCAUGGCGCAAGGCAGAAUGAUCUACAUGGACAGACAGGAACUAGUCCAGGAUUAGGAAAGUACUCAUUGUAAUAUAGUAGGACUUGUCAUAUCCGACUAGUAUUCUUGUAACCAACCGACCUGUAACCCAGCCCCCGUGUAUAUAAGGCGAGGCAAGGACCCUCCUCCAAAGCAAUCCAAUACAACCAACACACAGGCCCUAGGGUAUUACACAAUUCAGUGGCCCAUAAUUGUCUAAAUCAUGUGUCUGCAUUUACCUUCGAGUUUCAGAUCUCAAUGAGCCCCAACAACCAAAACACUACCUUGGGCACCCCCCUCAGUAGGUUGCCGAGUAUAAACACUGACAGUGAUGUCAGCUUUGGGGCGGGAUUGUUAGCAGUAAGGGGCUUGGACGGGGUGUCAGAAGGAGCAGCGGUGGGGUAGGGAUUUGACGAGACAGACAUGGGGAGGAGCUCUAAUGGGGUGGAGGUGGUGACAUCUUCAUGGAUGACAAAUCAAUGCAGCCAAUCACGCAGAGGCACCAUUGCUCCCGCCACUGCCGCAAAGAGGUGCGCGGCCAAGACAGAUGGUUGAUUGGAGGAAGGGCAAAAAGGUAAUUGCAUUGUUUCCUUAUUUUUUUCAAAACUGUGCGGAACGACAUGUAUUUUGAUAUGGAGUAUAUAGUGACUUGAGAAAUGUAUUCAAAUUUUUCUCUUGUCGCAACAUACUCCCUCAAUCCCAAAAUUGUUGACACCAGUUUUUGACUAGAGUCAACCGAUGAGGAUAAGGUUCUGACAGCCGAUGAACUUGCAGAAGAAAACUCUGUUGACACCUGACGUUGACCAAGGCCAACCACGGAUGACCAUAUUCUAGAAACCGAUAGCAGACUAGGAGGAAUCCGAUUCAAAGCAAAAUCGACUCCACCAAAUAAGGGAAAGUGUUGAGAUUUAUCUUUAUUAGUUUUUAGAAUCAUUGUAACGGUUCAUAUCGUAACCGAUUAGGAUUUUAGCUUGCUCUAGGGUAUAAAUACAAACCCAUGAGCUUUGUAUUGAACAAUUGUCAAUCAAUCAAUACAACCUUUACUUUUUUGGCGCCACGCCACCAAACCCUAGGAGUAGGAGUAGAGUAGAAACCGACGAGUUUCUUCUUGCACGCAGGGCUGCAUCGGAUUCGAUCUCAGGCGAGCUUGUAAGUACCAUCACCUGGUCAUUACGUUAUCUAUAUUAGUCAUUAGAACUUUCUAGGCUUCAUCCAAUAUUCUAAUCUCUUAGUGUAAGGCUAGUUAUCGAGUUGCUUAGAAUCAGACAUAACUUUUUAGGCUUUGUCUAAUAUUCUUUUUGUCUUUGAAGUGCUCAUAGUUAUCAAAUGGCUUAGAUCUGAUUAGGUUGUUCUCAUCGGCUUCUUGAUCUUGUUUAAGCAUUCACCAGUUAUCUAAUCGUAUCAGCUUGUUUGAUCUUGCAUGCCCCUCAAAUCACUAGCCUUUGGAUCUUUAACGUCAGACUACUACUGUUGAGCCAAUAAUGUCUUAGUUGGGUCCAAUCCAUCCAUCUCAGUAGUAUCAUGAUGUCACCGAGCUGAUGGCUAUGCGUGCGAGGUCUUGUUGCCAUGUUGUAGUCUUUUAGGUUAAUGAAUCGAAGUUAAUGCCCUCUUAGCCAUACUGCCUUGGUUAAGUCCAAUCUAUCGGCUCACGAUAUUAAUUAGAUAUGUUAGUUUAAUUGAUGAGCACAUGGUAGACAAGUCAUUUUUUAAUGGCUGUUGUUUUAUCCUGUAUCUAUCUUAGCAUGUCAGCUCAUAUGGCCGAUGGCAUAUGCCAUUAAUGUUUCUAUUUAUUUACCCUACAUGAUUACACUAAAAACCUGACUUUAAUGGUGUUUAUUCAAAGUAACGCCUACCCAUGAGCUUGAAGGCUUCGCCACCUAUUGUCUCAGGAAUUUAAUGUUUUCCUUGUCAAUUAUAGGUCAAAUUGACUAGCACGCCUUGCACCUUCACGAGCCAAUUUGGAGCCUGCACUAGAGUUAAGCAUAUCUCCCACGUCGUCCGUGUUGUUAACGUAGAAACCUGAAGCCCAGAUUUUGUAGCAACACGCUCUUGGCAUGCCCGGUGGGACCAACAUCAAACACUAAGCCGAUCCAAGCAGUCGGCUCAUCAAAGGAAGUCCUAAUAGAUGCUGCGACUAUUGACAUUGAAGGAAAGUUAGGACAAGGUUUUACGUCGGCUCACCUUUUGGAAGAGAAUUAUAUAGGUCCAGGUGAUAGGCCAAGGCCGAUGUUUAUACGUUCCAAGUUAUGUUCUGAGUUUCAACAAAAGUUAAUAGAGUUAUUGAAAGAAUAUCGAGACUGUUUUGCUUGAGAAUACUAUGAAAUGCCACGGUUAAGCUGGUCCAUCGUAGAACAUCGGCUACCUAUUAAGCCGGGCUAUCGGCCAUUCAAACAACAAGCUAGAAGAUUCAAAGUGGAGCUAUUAGAAGGCAUUAAGGCCGAAAUCACCCAGUUAUAUGAAGCUAAAUUCAUCAGACCCUGCCGGUAUGCAGAGUGGGUUUCAAACAUUGUUCUCGUUAUCAAAAAGAAUGGAAAGUUGAGAGCUUGUGUAGAUUUUUGCAAUCUAAAUAGAGCUAUGCCAAAGGAUGAGUACCCCAUGCUUGUUGCCGAAAUGCAGCAUCAGGUCAUAAGAUUUUGAGUUUUAUGGAUGGAAACGCGAGAUACAAUCAGAUAUUGAUGGCAGAAGAAGAUAGUCCAAAGACUGUGUUUCGAUGUCUUGGAGCUCUUGGACUUUAUGAGUGGGUGGUCAUGACAUUUGGUUUGAAGAAUACUGGUGCGACCUAUCAAUGAGUUAUGAAUUAUAUCUUUCAUAGUCUCGUCGGCAUAAUUGUGGAGAUCUAUAUCAAUAAUGUAGUGGUAAAGUCUAAAUCCCCUAAAGAGGAUCUGGCUGAUCUACACAAAACAUUGGAAUGCACAAGGAAGCAUGGUUUAAAGAUGAAUCCAAACAAGUGUGGUUUCGGUGUAUUGGUUAGAGAAUUCUUAAGCUUUAUGGUACACGACAGAGGAAUCGAAGUUGGCCAAAGGAGUAUCAAAGGUAUCAACACUACUGUUCUGCCAACAAACAAGACAGAGUUGCAAUCUUUGAUUGGGAAGGUUAACUUUAUCAGGAGGUUCAUAUCUAACUUACCAACAUGUAUUGAACCAUUCAUGCCAUUAUUGAAGUUAAAGCCUGAUCAAGAGUUUGUUUAGGGAGAAAAGCAACAAGUUGUCCUUUAUGAAAUCAAGAAAUACCUAAAAUCACCACCGGUCCUGAUUGUGCCACAAGCAGAUCGACUAUUCAAGUUGUACUUAUCGGCUGAUGAACAGGCGAUCGGAUCGGUUUGGUUCAAGAAGUUGAUGGGAAAGAAUGGGUGGUCUUUUAUUUAAGCAGAAGGCUUUUAGAUACGGAAACUAGGUAUCCAACAGUUGAAAAAUUAUGUCUAUGCUUGUAUUUUUCGUGCACCAAGCUACGCCAUUAUUUGUUGACCUCUGAGUGCAUGGUGGUAUGCAAAGCCGAUGUUGUAAAAUAUAUGCUGUCAGCCCCCAUCAUGAAAGGAAGGUUAGGCAAAUGGAUUUUAGAACUAAUAGAAUUUGACUUACGAUAUGAAUUGGCUAAAGCUGUUGAGGCACAAGCUGUGGCUGAUUUUAUCGUACAUCAUCAGGAUGAGUUAGUAGACAUGACUGAACUUGUUCCUUGGGUUUUAUUCUUUGAUGGAUCAUCAUGUGACAAAGGAUGUGGUGUCCGCUUAUACAUAGUGUCACCUCGGGAGGCAACGUUCGAAUGUGCCUUUCCAUUCAAGAAAUCGUUGACCAAGAAUCAGAUUGAGUAUGAGGCAAUGCUGAAAGGACUAAAAGAAGAAAGAGCCGACAUCAUUGAGAUUUUUGGUUGCACAUGUAUUGGCAAAUAAGUGAUUUCAGGGAUACAAAUCUAUACAGAAAUAGAAACUUGCACAAACACCAGAGAAACACACUGAAGAUCAUUCUCCGCAAAGCACGAAUACCAAAGAGGGUUCACAUGCCAGAGCAAACCAGCCCGAACUAGCAUGGGUCCAUGAGGAUCAACACCAAGGCCCAAAGGAUGGCCCACCUGGCAAAGGCGGUGGUGACGCGGCUUGCCUAAGGGUUUGCCGAACUUGGACAGUGCCCCCUCAUCCCUUUCUUCCACGUCGCGGUCGCUGGUGGACUCUUGAAGGUGGUGGGAGAAGAUUCCCUGGAGAUACCUCCUGGGAACCACCCUCAACUACCUAGAAGAGGAGGAGACCACCCCUCUCACACACACCACACACUUGAAGCCUCUCUCCCUCUCUCUCUUGCUACUCUUGUAAUCCUUAGGCUAGUGGAGCUAGGCUAGAGUUUAAAUUCUAGUAGUGCUAAGCUAUUCUUCAGGUCGGUUGGAGAUGUAACCUCCGGCUCUUGGUAUGGCUUUGUAUUCAACUUGUCGGUGUUCUACCUAUAAAGAGUUUGGUUGUGACUAAGGAAUAGCCAUUGCUUAUACAGGCUAAGUUGUCUUUGUUUUAUGCUGAUGGAUGAAAAUAGGGUAGUGUAUGACCGGUUUUGACUUGUCGACCAACUUCGUCGAGAAUCUGGAGUGUCUUGUGAGAAGAGUCCAACCUCGCAUCAUCCCUCCUUAGAUCGCUCUUUCGGCAACUGAACCAUUCAUUCCAGCACCAUCCACUCCUAAGGCUAUGGCUGAAAAGACUCUUUGUGAGUUCUCCAUCCCCUCCACCAACAACGUGAACUUCGAGCUGAAGACGAACCUCAUCAACAUGGUGCAGGCUAGCCCCUUCUAUGGCAAGCCGAACGAGGAUGCAAAUACUCAUCUCCAACACUUCCUUGGCCUUUGUGACAUGGUCACAAUGAGAGGAGUCACCCAAGAUGCCAUUAGACUUUGCCUAUUCCCGUUCUCCCUCAUCGGGAGAGAAAAACAGUGGUUCAUCAAGGACAAGGAUGCUGUCAACACAUGGGCAAAGUGCUCCACGGCGUUCCUCGCUAAAUUCUUCCUGUUGGGCAAAACCAAUGCCCUACGUGGAGAAUUUUCAGCUUCCAGCAGUCAAGCAUGGAGACGAUCCCAGAGGCGUGGGAGAGGCUGUAAGAAUAUAUCCUUGCUUGCCCACACCGCAGGAUGGAUGACUGGCCCAUCCUCCAAAGCUUCUAGAAUAGGCUAACCAUGUUAGCACGAGCCCAUCUUAAUGCUGCUGUUGGAGGAGCCUUCCUUGACCUCACUAUUACCAGAGCUACGGCUCUAGUCGAGAAGAUGGUCUCCAAUCAGGGGUGGAGUGAAGAAUGACUCAAACCUCGUACGCGGGGCAUGCACACUGUCAAAGAGACGGACAUGCUAGCCACUAAGCUAGAUCUCUUGCUCAAGCGUAUGGACGAACGGGAGAAAUCUCAAGAACUUAUGCUCAAGCCUGUUCAAGCCGUGGACUCGCACCUCACGUGCAAGGUCUGCGAAAAUGGAGGACACUCGGGGAGCAACUGGCCUGAGACCCGUGAAGACAUCGCUUACAUGACAAACAAUAAUAACGAGUACCGUCCUCAAGGAGGUCAAGGGUGGAACCAGUCGCUCCCCACACUACCAGGGAGGUAACAAUAAUUAUAAUUCAAACCAAGCUUAGAUUAAUGAAUCUCUGUCUAAAAAGCUUGCUGCCAAUGAUAAGACCUUGGAAAGCAUAAACGUAAAAAUUGAAAGUCUUUCCUCCGCAUUUAAAAAUCAAGUGAGCUUUAAUAAAAUGAUCGAAACCCAAUUAGCUCAAAUUCCUUGUUGUUCCUUCCAAAGUAAAUGCGGUGACCACGAGGGGUGGUAAGUCCACUCAUGAUCCACCGUACCCUAACCAUGCAGGGAAGGAAAAAGCACAUAAGGAACCAGCAGAGGAAGAGGAGCUGGUAAUUCUGGAAGACAACAGGGAACCUAAAAUGGAAUCGACCCUGCAAGAUUUCGUAGAUACGAGCUUCUUGCCGUUUUCUACUCACAGCCGGAAGAUGGCUAUGGAUGAGCAGUUUGCUCGUUUUGUUGAAAUGAUCCAGAAGAUACAUGUCAAUGUCCCCUUGUUGGAUGUGAUGCAUGUACCAAUGUACGCAUGGUACAUCAAGGACAUCAUCAACAGCAAGAGACCUCUGCCCACCACUAAAGUCAUCAAGCUCAUGGAAGAGUGUAGUGCGGCUAUACUCAACCGAGUCUUAGGAAAGAAGAAAGAUCUGGGGUGUCCCAUGAUCACAUGCUCGAUCAGGACACACCACUUCGACCACACCCUAUCGACCUUGGGGCUAGCGUUAGCGUGAUGCCCAAGGUCAUCUUCGACCAGCUGAACGUCAUGCACCUAUCGCCCACAUUGAUGCAUCUCCAGCUAGCUGACUCUUCGGUCCGCUAUCUGGCAGGGAUUGCAAAAGACAUUGCAGUGAAAACCCGGGACUACUUCAUUCAUGUCGACUUUGUGGUGCUUGACAUGGAAAAAACAAAAGAGAAGCCUCUCAUUCUUUGGCAACCAUUCCUAAGCACAGCCAAAGCACACAUUGAUGUUGAAGCUGGAGAAAUCCGCUUCAACAGUAAUGGCAAAGAGGAGAAGUUCAACUUCCGUCCCAAGUAGGAACAAUGCUCUAUGAUCAAGAUCAAGUACGGACCGAAUCCACAAGGCAUCGAUGAAGUCAAAGUAACACCUCAUAAGACAGAUAGCCUCAUCCCAUUCAUGAAAGCUUUCACGAAGAAGGAAGAGCAAAGAAUGGACAAAAGUCUGCGGUUAUGGAAGAACCAGGCCCCGAAGUCCAAAAAGAAACCAGCCACACCUCCAGCCACAAAACCAAAGAAACCUCAGAAGGUAUGGAGGGUGAAGGACAUACAGUCAUCCAUGUCUUCUUGUCCUAUACCGGAUGCCCCAUCCACAAGCUGAAAGGCUAUGGAGGAAGUCCCGCUCAAAGGACUUAAAAUGGUGAGCCCUUGCUGAAGGUAAAUCGGUAGUUAUCUCAAAUUUGAACUUUCAAAAUUUGGAUUUCCUUUAUUUGGUUUUUCCAAAUUGCAUUUGCAUGCUAGAAUUUAUUUUAGCCCCUUUUCCCUUUCAUAAAAGUUUCUCUUAAAAUUCAAAAACAAUAAAAUGACUUGAGCAAAAUACUUUGAAAAAUUAUUUUUGAGCAUGUCUGAGAAAACUUUCAUCGGGCCUCCCCACUAUGUCACCGUAUGACUGUUGGGAGUCGUGGGCCAAAGCUGGUAGUCAGGGGGGCCUACUAGGGGUUGGCCGAACCAGACCCAAUGGCUCCUAGGCCCCACCGACUCCAAUGGCUCCUAGCCGUUGCCCUUGGUCAGUUCCCAAAGGGCCUGCAGUUUUUCAAGUUUGCUACAUAGCAGCUUCGUAGCUCGGCACGUCUAUGGUGAGACCAUUUGUCGGGCAUGCACCCCAGGCCCACGAGUAGACCUUGGAUAGCCCACUAAGGGGCGUACUCGGACAUGAUCAGAACAAGGGAUAGGCGUAUCCCAGUCGGACUAGUCAAGUAUGUAUAUGGAAAACUACUCGGGCCUUACCGAGUAGAACUCUGUACCAGUACUCGACUAGGACUCAGACUUGUAACCCUGCCCUCCCGUGUAUAUAAGGGCGAGCAGGGACCCCCCCUCAACAACAACUCCAGUUCAUCAAUACAAACCAACACACAUGACGUAGGGUAUUACACGAUCUAGUGGCCCGAACCUAUCUAAAUCGUGUUCCUUGCGUCACCAUUGAUUCCUUGAUUCUCGACGAUCCUUACCACACAAAAGACCACCUAAGGUACCCCCUAGGCGGGUUGCCGGACUAAAACAUCGACAGCUGGCGCACCAGGUAGGGGAACUCGUCGAGUUUCUCAGCGUGAACUCAAUGGCAAAGGUCAUCAUCAAGCCCAUUUUCUUCAUCGAAGCGGGCACCACCUUCGUUUUCGGAUCCUGGCUUUGCAUCGCCGAUGGCUCGGGUUCGUUCUGACACUAGAUCAUCAAUGCUCAGGAGAAGAAAUCAGAAGAUCUGAUCAGAAAAAACUAAGGUUUCAAAAUUGACGAGUUCGAAUUCGACUACGCAUCGGAUGUGACUUCGCUUCGGACUAGUCGGUCCCAGCUAGUGCCCAAGUCGGUUUCGAUUUCAAAGCGGUUCCCGCACGGACUCCGCAACACAACCAGAGUUCACCAAGGCUUUCUUACUUGAACCCAACUUGAACUCGGGCACGAUGAAGACAUCGACUCCGACUCGUCUUAUUCGCCAGAGAUACCAUUAUCUGGUCCAGCCCAAGGAUUGGUAAUAACUUCAACAUCACAAGGCAGAUUUGUCCACUGGCCAGGAUUGCGACCAUCUCUUCUUGACCGCGACUACGACUCGCGCCUUGUCGCCCAUAUAGACAACCUCCCAUAUCAAGAAGGCGUUCCACUCACUUCCAACCGCGAGGAAAGGUCCACAGAGAUAGCAACGUCAAGCUCCGGAAGCUACUACCCGGACAGGGAGAUACUUGUUAUUACUCAGAAUAACAACCUGGGUACUAGCCAGAACAGAACCCCCAGGCGAUUAGCACAACUCGACAACACCUCCAAAGAUGAGUCUACAGCUGACGCCCCUCACAAUGAAACCUCCAAGCAAAGAAACCAAAGAACGACGCGCAACGCUACUCGAGCCGAGCGACGGUAGUCGAUGGCUACAAAUAUUCCCAUUACAAAUCUUGAAAGGGCCUUCAACGCAGUUCAGGCUCAGGAGCACAAUACCCCACUCGUGGCUAUCACCUCAAUCAACCUUUUAACAACGUUGAUGCCUCAGGAUAGGGAUAACGAAGCCACAGCUCAACUCGUGCAGCGCAGCAACGGACUGAUCGCACAACUCGCGGAGCAAACCUACAAGUUACUCGACAAAGAAUCACCGAUUCCAUCUGUUCCUCGCAUCACAGUUCACCAAGAAGGCAGCCGGGGAGCUGCAAACAACAACAAUGCCCCAAGAAACGGCAAUGAAGUUAACCAACCUCGGCAACACAGCCAAGGUCCAAGCAAGCACAAGGCCCUAGCUCGCCAUAAGGAUGUUGGCGAGGUCAGUUGCACCAACUCGGUUAAAAGUUUUCACCCCACUCAGAAGAACCACGAAGCAUCCAACUUUAGUGAUCUGCGAGAAAUCCUCAACAGUCGGCGCGAGCGAGAAGUCGACAACUACAACCACUUUCCUGCUUUCACAAACCGGGUAAUGAAACAAAACUACCCGAGAAGUUCAAGCCAACUGGAAUCACCAAGUAUGAUGGCAAACAAGAUCCAAUUCAAUGGCUACGAUGCUACUCGCUAGCCGUCCAAGCAGCCGGGGGCAAUAACGACACCAAAGUUAUUCACUUUCCCAUAUGUAUGGAACCCGCACCACUGACCUGGCUUGAGUCACUCAAACCCAAGUCCAUUGACUCAUGGGCAGAUUUGACAAAGGCUUUCACCAACAACUUCGCCGGCUCCAUGGCUAGACCAGGCAACAAGAUUGACUUAGGUCAAAUGAAGCAAAAGGAAGGUGAGACCUUACGCGACUAUUUGCGACGUUUUUCCGAAAAGAAGGCUACCAUAGUUGACAUCUCAAAAACAGACGUCAUUGAGUGCUUCCAGAAUGGACUCUACGAUCGACGAACGUACCAAGACUUCGGUCGCUGAUGACCAGCUAAUGUCAAAGACCUCAAAGUCAUGGUACAACAGUAGGCAGAUGAAGAAGCUAAAGAGCGAGAAUGGUUCGGCUCCCACCGUAACUGUGGACGCGACAGCAACAAUGACCAAGAUAGAACUCGAAAUAAUGAUACUCGUAACAACUAUUCGAGUAAUCAUGACCGCAAAAGGAAGCCCGACAACACCGUCGCUGCCAUGACCAACUCUGGGAAAAAGGGACCCCGUAAAAACGAUGAAGGGCCAACCUUCACUGAACUACUCAAAAAGCAGUGCCCAUGGCACCCGACUAGCAAGCACUCGGCAAUAGACUGCUACAGCAUGCGCCGAGUCAUGCAAGACUUACCCGCACCACCACCUCAUGAAGAGUACACCAAGAAAAAAGAUAAGGGCAAGAACAAAGUCCACAAUGAUGAAGACGAAGAAGGCGACUUCUAGACUGCCUCAAAAACUGUCAACGUCAUAUUCGGCAUUAUUCCAGGCACCGCAUCCAAGAGAGCCAACAAACUCGCACUUAGGGAAAUCAUGGCCAUUGAACCAAUGGAUCCAACACCCUUAAAAUGGUCCGAAGUGCCAAUUUCUUUUAGCAGAAAAGACCAAUGGACCAAGUCCUCAGAACCAGGUCGUUCCCCCCUAGUACUUGAUCCGGUUGUGGCAGGCUCAAAGUUAACCAAAGUACUCAUCGACAGCGGAAGUGGACUCAACGUUAUUUUUGCCAAGACAUUGAGGAAGAUGUGCCUUGACGUCACUGAAAUGCUUACUCCAAUAGAUUCACCUUUCUACGGCAUCGUGCCUGGAAAUGCGGCUAUACCACUAGGACAAGUUGUCCUUCCAGUUACCUUCGGAACUAAGGAACAUUACCAUACCGAGUACAUUAGAUUUGAAGUCGCCGACUUCGAGACAUCUUACCAUGCUAUACUCGGAAGGCUAGCACUCGCCAAGUUCAUGGCCAUACCACAUUAUGUUUACCUGGUACUCAAAAUGCCAGGCCCCAAGGGAGAACUCACGCUGCGAAGAGAUCUACGGCGAUCCUACGAAUGCGACACUGAAGCCGUGGAAAUUGCUGCGACUACUCAAGCACCUAGUCCCAUGCAACAAGUCUUCACAGCUUCAAAGAAGCUCCACCCAACCAAACUAGAGAUCCCAGAAAACAAGUCAGGGCCCACAAAGGUGAAACCCGACCCGCCAGUGAGCAAGACUUCAAAGCAGUCGACCUCCAGACGGGCGACCCUUCCAAGACGGCACUGAUCAGAACAGGGCUAGAUCCUAAAUAGGAAUCCGCGCUCGUCAGCUUCCUUCGGGCUAACCACGAUAUCUUUGCUUGGAAAUCGGUUGACAUGCCAGGUGUGCCCAAGGAGCUGAUUGAGCAUUCUCUCAAUGUCAAUCCCAAAGCUACUCCAAAACGGCAACGACUACGCUAGUUCGCUCAAGAUAGACGAGAAGCAAUCAAAAAAGAGUUAGCCAAGCUCCUCGCGGUAGGGUUCAUCAAAGAAGUCUUUCACCCUGACUGGCUCGCCAACCCCGUGCUCGUUCGUAAGAAAAACAAGGAGUAGAUAAUGUGUGUUGACUAUACUGACCUCAACAAACACUGCCCAAAAGACCCUUUCAGGCUACCCAGGAUCGAUGAAGUGGUCGACUCCACCGCAGGGUGCACUUUACUAUGCUUUCUCAACUGCUACUCUGGUUAUCAUUAGAUAAGCCUAAAAGAGGAGGAUCAAGCCAAAACAGCGUUCAUCAUGCCUUUCGGAGCUUUCUGCUACAAAAGAAUGUCCUUCGGACUAAAAAAUGCAGGGCAACUUAUCAAAGGGUCAUACAGAUGUGCUUUGAAAAGCAACUUCACCGCAAUGUUGAAGCUUAUGUCGAUGAUGUAGUUGUCAAAACAAGAAAUCGGGAGGAACUCAUUGCUGACUUGGAGGAAACUUUCUCUAGUCUAUGCGCUUUCCGAUGGAAACUCAACCCUACUAAGUGCGUCUUUGGAGUACCUUCCGGCAAAUUACUCGAGUUCAUCAUUAGCCAUCGCAGCAUUGAGGCCAACCCGGAAAAAAUAUCUGCCGUCACAAACAUGGAGGCACCAGCUAGCAUUAAGGAUGUGCAGAAACUCACAGGCUGCAUGGCCGCUCUCAACUGGUUCAUCUCGAGACUUGGAGAACAGGGACUACCCUUCUUCAAGCUUCUCAAUUGCCAGGACAAGUUCAAAUGGGCGGAAGAGGUAGAUGAGGCAUUAACACAACUCAAAGACUUUCUGUCAAAGCCUCCUGUACUCACCGCUCCUUCUCCGAAUGAAGACUUGCUCCUAUACAUCUCAGCUACUACUCAUGUCGUCAGCACAGCAAUAGUAGUUGAACGGUCUGAACCGGGCCACGCUUACAAGGUCCAACGACCUGUCUACUUCGUCAGCGAAGUACUCUUGGACUCCAAAACUUGGUAUUCACCGAUACAAAAACUCUUAUACGCAAUUUUGCUCACCUCCCGGAAACUGCGCCAUUACUUCCAAGAGCAUAACAUCACAGUCAUCUCCGACUUCCCGCUCAGCAAAAUUCUCCACAACAGAGAUGCCACGGGUAGAAUCUCCAAAUGGGCAGUUGAACUCGGAGCUCUCACCUUGGACUUGAAGCCAAGGAUAGGUAUCAAAUCCCAAGCUUUGGUCGACUUCAUAGCUGAAUGGACUGAAAAUCUAGUGCCAACACCAGUCGAAUGGCCAGAACAUUGGGUAAUGUACUUUGACGGAUCCCUCAAACUCGAAGGGGUCGGCGCAGGCGUAUUACUCAUCUCCCCCAGGGGAGACCAGCUCAAGUACGUGCUGCAAAUAUUCUGGGAAGCAUCUAAUAACGAAGCCGAGUACGAAGCACUACUCCACGGGCUUCGCCUUGCAAUCUCCCUUGGCAUCAGACGACUACUGGUGUAUGGCGACUCUCUAGUCAUUAUAAACCAGGUCAAGACAAGUGGGAUCGGAACAAGGACAACAUGGACGCUUACUGCAAAGAAGUCCGUAAACUGGAAAACAAGUCUCAGGCUUGGAAUUUCAUCACAUCGUCCGCGACAACAACGUUGCCGCCAACGUCUUAUUUAAAAUGGGCUCAACUCGUGCAGAGGUUCCAGCAGGAAUUUUCGUACACGAAUUGCGCAACCCGUCCAUAUCUGACCAAGUCACACCGCCAGCAGUCCUGGCUGCUGACAUCUCUCGAGAAAUCAUUGUUGGGAUACGAGGUAGGCUACACUAGCGCAAAUCAAAAUUUCUACCACGUAUAACCAGGAAGAACUGCCGUAUAAGGAUCACGGGAUUACCACUCGACGCACUACUGGUGCGGAAGAUGUAGAUAUGCGUCGAUGCAGUGAAGACGAUCACAUAGUCGUACGUAGUCGAUCAACGUAGUCGUACGUAGUCGAUCACGUCCAGCAGCUCCUCGGCAGCUCGUCCACGUGCAGCAAGAUCGCCUCCGGUGCCGCGGCUCGUCGUCGGCUCAUCGUGGCUCGUCGGCGGCUCGUCGAUGGCUCGUCCAAGUGCUGCAGGCGCAACACCUCCAAGGUAUCCACACGUGCAGGGAGGAAGCGUCGCAAGCCGGACUGCUAGAUCCGUGAGUUGCAACAGGCGAGGGCGUGGGAGGCGCGGCAGGUGUAUUUCGCCAAAAGGUGUAAACCCUAGGGCGCCCCCACCCCUCUAUUUAUAGAGGUUCCUGACGGGCCUCUGGAUCCGAGGCCCAUUAGUACUUCUAAACCUAAUCCAACUCGGAUCAGAUCCGAAUUGGGCUUCCAGCCCCUUAAGUGUGUGACCCUAUGGGUUCGGAUACGUAUAGACAUGGCCCGAGUACUCCUACUCGGCCCAAUAGUCGGUAGCGGCCUCUAGCAAGACGUGCCAACUCCUAUACGCACACGAAGAUCAUAUCAGACGAACCAUCACAACAUAAUAUACAUGCUAUUCCCUUUGCCUCAUGAUAUUUGGUCUAGCUUCAAGCCGACCGCUCUUUCUCGAUCCUGUGAUUCGGAAUCCCUUUGUAGGUUAACUCUUAACCGUACGUAGCAUGGCCAUGCAUUUUCGGAUCCGAUCACUCGAGGGGCCCAGAGAUAUCACUCUCAAUCAGAGAGGGGCAAAUCCCAUCUUGAUUGACCAUGUCUCAUAGCAUGCUUCUUAACAAACCCGAAAGCUACCUUUAUAACUACCCUGUUACGGCGUAGCGUUUGAUAGCCCCUAAGUAGGUCGAUCCACAUCUAGAAUACAUGCGACAAUCUCAGGUCUAAGGACAAAGCGUAUAUGUUGUUUAAAGAGAGAACUACUUCUCGUGUUGGGUCAGUCCUAGCACAUGUCUCCACAUGUGUCCACAUUAUUAGUUCAACAUCUCCAUGUCCAUGACUUGUGAAACAUAGUCAUCAACUAAUACAUGUGCUAGUCUAAUAUUCAUGUGUGUCCUCACAUGAACUCUGACUAGGGACAACUUUAGAAUAACCAUACAAGUAAAGAGUUUCACAUACAAUUCACAUAAUUGCAAAUCAAUUCAAGUAGCCUUCAAUGGAUAUUCAAUGAACACAACAUACAAAUCAUGGAUACAAAUGGAAUAUCAUCAUCUCUAUGAUUUCCUCUAGGGCAUACCUCCAACAAUCAUGAUGAUAGAAGUAGACUGGAGGACACCCUUCAUCGACUACAUCAAUGAUCACCAGUUACCAUCUGACAAGAAUAAGGCUGAGCAAAUCUCCCGACAAGUAAAAAAUUACGUUCUAGUCGGAGACAAGCUCUACAGGAAAGGUGUAUCAUCUGGGGUACUCAUGAAGGGCGUUACCAGAGAAGACGGUCAAGAAAUCUUAGAAGAAAUUCACAUAGGAAUAUGUGGCAACCACGCCUCUUCGCGAACAAUAGUUGGCAAGGCUUUCAGAGCAGGUUUCUACUGGCCAAUGGCUCUGGCCGACGCUAAAAAACUAGUUCAGAAAUGCAAAGGUUGUCAAUUCUUCACAAAACAGCAACAUGUACCGGCCUACAAACUAGUCACAAUACCUCCAACAUGGCCGUUUGCCUGCUGGGGGCUCGACAUGAUAGGGCUAUUACCAACAGCUCCAGGAGGAUUCAACCGAGUACUCGUGGCAAUCGACAAAUUCACCAAGUGGAUCAAGGUCAAACCAGUCACUUGCCCCAAGGCAGACCAGGUCCUUGACUUCUUAGAUGAAAUCGUACACUGCUACGGUUUUCCCAAUAGGAUUAUCACAGACCUAGGGUCAAACUUCAACAAUCAUGACUUUUGGGAAUAUUGCGAGAAUAGCGGCAUCGACAUUCGCUAUGUCUCGGUCGCUCACCCGUGAGCCAAUGGACAAGUCGAGCGUGCUAAUGGCAUGAUACUUGACGCCCUGAAGAAAAGGCUACAUGACGUUGGCAACACCAAAGGCGGCAAGUGGCUCAGAGAGUUACCCAAUGCUCUGUGGGGCCUGCGCACCCAACCAUGCAAGACUACUGGGCUAUCGCCCUAUUUCCUCGUAUAUGGCUCAGAAGCCAUACUACCCCGCCGACAUCAUGUGGCAAUCACCAUCUGUUGAACAAUAUGACAAAGAAUUGGCAGAAGAAACAAGGUGAACAGAUGUUGACAGUCUGGAAGAAACAAGAUGCGCAGCACUAGUGCAAUCUGCCAGAUACCUUGACGGUCUAACGCGUUACCACGACCGCAACGUCAAGGAAAGAUCUUUCAACUUGGGCGAUAUGGUCCUCAAGCAUAUCCAAGACACAUCAGGGUUGCACAAACUCAAUUCACCAUGGGAAGGUCCUUAUAUCGUAUCACAGGUUACGGGACCUGGAUCUUACAGACUCCAAGAACUCUCAGGAGAACAAGUACCAAACUCUUGGAAUAUAGAACAUCUUUGUCGAUACUACCCAUAGCAGCACUUGAGUAAUCGCUUCAAGGCAACUCAUGAUGACUACUUGGGCUAACCGCCUGACUAACUUUAGCUUUGCCAAAGAGUUAUCACCUCAACAAGGAUCACUGCCCUGGUACAAUAAUUUCCGUUAAAGUAUUUCUUUACUAGGAACCGAAGAUACAUCUUCAAGAUACAUACAAGUACAAAUACUCGAAAUACACAAAGACUACAAGCAACUGCCUACUGGCGGGCUGCAUUUAAGCCUCAGGCUUUUACUAUGUCACAAGGCCACUCAGGUCUGCCGACUACAAUGGGAAGGGCCCACACACAAGGAAGCUGCGCAAAACACAGCCAUAUCCAGGUCCUCUACUCAAGGCAAUGCCAGGAACCAAGGCUUGUCUUUUGCUAGCCUUGCGGAGCCACCACUCUACGGCCACACCUCCACCACUAAGAGAGCAGGAUAAACACCGCGGCACUCAUCACCCAUCACCCGCGAGUUCUAGUGCGUACCCCACUGGAUCUCGAGCUGCAAGAUGAGGCGUGCGACGAAACCUCCUACAAGGAUUCUUCUUGUUGGAGGUAUGCCCUAGAGGCAAUCAUAGAGAUGAUGAUAUUCCAUUUGUAUCCAUGAUUUGUAUGUUGUGUUCAUUGAAUAUCCAUUGAAGGCUACUUGAAUUAAUUUGCAAUUAUGUGAAUUGUAUGUGAAACUCUUUACUUGUAUGGUUAUUCUAAAGUUGUCCCUAGUCGGAGUUCAUGUGAGGACACACAUGAAUAUUAGACUAGCACAUGUAUUAGUUGAUGACUAUGUUUCACAAGUCAUGGACAUGGAGAUGUUGAACUAAUAAUGUGGACACAUGUGGAGACAUGUGUUAGGACUGACCCAACACGAGAAGUAGUUCUCUCUUUAAACAACAUAUACGCUUUGUCCUUAGACCUGAGAUUGUCGCAUGUAUUCUAGAUGUGGAUCGACAUACUUAGGGGCUAUCAAACGCUACGUCGUAACAGGGUAGUUAUAAAGGUAGCUUUCGGGUUUGUCAAGAAGCAUGCUAUGAGACAUGGUCAAUCAAGAUGGGAUUUGCCCCUCUCUGAUUGAGAGUGAUAUCUCUGGGCCCCUCGAGUGAUCGGAUCCGAAAAUGCAUGGCCAUGCUACGUACGGUUAAGAGAAUAACCUACAAAGGGAUUCCGAAUCACAGGAUCGAGAAAGAGCGGUCGGCUUGAAGCUAGACCAAAUAUCGUGAGGCAAAGGGAAUAGCAUGUAUAUUAUGUUGUGAUGGUUCGUCUGAUAUGAUCUUCGUGUGCGUAUAGGAGUUGGCACGUCUUGCUAGAGGCCGCUACCGACUAUUGGGCCGAGUAGGAGUACUCGGGCCAUGUCUAUACGUAUCCGAACCCAUAGGGUCACACACUUAAGGGGCUGGAAGCCCAAUUCGGAUCUGAUCCGAGUUGGAUUAGGUUUAGAAGUACUAAUGGGCCUCGGACCCAGAGGCCCGUCAGGAACCUCUAUAAAUAGAGGGGUGGGGGCGCCCUAGGGUUUACACCUUUUUGGCGAAACACACCUGCCGCGCCUCCCACGCCCUCGCCUAUUGCAACUCACGGAUCUAGCAGUCCGGCUUGCGACGCUUCCUCCCUGCACGUGUGGAUACCUUGGAGGUGUUGCGCCUGCAGCACUUGGACGAGCCGCCGACGAGCCGCGGCACCGGAGGCGAUCUUGCUGCACGUGGACGAGCUGCUAAGGAGCUGCUGGACGUGAUCGACUACGUACGACUACGUGAUCGUGUUCACUGCAUCGACGCAUAUCUACAUCUUCCGCACCAGUAGUGCGUCGAGUGGUAAUCCCGUGAUCCUCAUACGGUAGUUCUUCCUGGUUAUACGUGGUAGAAUUUUUUGAUUUGCGCUAGUGUAGCCUACCUCGUAUCCCAACAGUGGUAUCAGAGCCGUAGCUGCUUAGUUUUAGAUUCGGGAUGUGUGCAUAUGGAGAUAUGCGAAUUUUCCGUUUGAUCUAUGUCCUGUUUUCGUGCCCUUGCUGCAAUGGUAGUGUAACGACAUACUCCUACCGGUCGGUUUCCGCCAUCGGAGUUAAGUGAUACACGUAAUCCAGUUACAGUGAGUGAAGAUCAAUAUGAUUGGUCGAAUCGAAAUCCAGGGUCAUACGCCUCGCGCAUUAGAUGUGCAAUAGUAGAUGGGAUCUACUGCCGGGGUCGGAAUUUUUGCCGUAUGCGUAUGCUUCGGUAAAUCAGCCGUAACUUUUCGGUACGAUCUCGGAUCGGGGCGAAUUUUAUAUGAAAAUUGAUCUACAGAAAAAGUUACACAUGAAAUUCAACGCUUUGCCGUUUUCGGCGAAAUUAGAUUUCCCAAAUUCGGCUUGGAAGAUGGAGUUUCGGGCCUCCGAAGUUUGGAACGUUAGGACGCCUAACUCUGUUUUGCAGGAUGUAUGUAUGUAUCUUGUGAUCAGUAUGGCCCCCUUGUGUAUGUGAUGCAUGUGUGUAACUCAUUCGUGACCUGCGUGUCGCGCGUACGGCAACACGGCAGGAGCCAUAUGUGUUGUCACUUUAUUGUAUUUAAUGGUCUGCGUACAAAUCUGGAUGAUCCAAGCAACUAUGUAAUCUUCUUUACUAGAUUCUUUACUAGCUAUUAGGCGUAAUAGCAUGUUCUAGUUCUUGGAGGACUCAUCACCAGGAGGAUGGCGCACAUGGAACAUGGAGAUGGAGAUCACCAUGGUGAACAGGUUCUAUGGAGAUGGAGAUCACCAUAUGAAAACGGGCCAUACUGUGUCACAGCUGUGUGAAUGCUAUUCUGUUUAUGUUUUACUUUCUGCAUGCUGUGAUGUUAGAAGUAGAACGAUCCCUCACAAAGUUUAAGUUAGUAUGUCCUCCCAACUAAAACUUGCACCGUCCCAUGUCUUGUACAAUUAGUGGUGGGUCUAUGAAAUUAGGGUGCCACUAGUUUUCCUUGACUAGACGGGUUUGUGUCGGACACUUACACGCAUAAGGGUUGGUUUGCUUAACAAGGUUAUCUUAAUGGUUAAGGACCUUGAGGCAUAAAGGUUGGGCGCCGAGACAUCGAGAUGUCACCCAACAACAGGAGUCAUAUGUGAUAUGAUUAGCAAAAGUUGCUUACCGAUCUACCUCGUUUGCUAGCGGUGAUGCUAAAGCUCACUAGUAGACUUGUUAGUUGUGGAUCCUGAAUCACUAAGUUUCAAUAGAGGGAUAUUGAUUUUAGUGGGAGUAGAUUCUGUUAAAAUAGUUUAAUUUCAUUUUCUCUAUCAUGGAUACGUUUGUCUUAGUGUAUUUUGCAUUACUUUUGUUGUAGAUUAAAUGGCACCUAGCAACACCACCACAUCGUUUGCUUUGCGUUCGGUCCUUGAGAAGGACAAGUUGAAUGGAACAAACUAUUCGGAUUGGAUCCAUAACCUGAGAAUUGUUCUCAGGGCCGAUAAAAAGGAAGAUGUUCUAGACACCCCACUACCACCAGUACCUGCUGAUGAUGCAUCUGUUGCCGUUAAUGCUGCUUACAAGAAGGCAUUUGAUGCUAAUCUUGAGGUAAGCUGCCUUAUGCUUGCUUGCAUGGAACCCGAGCUGCAGAUGCAGUUCGAAACAAAUCAUGAGGCACACGAUAUGAUCGUGGCGCUCAAGGACAUGUUCCAGACACAGGCUAGGACCGAAAGGUUCAAUGUGUCCAAAGCCUUUCUGGAGUGCAAGUUAGCAGAAGGCGCAGCAGUAGGACCACAUGUAAUCAAGAUGGUUGGUUACACUCAGCGAUUGGAGAAGCUGGGCUUCCCAAUGGGCAAAGAGUUGGCCACUGACUUCAUUCUUUCAUCUCUUCCGCCUAGCUAUGGGAACUUCAUCUCGAACUACCAUAUGCAUGGGAUGGAGAAGGGUUUGAAUGAACUGUGUGGUAUGCUCAAGACAGCAGAGGUAGACAUCAAGAAAAGCGCUAGUACCAGCCAUGUGAUGGCUAUACAGAACAAGCCUAGCUUUAAGAAGAAGGGCAAUUCUUGGAAGAAGAAGGGCAAGGCUGGAACGUCCAAGCCAAACCCAGCGCCCAAGGUUAAAGCUGGACCUGGACCUGCUCCAGACAAAGAGUGCUUUUACUGUCAUGAACUUGGUCACUGGAAGAGAAACUGCAAGCAGUACCUAGCUUCCUUGAAGAAUGGCGGAAGUAAGAGUACUUCUACCUUAGGUACGCUUGUUGUUAAUGUUAUAGACAACAUAUUUCUCGCUGAUACAAUUAUUAAUUCUUGGGUAUUUGAUACCGGAUCGGUUGCUCAUAUUUGCAAUUCGAUGCAGGGAAUGAUAAGAAGUAGAAGCGUGGAAAGAGGAGAAGUUGAUUUCCACGUGGGCAAUAAUGCAAGAGUUGCUGCGUUGACUGUCGGGACGAUGCAACUCCACCUCCCGUCAGGAUUUAUUAUGGAGUUGAAUAAUUGUUAUUUUGUUCCUAGUUUAAGUCGAAACAUUUUAUCUCCUUCAUGCUUGAUGAAGGAUGGUUAUUCAUUUGCGAGUGAAAACAAUGGUUGUGUGAUCUCUAAGAAUAAUAUGUUUAUGGCUUUUGCACCCAUUGUGAAUGGAUUAUUUGUUUUAAAUCUUGAUGGUUCACCUGUCUGUAAUGUAAGUGCUAAAAGGCCUCGGCCUAAUGAUUUGAGUCCUACCUACUUGUGGCAUUGUCGUUUGGGUCAUAUAAGUGAAAAGCGCAUGAAGAAGCUCCAUUCUGAUGGACUUCUAACUUCGUUUGAUUUUGAAUCAUACGAGACAUGUGAGGCUUGCUUGCUAGGCAAGAUGACCAAGACGCCUUUCACAGGAUUUCCUGAGAGAGCAGUAGACUUCUUGGAACUCGUACAUAGUGAUGUAUGCGGACCAAUGAGCACGACGGCUAGAGGAGGAUUCCAAUACUUCAUAACUUUCACUGAUGAUUUUAGUAGAUAUGGCUAUGUCUACUUGAUGAGGCACAAGUCUGAAACCUUUGAAAAGUUCAAGGAAUUUCAGAAUGAAGUUGAAAAUCAGCGUGGCAAGAAAAUUAAGGCCUUACGAUCUGAUCGUGGAGGCGAGUAUUUGAGCCACGAGUUUAGCAAUCAUCUAAAGAGUUGCGGAAUUGUUCCACAACUUACGCCACCUGGAACACCUCAGAGAAACGGUGUGUCCGAGCGACGUAAUCGAACUUUGUUAGACAUGGUUCGAUCAAUGAUGAGCCAGUCGGACCUACCGUUGUCAUUUUGGGGAUACGCUCUAGAAACAGCAGCUUUCACACUUAAUAGGGUACCAUCUAAAUCCGUAGUUAAGACACCAUAUGAGAUAUGGACUGGAAAGGUUCCUAGUUUGUCUUUUCUAAAGAUUUGGGGAUGUGAAGUGUUUGUCAAGUGACUUCAGUCAGACAAGAUCACACCCAAGUCGGAUAAGUGCAUUUUCGUGGGAUAUCUAAAGGAAACUUUGGGAUAUUAUUUCUACAACCGAUCAGAAGGCAAAGUGUUUGACUUCACCAAGAACGAAGAAGAGUCUUGUGUUUACAAGAAGGUAAGUGGGAGCUCUAUAGUAUUUCUAAUCUUAUAUGUGGAUGACAUAUUACUGAUUGGAAAUAACAUUCCUAUGCUUGAGUCCGUAAAGACUUCACUAAAAAAUAGUUUUUCGAUGAAGGACUUAGGGGAAGCGGCAUAUAUUCUGGGCAUUAAGAUCUAUAGAGAUAGAUCGAGAAGGCUUAUAGGUUUAAGCCAAGAUACUUACAUUGACAAAGUGUUGAAGCGGUUCAGGAUGGAAGAGGCAAAGAAAGGGUUCUUGCCUAUGUCACAUGGCAUACAUCUCAGCAAGACUCAGUGUCCUUCGACUGCUGAUGAGCGGGAUCACAUGAGUAGAGUGCCAUAUGCCUCGGCUAUUGGAUCUAUCAUGUAUGCAAUGAUAAGUACUCGCCCAGAUGUUUCAUAUGCGCUAAGUAUGACAAGCAGACACCAAUCUGAUCCAGGUGAGAGUCACUGGACAGCGGUGAAAAACAUUCUUAAGUACUUGAGAAGGACUAAAGAUAUGUUCCUCAUCUAUGGAGGUGAGGAGGAGCUCGUUGUAACAGGUUACACCGAUGCUAGUUUCCAAACCGACAGAGAUGAUUCAAAGUCACAAUCAGGAUUUGUGUUCACGCUAAAUGGUGGUGCUGUUAGUUGGAAGAGUUCCAAGCAGGAGACGGUGGCCGAUUCUACGACAGAAGACGAGUACAUCGCGGCUUCGGAAGCCGCGAAGGAAGGUGUUUGGAUAAGGAAUUUCCUCAUUGAGCUUGGUGUGUUCCCGUAUGCGUCCAGCCCAUUGAAUCUCUACUGUGAUAACAAUGGGGCAAUUGCACAAGCAAAGGAGCCAAGGAACCACCAGAAGAACAAACACGUAAUGCGGCGAUUUCAUCUCAUUCGAGACUUCGUUAACCGGGGUGAGAUCAAGAUAUGCAAAAUACACACGGAUCUAAACAUUUCUGAUCCGUUGACAAAACCACUCCCGCAGGCUAAGCAUGAUGCGCAUGUAAGAGCUAUGGGUAUUAGGUACCUUCUAGAUUGACUCUAGUGCAAGUGGGAGACUGUUGGAGGUAUGCCCUAGAGGCAAUCAUAGAGAUGAUGAUAUUCCAUUUGUAUCCAUGAUUUGUAUGUUGUGUUCAUUGAAUAUCCAUUGAAGGCUACUUGAAUUGAUUUGGAAUUAUGUGAAUUGUAUGUGAAACUCUUUACUUGUAUGGUUAUUCUAAAGUUGUCCCUAGUCGGAGUUCAUCUGAGGAGACACAUGAAUAUUAGACUAGCACAUGUAUUAGUUGAUGACUAUAUUUCACAAGUCAUGGACAUGGAGAUGUUGAACUAAUAAUGUGGACACAUGUGGAGACAUGUGUUAGGACUGACCCAACACGAGAAGUAGUUCUCUCUUUAAACAACAUAUACGCUUUGUCCUUAGACCUGAGAUUGUCGCAUGUAUUCUAGAUGUGGAUCGACCUACUUAGGGGCUAUCAAACGCUACGCCGUAACAGGGUAGUUAUAAAGGUAGCUUUCGGGUUUGUCAAGAAGCAUGCUAUGAGACAUGGUCAAUCAAGAUGGGAUUUGCCCCUCUCUGAUUGAGAGUGAUAUCUCUGGGCCCCUCGAGUGAUCGGAUUCGAAAAUGCAUGGCCAUGCUAGGUACGGUUAAGAGUUAACCUACAAAGGGAUUCCGAAUCACAGGAUCGAGAAAGAGCGGUCGUUUUGAAGCUAGACCAAAUAUCGUGAGGCAAAGGGAAUAGCAUGUAUAUUAUGUUGUGAUGGUUCGUCUGAUAUGAUCUUCGUGUGCGUAUAGGAGUUGGCACAUCUUGCUAGAGGCCGCUACCGACUAUUGGGCCGAGUAGGAGUACUCGGGCCAUGUCUAUACGUAUCCGAACCCAUAGGGUCACACACUUAAGGGGCUGGAAGCCCAAUUCGGAUGUGAUCCGAGUUGGAUUAGGUUUAGAAGUACUAAUGGGCCUCGGACCCAGAGGCCCGUCAGGAACCUCUAUAAAUAGAGGGGUGGGGGCGCCCUAGGGUUUACACCUUUUUGGCGAAACACACCUGCCGCGCCUCCCACGCCCUCGCCUAUUGCAACUCACGGAUCUAGCAGUCCGGCUUGCGACGCUUCCUCCCUGCACGUGUGGAUACCUUGGAGGUGUUGCGCCUGCAGCACUUGGACGAGCCGCCGACGAGCCGCCGACGAGCCACGACGAGCCGACGACGAGCCGCGGCACUGGAGGCGAUCUUGCUGCACGUGGACGAGCUGCUAAGGAGCUGCUGGACGUGAUCGACUACGUACGACUACGUGAUCGUGUUCACUGCAUCGACGCAUAUCUACAUCUUCCGCACCAGUAGUGCGUCGAGUGGUAAUCCCGUGAUCCUCAUACGGCAGUUCUUCCUGGUUAUACGUGGUAGAAUUUUUUGAUUUGCGCUAGUGUAGCCUACCUCGUAUCCCAACACUUCUAGCAUCGCGGCUAUCCCUACGAGCGCAGGAGUCUGUGGAGGGAAGGUGGCCUCAAUCUACGGGGAAUUUUCUAGCACCGGUGCACUCUUUGAUGGCUCUCUACACUCAAAAAGAAGCAACCGAAAGCAAUCCAUUGCUACUCAAAAACUUGGUUUAGCUUGAUCUCCAGAAGGCUCUAUUUAUAGCCGAAAGAUGCAACUACCACCUGCCCAAGAGUUACUAUGCGCCCGUGAUUAAUGAGUCUAACGACUCCUGACUCUGCCCACAUGAUGGCACUUAUACCACAAAGGACAAAAGAGUACAGUACACCCGUGCAUCCACAAAAUACAAAAGCAUGCAGUACACCUGCGUACCCUCAAAAGCAGAGUACUCGACAGCAUCAUGACUACUCGACACUCGGAACUACUCCAAGCCAAGCGCGGCCUACGCUCACACCAUUAUCUCGGGGGCUUGGAAUUUUCCAACCCUCUGCUCAGGGGUCGGGUACACCCGACCCUAAGACUUAGGGUCGGGCGAGGCGGAGUUCUCCCACCAAAGGGUCGGGCUCAACCGACCCUAGGACUUCGGGUCAGCCAACACAAUCUAAAAUUACUCUUCGUAAGACAAUCAACUCAAGCUACAAACUAAUGGGCAAGUAUUCAUUUGUCAAAAGUAUUGUUCAAAUUACUCGACACAGAUUCCAAAGUACAUACAAAGCUCAAGGCUCUUCUAGAGAGACAAACUCCGACAUCUUCGACGCAAUAGGCUCCGCCUCCUCGAGGUACUGCACAUAUGCCUCUUCCAUGCAGUUGCGAGCCACGCCGUCACCAGCUGCCGUCAAGUUUGCCCUCGGGUAAUAGGACUUCACGACCGCAAGGGCCUGUUUGCAAACAGCUUUGCAGAGUCCCGCCACUUUACCUGAGGCAGCAUUCAAUCGCUCGACCAGUGAUUGCAGCCCUGCGCCUUCUUCCAUGGGGGCUAUGGCGUUCACCAAGUCUUCAGCUGCUACGGUUAGCUCCUGGAGUCCACCUCGGAGCCUCCCCAUGGUCUGGGCAUGGUCCCUGCAUGCCACCAUGGCCAUGGCAAGUAUCAUGCCAUUCUGCAUCUUCCUAUCCCACUGAUGCUUGCAUGCAGCCUGUGCUUCCAUCAGCGCGGCUCGAAGGCGUUCAGCUUCAUCCGCCACUCGAUCAUGCGCAUUUCUCCAGUCAAGAACUUGGCUCCUCGCAGCGGCCUCUUGUUUCUUGAGCUCUACAAGACAAAACAAGUUCAACCACAGCUGACUAAUGGGAGAUACUCGGAGUAUGCAAAGUACUCACCUUGAUACUUUUUGUUCAGCGACUUGUAGCGGCUCUCCAGUUUUUGCUGUAGGACUGUGUGAUCUGUACGUUCCACAGCAAAAGACUUCGCUCCAACUUCGUGAACCCUCAGAGCUUCCGUCAGUCGGGCACAUUCCUGCUCCAGUUGAUGACUUCGUUCCUGAAAAGGUCCGAGGACGCAAGGUACUACGGUCAGUUAAAAGCCUCACAACUACUCGAUCUAUGUGACAUCUCAAAGGCAAUCCACCUAGAAGCUCCGGAAAACAUCGACGGCCCUCUAGAACUCCAAGUCAGAUGGCAGGCUAAGCACUGGUCUUUCGGUACUCUCUGCAAGAUGAGGAGUCGUACCCAAAGUGGCACCUACAACAUUUAUCAUCAGUCAGUUACCUGCUAUGACUACAAUAACAAGACUACAGAAACAUACCUGGAGCAGUCGCCUCUUUGGCUUUUUCAACACCCACUACGGUCAGCGAUCCGCCAGUGGAUGUUGAUAAGGCAGCACAUCCAGAACCCAAUGCAGCAGCGGGAACUUCCACUGAACGGAUGAUGUCUUGAAGCAUAGACAUGGUAGCUCCAAGAUGACCGGCGUCGACUUCGGGUACCUCCUCAACAAUUAUAUCUUCCAAAGGAGCAGAUAAUGUAGUCGGGGGAUCCGGCUCUACCCCUGUCUUUACAGGGAUAGUCUACUCUGCAUCUCUGCAUCAAAAUACAUCACUACACAACUUCAAGACAACUUAAAGCCAUUCAACCGACAAGAAGCUCACCGGGUUGAGCGUGGCAGAAAUCGCACACGUUUCUUCUCGGUGAUAGGCGGCCGAGUACCGAGCGCCGCAGGGAUAGCUGCCGGCGCUGUCUUCUCGUCAAGACCUACGAGGCAGAAGUCAAGACUACAAUACAACUCAGACAUAAAAAAGUUUAGUCGGGACAGAAAGUUACCUCUGGCAAUCAUGCUGGACAACAAGGCGCCAGUAGCGACUACUGGUGACACUUCCUUUGCAAUACCCGCUACUCCGACGGGUAACCCCAGGACCACCUGAUCAGUAACGGUUUGCGCGACGGCUGGCGGAGUUGUGGCGGGUAGCUCGGGGGCUACUCCACCCUCUGUCAAUGGCACCCUCUCUAGCACCAUAUCAACAGAUGCAUUACCGACUUCUAGGUCGGUCACAGCCAGUUCUUCAGAAACAGCCUCAUCAUCACCAAGCGCCGUAUCAACAGCCUUUAUGAACAAGACAAAUUCGUCACAUCAAUAGCAAAUUCAAAUUCAUCAGCUACAGAUAAGUUCACGGCUACAUACCUGGGUACCCCAAGACUUCUCAAGGGUUGAAGCAGACUUAGCCACAGACAUCUUGCGUACUACUCUACGUUUCUUGACAGGAGGAGAGGGUUCGUCCUCUGACUCCUCAGCAAUAGCUUCUGACUCUUGUUCCGACUAUGCCAAGUAGCUGGCAAGAACUCGAGACUACAAAAAACAAGUCGAUAUUAACAACAAAUAUCACACAAGUCCAAAAUUACAUGUAAGGUGCAAAGACAUACCACUUCUGGCUCAUACCAGGCGUCAUACUAACAUAGAGCCGCAGGGAUUACUGGUACUCCCUGAUAGUUCCUGAAGAACUUGGCCAGCAGCGCCUCUACAUCAUCAUCAGAUAUAUCCUCAUCGGACAUACGCGAUGGAUCAUUAAGACCUGUAUACUCACUUCCCGAGUGAGCACGUUUCUAAAGUGGCUGAACUUUUCUCUUCAGAAAGCUGGCAGCCACAUUGAUCCCAGUGAGACCGAGUGCCUUCAACUUGGUGAUUUGCUGCAUCAUGUGAUCAAGCUCGGGGGUGUCUUCGGGUUCGCUCACCCAGUUUUCUGCAUGCUUGGCCGCAUGACCAGUCACCAUAGGCAAGCGAGGAUCAUGAUUCCCGAUGUAAAACCACCUCCUUUUCCACUCCCCAUGGGAGUCAGUUAAGUUAUACUCAAUAUACGCGCCCGAGUUCCUGAGUUGGAACCCGACGCCUCCAAAGACUUCUGUCCUAUGGACACUAGGCUGCGGCUUAUAGCGGAACAGCUUCCUAAACAACUCAAGACUUCGAGGAAUUCCCAAGUACACUUCGCAGAGGUGUACAAAAAUUGACAUAUACAAUACACCAUUGGGGUUCAAAUGCACGAGUUGAAGCUUAUAGUACCCGAGAAUACCUCUGAAGAAGUCGGAGGUGGGCACUGCGAACCCCCUCUCCACAAAGUUCUCGAGCAUCACUAUCUCGCCUGGAUGUUCCUCAAAUUGCCACGCAUUUGGAAAUGCGGGGCGCCACUCAAGAAUCUCCUUCGGCUGCAGAAGCUUCGCAUCGACUAGUGCUUGCACGACUUCCUCAUUCAUCACUAAAUGUUGACACGUUGCUCCAGGCGGCGGCGGCGGCGCAGUCUGGUUCGUCGGCCCCACCUUCGGCAUCGGCAGCACCAGUUCUUUCCCCUUCCUGGAUUUCACCUUGCCCGUCACCGGAGCCUUGCCCUGGAUCUUCUCGGGUUUCUUGCCCAUCUUCUUGGUGCGCAUUCGACGGACUCAACCUCAAUCUAGAACGGCACUCUCCCUCGGAUCUCCCUUAAGGGGCGACAAUGGCGGCGGCGGCACUCGCGGCAGUGCAAAUGUGGAGCAGGAGAAGAGGGGAGGCAGAAAACCGAAAGGGGACCUUCCAGUUUUAUCUCCGCCAGCUCCGGUUUCCAUGCGUCGAUUACACAACGGACAGAUUCUAACAAAUUAAUUGCACAUUAAUCGCCUUAAACACUCAACGGCUACUCUUUUCAACGGAUUGCUGACCACUUCAACGACAAAAAUCGCCCAAGUGCUCAGGGGCUGCGGGUACCGUACCCAUUGGUCAGUUUUUUAUUUUUCAAAGAUCUCCGAGGGAAAAACGGAUAAAAGCUGGUUUGACCCUAAGCUUGACUCUUCGACUCAACCUAAGGCUCGGGGGCUACUCCAUAUGGAGUGCGAUUGACAUCGCACUACCAUAUAGAAAUCUCAGAACAGAAACAACUUGAAGGAACAAGAAUAGUACCUUCCAGCCACGCGACAGUACUCGAGCACUUCGGCUUGCAACCUCUAUGACGAAGUACUCGGAUAGUGCCCGUAGUGCCCAAGACUGUGGUGCACGACUACAAAGUACUCGGGGGCUUGUCGGGCAUGCACCCCAAGCCCACGAGUAGACCUUGGACGGCCCACUAAGGGGCGUACUCGGACACGAUCAGAACAAGGGAUAGGCGUAUCCCACUUGGACUAGUCAAGUAUGUAUAUGGAAAACUACUCGGGCCUUACCGAGUAGAACUCUGUACCAGUACUCGACUAGGACUCAGACUUGUAACCCUGCCCUCCCGUGUAUAUAAGGGCGGGCACGGACCCCCCCUCAACAACAACUCCAGUUCAUUAAUACAAACCAACACACAGGACGUAGGGUAUUACGCGAUCUAGCAGCUCAAACCUAUCUAAAUCGUGUUCCUUGCGUCACCAUUGAUUCCUUGAUUCUCGACGAUCCUUACCGCACAAAAGACCACCUAGGGUACCCCCUAGGCAGGUUGCCGGUCUAAAACACCGACACCAUUAUCAUGCCAUGCUCCCGGUCGAUCAUGUGGUUUCUUGGGAUGAAUUCAAAGCUGCCUUCAGGAGCCAUCACAUUCCAGAGGGCUUGAUAGAAAGAAAGCUGAAUGAGUUCCUAGCACUGACACUAGGCAUGCGCAAUGUGCUCCAGUAUGCUCAGGCCUUCAAUGAUUUAUGUCAGUACUCGGGUUAUCAUGCUGACACCGAUGAGAAGAAGAGGGACCGUUUCCGUCGAGGUCUCAACACCAAGCUCAGGGAACAACUAAGUCCCAUCAAAGUAAAUAAUUAUAAUAAGUUGGUGAAUCUAGCGAUCAUGCAGCAGGAUUGUAUCAUGGCUCAUCGUGCAGAAAAGAAGAGGAAGGCUCCAAUGGCCUUAGCUAGUGCCCCGAGCUAGAAAUUUUGGAUAGUCCAAAAUGCUCCACCCCGAGUUCCUCAAUGAACCCCACAGCCUGGACGUUGGUUCAUCAGGCCACCUCAGCAGCAGGGAGCUUCACGUUUCCCUAACUUCCAGCAGCAAGGCCCAAGGCCCAAUGCUCUAAGGCAUUAUAGCCAGGCACCACACCUAUCUCGAAAAGACCCUAUCGAAUGCUGCCUAUGGAGUUGGCAGAAUUAAAGACCCAACUUCAAGAGCUACUACAUAAGGGUUUCAUUCGCCCAAGCACAUCACCUUAGGGCUGCCCGACUCUCUUUGUCAAGAAGAAGGAUGAUAGUCUAAGGAUGUGUGUAGAUUACCAACCUCUCAAUGUAGUGGUUAUCAAGAAUAAGUAUCUACUGCCCCGUAUUGAUGUCCUCUUUGAUCAACUCGCCGGAGCCAAAGUGUUCUCCAAGAUUGAUCUCCGCUCUGGCUAUCAUCAAAUUAAAAUCCUGCCGAGUGACAUCCCUAAGACCACCUUCUCUACUCGAUAUGGACUAUAUGAGUACUUAGUCAUGUCUUUCGGGCUCACAAAUGCUCCUGCCUACUUCAUGUAUCUCAUGAAUUUGGUGUUUAUGCCCGAGCAUGACAAGUUCGUUGUGGUCUUCAUUGAUGACAUCCUCAUAUAUUCCAAAAAUAAGGAAGAGCAUGCUCAACACCUCCGCAUUGUUCUUCAACGGCUUAGAGAUCAUCAGCUCUAUACCAAAUUUUCUACAUGUGAAUUUUUGUUGGAUAGUGUGAACUCUUGGGACACACCUUCUCUAGUGAAGGCAUUGUAGUCGAUCCAAGCAAGGUACAAGAGGUGACGGACUGGAAAUCACCCACUUCCAUUCAUCAAAUCAAAAGUCUUCUUGGUCUAGCUGGCUAUUAUCAUGGUUUCAUUCCGGAUUUCUCAAAGAUAGACAAGUCAACGACCAAGUUGUUAAAGAAAAGGGUCAAGUUUGUAUGAACCAAAAUGUGUGAAGAAGCUUUCCACACUUUGCCAAAACUGCUCACCUUAGCACCAGUCUUAGCCAACUAGAUAAUACCAAGCCCUUUGACGUUUACUGUGAUGCCUCUGGCACUGGUCUCAGUUGUGUUCUUAUGCAAGACAAUCAAGUCAUUGCUUAUGCUUCACGAGCACUUCGGCCUCAAGAGCAGAAUUACCCAACACAUGACCUUGAGCUAGCAGCAGUGAUUCAUGCCCUAAAGAUCUAGAGAUAUUAUUUGAUGGGUACUCAUUGCAAUAUCUACACCGAUCAAAGUCUGAAUAUGCGUCAAAGGAGAUGGUUGGAGUUGAUAAAGGAUUAUGAUCUAGAGGUACACUAUCACCCCGGGAAGGCUAAUGUGGUUGCGGACACAUUAAGCCGUAAGGCUCAUUGCAAUUGCCUUUCCGCAGAAAACUUCAUAGAAACCUUGUGUCAUGAGGUGAGGAAGCUAAAUUUGGGAAUUAUUCCUUAAGGCACACUAAAUCACAUCUCUAUCGAACCUACCCUGGACGAUCAAAUCAUUAUGGCACAAAUAGAGGAUGAAGAGGUAAAAACCAUAAAGUAAAGGCUCUCUCAAAGGGACGAGAGAUAUAAGUGUUCUGCCAAGACUAGAAGGGAGUUGUAUGGUUUCAAGACCGCUUGAUUGUUCCAGCAAAUCAUGAUCUCCAAAAGCAAAUCCUGGAUGAGGCACAUCUCUCCAAGUUCUCUAUUCACUCGGGUAGCACCAAAAUGUACCAGGACCUCAGGUAAAAUUUUUGGUGGAUUGGGAUGAAAAGAGCAAUUGCUCAAUAUGUGUCAAAAUGCGACACUUGUCAAAGAGUAAAAGCAAGCCACUUAAGAGUAGCCGGUACUCUUCAACCAUUGCCUAUACCAUCAUUGAAAUGGGAGGAUAUAAGUAUGGACUUCAUUGUUGGUUUGCCCACACCUCUCAAAAGCAUGAUUCCAUAUGGGUUAUAGUUGAUAGACUGACCAAAACAACACAUUUUAUUCUAGUUCAAACAACCUACACAACCAAGAAAUAUGCCGAGCUAUAUCUUGAUCGCAUUGUUUGCCUACAUGGAGUGCCCAAAACGAUCAUCUCCAAUCGAGGUACUCAGUUUGUGGCACGCUUCUCGGAAUAGUUGCAAGCUUCUCUUGGCACUAAGUUGAUCCGCAGCUUGACUUAUCACCCUCAAACUGAUGGACAAACUGAAAGGGUGAAUCAAAUCCUUGAAGAUAUGCUUCAAGCUUGCGUUAUUCACUAUUAUAAGAACUGGGACAAAUGCUUACCUCUAGUGGAGUUUUCUUGUAACAACAGCAACCAAGCUAGUCUAAAAAUGGCACCAUUUGAGGCCUUGUAUGGUCGUAGGUGUCGAACUCUGUUAAGUUGGUCCCAAGCUGGAGAGCGGAAAGUAUUUGGGCCAAAUUUGGUAAUUGAGGUGGAAGAGAAAGUGAGGGUAAUGCAAGAACACCUUAAAGCCGCCCAAUCUAGGCAAAAGAGCUAUUUUGACAAGAGGAGGAAACCAUUGCAAUUCGAAGUCGGUGACCACGUAUACCUCCGAGUUUUACCAACCAAGGGUGUGCAAAAGGUUCAGAGUAAAGGGAAAACUAGCUCCUCGAUAUAUUGGUCCAUACGAAAUCAUAGAAAUUUGUGGACCCGUUGCCUAUCAAGUGAAACUUCCACCUAGACUCUCUGCUAUCCAUGAUAUCUUCCAUGUUUCUCAACUCAAGAAAUGUGUUUGAGUUCCAACCGAAAUUAUCAAACAAAAGGAAGUAUGGGUAGAACCGGAUCUUUCUUAUGUUGAGUUUCCCAUCAAGAUACUUGACCGAAAGAAGAACUAGAAGACAAAUGGUAAGAAUGUUUAAGAUUCAAUGGGGCCAUCAUACCGAAGAAGAGGCAACGUGGAAACCAAAGAAUAUCUCAACAAAAAAUUUUGCGGUUUCCUAUUCGAACAGAAAGGUACGCACACCCACACUAGUUUUAAUCACUUGAAUCUCGGGAUGAGAUUCUUUUUAAGGGGAGUAGGCUGUGACAUUCCUAGUAAAUAAGAGGAAGAUCAAGAGAAAUUAAGAAAUUGAUUAAGAAACAAAUCAAAACUAGCUCCAAAUUUGCUAAAGUGUUAAGAUUCAAAAACACCUCAAAUUUAGCUAAGUGUUAAAAACACCCCCUAAAUGGUGCUCUGUUGGGAAGGAAAUAAAAACAAAUUUUAUAUAAGAACUUAACUUUUGGCUAAUAUAAAAGUGGUAGAUCUUUUCAAACGGAGCAAAUUUUAUAAUUGAGCCUGAUGAGCAUCAUUUGUGCAUAUUUGAGCAUCUUGGCUAAGCAUUGUUUAAGUUCACAUAAUUGUUGUUUAUUGUCGAAAUUUGAAUAGUUCAAUUCAAGCCGGGCCCACACAUCAGUGUCUUCUUCCUCCCUCUCCACGCCUGCACGCUCGCUGGAUUGGGUAGAACUGCGGUGCUGCUCCGUUGGCCAGUGCCAACGGUGUUCGUCGCCGGUUGGCCACCAUGGCCGGCACCACGCUCCUCCUCGCCUAUAAAGCCUGAGCACUGGCCUUCCCCAAACCCCAUUGCCUUCCUCCCACCAUUGCGGUGCCUGACCAAGCUCCAGUCGCCGACACCCUAUGCCCAACUCCGUCCACCUCCGCUCAAUCCACCGCGCCACCACCUCCUCCACUCGCCUAGCCACCUCCUCGCCCUAUCAGUGCCUCUCGCGGUGCCUCCCCCGGCCGGGAAUCCGGUGUUCCCCGUCUGCCACCUCCAAGCAUUGCCGCCACCUUGCACUGCCGAUUCGCCGCCAUUGGUGAACCUCGGUCCAAUUCCUCGCGUCCACGGCUUCCUCAAGACGUCCCGCAUCCGUUUUGCUGCUUACCGGCCUCUCUCCUCCACCGUGCAUGCGUCCCGCCGGCGAGCCCAUCUGCCGCUCAUGUCUACCUCCUAGAAGCCUUGGCGCCAGCUCCUCCGCACUCCUGAGCCACCAGCUGGUGAGCCCUUUGUUGGGAUACGAGGUAGGCUACACUAGCGCAAUUCAAAAAAUCUACCGCGUAUAACCAGGAAGAACUGCCGUAUAAGGAUCACGGGAUUACCACUCGACGCACUACUGGUGCGGAAGAUGUAGAUAUGCGUCGAUGCAGUGAAGACGAUCACGUAGUCGUACGUAGUCAAUCAACGUAGUCGAUCACGUCAUGUCCAGCAGCUCCUCACCAGCUCGUCCAUGUGCAGCAAGAUCGCCUCCGGUGCCGCGGCUCGUCGUCGGCUCGUCGUGGCUCGUCAGCGGCUCGUCGGCGGCUCGUCCAAGUGUUGCAGGCGCAACACCUCCAAGGUAUCCACACGUGCAGGGAGGAAGCGUCGCAAGCCGGAUUGCUAGAUCCGCGAGUUGCAACAGGCGAGGGCGUGGGAGGCGCGGCAGGUGUGUUUCGCCAAAAAGGUGUGAACCCUAGGGCGCCCCCACCCCUCUAUUUAUAGAGGUUCCUGACGGGCCUCUGGGUCCGAGGCCCAUUAGUACUUCUAAACCUAAUCCAACUCGGAUCAGAUCCGAAUUGGGCUUCCAGCCCCUUAAGUGUGUGACCCUAUGGGUUCGGAUACGUAUAGACAUGGCCCGAGUACUCCUACUCGGCCCAAUAGUCGGUAGCGGUCUCUAGCAAGACGUGCCAACUCCUAUACGCACACGAAGAUCAUAUCAGACGAACCAUCACAACAUAAUAUACAUGCUAUUCCCUUUGCCUCACGAUAUUUGGUCUAGCUUCAAGCCGACCGCUCUUUCUCGAUCCUGUGAUUCGGAAUCCCUUUGUAGGUUAACUCUUAACCGUACGUAGCAUGGCCAUGCAUUUUCGGAUCCGAUCACUCGAGGGGCCCAGAGAUAUCACUCUCAAUCAGAGAGGGGCAAAUCCCAUCUUGAUUGACCAUGUCUCAUAGCAUGCUUCUUGACAAACCCGAAAGCUACCUUUAUAACUACCCUGUUACGGCGUAGCGUUUGAUAGCCCCUAAGUAGGUCGAUCCACAUCUAGAAUACAUGCGACAAUCUCAGGUCUAAGGACAAAGCGUAUAUGUUGUUUAAAGAGAGAACUACUUCUCGUGUUGGGUCAGUCCUAGCACAUGUCUCCACAUGUGUCCACAUUAUUAGUUCAACAUCUCCAUGUCCAUGACUUGUGAAACAUAGUCAUCAACUAAUACAUGUGCUAGUCUAAUAUUCAUGUGUGUCCUCACAUGAACUCCGACUAGGGACAACUUUAGAAUAACCAUACAAGUAAAGAGUUUCACAUACAAUUCACAUAAUUGCAAAUCAAUUCAAGUAGCCUUGAAUGGAUAUUCAAUGAACACAAUAUACAAAUCAUGGAUACAAAUGGAAUAUCAUCAUCUCUAUGAUUGCCUCUAGGGCAUACCUCCAACAGUCUCCCACUUGCACUAGAGUCAAUCUAGAAGGUACCUAAUACCCAUAGCUCUUACAUGCGCAUCAUGCUUAGCCUGCAGGAGUGGUUUUGUCAACGGAUCAGAAAUGUUCAGAUCCGUGUGUAUUUUGCAUAUCUUGAUCUCACCCCGGUUAACGAAGUCUCGAAUGAGAUGAAAUCGCCGCAUUACGUGUUUGUUCUUCUGGUGGUUCCUUGGUUCCUUUGCUUGCGCAAUUGCCCCAUUGUUAUCACAGUAGAGAUUCAAUGGGCUGGACGCAUUCGGGAACACACCAAGCUCAAUGAGGAAAUUCCUUAUCCAAACACCUUCCUUCGCGGCUUCCGAAGCCGCGAUGUACUCGGCUUCUGUCGUAGAAUCGGCCACCGUCUCCUGCUUGGAACUCUUCCAACUAACAGCACCACCAUUCAGUGUGAACACAAAUCCUGAUUGUGACUUUGAAUCAUCUCUGUCGGUUUGGAAACUAGCAUCGGUGUAACCUGUUACAACGAGCUCCUCCUCACCUCCAUAGACGAGGAACAUAUCUUUAGUCCUUCUCAAGUACUUAAGAAUGUUUUUCACCGCUGUCCAGUGAUUCUCACCUGGAUCAGAUUGGUGUCUGCUUGUCAUACUUAGCGCAUAUGAAACAUCUGGGCGAGUACUUAUCAUUGCAUACAUGAUAGAUCCAAUAGCCGAGGCAUAUGGCACUCUACUCAUGCGAUCCUGCUCAUCAGCAGUCGUAGGACACUGAGUCUUGCUGAGAUGUAUGCCAUGUGACAUAGGCAAGAACCCUUUCUUUGCCUCUUCCAUGCUGAACCGCUUCAACACUUUGUCAAUGUAAGUGUCUUGGCUUAAACCUAUAAGCCUUCUCGAUCUAUCUCUAUAGAUCUUAAUGCCCAGAAUAUAUGCCGCUUCUCCUAAGUCCUUCAUCGAAAAACUAUUUUUCAGUGAAGUCUUUACGAACUCAAGCAUAGGAAUGUUAUUUCCAAUCAGUAAUAUGUCAUCCACAUAUAAGAUUAGAAAUACUACAGAGCUCCCACUAACCUUCUUGUAAACACAAGACUCUUCUUCGUUCUUGGUGAAGUCAAACCCUUUGACCACUUCAUCAAAACGAAUGUUCCAACUCCUAGAUGCUUGCUUCAAUCCAUAAAUGGAUCUCUGAAGCUUGCAUACCUUUCCAGCAUUUUUAGGAUCGACAAAACCCUCGGGCUGUAUCAUAUACACGUCCUCAGCUAGGUUUCCAUUCAGGAAAGCUGUCUUGACAUCCAUCUGCCAUAUCUCAUAAUCGAAAUAUGCAGCUAUAGCUAGAAUAAUCCGAAUGGACUUAAGCAUCACUACGGGCGAGAAGGUCUCGUCGUAGUCAACUCCUUGAACUUGUCGAAAACCUUUUGCGACAAGUCUUAUAGAUGUGAACAUUUCCAUCCAUGUCCUUUUUCUUCUUAUAGAUCCACUUGCACUCUAUGGCUUUAACACCAUCAGGCGGGUCAACCAAGUUCCAAACUUGAUUGUCUCCCAUGGACUCUAUUUCGGAUUGCAUGGCACUCUGCCAUUUUUCGGAGUCUGGGUCCAUCAUUGCUUCUGCAUAUGUCGCAGGCUCAUCAUUGUCCAACAAUAAUAUUUCCCGCAUUUCGCGGAGCCUUGCUGACCUUCGUGGUUGUGGCGGUGCUUCUCUUGCCAUGGGUAUCUCAACUUGUUCUGCUACGUUAGCAUCACUCAUUGAUUCUUGCCCGAUCGGCUCAUCUUGAACUUCUUCAAGAUGCACUGUCUUUCCACUCUUUUCUCCUUUGAGAAACUCUUUCUCUAGGAAAACCCCGUUACGAGCGACAAACACUUUGCCUUCUGAUCGGUUGUAGAAAUAAUAUCCCAAAGUUUCCUUUGGAUAUCCCACGAAAAUGCACUUAUCCGACUUGGGUCUGAUCUUGUCCGACUGAAGUCGCUUGACAAACACUUCACAUCCCCAAAUCUUUAGAAAAGAAAAACUAGGAACCUUUCCAGUCCAUAUCUCAUAUGGUGUCUUAACUACGGAUUUAGAUGGUACCCUAUUAAGUGUGAAAGCUGUUGUUUCGAGAGCGUAUCCCCAAAAUGACAACGGUAGGUCCGACUGGCUCAUCAUUGAUCGAACCAUGUCUAACAAAGUUCGAUUACGUCACUCGGACACACCGUUUCUCUGAGGUGUUCCAGGCGGCGUAAGUUGUGGAACAAUUCCGCAACUCUUUAGAUGAUUGCUAAACUCGUGGCUCAAAUACUCGCCUCCACGAUCAGAUCGUAAUGCCUUGAUUUUCUUGCCCCGCUGAUUUUCAACUUCAUUCUGAAAUUCCUUGAACUUUUCAAAGGUUUCAGACUUGUGCCUCAUCAAGUAGACAUAGCCAUAUCUACUAAAAUCAUCAGUGAAAGUUAUGAAGUAUUGGAAUCCUCCUCUAGCCGUCGUGCUCAUUGGUCCGCAUACAUCACUAUGUACGAGUUCCAAGAAGUCUACUGCUCUCUCAGGAAAUCCUGUGAAAGGCGUCUUGGUCAUCUUGCCUAGCAAGCAAGCCUCACAUGUCUCGUAUGAUUCAAAAUCAAACGAAGUUAGAAGUCCAUCAGAAUGGAGCUUCUUCAUGUGUUUUUCACUUAUAUGACCCAAACGACAAUGCCACAAGUAGGUAGGACUCAAAUCAUUAGGCUGAGGCCUUUUAGCACUUACAUUACAGACAAGUGAACCAUCAAGAUUUAAAACAAAUAAUCAAUUCACAAUGGGUGCAAAAGCCAUAAACAUAUUAUUCUUAGAGAUCAAACAACCAUUGUUUUCACUCGCAAAUGAAUAACCAUCCUUCAUCAAGCAUGAAGGAGACAAAAUGUUUCGACUUAAACUAGGAACGAAAUAACAAUUAUUCAACUCCAUAAUAAAUCCUGACGGGAGGUGGAGUUGCAUCGUCCCAACGGUCAACGCAGCAACUCUUGCAUUAUUGCCCACGCGGAAAUCAACUUCUCCUCUUUCCACGCUUCUACUUCUUAUCAUUCCCUGCAUCGAAUUGCAAAUAUGAGCAACCGAUCUGGUAUCAAAUACCCAAGAAUUAAUAAUUGUAUCAGCGAGAAAUAUGUUGUCUAUAACAUUAACAACAAGCGUACCUGAGGUAGAAGUACUCUUACUUCCGCCAUUCUUCAACGAAGCUAGGUACUGCUUGUAGUUUCUCUUCCAGUGACCAAGUUCAUGACAGUAAAAGCACUCUUUGUCUGGAGCAGGUCCAGGUCCAGCUUUAACCUUGGGCGCUGGGUUUGGCUUGGACGUUCCAGCCUUGCCCUUCUUCUUCCAAGAAUUGCCCUUCUUCUUAAAGCUAGGCUUGUUCUGUAUAGCCAUCACAUGGUUGGUACUAGCGCUUUUCUUGAUGUCAGCCUCUGCUGUUUUAAGCAUGCCACACAGCUCAUUCAGACCCUUCUCCGUCCCAUGCAUAUGGUAGUUCGAGAUGAAGUUCCCAUAGCUAGGCGGAAGAUACGAAAGAAUGAAAUCAGUGGCCAACUCUUGGCCCAGUGGGAAGCCUAGCUUCUCCAACCGUUGAGUGUAACCAACCAUCUUGAUUACGUGUGGUCCUACUGCUGCGCCUUCUGCUAGCUUGCUCUCAACAAAGGCCUUAGACACAUUGAACCUUUCAGUCCUAGCCUGUGUUUGGAACAUGUCUCUAAGUGCCACGAUCAUAUCGUGCGCCUCAUGGUUUGUUUCGAACUGCAUCUGCAGCUCGGUUCCAUGCAAGCAAGCAUAAGGCAGCUUACUUCAAGGUUAGCAUCACAUGCUUUCUUGUAAGCAUUCUUAGCAGCAGCGGGUGCAUCAUCAGCAGGUUCUUCUAGUAGUGGGUUGUCUAGAACAUCUUCCUUUUUCUCAGCCCUGAGAACAAUUCUCAGGUUACGGAUCCAAUCCGAGUAAUUUGUUCCAUUCAACUUGUCCUUCUUAAGGACCGAACGCAAAGCAAACGGUGUAGUGCUGCUAGGUGCCAUUUAAUCUACAACAAAGUAAUGCAAAAUACACUAAGACAAACGUAUCCAUGAUAGAGCAAAUCACAUUAAACUAUUUUAACAGAAUCUACUCCCACUAAAAUCAAUAUCCCUCUAUUGAAACUUAGUGAUUCAGGAUCCACAACUAACAAGUCCACUAGUGAGCUUUAGCAUCACCGCUAGCAAACAAGGUAGAUCGGUAAGCAACUUUUGCUAAUCAUAUCACAUAUGACUCCUGUUGUUGGGUGACAUCUCUAUGUCUCGGCGCCCAACCUUUAUGCCCCAAGGUCCUUAACCGUUAAGAUAACCUUGUUUAAGCAAACCAACCCUUAUGCGCGUAAGUGUCCGACACAAACCCGUCUAGUCAAGGAAAACUAGUGGCACCCUAAUUUCAUAGACCCACCACUAAUUGUACAAGACAUGGGACGGUGCAAGUUUUAGUUGGGAGGGCAUACUAACUUAAACUUUGUGAGGGAUCGUUCUACUUAUAACAUCACGGCAUGCAGAAAGUAAAACAUAAACAGAAUAGCAUUCACACAGUUGUAACACAGUAUGGCCCGUUUUCAUAUGGUGAUCUCCAUCUCCAUAGAACCUGUUCACCAUGGUGAUCUCCAUCUCCAUGUUCCAUGUGCGCCAUCCUCCUGGUGAUGAGUCCUCCAAGAACUAUAACAUGCUAUUACGCCUAAUAGCUAGUAAAGAAGCUAGUAAUGAAGAUUACAUAGUUGCUUGGAUCAUCACAGAUUGGUACGCAGACCAUUAAGUACAUUAAGGUGACAACACAUAUGGCUCCUGCCGUGUUGCCGUACGCGCGACACGCAGGUCACGAAUGAGUUACACACAUGCAUCACAUACACAAGGGGGCCAUACUGAUCACAAGAUACAUACAUCCUGCAAAACAGAGUUAAGCGUCCUAACGUUCCAAACUUCGGAGUCUUGAAACUCCAUCUUCCAAGUCGAAUUUGCGAAAUCUAAUUUCGCCAAAAAUGGCAAAGCCAUUGAAUUUCAUGUCUAACUUUUUCUGUAGAUCAAUUUUCAUAUAAAAUUUGCCCCAAUCCAAGAUCGUACUGAAAAGUUACGGCUGAUUUACCGAAGCAUAUGCAUAUGGCAAAAAUCCCGACCCCGGCAGUAGAUCUCAUCUACUAUUGCACAUCUAAUGCGCCUGGCGUAUGACCCUGGAUUUCGAUUCGACCAAUCAUAUUGAUCUUCGCUCACUGCAACUGGAUUUACGUGUAUCACUUAACUCCGAUGGCGGAAACCGACUGGUAGGAGUAUGUCGUUACACUACCAUUGCAGCAAGGGCACGAAACCAGGACAUAGAUCAAACUGAAAACUCGCAUAUCUCCAUAUGCACACAUCCCGAAUCCAAAACUAAGCAGCUACGGCUCUGAUACCACUGUUGGGAUACGAGGUAGGCUACACUAGCGCAAUUCAAAAAAUCUACCGCGUAUAACCAGGAAGAACUGUCGUAUAAGGAUCACGGGAUUACCACUCGAUGCACUACUGGUGCGGAAGAUGUAGAUAUGCGUCGAUGCAGUGAAGACGAUCACGUAGUCGUACGUAGUCAAUCAACAUAGUCGAUCACGUCACGUCCAUCAGCUCCUCAGCAGCUCGUCCACGUGCAGCAAGAUCGCCUCCGGUGCCGCGGCUCGUCGUCGGCUCGUCGUGGCUCGUCGGCGGCUCGUCCAAGUGCUGCAGGCGCAACACCUCCAAGGUAUCCACACGUGCAGGGAGGAAGCGUCGCAAGCCGGACUGCUAGAUCCACGAGUUGCAACAGGCGAGGGCGUUGGAGGCGCGGCAGGUGUGUUUCGCCAAAAAGGUGUGAACCCUAGGGCGCCCCCACCCCUCUAUUUAUAGAGGUUCCUGACGGGCCUCUGGGUCCGAGGCCCAUUAGUACUUCUAAACCUAAUCCAACUUGGAUCAGAUCCGAAUUGGGCUUCCAGCCCCUUAAGUGUGUGACCCUAUGGGUUCGGAUACGUAUAGACAUGGCCUGAGUACUCCUACUCGGCCCAAUAGUCGGUAGCGGUUUCUAGCAAGACGUGCCAACUCCUAUACGCACACGAAGAUCAUAUCAGACGAACCAUCACAACAUAAUAUACAUGCUAUUCCCUUUGCCUCACGAUAUUUGGUCUAGCUUCAAGCCGACCGCUCUUUCUCGAUCCUGUGAUUCGGAAUCCCUUUGUAGGUUAACUCUUAACCGUACGUAGCAUGGCCAUGCAUUUUCGGAUCCGAUCACUCGAGGGGCCCAGAGAUAUCACUCUCAAUCAGAGAGGGGCAAAUCCCAUCUUGAUUGACCAUGUCUCAUAGCAUGCUUCUUGACAAACCCGAAAGCUACCUUUAUAACUACCCUGUUACGGCGUAGCGUUUGAUAGCCCCUAAGUAGGUCGAUCCACAUCUAGAAUACAUGCGACAAUCUCAGGUCUAAGGACAAAGCGUAUAUGUUGUUUAAAGAGAGAACUACUUCUCGUGUUGGGUCAGUCCUAGCACAUGUCUCCACAUGUGUCCACAUUAUUAGUUCAACAUCUCCAUGUCCAUGACUUGUGAAACAUAGUCAUCAACUAAUACAUGUGCUAGUCUAAUAUUCAUGUGUGUCCUCACAUGAACUCCGACUAGGGACAACUUUAGAAUAACCAUACAAGUAAAGAGUUUCACAUACAAUUCACAUAAUUGCAAAUCAAUUCAAGUAGCCUUGAAUGGAUAUUCAAUGAACACAAUAUACAAAUCAUGGAUACAAAUGGAAUAUCAUCAUCUCUAUGAUUGCCUCUAGGGCAUACCUCCAACACCCUUUGCCCUAGGGCGCAGCCCGCUGCUCUUCCCCCGCCGCCUCACGGCACUCCCCUGCCGCCGCCGCCCUGGGCCGUGCGCCAGCCAAGCGCUACUUCCCGUGCUUGUGUUCUGUUCUAUGUGCGUGAAGGGUGUGUUAGGGGAGAAGAAGAAAAAGUGAUAGGGGGUUAUGAGGAAAUUUUAGGGACCUAUAUGCAGGAAUCAAAAGAUUUGAGGGUGGUUUUGAAAGAUGCUCUCGGUUUUGUUUUAUUUCCUAGAUUUAAAUAGCUGCAAACUUAGAAAAUGCAUAGAAAUGGGUAGAAAAAUGCUAAAAAUGUGAAUUUUGUUCUGUUGAGUUCCUAAUGACAUCUAUUUUAUUUAAAAAAUGUUUUUGUCUGUGUUACUAUUUUGUGUUUGGUGCUAUGAUUUAUUUGGUCUAAAGGACAUUAAAUGCUUUAUAAACAAUAUGGUGGUCCAAAAUUUGUGAAACCAAUUUUGAUCGCUUCCAUUUAACAUGUAUGUUCUAGAUCUGCAACUUGUGUAUGUAGAAUCUAUGGUGUUAAUACUGUUUCAAAUCCAAAUGCUUAAUUGCUCUCUUAAUAUUGUUAUUUGCAUGAUAAUUAGUGAAAAAUUGAUAAAAAUGCAAAAUAAGUUUGGUUAGAUUCUUGAUACUCGUGCGUGACUAGUAAAAAUAUUUAUCCUUGUGAAAUAUGUAUUUUUAGUUGCUUAACAAAAUGCAUGUUGUUUAAUCUCCUUAUUGUGGAAUAAAUAGUUCUCAUGCUCCUAAAAUCCUAAUAAAUUCACAGUAGCCUCUGAUUGUGUUGUGGAACUAGACUGAUGAUAGAACUCUAGUUAAAAAUCAUUUUUCAUGUUCUACAAUUUAACACUGUUUGAUUUUUAGUAAAUUCCGUACUUGUCAAUCCAUCUGAAAUCUUUACAGUAGAAAGUUCCUGUAAAACUUUCAUGUUCAUAUCUUAACAGAUGCUUCCUGAAACAUUUAUUCAUGUUAAAAUCUAGUUAAAUUAAUAAAGAUAGUUGCUACUAGGAUUUGUAGGUUCACAAAUAAUUAUUUAUGCUUUUCAUCAGUAUCAUGAUCAUCCCUAAAAAGUUGGCUAAACAGUACCAACAUGACACCACCUAUUGCCUUUUGAAUUAUAAGUUUCUGCAAAUUUUAUAUGUGUACACUAUCACCAUCAAAUUAGAAUCUAUGUUUUCUUCCCGACCCACCUUGUUUUGCGAAGGAAAGAAAUGUUUAUAAACCUUGACUAGGUGAAUGUGGCAGAAAAUGCACCCUAAGAUUUUACAAUGAUUAACAAACUGCAACAUACAUCAUGAAAGAUUAUAAAUGAAAUCUUAUGCAUAUGCAUCUCGUGUAGAAGCUAACCUUACUGACGGCACGUACGAGUUGGUUCUGGAAGUUGAAGAAGAACACUCUAUUGUUGCAUUGAACCUAAUCGAGACAACUCAAGACCCAAACCUAGAUUUGGAAGAGCCCAAGGCUAACUUAGGACAAGAAGGCAAAGCCCCGGAGCAUAACCCUGGUUUUCAAAUUAUAUAAUACUUAUGUUAUUUAUGUUUGUGCAUUAAGUUCAUAGGAGUUGCUUGAAACCUUAGUUGCAUGCUCCUAGUACCCAUGACUUGAAUACCAGCAUGUUAAGUCGAGUAGUUGCUGUGCUAAAUAGGGACACGGUAAAAGUUGAGUGAUUUCCUGUCACUCGCGAGCUAUAGAAGUUGCCUGUUUACAUAUGUUGGAAUCAUAAGGUUGACGGGCGGGGCUUGGUGCUAUAUUUUGAAAUUGUUGAUGCCCCAUCUGUAUAGAGGAAAACUGCUAAGGUCGAAACGUGUGGGAGUCUUGGUCAAGUGUUUGAAUGUACUAAACACAUGCUGAGAGAAUGGGGAAUCAUUAAGCCUAGUACCUGAUAGAACAGCCAUGGACCUUUACCCCGCUCUCUCUAGAACUGAGUUCCCAUGAGGCCUCAUGUGGGUACAAGUGCAGCAUGGCACGGUGUCGUUCCAGGGACCGUUGGGGCAUUGUAUCCAAGGGAAGUGGGCUUUGGACAAGCAACGCGAAUUGAUGGGAACCGUUGAUAUAUGUGAACCCGUCGUGGUACGCAUAUGUCGUGUGUUUAGGUAUACCUUGCAAGGUUAAGAAAUUCAAUUUGAAUCGUCUGCUUCUCAUAGUUUCGGACUGCUUGACUGCUUUUCCUGCAUUGAGUAAGAAGGUGAACAAGGAUGAUGCUUAAUAUGGAUGCUUGAGUAAAUUGCUUGUUCUACCAUGCUUACUUAGAAUAGGUGCUUACCUAGAAUGGUUAAUCAAUUAGAACUUGAUGCUAAAACUUGAAAGUAAGGAUCCACUUUAGAAGUUUUUGGCAAAAACAAACCCCUCAGCCAAAAGGCCUUGCAUGUCUAGGAGUCGGUGGAUUAGAAACCACCUGACGGGUAAGUCUUGUGGAGUAUUAGUAUACUUAGCCUUGCUUGUGGCUAUGUUUUCAGGUAAUGUUGAUGUUGAUGACAUGAUUGCUAGUUUGACUUGGCCAUACCAGAUCCCUCCGGGAUGGAUGGUCAAGUGGGACCCAUCCUUACUGGGCGAGGACCGUGGUGAGUGAUAUCAUGGAUGGCUUCACCAUGGUAUCGUGUAUCGACGCUAGAUUUAUCAUUUCUUUACGCUGCAAGUGAACUCUGAACUUUUUGCAUUUGAAACUCGGUUUGUAGUAAUUUAAUUUGGACCUAUGUAAUAUUUUAUCUGGAUUGUUGUAAUCUCUGUGCUCGUCUUCGUGUGAGUGUUGUGUGCUUGUUUCGAUCAGAAAUACAUGGUUGUAUUGGGUGAAACCCGACAGACUACCAUUUUGAUCCGAUUAAAGUGUCUGUUCACAUUUGAGGUAAUGUUUAGCACACUUUAGCUGGGUUAAUUUGGGUGGUUCUUCCACACCUAUUAGAAAAUAAAAUGAUAUAUUGGAUUUAUAAAUGCAAAUAAAAGAAUCAUUAUAUAUUAGUACACAUGAAAUAUGGAUGUCUCUAUAAAUCGUCUCUACAUUUCUUAAUACACAAUAUGGUGUUACUAUAAAAUGUGUCUAUAUCUGUAGACGCAUAAUAAAAAUGUACCUACAAUACUGUUUCUAGAUUUGUUAACACACAAUUUGGUGUUACUAUAAAAUACAUCACCUGCCACAUCGCAUGCCAUGUUGUGUAACAUGUAAAAUGCUUAAUAUAAAUGUAUCUACUAAAUCAUCUCUAUACUAGUUACUGCGCAAUAAGGCGUCAUUAUAAAAAGCUUCUAUAUUAGUAGGCAUAUUUUGUAUAUGUAUCUAUAAAUUGUCUCUAUAUUUUUAAUCACAAAAUGAAGCAUUACUAUACUAUGUAACUACAGCACUAGAGACGAUUUAUAAAUGUGUCAUUAAAAUUGUAGCAAAAUUUGUAGAUAUGCAUCUAAUGUGUCUAUAAAAUGUCUCUUUCUUUCGUCGCAAUGCUUAAAGAAUUCAUCUCUAUAAGGUCUGACAAGGUCCAUACGAAGACGCUUCUAACACACUUUAUGAAAGCAUGCCUACAUUGACAUAGAGAUGAAAUAAAGCGUGUCUAACUCUAAAUCUGCUUUCUCUAAAGGGGAGAUUCUAGUAGUGGUUAUAGACUUUAUUAAGGAGCAUAUUAUUCAUCGAUUCGGCGUUCCUCAGUACAAUUGAUCAAGGAUCAAUGUGUAUGUCUGAAGAAGUCAGGGAAUUUGCUGAUGGUUUGGGGAUUAAGAUGUUGAAUUCUUUGCCUUAUUAUGCUCAAGACAAUGGUCAAUUACAAGCUUCCAAUAAGAACGUAAUCAAAAUGAUAAAGUGAAAGGUUGAUGAAACUCCUAGAAAGUGGCACAAGAUGUUGAACGAUGCAUUGUGGGCAUAUCAGAUGGCUUAGCAUAGUGUUAUUAAAGUUUCUCCAUAUUAGUUGGUUUAUGGGCAUGAAGUAGUACCACCCUGGGAACUCAAGACUGGAUCGAGAAGGAUUUUUAAUCAAGAUUAACUCUCAGCCAAUGAGUACUACGAGCUGAUGAAAGAUGAGUUCGAAGACUUAGUUCAUCGUUAGUUGGUUGCGUUGGAAUGAAGUGAAGCAGAUAAGGUUCGAGUUGCCAAAUAUUACAAUAAAAAGGUGGUACCAAAAAGUUUUGAAGAAAGGGAACUAGUUUGGAAAACAAUGUUGCCGAUAGGAACCAAAUAUAACAAGUUUAGUAAAUGGUCACUAUCGGUGUUUUGUACCCGGCAACCUACCAAGGGAGUACCCGAGGUAGAGUUUUGGUUGGUGGGUGUCGCCAAAAUCAAGAACUCGAUGGUGUAUGUAGGCACGCGAUUUAGAUAGGUUCGGGCUGCUAGAUCGCGUAAUACCCUACGUCCUAUAUGUUGUUUUGCUCGUAUUAGAUUGAACUUGUCUGGAGGGGGUCCCUGCCUGCCCUUAUAUUUCGGGGGGAGCAGGGUUACAAGGUAGUUGCUUUACAAGAGUGCUAGUCGGAUACGACUACAGAGUUCUACUCUAAUUCGGAAGAGUAGUUUCCUUGUCUAUGACUAGUCUUCUGGUAGUUCAUAUAGACCAGGCCACCCUGUACUGUAGUCUCCAUGUCCUGAUAUGUCUCGGUGUACUUCUCCUUGUAUGGAUCUGUACAAACCUUCUGGUGGGCCGCCAAGUACUUUGUAGUCAAAUGUAACAGUCUCGGGUACUUCUGCAGAUGUUGCUCAACUAGUUUCUGGUGCUCUUUGGGUGCUUUGGUCGUGGCCAAGUCUUCAAGUACUUGAGUGUUGUCAUGCGGCUGGAAGGUACUCUAGCCUCAUCUGACGUUGUUUCUGAGAAGUCUAUCUUCAAUCCUUUAUAUGAGAGUGCGAUGAAAAUCGCACUCCAUAUGGAGUAGCCCCUGAGCCUUAGGUUGAAUCCAAAAAAAACAGGCUGAGGGUCAAUCUGCAUUUGUUCCAUCUUCAUCUUGAUCUUUGGAGAAAAAGAAAUUUUAUCCAACGGGCACGGUAUAGGCAGCCCCCGAGUUAUUACCCGACUAGUUUUGGGAGGUAUAAGGGUCUUUUAAUUUGUUACCAUGACCUUUCAGCUUUUGCUGGUAUGGAAAAAACCUAUCUUGCGUGGAUAAGGCUGUAAUUGCCGCUGAUUAGCAAAAACAUCGGACCGUUACCCCGAAGACUCCACCGCGGUUAUAAAAGUUAUGGGGGAGUUACCCAUGCCCUUUACGCUGCCAUUUUGCAUCUGCCAUUUGUCUUGGCUAAAAAAACCCUAGCUCUCAGCACCGUCGCGGUCUCAUCUUAAACCGCUUGUGCCACCACAGCUUCCGUCACCUGCAAUGCCUCCUCGAAGCCCCUGAGUGCAUGCGAAUGAAAACCAAGGCAACAAUCAGGAUGGGGAGGAAGCUUGAAGGUCCGAAGAAGGGAUCCAAGGAGGAUGCCAAGAAGGCACCCAAGGAGGGUUCCUAGAGGGGAACUUCCAGGAAGGGGAAGGAGCUCGAACUGCCAGCGCCGAAGUGAGGGGAAACCAACCAGACUGCAUCGCCCAACCAAGUGAUGGCCUGCAAGCGAUCCACCAUGAAGGAUGUAGAAAUCCAAGAGUUGGUGGACGCCAAACUGUUAUAGGAGCAGGCAAUUGUGAGUUGAAGGUCCUCUUAUGGCAAUGCUUGGAUGUUUGAAGUGCACCCCAAUGAGAGGUAAUAUUUGCUUAGUUUGUGGAGCGUGGGUUUGCUAUUCAGACUUCUGACUUCUUCCGGGGCCUCUUGGAGUACUACUCAUUGCAACUCGUCCAUCUCAAUCCCAACAGCAUCUUGCAUAUCUCCAUCUUUGUUCCCUUGUGCGAAUCGUUUCUGAGGAUUCUGCCACAUUUCGGUCUCUUCUGUAAGAUUUUUUGCCUGAAGCCACAGCCUAGUCAGGAGAAUAUGCAGGUUAUUGGAGGUGCCGGCUUCUAGAUCCGUGAGCAGUACUCGAAUCUGUAUUUGGAGUGUGAGCUGGUGGAAUCUCAUGGCAAUUGGAAGGAGAAGUGGUUUUAUAUUGAAGAUCACAGGCUAUCUCUGCCCAAGAUUACUAGACAUUGUCCAAAGUAUAGCAGCCGGUGGCUUGAUGAACCAACAACUGCUGAAAGUAUUCAAGUGCCCGAUCUAUUGACCAAGAUUGUUGCAUUGAAGAAGCAGGGUUUGACAGGAGUAGUUGUAGCUGCUAGCUUUCUGAAAAGACGGCUGCAGCCAUUGCAAUUUCGACAAACUCCUACAUAUGAGUACUCUGGGCUCGACGAUCCCUCACAGAUGUCACCUGAUGAUAUUUCUGAUGGAGAGGUCGGAGCCCGACUGCGCUGGAUGUUCAAAGAACUUGAGGGUGAACCUGGAGUGGUUGAAGAGUUUGAUAGCCGGAACAAGCCGAAUGAAGUAAGUAUUUAUCAGUGUUGUGCUUUGAGUACUUGAAUUGUUUUGAUCUAUUGUUUUCCGACUUGUUUCUUCUUGUGCAAGCAGAUGUACUCAUGUAUUAUUCACCUCCUCCUCCCCCCGGUGCGGAUGUCGUAAAGAACGCAAUGCUAGUUUAUUCAUUGCAAUUGCCUGGGGUUUCCUUAGAAGAGGAAGAUGAGGAGGGGGAGGAUGAAGAGACCGAUCCCAUUGAUAGCACUGAUUCUGACGGUGAGGAUUUCUUUGUAUUGCAGUCGCGCGCCUUGAAACAAGAAAAGUCGUCUUCUAUCACAUCGAGACGCCAUGCUGGCAAUGAUGUAGAUGCUGACUUGGUGCCGCUACCAAAGAAGCAGCGAACUACUAUGCCCAAGAGGCGCACUAGGCGCAAUCUUCGCAUUCAUGAUGCGCCCCCGCCGGUAAUAACUUUUGCAGAAGGGCAAGGCCUUGAGGUGCGAGUACUGUUGUACUUGUUUUGUGUAGUUUUGACUACUUACCUUUAAGUUCAUUCUUCUGUAGACUACUAGUGAAGUAGUCGAUAGCGUAGGGGCAUCUGCUGAUGAGGUUGUUGAUGCCACAGAGACGGCUACCAAUAAUGCUGGCAAAGUUGCAGAAACAGCUACCGACAACGGGACUGAUGUGGCGGAUACGGCCGCUGGAGAUAUGACCAUGGCUCCGGAGGUAACUACUCCAUGCGUGACCUUGGAGGCGGUGGUGACUGCUGGUGGGGUAGCUGGAUCAACGAAGACGGACAUAAGUGAAGCAGUCAAGACAUCGGAGGCUGUGUCUAAUGCUACUCUGUCUAAAAUUUCUGGCAGCGGAGAAUGCGUGGACAGCGGUGGCAAUCACGUGGCUGCCACUGCCCAAGUAAUUGCUAUGGGUAUUGGUGACAACCCUGAAGCUCCGCUGCCUGCCCCAUCAAGUAUGCCAAUUCCUAGUACCUUGCCAAUGCGCUUGGUGAGGAAAGCUCCUCUGGUGCAACUAGAUGAGUACCCUGUCAUUGUGAUUGAGCAUUGAAUUUGUAUCGAGUAGUUGCUCUCUAUUUCUGAUGCUUUGUUGUGUGGUAGGUCAUCUUCGAGUGUUGACCUUGGUGUGGCAGGCACAGGCCUAGCAGUUGAUGAUGAAAGUCGCUCAACGAACCCAGCCCCCGCGCCUGUCAUCGAAUCGGAGGAGAACUUAGCUCUGGCAGUGGGGGAAGACGCUACAUCAUUGGCGGCCACGUUGUUGCAGGACAUGAUUGGUUCUCUCUAGGACGUAGCACCAGCAGCUCCCCAGACUGCUACCCUCGGACCGCUGCCUCAGGCCGUAUUACUUGAAGACCAGUUUGCGACAGACGUCUUGGACUCCGUUCCUCUCAACUCUGCGGGUACUGGAGCCCUCGAGGUUGCAUGCGCCCUUGGAUCUGUUGUGGUGGCUGCAGGGAUGUCAUCAGAGGCAGGGUUGUCGUUUAAUCGGGAACUAGACUUAGUGCUCAGCACAAAGACUAAUUCAGCAACUGAGCAUCUGUCACCGCGGACGAAAAUCGAGGUUUUUGAGAGCCCUCUGUUGGAGCCGCAAGACAUAUCCUCCAUCUUGGAGAUGAACCAGCGUAUCGUGGCAUAUACUAAGGUGAGUUCAGCUCUUGUAAUCUUCUUACUUGAUUUGAGUGACUAGUUUUCCAUUAGGAGUGCUAAUGUUUUUGUACCCAGGAUCUGUUUGAGAAGUCUGGCCAAAAUGUCCAACUUCUGUGGGAGCAAAGCAAGGCUACGUGUUGCAUUAAACUUCUGGAGAAGGAACUUAGCGAGGAGCGUCGACGGACAUCCCAGUUUCUAGAGCAGUAUGAUAGCGCCGUUGCUUCGUUCCAGGUGGAGAGGCGGGAGUUUGAGGGUGGAAAGAGUCGCAUUGUUGCGCGCAACAUGUCCUUGCACCAAAAAGUUGAGGGUGAGUACUCGUGCAUGCAGUCUUUGAGUUGUUUGUUGUAUGUGGUCUGUCCUCUGACUAUCCAUUGCUAUUUUUGCAGACUUGAAAAGCCAGGAGACUGUGUUGAAGAACACCAUCACUUACUGGAAGGAUGCCUUCUGUAGGCUGACGGAGGAGCAUGAAGAGCUCAAAAGCCAGUUGGAGAAAACAAAGCGCGAUCUGGAGAAGGAAUCUAAAAUGCACCAAGAUGGUGAUGUUGGCCUAGUUGGGGCCAUGACUACUCUCAAGGCGCAACACGAACUUCUCUAGGAGUGGUCUAAUGCGGCACGACCUCUGGCUGACAUGGUGGAGCCCUCUAAGGAAGGAGUAGAGCCUCGUCCCCUGCUGGAAAGGGUUAGGGAUGCGCCAGCAAAGAUUAAGGCGUGGCCAAGUCGGUGUCCAAGCAGCUGCUGGGAUUCGUAAAGUUGUUCUAUCCCAAGGCUGACCUUACUUAUCAGCAAUACUUGGAAGAAUUGGACCCUAUAGCCAAGGAAGUAGCCAAAUUCAUCAACCUGCAGUAGUCUUCUGGGUUCAUUUUGGUUGUAACUGCUCCUGAACUUUGUGUCUUUGAACAAUGAUCUUUUAGAGGAACUGAAAUAUUGUAUUGCAGUUUCCGACUAGUGCAGCCGUGAUGAUCCUUAGUACUACUUUGCUGAGCAUUUGUUUAUUGCUGACUUGACUUGUGAGCUCGGCUGAUGAGUAAUCAGUGGUAGCUUACUACUCGUAGCCUCACAAAGGAAGUAGUCAUCCUUUUUCUCUACAUUAUUGCGAGCGUGCCCGAGAGGACACACGAGAACAUUGUGCCUUUGUCCUUUGUGCCUGCAUUAUUGCAAGCGUAUCCGAGAGGACGCACGAGAGUACUAUGCAUACCUUGUCAUUUUGCAAUUAGGAUGGAUCACAUGCGAGCGUUUACUCUGGUCGGUUGGCUCUGCACGUGGGUAUUGUACUGGUGCCAGGCGGUGGGGUAAGUUUUGCAUUGUGUAGUCACAAGUGUGUGGCGGUGAUUGUUGGAUGGUAGCUUGUCUUCCUGGCUAUAAAUAGAGCUCCAUCUACCUCUGUGAAAAGCACAGCUCAGGUUAUAGCAAUAGUUGGCCUUUGGCUUCUUCUCUUUGAUGGUUGCGAGCUUCCAAUGAGCGAUCUGGUGCUAGAAGAUUCCUUGUAUUGCGGUUCCACAUUCCCUCCAUAGAUCCUAGAGCUGAGUCUGGUGGUUGUGAUGCUAGAAGAAUCCUUGUAUGAGCAAGCACCAUGUGAUAGAGUCGGAGUGCCCAAUCUUUCGGUGAGUGGAGAUAAAUUCGACCUGGUGGAAGUAGACCCUCACGAUCCGACUACGACGAGCGAACCCGAAGCGCCAAUGCAAUCGCUGAACCAACUUCCUGUGGUUACCAACCUUCCCAGCGCAAGAUCAGCCUGAUCACGAAGAUCGAUUCCUGUCCGCAAUCGAAGAACGAACAAGAAAAAGAGGCGAGCAAUCCAAAUAUCACUCGAAGGUGGAGUUCUGAAUCACACAAGGACAGCGCGUAUUUGCGCGUGUUCAAGAGUAGCUAAAGCUAGAUGUAAAACAAAACUCAAGUCGUAAACAAAAAGGACUCCACUUACAUCUAGAUGUAAAACAAAACUCAAGUCAAAUUUAUCUCCACUCACCGAAAGAUUGGGCACUCCGACUCUAUCAAGUGGUAUCAGCUUUCCAGGUUGAUCGGUGAGUUUUACCGAUUGUUUUUCCCUUCCUCCAGUCCACAAAACCCAAAAGAAAUUUUUUUCAGGUUAGAUCCUUGUCCCAGCAACCGUUUAGCCUCGCACAUUCUUUCAAUAAGUGUCGUUGUUGAAUUUGUGUGCCUACUCGUUCAAUUGUUGCUGGUUACUUGUGUUUAAUCUCUUAUUUCUCGUUUUCCCUCUAACCCUAGUUUUCGCUGCCGCCGCCGUUCCGCUGCUCGCCAACCCUACCACGCCGUGCCCACCGCCCCCCACUCGCGACAACCGCGCCGCGCCAUCCCACCCCUCCGAUCGCCCCCUCCCCUGUCCAAGAAAAAAGGGUCGAAAGCAAUCAAACAAAAAAAGGAAAGAAGCAAAAAAAAAGACAUCAAACAGGGUGAAGGAAGGUGAUCCGGUUUACUCUAGAGAGAGAGAGAGAGAGUGUGUGUGUGCCACAAUUUGCUGUUUAAGAUCCUUGUGUUCAUAUUAUCAGUUUUGGGGCACCCUCUGUGAAAAAAAAACAGAAAAAAAAACAAAACAAAAGAGGUGCGCCCUCUCCACCUUGGCCGUUUCUUUGCCUCUGUUCUUUUGAUUUCCCUUGUUACCAGCAACUCUUGUUACGUGUUUGGCACUAUAUUUCAACUUUGCAUUAUUGUUUGAUUGUGCUAAUCCUUCAUUUGAGUGUAGCCUUCCCAGAACUCCACAUAGUUCUACGACGAGCAUAUUUUGUUUCUCCAGGCAAUCGCUCCUCCAAUCUUUCGCGAGUUCCACCGGUUGGUUGCAGUUCGCCCCUGUGUGCGUGGUAAGAACGGAUAAGAAUUUGAUAACAGCACUAGUGUGAGCGCCUUGUGAGCCGUUACACCCCUGUGUUGUCGUUGCUUUUGUUCUUGUAUUUGCGCUAACCAUGGCAGAUGAUGUCAACGCGGGGGCUAACCAGCUGCAGGGCAUACGGGCACAAGUUGAAGGGCUUGUCACCGACAUUCAGACGAUUCAUGAACGGCUGGACUCGACGAUCUCCUCGACGACCGAGCAGUGUGAUCAGCUCGACCUUGCACAGACGGCCGCUAAGGCCACACUCGACUCAGUUGUGGCAAGACUCGAUGCAUUGCACACAACAGUCGCAGAGUUGCAGCAGGGUUAUGGUGGUGACUCGGACCAGGACGAUGGCGACCGCCAAGGCCGUGCCCGCCGCGUGCCACGCCGUCCCGGUAAUGAUUCCUUUUCCAAGAUUAAAUUUAAAAUUCCUCCUUUUAAUGGCAAAUAUGAUCCUGCUGCAUAUCUUGAUUGGGAAUUAGAAGUUGAACAGAAAUUUUCAUGCCAUGACAUUCUUGCUAAUUCUCAAGUUAAAGCUGCUAUUAGUGAAUUUACUGAUUUUGCUUUAAUUUGGUGGCGUGAAUAUAAACACAAACAUCCCAAUACCAUUCCAACCACUUGGGAGCAAUUAAAAACUGCUAUGCGCCACAGAUUUGUGCCUUCUUAUUAUGCCCGAGAUUUGCUUAAUAAAAUGCAACGUUUUCAGCAAGGUUCCAAAUCUGUUGAGGAAUAUUUCCAGGAAUUACAAAUAGGCAUGAUUCGUUGUGGGUUAUUGGAGGAAAAUGACGCCGCUAUGGCACGUUUUCGUGGUGGUUUGAACCGCGAAAUUCAGGAUAUACUUGAUUAUAAGGACUACAUAGAUAUGACAACAUUAUUUGAAUAUGCUUGCAAAGCUGAACGUGAAGUGCAGGGACGCCGCUCGAAGACAUAUUCUAACUCUUUUGCAGGAAGAAGCUCGACAUCCAACUCCGCACCCGCCCUCCCUGCGCCACCCACGCCCACCACUACACCACGCGAGCGAACGGCCAAACCUGCAAGCGCUGCCCCUUCCACAGGCGCCACCCCUCCCAUAGGCCGUACACGGGAUAUUCAGUGUCAUCGUUGCAAAGGAUUUGGCCACGUGAUUUGGGACUGUCCGAACAAGCGCACUUUGCUUCUUCGUGAUGAUGGUGAGUACUCUUCCGCUAGUGAUUCUGAAGAUACUCGACAUGCGAUGCUUGCCACUAACCAUGCAGCUAUGGAGGUACAUGUCAACCCGGGCGACGCCGAUAGGUAUGAAAGUCUUGUUGUGCAGCGUGUUCUUAGUACACAGGUCGCCCCGUCCGAGAAGAAUCAGCGACACACUCUUUUCCAUACCAAGGGCGUUGUGCAGGAACGGUCGAUCCGCAUCAUCAUCGACAGCGGCAGCUGCAACAAUUUGGCGAGUACCACGCUGGUUGAAAAGUUGUCUUUACCCACUCGUAAGCAUCCACAUCCAUAUCACAUUCAAUGGCUUAAUGAUGGUGGGAAAAUUAGAAUUACUCGAUCAGUCCGUGUUCCUUUCUCCAUGGGUGCUUAUUCUGAUUUUGUCGAUUGUGAUGUUAUUCCCAUGGAAGCAUGCUCUCUGUUACUUGGGCGACCUUGGCAAUAUGAUACUGAUAGCUUGCAUCAUGGUCGUUCAAAUCACUAUUCUUUCAUGUUUAAGGGUCAGAAAAUAAUUAUACAUCCAAUGACACCUGAACAAAUUCUUAAAGAUGAUCUUGCUAGAGCUGCUAAAACUGCUAAACAACUUGACGCAUCGCCAUCUGUUAAUUCUGAAAUCAAGUUGAAUGCUCCUGUUUUGCUUGCCACACGUGCUGAUUUUGAUGAGUUACGCGAUGCUCCUUUGCCAUGCUAUGCCCUUAUAUGCUCUAGUGUGCUCGUUUCACUUGAUGAUGCACCAUCUUUGGAUAUUCCCCCUGCGGUUGCUAACAUUUUGCAGGAGUACGCUGAUGUCUUUCCAAAAGAUUUGCCACCGGGACUUCCACCACUUCGUGGCAUUGAGCACCAGAUCGACCUCAUUCCCGGCGCACAGCUUCCGAACCGCGCACCGUACCGUACAAAUCCGGAUGAGACAAAGGAAAUCCAGCGCCAGGUACAGGCGUUGCUUGACAAGGGUUAUAUUCGUGAGUCUCUUAGCCCUUGCUCCGUUCCCGUGUUACUUGUUCCCAAGAAAGAUGGCUCAUGGCGUAUGUGUGUAGACUGUCGUGCUAUUAAUAACAUUACCAUUCGCUACCGAUACCCUAUACCACGCCUUGAUGAUAUGCUAGAUGAGCUUAGUGGUGCCAUUAUUUUCACUAAGAUUGAUUUGCGUAGUGGCUACCAUCAGAUUCGCAUGAAAUUAGGUGAUGAAUGGAAAACGGCUUUUAAAACAAAAUUUGGGUUAUAUGAAUGGUUGGUUAUGCCGUUUGGUUUGACAAAUGCUCCCAGCACAUUUAUGCGUUUGAUGAAUGAAGUUCUGAGGCCCUUCAUAGGAUUGUUUGUAGUUGUCUAUUUUGAUGAUAUCCUCAUUUACAGCAAGUCUAUGGAAGAGCAUUUAGAACAUUUGCAUGCUGUUUUUGAUGCGUUGCGUGCGGCCCAUUUAUUUGCUAACCUCGAAAAAUGCAUGUUUUGCACACAACGUGUCUCGUUUCUUGGCUAUGUUGUUACUCCACAGAGCAUUGAGGUGGAUAGCAGCAAGAUUGAUGCCAUUCGGGAGUGGCCUACACCGACGACGGUCACACAAAUUCGAAGCUUUCUUGGCCUUGCAGGUUUCUACCGCCGGUUUGUUCGUGAUUUUAGCUCCAUUGCAGCGCCUCUACAUGAGCUUACAAAGAAGGAUGUUCCCUUUGUUUGGAGUGAUUCGCAAGAGGUUGCGUUCAGCACCUUGAAAGAUAAGUUAACCAAUGCUCCUCUCUUGCAGUUGCCUGAUUUUACUAAAGUGUUUGAGCUUGAAUGCGAUGCUAGCGGUAUUGGGCUAGGUGCUGUUUUGUUACAAGAAGGAAAACCGGUUGCUUACUUUAGCGAGAAAUUAAGUGGUGCUAGCUUGAAUUAUUCUACUUAUGAUAAGGAGCUUUAUGCUUUAGUGCGCACUUUGCAUACUUGGCAGCACUACCUUUGGCAUUGCGAGUUUAUAAUUCAUUCUAAUCAUGAGGCUUUAAAACAUAUUCGUACCCAAACAAACCUGAACCGUCGUCAUGCUAAAUGGGUAGAAUUCAUUGAGUCUUUCCCUUACAUUAUUAAACACAAGAGCGGGAAGGAAAAUGUCAUUGCUGAUGCUUUGUCUCGUCGCUAUACCAUGCUGUCACAGUUAGAUUUUAAAAUCUUUGGCUUGCAAACUGUGAAGGAUCAAUAUGUGGAUGAUGCUGAUUUUAAAGAUGCUUUCACCCACUGUAUUCAUGGCAAAUCAUGGGGCAAAUUUCACAUACAGGACGGGUUCCUGUUUCGCGCUAACAAGCUGUGUGUUCCAGCUAGCUCGGUUCGUCGUUUGUUGUUACAGGAAGCGCAAGGAGGCGGUCUCAUGGGGCACUUUGGCGUCUACAAGACGCAUGAAGUGCUGGCUGCCCACUUCUUUUGGCCCCGGAUGCGCGCUGAUGUUGAGCGCCUUGUUGCACGCUGCACUACUUGCCAAAAAGCUAAGUCACGAUUGAACAACCAUGGUUUGUACAUGCCCUUGCCUGUUCCUACUUCCCCUUGGCUUGAUAUUUCUAUGGACUUUGUUUUGGGAUUGCCUAGAACUAAGAAGGGGAGGGACAGUAUUUUUGUGGUUGUUGAUCGUUUCUCCAAAAUGGCUCAUUUUAUACCUUGUCAUAAGACUGAUGAUGCUAGCAAUGUUGCUGAAUUGUUCUUUCGCAAGAUUAUUCGUUUGCAUGGUAUUCCAAAUACAAUAGUCUCUGAUCGUGAUGCUAAGUUUCUCAGUCAUUUUUGGAGAUCACUGUGGAAUAAAAUGGGAACUAAAUUGCUGUUUAGCACCACUUGUCACCCUCAGACUGAUGGACAAACUGAGGUGGUUAAUCGAACCUUGUCCACCAUGCUUAGGGCUGUUUUAGAUAAACACUUGAAACGUUGGGAAGAUUGCUUGCCUCAUGUUGAGUUUUCUUAUAAUCAUGCAACACAUUCUUCUACAAAGAUGUGUCUCUUUCAGAUUGUUUAUGGUUAUAUUCCUCGGGCGCCUAUUGAUUUGUUUGCGCUUGAUGCCGAGGACGUCCCACACAUAGAUGCCGCUGCACAUGUUGAUCAAAUGAUUAGCUUGCAUGAGCAAACUCAACAAAACAUUGCUGCUGCUAAUGCUAAAUAUCAGGUUGCGGGUAGUAAAGGGAGGAAACAUGUUACUUUUGCACCGGGUGAUCUGGUUUGGUUGCAUUUGAGAAAGGAUCGUUUUCCUACUUUACGUCGUUCUAAAUUGAUGCCCCAUGCUGCUGGUCCUUUUAAAGUGCUAACCAAGAUUAAUGAUAAUGCUUAUAUCCUUGACCUGCCUGCGGAGUUUGGUGUUUCCACGAGUUUUAAUGUUGCAGAUUUGAAACCGUAUGUGGGCGAAGAUGAGGAGUUGCCGUCGAGGACGACUUCAGUUCAAGAAGGGGAGGAUGAUGAGGACACCACGAGUACAUCUACACCAGCAGCACCUCAGGCGCCUCUAGUUGCUCCUCCACCUCAGGCGCCUACAGUUGAUCAUCCAGUUGGGCCAAUCACUCAAGCCCGUGCGAGAGAAUUAAACUUCAUCAUGGUGUUAAGGAACGAAGGCCCAUCGGAAUAAGAAGAUGGCCCAACAAGGCAGCCCAGGUGGGGCGCCUAGGGUUGGGCGCGCGUGACCCCUCCGGACUCCAGGGGCUGCGCCCCCUUUAUUUAGUCGGAGUCCUUUUUGUUUACGACUUGAGUUUUGUUUUACAUCUAGCUUUAGCUACUCUUGAACACGCGCAAAUACGUGCUGUCCUUGUGUGAUUCAGAACUCCACCUUCGAGUGAUAUUUGGAUUGCUCGCCUCUUUUUCUUGUUCGUUCUUCGAUUGCGGACAGGAAUCGAUCUUCGUGAUCAGGCUGAUCUUGCGCUGGCAAGGUUGGUAACCACAGGAAGUUGGUUCAGCGAUUGCAUUGGCGCUACGGGUUCGCUCGUCGUAGUCGGAUCGUGAGGGUCUACUUCCACCAGGUCGAAUUUAUCUCCACUCACCGAAAGAUCGGGCACUCCGCCCUGCUCUCUAGAUGUAUCGACGCUGGAGCUCGCUGGCGGAAAAAAGCGAGCGUCCUGGUUUUUAUCCAGCCAUCUUGUUGAGGAUGGUGGUGUGGUUCCGACUGCUCCCUCUCUCUGAAGUUUCUUCGGGCAAGGCUCAAGUACAUGAUGUGUACUCGUAGUCCUGUUUCGGGUGUUUGUGGAAGGGAGAGGGUGGUGAUGCUGGAUGAGAGGACACGGGUGUUGUAUGCCCCGAUCUACAUCCAGGUCACCAUCAAGGGGAGGAGUAGGGCAUAGCUUCCUAGAGUGUAGCUUUCUUGCGUGCACUUCCUUCUCCUUGACGCUUCUUGCUCCUAGUGUUGGAGUAGUCUCCAGGCUCAUCCGCGCAUGCUUGGCGUGAUAUUGUAAAAGCCUGGGACUUCUAAUGUAAUCACCAGUAGGCAGUUGCUUACAGUUUUUGUUGAGCACUUUUGUUGUACUCUUGACGUUCCAACUUCUUGGGGUGGAAGCAUUGAUGUAAUCCUGCAAGAUUUGUUAAUACGAAAAAUGCAUAUAUGAGAUAAAUAGUCAAAAUGAGUAGUCUUGUGUACUCUUCCGUCGACUUGUUAGCUUGUUGCCCUACUAGUUUGUCUUUACAGAUUGUUGGAUGAGUUGAAUAACUCACUUAGACUUAUGAAUACAAGCCAAGUUGGGGUGUUAUGGCCUAGUGAGCAUACUAGCUCAUGGUUGCUAUUGACCUGCCUUUGCGAGCCGCUAGGUGAGUUGAUUAACUCAAGUAGACUUGUGACUACAAGUUGAAUUGGGGUGUUGAGGCCCUGAGAGCUGAAUAGCUCAUGGUUGCAGCUGACCCACCUUUGCAAGCCGCUUGGUGAGUUGAAUAACUCAAGUAGACUUGUGACUACAAGUCGUACUAGGGCGCUAAGGCCCAGAGAGCUGAAUAGCUCAUGGUUGCAGCUGACCUGCCUUUGUGAGCCGCUUGGUGAGUUGAAUAACUCAAGUAGACUUGCAACUACAAGUCGUACUAGGGCACUAAGGCCCUAAGAGCUGAAUAGCUCAUGGUUGCAGCUGACCCGCCUUUGCGAGCUGCUUGGUGAGUUGAAUAACUGAAUUAGACUUGUGACUACAAGUCAUACUAGGGCCCUAAGGCCCAAAGAGCUGAAUAGCUCAUGGUUGCAGCUGACUCACCUUUGCGAGCCGCUAUUUGAGGCGAGGAUAUAUAGUCGGCUGCCACCAAAAAAUAAUUGCAUAAAAAAGGUUGAGGCCAGUGGCCUGUGUACAAUGUCCUGUAGUCUAAUAACUAGGGUAGAAAUGACAGAGAUGCUCGAUGUUCCACGAGUUCUCGAUGUCUUCGCCGGAGAGAUGCUGUAGCCCAUAGGAUCCUGGGCCUGUGGCCUUGGAUAUGAUGUAAGGCCCCUCCCAUGGCGAAUUGAGUUUGUGCAGCCCUGUGGUGUCUUGGAUACACUUGAGGACCAUGUCACUGAUGUCGAAGGAAUGUUUUUUGACAUUGUGACCAUGGUAAUGGCGGAGUCCUUCAAGGUACCUUGCUGACUGGACGAGUGCCGCACAGCGGGCUUCUUCUAGACUAUCUAUGUCUAGAUGCCUUGUUUCUUCUACCGCGCCUUCUUCGUAUUGUUCAUAUGAGAGACUUUCACAUGAUGUCGGUAGGGAAGUAUGGCUUCUAAUCCGUACACCAAAAAGUAGGGUGACCGCCCUGUAGGCUUGCACGGUUGAGUACGCAGCCCCCAGAGAACGUUGGGUAGUUCUUUGAGCCACUUGCCUCCUAUGGUGUUACCAAUGUCGUGUAGCCUUUUCUUCAGAGCUUCCAGUAGCAUCCUGUUGGCACGCUCGACUUGGCCGUUGGCUCUUGGGUGAGCAACAGAGACAUAACGAAUGUCAAUUUUGCUAUUUUCACAGUACUCUCAGAAUUCGUGGUUGUUGAAAUUGGAGCCUAAAUCCGUGAUGAUCCGGUUCGGGAAUCCAUAGUGGUGGACGAUCUCAUCGAGGAAGUCGAGUACUCUGUCUGCUUUGGGGCAGGUGAUAUGCUUCACUUCAAUCCACUUGGUGAAUUUGUCGAUGACUACGAGUACUCGAUUGAAUCCUCUAGGUGCAGUUGGGAGUGGUCCAAUCAUGUCGAGCUCCCAGCAUGCGAAGGGCUAUGUUGGAGGUAUCGUGAUGAGCUUGUAGGCAGGAACAUGUUGUUGCUUUGCAAAGAAUUGACAACCUUAGCAUUGACAAACUAGUGCCUCUACAUCAGCUAGUAUAGUAGGCCAGUAAAACGCUGCUUUGAAGGCCUUGCCUACUAUCAUGUGCGAAGAUGUGUGGUUGCCACAGAUCCCUUUGUGUAUUUCCUCCAAUAUGUCCUUGCCAUCUUCUCGUGUGACGCACUUCAUGAGUACUGCUGCAGAUGCGCCUCUUAUGUAUAGCUUGUCUCCAAUGAGUACAUAGCCUUUGCUUCGCUGUAAGACUUGUUCUGCUUGCGUUUUGUCUGAGAGUAGUUUGUGCUCUUUAAUAUAGUCAAUAAAUGGUGUUCUCCAAUCCACAUCAAUCAUCAUAACCUCCCAGUCUAGUUCUAUGGGACCGCAAUCGGUGGCUGCUGAGGGUGCCUACUUUGUGAUGGAUGUCUUGCGAAGUUCGUGGAUGAAGACUCGUGCUGGAACUUGAGCAUGUGUUGAACCCAUCUUGGACAGCACGUCCAUAGUGACAUUGUUGUCACGAAAAAUGUGAUGGAACUCUAGGUCUGAAAAUUUAUUUUCCAGCUUGCGUACUUCUUUGCUGAUGACUACUAGCGAGUCGCCGUAGACUAGUACUCUCUUGAUCCCUAGGGAUACUGCUAGGUGUAACCCAUGUAGUAGCGCUUCGUACUUGGCUUCGUUAUUGGGUACCUCCCAGAAUAUCUGGAGAACAUAUUCGAGUUGUUCACCUUUGGGGGAUAUCAAGAGUACUCCUGCGCUGAUGCCUUUGAGCUUGAGUGACCCAUCAAAGUACAUGACCCAAUGCUUUGGGUGUUUUGCUGGUGUUGGUAGUUGAUUUUCUCUCCAUUCUACAAUGAAAUCGACUAGAGCCUGGGAUUUGAUCGCGGUUCGCGGCCUGAACUCAGAGGAGAGCUCCCCGAGUUCUACUACCUAUUUGGAAAUUCUUCCUGUGGCAUCUCGAUUAUGGAGAAUUUCACCUAGGGGGAAAUCAGUGACCACGGAGAUCUUGUGUUCCUAAAAGUAGUGUCGCAGUUUCCGUGAGGUGAGUCGUAUAGCGUAGAGCAACUUUUGGACCGGUGGGUACCCGGUCUUGGAAUCUAAGAGUGCUUCGCUGAUGAAGUAGACUGGUCUCUAGACUUUGUAUAUGUGGCCUGGUUCCAACCUUUCGGCUACUAUUGCCAUGCUUACAACAUGAGUAGUAGCAGUGAUGUAUAACAACAAGUCUUCGUUUGGAGUUGGCGCUGUGAGGAUUGGUGGCUUUGAUAGGAAGUCUUUCAACUGUAGUAGAGCUUUAUCCGCCUCCUCUAUCCAUUGGAAUUUGUCUUGCCAUUUGAGUAGUUUGAAGAAGGGGAGGCCCCGUCCUCCAAGCCUUGAAAUGAAUUUGUUAAGGGUCGCCAUGCAUCCUGUCAGCUUCUAAACGUCCAUAAUGCUGGACGGAGCUUGCAUAUUGGUGAUGGUGGUGAUUUUCUCAGGGUUUGCUUCAAUGCUUCUAUGGCUGAUGAUGAACCCGAGUAGUUUCCUUGACGGUACAUCAAAGACGUACUUUGUAGGGUUUAGUUUCCACCAGAAUGCUCGCAGGCUGGUGAAGGCCUCUUCCAAGUCUGCGAUAAGAUCAUCUGGAUAUCUGGUUUUGACUACCACGUCUUCCACCUAUGCUUCCACAUUGCGGUGGAGUUGUUUCUCGAAGCACAUCAGGAUGGCGCGUUGAUAUGUUGCUCCUACGUUCUUCAACCCGAAGGACAUUGUUUUGUAGCAGAAAGCUCCAAAAGGGGUGAUAAAUGUAGUUUUGGCUUGGUCUUCUUCCUUGAGAGCUAUCUGGUGAUAUCGUGAAUAGCAAUCCAUGAAGCAGAGUAAUGCACAUCUAGCUGUAGAAUCGACAACUUGUUCAAUCCUUGGGAGCCCAAAGGGAUCCUUAGGAUUAUGCUUGUUGAGGUCUGUGUAGUCCACGCACAUCCUCCAUUCAUUGUUGUUCUUCUUGUGGACAAGGACUGGGUUGGCAAGCCACUCAGGAUGGAAGACAUCUUUUAUGAAGCUUGCUGUGAGUAGUUUUACUAGCUCUUUCUUGAUGGCUUCUCUUCUGUCCUAGGCGAAUCUGCGUAGUCGCUGUCUCUUUGGAGUAGCUUUAGGAUCUACGUUGAGAGAGUGCUCAAUCUACUCCUUGGGCACACCUGGCAUAUCUGCCGGUUUCCAUGCGAAACUAUCUCGAUUUGCCCAAAGGAAGUUGACGAGCGCGCUUUCCUAUUUGGCAUCCAGCCCUAUGCCAAUCAGGACUGUCUUGGCGGAGUCGCUGUUCUCAAGGUCAAUGGCUUUGAAGUCCACAUCACUUGUUAGAUUGACUUUAGUAGCUCCUGACUUGUUCUCCAAAAUUUCGAUUUCUACUAGGGAGAGCUUUUUUGAAGUGGUGAAGACUUGUUGUAUCAAGUUGGGCACUUGAGUAGUCACCGCCAACUCAACAGCUUCUCUGUCACAUUCGUAUGAUCUUCGUAAGUCUCCACAGAGGGAGAGUACUCCCUUGGGUCCUAGCAUCUUCAGGAGUAGGUAAACAUAGUGUGGGAUUGCCAUGAACUUAGCCAGUGCUGGUCUUCCGAGGAUAGCGUGAUAAGAAGUCUCGAAGUCCUCUACCUCGAACCGUAUGUACUCUGUGCGGUAGUGCUCCUUAGUCCCGAAGGUAACCGGUAGGACUACUUGUCCAAGCGGUAUAGCUGCGUUGCCUCGGACGAUCCCAUAGAACAGAGAGUUCGUUGGGUUGAGCAUGUUAGUAAUGUCGAGUCCCAUCUUCUUUAGAGUUGUGACAAAAAUGACAUUGAGACCAUUGCUGCCAUCGAUGAGUACUUUGGUGAGUCUUGAGCCAGCGACAAUUGGGUCCAAGACGUGGGGGAACCGUCAUGGUUCUAAAAAACUUGUCCAUUGGUCUUUCUUGGCGAAGGUAAUCUGUACCUCGGACCAGUUGAGGGGUGCGGGAGUAGCGAGCUCAAUGGACAUGAUCUCUCCGAGUACUAUUUUCUGGGACCACUUAGAGGAAGUGCCUGGGAUCCCGCUGAAGAUGACAUUGACGGUCUUGGAUGGGGUCUAGAACUUGUUUUCACCAUCUUCGCCUUUGUCUACCUUGCCUUUCCCCUUGUCACUUUUAUUGUUCGGGGGUUCUGGCAAAUCUUGCAUUACCCUGCGCAGGCUGUAACAAUCUAUUGCAGCGUGCUUGUUGUGCGGGUGCCAUAGGCACUGCUUUUUCAGCAGCUGCUCGCUGAAUGCAGGCCUCUCUUCAUUUUUGUUAGAUUCUUUCUUACUUGAGUUCGUCAUUCCUGCAACGGUAUUGUCAGGCUUGAGCUUGUAGUUUUGGUUGCCUGAGUAGUUAUUUCGGUGGUUGCCAUUGCAGUUUCUAUCUUGCUCUUAGUUGUUGCCAUGAUUAUUCUUGUUGUCAUGGCCGUGAUUGCGUUUGAGUCAAACCUCUUGUGUUCUUUAUCCUCCUCAUCUGCCCAUGAUUGGGCCAUGAUCUUGAGUGCCUUGACAUUCACGGGACGACUCCUACAAAAGUCUUGGAACAUGCGGCGAUCAUAGAGGCCGUUCUGGAAGAACUCUAUCAUGUCUAGUUCUGAGAUGUCCACAAUUGUGGCCUUUUUGUCAAAGAAAAUGAUGUACAUAGCUGCGUAGUGACUCAUCUCGUUGCUGCUUGACUUGUGCCAAGUCUAUUCUGUUACCGGGACGAUGCAUUGCCCCUGCGUAGUUGCUAGUGAAAGCUCAUUUCAAGUCUUGCCAGGAUUUGAUGGAAUUGGACUUCAAGGAUUCGAGCCAGGUCAGUGGCGCAGUUUCCAUGUAUAAAGGAAAGUAGAUGACCUUUGUGUCGUCAGUCCCCCCUGUAGCCUGGACCACUAGAGAGUAGCAGCAGAUCUUGUUUGCCAUUGUAUUUCGAGAUACCUAGGGGUUUGAAUUUGUUUGGUAAGAUUGUGCUCCUAACCCGAUUUGAAAAGGUGGGAAAGUGAUCAUUGUCAUCACCGUUGUAGUCUUCUUCAAGUUCAUGCUCCCUACACCGGUUGUUGAUGAUGUUGCAUGCAUCACGGUUGCUGUUGAUUUUGUUCCUGAGAUCAGCAUUGAUGAGCGAGGGUUCAAGGUCAGCUCUAUGGCGGCGAGUGCCUCCCCUAGAAGUUGUUCAACUACCCUUAGGCAUUUCUCUAUAUUUGUCUUGGGGUUUUGAGUACAUCUCUGUUUUGCCUCGAAGCCCGAAUUACGCCCCCGUGUUGUCUGGUGUUUUCGCAUGGUUGAGCUGAAGGCCCUGCAUGGUCUCUGUUGCUGCCAUGCUGACUACGCCCCGACGGGUAUGAGAUAUCGAUGGAAUUGGAGUCGCUCUAUCGAGUAGUUCAUAUGCGUGUUCAGCCAGUUGUACUAUCAGAGUAUUGUACUUGUCUUGAGGCAUAGCACGAGUAAUGAGGUCGAUAGAGGCAAUGGUGGCGAGUGGCGUAUUAUGUUGCUGUGUUUGCACUGCUUCGAAUGCUCUAUCGAGGUUCAUAAUUGGGAGCUGGGCGGUUAGUUUAAGAUGCCGUUCUGCUCUUUGACCGUUUCUUGCCCUCCGCCGAGUCCUUUGGCUUUCAGUUUCUUCAAUGACGUUGGCACAUAAUUCAUCUUGUGAGACAUCAUCUGGGUGACGCUCUCAUCGGGUGGUUCUUGGGUGAUGUUGUUCGCCUUCUUCCCCGUUUGUGAUUAAAGCAAAGAGUUCUCUUUCUGGAGUAUAGCUGCCAUAGCUUGAAGUGAUGACUUUUGUACAGCCAUCUUCUUCAUAGAUUGGUGACAGGGGUGUUCCCUCUUGGCAUGGUAGGAUUUCAAGGUUGGCGAUCAUUCGUGACUUGUCAUUCUAGUCAAGGAAGUACGGCUUCAUGCCUGGCAAGUAGAUGAAUCUGCCUUGGGGAGUUGAAGUAAUGACCAGGCCUUGCUGUGGACCUGAUAAAGGGAUUUCUUUGAUGGAAUCCGAGUAGAAGUCGAGGUUGUGGUCCUCAAUCACCUCUGAUCUGGAGUGAUGGAGUUGCUUGAUAAACCAAAGCCGCGUUUCGAAGUCAAAAUGGGAAUUGAUUUGGAGUUUGAUUCGGUCCGCACGAUGACUUGUUUGCCUGCUCAUGGCAGCCAAUCCGCGUUGUUGUAGAGUCUGAGUUAUACUUGAGCUUGGUGUUUGUCAAAUUGAAAAUUUUGCUCAAUUUCUUGAUGAAAUCCUUCUGUAACAACCCUAGGUUAGCUAAACCUUGUUUAAGCCUAAAUGAAGCAAUUAACAGCUAAUUAAACAAGUCAAGGGUCAACUUUUGCCACUAAGAGCUUAAAAGGUGAUUAGUCCAUAAUUUAAAAUUUUAUAUAAGAACCUGAAAUUUUGUCCAAGAGGUGUAGAACUCAUCUUCCCUAACAACUUUUGUUUUAGGCAUUUUGUUUGAAUCUGAGCAUAAAGCUUUCAAAUACUCGGAAUUAAAAUCAGUGGCAAUUUAAGAAAAACAUGAAAAACCCCAUAUUUGCAGUCCUUUUUCUCAAAAUUUCUAAUAUAAGCUCAAGUCAAACCUUAUAAGAAAGUUUUAGUGCUACGAGCCCUUAACAACUUUGAUUUUUGGAGCUAGGCCAAAACUUGCACAAAAGGUUUUCAAAAUUGAGGUCACACACAGCCAAUUUGGUCAAUCCAGCACAAUUCUUAAAUUUCUCUAAGUCUGACUUUUGGCACGUUCUAGUAAAGUUUGGAGAUUUCUAAGUUCAAAAUCAAACAGUUUUUGACCAAACACCCUUUGUAACUUUUGAACCUGGAUGUGAGCUCUACAUGUCGUAGAAAGGUAACUUUUCAAGUGCCGUUCAAAAAUCCGAAGUAAGGUCCCAAAGACCGGCCCUUCGCUUUGACCCGCGAAUCCCUCGCGCCCCUGCUUGUGCCAGAGCGCGUGCGUCGCACGCUCUGCUCACCACCCGCCGCAUGGCUCCCGCUCACCGGCACCGUGCCAUCACCCAACCCACGCCCGCGAGCUGACCCGACGAGCGCUGCCUCGCCCUAUUGCGUCGCCUGCCCGCCCCAUCCCUGCCCGAGCCCCGCUAUGCCCUAUCCCGGCACUGCAGUGCGCGCGCGCCCUGCUGCACGCACCCGACACCGGCCACCGCCACCUUCGCCCAACCGGCGCCCUGGACAGCGAUGCAACGGAACCCAGCCCCACGCAACGGCUCCCCCACUCACUACCCGACCUCAUCACCUCACCCGGCAGCCUCUUCUCGCACUCACUCCACCUCCCCAAGCCUCCUGUCUCCGAACCAAAACUCCUAGUGCCAUUUGCAAACAACAGAGCUCUAGCAUUUCCCUAUGUUCGCCAGAAAAAUCCUCCACGCUCCGUCCAUCUCCCUCCAAUAGCCCGCGCCUGAAGCUCCUCCACUUCCUCAGCCAUGCCCUCAACCACUCCCCGUCGUCCGCCGUCCACGGAGCCAUCGGAAAUCGUAGUUUUCCCCAACUCCAGGAACUCCACCCGCCGCCCCUUGCCUCACCGUGGCACCCCAUGCUCUAGCCAUCAUCAUCCCCAACCAAGUGCUCAAAUCGAACCUAGGUGAGGCCUGGUGCUCAUGCGCAUGCUUGUUCUUCUUGUUGGCCCGCUCACCGGCACCGUGCCAUCGCCCAACCCACGCCCGCGAGCUGACCCGAUGAGCGCCGCCUCGCCCUAUUGCAUUGCCUGCCCGCCCCAUCCCUGCCCGAGCCCCGCUAUGCCCUAUCCCGGCACUGCAGUGCGCACGCGCCCUGCUGCACGCACCCGACACCGGCCACCGCCGCCUUCGCCCAACCGACACCCUGGACAGCGAUGCAAUUGAACCCAGCCCCACGCAGUGGCUCUCCCACUCACUGCCCGGCCUCAUCACCUCACCCGGCAGCCUCUUCUUGCACUCACUCCACCUCCCCAAGCCUCCUGUCUCCGAACCAAAACUCCUAGUGCCAUUUUCAAACAACAGAGCUCCAGCAUUUCCCUAUGUUCGCCAGAAAAAUCCUCCACGCUCCGUCCAUCUCCCUCCAAUAGCCCGCGCCUGAAGCUCCUCCACUUCCUCAGCCACGCCCUCAACCACUCCCCGUCGUCCGCCGUCCACGGAGCCAUCGGAAAUCACAGUUUUCCCCAACUACAGGAACUCCACCCGCCGCCCCUUGCCUCACCGUGGCGCCCCAUGCUCCGGCCAUCAUCAUCCCCAACCAAGUGCUCAAAUCGAACCUAGGUGAGGCCUGGUGCUCAUGCGCAUGCUUGUUCUUCUUGUUGGUCGAGUUUCCACGGUCAAUUUUGGUCAUGUCGCCGGCCGGGCGCGGUCUCUCAUCGACGGGUAGGUUAGGGUUGUUUUCUCGGGGAGAUGAGGGCAGGAGGAGGUGCGCUAGACCUUGGGAUCAUUUUGGGGUAGUCACCGAUGAGGGGAAGGGCACAGCCGCGCUGGCAUGGGUGCGCCGCCGCCGGUCCUGCCAUGUUGUGGGCGUUCCUGUGUUCUGAUCUGGAGGUGGAAGGAGAUCAGGGACUUGUUCACGAGAGGAAAAGAAAGCCUAGGGUGUUAUUCAUGAAGUUCUGGAUUUAUGUUUAAGGGGGGAUCUGUCCAGGGGUGUAGGUGCAAAAAUCAGGGACCUUUGCAUGAUUAAACCGUAGACUUGAGGGCUAGAUUGCAAGUUUGCCUCGGUUUUCUUUAUUUCCUAGAUCUAAAAAUGCUGAAACUUUAAAAAGGCAUAGAAAAGUGUAGAAAAAUGCUAAAACUGCAAGAUAAAUUUUGUUAGACUCAAUAUUUUGUGUAGUUUCAUAUAAAAAUAAGUUUGCACAUGUCUCUAUUAGAAUUAAUGUUAUAUGAUUUAAUCCUUGUUUAAGCUAUUUUAAAUCAUAGAAAAUCACAGAAAAAUGCUAAAAAGGUAAUCCAACUCUCAAGUGCUUGUCUCAGAGAAUAGAAGCUUGGAAAAAUGAUUUGGAGCCUAGCUCAGAUGUUUAAGUCUCUAUUUAUUUUUAUAACUACAAUCUAAGAUUUAAAUUAUCUUUUGCACAAUAUUUAAUCCAGAGAGGAGAAAAAAUGUGAAACCACAUGGAGUGGAUCAGUGAUGAAGUAUAGUUCACAAGGAAAGUAUAAAACCUUAUCUGAAAGUAAAUAAAACCCACUCUCCUUUUUAGAUAAAGAUAAAUAGGAGUAAUAUAUGAGAAAUAUAGGUCCUUCACCACAAACUAUGAGAAAUUCACUAAAGGUUGUGUAUCACCCCUAUAACUCACUGUUAAUAUUUCAUGACCAGUUUCAUUAUGGUUUAUAUUUUAAAAUGUUUAAGUAUAUGCUACCUUAGGGUAAUAAAGUAAUUCUAAUUCUUUUUAUGCACCUCCAAUGGACCUAAAUUUUAUGCAGUAGCUUAUCUAUGACAAAGUUGAGUCUUUGUUAAAUUUUUGGCUUCAUAGCUUACUAUUUGAAGAUAGAAAUAAAAUCUGGAAGAUGGACCUAACUAAAUGGAAGAAAGAAACCUUGAGUAAUGAUAAAGGUAAUUUUUGGAAGAGGUACAAAAGAACAUUCAGAAAUAUGAUAACUUUCCACUCUGAAGUUUAAUAAAGUUAAGUUGUAUAUAUGUACACAAUCACCAUCACAUCAACCCUAGGUUUACACCAUAACGCACCUUACCUUAUGCAGAUAAAGAAGGUGUAGAACCUUGUUUAGGUGAAUGUGGUCAUAAUGUAAUUUUAUUCUUCAGUGCUAUUUUGUGUUUUGCAUCCCAUAUGAGAAAGCAUGAAAGUUGAACUUGAUGCAUUUGCAUUUCGUGUAGAGCUGAACCUCGCUGACGGGACAUACGAGCAAGCCGUAGUGGAUCUACAUCAAGUCGGAGCCGAGCCCGUACCGGAGCAAGCCGAGGACCAGUUCGCUAACUCCCCGUGUGAAGGCAAGCCCCGGAGCAUGAUUUCAUAUAUUUAAAUACUUGCAACACAAUGGAUUGCUUUGAUUGCGCAUUUACAUUAUAGGAGUUGAUUGAAACCGUAGAUGCAUGAAUUUAGUACCCUUGAUAUGAACACUAGUAUAUUAAGUCGAGUAGAUGCAAUGCUUAAUAGGACUCGGUAAAAGUCGAGUGAUUUCCUGUCACUCGCGAGUUAUAGGAGUUGAUUGCUUUACUUAUGUUGCAACUAUAAGGAUGAUGGAUGGGGCCGGCCUUAUGUUUAGUACUCAGUGGUUGGCCCUAUCUAUCUACAUGAAAUUGGACUAAGGUCGAGAUGUGAUAGUGUUCGCGAUCAAGUGUUUGAAAGUACUAAUCUCAUACCUAGUAUGGGAUGAGGAAGCCUAGUACCCGAUUGAACCGGGACGUGAGCAGAUCGUUCCACUGUCUCUGGAAACUGAGUUUUCCCCUGGUGCAUCAUGUGGUGAGAAGUGCAGUCAUAGAACGCCAGAGGCUAAGUCUAUGGAGCCUUGUACCAAGGGAAGUGGGCCCGACACGGGUCUGGGAAUUGAUGGGGAUGGCUGACAAAUGAAGUGACCCUUCGCAGUGUGCAGAUGUCGUGGGAUUAGGUUCGUUAUGCAUGGUUAAGAAACUCGAAUUGAUUCGUCUGCCUCUCAUAGUUUGGAACUGCUUGAUCGCUAUGCUACACUGAGUAAGAAUGAAAGAUGAUGAUGAUCUAAUAUGGUUACCUGUACUAAUUGCUUGGAAAACUAUGCUUAUUUAGUAUAUUGCUAACUUAGAUUAUUAAUUUAACGUAGAACUUGUGGCUAAAAUAUUGAAAGUAAGAACCUACACUAGUUGCUUUUGGCAAAAACAAACCUCCUCUAGCCAAAAAGCUUGCAUGUCUAGGUGUUGGUGGAAUAGUACCAUCGGUCGGUUAAGUCUUGUUGAGCGUAGUCGCUCAGCCUUGUUGUGGCACAUGUUUUCAGGUGAUGUUGAUGCCUCUAAGCUCGCUGCAAGUGGCACUUGGCCUCCCCAACUUCCUCCUAGUUGGACGGUUGAGUGGGAUCCUCCUCGAAUGGCGAGGAUCGGGAUCAUUGAUGUCAUCAUCGGAUUCGUUAUGAUAUCCUGCAGCGACGUUUAGCUUCCGCUUAGUUAUUUCAAUUGUUUGAGAACUCUGCAAACUUUGCUUGAAUUUUGAACUUGAGGUUGUAAUAUUUUAAUGCACUUAUUUAAUUAUGAUGGACUGUUGUAAUCUCUGUAACCACUCGCCUUCAUGCGAGUCUUGCUUUCACGAUCCUGAGGUAAGUGGUUUAUUGGAUGAAAUCUGAUGAACGACCGAAUUGACUUAAUUAAAGUACAUGAUCGCGUGUUAAGAGACUUAAGUGUGCUUUAGCCAAGUUAAUUUGGGUAGUUCUGCCACAGCUCCGUAGCUUGUCGAUGAAGGGUGACGUCGAGUUGCUUCUUCUCUAGGGCCUCUGCGAUGUAGUGGUGGAAACCUCCAUCGCCAUUGGCGAUGCAGACCCAGGAGCCGAAGACGAACAUCGCACCGACUUCAAACAUGAUCGUAGGCUUGAUGAUGAUUUGAGCCAUCGAACUUGCCUGGAGAAUUUUGGCGAUUUCCCCUACCUGGCGCGCCAGCUGUCAGUCUUUUGUACCCGGCAACCUAUCAAAGGAGUACCUGAGGUAGAGUUUUAGAUCGGCAACCCGCCUAGGGAGUACCCAAGGUGGUCUUUUGUGCGGUACGUGUCGUCGAGAAUCAAGGAGUCGAUGGUGACGCAAGGAACACGAUUUAGAUAGGUUUGGGCCGCUAGAUCACGUAAUACCCUACAUCCUAUAUGCAGAUUGUAUUGAUCUUGUUCUCUCUGUUGUUCUUUGUUGUUUGGAAGGGGUCCCUGCCCGCCCUUGUAUAGUCGGGGGAGCAGGGUUACAGGGCGGAUUGUGUAUGGGUCCUAGUCGAGUACGUUUACAGAGUCCUAACUCGGUAGAGUAGUUUCCUUCUGACCCGACUAGUCUUCGAGGAAUCCAUGAAGUCUAUGCUCCCUACAGAGUAGUCUUCAUGUCCGAGUAGGUUUCGGGUACAUUCCCUUCAGUGGGCCCGUACAAGUAUUCUGGUGAGCCUAGGGGUGCCUAGCCGACAAGCCCCUGAGUACUUUGUAGUCGAGAGGAAUAGCUCCGAGUACUUGAAGAUGUUGCCCGAGUUCCUCUUUGUGCUCCUUGAGUACUUGAUGCGGCUAACCUUCGAGUACUGGUACUGUCGCGUGACUGGAAGAUACUCUUAGCAGUCCCUGAUGUUUGCUUCGAGUAGUCUUUGCCUUGAAACUUUUUACAUGGUAGUGCAAUGACAAUCGCACUCCAUAUGGAGUAGUCCCCAAGCCUUAGGUUGAAUCAAAGAAUCAGGUUGAGGGUCAAACUUGUAAUUUCGCUUUGACUUAUUUAAGUCUUCAGAAAAAGAAAUCUUUAUCCAAUGGGUAUGGUAUACGCAGCCUCCGAGCACUUGGACGACUACUUGAAGUCAGUGAAGGGAUCAAUCUUUUGGUCAGAGUAACUGUUGGACAUUAUGGUGGUAAAUCUGAGUCGUAUCUGAUCAUUGCUUAAUUAAUGGGUGGAAUCCGGAGAUGUUGCUGAUAUAAUAGGGGGGGCCUAGCGCUAAUUAUUGGCACGCUUGUUUCAGCAGAUCUAUAAUUUGCACCCCUUUUUGCGACCCUAGCUGCUCCUGCUUGCGCCGCCGCUGCCUAUUGUUGCCCUCGCGUGAUCUUUAGGAGAGAAAUUGCUGCGGCCUUUUUCUCCCCCCCCCCCCUUUUUCCUUAAGAUUAGUUGAUGCGUGUCAAGAAUAUGGGCAAGAAACCUGAGAAGAUCUAGGGGAAGGCCCCUGUAACAACACUACCUUAAUUAGGUAUAGUUAAACUUGAGCAAGUCAAUAGUCACUAAGUCAAAGAGGUGAAAUGUCCAAUUUGCCCCUAAAAAGCUCAUUUUGGAAUUAAAUAGGAAACUUGAGUUUUUAUGUACAAACUUAAAUUUUUGCCUAAAUAGGAGUUGUAAAACUUUUAAAUUCAAACAACUUUUAUUAAUAACACUUUGGCUGAUUCGGAGUGAGAGAAGGUCAAAACUAAGUUUUAAAUCAGGAGUGCAUUAAAACCCUACAAAUGACCUAAGUCCUGGAAUUCAUGUUUUUCUUCAAAUUUGCAACCUGUUAUCUCAAUAUUCUGUAUCUAACCUCAAGUCUGGAAAACGUCCAAAGCGCGCAUCUUGGCGAACCUGUUCCUCCAAAAAUCUGAACUGUACUCAAGAAAAGUCCUUAAUAGACGUUGGAGUCCUAAGACCGAAUAACGUUUCCUUCAAUUACACUUUGGCCUGAUUCAAAUGGGAAGCUACUCAAAAUCUGAGCCAAAGUUGGCCAAAAUGCUAAAAAAACAGCAAAACCGAGAUCUGCCUAUGUCCCCGAAGGCCGACGUUCUGCCAAACUUUGUAACUCCAUAGUUUCAAAUUCAUCUCGUUUUCAAGAAAAUUCCUUUUGUAAAGUUUGGAGCUGGAUGUCAGGUCUACAAGUUUUACUUUUGGAGUUUCACGAGUUCUUUUAAAAAGUUUGGAGAAAAGGGCCCCAAAAACCAGCCCUUUUGGCUGCCUCAAAGGGCACCCCACUCAGCGCGCACCAAGAGCGCGCCCGCACAUUCGCCCGUGCGCCACCUGCCGCAUGGCCGCCGUCCACCGGUGAGCUCACCGUUGCCCAACUGGCCACCGCGACAAGACCGUCACGCGCCCGGCUGCUCAGUAGGCGAGCGCGCUUAUCCCACCCCUCGCGUCACGCAUCUCUUCGCUCCGUCCCAAGCAAGCUUCGCCUGCCGGAGGAUGCCACGCCGCCGCCUCGGACCGGCCAAGCUCCGACCGCCUAUCGCCACCCGAACAGCGACAACACCCACGCCUCGCUCCGCCAACCCCCAGUCGUGGCAAAGCUGCGCUUGCACGACCCGUUUUCCCCAAGGCCAAUGACCGUGAGAUCCUAUCCCGCAGUCUCCGCGCCCCGGCCAAUGGUGCCGCCGCCAAUGGAGCUCCAGCCCACAGCCCACCGAACCCUCUGAUCCUAUCCACCCGUGCCUGAAGCUCCGCCUCACUCCCCCUCACCUCCCUGGCCCUAUAUAAGAACUUAUGGCGCCACCUACGCUGCCCUCUGCUACUUCCAGCACUGCCGCUCCCCUAUUUUCCAGCACCGUUGCACGGGUCUCCUGUGGAGCCCCCACCUUCGCGCCACCCCGCACCUCGCUGACACCACCGCUCGCUCCGCCGCACCACCGUGCAUGUCUCCGACCGACUUGUUACCCUCACGGAGCCCCGCCGUCACCGAAACUUUGGCGGGACCCCGCCGCCGAAGCUACUUCUGUCCCCAAGCCGUUCCGCCACUGCCAAGCCUGCUCCGCCGCCCUAACCGCUACCAAUCGACCCUAGGUGAGCCCGCGCUCCUCCUCGGUCACUUGUUGCCCUACUCGAGCCUUACCUUGCCAGAAUUGGGCGAAGAUCGCCGCCGGCCGCCACGAGGACCUAUCUGUGUCAUUUAACUUCUUACAGGGGCCUUAGCGCAAGAACUAGGGACCCCUGCAGAAAUAAACCGUAGACCCGGGGGUUAGUUUGUAAGUUGUUUUUGGUUUAUUGUUUUAAAUCGGCAGAAAAUGGGAUAAACUUUGUAAAUGCACCAUAAAUCGUAGAAAAAUCAGAAAAAUGCAAAACCACUUUUGUUGAACUCAGUAAACUAUCUAGUUUCAUACAAAAAUAAUCUUGUCCAGAGCUGAGAAAAAUGUGAACCACUUGGAGUAGCUUAGUUUUGAAGUGUAGUUUGUAGGAAAAUUAUGGAACCUGGUGAGGAACAGAAAGAAACCCACCUUUCUUUAUAAAGCAUGAUAAAUAGGAGAAAAAUAUGGGAAAUAGAUGUGCUUCUCCAAAAAUCAUGAUAAAUUAACCAAAGUCUCUAUAACACACCUUCAAUCUACUAUUAAAUUUUCACCCUUAGAAUCACUGUAGGUUUGAGAUAAAAAUGGUUAAGUGCAUGCUACCCUUGGUCGUAAAAUACUUCUAAUUUUUUUUGUGGUAAACCAAUGGUUCCCAAAUUUUUAUAGUAACUCAUUCAUGACACAAGUAAGGUGCUAUAAUUUUCUCAGUACCAUAUGUUGCUGUUUGCUUGUGAAACCACAUUUUGGAUAGGAAAUCGGUUGAAGAGAAUAAAAGAAAUAUAAGUCCUAAUGCACCUAAUUGGUAAUUUUUGGAAGAGAUACAAAAAAAACAUUUGGAAGUAAAUACCUCUCCAAAUGAACCCUGAACAACCCCAAACACAACCCCACCUUCUUUAUGCAACUCUAAGUUGUAAGAAUCUUAUAUGUACACAAUCACCAUCAAAGUCAACCUCGAGUUUAAACCACAACCCACCUUACUUUAUGAAGUUAAUGAAAGUUAGAACCUUGUUUAGGUGAAUGUGGCCGAAAUGCAACUUUCUUUCCAGUAAUAAGUCAUGCCUUGCAUCAUUCGUACAAAAGCAUGGACAAAUCUGAACUCUAUGCAUGUGCAUGUCAUGUAGACGCUAAUAUCGCCGACGGAACCUACGAGCUCCACCAUAUGCUGGAAGAGGAACCCGUCGCAGAGCUACACCACGCGGAAGUUGAGCCCGAGCUAGAUCAAGACCCCGAAGACCCGCUAACUUUUCCUGAAGGCAAGCCCCAGUGCAUGUUUCCCUGAUUUAAAUUAUGCAAUAUGUUGAUGCUUAUGAUUGUGCAUUUAUGUUUUUAGGAGUUGGCUGAAACCGUAGAUGCAUGAACUUAGUACCUUGUUUUGAACACUAAUUGCUAAGGCCGAGUAGUUGCUGUGCUAAAAAGGACUCGGUAAAAGUCGAGUGAUUGUCUGUCACUCGCGAGUUAUAGGAGUUGUGUGAUUACUCUUUCUACAACUAUAAGGAUGACGGAUGGGACCGGGAAUGGUUCCGAUGUGGUGGUUUGCCUCGUUUGUCUAGCAAUGAACUUGCUAAGGUCGAAACUUGUCGGCGUUCAUGAUCAAGUAUUUGAAAGUACUAAUCUCAUACCUAGUAUGGGAUAGGGAAGCCUAGUACCUGAUUGAACUGGGGCGUGUCAUACCUCCCCUGCUGUCCUUGGAACGUCAUUCCCAUGGUGCAUCAUGUGGGUGCAAGUGCGGUCAUAGUAUGGCAAACGACGGGACUAUGGAGCAUUGCAUGCCAAAGGAAGUUUGGACCUGACACGUGCCUAAGGGAUCGACGGGGACGAUUGACAAAAGAAGCGACCCUACGCGGUGCGCGGAUGUCGUGAGAUUAGGUUCGCCAUGCAUGGUUAAGAAAUUCAAAUCGAUUCGUCUGGCUCUCAUAGUUUGGGACUACUUGAUCACUAUUCUGCACUGAGUAAAGAUGGAACAUGAUGAUGAUGUAAAUCUAGAUGCUUGUCUUUAAUUGUUUGGAAACAAUGCUUGCUUAGUAUAAGUUGCUAAUCUAGAUUGGGUAAUGGACUUAGAACAUGAACUAAAAUAUUGAAAGUAAGGACCAACUUUAGGUGUUUUGUCAAAAACAAACCCACAGCCAAAAAGCCUUGGAUGUCUAGAACUCGGUGGCGUAGUUACCAUCUGUCGGGUCAGUCUUGCUGAGUAUUAGUUGCUCAGCCUUGUUUGUGGCUUAACUUUUCAGGUAAUGUCGAUAGUGUGGCUGUUGGCACCACUUGGCCUACCCAGCUCCCUCCGGGCUGGAUAGUGGAGUGGGAUCCCUCCUCCGACGAUGAGGGCAGGGAUCAUUGAUGUCAUGAUCGGCUUUGUCAUGAUAUCGUGUAUCGAUGUUUAGUUUUCGGUUGUUUUACUCCGUCGUUGUUCACAACCUUGCAAACUUGUGUGGAUUUCAAAAACUCUGAUGUAAUAAAUUGUUGAACUAUGUUCAACUGAUGGGAAUGUUGUAUCUCUGUGCCCACUCACCUUCGUGUGAGCAAUGCCUCUCGAUCCUGAGUAAGUGGUUUAUCGGAUAAAAUCCGACGGACGACCAAGUUGACUUGCUUAAAGUGCAUGAUCGCGUGUCAAGCGACUCAAGUGCAUUUUAGUCAGGUUAAUUUGGGCGGUUCUGCCAUAACUUGCAUCAAAGCUCGAGGCAUGGUACGGAGAACAACAUACCUUAAAACACCCUUUUUGGAAUAAAACUUGCAAGAAACUAGUUGAAAAAUUCAUAAGUUCGUUAAGGAUGAACUUAGUACGAGAAGCCCUAGGGGAAUUUUUGGGAUAUUUAAGGUGGCUAGUAACUAUUGGUUAUUUAUACUAACUUCCAGCACUUUUCGCCCACGUUUAUACGUAUGCAGAGUUCCACAUCACGAGUAUGCGAAGGGUGAUAGGAAUUCGAUUCCAACGAGCCUAUCAUCACGGUUGUUUUCGCCCAUGUUUAUUACACGUGUGCAGGUUCCGUAUGUUAAAUCAUGCGAAGGGUGGUAUGGUUUGAUUCCAACGAGCCUAUCAUCACGGUUGUUCGCCCACGUCUAUUAUACAUGCGCAAGAUUCCGCAUCACGAGUAUGCGAAGGGUUAUAGGGUUCUAUUCCAAGGAACCUAUUUCCACGGUUGUUGCGCUGUCCAUGCAGCGUUAAACGCAUGGGUGUUGUUUCUAUAGUGAACGGUAAUGGUUGUGGACACUUUGAUGAGUGCUGGCACGAAAGGUUCAAGAUGUGAUGUGAUUUUCUGCAGGUACACUAACCAGUUUUGCGUACGAAGCGGUGAUUAGCAGUUCGACUAGCUAUUAUAGUGAGAGCCGUAUUGUUGCCUUGCCACCGGCACUAACUACGUAAGUCCAAAGCUUUUUGGCAAUUGUUUCGGUUGUGAGGUUGACUUGUAUGUGCAUGCAUUAUGAAAUAAAAAUUGCAACCUAAAAGAAUGAAGGUCGAUCUCGCCUAUAUACUAAAAGUUGCACCGCGAUAAGGACCUUCUAGCUGUCCUAUUUCAGCAAUGCAAGACUUGUUAAAUAUCUUUCGAGUUGUUCCAGAUGUUAAAUCUAGAAACUUUAUAUAAGGAAGUUGUGUUAAAUGUCCUCAAUGAAGUGCUGUUAAACUUUCAUAAAAUUUAACCCCCUAGGUUCAGAGUUAUGAUCAGAUUUGUAACCCCCUGGUUGGCUGAUAACACUGAGUGUACACCAGUUGGAGUUUUAAUUUUUCGACCACCUUGAGGACUUUUUAUGUUAGGCAUCUUUUAAUUAAAGUUUCUAAGCAUUUAAUAAAGAACUUGGUGGUAAACUUUCAGCUCCACUAGGUCUUUGGUUUGAGAGUUAUGCUCAUUUUACUUCAGCUCUAUUUUGGAAAAUUCCAGAAUGUACCACUUGAUAGAAACUUGAGCUUAUCACCCUGUUAAGUUUUGUUUUAGCUCUACCUUUGAAUACCAAACUUGUCACACACUACCUACAGAACAUGUUGGUAAAAUUUGAGGAAUUUUGGAUGAAUACUUGCUGAGUUAUGAGCUUUUCUCUAACUUGCAAGAAAUCUGUUUUGAUUUCCGAGUAUUGAUUCUGUUUCUCAUUUGUCCUUUUGUUACAGAUUGCUGACCCUGUGUAUGUUGUUGUUGGUGUGGACAGCACCUCACACUCAACGUGCCUCCACUACGAGGGUUUUCCUGCCAUACUGUGGGACACUUUGCGUUCGUUUGGGUACCCGUCACCGCCUGUUUACGCGGGACGUGGGUACCAGAAUCACGGGAUUCCCUGAAGUUGCGUGCACGUGAAGGUGCCCCCACCCCCUGACCAGCCACAGUGGCCACCUUUGGAGGUUGUGGCUGAGGGACACAUGUUGGAGGAUACGUGGGAGUUUGCAGCUUUGCAGGCACUGACACAGUUUUGCAAGGAGCACCCCCUUGAGAUUGUGUUAGACCCGAUUGGUUUGUUUCCUGCCAUGGAUAGGAGAGAUGCGGAUUGGUUGGACCACAUGGAGCACAUGGACUUGCUAGGUGUUUUGGACCCACAGCGCACGAUUUUUAUUUCAGCCCACUGCAUGAAUGUGUUCUACCGGAUGAUUGAGAUGCAGAGUAGGGCUAUGACCACCGUGAUUGGGAUGGCGGUGGCCAAUCAGGUUGCUCUCACCAUCGUGUAGAAUGGUAUGGUGGAUUUGUCACUUGAGUUGGUGCAGAAGGAUAUCCAGAUUGCUGAUAUGCAGACCUGGAUUUCUAACUUAAAGGAGGAGAUAGUGGACAUGUUGCAUGACAUGGAGUUGUUGGCCGAUCAGUUCUAUGAUGUGAACAUGGAGUUGGCUGAUGCUAAUGAGCAUCUACAGGAGCACCACGCUAAGCUUAAUGCUAUUCACGCCUUAGAGGUGCAGUAGGAUGAGCCUAUGGCUCAGGAGGAGGAGGAGCCUGAGGAGAUCGAGGUCUUUUCGAGCAUGAAUUUUGAGGAGGCCGCCCCGCAGCCCCAAGUUGGCGACGCUCCCUCUCCUGCACUUAGCUUUGCCUCAGUAGGCAACCUUGACGACUUCUAGAUGUAUCGACAUGUUGUGAGCAGUUUCUUUUAUUGUACUCCUCAGCGACCUAUAUUUUGGGCUAGUGAUGUAAUAGUUUAGCUUGAAUUGAGUAUCUGUGUGUUGAAAAAACUGAUUCCAUGUACGGACUUGCCAUUGCGAAGGGUUUGUGGUAAUGUAUUAAAAAUAUGGCAGAAAUUCAGUGGCUGUUUCUCCUCAGUUUUAACCCUGUCUCCACUCAUUUUUGAUCCAAGGUUUGAAUACCAAAAUUGUGCGGAAACUUGUGUUCUAACCGCUCGUAAAAUUUCAGCUCCUUUGGAUCUGUCAAACUCCCGUUAGAAUGAAAACUCCACCGCUCAGCUUGCUGAAAAUCAGCCCAGGCAGCAACUCGCUAAAUUGACUAAACAACCCCUUUCCUUCCUUUUCGGUCAGCAAGUGUAAAAUAGCAAUGGAUAUGUACGACAUGUCUUAACCCUUGGCUAAGGAUGAGAACCUUGGUAUACUUCGGAGACGAGAUAUGCACCUACUCAAUAAAGAUAUAAUUGUUGUUUUCGCACUAUCGGCAAGACCAAUGCUUAUGAUUCAGCACAUAGUUUUUCCUUGUGAUUAAGCGAACUUUUGGGAUUAUGUGACUAAUGGAAAGAUUAAUCUUGUAGAUGGUGCACAGCACACGCUUUGGCUCUGUUCCCAGUAGCAGCGAGCAGAGGCAGGUGCCUCCACCGCCUCCACCUCCGCCCACACUAGAGGCGAUCUUGGCCGCUCAAACUGAGCUACUGAGGCACAUAGCCCAAGGGCAGCAAUAGCAGCCUCAGGGAGGAAGAGCUCGUCAGCAACCUCGUGUUGCUCGCUAUGACGACUUCUUGGGGACACAACCUCCUCUGUUCCAUAAGACGGAGGAUCCGCUCGACGCCGACGCCUGGAUUCGUGCCAUCGAAUCCAAGUUCUCCCUCCUCACCGCACAUUGCCCGGAUGAGAACAAGGCUUAGUUCGCAGCACAGCAGCUGCGUGGUUCCACCCUCCUUUGGUGGGACCACUAUCACGCCAUGCAGCUAGCCGACCACGCCGUCAGCUGGGAGGAGUUCAAGAUGGUGUUCAGGGCCCAUCAUAUACCUGAGAGUCUCAUGGAGCACAAGCUCAAUGAGUUCCUAGCUCUCACCCAGGGAAGCCAUGAUGUCCUACAAUAUGCUCAGGUUUUCAAUGACCUGUGUCGUUACACAGGCUAUCAUGCAGACUCCGAUGAGAAGAAGAGGGACCGCUUCCGCAGAGGCUUGAGUCUUGAGCUCAAGGAAAGGCUGAAUCCCAUCAAAGUGGAUUCCUUCAAUGAGCAGGUGAACCUGGCAAUUUCCCAGGAAGAUUGCAUGAAGGCCCUCAAGGCCGACAUGAAGCGGAAGGCUCCAAUGCUGACACCCAGCCCAUCUACUCAGAAAUACAAGAUGGUUCCCCCACAGGCAUCUCGCAGGCCCGCUCAGCCUGGGAGAUGGGUUGCUCGACCCCCACCACAGGCAGCACCCCGUUUCCCCGGAUUCUAGCCACAGGGGCCAUGGCCUACCCUUCCAAUGCCGCCACGCCCUGCCACUAGAAACCGCUGUUUCACCUACGAGAAUAUAGGACACUUUGCCAAGGACUGCCCCCGCAACAAGAAUCAACGGCCUGGCCAGAGCAAUGUGAUGGGCAACAAAGGGAAGAAGCCCAGGGUGCAGGUCCAAUAGGGCAGGUUAAACUUCACCAACCUUGACAAACUUCCAGAAGGCGCACCAGUGAUGACGGGUACCUUCUCUAUCCAUAACCAACCCAUCCUUAUUCAGUUUGAUUCAGGAGCCUCUCAUAGUUUCAUCGGGGCUAGAACCAAUGCUAGGUGUGGGUUGAAUUUCUGUCACACCAAAGGGGCAUAUAUGAUCUCUACCCCGGGUGGGAAAGUGGCCUCAUACCAAAUGAGCUGCAAGGUACCUAUCAAAUUAGGAAGGACCCUUAUUAAGGAAAACCUCCUUAUCAUUGGUUUAGAAGGGAUCGAUGUUAUCUUGGGUAUGGAUUGGAUGACUCGACACCGAGUGGCAUUAGACAUCUCUACCCGAGCAGUCCACAUAAAUUCACCCACAUAUGGUAGCUCAACCAUACACUUACCCCACCGAGAGUGCAAAAAUUCUUGUGCCUAUCCCAUGACUAAAGCCCGAUUGGAGGACAUUCCAGUGGUAUACGAGUAUCCCGAUGUGUUUCCAGAUGAUUUGUCGGGUAUGCCACCGGAUAGAGAUAUCAAGUUUGCUAUUGAGUUGCAACCAGGCACCGCACCAAUUUCAAAGAGACCGUACCGGAUGCCACCCACAGAGCUGGCAGAGUUGAAGACUCAGUUACAUGAGUUGUUGGAAAAAGGUUUCAUUCGCCCAAGUACAUCACCUUGGGGCUGUCCAGCUUUGUUUGUGAAAAAGAAGGACGAGAGUCUGCAUAUGUGUGUGGACUACCGACCUCUCAAUGCGGUGACAAUAAAGAAUAAGUACCCAUUACCCCGCAUUGAUGUUUUGUUCAAUCAGUUAGCUGGAGCCAGAGUAUUUUCUAAGAUUGAUCAUCAUUCCAGCUACCAUCAAAUCAAGAUCCGACCGUGCGAUAUUCCCAAGACUGCUUUCUCUACCCGGUAUGGACUCUACGAGUACCUAGUCAUGUCAUUUGGGCUUACUAAUGCACCAACUUAUUUCAUGUAUCUCAUGAAUUCGGUGUUCAUGCCCGAACUUGACAAAUUUGUUGUGGUAUUCAUCAACGAUAUCCUGGUCUACUCAAAGAAUGAGGAAGAACAUGCAGAGCACCUUCACAUUGUUCUCCAACGUUUAAGGGAUCACCAACUAUAUGCCAAAUUCUCAAAGUGCGAGUUUUGGCUGGAUAGUGUUAAAUUCUUGGGACACACUAUAUCCAGUGACGGCAUAGCAGUAGACCCAAGCAAAGUUCAAGAGGUGAUGGACUGGAAGCCGCCCACUUCAGUUCAUCAAAUUCGAAGUUUUCUCGGUUUAGCAGGCUACUACCGGUGAUUCAUUCUUGACUUUUCAAAAAUAGCUAAGCCAAUGACUGAAUUGUUAAAGAAAGGAGUUAGGUUUGUGUGGAGCGACAAAUUUGAAGAAGCUUUCCACACAUUGAGUAGAUUGUUGACCUCCGCACCAGUUUUAGCUCAGCGAGACACCACUAAGCCGUUCAACGUUUAUUGCGAUGCCUCUAGCACUGGACUUGGAUGUGUUCUUAUGCAAGACAGCCGAGUCAUUGCCUAUGCCUCACGAGCGCUAUGGCCACAUGAGCUAAAUUAUCCUACUCAUGAUCUUGAAUUAGCAGUGAUCGUUCAUGCUCUGAAAAUGUGGAGGCAUUAUCUUAUGGGAACUCGUUGUAACAUCUAUACGGAUCACAAGAGUCUCAAGUAUAUCUUCACUCAAGCAAAUCUUAACAUGCGUCAGAGAAGAUGGUUGGAAUUGAUCAAGGACUAUGAUUUAGAAGUGCAUUAUCACCCAGGCAAAGCCAAUGUAGUGGCGGAUGCUCUCAGUCGCAAAACCCAUUGUAACUACUUGUCGGCAACCAACUUUGUCGAGACUUUAUGCCAUGAGAUGGCUAAGCUCAAUUUGGAAAUUAUCCCCCAUGGCACCUUAAGUCAUAUUUUCAUUGAGCCUACAUUGGAUGACCAAAUUGUCCUAGCGCAAUUGGAGGAUAAAGAAAUAAAACUUAUCAAGAAGAAACUCGUGCAGAAAGAUGAGGGAUAUAAGCACUUUCAACAGGAUUGGAAGGGAGUUGUACAUUAUGAAGCUCGGCUAGUUGUUCCAAAUAACCCUGAUCUUAAGAAACAGAUCAUGGACGAAGCACACCUUUCCAAGUUUUUGAUUCACCCUAGUAGUACCAAGAUGUACCAUGAUCUCCGGCAAAAUUUCUGGUGGAGUGGGAUGAAGCCAGAUAUUGCACGUUACAUCUCAGAAUGCGAUACUUGUCAACGAGUUAAAGCAAGCCACUUGAAGGUAGCUGGCACCUUGCAACCGCUGCCUAUUCCCUCAUGGAAGUGGGAGGACAUAAGCAUGGACUUUAUGGUCGGAUUACCUAAUACCUCUCGCAAGCAUGACUCCAUAUGGGUUAUAGUGGACCGACUUACUAAAACAGCGCAUUUCCUUCCGGUACACACCACUCACACCAUACAGAAAUAUGCAAAGCUAUAUCUUGACCGAAUUGUUUCCCUACAUGGUGUGCCAAAAAUGAUCAUCUCAGAUCGAGCUAGUCAGUUUGUAGCACACUUUUGGGAACAAUUACAGUCUUCGCUUGGCACUAAGCUAAUUCAUAGCUCCACAUAUCACCCCCACACAGAUGGACAAACUGAGAGGGUCAACCAGAUAUUGGAAGAUAUGCUACAUGCUUGUGUCAUUCACUACGACAAGAGCUGGGAUAAAUGUUUGCCCUUAGCAGAGUUUUCAUACAACAAUAGCUACCAAGCUAGCUUGAAAAUGGAACCUUUUGAAGCCUUGUAUGGACGUAGAUGUCAAACCCCGUUAAGUUGGUCACAACCAGGAGAAAGAAUGGUUUAUGGACCCGAUUUGGUAAUGGAGGCCGAAGAAAAAGUGAGAGUUAUCCGAGAAAACCUUAAGGCCGCCCAGUCCCAACAAAAGAGCUAUUCCGAUAAGAGGAGGAGACCUAUCCAAUUUGAAGUUGGGGAUUUUGUAUACCUCCGAGUAUCACCGACUAAGGGCAUAAAGCACUUCGGAGUAAGGGAAAGUUGGCUCCACGCUAUAUUGGUCCAUAUGAGAUUGUGGAAAUUUGUGGACCUGUAGCAUACCGAGUUAAACUCCUGGAGAAGAUUGCUAUGAUACACGAUGUUUUCCAUGUCUCGCAACUCAAAAAGUGUGUUCGAGUUCCAACAAAAAUUCUUACACCGGAAGAAUGGGAGAUCAAACCCGAUUUAUCUUACAAGGAGUAUCCUGUUAAGGUCCUCGACUGGAAAGAAAGACAUACUCAUAGACAAAUGGUGAAAAUGUUCAAAAUUCAGUGGAGUAAUCAUACGGAAGAUGAAGCGAUUUUCUUUUCCGUGGUUUUCUUUUCGUUCAGGGAGGUACGUUGCACAAGCCACACUAGUUCCUUUCUUCACUAGAAUCUCAGGGCGAGAUUCCUUUAAGGGGGGAGGCUGUAACAACUCUACCUUAAUUAGGUAUAGUUAAACUUGAGCAAGUCAUUAGUCACUAAGUCAAAGAGGUGAAAUGUCCAAUUUUCCCCUAAAAAGCUCAUUUUGGAGUUAAAUAGGAAACUUGAGUUUUCAUAUACAAACUUAAAGUUUUGCCUAAAUAGGAGUUGUAAAACUUUUAAAUUCAAACAACUUUUAUUAAUAACAUUUUGGCUUAUUCGGAGUAGGAGAAGGUCAAAAAUAAGUUUUAAAUCAGGAGUACAUUAAAACCCUACAAAUGACCUUAAGUCCUGGAAUUCGUAUUUUUCCUCAACUUUGCAACCUGUUAUCUCAUAAUUCUAUAUCUAACCUCAAGUCAGACCCUUAAUAGAAGUUGUAGUUCUUUGAGUGUGUUCCAACUUUGUUGCACUGACCCAGGUCCAAAUCGCAACCAAACUUGCUCAAAACUUGGUCAAAAUUGUGUAAAACAGUCAACUCAGCCUUUUUGGCAUUCCAGCGCUAAGUCUGGAAAACGCCCAGAGCGUGCAUCUUGGCGAACCUGUUCCUCCAAAAAUCUCAACUGAACUUAAAAAAAGUCCUUAAUAGAUGUUGGAUUCCUAAGACCGAAGAACUUUUCCUUCAAUUACACUUUGGCCUGAUUCAAACGGGAAGCUACUCAAAAUCUGAGCCAAAGUUGGCCAAAAUGCUGAAAAAAAUAGCAAAACUGAGAUCUGCCUAAGUCCCCGAAGGUCGGUGUUCCGCCAAACUUUGCAACUCCAUAGUUUCAAAUUUGUCUCGUUUUCAAGAAAACUCCUUUUUUAAAGUUUGAAGCCGGAUGUCAGGUCUACAAGUUUUACUUUUGGAGUUUCACAAGUUCUUUUGAAAAGUUUGGAAAAAGGCCCCCAAAACCGGCCCUUUUGGCUGCCUCAAAGGGCACCCCACUCAGCGCGCGCCCGGAGCGCGCCAGCACAUUCGCCCGUGCGCCGCCCGCCACGUGGCCACCAUCCACCAGCGAGCUCGCCGUCGCCCAACUGGCCUCCGCGACAAGAUCGCUCAUGCGCCCGGCUGCCCAGUAGGCGAGCGCGCUUAUCUCACCCCUGGUGUCACGCAUCUCUUUGCUCUGUCCCGAGCAAGCUUCGCCCGCCGCAGGACGCCACGCCGCCGCCUCGGACCGGCCAAGCUCCGACCGCCUAUCGUCGCCCAGACAGCAACCACACGCGUGCCUCGCUUCGCCAACCCCCAGCCGCGGCAAAGCUGUGCUUGCACGACUCAUUUUCCCCAAGGCGAAUGACUGGGAGAUCCUAUCCCAUGCUCUCUGCACCCCGACCAAUGGCCCCGCUACCAAUGGAGCUCCGACCCGCAGCCCACUGAGCCCACCAAUCCUAUCCGCCCGUGCCUGAAGCUCCGCCUUACUCCCCCGCACCUUCCUGGCCCUAUAUAAGGACUUAUAGCGCCGCCUAUGCCGCCCUCCGCUACUUCCAGCACCACCGCUCCCCUGUUUUCCAGCACCCCUGCACUGGUCUCCCAUGGAGCCCCCAACUCCGCGCCACCCCGCACCUCGAUGACACCACCGCUCGCUCCGCCGCACCAUCGCGCACGUCUCCAAGUGACUUGUUGCCCUCCCGGAGCCCCACCGUCGCCGGAACUUCACCGGGACCCUGCUGCUGAAGCCGCUUCAGUCCCUAAGCUGCUCCGCAUGUGCACAAUCACCAUCAAAGUCAACCUCAAGUUUAAAUCACAACCCACCUUACUUUAUGAAGUUAAUGAAAGUUAGAACCUUGUUUAGGUGAAUGUGGCCGAAAUGCAACUUUCUUUGCAGUAAUAAGUCAUGCCUUGCAUCAUUCGUACAAAAGCAUGGACAAAUCUAAACUCUUUGCAUGUGCAUGUCGUGUAGAAGCUAAUAUCACCGACGGAACCUACGAGCUCCACCCUACGGUGGAAGUGGAACCCGUCGCGGAGCUACACCACGCGGAAGUUGAGCCCGAGUUAGAUCAAGACCACGAAGACCCGCUAAUUUUUCCUGAAGGCAAGCCCAAGUGCAUGUUUCCCUUAUUUAAAUUAUGCAAUAUGUUGAUGCUUAUGAUUGUGCAUUUACGUUUGUAGGAGUUGGUUGAAACCUUAGAUGCAUGAACUUAGUACCUUGUUUUGAACACUAAUUGCUAAGGCUGAGUAGUUGCUACGCUAAAUAGGACUCGGUAAAAGUCGAGUGAUUGUCUGUUACUUGCGAGUUAUAGGAGUUGUGUGAUUACUCUUUCUACAACUAUAAGGAUGACGGAUGGGACCAGGAAUGGUUCCGAUGUGGUGGUUUGCCCCAUCUGUCUAGCAAUGAACUUGCUAAGGUCGAAACGUGUCGGCGUUCAUGAUCAAGUGUUUGAAAGUACUAAUCUCAUACCUAGUAUGGGAUAGGGAAGCCUAGUACCUGAUUGAACUGGAGCGUGUCAUACCCCCCUGCUAUCCUUAGAACGUCAUUCCCAUGGUGCAUCAUGUGGGUGCAAGUGCGGUCACAGUACGGCAGAGGCCGGGACUAUGGAGCAUUGCAUGCCAAAGGAAGUUUGGACCUGACACGUGCCUAAGGGAUCGACGGCGACGGAGAACAAAUGAAGCGACCCUUCACGGUGUGCGGAUAUCGUGAGAUUAGGUUCGCCAUGCAUGGUUAAUAAAUUCGAAUCGAUUCGUCUUCCUCUCACAGUUUGGGACUACUUGAUCGCUAUUCUACACUGAGUAGAGAUGGAACAUGAUGAUGAUGUAAAUCUUGAUGCUUGUCUUUAAUUGUUUGGAAACAAUGCUUGCUAAGUAUAAGUUGCUAAUCUAGAUUGGGUAAUGGACUUAGAACUUGAUCGAAAAUAUUGAAAGUAAGGACCAACUUUAGACAUUUUGGCAAAAACAAACCCACAGCCAAAAAGCCUUGCAUGUCUAGGAGUCGGUGGCGUAGUUACCACCUGUCGGGUCAGUCUUGCUGAGUAUUAGUUAUUCAGCCUUGUUUGUGGCUUAACUUUUCAAGUAAUGUUGAUAGUGUGGCUGCUUGCACCACUUGGCCUACCCAGCUCCUUCCGAGCUAGACAGUUGAGUGGGAUCCCUCCUGGGACGGUGAGGGUAGGGAUCAUUGAUGUCAUGAUCGGCUUCGUCAUGAUAUCAUGUAUCGACAUUUAGUUUUUGCUUGUUUUACUCCGUCGUUGUUCACAACCUUGCAAACUUGUGUGGAUUUCAAAAACUUUGAUGUAAUAAAUUGUUGAACUAUGUUAAUUGUAUGGGAAUGUUGUAAUCUCUGUACCCACUCACCUUCGUGUGAGCAAUGCCUCUUGAUCCUGAGUAAGUGGUUUAUUGGAUGAAAUCUGAUGGACGACCAAGUUGACUUGCUUAAAGUGCAUGAUCGCGUGUCAGGCGACUCAAGUGCAUUUUAGUCAGGUUAAUUUUGGCGGUUCCGCCACAACUGCGGCCACCAGCAAGUUGAGAUCCAAAUCAAAGAAGGGUUAGGAGCCCGAGUUGUCGGCGCCCAAAUGUGUCCUGAUGAACUAGACUGUGCCGCCACCUCCUGGUAUCACCUAGUAGCAUUCUGUGAUGAAGGCGUCGGCAGUUCAGGCCUUGGUUGAUGCAAAGCUUCUUCAACCAAGGGUUGAGCUUGAGUGGAAGCCCACAUAUAGGAAUGCAUGGCAAUUCAAAGAGCAUCCCAAGAAUACGGUGAUGCUGGCUCAUUUUGUGGAAAGAGGACUGGCUGUGCCUACUUCUGACUUCUUUAGGGGUAUUCUCGAGUACUAUAAUCUUUAGUUAGUCCACUUGAACCUGAAUGGAGUGCUGCAUAUGGCUAUCUUGUACACUCGUGCGAAGUGUACUUGGGUGUUCUGCCUAGUUUGGAUCUGUUUAGAAAAUUGUUUCGGUGUAAGCCACAACCCAGCGCGACUAGGACAUAAGUCUUUGGAGGGGCUGGGUUUCGGUGGAGGAACUCCAGUGCAUAUCUAGAGUAUGAUCUGCCUGAUUCCCAUAGUGAUUGGAAGAAGAGGUGGUUUUAUAUUGGCAAUCAUGAUCCUGUCUUGCUAGUAGUCACCGGCCAUGCUCCAAAAUAUGCAGACAACUGGGUGACUGAGCCCGAGGAUACCUCUGAGAUCGCCAAUUUGUUGGCGCAGAUUUCUGAGUUGAGAUCUUUGGGGUUGACUGGGAUCAAUGUAGCUGCCAAUUUCCUUAAGCGCAGAGUUGCAGCAGUGUGCUCACUCAGGCUUCGAGUAUACGGGUUUUGAUGACCCGUCACGUAUGUCUUCUGAAGACGUAUCUGACGACGACAUGGACGCAUUGUUGGGCAAGUUUAUCAGGAAUUAUCAAGGAGUGCCAGUACUCCCGGGAGUCCUUCAGUAGUUCGAUGGUUGGUAUGGACCCACAGAGGUAUUUUUGCUUCAUUUUGUGUAGUCGAAGACGUAGUCGGUUGAUUUUGUUGACUAGUAUUUUUCGUUUAACAAUGUUGUCUUGUGGUUUGUAGUCCCGAGUGAUGCUUGGUUUCUUGCCCACGCCUUCCGAGGGUAAAGAGGUAGCUGAGGUUAAUGCUGAAGAUGCACCUUCUACUCCUUCAGCUAAGAGAUGCCGAGUAGUACGAAAGAAACCUGCUACUCAGCAUGUUGCGACUUCCUCGGGUUUGAACCCCGAGGGGUCGCAGGGUACCAAGGUGUGUAGUCACGUGUUGCAUUUCAGUACUUUUGAGUUUCUUGUUGACUUAGUCAUAUUACUUGUAGAAUACUUACGAUAUUAGUCUGUGUGUUGAAAAGGCCACCGACUUGACCUUUGGUGAUGAUGAGGCUACUUCUGAUGAAGUAGUCACAAUUGCCAGAGAUGCAGCUACAAGUGUCGUGGCUAUUUAAGAGCCGCCCAUGGAGGAAGCGCCGUUAAACUCGGGGUCAGUAGCCCUCGAGCAGGUAGCCCCUGAGUUGGGAGCCCCCAUGUAGUUUACUGAGCCAUCAGGUGAUGAGGCCACUCUUCUGAGCUGGCAGAUGUUGUGAAGACACCGGGAGUGGCUGCUCACACCUUGUUGCCUGAGGAUAUUACCGGUGGUGAGUACGCGAUCUAUUCUGGUAGUUGUGCGUACGUAGUCUCAACCUUGGUUCUUUCAAGGCUUGGUGAAAGAGUAGAGGACCUUCCUCCUGUGGCCCCUGUGGUGCUAAGUAUCCAGCCGGCGGUAGUUGAGAAGAGGCAUGGUCGUCUGCCACCACGAUCAGCUCGGUAAGGGUUUGUGUAAUCUUUCCUUUUGAUGAUUUUUGUACUAUGUAGAUAGAUGAGAACCCCGUGACUUGAUCGAUCCAGGGAUGCUGAAGACAUUAUUCCCGUCGAGAUGGGGGCGGAGGCUGCUCCGUUGACUACCCUCUCUGGGCCCAUAGUCGACUUUACUAUGGAGGAUGCACCUGAGAUCGAAGACGCAAGUCGUUUAGGUGCUACUAUAUCCAUGCUACAGGAGGUUGGUGCUGGUGCCUUAGCACUGGUUGUUGCGAUAGAAGUAGGCGAAGUCGGUGCAACAGGUAUGUUACUAGAGUAUCGACGCUUUUGAAGGAGAACUCCUUUGUAUCCAAUAAUUAACCAUGUUUUUUUCUUGUUAGGGGUUGUUGUGGGCAAAGAUUAGGAGCCUCAAGUCGCCAAGAGCACUGGGGGUCCGGUACUCGAGCUGCCACCAGAGUUGGAGAUCAAGAGAGCUAUCCAGAGCUUUCAGGUGCGUAUAACCCAUUUUCUUUGACUAAUUGUUUUUUUACAAGUCUUGAUGCUUGUGUUGUGCUUAUUGUAGGAUCUGUAUGAUAGGGCUCAGAAAAAUACUCGGGCUCUUCAGGAGCACAGUGAAGCCGCACAGCGGGUAGCACAACUGGAGCAAGAGUGUUGCCAUCUUAUAGAUUCCCUGAGAGUUCACGAGGAGGCUGCAAAGUCUUUUGCAAUUGAAAGGAAUGAUCAUGAAGUCCUCCAGGAGCGAUUGGAGAGUCGCUAUAGGUCUUUGAACUAGAGAUAUCAGGGUGAGUACUCAUAGUUUUUGAGUAUGUUUGAUUAUAGUCGUAGAUUCUGAUCUGUGUGGUGUUUGGCGCAGAGCUCAAAAACAAAGAGGCCGCUGCGAGUAGCCAACUGCUUGAUUCGAGAAAUGCUCAUGAUCGGGUAGCCGAUGAGGCGGCCCACCUUAGGGCAGCAUUGGCUGAAACUCAGGCAGCCUUUGAGCAUGAUGGGGAUAGAAAGAAUCAGAAUGGAGUAAUGCUAGUCCCGCAGAGGCCAUGCUAGAACCGUGCAGAGGCUGGAAGGUGAGCUCCAAGAGUUGACUAGUGCUGCUUAGGAUGUAGUCAACACUAUUGCUCCACUCGAAGAUGAUGCUGAGCCUCGCUCGCUAGUCGAGAGACUAAGAGCUGCCCCGGGUAGAUUUGCUAGACUGUGUAAGAUUGUCUGCAAGCAGGUCCUUGCAGUGGUUAAGUCAUAUUACCCGAGGGCAAACUUGUCGGCAGCUGGCGAUGGAAUUUCCUGGAACUACACGGAGGAUGCCUAUGCGUAGUAUCUUGAGGAGGCGGAGCCUAUUGCGGCAAAGAUGACCGAGUUCGUAUCUUUGGAGGACCCUAGUCUUUUGAACUCGAGUUGUAUUUUUUUGUCAAAUACUUGUGGCUGUACUCAAACAAUUGUCUUGUAAAUCUUGCUCUGAAAUUCUAAUAUGAUCGAUGAUCUUUGGUUGACUUUGUAGUCGGGAAAAUAAAUCCGAGUAAUCGAGUAGUUGUAGUAUCCGAUGUGGUGUCCAAUUAUUGGAGUUGCUGUUGAGGGUACUAUGACUAUUAUUGCUUUGUACUUGAGAGGAUGCACGGGUGUACUGUUCACUUUUGUCCGCUGCGCUUAGUGCGGUCACGAGCGUGUAGUUAAAAUGUCUGCCUGGCCCUUGUCAGUGCCUCAGGCUGAUCGUUACGAGCGAGCAAUAACUGCGAGUAGUUGGUAGUUGCAGCCCUUUGGCUAUAAACGAGCCCCUGGGUACUCGACCAAGGUCAUGCCCUUCAGUACAGCAAUGGCUUGCUUCAGGUUGUUGUUGUUUGAUAGUAGAGAGCUUCCAAUGAACGGUGGUGCUAGAAGAUUCCUCGUAGAUUAGAGCCACCUUCUCUCCACACACUCUUGUGCUCGUAGGGAUAGCCGCGAUGCUAGAAGAAUCCUCGUAGGAGGGUUUGCUGCAUCCCUCAUCUUGCAACUCGCAAUCCAGCUCAGUCUGUGCUGGAACUCGCGGGUGAAGGAUGAUGAGCUCUACGGUCUUUAUCCGACUCCCUGAUGAGAGGUGGAGGUGUGGCAUACAGUAAGGAUCUGUGCACCGAAGCUGUCCAGGGAGCAGCUCAGGGAGUGCACUUCAUCUUCCUGGUGCUUUUCUUCCUGAUCCUACGUCGGGUAUUCAUCCUGUCGCCGUCGAGGGAGCGGCGGUGAAGGAAUUCCUGGUGUUGUCAGGGGAAAGGACCAGGGUAUGACUGCGUAUUGCACAGCUUCCUCGUGUGCAGGUCCUGCCUUUUGACACUGCUUGCACCUUGGUAGUCGAGCAAUCACCGGGCCUAUGUAUCCUUGUGAUGUAGUAAAAGCCUGGGACUUCUGUUCUAACUACUAGUAGGUAGUUGCUUGCAGUCGUUGUUGUGCAAUUGUGUUGUAUUUUGUAUACCCUAACUUCAUUGGGUAGUCGAAUGUAACUCUGUGGAGCUUUGUUAAUGCAAAGAAUGCAAUUAUGAAGUAAGCUUGAAUACUCCUUGUCUGAUGGUUGCGGUAGUCUUGUGCCUUUGAAGAGUAAAUGACUAGCGCCGUAGUCGUGGCUUCUUGUCGUAAGUGUUGUAGCCCAGUAAGUGAAAUGACUUGAGUCGUGGCUUUGUGAGGCCACUUAGUCUUGUAGAGAUGAAUUGGCAAGAGAGUGUUGAAACUCUGUGAAGCUGAAAAGCUUGAGUGGCAGUGAAUAGCCGACAAGUUGUGAUAACUCGAAGAGACUUGAUGAAAAUAAGUCAGAAGUGGAGCGCUGGGUCUCGCAAAGCUGGAGAGCUCGAGUGGCUAUGAAUAGCCGACGAUUUGUGAUAACUUGAAGAGACUUGAUGGAAUCAAGUCGAAAUCAGAGCGCUGGGGCUCGCAGAGCUCGAGUGGCUAUGAAUAGCCGAACGAAGGCAAAGUGUUUGCCAAAGAACUUUGUUGUUUAAUAGACUGUGGGUGAAAACCCAAGUACAUGUCAUGUAGUAUGCUAUUAGUAAUAGCGACACAGAUGCUCUAUAUUCCAAGAGUGUGAUAUUCCUUCACCUGAAAGUUCUUGUAGUCGGUACGAUCCAGGCCCUGUGACCUUGGAUAUGACGUAAGGACCUUCCCAUGGCGAGUUGAGUUUGCGCAGCCCUGAUGUGUCUUGGAUGUGUUUAAGGACCAUGUUACCCACAUUGAAGGAACAAAAUAGAUCCUGUUCUUCCUUGAGCGAAACAGCAACCUCCGACGGCUUCCCGUGUUCUUCAGUGGUCGUUUCAAGACGCAGGCCCACUAUAUUCAUGGCGACUCUUUCUUCAAUCCCUGAGGUACAUUUCCCAUCUUUCACCAUUCUUCUUGCAUUCUUGCUUUUUCUCAUCUGAUCUAGAAAUUUCCGCAUCCUCAUGAACUUAGGAAUAGGAUCACUAUUCCUAUAGACGACAAGCCCGGAUUUAUCUGCUUAGGCCCCAUGGGGAAUCCUGACCCAAUGGAUCUAAUCAACCUAGAAACCAAUAGAAUCCCCUUCAAGCUUGCAUCUAUGGAUCUUACCAACUGGAACCAAACCUUCAGAUCUUGGCUCGGCCAUACAGCAGGAUGGAAAAAUUGGUAUCUCAGGAUGGCAGCUUCGAAAAGGCCUCUUUGGGAGCAAUACAACAUCAGCCAAUGCAUCACCCUCUCCUUGUCAGACAUGGCCCAAAACGAACCCAUGCUCAUUGCCGCAUCGUAUUUCUGGUCAGAUGCCUUGAACUCUUUCUUGUUUGGUCAUGGGCCGAUGACUCCCACACUAGCCGAUGUUCUGAUGCUAACAGGUUUGGACAUCACCUCUGUUGAUAAUGCAUUCGCCCUUCCUGCAAAAGCUUCUCAUUAGUUGGAAACAAAGACCAUUGGCGGAUGGAAAGGCUACAUCAGCUGUCAUGCUAAAACUGGAACUAUCGAUGCCAGGGAACAUGUUGCCUUCCUGAAUAUGUGGCUGGACAAGUUCAUCUUCUGUGGACGAUCGGCUGGACCAACUACCAAUCUGCAAAUCUUGGCUAAAGCACUGUCGAUGGGGAAUUCAAUUCCCUUAGGAAAACACCUCCUUGGAUCAGUCUAUCACUUGCUACACUAGGUGUCAAUCAAGCUAUCGGCUGGACAACCCAUCAGCAACCUAGGCGGCCCUUGGUGGUUUAUCAACUUGUGGCUCAACCUACACAUGCAACACGUCUUGGGACAAGACAUCAAGAACAUGUCUUUCCUGAAAGAUCAGUCAGAGGACAAGGACCCUGAAACUCGCCGAUACACAUCUUAUGGUGAAGCCGUUUUUGUCUUCCCUGGUGACAAACAGUCUCCUUUCGAGGUGGCCGAUUUCUUCAGAUGCUUCUACAAUGGUCUUACCAACGAGGCAACAAUUUGGUAUGCUUAUGCCGAUGAAGACCCUCCUUUUGAACUACCCAUCAACUUCAAUUUUGCUACAGCUACAUUUAGCGCAGAAGACCUCGAAGUAAUCAUCAAGCCUGGAAUCCUUCCAGCCAACUUGUUUGCUGGGAAAGGUCAACACCCGACCUAUGAGUUUUAUCAUCCAUUGGCUGCAUCCCGCUAGCUCGCUUUUGGGCAAUUGCUGAUAAAACUUUUCUUUGCCGAUCUCGUGAAGCCUAGGGAAAAACUUUCCAGCCGCCUUGAGUACAAUGGAUUAAAGAGCCUAAUUCUGGAUGCCAACACCAUAAACUUAGAAUCAUGGAAGCUCGCCUCUUUUACUACCAGACCUUUCAAGUCAUGGUGGGGUCAGCAUCUCUUUUGCGUAUCGGCAGGAGUCUAUUGCCAACAGCUCAGCCCAAACUUCAUCGAUCCUGAUCGAGAGGUGACACUGUCGAUCUCACUAAUUCUUCUUCCUCUUUUUCAUAAAGGUUCCUUUCCCACUAACAUUUUCUCUCAUGUAGAAUGCUAACUAGAAACCUCCAACCAUGAGCCAAAGUGAAAAGCCGAUUUCUUACGCACCCGCAUCAGCAACUCCUCAUAUCGGCCAUAACGCUUCAUCUCUGGCAGAUAUAGCCACAGGUCGAUCUUUGAAACGCAACCCCUUCCUCAAAGAAGACGACUUGUAAGAAGCUUAUCCAAAAGCACUCCUCAUCGGCCGAAGCAAUCGACCCAUCGGCAGCGGCAUCACUUCUGAUAGAAGCUUUCCAGGUAAUUCCACUAUUAAGUUUCCUUAGAUAAAUUACAGAGCUAACUCUGUUUCUUUCAGAUAUCUGCACAUCCUAUACCAAAUCAACCUACUCUGGAAUCGACCAUGCUUCCGACCCCUCCAUCGACCGCUCAACAGGCCGAAGAGAUUCUAGGAACUGAACUUACUACGACCUUGCAACCUGAGGUACACAGUAUGCUUUGCUCUUGAUCUUCUCAACCUUUGUUGCUAAAAUCGGCCAGAUCUAUGUGCAGACCGAUCCAAACACAUCGGUCACUCUACCCGAACCAUCGGCUACGUCAACUCUAGAGGUAUAAUAUUGUCUGCUAUACUUGAAUUCAAGGCUUUCUAUUUUUUAUCAAAAAUAUUCUUAUGGAAUCUUCUUUUCCCCAGGAGAAUAUUCCAAGUAUCGUAUCAACCACGGCUCCAGAGCCGAUCAUUAUCCAAGAUUGUCCAGCCGACACGAUCCUAGAGGAUGAGCCACCUUCUAAGGAGCCGGUCCAUCAAGAACAUCCAUCCAAUGUAGCAGCACCAUCAACACAAGCUAAAGAGAUUCGUUGGAAGAUGGUAAACACUCCUCACAUUCACUAGCCGAUUUUCCACCAACUAGCAUCAUCGGCUUACACUUCAUUAAUCUUUUGUAGGCUCAGGACUCACCAGACAACAGCCUUUUCUCCUUCCAAAUCGAAGAACUUCCUGAAGAAGAUGAAGUCCUAUCACAUCCAUUGGCUCUGGGAUCCCUAUCUAAAGACGUGAAGACCAAACUUCGAAACAUAUUGGACUUCCUCAACCGGGACAUUGGCUAGCUGGUUGAAGACGCAGAACCGAUACGGAACAUCUUUUGUGGCCUCAAAGGCCCAAUUCCAGAAGAAAUAGAAGAGGCCCUGAUACCCGCAGCCUUCAUUGAGAAUCAGCAAGUUCCAGUGUUGAAGGCAUUACGUCGCUUAGCCGAUCGAUCCACAUAGGAGCAAUUGCUCAAGGACAAGGAGUCUCACAAGCUCCGUGCUGAGGAAAUUCACAAGAGGAUCCGCAUCUUAAGCAAUUUCCGUCCUGACAUCAUCGGCGAGAUCGAUCGGCUCAAGGCAAGGAGAGCAGCGCUGAUGAAAGAGCUGAAGGACAUUGAGGACGCCAUCACUGUUGAAGAAAACAAGCUUGCCCAACUUCCGGGUGCCAUCAAAAAAUUGGAACAAGAGAAGAAGCUGCAUGCUCAAUCGGCUUAUCGGCUACACAAGAGUAUAUAGCCGAUUUUUGGUUCAGCCAAUGCCGAUCGCAGAGAGAUCGAAGAGGCCAAUCAAAUUCACAUGCGUGCAAUAGAUGACAUCCGUACAAUCUUGGGACCGUUGUAACAAACUUUAUUUUAAUUUUUAUAUAUCUUCUGCACUUGAUGAUUAUCUUUUCGUGAUGAAAAUACUUUAAUGCUCAUACUGCAAUUGGCUGAAAUGCAAACUGACUGCCCUUCUGCUACUCUGUUUGACUCACCAACGGCUACCUCAUUCAAAGCAUUCCUUUUGACCGACUGUUCUGCGCUUCAAACAUUUCAGAUUCUUUCAAAACCGCCUUAUAAAUACAAUCACCAAUGCCCCUCUUGAAAGCAUUCAAAAAAUUGCACAAACUCUGUCCCUCCACAAGUUUCUCAAACCAGACCGAAUCCAAAUAACCAAGAUGGCUUUCUUUUCAUCAGUCAAUCAGGUACCACUCUACAAUCUUGUUCUCAAUCAAUUGUUCUGAAUCAAUUCUCAUCUGCAAUUUACGCUCUUUAUUCUCCCUUCUCCCAAGUGAACCCGGCGAACAAUCAACUUGAGGCGAUCAUCCAGAUCCUCAAAUCCAACGAGAAGCUCUCUCAAGCGAACAAAGAUCUGAUCCAGACCAAUCUUGAUCAAAUCAGAGAUUACAUUCCCUCGGAUGUCGAGCUGGUUUCAUCUGCAAUCAACUCCACAAGUUCAAGUUGGCAGGUGCGACAAUUGGCAACUCAAGCACGAGGCCUUCGGCUUUCCUCUUUGAUUCUCAAAAGCAACUGACUACUCUGGAAGCUAGAACGGAUCAGCUUCUGCAAGAACUGAACCAGAUCAACAGUGAGAUUGAUAUAACCACAACUCAACCGGGACUCCAUCCGGGCUUGCUUCACCAAAGGGAACAAGCAAUCGCUAAUCUUCAAAACGAAGACAACCAAGCUCGCCUGCGCGCGAUAAAAUUGAUCCAAGACUUCUUGGGUUUGAUGUAAUGUCUUGUUGUACCUCGAUAACCUAGAGAUUGCAGAUAUUAUUUGUUCUUGGGUUCGAUAAUAUGGCCAUGUACCAGCCGACAUACCAAACUAAAAUCGGCUUACUCGUAUCUCAUCGGCUAUCAGCGUGUCUGCUUUUCUCCUUUUUGCACUAAAGGCCAUACUCGCAGUAUCGGCUAUGACAGUCCGAAGCCUUAAGCCAUCAGCUAUGCAUCUACCCAUAUACUGGGGUAGUACUUCUUCAAGUAUUUCCCAUUCAAAGCUCUAGCGAAUUCUUUUCCUUCAAGUGUUUCUAUAAUAUAUGUGUUGCCUGGAGCACAACGACUCACCCGAUAUGGCCCUUCCAAUGUAGGCGACCAUUUUUCGUAUUUAGUAUCUUUAGACCCUAUUACAACACCAGUUUCCAGCCCAGAUCUCCCUGGGAAAAGUCUUUGACUUUGACCUUCUUAUCAUACCAUCUGGCCACUCUUUUUUUUUCCUUCAAUACUGAUCAAAGCCCUUAGCCAAUGACCAGCUAGAUCUUCCAACUCCCCUUUCAUCAGGAUUGAGUAAUUGUCGACUGUCAGUUGAUCUUGCAACGAUAUACGUCUUGAUCCUGUUUUCAAUUCCCAAAGCCAAAUCGUUUCAUGCCCAUAAACCAAGUGAUAAGGGGAUACUUUUGUAGCACCAGGUCAUCCGAUAUGCCCAUAAAGAUUCAUUUAGCGUAACAUGCCAACGUCUUGGUUGCUCUUCAAUUUUUCUUUUAAUUAACUUCAUAAUCCCCUUGUUGGAUGCUUCAGCCUGACCAUUUGCUUGAGCAUAAUACGAAGAAGAAUUCAAUAGUUUAAUUCCCAUACUGGCAGCAAAUUCCUCAAAUUCCCCUAAAGUGAACAUAGUCCCCUAAUCGGUUGUGAUAGUCUGAGGGAUACCGAACCGAUAGAUAAUGUGCUCUUUAACAAAGUUGAUCAUGCUUGCCGAUGUCACAUUCUUCAAAGGAAUUGCUUCAACCCAUUUUGUAAAGUAAUCUGUUGCUACCAAUAUGAACCUGUGACCCUUGCUAGAUGAUGGAUAAAUAUGGCCGAUUAAGUCAAUCCCCUAACUCCUGAAUGGCCACAGCUUAAUUAUAGGAUUCAUAGCCGAUGUUGGGGCUCUCAUCACGGUUCCAAACCUUUGGCAAUCCUUACAACCCUUGUAAUACUUGAAGCAAUCUUCAAGGAUAUUCGGCCAGUAGUACCCAUUAUUUCUAAUCAUCCAUUUCAUUUUAAAGGCCGAUUGAUGAGCCCCACAAACUCCCUCAUGAAUUUCGCCCAUCAAGCUUUUUGAUUCUUCAACACCAAGGCACUUGAGCAAGACCCCAUCAAUCGUCCGAUAAUAUAAAUCAUCUUCGAGUAACACAUAUUUCAUGGCCUGAAGACGUACUCGUCUGUCAGCCCUUUUGGAUGGAUCCUUUAAAUAAUCGGCUAUCCCCUUUCUCCAAUCGCCAAGCAUCGGCUCUAAGGCCGUAGCACCACGAAUUGGCUAGUACCCAGAAGCAUUUUGAGCGAGCUUGUUAGCCUCUUCAUUGUAAGAUCUAGGAAUAUGUUCAAUGGUUACGCUCUUGAAUUCCUUAAGUAACUGGAGGCACUUCUCAUGGUAGACUCUCAAAAUGUCAUCUCUACAUUCACAUCCUCUAGUUAGUUGAUUGACGACCAGCAUAGAAUCCCCAAAUAUUUCGACAGCAUCAACUUUAAUCUCUCUCAACAACUUGAUGCCUUUCAAAAUAGCUUGGUAUUCAACCUUAUUAUUGGUAGCAGUAGUAUCAAUCUGCAACGAAAACUCAUAGUUUGCCUCCCGUGGAGACACAAGCACUAUGCCGAUCCCUGAACCGACUCCACAUGAAGAUCCAUCAAAGAAUAAAGUCCAUGGAACUGGUUCCACAACAGCAACCUCCAGACCACAAUGCUGAACAACGAAAUCGGCCAUGACUUGCCCUUUAAUGGCUUUAGCUAAUUCGUACUUCAGGUCAAACUCUGAUAGAGCCAAAAUCCAUUUUCCAAUCCUCCCAUUCAAAAUCAACAGUGACAACAUAUACUUGACAACAUCAUCUUUGCACACGACGACGCAUUCAGCUGAUAACAAAUAAUGCCUAAGCUUAGUGCAGGAGAAAUACAACCACAAGCAUAGCCUUUCAACUGGAGAAUACCUGGUCUCUACAUCCAAGAGCCUCCUGCUCACGUAAUAAAUUACCCGUUCCUUUUCUUCAAACUCUUGAACAAGAGCCAAUCCGAUAGCACGCUCAUCAGCCGAUAAGUACAACUUGAACGGCUCAUGUUCCUGAGGAGGUACCAACACUGGAGGCGACAACAAGUAUCGCUUAAUAUCAUCUAACGCUUUUUGCUGUUCUACUCCCCAAACAAACUCUUGAUCAGCCUUCAAUUUUAACAAUGAACUAAACGGCUGAAUUCUUACAGAUAAGUUUGAUAUGAACCUUCGAAUGAAAUUAAUCUUGCCGAUCAAUGACUGAAGCUCGGUUUUAUUUUUCGAAGCAACAACCUUGUUAAUGGCACCAAUAAUCUUCUGACUAACUUUGAUGCCAUGUUCAUGUACCAUGAAACCCAAGAACUGCCCAGCUGAUACGCCAAAAGCACACUUAUUUGGAUUCAUCUUCAGUCCAUACUUCCUUGUGCACUUCAGAACCCUGUGUAGAUUAGCCAAAUGCUCAUGGUAUCCUUCUGAUUUAACCACGACAUCAUCAAUGUAAAUCUCCACUAUCUUGCCGAUGAGUUCAUGGAAAAUAUAAUUCAUGGCCCAUUGAUACGUAGCCCCAUCAUUCUUCAAUCCAAAAGUCAUGACGAUCCACUCAAACAAGCCGAUGUGCCUAGGACAUCUAAAGGCUAUUUUGGAAAUAUCUUCUUCAGCCAUAAAUAUCUGGUUAUACCCAGCAUUACCAUCCCUGAAACUAAUAACUCUAUGUCCUGCAGCAGCAUCUAUCAGCAUGUCGGCUACUGGCAUCGGAUAACCAUCCAUCAGCAUGGCUUUAGUGAGAUCCCUGAAAUCAAUACAAACUCCUAGAUUCCCAUUCUUCUUGUAUACAGGGACAACAUUAGAAAUCCAUUCAGCAUAACGACACUGCCUGAUGAAGUUAGCUUCAAUUAAUCUUGUAAUCUCAACUUUAAUGUCAGGUAACACUUUUGGAUUACAACGCCACGCAGGCUGCUGAUAUGGUUGAUACCCUAACUUUAUAGCAACCGACGUUCAACAAUAGAUCGAUUUAAACCAGGCAUUUCAUAAUAUUCCCAAGCAAAGCAGUCUUUAAACUCCCUAAGUAACUUAAUCAAUUCUUGCUUAUACUCAGGAUCUAACUUAGCACUAAUGUACAUCAGCCUUGGCUUGCUACCAUCUCCAAGAUCUACCUGCUCUAAUUCAUCGGCCGACGUAAACCCGUGCCAAGCUUCCCAUCAUCUUCAACGAACUCAUCCAUCAAGACGAUUCUUCCGAGCCGACUACUUGGAUCGACUGUAGUCCAAAAUCGGACACCUUCAAGAAAGUCGUAUCCCAGGCUUUGCCAGAUACACAACUUACUUGUUCAUAGCUCCACUGCAGGGCAUCAGUUGCGGCAAUGCUGAAAGAGGAAUCUCCGGGGAGACUACUACUGAAUCGCUGAUCCACUGGACAAGGCAUUGAUACAUCAUAGACGGGAUACAACAAUUGGCAUGAAUCCAAUCUCGACCUAAGAGCAUGUUAUAUGAUCCUUUACCAUUAAUGAUGAAAAAUGUGGUGGGUAGGGUCUUACUCCAAUUGUCAAGUCAACACAAAGUGCCUCCCGAGUUGGUGAGAUGUUUCCUUUAAAGUCUUUCAGCAUCAUAUCCAUUUUCGUCAAGUCUUCUUCCCUCUUUCCAAGCUUGUGAAACAUGGCAUAUGGCAUAAUAUUUACCGCCGCACCUCCAUCCACCAGCAGUUUGCUAACUGGCCUUCCAUUCACCUGUCCUUUGAGGAACAAAGCUUUUCAUCCUUAGGCUUCUCAAAGGUAGCCGGCAUCAGCUCUAAGGUUAACUGCGCCAUCCCUCGCUUUGCUUCCGAUAUUUCACUAUGAUCAGCUGGAGCCAUAAACUCCAUCGGUAGAACGAAGACGAUGUUGAUAUCUGCAGUAGAUUUAUGGUUAUCAUCCGCAUCAUUGGCUUUCGCUUUGACGCACCAUACUUGGGACCUGACUCCUUUCUUCUCUAAGGCACGUUUUUCUUCUUCUUCUUCUUGUUCCCACUGGCGCAAGCGCUGAACUCUCCUCUUCUGGGACUUGGUCAAACCUUCUGGGCACCAUCUAGGGUGCUUCACACCACCGUGCUGUGAUGCACGCUGCCACUCUGGUUCGCGACACAUCAGCUCUUCAUCAGGGAUUCUUUCAUUGGUCCUCUGCUCCAACCGAUUAGAUACACCAAUUCUGCCUUCCAGCCGAUCAUAUACAUUGACCUUGCCCCCCAGCCGAUCAUGCACUGGAAUACACCUAUCACCAUAAUCAGAUCUAUUUCUGAUGAUCGGCUUGCGAUUUCUAUCAUCAAAGCAUGGCCUCUUGAACGACCGGCUAUCUUGACACGACCCACUACACUCAGGGCAGUUAUCAGCUGAUGGUAGUUUGAUUCCUUCUUCCCAACAGUAUAUGAAGAACGGGCACCUCCAAUGACCUUCAUGAUUCUGAAGUCAAUACUUUGGUCUGAAUUUCACCCUUACCACCAAUUUCCACCAUGUUAGUUGGGAAAUGGUGCUGGUUGAUCUUCGUCGGCUUUGCUGGCUUUGUAGGAACUUCAAACUUGAGUCUUCCCUGCUCAAUAGCCGAUUGGAUCUGCUGACGGAAAACUUUGCACUCAUUUGUGUCAUGAGACAUAGCAUUAUGCCACUUGCAGUAUUUGAUCUUUUUGAGCUAUUUAGCCGACGGGAUAGUAUGAUAGGGCGACAAAUUGAUUUGCCCCUCUUGCAACAACAAAUCAAAGAUUUUGUCGGCUUUGGUAGUAUCAAACCCAAACUUUUUAGGCUCUUCCUUGCCAAAUGGACACAAAAAUGGUUUCUUGUUUUUGACCCACUUAGCCAAGCCAAUUUCCAUCUCUUCAUCUGAAUUGGAGUAUUGCACAUACGCAACCCUCUUCUGGAAGUUUCUCUUCUGCUCAUAAGGGCAUGCUUCCUGGUUUGACAUCCAAUGUACAAGCUGACUCAGACUUUCAAAUUCCUGCGAUGCAUAUUUUUCUUUGAUGUGUGGCAAGAGUCCUUGAAAGGCUACUUCAGCUAGCUGGCUGUCACUUAGGACCAAACUAUAACACUUGUUUCUAACUUCUCUCAAUGUUUGUAUAAAGCCAGCUACUGACUCAUCACUCCUCUGCCUCAAUCCAGUCAGAUCUGUGAGCUUCAUCUCGUGAACUCUGGCAAAGAAGUAUUUAUGAAAAUGCCUCUCCAGAUCGGCCUAGGAAAUAAUAGAAUUAGCUAGAAGUGUCGAACCACUGGAAGGCCGACCCAGACAAAGAUGACGAGAACAACCAAACCCUCAAUGCAUCCUGCGCAGCUGCUUCUCCACAUUGAAUAAUAAAUCGGUUGACGUGCUCUACCGUAGAGGUAUCAUCUUGUCCCAAGAACUUGGUGAAGUUAGGUACUUUAUACCGAUGGGGAAAAGGAAGCAAAUCAUAUUCAGGUGGAUACAACAUUCUGUACAUGUAGGUCUGCUGCUUAGGUUCAAACUGAUCUUGCAUUACCUCAGCUAUCUAUGCAGCCCAAUCUACCUGUUGGUGUGCAGUCUGUGGCUGUUGUGGUAUGACCGGUUGAAUCGUUAGCUGAAAAACCGAUGCUUGUUGCUACAGUUAUGGUAAAACUAUCGGAUGAGCAACCAAUGCUUGUUGCUGUAGUUGUGGCAAAACUAUCGGUUGAGCAGCUGAUGCUUGUUGCUGAAAUUGUGGCUGACAUAUCGGCUGAACUAUAGCGUGCCUGCCUCCUCAUUAUAUAAUACCAUCGUUGACCCGUCUUGAUGAGGCAUCAAAGUGUUGGCUCCCCCAUUGACUUCUGAAGUAUCUUGUUGUUGAUGCUGACUUGUUGGUUGAGGAGUCAACACCUGUGGCAUCUGUAUGUGAGACCUUGUGGAUGGGGUGAAUGACCCUGGAGGCACUCCAAACCCAGUGGUCGGGUUCCAUUCGAUUGGUGUUCCUGUUGUCCCCCAUUGCGCCGAUGAUGAAGUUAAUGACGAUGGAGUAGAAUAUUCUGGGAAAGUUUGGUUCACAAUCUGCGUCGGUAGAGGUGGUGCAACACUGGGACUCAGAGACGGCAUAACACCGUAACCUCCCCUUGACUGCAUCGGCUGAGAAACCGAAUGAGUCAUGCCAGAUGCCACCAUGAUAUUUCCAAUUAGCGCAUUUUUAGGGGAUUCAUAGGCUGGACCUCGAUAACCUUGAGGAACUCCCCCUAGUAAAGUGUUGACGAUGGUGUUGUGAACGGUGUUGGUCAUCAUUGAGGACUGAUUGAUCAACGCAUGAUGAACAACUUGGUCGAUCAUCUCUUGCAUCUUCCCUGGAUUUUCAUCAAUAGUGAUAUGACGAGGGACUAGAAAAUCAUGCUUCUUAACAGCCUCUCCCCUCUUGGUAAGGCUAUAUGAUCUCAAGUACGCCAAUUUAUACUCCUCCAUAGCUCUUGCCAGAUCACUUUUCUGAUCAUCCUUAAGAUCCUCUUCCAUAACCUCCAUGAUGUUUUUGUUUGAGAGCUCAGAAGGUUCCGGAAUAGACAUGUUGAAAAACUGCUCGUGGUCCCACUAGGCAUGCCAAAAGUGUGUUACGCAAAAAUCGGGCGAUGACCUUCGCGUACUAACACGCAAAACCUGAGAGAUCUGCUUUGCUCAAGUACAGGUUGUAACGCUCUCGAUCCAAGGCGUGCUAGUGAAUUUGACAUGCCCAUUGACAAGGACAAAGAAGACGUUAAAUUCGAGAGCGAAUCGGCUGGUGUUCCGAUUAGCUCCAAGGGGUCAUAAAUGGCUAGGUAGCCGAUGCAGAAAAAAACAAUCGGCUAGGUCAGCCGAUGUAUGCGUAAUCAAUACAAAGGAACUAUUGAAACACAACUUAAGCAAUGAUACGCGAACAACGCUUGAAAUAGAUCUAGUCGGCUAUAGGACAGUUCCUGAAUGAAAAAUAGGAUAAGAAGCCGAUCGGAAUCUAUUCCAAGCUAGAUAAUGGUGAUAAAAGCUAAAGCAACAAGAUUUAAACAAAUAAACUUGCAGUUCUAGCAAAUAUCGAUAACUUGAUGAAUAAAUCUAGACAAAACAACAGCGAUGCGCCAAAUGUUAAAGACUAGAAAUUACUCGAUAAACGUGGAACUUACAAUCUAGCCGGAGAUCAAGACGAUGCAGUCUUGCUAGCUUGGAAGAACUCGUGAAGAAAAAGAGAACUUUGGCGAAGUCGCCGACUUAAAAGUAAAUUACGAAUAAAUUAGAUUUGUUUGUUUGUGUGUGUACAUCUUUUUUCAGACCUUGCAGGGUCUCUAUUUAUAUCCUAAACUCAAAACUCCUAGUCCUGGUCGAUUACGAUGCAAUACAAUACCUAUAACAAACUUUCUAAACAAAAUGACUCAUACAAAAGUCGAAAACGAACUUAGCCUAUAUUAACCAACCCUAUAUCCACCAUCUUGCAACCUCCUCGCCGAUCAAGAUUCUUUUUUCCUUUUAUCAGUCAAAGCUCCAACACCUUCGAUUGGCUAGAACCCUCCUGCUUGCAUCGACAAGACCCUAUCAGCUCCCAUUGGCCAAAUCCUCCUACCUUUAUCGGCCAAACCUCUGUGAUUCCAUCGGCUGAACUAUUGUAACACCAUCAGCCGAUUUUACUAGCCAUUCCUCCUCUGUCACGCAUCAGCACCUUUGCUUCCCUUUGACACCAACUUUGAUACGUGUCAAAAAAUAGAGCCAACAAGGACAUAUGAGAGGAAAUAAACAGAGCAACUAUUCAUCAUUUCAACCAUGGAGAAUUAAAACAUUCUUACCGUGCAUAGGAAAGCAGUAAAUAUUUUUUAUCUUUUUAGUUUUUCAGAUUUUUAUUUGUUUUUAUCAUGCAUAUUCUGAAAGCGGUACAGAUACAAGUUACCUCUCUUGUGGGGGUCCUCCCCCAAGCUAGCUUCAAGCUCACUGCUGCUGGUUGGGGUUGUACCCCAUCCAACGAAAGUAAGACUAUAGCUCCUCCUCUUGUUUUAGUUGCUGAAGUGUACUUGACAAGCUGGAUACCUAGGCUUGGAACGCAAUAGUGUGAAACACGGGGUGACAUCCAAAUGGGCAAUGUUACAAGAACUUUCCCAAGUGGUUGUUUCCCCGAGCCCAAACUCACAGCAAAGAACAAUUAGAUUAGAAGAGUUUCCUUACUUCUUUCUCCUGAGUGGAAUCUGUUGAAAGAUCUUAAGAGCCAAUUCGGGGGAGGAGCGAAUGCCAUCGAUGGGCAACACUCCUCCCUCCUUUACCUUUUGCAGAGCUUAGGAGAACAAAUGGUCACAUUGUUGGGAUACGAGGUAGGCUACACUAGCGCAAAUCAAAAAAAUUCUACCGCGUAAACCAAGAAAACUACCGUAUAAGGAUCACGGGAUUACCACUCGACGCACUACUGCUGCGGAAGAUGUAGAUUCACGUCGAUGCAGCGAAGUCGAUCAACGUAGUCGUACGUAGUCGAUCACAUCGACGUCCAGCAGCUCGUCCAUGUGCAGCAAGAUCUCUCUCGUGCCGUGGCUCGUCGUCGGCUCGUCGUGGUUCGUCGGCGGCUCGUCGUGGCUCGUCGACGGCUCAUCCAAGUGCUGCAGGCGCAACACCUCCAAGGUAUCCACACGUGCAGGGAGGAAGCGUCGCAAGCCGGACUGCUAGAUCCGUGAGUUGCAACAGGCGAGGGCGUGGGAGGCGCGGCAGAUGUGUUUCACCAAAACGUGUAAACCCUAGGGCGCCCCCACCCCUCUAUUUAUAGAGGUUCCUAACGGGCCUCUGGGUCCGAGGCCCAUUAGUACUUCUAAUCUUAAUCCAACUCGGAUCACAUCCGAAUUGGGCUUCCAGCCCCUUAAGUGUGUGACCCUAUGGGUUCGGAUACGUAUAGACAUGGCCCGAGUACUCCUACUCAACCCAAUAGUCGGUAGCGGCCUCUAGCAAGACGUGCCAACUCCUAUAUGCACACGAAGAUCAUAUCAGACGAACCAUCACAACAUUAUAUACAUAAUAUUCCCUUUGUCUCACGAUAUUUGGUCUAGCUUCAAGCCGACCGCUCUUUCUCGAUCCUGUGAUUCGGAAUCCCUUUGUAGGUCAACUCUUAACCGUACGUAGCAUGGCCAUGCAUUUUCGGAUCCGAUCACUCGAGGGGCCCAGAGAUAUCACUCUCAAUCAGAGAGGGGCAAAUCCCAUCUUGAUUGACCAUGUCUUACAGCAUGCUUCUUGACAAACCCGAAAGCUACCUUUAUAACUACCCUGUUACGGCGUAGCGUUUGAUAGCCCCUAAGUAGGUCGAUCCACAUCUUGAAUACAUGCAACAAUCUCAGGUCUAAGGACAAAGCGUAUAUGUUGUUUAAAGAGAGAACUACUUCUCAUGUAUGCCAUGUGACAUAGGCAAGAACCCUUUCUUUGCCUCUUCCAUGCUGAACCGCUUCAACACUUUGUCAAUGUAAGUAUCUUGGCUUAAACCUAUAAGCCUUCUCGAUCUAUCUCUAUAGAUCUUAAUGCCUAGAAUAUAUGCCGCUUCCCCUAAGUCCUUCAUCGAAAAACUAUUUUUCAGUGAAGUCUUUAUGGACUCAAGCAUAGGAAUGUCAUUUCCAAUCAGUAAUAUGUCAUCCACAUAUAAGAUUAGAAAUACUACAGAGCUCCCACUAACCUUCUUGUAAACAUAAGACUCUUCUUCGUUCUUAGUGAAGUCAAACCCUUUGACCACUUCAUCAAAACAAAUGUUCCAACUCCUAGAUGCUUGCUUCAAUCCAUAAAUGGAUGUCUGAAGCUUGCAUACCUUUCUAGCAUUUUCGGAUCGACAAAACCCUCAGGCUGUAUCAUAUACACGUCCUUAGCAAGGUUUCCAUUUAGGAAAGCUGUCUUGACAUCCAUCUACCAUAUCUCGUAAUCGAAAUAUGCAGCUAUAGCUAGGAUAAUCCGAAUGGACUUAAGCAUCACUAUGGGUGAGAAGGUCUCGUCAUAGUCAACUCCUUGAACUUGUCGAAAACCUUUUGCGACAAGUCGUGCUUUAUAAAUGUGAACAUUUCCAUCCAUGUCCUUUUUCUUCUUAUAGAUCCACUUGCACUCUAUGGCUUUAACACCAUUAGGCGGGUCAACCAAGUUCCAAACUUGAUUGUCUCCCAUGGACUCUAUUUCGGAUUGCAUGGCACUCUGCCAUUUUUCGGAGUCUGGGUCCAUCAUUGCUUCUGCAUAUGUUGCAGGCUCAUCAUUGUCCAAUAAAAAUAUUUCCCACAUUUCGCGGAGCCUUGCCGACCUUCGUGGUUGUGGCGGUGCUUCUCUUGCCAUGGGUAUCUCAACUUGUUCUGCUACGUUAGCAUCACUCAUUGAUUCUUGCCCGAUUGGCUCAUCUUGAACUUCUUCAAGAUGCACUGUCUUUCCACUCUUUUCUCCUUUGAGAAACUCUUUCUCUAGGAAAACCCCGUUCCGAGCGACAAACACUUUGCCCUCUGACCGGUUGUAGAAAUAAUAUCCCAAAGUUUUCUUUGGAUAUCCCACAAAAAUGCACUUAUCCGACUUGGGUGUGAUCUUGUCCGACUGAAGUCGCUUGACAAACACUUCACAUCCCCAAAUCUUUAGAAAAGACAAACUAGGAACCUUUCCAGUCCACAUCUUAUAUGGUGUCUUAACUAUGGAUUUAGAUGGUACCCUAUUAAGUGUGAAAGCUGCUAAUUCUAGAGCGUAUCCCCAAAAUGACAACGGUAGGUCCGACUGUCUCAUCAUUGAUUGAACCAUGUCUAACAAAGUUCAAUUACGUCGCUCGAAUACACCGUUUCUCUGAGGUGUUCCAGGUGGCGUAAGUUGUGAAACAAUUCCGCAACUCUUUAGAUGAUUGCUAAACUCGUGGCUCAAGUACUCGCCUCCACGAUCAGAUCGUAAGGCCUUAAUUUUCUUACCACGCUAAUUUUCAACUUCAUUCUGAAAUUCCUUGAACUUUUCAAAGGUUUUAGACUUGUGCCUCAUCAAGUAGACAUAGCCAUAUCUACUAAAAUCAUCAGUGAAAAUUAUGAAGUAUUGGAAUCCUCUUCUAGCCGUCGUGCUCAUUGGUCCGCAUACAUCACUAUGUACGAGUUCCAACAAGUCUACUGCUCUCUCAGGAAAUCCUGUGAAAGACAUCUUGGUCAUUUUGCCUAGCAAGCAAGCCUCACAUGUCUCGUAUGAUUUAAAAUCAAACGAAGUUAGAAGUCCAUCAGAAUGGAGCUUCUUCAUGCGCUUUUCACUUAUAUGACCCAAACGACAAUGCCACAAGUAGGUAGGACUCAAAUCAUUAGGCCGAGGCCUUUUAGCACUUACGUUACAGACAGGUGAACCAUCAAGAUUUAAAACAAAUAAUCCAUUCACAAUGGGCGCAAAAGCCAUAAACAUAUCAUUCUUAGAGAUCACACAACCAUUGUUUUCACUCGCAAAUGAAUAACCAUCCUUCAUCAAGCAUGAAGAAGACAAAAUGUUUCGACUUAAACUAGGAAUGAAAUAAAAAUUAUUCAACUCCAUAAUAAAUCCUGACGGGAGGUGGAGUUGCAUCGUCCCAACGGUCAACGCAGCAACUCUUGCAUUAUUGCCCACGCGGAAAUCAACUUCUCCUCUUUCCACGCUUCUACUUCUUAUCAUUCCCUACAUCGAAUUGCAAAUAUGAGCAACCGAUUCGGUAUCAAAUACCCAAGAAUUAAUAAUUGUAUCAGCGAGAAAAAUGUUGUCUAUAACAUUAAAAACAAGCGUACCUGAGGUAGAAGUACUCUUACUUCCGCCAUUCUUCAACGAAGCUAGGUACUGCUUGUAGUUUCUCUUCGAGUGACCAGGUUCGUGACAAUAAAAGCACUCUUUAUCUAGAGCAGGUCCAGCUUUAGCCUUGGGCGCUGGGUUUGGCUUGGACACUCUAGCCUUACCCUUCUUCUUCCAAGAAUUGCCCUUCUUCUUGAAGGUAGGCUUGUUCUGUACAGCCAUCACAUGGCUGGUACUAGCGCUUUUCUUAAUGUCUACCUCUGCUGUCUUGAGCAUACCACACAGUUCAUUCAGACCCUUCUCCGUCCCAUGCAUAUGGUAGUUCGAGAUGAAGUUCCCAUAGCUAGGCGGAAGAGAUGAAACAAUGAAGUCAGUGGCCAACUCUUUGCCCAUUGGGAAGCCCAGCUUCUCCAAACGCUGAGUGUAACCAACCAUCUUGAUUACAUGUGGUCCUACUGCUGCGCCUUCUGCUAGCUUGCACUUCAGAAAGGCUUUGGACACAUUGAACCUUUCAGUCCUAGCCUGUGUCUGGAACAUGUCCUUGAGCGCCACGAUCAUAUCGUGUGCCUCAAGAUUUGUUUCGAACUGCAUCUGCAGCUCGGGUUCCAUGCAAGCAAGCAUAAGGCAGCUUACCUCAAGAUUAGCAUCAAAUGCCUUCUUGUAAGCAGCCUUAACGGCAGCAUAUUGUAACGACCGACCCCUAAACCUUCCCAGUUAGUUUUGAUCAGAGCCCUUGAUCAAAGUCAUCUGUCUUGUUUUCCCGCGCCGAGUGCUCAGCCUUCCGCCUGGUUCCGACCCCGGAGACCUGACCCCUCUCCGCUUCGUUCCUCUCCCGACCCCGGCAAGCACAGCCCACCAUCGGAUCCUGAUAAUCUUUCUCAACCAUCCGUUCUAUCCACCGGUGGACCCGCGAGAUCUUUUCCCAGAUCCUCCACGACAGCCGCACUCGAGUUGCAUGGCCGCCUCAGAGUCUUCCUGCCGCGUGGCUCGUCUUCUCCGACGCCCGCCGCUCAGUUUUGUCUCUAGCAAGCGACCGAGUGGGUUCUCGCGCCCCCUUCCCCAAUGGCAGCGGAAGCCCCUCUACACCCCUUUCUGCAGAGCCUCGCCUCCCGCGCCCAUCAUCACGCCGCCAGAUCCCGGCCCCAGAGCCCGAUGUCGCCCGUCUUUUCCGUCCCUUCAGCCACAGUCGCGCCGCCCGGUCGCCGCUACACGACGAUUCCCCCACCACCAACCCCGACCGCGGCCGCGACAGCUCCUUUCCCCCGCUCUGUCAGAAGCCGCCCGACAAUCUGUUGUUCCCCGCUCGCCCGCGCGCCCGCGUCUGCCUGUCUUCUCACCUGUGCGCCCUCGAUUCUAGUGCCAUUAAACCGGUCGCUUCUAUCAAAUCUUUCGCACGGCGACGCACGCUUUCCGCCAAAUCUCAACCACCAGUCUACCCGCUCCUACGCCGCCCUGACGGCAGAACGCAAUGAUCGCUGGCGCCACCCCCGGAGUUCUGUACCACCGCCCUCUUCGCUCAAUCGCCGCCCCGGCAGAGCACUCCAUUGCCUCUCCCCGGCCUUCGCGCCGCUUCCCUUCUCUCUCUCCCGCGCCGCUUCCUUUCCUCUGCUCCAGCAGCUAUAAAAGGAAUGCCCCCGUCGCCGGAGUUCCCUCCGCCAUUGUUGCCUUCAGCCUUCUCUCGCUCUCUGCUCAAGCUCCUAGCGCCACCCACCCAGUUCUUGAGGAGUUCUUCUCUCAGUUCUCUCUCAGUUUCUCCAAGUCACCCAGCAGCUUGCUCCUCCGUGCUGCGUAAAAGCUCUCUUGUGAUCUGCAAGAAGCACCGCCGCCGCCGUAGCUUUCCCAGUCUUAGCCCUUGUUCAAAGCUUAGUCCCUCCGCCCAAGUCUGCUUCUUCCCGACCCCAAGCUUUCCUUUCAGGAAGAAGGUGAGUUGCCGACCCCAGUCCACCUCGCCCGACCCCUCCUAUCUGCCCGACCCCGGUUUCGUCUCGCCCGACCCUAUCUGUUCCGCCAACCCUUAUAUCCGCCUCGCCCGAGGGUUCGGCUGUGGUCUUUUUCUUCAACCCGAGGGUGUAUGUGUAAAACUGGGGAACCCUUCAGCGCUUGCGUCUAAGGACCCCCAGUAUAUCACAUCCUCUGGUUCAAGGAUCAGAUCAUGAAUUCCUUUCCUACCCUUACCUCUUGAUCAUCAUCAGCUCUCUUGAACCACCAUAACCUCCUGCUCUUUGUCGCGAGUUUCUGGGCUCAGGCGAGCCAGUGUUGCUGUUGAAAUAGCUAUCUAUGCUAACCCUUGCAUUGCAUUCGUGUAGAGCUGCACCUCGCCGACGGCUUCUACGAGCUUCACCCGGUGCCAGAAGAAGAAGCUGUAGCCGAGCUCCUGCCCUCCGAAGCCGAAGUCGCCUCCGAAGUCGAGCAGUUCCCGUCCUCCUUGCUUGAAGGCAAGCCCCGGUUGCAUGAAAAUCCUACGUGUUUUGCCAGACUUGCGCAUGCCUUCUGUAACAUGCGUGUGCAUUUACGUAUAGGAGUUGUGUGAAACCCUAGAUGCAUGACUUAGUUGUCCCAAUGAUCUGAGCACUAGCUGUUGGACCGAGUAGUUGCAUUGCUUAACUAGGAGACGAUAAAAGUCGAGUGAUCUCCUGUCACUCGCGAGUUGUAGGAGUUGCAUGUUUACUCUCCUGUCAUAACCAUAAGGACGAUGGACGGGGCAGGGUUUUGGUAACUCUUUGGUGGUCGGAUGGUUGCCCCGUCUGUCUAUGAAAUCUUGCUAAGGCCCGACAGUGGUGGUGUUCGUGAUCAAGUGUUUGAAAGUACUAGCCUCAUACUUAGUAUGGGAUGAGGAAGCCUAGUACCUGAUUGAACCUAGACGUGAGCGGUCGCCCCAUUGUUCUUGGAACGGAGUUUCCCCUGCUGGUUGUCGCACGUGGUGGCAAGCGUGGUCACAGAACAGCAGAGGCCGGGUCUGUGGAACCUUGCACCAAAGGAAAUGGGCCUGACACGGGUUAGGGGAUUGAUGGGGAAGGCCGACACAGGAAGCGACCUCCGGGUGCGCGGAUGUCGUGAGGCUAGGUUCACCAUGCAUGGUUAAAGAACUCGAAUCGAUUCAUCUACCUCUCACAGUCUGAGAUUGCUUGAUCGCUAUGUCACCCUGAGUAAAUGAGGAAUCUGAUGAUGGCAAAUAUUUGUUGUUAUAUCUAUACCUCUUGUUUGGCUCUCUGAUUGCUUAGAAUAGGUUGCACAACCUAGACUGGUAAAUGAACCUAGAACCGGAGCUAAAACUUGAAAAUAGGGUUACUUAGUGAUUUUGGCAAACAAACCCCUCAGCCAAAAAGCCCUGCAUGUCUAGAAGGAGGAGUAGUUUACUCCUAUCGGUUAAGUCUUGUUGAGCUUAGUAGCUCAGCCUUGUUGUGGCUCCUGUUUUUCAGGUGAGGUUGUUGCGCCCGGCCCCUCUCUGGUUGGUGCUUGGCCGCCCCAGCUUCCGCCAGGCUAGACGGUCGAGUGGGAUCCUUCCUCGGACGGCGAGAAGAGGAACCAGUGAUGUCCCGGUUGGCCUCACCAGGGAUGUCCGACCCCGACGAAGUCUUCCGCUAGUGAUUUUACCCUUGUUGUUUUCCUUGAACCUUGCAAAAACUCUGAUGUUGGAUUUUAUGGCCGAAUUAAAUGGGUAAAACUUGUUUAACUCAGUGGACUCGUUGUAUUCUCUGUAACCACUCACCUUCGUGUGGGUUUGCUAAACUCGAUCCUGUUUAAGUGGUUAAAUCGGAGGAAAUCCGACGGCACUUCGUAUUAACUCGGUUUAGGCAGGAGUGUCGCAUGUUAGGCGGCUUAACCCUAUCUAAAUCAAGCUAAUCCGAAGUGGAUCCGCCACAGCUGGUAUCAGAGCCGUGUUUAGCAUUUCAGAGAACACAACCAGCCCUAAACACUUCUUUGAAAAGAUAAAAGUUGCAAGAAACUUUUGAAAACCUCGUACGAUCGAUAAGGAUGACUUAGUGCGAGAGGCCCUAGGGGAUUUUGGGGUUGUUUUAGGUGACUAAUAAGUAUUUGGUUAUUUUGCUAACUCUUCCAGCACUUCGCCACAUCUGUCAUACGUGUGCCGAGUUCCGCAUCGCGAGCAUGCGAGGGUUGAUAGGGAGUUCCAUUCAAAGGACCCUAUCUUCGCGGUUGUUUUCGUCCACGUCUAUCACACGUGCGCAGGUUCCGUAUGUGUUCCAUACGAAGGUUGGUACGGUUCGAUUCCAACGAACCUAUCAGCACGGUUUGUUCGCCACAUUUGUCAUACGUGUGCCGAUUUCGCAUCGCGAGUAUGCGAAGGGUUAUAUGGUUUCAUUCAAAGGGAACCUAUUUCCACGGUUGAGUGCUGUCCAUGCAGCCUUAAACGCAUGGGUGCCGUUCCUAUAGUGAGCGGUAAUGUUUGGGAACGCUUUCGUGGGUGCUGGCACGAAAGGUUCGUGUGUGGUGUUUUCUGCAGGUGCUAACCGCGUUCGUAUAGGAGACGUUACUAGAACCGACUAGUUAUUAUAGGGAGAGACGUAUGUGUUGCCUUGUCACCGGCGCUGACCGCGUAAGACCCAAAGUUCCGGGCAGUUGUUUUUGGUUAAGUGUGAGGUAGGCCGUGCAUGUGUCAUACCUAAAAAGCUGUAAUAUUUCCUUCUCAACAGCAACUUUGUUCGGAAGAGUUCUUUUGGAUCUAAGGAUUUCUAGUUUCUUUUAGUGCUCUCGGUUAAAACCGUAUGCUUCUCUAUCCGACCCCUGACCCUUGGAAUCUAUCUCACGUGGUUUCGGUUUCUUGGUCCCAGAUGGCUGUUCCCGGACAUAUCCUUUUUGGAGCGGACGGUACCUUCCAGUCGACGUGCCUGCAUUUCGAGGGGUUUCCCGCGAUUCUGUGGGAUACGCUGAAGUGGUUUGGGUACCAGUCCCCGCCCUUGUAUGCCGGGCGGUUAUAUCUGGAACAGGGCAUUCAGACGUGCCAAGUGCAAGCGUUGGUACCACCUCCCCCUGCACGGCCCGACUGGCCCUCUCUUGGCAUAAUAGCCUAUGGUCUCGCUCCGGAAGAUACAUGGGAGUCCACCGCCCUUCAGUUGCUCACCCAGUUCUAUCAGCUGCAUCCCGUGGAGAUCAUGCUCGACCCGAUCGGCCUCUUCCCCGUCAGGAACCGGCUGGACCCGGCAUGGCUUGACCGCGUCGGGAACAUCGAGGUGUUAGCCACCACCUGCGCCAUGGUCACCAUCUCCACCAACAUCCGGUGCAUGGCCGCUCUCUCCCGGUUGAUAGAGCUUCAGGGGAGAGCCAUGACCCUCUUCGCCUGGACGGCAGCAGAUACCCACGGGUACCUCCAGGCAGCAAGAAGAGAUAUGGUAGGCCAAACCUACCAGCUGAUCCAACGGGGCAUCCAGAUCCACGAUAUGCAAGAUCGGAUCUCCGAGCUAGAAGGAGAAGUCGCCGACCUCGUGGACGGCAUGAUAGAACUCUCGGAGGAGAAGAUGGAGGUGGAAAUGGAGUUGGCAGUUGCCAAUGCUCAUCUGGAGGAGCACCAAGCUUAGCUCGAAGAUAUGCAUGCCCUCAACAUGCAGCUCGAGGCUCAGGAGGACCCUGAGGAAGAUGUGGGAGCGUCCAGUAUGGACAUAGAGGAAGAUCGCGCCCCUUCUCCGACUCAUAGUGUCCGUUGGUAGAUUAAGGGUUCUCAGGGAACCAUCCUUUUUGUUGUACUCCUCGGCAGCCUAGAUUUUGGAAAGGUUGUAAUAGGUUAGCAUCGAGUUGAGUGCUCCCUGUGUUGAAACACCGUUGUAUAUAAAGUUAAUCCUGGUGCAUAGCUUUCUCAUCUUUGUAUGGUGUGGAUGCUGGGUUGAGUAAGUUGCGCCUUGACCACAUGCUGUGUUCUGAGGACUUGUUCUUUGGCCAACCCCAGCUUGUGAGACCGAGUGCGCCGACCCUUUGAGGCAGUUUCCGCCUCGUCCGACCCUUUUCAAGUAUGGACCGUGUCCGACCCCUUGGUUUGAGUUGGAUCAGAUCGUAGGAGUCUGUAUGUGGCAUGUGUUGCCUGAAGUGGAGUACCAGGUCAAGUAGAGGUUAUCUAUGCUGAGAAUGAGAGGAAUGUGCUUUCUCUAUGAGGACGUGUGUUGCACCAUUGGCAAGAGUCGCAUUAAGGGAUUUAAUUUAUACGUUCCAUUUGUUGGAGUACACCUAAGGUUAUGAAAUUAAUGGGGCGCUAACUCUUGCAGAUGGCGCACCGCACUAGGUCUGGUUCUGUGCCCAGCGGUAGCGAUCAACGACAGGAUCUUCCCCCGCCCCCGCCCCCAUCGCCAUUGGAGGCAAUCCUAGCAACUCAAACUGAGCUGCUAAGGCAUCUGGUGCAAGGACAACAACAACAGCCACAUGGUGGAAGAGCUCAGCCGCAGCCACACAUCGCACGGUAUGAGGAUUUUCUGGGGACACAGCCCCCUCUGUUCCAAAAGACACAAGAACCGCUCGAUGCCGACGCAUGGGUUCGUACGAUCGAAUCCAAGUUCGAGCUUCUCACCGCCCCAUGCCCCGACAACAACAAGGCGCGGUUUGCAGCUCAGCAGCUGCGUGGCUCCGCACGGCUUUGGUGGGAUCACUACCAUGCCAUGCUGCCGGCUGGCCACGUGGUCAGCUGGAACGAGUUCAAGACGGCGUUCAAAGCGCAUCACAUUCCAGAAGGUCUCCUAGAGCGCAAGCUCAACGAGUUUCUGGCCCUCACCAAAGGAACUCGGGAUGUGCUGCAUUACGCCCAAGCUUUCAAUGACCUAUGCCAUUAUGCUGGCUAUCAUGCGGACACAGACGAGAAGAAGCGGGAUAGAUUCCGUCGAGGACUGAGCUUGGAGCUCAGGGAAAGGUUGAACCCCAUCAAGGUGGACACCUACAAUGAGUUGGUCAACCUGGCCAUCUCUCAGGAGGACUGCAUGCAAGCUCUCAAGGCCGACCAGAAGAGGAAAGCCUCUGUGGCAUUUUCGAGUCCACCGACUCGAAGGUUCCGGAUGGUCCCUCCACAAGCCCCUGGCCGACCCCAGCAGUCAGAGAAAUGGAUCGCCCGACCCCCGCCUGCAACAACGCCUCGUUUUCCAGGCUUCCAACCGCAAGUGCCCCGGCCGACCCUGCCAACGCCACCUCGCCCGGCAGCCAGUAACCGUUGUUUUACCUGCGGCAAUGAAGGACAUUUCGCAAAGGACUGCCCCAGGAUCAAGAAUCAACAGCAAGGUCAGAACCCCAUGGCAGCCAGAGGAAGAAGGCCCAAGGUGCAAGUCCGACAAGGCCGACUCAACUACACCAGCUUGACCGAGCUCCCCAAAGGUGCGCCAGUAAUGACGGAUACUUUCCUUGUUUUAAAUCAAGCUGUUGUUGUGUUGUUUGAUUCGGGAGCCUCUCAUAGCUUUAUCGGGAGUAAGGCUAGGGAAAGAUGUGGGCUAAGUGUCGGUCACACUAAGGAACCCUAUGUGAUCGCCACUCCUGGAGGAAGGAUAACGUCGGAUCAGGUCGUUAUUCUUGUACCUCUCCAGCUAGGUCCCACCCUCUUCAAGGAAAAACUUAUCAUCCUUGACCUAGAAGGCAUAGAUGUCAUCCUUGGUAUGGAUUGGAUGGCCCGACAUCAAGUGGUUCUAAAUACAUCAGCCCGAUCCCUCUGUAUCAGCUCACCCUCCCAUGGCAGUUCUACCAUAUCCUUGACCCAUCCUGAGUCUGCGUUUCCUUGUGCCUACCCUCUAUCGGGAGUCCGUCUAGAAGACCUCCCGGUUAUCUGUGAGUACCCUGAUGUGUUUCCAGAACAUUUGCCGGGUAUGCCACCUGAUAGAGAAGUUGAGUUUUCCAUAGAGUUGAUUCCUGGCACAGCCCCUAUAUCUAAGAGACCCUAUCGGAUGCCACCCGCUGAGUUAGCCGUGUUGAAGACCCAAUUGCAUGAUCUGUUGGAAAAGGGCUUCAUUCGACCUAGUACAUCAUCUUGGGGUUGCCCUGCCCUGUUUGUGAAGAAGAAGGAUGGCAGUCUACGUAUGUGUGUGGAUUACCGACCCCUCAAUGCUGUGACAGUCAAGAACAAGUACCCACUGCCACGCAUUGAUGUCUUGUUCGAUCAGUUAGCCAGAGCAAAGGUGUUCUCCAAGAUCGAUCUUCAUUCUGGUUAUCACCAAAUAAAGAUUCGACCCUGCAACAUACACAAGACAGCUUUCUCUACCAGAUAUGGACUGUACGAGUACCUAGUCAUGUCCUUUGGACUCACCAAUGCACCCGCCUAUUUCAUGUACCUCAUGAACUCGGUGUUCAUGCCCGAGCUAGACAAGUUUGUAGUGGUGUUCAUUGAUGAUAUCCUAGUGUACUCGAAGAACGAAGAAGAGCAUGCCGACCAUCUUCGUAUAGUUCUCCAACGGCUAAGAGAUCACCAGCUCUAUGCCAAGUUCUCCAAGUGUGAGUUUUGGUUAGAUAGUGUCAAGUUUUUGGGACACACUAUCUCCAAGGAUGGUAUCGCCGUGGAUCCCAGUAAGGUGCAAGAAGUCAUGGAAUGGAAGUCUCCUGCCUCAGUACACCAGAUCAGGAGUUUCCUUGGAUUGGCAGGUUACUAUCGGCGUUUCAUACCGGAUUUCUCCAAGAUAGCUAAGCCGAUGACCGAGUUGCUGAAGAAGGAGGUCAAAUUUAUGUGGGACACCAAGUGUGAAGAGGCCUUCAAGACCCUGAAGCACUUGCUGACCACAGCCCCAGUUUUGGCUCAGCCCGACCUCUCUAGGUCGUAUGACGUAUACUGUGACGCCUCUGGCACUGGACUCGGAUGUGUUCUCAUGCAAGACACUCGAGUCAUUGCCUAUGCCUCACGUGCGUUACGACCUCAUGAGCUAAGCUACCCGACCCAUGACCUUGAGUUGGCAGCAGUGAUACAUGCCCUGAAGAUAUGGAGGCACUACCUAAUGGGAGCUCACUGCAACAUCUACACCGACCACAAGAGCCUCAAGUACAUCUUCACUCAAGCCGACCUCAACAUGCGUCAAAGAAGAUGGCUGGAGUUGAUAAAGGAUUAUGAAUUGGAAGUACACUAUCAUCCGGGCAAAGCCAAUGUGGUAGCCGAUGCCCUCAGUCGCAAACCCCAUUGCAACUGCUUGUUGUCAACAGCCUUCACCAAAACCUUGUGUCACGAGAUGGGAAAACUAAGUCUGGAGAUUAUUCCUCAAGGAACCCUUGGUCACAUCAUCCUUGACUCAGUUUUGGAAGACCAAAUUCGGUCAGCACAAGUAAAGGAUGAAGAAAUAAAAUGGAUCAUUAGUAAGAUCUCAGUAAAGGAUGAGGGGUAUAAGCAAUUCCGGCAGGACCAAACGGGAGGUGUGCAUUAUGGAAACCGACUAGUAGUACCCGCUGACCCCGAGCUGAAAAAGCAAAUCCUAGAUGAAGCUCAUCUUUCCAAGUUCUCAACCCAUCCUGGCAGCAAUAAGAUGUACCAUGAUCUUCGUCAAACCUUUUGGUGGAGUGGAAUGAAACCAGAAAUAGCUCGCUAUGUCUCAGAAUGUGACACCUGUCAACGUGUCAAGGCCAGUCAUUUGAAGGUAGCAGGAACCUUGCAGCCGCUACCUAUUCCCUCUUGGAAAUGGGAAGACAUCAGCAUGGACUUCAUAGUUGGGUUACCCCUUACAACACAACGAUAUGAUUCCAUCUGGGUUAUAGUGGACCGUCUGACCAAGACAGCACAUUUCCUUCCUAUUCGCACCACCUACACAGUCAAACAAUAUGCAGAGUUGUACCCCGACCGUAUAGUUUCCCUACAUGGUGUACCCAAGACCAUCGUCUCUGAUCGAGGAGUUCAGUUUGUGGCACGUUUUUGGGAGCACCUACAAGCAUCUAUGGGCACCAAGCUCAUCCGAAGCUCGACCUAUCAUCCUCAAACCGAUGGCCAAACCGAGAGAGUCAACCAGAUUCUUGAAGACAUGUUAAGAGCUUGUGUUAUCCACUAUGAUAAGAAUUGGGACAAGUGUCUGCCCUUAGCAGAAUUCUCCUACAAUAACAGCUACCAGGCCAGUUUGAAGAUGGCACCGUUCGAAGCCCUGUAUGGCCGGAGAUGUAGGACACCCUUGAACUGGUCCCAACCAGGGGAAAGACAGGUCUAUGGCCCUGACUUAGUGGCAGAAGCCGAAGAGCAAGUGAAGGUAAUUCAAGCUAAUCUCAAGGCGGCCCAAUCUCGACAGAAGAGUUACUCCGACCGGUGGAGAAGACCCCUGCAGUUCGACCUUGGUGAUCAUGUGUACCUUCGAGUAUCCCCGACCAAAGGAGUGCAACGGUUUGGAAUAAAAGGCAAGUUAGCUCCCCGCUAUGUUGGCCCUUAUGAGAUUGUGGAGAUAUGUGGACCCGUUGCUUACCGGAUCCAACUUCCAGAACAGCUAUCGGCCAUACAUGAUGUUGUCCAUGCGUCUCAACUGAAGAAAUGUGUCCGAGUUCCAACAGAGAUCUUAGAGCAAGAACAGCUUCAGGUAGAGCCCGACCUGACCUACGCUGAGUACCCAGAUCAAGUUCUUGACCAGAAGGAAAGGCACACCCGACGCCAAGUGGUAAAGAUGUACAAGAUCCUCUGGAGAAACCACACCAAAGAUGAAGCAACAUGGGAAACGGACGAGUAUUUGAACAAGCGUUUCCCAGGUUUUCUAUCUCACCAAGGAGGUAAAAACGUCAUCCUGCUUUUGAUGCCUGAAUCUCGGGACGAGAUUCUUUUUAAGAGGGGUAGGCUGUAACGACCGACCCCUAAACCUUCCCAGUUAGUUUUGAUCAGAGCCCUUGAUCAAAGUCAUCUGUCUUGUUUUCCCACGCCGAGUGCUCAGCCUUCCGCCUGGUUCCGACCCCGGAGACCUGACCCCUCUCUGCUUCGUUCCUCUCCCGACCCCGGCAAGCACAGCCCACCGUCGGAUCCUGAUAAUCUUUCUCAACCAUCCGUUCUAUCCACCGGUGGACCCGCGAGAUCUUUUCCCAGAUCCUCCGCGACAGCCGCACUCGAGUUGCAUGGCCGCCUCAGAGUCUUCCUGCCGCGUGGCUCGUCUUCUCCGACGCCCGCCGCUCAGUUUUGUCUCUGGCAAGCGACCGAGUGGGUUCUCGCGCCCCCUUCCCCAAUGGCAGCGGAAGCCCCUCUGCACCCCUUUCUGCAGAGCCUCGCCUCCCGCGCCCAUCAUCACGCCGCCAGAUCCCGGCCCCAGAGCCCAAUGUCGCCCGUCUUUUCCGUCCCUUCAGCCACAGUCGCGCCGCCCGGUCGCCGCUACACGACGAUUCCCCCACCGCCAACCCCGACCGCGGCCACGACAGCUCCUUACCCCCGCUCUGUCAAAAGCCGCCCGACAAUCUGUUGUUCCGCGCUCGCCCGCGCGCCCGCGUCUGCCUGUCUUCUCACCUGUGCGUCCUCGAUUCUAGCGCCGUUAAACCGGUCACUUCUAUCAAAUCUUCCGCACGGCGACGCACGCUUUCCGCCAAAUCUCAACCACCAGUCUACCCGCUCCUACGCCGCCCUGACGGCAGAACGCAAUGAUCGCUGGCGCCACCCCCGGAGUUCUGCACCACCGCCCUCUUCGCUCAAUCGCCGCCCCGGCAGAGCACUCCAUUGCCUCUCCCCGGCCUUCGCGCCGCUUCACUUCUCUCUCUCCCGCGCCGCUUCCUUUCCUCCGCUCCAGCAGCUAUAAAAGGAAUGCCCCCGUCGCCGGAGUUCCCUCCGCCAUUGUUGCCUUCAGCCUUCUCUCGCUCUCUGCUCAAGCUCCUAGCGCCACCCACCCAGUUCUUGAGGAGUUCUUCUCUCAGUUCUCUCUCAGUUUCUCCAAGUCACCCAGCAGCUUGCUCCUCCGUGCUGCGUAAAAGCUCUCUUGUGAUCUGCAAGAAGCACCGCCGCCGCCGUAGCUUUCCCAGUCUUAGCCCUUGUUCAAAGCUUAGUCCCUCCGCCCAAGUCUGCUUCUUCCCGACCCCAAGCUUUCCUUUCAGGAAGAAGGUGAGUUGCCGACCCCAGUCCGCCUCGCCCGACCCCUCCUAUCCGCCCGACCCCGGUUUCGUCUCGCCCGACCCUAUCUGUUCCGCCGACCCUUAUAUCCGCCUCGCCCGAGGGUUCGGCUGUGGUCUUUUUCUUCAACCCGAGGGUGUAUGUGUAAAACUGGGGAACCCUUCAGCGCUUGCGUCUAAGGACCCCCAGUAUAUCACAUCCUCUGGUUCAAGGAUCAGAUCAUGAAUUCCUUUCCUACCCUUAUCUCUUGAUCAUCAUCAGCUCUCUUGAACCACCAUAACCUCCUGCUCUUUGUCGUGAGUUUCUGGGCUCAGGCGAGCUAGUGUUGCUGUUGAAAUAGCUAUCUAUGCUAACCCUUGCAUUGCAUUCGUGUAGAGCUGCACCUCGCCGACGGCUUCUACGAGCUUCACCCGGCGCCAGAAGAAGAAGCUGUAGCCGAGCUCCUGCCCUCCGAAGCCGAAGUCGCCUCCGAAGUCGAGCAGUUCCCGUCCUCCUUGCUUGAAGGCAAGCCCCGGUUGCAUGAAAAUCCUACGUGUUUUGCCAGACUUGCGCAUGCCUUCUGUAACAUGCGUGUGCAUUUACGUAUAGGAGUUGUGUGAAACCCUAGAUGCAUGACUUAGUUGUCCCAAUGAUCUGAGCACUAGCUGUUGGACCGAGUAGUUGCAUUGCUUAACUAGGAGACGGUAAAAGUCGAGUGAUCUCCUGUCACUCGCGAGUUGUAGGAGUUGCAUGUUUACUCUCCUGUCAUAACCAUAAGGACGAUGGACGGGGCAGGGUUUUGGUAACUCUUUGGUGGUCGGAUGGUUGCCCCGUCUGUCUAUGAAAUCUUGCUAAGGCCCGACAGUGGUGGUGUUCGUGAUCAAGUGUUUGAAAGUACUAGCCUCAUACUUAGUAUGGGAUGAGGAAGCCUAGUACCUGAUUGAACCUAGACGUGAGCGGUCGCCCCAUUGUUCUUGGAACGGAGUUUCCCCUGCUGGUUGUCGCACGUGGUGGCAAGCGUGGUCACAGAACGGCAGAGGCCGGGUCUGUGGAACCUUGCACCAAAGGAAAUGGGCCUGACACGGGUUAGGGGAUUGAUGGGGAAGGCCGACACAGGAAGCGACCUCCGGGUGCGCGGAUGUCGUGAGGCUAGGUUCACCAUGCAUGGUUAAAGAACUCGAAUCGAUUCGUCUGCCUCUCACAGUCUGAGAUUGCUUGAUCGCUAUGUCACCCUGAGUAAAUGAGGAAUCUGAUGAUGGCAAAUGUUUGUUGUUAUAUCUAUACCUCUUGUUUGGCUCUCUGAUUGCUUAGAAUAGGUUGCACAACCUAGACUGGUAAAUGAACCUAGAACCGGAGCUAAAACUUGAAAAUAGGGUUACUUAGUGCUUUUGGCAAACAAACCCCUCAGCCAAAAAGCCCUGCAUGUCUAGAAGGAGGAGUAGUUUACUCCUAUCGGUUAAGUCUUGUUGAGCUUAGUAGCUCAGCCUUGUUGUGGCUCCUGUUUUUCAGGUGAGGUUGUUGCGCCCGGCCCCUCUCUGGUUGGUGCUUGGCCGCCCCAGCUUCCACCAGGCUGGACGGUCGAGUGGGAUCCUUCCUCGGACGGCGAGGAGAGGAACCAGUGAUGUCCCGGUUGGCCUCACCAGGGAUGUCCGACCCCGACGAAGUCUUCCGCUAGUGAUUUUACCCUUGUUGUUUUCCUUGAACCUUGCAAAAACUCUGAUGUUGGAUUUUAUGGCCGAAUUAAAUGGGUAAAACUUGUUUAACUCAGUGGACUCGUUGUAUUCUCUGUAACCACUCACCUUCGUGUGGGUUUGCUAAACUCGAUCCUGUUUAAGUGGUUAAAUCGGAGGAAAUCCGACGGCACUUCGUAUUAACUCGGUUUAGGCAGGAGUGUUGCAUGUUAGGCGGCUUAACCCUGCUUAAUCAAGCUAAUCCGAGGUGGUUCCGCCACACAUAUGCAUCAUCAGCAGGUACUGGUGGUAGUGGGGUGUCUAGAACAUCUCCCUUUUUAUCGGCCCUGAGAACAAUUCUCAGGUUACGGAUCCAAUCCGAGUAGUUUGUUCCAUUCAACUUGUCCUUCUCAAGAACCGAACGUAAAGCAAAUGGUGUGGUGUUGCUAGGUGCCAUUUAAUCUACAACAAAAGUAAUGCAAAAUACACUAAGACAAACGUAUCCAUGAUAGAGCAAAUCACAUUAAACUAUUUUAACAAAAUCUACUCCCACUAAAAUCAAUAUCCCUCUAUUGAUACUUAGUGAUUCAGGAUCCACAACUAACAAGUCUACUAGUGAGCUUUAGCAUCACCGCUAACAAACAAAGUAGAUCGGUAAGCAACUUUUGCUAAUCAUAUCACAUAUGACUCCUGUUGUUGGGUGACAUCUCCAUGUCUCGGCGCUCAACCUUUAUGCCCCAAGGUACUUAACCGUUAAGUUAACAUUGUUAAGCAAACCAACCCUUAUGCGUGUAAGUGUCCGACACAAACCCAUCUAAUCAAGGAAAACUAGUGGCACCCUAAUUUCAUAGACCCACCACUAAUUGUACAAGACAUGGGAUGGUGCAAGUUUUAGUUGGGAGGGCAUACUAACUUAAACUUUGUGAGGGAUCAUUCUACUUCUAACAACACAGCAUGCAUAAAGUAAAACAUAAACAGAAUAGCAUUCACACAGUUGUGACACAGUAUGGCCCGUUUUCAUAUGAUGAUCUCCAUCUCCAUAGAACCUAUUCACCAUGGUGAUCUCCAUCUCCAUGUUCCAUGUGCGCCAUCCUCCUGGUGAUGAGUCCUCCAAGAACUAGAACAUGCUAUUACGCCUAAUAGCUAGUAAAGAAACUAGUAAUGAAGAUUACAUAAUUGCUUGGAUCAUCACAGAUUGGUACGCAGACCAUUAAAUACAUUAAGGUGACAACACAUAUGGUUCCUGCCGUGUUGCCGUACGUGCGACACGCAGGUCACGAAUGAGUUACACACAUGCAUCGCAUACACAAAGGGGCCAUACUGAUCAUAAGAUACAUACAUCCUGCAAAAUAGAGUUAAGCAUCCUAACGUUCCAAACUUUGGAGGCCCGAAACUCCAUCUUUCAAGCCGAAUUUGGGAAAUCUAACUACGCUGAAAACGGCGAAGCGAUUGAAUUUCAUGCGUAACUUUUUCUGUAGAUCAAUUUUCAUAUAAAAUUCGCCCCGAUCCGAGAUCGUACCGAAAAGUUACGGCUGAUUUACCGAAACAUACGCACACGGCAAAAUCCCGACCCCGGCAGUAGAUCCCAUCUACUAUUGCACAUCUCAUGCGCCUGGCGUAUGAACCUGGAUUUCGAUUCGACCAAUCACAUUGAUCUUCGCUCACUGCAACUGGAAUUACGUGUAUCACUUAGCUCUGAUGGCGGAAACCCGACCGGUAGGAGUAUGUCGUUACACUACCAUAGCAGCAAGAACACGAAACCAGGACAUAGAUCAAAUUGAAAACUCGCAUAUCUCCAUAUGCACACAUCCCGAAUUCAAAACUAAACAGCUACGGCUCUGAUACCACUGUUGGGAUACGAGGUAGGCUAUACUAGCGCAAAUCAAAAAAUUUCUACCGCGUAAACAAGGAAAACUGCCGUAUAAGGAUCACAGGAUUACCACUCGACACACUACUGGUGCGGAAGAUGUAGCUUCGCGUCAAUGCAGCGAAGUCGAUCAACGUAGUCAUAUGUAGUCGAUCACGUCAACGUCCAGCCGCUCCUUAGCAGCUCAUCCACGUGUAGCAAGAUCUCCCUCGUGCCGCGGCUCGUCAUCGGCUCGUCGUGGUUCAUCGGCGGCUCGUCGUGGCUCGUCGGCGGCUCAUCCAAGUGCUGCAGGCGCAACACCUCCAAGGUAUCCACAUGUGCAGGGAGGAAGCGUCGCAAGCCGGACUGCUAGAUCCGUGAGUUGCAACAGGCGAGGGCGUGGGAGGCGCGGCAGAUGUGUUUUGCCAAAAAGUGUAAACCCUAGGGCGCCCCCACCCCUCUAUUUAUAGAGGUUCCUAACGGGCCUCUGGGUUCGAGGCCCAUUAGUACUUCUAAACCUAAUCCAACUCAGAUCACAUCCGAAUUGGGCUUCCAGCCCCUUAAGUGUGUGACCCUAUGGGUUCGAAUACGUAUAGACAUGGCCCGAGUACUCCUACUCGGCCCAAUAGUCGGUAGCGGCCUCUAGCAAGACGUGCCAACUCCUAUAUGCACACGAAGAUCAUAUCAGACAAACCAUCACAACAUUAUAUACAUGCUAUUCCCUUUGCCUCACGAUAUUUGGUCUAGCUUCAAGCCGACCACUCUUUCUCGAUCCUGUGAUUCGGAAUCCCUUUAUAGGUCAACUCUUAACCAUACGUAGCAUGGCCAUGCAUUUUCGGAUCCGAUCACUCGAGGGGCUCAGAGAUAUCACUCUCAAUCAGAGAGGGGCAAAUCCCAUCUUGAUUGACCAUGUCUCACAGCAUGCUUCUUGACAAACCCGAAAGCUACCUUUAUAACUACCCUGUUACGGCGUAGCGUUUGAUAGCCCCUAAGUAGGUUGAUCCACAUCUUGAAUACAUGCGACAAUCUCAGGUCUAAGGACAAAGCGUAUAUGUUGUUUAAAGAGAGAAUUACUUCUCGUGUUGGGUCAGUCCUAGCACAUGUCUCCACAUGUGCCCACAUUAUUAGUUCAACAUCUCCAUGUCCAUGACUUGUGAAAUAUAGUCAUCAACUAAUAUAUGUGCUAGUCUAAUAUUCAUGUGUGUCCUCACAUGAACUCCGACUAGGGACAACUUUAGAAUAACCAUACAAGUAAAGAGUUUCACACACAAUUCACAUAAUUGCAAAUCAAUUCAAGUAGCCUUUAAUGGAUAUUCAAGGAACACAAUAUAAAUCAUGAAUACAAAUGGAAUAUCAUCAUCUCUAUGAUUGCCUCUAGGGAAUACCUCCAACACACAUGAUGACCGGGGUGACGACUAGAAACCGUUGAGGCAAGUGAGACCUAAGAGUCAUGGACUCGGUCAAAUUGGAGAUUCGACAAACACGAAGUAGAUCUCAAUUGCUACCCCCCUUGGUACAAAAUUCCUUGCAAUCAUGCAAGAUCAUGCAAGAGAAGUUUGGCCUAAAUUUUGUUCUAGAAAUGGACUCAAAAGAUUUUUCAAACAGAAUCAACCCAGUUUUGUUUUCAGAAUUUUUAUGGAAAGGGAAAGUGGCCAGAAAAAUUCCAGCUUGCAAAUGUGGGAAAAAUCAAAUAUGCAAAUGCAAAUAUCAAAGAAAUCUAAAUGUUGGGAAGUAAAUUUGGAAUAACUACCGAUUUACUUGUCGGCAAGGACUCACCAAGUUUACGUCCGACGAGCAGGACUCUUCUACAAUGUCUUCAGCUCGAUCAUGUGGCGUCUGUUCCUGGAGAAGUGGCUGUAGAUGCUCGUUCCAAUUUUCGCCACACCUUCUUGAUAUUCUAAGGUUUCCUUUGUGUGGUCAGUGGCUUCUUGGACUUUCGGGGUUGUGAGUCGAAUUGCUACCAUGGCAUCAUACUCGUUCUUUGUUGCUCAAUAACCAUGAAGUUCUUCAUGAAUGAGAUGAGGCUGUCCAUUUCUGGGGGUGUCACUUCAACCUCCUUGAUACGAGUGUUGAUUCCCUGCUUGCUCUUGAUCAUAGAGCAUUGCUUCUUUCUCGGACGGAACUCGAACUUUUCCUCCUUGCCAUUAAUGUGGAGUCGGAUUACUUUGGCCCCCACAUCGAUGCAUGCAUCCUCGGUGCUAAGGAACGAGCAUCCAAGGAUGAGCGGUGAUUCCUUAUCGAUAUCCAUAUCAAGCACCAUGAAGUCGAUGGGCACGAAGCAAUCCCAGAUUUUCACCAGAAUGUCUUUGGCAAUUCCCACUGGGUACCGGACCGAUGAAUCGGCCAGCUACAGCCGCAUAAGAGUUGGAGACAAGUCUUUGUAAUUGAGGCAAUCAAAAACUACCUUCAGCAUGACGCUGACGCUAGCUCCAAGGUCGCAGAGGGCAUGGUCGAAGCGAUAUGUACCGAUCGUACAAGUGAUCGUGGGACACCCCAGAUCUUUCUUCUUCUCAGGAAGCCAGUUGAGUAUAGCUGUGCUACACUAUUCCGUAAGCUUUACCACCUCCGAAGUGGGCAUUGAUCGCUUGUUGCUGAGGAUGUCCUUGAGAUAUCGUGCAUAUGUGGGAACCUACAUCGCCUCCAGCGGUGGAACAUUGAUGUGGAUCUUUUGGAUCAUUUCCACAAAAAGGAGUGAAAUGCUCAUCCACGGACGACUUCCUAUUGCACUGGGGGAAUGGCAAGAUCUUGGUGUCAAAGAACUCAUGCGGUGUCAUUUUCCCCUCGGGCGCCUUCCUUCUUUCGGGCGCCUUUCUUACCUCAGCCAACUCCUCCAUGUUGGAGUGGCCUUCAUUGGAUGCCUCAACUUCUUUCGUGCCUUCCUUAUUCUUUCCUGCAUGGUUAGGAUAUGGUGGAUCGCGAGUGGUCUUACCCCUCUCGUGGUCACCGCACUAGCAUUCUCACGAGAAGACUCGAGUUGCCCCGGGAUAUUCCUGAUCUCAGCAGAAGGAACAGCACAUCCAGCUAAGCUAACUAGGUUUCUAGCAUCUUAUUAAAGCCUAGCUAGUUCUUGAAAGCAGAAGAAAGACCAUCAAGUUUUAUGUUGAGGCUCUCCAAGGUUUUCUCGUUGGCAGCUAACUUUUUAGUGAAGCUUUCAUUGAUCUUAGCUUGCCCAAAAAUGAGAUCUCUGAAGGAGGGUUGAUUAGGAUUGAAAGAAUUACCAUAGUUAUCUCCUUGGUAAGGGCAUUGCUGAUUCCACCCUUGGCCUCCUUGUGGAUGAUAUCCGUUGUUGUUGUCGUUCAUGUACAACACAUCCUCCUGAGUCUCGGGGCAGUUAUUCCCUGAGUGUCCAGUGUUUCCACAAACCUCACAUGUCAUGUGAGAAUCCAUAGCUUGGACGAUGUUGGACAUGGCAGCUUUCUUUUUGGUGUAGUAAUCCAAUCUGUUCAUGAGGAGGUCCAUCUUAGCGGUAAGCAUAUCCGCUUCCUUGAUGGAAUGCGUACCUCUCUAUCGGGGCUAGAGUCGUUCAUUGCUCCACCCUUGAUUAGAGACCAACUUCUCGAUCAAUAUUAUAGCAGCAUCAAUGGUAAGUGAGAAGAAGGCUCCUCUAGCAGCAGCAUUAACAUGGCCUCGAGCUGUCGGAGUCAACCUAUUGUAGAAGUUAUGAAGAAUGAGCCAAUUAUCCAUCCUGUGGUAAGGAUAGGCCAGGAUGUACUCCUAAAGACUUUCCCAUGCCUCGGGAAUUGACUCUAUAGCUGCUUACUGGAAACUCGAAAUCCUUCCAUGAAGGGCAUAGGUUUUUCCCAACGGAAAGAACUACCCGAGGAAUGCCGCUAAGCAUUUAUCCCACAUAUCAAAAUCUUUGAACGGCUUGCAUAGAACCAUUGCUUCACUCUCCCAAGGAGAGAAAAUAGGAACAGUCGGAGACGAAUAGCAUCUUAACUUACCCCUCUAAUGGUGAAGGUGCUGCAGAGCUCUAGGAACUGCUGUAGAUGGGCGCUCGCAUCCUCGUUGGCUUUCCCACAGAAUGGGCUAGCCUGCACCAUGGUAAUGAGACCCAUCUUAAUAUUGAAGCUUGCGUUCCCCGUGUCCACCUCUGGACCUUUCAGCACUUGAGAGGCUGAGGGAGCGGAGUGCUCAUGAAGAGUAUUUUGGACCAUCGCGUUUGAUGUAGAUGGUGCAAAGGAAGCUGGGUCGACUACUAAGAGACUAAUCUGAGGAGGAACGACACGAGAUCGUACCCUUCUCACAAGUGAAUCUGGAUUCUCAGUGAAAUUAGUCGGCAUGUCAAAACCAGUCAUACACUACUUAUCUUCACAUCAAAAAUAGAGAAGACAUAUCAAGGUUAGCUGCUUGAGUAAAGAUCUACCAACUAUGAAUACAAAAAUAUACAAAGUAAAAACUUUUAACCAGUGCCAUCCCUGGCAAUGGCGCUAGAAAUGCUUGUCGGUAUAUUUAAUGAUCAUGAAUAAAUCCGCAAGCGCACAGACAUACCGUUGUAGCAUUUCACCCAAGAGUAUUCACAAGGGUAUCGUAUUUCCCAAAGGAAGGCGGGUAAGUCAAAAGAGUUUACUAUGCAUAUGAGUAUACCAUAGAUGGAUAGAGACAAUACUCAAGACAGGGGUAAGAUAGAUAGAUAGAUAGAUAGAUAGAUAGAUAGAUAGAUAGAUAGAUAGAUAGAUAGAUAGAUAGAUAGAUAGAUAGAUAGAUAGAUAGAUAGUGUGACACACACAUGAUUCAUCUCAAGAUAACUAAGUUAAGGAGAAGGACUAAGAGUUAGCUCUAGGUUCAUAUGUACUUCCUAUAUACUUCACAGAUCAUACAAGCAUAGCAUACAUACACGUUGUAUAGAACUUAGGCCUAUGCACCCAAGCACACAUGGGGAGAUAAUACCUGUACUGGUUCCGCCCAACAAAGUUACUGCUAAUUUAUAAACUCCUACAGUGUACCCGAACAUGGAGGAUUACAAAAGACCAACAGGGCUAUCACCACCUGCGGCCUACCUUUGCGGCUCGUGGGGCAAACUCAUAUCCAAUGAAGCUAAGCAAUCCAAGCACCAUGCUUGCAUUGUUAACAACACUCCAGCCGACCCGAGCUAUUGUGACAAGGGCUGAAGCUGCCAUAGAAAUAACCACUAAACCGAUGUCGUAGCAUAGAUCAACUAAGGUAUACAAGGUAUAUAAGCACACAGAGUAUAACAUGUAGCAAGGCCUCAAGGCAUACAUGAGAGUAUAUAAGCCUAUACUACGAUAGCAAGGGUAUGCGACUAGCAUACGAGCGUAUAAGCCUAGCACAUCAGCAUAACAAGGGUAUACAACCAACUCAUGCAUAUGAGAACCAAGCACAACACUAUAUAAAGAAGAUGUGUACUUUGAGUAGAAUAAAGUCAACCUAGGAAAAAAAAGAUACAAAAGCCAUACCCUAGACUCCAAGGAGACCUAGAACCUGAAGUAGAGCUAUUCUAGCCUAACUCCACUAACUUGGAAACUAAGAGGGAGAGAGUGAAUCACUAGUUGUGUGUGUGUCCUAGAAUGGAGCCCCUCCCCUCAUAUUUAUAGGCUCCACGAGGCAGUUCUGGCACAGGAUCUUCGGGGAAUAUGCCAUAACCGACGUAAGGGAGUCACCAUCAGUCGCCAUGUGGAAGCUGACCAUGAGGGGAGGCAGAUGCGGUUCAGCCGAACCCCUGGUGGCCCCUCUUGUAACUGCCUUUGUGUGGUAGUCUAACAUGUGAGUCCCAAUGGUGGUUGUGUGCGUUAUCUGGUGGAUUGAAACGGUUGUGGUAGUUUGUGGGCCCUUCAAUCCAUGGGAUGCACACAUGGUGACCUCCCAUUGGCUAAAAGCGUGUUUCUUGGAUCCAUAGAGGAUGUUUUCUCCAUCCUUUUGUGCUCAUUCACCUGCAACCAAAUAUUCUCCAAGGACAAGUGGAACUACAUUAUUUGAAACCAAAUAUGUGUGUAAAAAAUGACGAUCCUCCUUUAUUUUUGAGUAUAUUGAUGGUCAUAUUUGGUACUUAAUGACCAUCAACAAUAAUAUGUAGCCGAUUUGUUGGCCAGAUGCUCUUACCAUUCUUUCCACCAUCGGACAAAGAGCCUUGAUGCGUAUCCCAUGAGACGUUUCCAUUCCGAUAGAAUAGGAGAAGGCAAUGAAGAGGUUAAGUUCUUAAUCUGUCAACUCAAAGGAUUGGUCCAAGCAAUCUCUUGCUCUCACUUUAUCUAUGAAGAAUAGGCUGAUUGGGACAAGCUAAAACCUUGUUGACGAGCAAAGACUCACGGAUGAUAAAAUUCAUAAGAAGGUUUCAGAGAUCGUCCUUGGUCAAAACCAAUAGGGAGUACGCAAGGGGAAAUGCUUGUCAACAAGAUGGAUGUGCUACGUUCAUCAAUACUAGAGGGGUGAUGACUGAAGAAAUCCGUUGUAGAAGAUUUUGAACAGAUCGGCUAUUGAUGAUGCUAUUAGUAAAACUCCAGGACAAGCCGUGCUGCUCACCAAAAGAUGUGCAUCUACGACGGAUGACUUUAUCCCCUUCAGUAUAGUUGGAUGGAAAAGUGUUUGCAGUCAUGUUUCUCCCAAAUGUCGAUGCAAUAUAAAUAUUGAGACAUAAUUGCAUAAACCACCAUGGACCACUGAUCGGGCAGACAGGAGAACCAGCUAGUAGUCUGACCGAUACGCGGUGCAUCAGAAAUAUGCAGCACCUAAUAAAUAUUGCCCAAGUGGGAGUUUCGCUACGAUUGACAGUUUUUCUGCGAAGCACUGCAUAUUUGGAGUUGGAACUAGAGUUGAUCCAUAGAAUACAAAAUUCUCUAACCACGUAUUUAGGAAGGCUGUAUGCUCCUUAUCGCUGACAGGUCUUGCAGUUUUGCUAUAAGUGGUGAUGUAUCUGCUCCAGUUCAUCAUAUCCCUUGUAUCCAAUUUGUGCUUGUUGAGGCUUUUAAGAUGGAAUGGAGAAACAGGGGAGGUGAUGUCAAGACCUGUCACCAUAUAAACAUCUAGCAAACUAGGAGCCAUCGGACCGUCCCCAAACAUGAAAGCAUUCAAUGCAUCAGACCAAAAGUAUAAAGCUGCGGCUAAAAGGGGGUCAUACUUUUCCAUCUCACACAAGGAAUGUUCUAUGCAAUGGCCGAUGCACAAUUCGUCCCAUUCUACUCUUUUAGCUACUGAUACCCUACGAUACCAUGUCCUCCAACCUCGAGUUUCACAUGACCAUGAGCUGAAACUAUCUUUCCAGUUAUCUAAAUCCAUGGAGGAUGUUCUGUAGGGAACUCUUUGGGUUUUAGCAUUAAUAAAGUCAGUAGGGUCUUCAUUGCCCAUAGGACCAACGAAGAAUGCACCAUUCAAAUCGCUAAGCGGAAUCAAAACAUGAUCUAUAAGUGCCUAGAAUGAAUUAAAAUUGAAAAGAGGGAUUGAGAGAUCCAACAAAAAGGAGAUCAGAUCUAAAAGGAUCAGGACAAGGUGAUGGCGUACAAUACCUCUGGAAUGAGGUUGGACGUGGCCAUUGGAGGUGGAUUUCGAAGCUUCAGUGCCCGUGGUGUUUGUUGAAGAUGAUCGCUCAUGUGGAUGUUUAGUUUUGAUUUAUGGCUACGGAAAGCUUGGUUGGCUUGGUAGAGAAGAUGACAGGAUGGGGCAGUUAUAUAAUAGAUUUUGGUCGGGUGAAUCCCGAAAAUCGAGGGAGGUGCCAUCGCGAAACUUAGGGAAAAAGAUCAUGAUUGCGGCAAUGACUCUUUUUGCUUCGGAAGGAUAUCAGCUCGGAACCUGUGAAGAUGCUGACAAGCGAAGAGAAUUUUGGAAAAUAAUAUUAUAUUCCAAAAUUAGGGAGCAUAUGUUGACAUCGGUUUUUUACCAGAGUUACUUGAUGAGCAUAAGGUUCUGAUAGCUGAUGAACUUGUAGAAGAAAAGUCUGUUGACGCCCGACGUUGACCAAGGCCAACCACGGACGACCGGAUUCUAGAAGCCGAUAGAAGACCAGGAGGAAUCCGAUCCAAAGCGAAAUCGACUCCACCAAAUAAGGGAAAGCGUGAAGAUUUAUUUUUAGUAGUUUUUAGAUUCAUUGUAACGGUUCAUGUCAUAACUGAUUAGGAUUUUAGCUUGCUCUAGGUAUAAAUAUAAACCCAUGAGCUAUGUAUCGAAUAAUCAUCAAUCAAUCAAUACAACCUUUUUUUUCAGCUCCACGCUGCCAAACCCUAGGACUAGAAGUAGAGUAGAAACCGGCGAGUUUCUUCUUGCGUGCAGGCCUGCAUUGGCUUCGAUCUCAGGCGAACUUGUAAGUACCAUCACCCGGUCAUUAUGUUAUCUAUAUUAGUCAUUAGAACUUUCUAGGCUUCGUCCAAUAUUCUAAUAUCUUAACGUAAGGCUAGUUAUCGAGUUGCUUAGAAUCAAACAUAACUUUUUAGCGUAAUGCUCAUAGUUAUUGAACAGCUUAGAUCUAAUCGUUCUCAUCGGUUUCCUGAUCUUGUUUAAGCGUUCACCAAUUAUCUAAUUCUAUCAGCUGGUUUGAUCUUGCAUGCUUUAAUUGCUGCCCCUCGUAUCGUUAGCCUUUGGAUAUUUAACGUCAGACUACUACUGUUGAGCUGAUCCUGUCUUGGUUGGGUCCAAUCCAUCCCUCUCAAGUAGUAGGAUGAUGUUAUCGAGCCGAUGGCUACUCGUGCGAGGCUUUGUUGCUAUGUGCUAAUCUUUUACCUUAACGGUUAAAUUAGUUUAAUAGAUUAAAGUUAAUAUCCUCUCAGCUAUACUAUUUUAGUUAAGUCCAAUCUAGCGGCUUAUGAUAUUAAUUAGAUUUGUUAGAUCUGUUAGUUUAAUUGAGUUUAAUUGGUGAGCACGGGGUAGAUAAGUUAAUUUUUAAUAGCUGUUGUUCUAUCCUGCAUGUACCUUAGCCUGUCGGCUCAUAUGGCUAUAUACCAUUAAUGAUUCUAUUUAUUUACACUACAUGAUUACACUGAAAAUCUAACUUUAAAGAUGUUUAUUCAAAAUAACGCCUAUCUAUGAGCUUGAAUGCUUUACCGCCUAUCGACUCAGAAAUUUAAUGUUUCCCUUAUCAAUUACAAGUCAAAUUGACUGGCACACCUUGCAUCUUCACGAGCCGAUUUGGAGCCUGCACUGGAGUUAAGCACAUCUCCUAGAUCCUCCGUGUUAUCAACGCAGAAGUCUGAAGUCCAGAUUUCCUCCGUGUUAUCAACGCAGAAGUCUGAAGUCCAGAUUUUGCGUCAACAAAAAUAUAGCUACGUUUAGCUUUUUUUUUAGUCAAAUCUUUUUAACUUUGACUAACAAUAUCUGUAAAAAUAAUUUAUUUCAAAUAGAAAACGUUAAAUAUUAUAAUAGUUUGACUAACAUUAUUAGUAUUUAUAAUUAUUUCUCUGUUCGUAGUUAAAAUUGAUUUGACUUCGGGAAAAAGUCUAAAUUUACCUAUAUUUCAAAGUCUAAAUGAUACCGGCAUCUAAGAUAAAAAAGAAUAAUAAAUUUCGUGAGGUCCUUGACCCGAUCCGGUCCACGCAAGGCGCGGCCAUUGGCCUUUGACAGCUAAACGAAACCCAGUACAAAAGAAUUCCUACCCCACGGGUCCCCUCGUCCACCGUCGAGUCGAUCCCUCCGCCUCGCCCAGUUGCCUUGCUCUCGUGCUCUCCACCCGCUUCCGCUUCCCCGCAAAACCCUAGCCCCGCCACAUGCACCGCGGCGGCGGCGACCGCUCCGGAGGCCGGUUUCAGCGGGGCCCCUCUCGCUGGUCCAGCGGCGGCGGAGGCGGCGGUGGCGGAGGAGGAGGUAGCCCACCCCACCGCUACUCCCGCGGCGGGGAGGAAGGCGGUGGCGGUGGCGGGAGGUUCCACCCGUACCGUGGCUCUUCCGACUAUUCUGGCGGCGGUGGCGGGGGUGGAGGGUACAGAGGCGGUGGCGGUGUGGACGACUUCGGCAAGCAGAGGCACCGGUACGGCGGCGGUAACCGAGGCGGAGGCCGUGGGGAUUUCCAAGGUUCGUUCCAAAAUCAUGUGGUCCUUUUGCUAGCUAUAUGCAAUUGUUGGGUUGUGCUGUAUCGAGAUGGCGAACUUGAGGUUGCUUAUGCGUGGGUGGCUAGGUUUUUGGUGCUGAUAGGGUGGCUGAUUUGUGAUCUCCUUAGUUUAUGGAUGCAAAUUCAAUCAACUUUCUUAGAAAUUCUUAGUAAAACUGACUUAAGUCGACAAAUCUCUACAAAACUCUGUGCAUAGCAUGAGACCAUUGCAAUGGUACUAGCAGCAUGCCAGCAUGUGCUGUAAUGACAAAACCACCCAUCGUUUUCAGAGUGGACGAGCUGUUGAGUGGUUUUGGAUAUAUAGUAUCCACAUUGUCCAGGUUUUCUGCAUGUGAAGGGAGGGACAGCCACAGUUCUAUUUUGAUGCAUGGCUAACUUUUGUAGCAGUGCGAGUUAGGAUUUCUCUCAGGUUUAUUCUUGAGAUAAUCUGUUGUAAAUUUGUAGGAACUUGGCAUGCAGAUUGGAUGGAUCUGUUCACUCCUUUGAUAUUUAACUAAUUAGAUUGUAGUAGGGGUAUCAAUUAUGGACUACUUUUACCAUUGGUCCCCAAACAUCUCAAAAUUCAGUUUAUGUUACUUGACUUUUCUUUAACUUUAAAUCUUGUUUUUCCAUUAAGAGUUAUAGAGCAAAAUAUAUUGGUAGAGAAAUGGUAGAAUUUAUUAUUCUAUGGUAGGAAUAACAUAUGACAAAGUGCUGUAUGUGAAUGAACUUCAGUGGACAAAGAUUUCUAAAUCCUAGUCAAACCCUUUUUUUUGCUAAUAUUGAUGUUGCUGUUAAAAUUUUCCUGCAGAUCAUGAUAGCAGAAGUAAUUAUGUCAAACUUUUUGUUGGCUCUGUUCCGAGGACAGCAACUGAAGAAGAUGUGAGUAUUACUUCCGUGCUACCAUCUCUUCUUUCUUGCAUAGUAAAUUCUUUAUGUUUCGAUAGCAUAUAUAUUUUUGUAACUUUAUUCUUCCUGAGCUAAUGAUAUAAUUUUGUUUGUACUCAUGUUAGUGUUGUGUUAUCAUUUAUCACUAUGACAAAACAAACUAGAGGCUUCAAACUUAGAAGUUCUCUAAGGUACCUUACAAGAUGCGAAAGCUUUGUUUGUCAUAUAUAUCAGCUCAUAAAUAUACAAAUUUAAAAUGAAAUAAAGGCAUCUAGCCAGUCAUUGCAUGCUCCUUUUUUUGGGGUCAUUGUCUUUUUGGCUAACAAGUGAUUGAAUUAAGCUAGUCAAAUACUCAUUUUUUUCUGCGUGAUGUUUUAUUGUUCUGUUAUUUAGUUUUUAAUUUAUUGUGUUCUUCAGUUUGUGAUAGAUUCUUGUGUCCUCAGGUCCGUCCUUUAUUUGAGGAACAUGGAGAUGUUCUUGAAGUUGCUUUAAUCAAGGAUAGGAAGACCGGUGAACAGCAAGGUGCACUAUGACUUUGUUUUUUCUUUUAUUAUCACAAUGCGAGUAUCUGUUUUGUUUUCAGGUUUCUGAGAGGUUGUAGGAGCAACAAGGUUGCAUCUUCUCUCAGUUAGAUUUGGCGGUUGUUGAUUUUCAUUUCCUUCGCUUCCAUUCUGUCCGUCUCCUGUGGAUUCAGUAGAAGACUAGAAUGGAAGCAACUAACUGUCCGCUGAUUACUGCAAUCUAACUAGCCUCAACUCUACUGCUACACAAGGCAGCCGAUUCAGUAGCAAAAACUGUGUUUAGAUGAUAUUGACCUUCUGGAUGUCCUGUGUCACACUAGCAAUGAGGGUGUAGUUUCACCAUUGCAUCUAUGUGCCUUGAUUGUGAUGCAAGAACAGAUAACCUUAUGAUGAAUCAAUACAAAACUUUCCAUCCUUUCCCUUUCAUGGUUUAAGAUUUUAUUAUCCAUGUAAUCAUGAAUUGCAUGGUGUGGAAUCCCUUAAUGUGAGUGAUUGAAUCCCAGAAAAAAAGUGAUUGGAUGAUGUGGUAUAGCUGCAUAUUGCUAUCACAAUUGAUGACAGCUGUUGUGGUGUUGAUGACCUUGUACUGUUUGGAAAUGAUCACACGUGUUGUGCAUUGUCAAUCUAGAUUCAUCUGAUUCGAUGGUGGUAAAGUGUCAUGGGUGGUAUGACAACCUGGUCCGUUGAAGAUGAUGAAUCUUGUGAGUUCUGGGUUUGACUGGAUAUUCUGGCUGUAUGCAACUCGUGCGUGUAAAUUUUGGAUGCGCUUAGUGUUUCCGUGACUGCAUGAUGUUGCUUGACACAGCUGUUAUAGUGAUGUUUUCUGUUCGCGAGAAAUAUCUACAAUGCAAACUUCGAAAAUAAUGAUUCCAGCUGUAUGGCAAGCUUGGUUUGAUAUGGUUGGCAAUGGUGUUUUUAAGUUAUGUAACUGAGUAACUGAGUGGAUGACACAUGAUGGUAUACCAGUGCUGUGUGUCUUGCAUCUAAUGUAAACAUGGACACUUACCGAAUGGGAAUUCAUCUGUCCUGUGUGAUGAUUCACUCCAAAGUUCUUGACUUGUAGAAACGUUAUCUUUGUAACUGCUGUCUAUGAAAGGCCAAUGUUUAGUAUUCUGAAUUGGAUCAUUUGACAUGCAUCUGAUGAGGACGCACCAGGGAAAGUCCUUGGGCCUGAACUAUAUUAUUGGUCUUUUGCUGUUGGAAUGGUUGUUGCUUAUGUUAUCAUAGGAAAAGUUGAUGUUGAAUACUGAUUCUAGGUCCAUUACUUAUUUUAUAAAUGUGCAUCUGGGUUUCAAAGCCUUUGCCAUACAUGAUUUUAUUGCCACCAUUAAAGUGAAACACUCUGCAGUAAGGUCAUAAGCAUAUGUAUCUCAUAAUUAUUUAAUAUUAACUCUAGCAUGGUUGAUACAGUAGAUGGGUGAAAUUGUUGCUCAUUAUUGUUGGUGUACUGUCAUGUUCAGCAACUAGUAAUGCCCUGACUUCUGACAGAUUAUGCUCAUUUAAUGGACUAACUUUAUACUUUGUACCUAGAGGGUAUACAUGCAUGCUAUCUGUUGCUGAUCGAGUUGACAUCAUACUUUGUUUUGAUUGUUUUUCGUCCCUACUUAUCCAUGUGUGUUGGAUGAAUAUCUUUCUAGAAAGCCUUUUGGGCCAUUGGUGAAUCUGCUUAUUAUAUGGUUUUCUUUCAAGACUGAUGUUCCGUGUAUUCUCUAGACUAUUGAGUGUGUAUCCUUCUAUUGUUUACCAUGCACCUUGCAGUCCUUUUUAUAUUUCUCCUUAAUGCAUGUUCAUGGGAUGCAGCUGUAAAAGCCUUCCAAUGGAGCACCAGAUAUAACCUUGUGAUCUUGCUUGUUCAAAGUUCUUGCCAUUUUGGUGGCCUGUUUUAUAUAUUUACUUACAACUCUAUAAGCUUGUGGUAUCUAGAUUAAUGACUAUAUUGUUGCUAUGUUUCACUUUAUCAGCUUAUUGUAGCUUGCCUUUCAGCAAUUGCUAUGCCAAUGGACUGCUGUCAAAAUAUGUUGUGUUAUUAUGAUGAUGGUAUUGAAUACACUGGGAGCAUGAAGCCCCUCUAAACCUUCUGUUGUUCAACCUUAGAACCUUUCUUGGCCUUGUUGAUGACGAGUCUCCUAUCACUAAAUAUUUGUUGUGUGUUCAGUGACGUGUGUGACUUCUCAUGUUAUGCACAAUUUUGGUGCAUGAUGUGCUUUGCUAAAGACCUGUUACUGUUUGCAGUUUAUGCACCAUUAUACUAAGUGCAGACUGAGUUAUGAUUAUACCACAGCUGAGGAGUUAUGGAUAUGCUCGUGCUUUCUAAUGUGUGAAUCACCACUUCUUAGAGCAACUUGUAGCUAGCGUGGUAAAUUCCUGUACCUGAUGUUCUAUAGGUGUAUGACUUCGAUAUCGAGGAGUGCUUGUGGGUGCUGCAAAUGCAGUAUAGCCCAAAUUGAGAUCGUGAUGAGUUCUGCGAAGAUAUUUUUUUAUACCCUCUUCAUGCUUUAAUUAAUGGUUACUUGAAUGAGGCUUGCUCCUGAAAUGUGGAACAGUCUAAGCUGUUUUUCUCGACUGUUUAAAAAAAAAGGAAAUGUUAUUUGCCUCUUUAAAUUCAACAUAUCUCCUUUCUGCCUGCUGUUUCUUGACUGCUAUUAUUUGCCUCCUGUUUACUGACUGCUAUUAUUGACUGAUAUUAUGGCAGAUAUAGUACAGAAAAUAGUAACUCUGAAUAAUCGGCAUUUUUACAUUUGCAGGUUGUUGUUUUGUUAAAUAUGCUACUUCGGAGGAGGCAGAUAGGGCCAUCAGGGGUCUUCACAACCAAUACACUUUACCUGGAGUAUGUACCUCAUUGUUGGCUAUUUGUUGCUCUGUUUCUUUAUUUGCUAAUUAUUGACUGUGAAUCUUUUUAUGUCAGGCGAUGGGUCCUGUUCAAGUUAGAUAUGCUGAUGGCGAAAGGGAACGACAUGGUAAUUCCCUGGUAUUUAGUAGUUUACUAUGUGACCUGUCUGCAUUUGAUGUUAUCGUUGGUUUUGAGGCAACCUUAACAGUCCUACCUGUUUUAGACUCAGAACCUCGCAAAAUUCUUUGAUUUUUGUAUGUAAAAUUUCAAAAUACUGCAUCUUCAACACUAAUGCCAGCUUCUCUAAGAUUUGCUCCAUACCUCUACAUGCAGCUUAUCACAAAGCACUUUAUUUGUUAUAGCAUGUACAGACAAAUUUAUUGUGUUCCCCUAAUCUUUAUAGGUUUUACAAUUACAUGUACGAUGGUUCUUCACUUUAGCAGUGAUUUUUAUUCUGAUUAUGCAUUCUUCUGUAUCUGAAAAAUAUCAUUUCACUUUUAGAAAUUCUUUGUUAUUUUGUUGUGUUCAUCUGGGUUAUAAAAUCAUAAUGACAGAGUAAAAUUUGCUUGGCCUGUUUGUUUUUCUUCUUGAGAUCUUUUGUUUGUCGUACUUAUUGGGUGAUUUCAUUGGUUUCUUUUAACAAAAUUGCUAGGGGCCAUUGAGCACAAAUUAUUUGUUGCGUCCCUCAAUAAGCAAGCAACUCCAAAGGAGAUUGAAGAGGUAAGUAUUUUGCACUUCUUAUUUUCCUUAAGAAAAAAGUCCAAAUUACUCCCUUCAAAUGUAGCAAAAGUCUAGACCACCCCCUAAACUAUGUUUUGGUUCAAUUUACCCCCUAAAUUAUGCUAUUUGGUUCAACUUACCCCAUAAUGCAAUUUGUCAUUUUUGUUUCUUCAUACAAAAAGUUGAAUUUUAAUUUGAGACUUUGCAGGGUGGUAGUAGACAUCAUAAUCUGUAUUAAAAAUAUUUUAUGAAUUUUUCAUCAUUAGUUUUUAUAUAAUUUUGUAUCUCAAGGAUAAAUUUUAUGAUUAAAUAUUGUACCCUGUCAAAAUAAUGAUAAAAAUUUCGUGAUAUAUUUUUUUAACAUGUCUUAUAAUGUCUGCUAUCAUCUUGCAAAAUUUGAACUUAACACUCCACUUGUGCAUGGAGAAACAAAAAAGACAAAUUGUGUUAGGGGGUAAAUUGAACCAAAUGGCAUAGUUUAGGGGGUAAAGUGAACCAAAAAAUAUUUUAGGGGGUUAUCUAGACUUUGGUUAUACUUGAGGGGAGUAAUUUGGACUUUUUCCUUUCCUUAAUGAUUUAGUGAUUUGCUUGUCGCUAUCCAUUACCAACCUGAGAUACCAUAUACUUAUCUGCAUGGAGGACAUUAUUAACACAAAUUUAGUAGCUUGCAUUUCUAAGAUUGAUGAUAAAUGCAUUUUCUUCAGUUAGGAAACAUGUAGAAAAAUGCACAUUGAACCAUAUCUAUGUUUAAUAUGUUUUUCAGAUCUUUGCUCCAUAUGGUCAUGUGGAAGAUGUUUACAUUAUGAGAGAUGGCAUGAGGCAGAGCCGAGGUUUGUGAAUGUCUGUUUGCUUUAAUAUUUAACUCUUUUCGUUACAACCUUUUGUUUUGACUUUCGACUUAUGUAAUGUAAAGGUUGUGGAUUUGUCAAAUUCUCAUCAAAAGAGCCAGCAGUGGCAGCUAUGAAUGCCCUUAGUGGGACUUACAUAAUGAGGGUAAAUUUCUGUGCCAAGCUGACAUAUUCUGUAUUUUGCUUUCUUGAUAUUUACGGCAUAUUUUCUGUGUUAGGGGUGCGAGCAACCAUUAGUCAUAAGAUUUGCUGAUCCUAAGAGGCCUAGACCUGGAGAAUCGAGGUGAUUAACAAACUUUGACUAUUUGCAUAGCCUAUUUUAUUUUAUUUACCUGAGAUAAUUAUCAUCAUCAUCAUUUCUGCUGUCUGAUUUGCCUUUCUGGUUAGGGGUGGCCCUGCAUUUGGAGGUCCUGGUUUCAGUCCUCGAUCAGAUGCAGCCCUUGUUAUCAGGUUUCAGUUUCUCUACUCACUCAGUUACUUAGUUUUGCACAAGGACAAUUAAAUUAGGUUAUUAAUGAGAUGAACCAUGUGUGGUCGUUCCCUUGCACAUAGAGGAGUUGCUGACACUUAUGGCUUUUACUGAAGUGCAUUUGCAAAACCAAAGAUUGUAAGUAGAAGCACUGACAAAAGAACACAUGCAGUAGCUCUGUAAUAAUCCACAAAGGAUGUUUGAUGUAGGGAUAGAUAAGGUAUGAUGGUAUAUAGACAACAAUGAAAUGUCAAAUACCUUUUUAUCUUUUUUUUUUGCCUUAUGAAUAUGAUGGUAUAUAGUUGAGAAGUAAUUUCAUCUGAGUUUGCUUCAAUUUUUUAUUAUCCAGGCCAACAGCCAAUCUUGAUGAACCAAGGGGUCGGCACAUGCCUUCUGACUCUUGGCGUCCAUCAAGUCCAAGGUCAAUGGCAUCUAAUCAAUACAAUAAUUUUGGAUCUGACAAUCCCUUGGCGCUUGGUGGUGCUGUAACAUCAGCAGAUACUGUGUGUUUCAAGUCAUUCCUUUGUUAUGGUUUUACUUUCUGUUAGUUCAUUUCCUAACCUUUUUUUUUUUACCAAAACAUGACAGGCUGGUUUUCGACCUCCGAUGUUUCCUGGAAAUGGCUCCUUAUCAACUCAGACAGCUGUGCCAACUUCAUCGCAUGUGGUACAACUUGGAAUAUUAUGAUUUACUUCAGUUUCAUGAUUUUCUUUCCAUCGAAAUUGUUAUAUCAUUGUGAUGGGGACUCUGCUUUUUAGGGCAUGAACCCUCCCAUGGUACAAGGGCAUCAUCUGGGAAGCCAACAGAUCCCACCCAUGCAAAAGCCACCUGGUCCACCACAGAACUUCCCCGUACAAUUGCAGAAUGCUCAGCAAGGACAGCCCCUGCAGGGAUCUAUUCAACAGAUUGGGCAGCUUCAGGUUCCGCAAUCCACAGGACCUGUUUCAUAUGGCCAGAAUAUGCCAUCUAUGCAAUUACCUGGCCAACCUCCAGCAUCACAGCCAUUGAUGCAACAGAAUGCUUCUCUAGGUGCUUUACAGGCUCCUUCAUCUGUACAGUCCAAUCCCAUGCAGGGCCAGCAGCAACUUCCCACCAGUGUUGCUCCCCAAAUGCUCCAGCAGUCAAUGCAGCAGAUGCCUUCACAAGCACCACAGUUGCUGCUUCAACAGCAGGCAGCUUUGCAGUCUAGUUACCAGUCUUCACAGCAAGCGAUUUAUCAGUUGCAGCAACAGCUGCAACUAAUGCAGCAGCAAACUAACCUAAAUCAGCAACCCCCAGCACAGGUUCCUAAACAGGUACUUUCCUCAUAGUUAAUUGAUUAGACCAGCGACAUAUGAUAUGAAACCACUCUGCAUAUGUGUUUCUCUUGUCACUGUCUUCCGUUGUCAUCAAUUAUAUAUGGUUUCUGUUUUUCCUUGGAUCUAUUACUACAGUUGAAAUGUAUUCAAAGAUUCUUCGUAAUUCUACAUUUCUGUCUGGACAGCCAGUGCAAUCCAGUACCUCUGGUGCUCCAGGUGCCAUUAUUCUGACAAAUAUUAAUGCAAUUCCACAGCAGGUUGGUUCACCUGCAGUGUCUUCAACCUGCAACUGGACAGAGCAUACGUCCCCUGAAGGUUUUAAGUACUACUACAAUAGCGUUACUCGUGAGAGUAAGGUGAGGAAUGGUGCUAAUCAUGUUAUAUUUUAGCACAUUUUGUGGUUUAUUCUUAUGAGCUAUUGUGUCCUGCAGUGGGAGAAGCCUGAAGAGUUUGUGCUGUAUGAGCAGCAGCAGCAGCAGCAGCAACAGCAGAAACUGCUUUUGCUUCAACAGCACCAACAAAAGAUUGCAGCACAGCAACUGCAGUCACCACCACAGGGUCAGUCUCUUCCAUCCAUGCAACCGAUUCAACAACUUUCCCAGGCACAAGGACAAACACAAAUGCCGAUGAAACAGCAGGUGCACAUGCAGUUCCUUCUAUCAUAGUUUUGGUUUGUGGGUUUCUUUUUAGCACGGGCGACAGUUCUAUAUAGGUAUUUUUUGGUUGUGUGCAAACAUGCUUGAAAUAUCAUUUUUCUCUUGGACAAACUGGGAUUGUCCAAAUGAACGUGCUUUUCUUUUUGUGUAGCAUUUUUUCACUAUAGUUCAUCCUACUAGAUUCAGUUAGAUUGCUUUUGAACUUCACGUAAGCUUUUAUUUUGCUAUCUUCUGUUUGUCACGCAGGAUGCAAAAGAGGAUAAGGAUGUAUCAGUUGUAUAAAUGAGCCAUCAGCUCUGUAUUUAGAUGCCCUUCUGGUGAAAUUAGGAUAGAAUCUGAGCUCUUGUUUACUUCACCCCCAACUCCCAACUUUGACACUAUGCAAAAAGAAGAUUCCCCAUCACAUCAAACUUGCGGUACAUGCAUGGAGUACUAAAUGUAGACGAAAUCAAAAACUAAUUGCACAGUUUUGUUGUACUUUGCGAGACGAAUCUUUUGAGCCUAAUUAGUCAAUGUUUGGACAAUAAUUCACAAAUACAAACGAAACGCUACAGUUGCGCAUUUAUGGCAAAAUGUCAAUUUUGCCACUCCCAAAUUGGGAACUAAACAAGGCCGAAGAUGCCAGAUUGCCAGUUUUGGAGCAUUUUGUCUUUGGUUUUGUUUUUCAUUUUGGGUAUGUAUUACAAUAAAUUUUACAAUGUCUGAAGUUGUGGAGCUCAAAACUUGCAUGCAGGAAUUAAAUUACUCUCAAUUACAGGCAGCUGGUUCCAUUGACCCCAGCAGGAUUCAGCAGGUAGUCUAGUCUGUUGCAUUAUUAAAUGUUCUCUUAGCACUGUGACUGCUUAUUCAUAUUUCCAGUCAAAUCACUUAUUUUGGUGACAUAAUUUUAGGGCAUUCAAGCUGCUCAAGAACGUGCUUGGAAAAGUUAGGGCAGCAGGUAGGAAUCACCCUCCUUCCCUAUUGUCACCGUACCCUUGAAUUGAAACAUGAAUGUGGUGCAUUUUUCUUAUGAUCGAUGAGUUGUGCUUAUACUUUGCUUGGAUUUUCGCUUCAUUCAGGUCAUGAUUACAAAGAGCUAGUCAAGACUCGGAAUUGAGCUGUCCCCGUGCUGUCCAUCUGUAACAACAGCUAGCCUGCAUAGCCAGGCGCCCAUCCCGAUCAGUGUAACUCUGGAUUUAGAUUAGACUGAUAUGUAGAUGGUAGAUCCUGUAUGUGUACAUCGUUGUGACCUAGGCCAUGUAUCCCUUGUUAGCGAUUCAUGUUCUCCAGCGGGUUGGUACUCCCACGCAGGAGCUGCCGGAGGUCGUUUCCUGGGUCCCAUUCGUUUGUGUUUUCCUUACCAUUGUGGCAUGAUUUGUGAUGUUCCGUGCGUCGUGGCAGUACAAUUGGCGCUGUGAUUGUUUUUGCUUGGUUCUGUGUUCUGUGCUGGCGUGCUGCUGAUACGAGGCACCGUGCAGGUCCAGCUGAUGUUGCACUCGCUCGCAGUCCAUUUCUGAAAUCAUGUGGGAACAUUUGAUGAUAGCGGCUUCAGUAUGUAGCGUCAUGGUUUACCUGCGUUGCGUGACGGGAACCUACGAAACUCAGGUCCCAACUCCCAAAUACACGUUGGGUUUCUGUCGGCCGUGGUGUGUGUACCAAAAUACACAGAAGGAUCAGCAAAAAUUGCACUUGGGAAUGGCAACUGCUGCUUUAAUGCAAGACCACAACACAUGCUCUUUUCCACGGCAGAACGCAAUGUACCACCUGAUAUCUUCAGUUAACGCUCAAUCCCGUAUCAUCCCAACUUUACUUUUGUACUACUAAUCUACUAUCACAAGGGACAAAUAGUAAAAUAAAAAAAAUCACAUCCAUUUGUUUCCUCUGCUCUUUUUUUUUCAUGGCUGUUUUUCUUAAGGCAGGGAGGUACCCACCUUAGCUCCCAGAAUUUUAGAUCAGAUAUCGAGUUAAAUCAUUUGAUUUAGGUAGAUAGAUUUCUUUGAAGUGAAUUAUAUGAAUAAUGCAAUUUUACAAUAUGUGACCCCUACCUGCGGGACGCAUUACACUUUCUCAAGAAUUUCUAGUUCGUCUGGAAUGGACCAACCAGACUGCAGGAUGAGGCACGAAAGAUUUUGAAUUAUGCAAUUUUACAAUAUGUGGUACCACCUGCAGCAUGCAUUACAUUUUCUCAAGAAUUUCUAGUUCAGCUGGAAUAGACCAAUCAGACUGCAGGAUGAGACAUGGAAGUUAUUCACACAGACCAAACUUGACAUGUCAAAGUUUGCGCAGCAUUAGCUAUGCUUCCGUGUCAAAGUUCAAACUAGGAACCUCGCAAGAAAAGGGGGAAACGAAAAAAAAAAAGUUUCAGACUGGAGAUGCGAACUCCACGUAACCAGCCUGUCGUGGCACAUUAGAUUAGAUUUAGAUUCAGGUAGUGCCUAAAAUUUAUGUCACAUCGAAUAUUCGGAGGUUAAUUAGGAGGACUAAAUAUGAGCUAAUUAUAAAACUAAUUACACAGAUGAAGGCUAAUUUACGAGACGAAUCUAUUAAGCCUAAUUAAUUCAUCAUUAGCACGUAUUUACUGUAGCAUCACAUUGUCAAAUCAUGAACUAAUUAGGCUUAAUAGAUUCGUCUCGCAAAUUAGUCUCCAUCUGUGCAAUUGGUUUGUAAUUAGUCUAUAUUUAAUACUCCUAAUUAGUAUCUAAACAUUCGAUGUGACAUAAAUUUUAGAAGGGACUAUAAAAACAAACACCCCCGUACCAUUUUCGUCACGUAAAUUGCAGCCAAAUGUUGUAAAGCAACGCUUGUGAACAUAUAUCCAACUUGUGAUGUGGGAGCACUGUGAAAGAGACCUGCCUGCAGUGGCCAACGAAAUAUUGAUGGCUCAAUAAUUGAGCAGUCUUGAGAUGAGUCCAAUAAUGUCUAUGACUCGAUCUGCACCGAUAAUACUUAGAAGGAACUAGAUUUUUCUAUCAACAAAAAUGAAAAUAAUUUAAAAUAAAAAAAGAAACCCAAAUCAGUUAAAACCAAAGAGAAUGAACAACUAGUGAGCUAUGCGAACUGAGCAAUGCUGACGUGCCUGUCGACAUCGAGUCGAGGCAUUAAUCACGGUGACUUCAUUAAUCUUGAGGACUUAUCAGAUCUUUCGGAGGUGCUUACGUGUUCGUAGAGACGAGUGUGCUUACGUGUUUGCCUGAAACAGCAGUGGACUUAAGAAUUGAAUUGAUCAUGGGCGAAGCUCACAAUAACUCCCUGUUUGCAUCUCCAGCUUGAAUGCGACCAUUGCACUAGAUCGGGGAUUAAUUCCCAUCUUAUCUUUUCAACUGUAAAGGGACUGAAGCGAGAAAAAUCUCCUUGAGCAGAUCCCUUUCCCUAAUCUCAUUUCCCCCUUCCCUCUCCCGGGAAUCCCACUUCUCCUCUCCUACCGCACGAUCCACAGGCCACCGAAUUUUUCUGGUUGUCCAAUCGACCCGCCGGCUGCCCCGACUUCCGCGCCACCACCGACCACCCUCCGCGCCACCGCCAGCCAUCCCCGAGCUCUGUGCUCGCCCUCCGCGCGCCGUCGCAGCUGUCCUCGAGCUCCGCAGGCCCGCCGCCGCCGCUCCGUACCGGCUGCCCUCGCGCGGGCCCGAUUGUCCCGAGCUCCGCACGCCCUGAGCUCCGUGUCGCGGCUCAGCUGCCCGCAACCCCAUCGUCGUGGUCGUGCCUUCGCCCCUCUACGCCACCCCUGGCUGUUUGACCCUCCGUGCCGGCCGUCCUGGCUCUCCUUGCUGCGCGGCUUGCUCCAUCCCGGCUGCCGUUGCUCCAACCGACCUGUGGGCUGUGGCCAGCCCGCGGGCUGUCGCCAGCGUCCGCUGCCGAGGGGCAUCUGGCCCAUCGACUGCUCCCCACGUCGUUGACUAGCAAGCACAAGGAGAGGAGGGAGAAAGGAUUAGCCCACUGACAGGCAAGCCCAACACGUCAGGAGAGAUGAAAAAGAGACGGUAACGCUACAGAAUAAACGGACGCCGACAUAUGUUGCAUUAACUAUUGUUUCUUUCCAUCGGACGUCGUCCGGGUGCUAGUAACGCUGAAAAGGAGAAAGGGAGAAGUGACCUGCUGUAGAUCAAUCUAGUAGCCGCUUAUAACUAAGAAGAAAAAAAAAGGGAAAGUGAAAGAAGAUGCUCUUAUAUAUGGCCGCAAAAUUGUAUGGGAUAUAUUGUUAUUGCGCUAUCUAUACCGAUAUGUGUAUUAUUGCAUCAGUAGCCGCCUAUAUUGUUGGACCAUGCUCUGAUUAUUUAUUUGCCUGGAGAAUGAAUCGGAAAACGCCGUAAGCUGCCACCUCAUUAAUUUAGCUGCGUAUCCGGGCCUACGCGGCAGUGAACUCUGCGCAGCCACACGGAAGCCUACCGCGCCGCCUGUACCCCCGCGCCCCCCGGCCCCCCCCCCCCCCCCCCCCCCCCCCCCCCCACACACACACACACACUUUGACCCUCCUCGUCUCCUCCCUCUCUCCGGAGAUAUUUCCUUCCAUUUUCCUUCUCUCCUUCCUCCCCACCUGCUCCGCUCCUUCGCUCGUGCUUGCUCUGCUCUGUGCUCCUCUUGCUUGGAUUCUCCCGAUCUGAGCGCCCCCUUACCGCCCAAAAAUCUUGAUCAUUAUCAGGCAGAUAGGUUCCCUGCUUAGCUCAGAUUUCUUUGUCCUCUUCUUCUUGCCUUGUUCCGCAGAUUUUGUGUCCAAUCGCUCCACGGUUUUGUACUUUCCGGUCUUGCCUGAUCUGCUGGUUCUUUUCCUGCUUCUUGUCCUUUUCUCCGUGUAAGAGCUCAGCUGUUGCUUCUUCCUCUUCAGCUUUCAUCAAAUUCGAUUCCAUUUCCGCUUUCGGGGGUAAAAAGUUUGUGCUUUCUGUUGUGUUGGUAGAGAUAGAGAGAGAGAGGGGGGGGGGGGGGGGCGAGCUGAUGAGACAUCAAACUUGGACUCCGAUUCUUGGCUUAAUUCGCUUCCCAUAGAUGAGAUCCUUGUGAGUUGUAAGGUCAAAUCCAUUCUCAGUAGUGAGCACCGAUGUCUCCUUCGGCUCUUCUACCUGCUCUCGCGGUUUUCCUCCUGUGCUGCUGGCCUCUAGCUCUCGCUUCCGUCGCUGAGACAGCCCUUUCGCGAGUUGCUUGCGGAGACGACCAAGUUGCCGUCUUGGAUGCCUCUGAUGGCCUCCUCAACCUGUCGGUCAAUGGGGUUCUGGUGCAGGACCGCGUUCUUGCCUGCCAGAAGCUCCGCUUGUACUUUGGGAGUGGUUGCCUCCGCUGCGGCGAGGUGUCGGAUGGGUGGAGGGGUGCGGUUAAGCAAUACUGUGGUGAAGGGAGCGAAUCCAGCCAGGGUAAGUUGGUUCAUGUUUCCUCCUAGUUGCUUGAGUCAGAUAAUAACUGAACAAUUGCUGUAGUACAUAACUGUGCAAAUUGGAGUUCGCGUCUGCAUCAAUAUUUCACUUUUAGGACUUGUAAUAAAGAAGAUAUGCCUAUGAUGUGCAUCUCUGGAACAAUGGUGCGGAUUUAGAAUGUAGGCCAUUUCAUUGCAGUGUUCAUUCUGUUAUGAUCCUACAGUGGGGUUUAAGCCCAUCUAACAAUUGUUCCCAUUUGUAUCUUCUGGUACGAGUCCAUGUUUGAAAAACAUUAAAAUGAUGAAUGUAAUCGAAAUGUAAUCGAUAUAUUUCUAGAUGACCAAUUGAAGUAUGUUAAGGCCUAAGUGUUUGUUUCAGGUACCCUCAUUUAGCAGCUGCAUUCUGACAUUCCUCAACAUUAUUAUUUUUGUUUUUUGUUUUUGAUGUGGCUAGCACAUUUUUAAGCUUGUAACAUGCAGAUGAAAAAGAACGUUUGCUCAAUCAUUUCUCCUCAUUGGUUUCUUAUCACCUGUAGCAACUUCGCAUCAAAAUGUACCAAGGAAGCUCUUGAGGCGGCCCACAGAAAAUGGCUCAAGAAAUAAUUCUGGCCCAUGUGGAAGCUUGGGUUUGCAUGAAAAUAAUCAGGACAACGGUGAUUCUUCAGAAAACGAUGAUCACUUCCUGGCCAUGCCUGGUGUGAUUCUCCUAUGCUGUGGUCUCAUGCUUCCAUGCUUCCAUGCUGAAAGAAAAGAAGCCAGCAGGCAUGAUACUGCAACUAUUCAGCGCAAUGCAAGUGAGUUAGUAUUAUUUGCGCUUCUUUACACCAGUUCCUGUUGUCUGUUCCCCUCAAUUUUUUUUAAGUGAACUCAAAAGGUUCUCUUAUUAUCUACUGAAGGGGUGCUUGAGUCUGAGUUGUUGUUGGCGAGUUGUGACCAAAAUUGGAGUAGGGAAACUUGAGCUGGAUGUUGUCUAGCUCACUUGCCCUCAUACAAGUUUUCUUGUGCUGUGUUAGGAAACAAAACUUUAUGACAGUUUUCCUUGAAAAAUUAAACUGGUGUACAUUUACGGUUUAGUUUCACUAAUUUAUCUUUUUCUACUGUCUUUCCCCUAUAUACAACAACAUCAAAGCCUGUCAAUCCCAAGCCUGUCUUUCCCCUAUAUGUUUGAAUAGAAAUUAGUCCUGAAGGUGCUAUUGUUGUUUGAAAAAUAGUUCUCUUCGAUAUGGGUUAGGCCAUUUGUUGCUAUAUAUUUAUUUUUUGUGAAGUUGUUGCAAAAUUUAAAUUUCACUGUCAUGUUUAUCAGGAAUUGAGCCCGAAUGAUAGUGUAUGGAAAAUUAGGGUUUGGUAACUUCAACCACUGCUACUUAUACAUUUGUAGAUACCAUGGUAACUCACUCUGCCUCCAUAGGUAUACCUAUAUUUAUUAAUAUUAGUGGCUUGUCAAGUAUCAUGAAUGGAAAUUGAACUAACACAUAAAUUAUACGUCUUUGUCGCUUUUCAAGAUAAGUGAUAUUUACCAGUUACCAGCCAAAACUCCUUCAACAGUUAACCUAGUAUGCCCAUUUUCAUAGUAGUCUAUCUAUAUACUGUCUUCCAAUUUGGUAGUUGUCUUGGAUGAGGUUGCAUGUACUAAGUUUCUUGAAAUUGAUAUGUAAUGGUUCAUAACAAAUAAGACAAGCUCUGUCCUGGUUCGCUAAUCUCCUGAUACUGUAAACCAUGUUAGCUUUGAUGUUACUGAAUCAGUUCUGAUGUGCACCCCUUUACUCCUUUUUUUCUACUAUUUGCAAUAUCAAUCUUGAAUAGUGGGAUGGUAAUGAAAUUAUAUAUCAUAUUGUAUACCACUGUAAAAAUGUUUGAACAUUGUCCUUAACGACAAGUUUGUCUUUUGAUCUUUUCAGUUGAAUCAGUUUCGUCUUAUGAAGUAAGCAUGUCGUCUGAGAAAGUCCCACCAACUCCGCAUCGGAUACCUCCAAGUCCUUCUAGAUUUGCACCAUCUCCGCAAGUAGCUAGAGUUGGAUCUGUCAACUUAAGCAUUCAGCAGAUCCUCAGGGCAACUCAGAACUUCUCACCAUCAUUUAAGUUAGGUGAAGGAGGAUUUGGGAUGGUCUACAGGGCUGUAUUGCCAGAUGGAACCGUUGUUGCAGUCAAGAGGGCUAAAAAGGUAUUGCAAUGCUAUCCCUUGUCUUAUUGCUCGUUACUACUUAAAUUGCAUAUUGUUCAUAUCUUGUUUCACUAUAUUAAGUUCAAUUGUAUUCAUCAUCAAAAUAUGUUGUUUGUUCAUGUUUAUUGCACUAUAUUUUGUUAAAUUUAGAACUUUGUAUGAUUUUAUUUGUACCCAGCUCAAUGGCCUGUAGAGUUUUGGUAAUAUGCCUAACUCUUGCAAUGAUCAAAAUAACAUGCUCUACUGUUCAUUACAGGAUCAAUUUGCAGGUCCUAGGGACGAGUUUAGCAAUGAAGUAGACUUGCUUGCUAAGAUAGACCACCGAAAUUUGGUGAGGUUACUGGGUUUUACUGAUAAAGGAAAUGAGCGUAUUAUCAUCACAGAAUAUGUUCCAAAUGGCACUCUAAGAGAACAUCUAGAUGGUAAAUUGUGCUUUUCAUUACGUUCUCUUCACUUCUAAGUCCUUUUUCAGAGCUUGUGCUUUCCAUUAUGUUGUCUUCACUUCUCAGUCCAUUUUGAGAGCUUAUGCUUUCCAUUUUGUUUUUCUUCUCAGUCUAUUUUAAGAGCUUGAAUAUUAAUGUAUUACUCCUUGUGCAGGUCAACAUGGCAGGGUCCUGGAUUUUAAUCAGCGCCUAGAAAUUGCAAUCGAUGUCGCUCAUGCACUUACUUAUCUCCAUCUGUAUGCAGGUUGGCUACAUGCUUAGUUGCAUAAAUACUGAGCUAUUUUUGUCAAAUAGUUUACAGCAUUUUGUCUCUGAAAAGGGCUAACAGAUGGACAAAGUAGUGCUUCGGUACCCAGUUCUUCAUUUUGGAAUGGCCAGUUAUUUUGAUGAGAGAUUUAAAACAUUUAGUUCAGGAAAAAAAUCUUCGAAUCCAUCAAAUCAUUGUGUUGUAUUAUACUGACUUAAAGAUAGCAUAGUUUUGUAAUUUUUGGCACUGGCCAACCAUUUUUUAUUUCAAUUUUUUUUUGUGAUAAUCUGGAAAGGGACUAAGAGAUUCUAUACUGUGAACAGAGAAGACGAUAAUUCAUCGUGAUGUGAAGUCAUCAAAUAUCCUACUAACGGAUAGCUAUCGUGCGAAGGUGUCUGACUUUGGAUUUGCAAGAAGUGGCCCUAGUGACACGGAGAAGACACACAUAUCAACAAAAGUGAAAGGCACCGCUGGUUACCUGGAUCCUGAAUACCUGAGAACAUACCAGCUAACUCCAAAGAGUGAUGUCUUCUCCUUCGGCAUAUUGCUUGUGGAAAUUCUUUCUGCUCGCCGACCUGUAGAGCUGAAGCGAACCCCUGAAGAGAGGAUCACUAUCAGAUGGGUAUGUGUGAGAAAUUUCUUUUGUUUCCUGUAUCGGCACAAUCUAUAUACAAGGUGUCAAAUUGAUCUAAAAUGGAACAUGUGACUCAGCUAUGGAGCAAGGCUAACAUCACAGUGGUCCUAGUAAGAUAGGUCUGCUCUUUAGAGUUUGGGGUUGCAAAAUAAAAUGUCGCAUACUUCAAGUUUUAAAAUUGAAUUAACACCAGGGCUUCAGGGGUUGAAAAAUGGACAUUUAUCCCUUUUGAUAUUUCUAAUUUAGUAAUGAUAUCACUUGUCUGUUUACAUUUUCACUAUCUUGGCAAUCCCUGAAAUAACUGAAUGCAUGAGACUUUUUGUUUGUGCUGGGUAUGCAGACUUUCAAGAAAUUUAAUGAAGGCAACAUGAGAGAGAUAUUGGACCCGUUGCUGGAAGAUCACGUGGAUGAUGAGGUGCUUGAGAAGCUCCUUAGCUUGGCGUUCCAAUGUGCUGCUCCGACGCGGGAUGACCGACCAACCAUGAAGGAAGUUGGGGAGCAGCUGUGGGAAAUCAGGAAAGAGUACGGAAAGAGCAUCAGGAAGGUGUGAAGAUCAUGGGCAACUUUACCUGUUUCUAGCUUCCCUUCAACCACAAGCCGAAUCAUGCUUAUUCAUUGCCCGUGACAUGUUUCUGACCUGACAGAUGUGGUCUGAACAAUGUACAGAUUUGAUACCACCAGCACCAAUUUGUAUCUCCUUGUCUAUCGGUUUGCGAUGUACUUUUCCUUGGAGUUACAGUUCUUUCAGUGAAUGUGUAUUUUGGGAGUCCUCACAUUUCUUGAUUCCCAUUGUUUUGGUAUUCUGAUGCAUGUAACCACACAACUGAAAAUGGUUUACCUAAGUACAGUACAUGGAGGAAUUGUGUAGUUACGGCCUUACGGCAGAAACUAAAUGAAUGUGUAUGGAGCAUUGUGUAAAAGGUACGUCGUAUAUUCGUAUACAUAUUAUUCUAAUGCAUUUUAAACAAUUAUGUGGCCAGGCAUGAAUAUGAUAUCACUGGUUGUCAUGAUGGUGACCGGAUGCCUUGCGUGUCUCGGGUCAGCGUGUGGCCGUGGGUUGAGAUUUCAUAGGCAGGAUUGUGGUUUUAGGGCGUGUUAGGUUAGGAGUCAAGUUAGACAUAAUAAAGUUAUCCCUCAUUAAAUGGGUUGGGUGUUUGGUUAGAAGUAAUGAAUGGUCCUAUUUUGUUGUUUGCUUAGGGAGACUGGGACGAGAUGAGAUGGAUGACGUUACUAUGGAUCUCGGUUGUCAUCCACUCUGAAGCUGUGGGGUCCAGUUGUUAGCAGCUCGAAACAGAGAACGGCUCGAUCUGCAUUGCUACCUAUCUUAGGCCAUGUUUAGUUCACCUCUAAAUUCCAACUUUAACACUAUGCAAAAAGAAGAUUCCCCAUCACAUCAAACUUGCGGUACAUGCAUGGAGUACUGAAUAUAGACGAAAUCAAAAAUUAAUUGCACAGUUUUGUUGUACUUUGCGAGACGAAUCUUUUGAGUCUAAUUAGUCAAUAUUUGAACAAUAAUUCACAAAUACAAACGAAACGUUACAGUUGCGCUACAGUAAUUUUGGUUGCCCAAAGUUGGGCAACUAAACAAGGCCUUAUUUUCUCUACACUGCUUGGCGGCCUACCCUGCGCUGGUGCCCUAGCCCGCAUCAAAGCCUGGCCUGGCUUGUGCCACCGGCCUGCCCCGUCCCACCGCUCAGCUUGCUUUGCCGCCCGCUAGCUCGGACCUCCGCCUCCUUGAUCUAGGCCUUGUUUACUUCCUAAGUUGGGAGUUGCAAAAUUGGCAUUUUGCCAUAAAUGCAACACUGUAGCGUUUCGUUUGUAUUUGCGAAUUAUUGUCCAAAUAUUGACUAAUUAGGCUCAAAAGAUUCGUCUCGCAAAGUACAACAAAACUGUGCAAUUAGUUUUUAAUUUCGUCUACAUUUAGUACUCCAUGCAUAUACCGCAAGUUUGAUGUGAUGGGGAAUCUUCUUUUUGCAUAGUGUCAAAGUUGGGAGUUUGGAGGGAAGUAAACAAGGGCCUACUCUGCAGCUACCCGUCCUGACAAGUCAAGCUCCUGCACUGCUGUCACGGUGGUCCCGCGUGACCGUUGCUCGCCUUGCCAUCACCCUUUCUCUAUGCCCCGGCUAGCUCCGCCUCGUCCCAUUCCUCGCAUCGCCGUCGCCAUAUGUAGCACCGCUUGGAGUUGGAGCUACGCACGUGCUCAGCUGCGAACUGUGCGAGAGAGCAGCCGCAAAAGGGUGGGACGACAGCUCCAGGAAAGCGGGAUGAGUGCGUGUCGGUGCGUCAGAGCACGGAGCGUGCAAGGGAGACGGAGAGGAACGAUGUCUGCAAGGAUGAGUCGGUCUGCGAGUUUUGGUAGAACCGAACCAUCAAUCUUUUUCGAGGAAUAUUUCAGUUUGAUGCCAUUCUGUACUAGCUAAUUUUUAACUAAACACAUGAGAAGAGGACAACUGUAUUCCAUUCCAUCCCUCCAUCUAAAUACACCACACCCUUGAGGUUAGGGUGACACAUAGGACCAUGCUUGGGAUAGGGUAACAUUUUGAUAUAACUGUGCAUUCAUUAACAAAGUUUUGGUCAAAUAUAUCGAAGUUUAGUUCGUAGGCCUAAGGAGAGAAUACACUUCUUUCUGAUCGAAGUGUGCACGAUUAAAAAAAAAGUGUGCACGAUUUCAAGUUUACUUUGUAGACCAUGAACAUUAAACUGCGUAGGAUAGAAAUUGAGAAUUUGAUCAUUGUCUAUUCUGUAUUGGUAAUUCGCUACCUAAAAUAUAGUAUUGGUAAUUCCUUCGUAUUUUUUUUAAAAAUAUAGAUGAAGUCUUUUGUCAAGACAUUUCGUCAUCUUUUCCUCGAGGAAGAAACUAGAAGUACAUCUUGUCGGUCCUAAGAAAAGAAAAAGAAAAAAAACAAAAAAAUGCCCAUGACGCAAUUGGCCUGCGAGAUCGUGUGUGCGUGUGUCUGGGGGGCAUGGGGUGCUGGGGUGUUGGGAUGGGUUUGAGGCGGUGGCACGGAAACCUAUCUGCCUUUCGGAUUCUGAAAACCCAAAUCUUAUUUGGCUCCUGAUUGAGGUUCGUGAAAAACAUCUCCACCAUUGAAUGCUGACCUCCACCCCCUCAACCUUAGCCUCCUGCCCGCGAGCUCCUGCACACGCCUCCGUUGCUCCUCUUGGCCCUGUGCCGCACUGCGCCACCAUCGGUCUCCUACCCGCGCCCACACCGUGUUGCCGCUCCUUCGUCCCAUGCGCUCGCAGCAGCUCCUCCCGGCUCCCGCACGCGCCGUCAUCUUUGCUUGCCGAUGCCACCGCUGGUCCUCAUGCGGCGCGCGCGCCGCUGCUCAUCAUGCCCGCCGAAGCCUGCACCGCGCAACUGUUGUACUAUUUGUGCUAUUUGAGUGGUGUUUUCGAUUCAAUUGUUACACUAACCCGCCACUUGGCAUGAGAAAUAAUCCUAUUAUUAUAUAUGUGUUGUAUUUUGAAGUCUAUUAUGUUUUGACAAGAAAUAUGACAUAAUCAGAUUGUUUUCAUACCACUACAAGAAAUCUUCUGAUCUAUGACGAACUAAAAAGUGUUAUAAACACAUUUUUACGUCAUAAACCGUGAAUUAUGAUGCUCAAGUGACGAAACUCGUUCUUCAUUAAUCGAGCAUCACAAACCGCGACUAGUGAUGUUCCUUAUUUCGGUGCAUCAUUGUAUAUAUAACGCCUACGAAACAUUAACAGAAACGUCAUAAAUUGGCUCCUACGGUUUUGCCACUAUACAGAAUCUGAUGUGGCAUGGUAAUUGUGACAAAUUAUUUGGUCAUAAAAUAAAUUUGACCCAUUUGUUAUUAGGUUGAGCCCUAAUUUGUUCCCAGGCUAAUGUUAUUCUGAUAGUCCAAAAUUGAUUCCAGUGGAUCCAUUUGUUAUUGUGUCAAGCUCAAAAUUUGUACUAUUUGUUUGCGGUCCUUUUAGUCCAAUUUAUGAAUGCAAUAUACUUUUGGCCCAAUUAUACGUGGACUAAGUCCACAUAUGGCGGACAUAAAUUUAACUAAUUGGGCCCGAGUAAUAAUUGGUUUCAUUUCAAUUCCGAUCCGGUUGGUAAAAUAAUAAGCACAAUACACAUAUUUAUGUAUAAAAUAAAACAAAUUAUUGUUCCCCAUCGAGACAACCACUACCAUAUUGUUAUCUUACAAAGAACAUAGAUUAACAAAACUGCAUCCAGAUCAUAAGCUCAAAAGACAAAGUAGAUCAAUGAUCUUAACCUCUUGCAGAUAUUAGCAGUUGAGGAAUGAGUGCUUCAGUGUCUUGUACUACCUUCUUCAAGUUCUCAAUCUCGGCUGGCUGCAAUUUGAGAUUUGAUUCUGAAUUUUCUGUCUUCUUCUUUAAGGUUGGUUGAUCAGGAGUUGCUACCAUAUCUUAUUCCUAACUUAUGCCAUGCCUACAACAAAGUAUUCUUCCAUGAAUUGAAUAAGUUGGCAUUGAUCUUACCUCUUACCUUAUUUCUGCGGGGCAUGUAGCUUCACCUUAUCUUAGGUGGUUGAGAGAUAGAACGGUUUCGUAGAGCACCAUUCACUUAUCCCUUGAUUAACUAUCAAUCCAGAGGUUUUGUAACGUUUUUCAAAAGAAAUCAAAGUUCGUCAAAUGAUACUCUCAAUCACUCAAUGUGUAUGAUUCCUCACCAAGGCAAGAUCUUGCCUUUCUAUCACAACCUACUCCUAAUAAGCUUAUAUGUAGAGCUGUAGGUAGGAAAAAAUGAAGGUAUACCUGUUCCUCAUGUAUUGCUAAGUCAAAGAUCAGAUCCUUUGGAGAAGCAAGUCAUACAACCUGAUCAAGAUGUGCAUGUGUGUGGAUGGUGGAUGGUAUAUGGACUCUUUUUUGUAUAAUCCUUAUCUCUCCUUUGCUUUUUUUCUUUUGAGACAUGGACUAUCUUUUGUUCUCUUUAUUUUUUUCAUCAUGCUUUCAUGAGCAUGUCCUUUAUUUUUUUUCAUAGCCCAAGUCUCUUUUGCAAGGAUAACUGUGGAGAGGGAGGUCAUAAAAUAACAUGGAGCUUUAUUUAUGGAUGGAUGAAAUGAUAUGAUUGCUAACUUCCAGUGUAGAUGCUUAGCAUAUGGUGGUGGCGUGUACAUGAUCUUCAUCAUGAGAGUAUGAAAAGCAUUUCACUAAGGGUCACAAUAAUUUGACAAAGCUCAAUGAGAGAACAAGUUGCAUAUGUGGAGGCUAUGUAAUAGGAUCAACAUAUGGCCUUGGAUAGGAAUUUCUCAUCAUUGAGGAACUUAUCAUUUUGUCAUUUUUGAAAAAUAAAAUUUCGGAUAUCAAGCAUGAUGUAGAACAAGAUCGUAGCAACUCUAUUUACUAUAUCAUAUCCCACAACAACCUAGACAUGGAUCAUGCUUUUUGCUACCCACAAGUUUCAAGCUAAGGUUUGAUCAUGGAAGCCAACAAACUCAAAACUUUGUAGAACACUAGGUUGUAACUAGGCAUAUGAGAGGAAAAUAAACAGAGCUAACUAUUCAUCAUUUCAACCAUGAAGAACUAAGGCAUUCUCACCACGCAUAGGAAAGCAGUAAGUAUUUUUGGUUUUUUUAGUUUUUUUCUGGUUUUUUAUUUUUUUAGCAUGCAUAUUCUGAAAGCGGUAAAGAUACAAGUUACCUCUUGUGGGGGUCCUUCCCCAAGCUAGCUUCAGGCUCACUGUCCCUAGUUUGGGUUGUACCCCGUCCAACAAAAGUAAGCCCUUAACUCCUCCUCCUGCUGCUUGUUGGUAUAUUUAACAAUCAUGAAUAAAUCCGCAAGUGCAUGGAUAUACUAUUAUAGCAUUUCACCCAAGAGUAUUCCCAAGGGUAUCGUAUUUUCCAAAGGAAGGCAGGUAGGUCAAAAGAGUUUACUAUGCAUUUGAGUAUAUCAUAAGAUGGAUAGAGACAAUACUCAAGGCAGGGGUAAGAUAAUGAUAGAUGAGUAGUGUGACACACACAAGAAUCAUCUCAAGGUAACUAAGCUAGGAAGAAGGACUAAGAGUUAGCUCUAGGUUCAUAUGUACUUCCUAUAUACUGCGCAGAUUAUACAAGCAUAACAUACAUAGACAUUGUAUAGGACUCAGGCCUAUGCAACUAGGCACACAUGGGGAGAAAGUACCCGUACCGGUUCUGCCCGGCAAAGUUACUACUAAUUUACAAACUCCUAUAGCGUAUCUGAACAUGGGGGAUUACAAAGGAUGGAUAGGGCUGUCACCACCUGCCGCCUACCCCUAGCAGCCUGUAGGGUAAAUUCAUAUCCAAUGAAGCUAAACGAUCCAAGGAUCUUGCUUGCAUUGUUAACAACACUCCAGUCAUCCCGAGCUAUUGUGACUAUGACUGAAGCUACCAUAAACAUGGCCAUUGAACCGAUGCCGUAGCAUAGAUCAACUAAGCUAUACAAGGUAUAUACGCACAUAGAGUAUAUACUGAAGCAUGGUCUCAAGGCAUACAUGAGAAUAUAUAAGCCUCUACUACAAUGGGAAGGGUAUACGACUAACAUACGAGCGUAUAUAAGCCUAGCACAUCAACAUAGCAAGGGUAUACAUCUAACUCAUGCAUAUAAGAACCAAGCACAACACUAUAUAAAAAAUAUGAAUACUUUGAAUAGAAUAAAGUCAACCUAGGAAUGUAAGAUACAAGAGCCAUACCCUAGACUUCAAGAAGACCUGGAACCUAAAGUAGAGCUACUUUAGCCUAACUCCACUAAGUUGGAAACUACGAGGGAGAGAGUGAUUCAACUUGUGGUGUGUGUAAGAAUGGAGGGGUUGCCUCUCUAUUUUAUAGGCUCCAAGAGGCGGUUCUGCUAGGGAAUCUUCAGGGAAUAUCCCAUAACCGACGUAGGGGCCCCAUCAACUGUCGCCACAUGGAAGCUAGAGAAGAGAGGAGGCAAGGGCGGUUCGGCUGAACCCUAGAUUCGGCCAACCCCCUGUGGGCUCGCCUCGCAAUCGCCUUUCUCUGUGUGACUGCCUAGUGGGUCCCAGUGGCGGUUGUGUGCGUUAUCCGGUGGAUUGAGACAAUUGUGGUAGUUUGUGGGCCCUUCAAUCCAUUGGAUGCACAUGUGGCAACCUCCCAUUGGUUAGAAGUGUGUUUCUUUGCUCCAUAGAAUGUGCUUUCUCCUUUCUUUUGUAUUAUUUCACCUGCAACCAAAUAUUCUCCAAGGAUAAGUGGAACUAAAUUAUUCGAAACCAAAUAUGUGUGUAAGAAAUGCCAAUCCUCCUUUAUUCUUGACUAUAUUGACACUCAUAUUUGGUACUUAAUGACUGUCAACAACUCCCCCAAGCUAGCCCUUUGCUCAUAUCGAGCAAAUGCUAAGACUUAGGUUGGUUGAUCAGUAGUUACUACUAUGUUGUAUUCCUAGCUUAUGCCAUGCCUACAAUAAAAUAUUCUACCAAGAACUAAAUAAGUAGCCAUUGAUCUUACCUCUUACCUUACUCCUGUGGGGCAUGUAGCUUCACCUUAUCUUGGGCGGUUGAGAGAUACAACGGUUUCAUAGAUCACUAUUCACUCAUCCUUUAAUCAGCUAUUAAUAUGGAGGUUUUGCAUAGUUUUUAAAAGAAAUCAAAGUUCCUCAAUGAUACUCUCGGAUCGCUCAAUGUGUAUGAUUCCUCACCAAGGCAUAGGACUGCCUUUCUUUCACAACCUACUCCUAAUAGGCUUAUAUUUGGAGCUGUAGGUAGCGAAUAAUGAAGGCAUACCUAUUCCUCAUAUAUUGCUAAGUCAAAGACCGGAUCCUUUGGAGAAGCAAGUCAUACAACCUGAUCAAGAUGUGAAUGUGUGUGGAUGGUGGAUGGUAUAUGGACUCCUUUUUGUAUGAUCUUUCUCUCUCCUUUCCUUUUUUUUUCUUUUGAGACAUGGGCUAUCUUUUGUUCUCUUUAUUUUUUUCAUCAUGCUUUCCUGAGCAUGUCCUUUAAUUUUUUUUGCAUAGCCCAAGUCUCUUUUGCAAGGAUAACUUUGGAGAGAGAGGUUAUAAAAUAUCAUGGAGCUUUAUUUGUGGAUGUAUGAAAUGAUAUGAUUGCUAACUUCUAAUGUAGAUGCUUAGCAUAUGAUGGUGGUGUGUACAUGAUCUUGAUCAUGGGAGUAUGAAAAGCAUCUCACUAAGGGUCACAAUAAUUUUACCAAGCUCAAUGAGAGAACAAGUUGCAUAUGUGGAGGCUAUGAAAUAGGAUCAACAUAUGGCCUUGGAUAGGAAUUUCUCAUCAUUGAGGAACUUAUCAUUUUGCCAUUUUCAAAAAAAUAAAAUUCCAGAUAUCAAGCAUGAUGUAGAACAAGAUCGUAGCAACUCUAUUUACUAUAUCAUAUCCCACAACAACCUAGACAUGGAUCAUGAUUUUUGCUUCCCACAAGUUUCAAGCUAAGGUUUGAUCAUGGAAGCCAACAAACUCAAAACUUUGUAGAACACUAGGUUGUAACUAGGCAUAUGAGAGGAAAUAAACAGAGCAACUAUUCAUCAUUUCAACCAUGAGGAAUUAAAACAUUGUUACCACGCAUAGGAAAGCAGUAAAUAUUUUUGGUCUUUUUUUAAUUUUUCAAAUUUUUAUUUAUUUUUAUGAUGUAUAUUCCGAAAACAGUAAAGAUACAAGUUAUCUCUCUUAUGGGGGUCCUCCCCCAAGUUAGCUUCAGGCUCACUAUCCCUGGUUGGGGUUGUACCCUGUCCAACCGAAAUAAGCCUGCAUAUAAGAUCAUAAACUCAUCGUUGUGCAUGGGCCUAACAUCCUCUCUUGGAAACAGAGUGAUGGCCAACGACUUGUGCGUCAAACGAAGAGUUGGAUUCUGAAUGUCAUUGCACCGAGGUGCAGAUUUUCCACAGACAAUCUGAUCGGAGAUUUCAACCCAAAAACCAUGUCAUGAAAAACUGCAGCAAGAUUUUUCAAUAGAACCGGUGCAACAAGGACCAAAACAAAGGUGACGGCUGAAUUCUCUCCAAGUAGGGUCUAAUGGAGUAGAUUGGAUGCGUUGGUUGCUAACAAAUCCGUCGGAAGUUCACGACCCGAAAAUGCAGUUGUCUCGCAUCCUUUAUGGAGCAGCAGCGAAAUGUUCCAAAACACACAAAACAUAAUCUAGGGUGUAAUGGAGUAGAUUGGAUGCGUUCGUUGCGAAAAAUCCGCUGGAAGUUCGCUACCCGAAAAUAGUGCAUUCGGGUACUGAAACGUACCUAUUUCGCAUCAUUUUUCGUGCACUAGUGAAAUGCUCGAAAACACUCCCAUGCAUGGUCUAGGGUCUAAUGGAGUAGAUUGUAUGUGUUUGUUGAGAAAAAAAAUCCAUUAGAAGUUUGCAACCCAAAAAUAGUGCACUCGAGUACCGAAAGGCAACGGUUUCGCAUCAUUUUUUGUGCAAUAGAGAAAUGCUCCAAAACACUCCCAAACAUGGUCUAGUUUCUAAUGGAGUAGAUUGUAUGCGUUGGUCGCGAACAAAUUGAUAUGAAGUUCGCUACCUGGAAACAAUGCAUUCAGGUACCGUAACACACCCAUUUUGCAUCGUUUUAUGUGCAGCAGCGAAAUGCUGCAAAACAAUGCCAAAUAUGGUCUAGGGUCUAAUGGAGUAGAUUGGAUACGUUCAUAGCGAACAAAUCCGUCGGAAGUUUGCUACAUGGAAACAGCGCAUUCGGGUACCAUAACCCACACGUUUCGCAUUGUUUUUUGAGUAGUAGCGAAAUGGCUACAAAUACCCCCAAACAUGGUCUAGGGUCUAAUGGAGUAUAUUGGAUGCGUUCGUUGCGAACAAAUCUGUCGGAAGUUCGUUACCUGGAAGAAGUGCAUUCGGGUACCGAAACACACUUGUUUCGCAUCCUUUUUCGAGCAGUAGUGAAAUGCUCCAAAACACACCCAAACAUGAUCUAGGGUGUAAUGGAGUAGCUUUGAUACGUUGGUUGCAAACAAAUCGGUUGGAAGUUCCCUACCAGGAAACAGUGCAUUCCUGUACCUUAACGCACCCAUUUCACAUCUUUUUUUGUGCAGUAGCCAAAUGCUGCAAAACAUUCCCGAACAUGAUCUAGGGUCUAAUGGAGUAGACUGGAUGCAUUCAUUGCAAACAAAUCGGUUGGAAGAUCGCUACCUGGAAACAAUGCAUUCGGCUCCAUAACCCACCCAUUUCGCAUCGUUUUUCGUGCAGUAGCAAAAUUCUCCAAAACACUCCCAAACAUGGACUAGCGUCUAAUGGAGUAAACUCGAUGCGUUUGUUUUGAAAAAAUGCGUUGGAAGUUCGCUACCCAAAAAUAGUGCAUUUAGGUACCGAAUCACACCUGUUUGGCACCAUUUUUCGUGCAGUAGCGAAAUGCUCCAAAACACUCCCAAGCGUGUUCUAGGUUCUAAUGGAGUAGAUUGGAUGUGUUCGCGAACAAAUCCAUCGGAAGUUCAUGACCUAAAAAAUGCACAUGUCUCGUAUCCUUUGUCGAGUAGUAGCGAAAUGCUCCGAAACAUACCCAAACAUGGUCUAGGUUGUAAUGGAGUAGAUUGGAUGCAUUCAUCGCGAAAAAUGGUUGCAUGUUUGCUACCUGAAAAAAAUGCAUUCGGGUACUGAAAAGUACCUGUUUCGCAUCAUUUUUUGUGCAGUAGUGAAAUGUUCCAAAACACUCCCAAGCAUGGUCUAGGGUCUAAUGGAGUAUAUUGCAUGCGUUCAUUGCGAAAAAAUCCAUCGGAAGUUCGCGACACGAAAACCAUGUAUUCGGGAACAAAAACGCAAUGGUUUCGCAUCAUUUUCCGUGCAGUAGAGAAAUCCUCCAAAACACUCCCAAGCAUAGUUUAGGGUCUAAUGGAGUAUAUUGGACACGUUCGUUGUGAACAAAUCUGUUGGAAGUAUGUGACCCGAAAACAGUGCAUUCGUGUACCGGAGCGCAACGGUUUCGCAUCAUUUUCCGUGCAAUAGCGAAACGCUCCAAAACACUCCCAAACAUGGUCUAGGGUCUAACGAAGUAGAUUGGAUGCGUUGGUUGCAAACAAAUUGGUUGGAAGUUCGCUACCUAGAAACAGAGCAUUCGGUUACCGUAACACACCCAUUUCGCAUCAUUUUUCGUGCAAUAGCAAAAGGCUACAAAACACUCCCAAAUAUGGUCUAGGGUCUAAUAAAGUAGAUUGGAUGCGUUGGUUGCGAACAAAUCCGUCGGAAGUUCGCAACCUAGAAAUAGUGCAUUCAGGUACUGAAACGCACGGUUUGGCAUCAUUUUUUGUGCUAUAGCAAAAUGCUCCAAAAUACUCCCAAUCAUGGUCUAGGGUCUAAUGGACUAGAUUGGAUGCGUUUGUCGCAAAAAAUGGUUGCAUGUUUGCUACUCGAAAAAAAGGCAUUCGGGUACUGAAAAGUACCUGUUUCGCAUCAUUUUUCGUGCAGUAGAAAAAUGCUCCAAACCACUGCCAAGCAUGGUCUAGGGUCUAAUGGAGUAUAUUGGAUGCAUUUAUUACGAACAAAUCCGUCAUAAGUUUACGACUCGAAAACGCACUUGUCUCGCCUCCUUUAUCGAGUAGUAGCGAAAUGUUCCAAAACACACCCAAACACGGUAUAGGGUGUAAUGUAGUAGAUUGGAUGCAUUCGUUGCGAACAAAUAUGUCAGAAGUUCGCUACCUGGAAACAUUGGUUUCAGGUACCCAAACACAUCUGUUUUGCAUCAUUUUUCAUGCAGUAGCGAAAUGCUCCAAAACACUCCUAAAUAUGAUCUAGGGUCUAAUGAAGUAGAUUGGAUGCGUUCGUUGCUAAAAAACCAGUCAGAAGUUCGUUACCCGUAAGUAGUGUAAUCGGGUUCCGAAAUGCACUUCUUCUGCAACCUUUUUCGAGCAAUAACGAAAUGCUCCAAAACACACCCAAACAUGGUCCAGGGUGUAAUGGAGUAAUAGGACGCAUUCGGGUACUGAGACACACCCGUUUCACAUCAUUUUUUGUGUAGUAACAGAAUGCUCCAAAACAAUCCCAAACAUAUACUAGGGUCUAAUGAAGUAGAUUGGAUGCAUUCGUUGCAAAAAACGUGUCAAAAGUUCUUUACCCGGAAGCAGUGCAUUCAGGUACCGAAACACACUUGUUUUGCACUCUUUUUCGACCAGUAGAGAAAUGCUCCUAAACACUCAUAAAUAUGGUCUAGGGUAUAAUGAAGUAGAUUGGAUGCGUUCGUUGCUAAAAGAAUCCGUCAGAAGUUUGUUACCCGAAAGCAGUGGAUUCGUGUACCGAAACGAACUUGUUUUGCAUCAUUUUUCAAGCAGUAGCGAAAUGCUCCAAUACACUGCCAAACAUUGUCUAGGGUCUAAUAGAGUAGAUUGUAUACGUUCGAUGUGAAAAAAUUCAUUGGAAGUUCGAUAAUUGGAAACAGUGCAUUCGUGUACCGAAACGCAACGGUUUCGCAUCAUUUUUCGUGUAAUAGUGAAACGCUCCAAAACACACCCAACCACAAUCUAAUAGAGUAGAUUGGAUGCGUUGGUUGUGAAAAAAUUGGUUGGAAGUUCGCUACCCGAAAACAGAGCAUUCAAGUACCAUAACACACCCAUUUCGCAUCAUUUUUCGUGCAGUAGCAAAAUGCUACAAAACACUCCCAAACAUGGCCUAGAGUCUAAUGGAGUAGAAUGGAUGCGUUUGUUGCGAACAAAUCCGUCGGAAGUUCGCAACCUAGAAACAGUGCAUUCAGGUACUGAAACGCACUGUUUGGCAUCGUUUUUUGUGUAGUAGUGAAAUGCUCCAUAACACUCCCAAACAUGGUGUAGGGUCUAAUGGAAUAUAUUGGAUACGUUCGUUGCGAACAAAUCCGUUGGAAGUUCGCUACCUAGAAACAGUGCAUUCAGGUACCGAAACGCACCCGUUUCGCAUCAUUUUUUGUGCAGUAGCGAAAUGCUCCAAAACACUCCUAAAUAUGAUUUGUGGUCUAAUGAAGUAGAUUGGAUACAAUCAUUGAAAAAAACUCGUCAAAAGUUCGUUACCCGGAACCAGUGUAUUCAGGUACCGAAACGCACUUCUUUUGCAUCAUUUUUUGAAUAGUAAUGAAAUGCUCGAAAACACACCCAUACAUGGUCUAGGGUGUAAUGGAGUAUAUUGGAUGCAUUCGUUGUGAACAAAUACGUCGGAAGUUCGCUACCCGAAAACAGUGCAUUGGGGUACUGAGACGCACCCAUUUCGCAUCAUUUUUUGAGCAGUAGCGGAAUGCCCCAAAACAAUCGCAAACAUCGACUAGGGUCUAAUUAAGUAGAUUGGAUGCAUUCGUUGCAAAAAAACCAGUCGGAAGUUCGUUACCCGGAAGCAGUGCAUUCAUGUAUCAAAACACACUUGUUUUGCAUCCUUUUUCGAGCAGUAGCGAAAUACUCCAAAACACACCCAAACAUGGUCUAGGGUGUAAUGGAGAAGAUUGGAUGCAUUCGUUGUGAUUAAAUCCGUCAGAACUUCGCUACCUGAAAAAAGUGCAUUCAGGUACCGAAACACACCCGUUUUGCAUCAUUUUUAUUGCAGUAGUGAAAUGCUAAAAAAGACUCCAAGAUAUUGUGUAGGGUCUAAUGGAGUAGAUUGGAUGCGUUCGUUGCAAAAAAAUCCUUCAGAAGUACGCUACCCAAAAACAGUGCAUUCGAGUACUAAGACGCACCCAUUUCGCAUCAUUUUUCGUGUAGUAGCGAAAUGCUCCAAAACAAUCCCAAACAUGGACUAGGGUCUAAUGAAGUAGAUUGGACGCGUUCAUUGCAAAAAACCCCGUCAGAAGUUCGUUACCCGAAAGCAGUGCAUUCAUGUACAGAAACACAACAAUUUCGCAUCAUUUUCCGUGUAGUAGCGAAACGCUCCAAAACACUCCCAAACAUGGUCUACAGUCGAACGGAGUAGAUUGGAUGCGUAGGUUGCGAACAAAUUGGUUGGAAGGUCGCCACCCGGAAACAAAGCAUUCAGGUAACGUAACACACCCAUUUCACAUCAUUUUUUGUGUAGUUGCAAAUGGCUACAAAACACUCCCAAACAUGGCCUAGGGUCUAAUCGAGUAGAAUGGAUGCGUUUGUUGCGAACAAAUCCGUCAGAAGUUCAUCACUCGAAAGCGUGCAUUCGUGUACAGAAACGCAACGGUUUUGCAUCAUUUUCCGUGCAGUAGCGAAACGCUCCAAAACACUCCCGAACAUGAUCUAGGGUCGAAUGGAGUAGAUUGGAUGCGUAGGUUGCGAACAAAUUGGUUGGAAGUUCGCUACGCGUAAGCAGAGCAUUCAGGCACCGUAACACACCCAUUUCGCAUCAUUUUUUGUGCAGUAGCAAUAUGCUAAAAAACACACCUAAACAUGGCCUAGUGUCUAAUGGAGUAGAAUGCAUACAUUUGUUGUGAACAAAUCCAUCGGAAGUUCGCAACCUAGAAACAGUGUAUUUGGGUACUGAAACGCACCGUUUGCAAUUGUUUUUUGUGCAGUACCGAAAUGCUCCAAAACACUCCCAAACAUGGUCUAGGGUCUAAUGGAGUAGAUUGGAUGCAUUUGUUGUAAACAAAUCCGUCGGAAGUUUGCAACCUGGAAACAGUGCAUUCGGGUACCGAAACGCACCCGUUUCACAUAUUUUUCGUGCGUUAGCAAAAUGCUCCAAACCACUCCUAAAUAUGAUCUAGGGUCUAAUGGAGUAGAUUGGAUACAUUCAUUGCAAAAAAAAACCCGUCAGAAGUUCGUUACCUGGAAGCAGUGUAUUCGGGUACCGAAACGCACUUCUUUUGCAUGCUUUUUCGAGCAGUAACGAAAUGCUCCAAAACACACCCAAACAUAGUUUAGGGUGUAAUGGAUUAAUAGGAUGCAUUCGAUGUGAACAAAUCUGUUGGAAGUUCGCUACACGAAAAGAGUGCAUUCGGGUACUGAGACGCACCCGUUUCUCAUCGUUUUUCGUGCAGUAGCGGAAUGCUCCAAAACAAUCCCAAACAUGGACUAGGGUCUAGUGAAGUAGAUUGGAUGCAUUCGUUGCAAAAGAACCAGUCAGAAGUUCAUUACCCAAAAGUAGUGCAUUCAGGUACCGAAACGCACAUGUUUUGCAUCCUUUUUCGAGCAGUAGCAGAAUGCUCCAAAACACAUGCAAACAUGGUCUAGGGUGUAAUGGAUAAGUUUUGAUGCAUUCGUUGCGAACAAGUCCAUCGGAAGUUUGCUACCUAGAAAAAGUGCAUUCAGGUACCGAAACGCACCCGUUUCACAUCAUAUUUAGUGCAGUAGCGAAAUGCUACAAAACACUCCCAAACAUUGUGUAUGGUCUAAUGGAGUAGAUUGGAUGCCUUCGUUGCAAAAAAAUCCUUCAAAAGUAUGCUACCCAAAAAACAGUGCAUUCGAAUACUGAGACGCACCCAUUUCGCAUCAUUUUUCGUGCAGUAGCGAAAUGCUCCAAAAUAAUCCAAAACAUAAACUAGGGUCUAAUGAAGUAGAUUGGAUGCGUUCAUUGCAAGAAAACCUGUCAGAAGUUCGUUACCUAAAAGCGGUGCAUUCAGGUAUCGAAACGCAGCCGUUUCGCAUCAUUUUUCGAGCAGCAGCGAAAUGCUCGAAAACACUAACAAACAUUGCCUCAGGUCUAAUAAAGUAAAUUGGAUGCAUUCAAUGCAAAAAAAUCUAUCGGAAUUUCGCUAUCCAGAAACAGUGCAUUCGUGUACCGAAACGCAACGGUUUCGCAUCAUUUUCCGUGCAGUAGCGAAACGCUCCAAAACACUCCCAAACAUGAUCUAGGGUCGAACGGAGUAGAUUGGAUGCAUAGGUUGCGAACAAAUUGGUUGGAAGUUCGCUACCUAGAGAUAGAGCAUUCAGGCACCGUAACACACCCAUUUCGCAUCAUUUUUUGUGCAGUAGCAAUAUGCUACAAAACACACCUAAACAUGGCCUAGUGUCUAAUGGAGUAGAAUGCAUACGUUUGUUGCGAACAGAUCCAUUGGAAGUUCGCAACCUAGAAACAGUGCAUUUGGGUACUGAAACGCACCAUUCGACAUUGUUUUUUGUGCAGUACCAAAAUGCUCCAAAACACUCCCAAACAUGGUCUAGGGUCUAAUGGAGUAGAUUGGAUGCAUUCGUUGCGAACAAAACCAUCGGAAGUUUGCUACCUAGAAACAGUGCAUUCGGUUACCGAAACGCACCCGUUUCGCAUCAUUUUUCGUGCAGUAGAGAAAUGCUCCAAACCACUCCCAAGCAUGGUCUAGGGUCUAAUGGAGUAGAUUCGAUGCGUUCGUUGCAAACAAAUCCGUUAGAAGUUUUCUACCUGGAAAUAGUGGAUUUAGGUAUCGUAACACAUCCAUUUCGCAUCAUCUUUCGUGCAGUAGCAAAAUGCUCCAAAACACUCCUAAAUAUGAUCUAGGGUCUAAUGAAGUAGAUUGGAUACGUUUGUUGCAAAAAAAAACCCGUCACAAGUUCGUUACCCGGAAGCAGUGUAUUCGGGUACCGAAACGCACUUCUUUUGCAUGCUUCUUCGAGUAGUAACAAAAUGCUCCAAAACACACCCAAACAUGGUCUAGGGUGUAAUGGUGUAAUCGGAUCCAUUCGUUGUGAACAAAUCCGUCGGAAGUUUGCUACCCGAAAACAGUGCAUUCAAGUACUGAGACGCACCCAUUUCGUAUUGUUUUUCGAGCAAUAGUGGAAUGCUCCAAAACAAUCCCAAACAUGGACUAGGGUCUAAUGAAGUACAUUCGAUGCAUUCGUUGCAAAAGAACCAGUCGGAAGUUCAUUACCCGGAAGUAGUGCAUUCAGGUACCGAAAUGCACAUGUUUUGCAUUCUUUUUCGAGCAGUAGCGAAAUGCUCAAAAACACACCCCAACAUGGUCUAGGGUAUAAUGGAUAAGAUUGGAUGCAUUCAAUGCGAACAAAUCCGACGGAAGUUCGCAAUCUAGAAAAAGUGCAUUCAGGGUGUGAAACACACCCAUUUCGCAUCAUUUUUAGUGUAGUAGCGAAUUGCUCCAAAAUACUCCCAAACAUUGUGUAGGGUGUAAUGGAGUAGAUUGGAUGUGUUCGUUGCGAAAAAAUCCUUUGGAAGUUCGCUACUUAAAAACAGUGUGUUUGGGUACUAAGACGCACCCAUUUUGCAUCGUUUUUCAUGUAGUAGCGAAAUGCUACAAAACAAUCCCAAAGAUGGACUAGAUUCUAGUGGUGUAGAUUGGAUGCAUUCUUUGGGGAAAAAAAACCAUUAGAACUUUGUUACCCGAAACUAGGGCAUUCAUGUACCGAAACACUCUUAUUUUGCAUCCUUUUUCGAGCAGUAGUGAAAUGCUCCAAACACACCCAAACAUGGUCUAGGGUGUAAUGGAGUACAUUGGACGCAUUCAUUGCGAACAAAUCCGUCGAAAGUUCGCUACCUGGAAACAUUGCAUUCAAAUAUCGAAACGCAGCUUUUUUGGUGCAGUAGCGAAAUGCUCCAAAACACUCCCAAACAAUGUGUAGGGUCUAAUGGAGGAGAUUGGAUGCGUUCGUUGCGAAAAAAAUCCUUCGGAAGUACACCAUCCGAAAAUAGUGCAUUCGGGUACUGAGACACGCCCAUUUCCCAUCGUUCUUCUUGCAGAAGAGAAAUGCUCCAAAACAAUCCCAAACAUGGACUAGGGUCUAAUGAAGUAGAUUGGAUGCGUUCGUUGGAAUAAAACCCGUCAGAAGUUCAUUACCUGAAAACAUUGCGUUCGGGUACUGAAACGCACCAGUUUCGCAUCAUUUUUCGAGCAGUAGCGAAAUGCUCCAAAACACUGCCAAACAUUGUCUAGGGUCUUACCCGGAAGCAGUGCAUUCGGGUACAGUGCUACUCGAAAAUAGUGCAUUUGAGUACUAAGACGCACCCAUUUUGCAUCAUUUUCGUGCAGUAGCGAAAUGCUCCAAAACAAUCCUAAACAUGGACUAGGGUCUAAUGAAGUAGAUUGCCUGCGUUCGUUGCAAAAAAACCCGUCAAAAGUUUAUUACUCGGAAGCAGUGCAUUCGGGUACAGUGCUACUCGAAAAUAGUGCAUUCGAAUACUGAGACGCACCCAUUUUGCAUCAUUAGCAAAAUGCUCCAAAACAAUCCUAAACAUGGACUAGGGUUUAAUGAAGUAGAUUGCGUGCGUUCGUUGCAAAAAACCCGUCAGAAGUUCGUUACCCGGAAGCAGUGCAUUCGGGUACCGAAAUGUACCUGUUUUGCAUCCUUUUUCGAGCAGUAGCGACAUGCUCCAAAUCACACCCUAACAUGGUAUGUAGUCUAAUGGAGUAGACUGCAUGCAUUCAUAGCUAAUAAAUCUGUCGGAAGUUCGCAACCUAGAAAUAGUGCAUUAUGGUACCGAAACAUACCCGUUUUGCAUCAUUUUUUUGUGCAGUAGCGAAAUACUCCGAAACACUCCCAAACAUGGUCUACGGUCUGAUGGAGUAGAUUGGAUGCGUUCGUUGUGAAAAAAUCCUUCGGAAGUUUGUUAUUUGAAAACAGUGCAUUCGGGUACUCAGACGCACCCGUUUCGCGUCAUUUUUCGUGCAGUAGCGAAAUGCUCCAAAACAAUCCCAAAGAUAGACUAGGGUCUAGAGGAGUAGAUUGGAUGCGUUCUUUGCAAAAAAAACUGUGGGAAGUUCGUUCCCCGGAAGCAGUGCAUUCAGGUACCGAAACACACUUGUUUUGCAUCCUUUUUCGAGUUGUAGCGAAAUGCUCCAAAACACACCCAUACAUGGUCUAGGGUGUAAUGGAGUAGAUGAGAUGCAUUCAUUGCGAACAAAAUCCUGCCGAAGUUUACAACCCGGAAACAAUGCAUUCAGGUGCCGAAACGCACCCGUUCGCAUCAUUUUUCGAGCAGUAGCAAAAUGCUCCAAAACAUUCCAAAACAUUGUCUAGGUAGAGUAGAUUGUUGGCGUUCGAUGUGAAAAAGUCUGUUGGAAGUUCUCUACCCUAAAAUAGUGCAUUCGGGUAUAGAAACGCACCCGUUUCGCAUCAUUUUUCAUGCAGUACCGAAAUGCUUCAAAAAAUCCCGAACAUGAUCCAGGUCUAAUGGAGUAGAUUGGAUGUGUUCGUUGCGAAAAAAUCCAUCGGAAGUUUGUUACCUAGAAGUAGUGCAUUCGGGUACCGAAACGCAUUGGUUUUGCAUCCUUUUUUGAGGAAAAGCGAAAUGCUCCAAAACACACCCAAACGUGGUCUAUAGUUUAAUGUAGUAGAUUGGAUGCAUUCGUUGCGAAUAAAUGUGUCAGAUGUUCGCUACCAGGAAAUAGUGCAUUCGGGUACCAAAAUGCUCCCGUUUCACAUCAUUUGUCGUGCAGUAGCAAAAUGCUGCAAAACACUCCCAAGCAUGUUCUAAGGUCUAACGAUGUAAAUUGGAUGCGUUCGUUGUGAAUAAUUCUGUCGGAAGUUCGUGACCUGAAAAUGCACUUGUCUCAAAACCUUUAUCAAGCAGUAUCGAAAUGGUCCAAAACACACCCAAACAUGGUCUACGGUGUAAUGGAGUAGAUUGGAUGUGUUCGUUGCGAAAAGACUGUUGGAAGUUCGCUACCCAGAAACACUGCAUUCGGGUACCCAAACGCACACGUUUCGCAUCAUUUAUCAUGCAGUAGUGAAAUGCUCCAAAACACUCCUAAGCAUGGUCUAGGGACUAAUGGAGUAGAUUGGAUGCAUUCGUUGCAAGAAAAUCCGGAGAAGUUCACAAUCUAUUUCUCAUCAUCUUUUGGUCAGUAGCGAGAUGCUCCAAAACACCCCAAAACAUUGUCUAGAGUCUAAUAAAGUAGAUUGGAGGCGUUCGAUUGGAAAAUAUCUGCUCGAAGUUUGCUACACUGAAACAGUGCAUUCAGGUAUGGAAACGGAACCAUUUUGCAUCAUUUUUUGUGUAGUAGCGAAAUGCUCUGAAACAAUCCCAAACUUGGUCUAGGGUCUAAUGGAGUAGAUUGGAUGUGUUCGUUGCAAAAAAAUUCGACGAAAGCUUGUUACCCAGAAGUAGUGCUAUCUGGUACCGAAACGCAAUUGUUUUGCAUCCUUUUUCGAGCAAUAGCGAAAUGCACCAAAACACACUCAAACAUGGUCUAGGGUUUAAUGUAGUAGAUUGGACGCAUUUGUUGGGAAUAAAUCUGUCGGAAGUUCGCUACCUGGAAACAGUACAUUCAGGUACCGAAACUCACCCAUUUCGUACCAUUUUUCCUGUAGUCGCAAUUUGCUCCAAAUCACAUCCAAACAUUGGGUAGGGUCUGAAGCAGUGGAUUGGAUGCGAACGUUGUGAAAAAAUCCUUCAAAAGUACGCUACCCGAAAACAGUGUAUUCGGGUACUGAGAUGCACCCAUUUUGCAUCGUUUUACAUGCAGCAGCGAAAUGCUCAAAAACAAUCCCAAACAUGGACUAAAAUCUAAUGAAGUAGACCGGAUGCGUUCGUUGCAAAAAAAACCUGUCAGAAGUUCAUUACUCGAAAGUAGUGCAUUCGGGCACCGAAACGCAACUCUUUCGCAUCAUUUUUCGAGCAGUAGUGAAAUGCUCCGAAACACUACCAAACAUUGUCUAGGGUCUAAUAGAGUAGAUUGGAUGCGUUCGAUGCAAAAAUAUCCAUCGGAAGUUUGCUAGUCGGAAACAGUGCAUUCGGGUACCGAAACACUCGCUUUUCACAUCAUUAUUCGUGCAGUAGCGAAAUGCUCCGAAACACUCCAAAGCAUGGUCUAGGGUGUAAUGGAGUAGAUUGGAUGCGUUUAUUGUGAACAAAUCCGUCGGAAGCUCGUGACCUGAAAGCGCACUUUUCUCCCAUCCUAUAUUGAGCGGUACCGAAAUGCUCCAAAACACACCCAAACAUGGUCUAGGGUGUAAUGGACUACAUUGGAUGCGUUCAUUGCGAAAGGGCUGCUCGAAGUUCGCUACUCAGAAAUAGUGCAUUCGUGUACACAAACGCACACGUUUCGCAUCAUUUUUCGUGUAGUAGUGAAAUGCUCCAAAACACUCCUAAGCAUGGUCUAGGGUCUAAUGGAGUAGAUUGGAUGCAUUCAUUGCGAGAAAAUCCGAAGAAGAUCACAACCCAAAAAUAGUGGAUUUGUGUACCGAGACGCACCUAUUUCUCAUCCUUUUUUGAUCAGUAGCGAAAUGCUCCAGAACACUCUGAAACAUUGUCUAGGGUCUAAUAGAGUAGAUGGAGGUGUUCAAUGCGAAAAAAUCAUAGUGGAUCCAGGUACCAAAACACAGCCAUUUUGCAUUGUUUUUCGUGCACUACCAAAGUGCAACAAAACACUCCCAAACAUCAUCUAGGGUAUAAUUGACUAUACUGGAUGCGUUCUUUGCGAAAGAAUCCGUCGGAAGUUCGCUACCCGGAAACCAUGCAUGUAGGUACCGAAACGCACUCAUUUCGCAUCAUUUUGGGUGUAUUAGCGAAUUGCUGCAAAACACUCCCAAACAUGGUCUAGGGUCUAAUGGAGUAGAUUGGAUGCCUUCGUUGCGAACAAAAUCCUGUAGAAGUUCACAACCCGAAAACAGUGCAUUCAUGUACAGAAACGCACCCAUUUCGCAUCAUUUUUCGAGCAGUUGUGAAAUGCUUCAAAACACUCCGAAACAUUGUCUAGGGCCAAUAGAAUAGAUUGGAUACAUUCGUUGCAAAAAAAUCUGUCAGAAGUUUGCUAUACCGAAACAGUGCAUUCGGGUAUGGAAACGCACCCGUUCCGCACCAUUUUUCGUGCAGUAGAGAAAUGCUCCAAAACAAUCCCAAACAUGGUCUAGAGUCUAAUGGAGUAGAUUGGAUGCGUUCGUUGUGGAAAAAUCCAUCAGAACUUUGUUACCUCGAAGCAAAGCAUUCGGGUACCGAAACGCACUUGUUUUGCAACCUUUUUUGAGCAGGAGCGAAAUGUUCCAAAACACACCCAAACUUGUUGCAUGUUGUAAUGGAGUAGCUUGGAUACAUUUGUUGCGAAAAAAUAUGUUAGAAGUUCGCUACUCAGAAACAGUGCAUUCAGGUACCCAAACACACUGUAUGGUAUCAUUUCUUGUGCAGUAGCGAAAUGCUACGAAGCACUCCCAAACAUGAUCUAGGGUCUAGUGUAGGUGACUGGUUGCAUUCGUUGCGAAAAAAUCCAUCAAAAAUUCGGUACUCGAAAACAGUGUAUCCAGGUACCGAAACGCACGCAUUUCGCAUCAUUUUUCAUGCGGUAGUGAAUUGCUGUGAAACACUCCCAAACAUGGUCUAGGGUCUAAUGGCAUAGGCUGGAUGCGUUCAUUGCAAACAUGUUAGUCAGAAGUUCGCUACCUAGAAACAUUGCAUUCGGGUACCGUAACGCACCCAUUUCACAUCGUUUUUGGUGCCGUAGCGAAAUGCUGCACAACACUCCCAAACUUGGUCUAUGGUCAAAUGGAGUAGGUUGGAUGCGUUCGUUGCAAACAAAUCCAUUGGGAGUUCGCAACCUAGAAACAGUGCAUUCAUUUACCAACACGCACCCAUUUCGCAUUGUUUUUCCGUGCAGUAGCGAAAUACUCCAAAACACUCCCAAGCAUGGUCUAGGGUCUAAUGGAGUAGAUUGGAUGCAUUCAAUGCGAGAAAAUCCGAAGAAGUUCACAACCCGAAAAUAGUUUAUUUGUGUACCGAGACGCACCUAUUUCUCAUCCUUUUUCAAUCAGUAGCGAAAUGCUCCAAAACACUCUGAAACAUUCUCUAGGGUCCAAUAGAGUAGAUUGGAGGCGUUCAAUACAAAAAAAUCAUAGUGGAUCUAGGUACCAAAACGCAACCAUUUCGCAUUGUUUUUCGUGCACUAGCAAAGUGCCAUGAAACACUCCCAAACAUCAUCUAGGGUAUAAUUGAGUAGACUGGAUGCGUUCUUUGCGAAAGAAUCCGUCGGAAGUUCGCUACCCGGAAACCAUGCAUGUAGGUACCGAAACGCACUCAUUUCGCAUCAUUUUGGGUGUAUUAGCGAAUUGCUGCAAAACACUCCCAAACAUGGUCUAGGGUCUAAUGGAGUAGAUUGGAUGCCUUCGUUGCGAAUAAAAUCCUGUAGAAGUUCACAACCCGAAAAUAGUGCAUUCAGGUACGGAAAUGCACCCAUUUCGCAUCAUUUUUCGAGCAAAUGUGAAAUGCUUCAAAACACUCCAAAACAUUGUCUAGGGCCAAUAGAGUAGAUUGGAUACAUUCUUUCAAACAAAUCUAUCAGAAGUUCGCUAUACCGAAUCAAUGCAUUCGGGUAUGGAAACGCACCCGUUUCGCACCAUUUUUCGUGCAGUAGCGAAAUGCUCCAAAACAAUCCCAAAAAUGGUCUAGAGUCUAAUGGAGUAGAUUGGAUGCGUUCUUUGUGGAAAAAUCCAUCGGAACUUUUUUAUCUCGAAGCAAAGCAUUUGGGUACUGAAACGCACUUGUUUUGCAACCUUUUUCGAGCAGGAGCGAAAUGUUCCAAAACACACCCAAACAUGUUGCAUGGUGUAAUGGAGUAGAAUUGAUACAUUCGUUGCUAAAGAAUACGUCGGAAGUUCGCUACUUGGAAAUAGUGCAUUCAGGUACCAAAACGCACUGUAUGGUAUCAUUUCUUGUGCAGUAGCGAAAUGCUACGAAGCACUCCCAAACAUGAUCUAGGGUCUAGUGUAGGUGACUGGUUACAUUCGUUGCGAAAAAAUCCGUCGAAAAUUCGCUACUCGGAAACAGUGUAUCCAGGUACCAAAACGCACGCAUUUUGCAUCGUUUUUCAUGUGGUAGCGAAUUGCUGUGAAACACUCCCAAACAUGGUCUAGGGUCUAAUGGCAUAGACUGGAUGCGUUCAUUGCAAACAUGUUAGUCGGAAGUUCGCUACCUAGAAACAUUGCAUUCGGGUACCAUAACGCACCCAUUUCACAUCGUUUUUGGUGCCGUAGCGAAAUGCUGCACAACACUCCCAAACUUGGUCUAUGGUCAAAUGGAGUAGGUUGGAUGCGUUCGUUGCAAACAAAUCCAUUGGAAGUUCGCAACCUAGAAAUAGUGCAUUCAUUUACCGAAAUGCACCUGUUUCGCAUUGUUUUUCCGUGCAGUAGUGAAAUGCUCCAAAACACUCCCAAGCAUGGUCUAGGGUCUAAUGGAGUAGAUUGGAUGCAUUCAUUGCGAGAAAAUCCGAAGAAGUUCACAACCCAAAAAUAGUGGAUUUGUGUACCGAGACGCACCUAUUUCUCAUCCUUUUUCAAUCAGUAGCGAAAUGCUCCAAAACACUCUGAAACAUUGUCUAGGGUCUAAUAGAGUAGAUUGAAGGCGUUCAAUGUGAAAAAAUCAUAGUGGAUCCAGGUACCAAAACGCAGCCAUUUCGCAUUGUUUUUCGUGCACUUGCAAAGUGCCACAAAACACUCCCAAACAUCAUCUAGGGUAUAAUUGAGUAGACUGGAUGCGUUCGUUGCGAAAGAAUCUGUCGGAAGUUUCCUACCCGGAAACCAUGCAUCUAGGUACCGAAACGCACUCAUUUCGCAUCGUUUUGGGUGUAUUAGCGAACUGCUGCAAAACACUCCCAAACAUGGUCUAGGGUCUAAUGGAGUAGAUUGGAUGCCUUCGUUGCGAACAAAAUCCUGUAGAAGUUCACAACCCGAAAACAGUGCAUUCAGGUAAGGAAACGCACCCGUUUCGCAUCAUUUUUCGAGCAGUUGUGAAAUGCUUCAAAACACUGUGAAACAUUGUCUAGGGCCAAUAGAGUAGAUUGGAUACAUUCGUUGCAAAAAAAUCUGUCAGAAGUUUGCUAUACCGAAACAGUGCAUUCGGGUAUGGAAACGCACCCGUUCCGCACCAUUUUUCGUGCAGUAGAGAAAUGCUCCAAAACAAUCCCAAACAUGGUCUAGAGUCUAAUGGAGUAGAUUGGAUGCGUUCAUUGCAAACAUAUCAGUCAGAAGUUCGCUAGCUAGAAACAUUGCAUUCGGGUACCGUAACGCACCCAUUUCAUAUCAUUUUUGGUGCCGUAGCGAAAUGCUGCACAACACUCCCAAACUACGUCUAGGAUCAAAUGGAGUAGAUUGGAUGCAUUCGUUGCAAAUAAGUUCGUUGGAAGUUCGCAACCUAGAAAUAGUGCAUUCAUGUAUCGAAACGCACCCGUUUCGUAUUGUUUUUUGGGCAGAAGCGAAACGCUACAAAACACUCCCAAACAUUGUCUAUGGUCAAUGAAGUAGAUAGGAUGCGUUCGUUGCGAAAAAAUCCAUUGGAAGUUUGCUACAUGGAAGCAGUGCAUUCGGGUACCGUAACGCACCCAUUUUAUAUCUUUUUUCGUGCAGUAGCAAAAUGCUGCACAACACUCCCAAACAUGGUCUAGGGUCAAAUGGAGUAGAUUGGAUGCGUUUGUUGAAAAAAAUCUGUUGGAAGUUUGCAACUCAGAAACAUUGCAUUCAGGUACUGAAACGCACCCGUUUCACAUUGUUUUUGUGCACUAGCGAAAUGCUCCAAAAUACUCCCAAACAUGGUCUGCAGUCUAAUGGAGUAGAUUGGAUACAUUCAUUGCGAAUAAAUCCAUCGCAAGUUCGCUAUCUCGAAAUAGUGAAAUCAGGUACGGAAAUGCACCCUUUCCGCUCAUUUCAUGCAGUAGCGAAAUGCUCCAAAAAAAUCCUAUACAUGUUCUAGGGUCUAAUGGAGUAGAUUGGAUACGUUCGUUGUGGAAAAAUUCGUCGGAACUUUGUUACUGUGGAAGCAAAGGAUUCGGGUACCAAAACGCACUUGUUUUGCAUCCUUUUUUGAUCAGUAACGAAAUGCUCCAAAACACACCCGAACAUGUUCCAGGAUGUAAUUGAGCAGACUCGAUGCGUUCGUUGUGAAAAAAUCCAUCCGAAGUUCGCUACCCGGAAAUAGUGUAUCGUGAUACUGAAAUGCACCCAUUUCGCAUCGUUUUUGGUGUGGUAGCGAAUUGCUGCAAAACACUCCCAAAUAUAGUCUAGUGUCUAAAUGGAGUAGAUUAGAUGUGUUCAUUGCAAACAUAUCGAUCGGAAGUUUGGUAACCAGAAACAGUGCAUUCCAAAGUUUGAAGUCGAAAAUCUCAUGAAUUUGUUACAAGAUUCCAUGAAUUUGGAGAAGGGCACAAGAAGGGGAUUUUUGGAAAAUCUUAAAAUCCAAUGUGCUUGUGCAUGGAUUUGCUAGGGGAUCAUCCAAGAUGUUCUUGCACAUGUCCUAGCAACGAUUUGCUCCAAGAAAAACACCCCAAAAUGUUGCCAAUCGUGAGAUCCAAAAAUUGACCCAAAACUGCUUCGAAAAUAGGAAAAAAGAUAAAUUUCAGAUCUUGAGAAGUAGAAACAAUUGAGCACGAAUUUGAUUCUUGGAUUACCUCACCAUGUCUGGUUACAAGCCACUCCUAAGCGCAAUCCAAGCUAGGAUGGCAAAAAGAUCAACACAAAGAUCCCUUCUUUCUCCCUCUCUCCCUCUACCACAGGCUCUCACAAAACAAAUGAGAAAACCCCCACCAAAACAACCAAAGGGAUGGCUGCCCCAAACAGCCCUCCUAUACAUAUAUAGGCAUUAGGCAAAAGUCCAAAAUGCCCUUACAUUAAGCAACAACCCAAAUACCCCCAAGGGGUAAAGUCGUCCAACUUUUUCUUCGUUCAUCGGAUGGACCGGGCACCUUCACAACUUCGCUUUGCCUCGACGCAACCUUCACGAUGGUGCCACGCAUCCUCCGACUCGAUACCGUUCGGCCGCACCGAACUCGCCCCCAGUUUUAAGGCCCAAACCGGCAAACCUGCCUGCGCGAGGGUUUUGAGGCCCAAACGACCCAAACCCUCUGCACACCCACCUGGCGUGACUCACCCCCGGUUUUGAGGUCAAACCGGUCAAACGCUCUGCACACCCUCCUGGCGUGACUCACCCCCGGUUUUGAGGUCAAACCGGUCAAACUCUCUUCCACGCCCCGCAAGGCGUGGCAAACCGAUGUCGACGCGUGUCCAGCCUCCGCCAAGCCUUCGAUGCCUCCAAAUCUUUCGCUCCUAGCUCCCGGGUCGCCUACUCAACUCGCCUCCAUCCCACUUGACUCGACCAACACUGUCUCCAUCACCAUCCGUAUACUCUUGCUCUUUCGUGCACCAUGUAGAUCGCCCAUGACUCCACCCGGACUCCUCAAGUCCCUCGAUCCAAGCCUACUUGUGUCCGCCCUUCACAACCCUAGUUCAUCGGCAUGGACCUUUCGCACUUGACCUUCACCUCAUGCCGUCGACCACCACGUCGCAUCCUACACCUGCACAUCACAAGCCAAAAAACACAACACACAACAUACGGUAUACUCAAAUACCACAACACAACUCACACAAUACACACCUCCAGUUAGCCGUUAGCAUAAUCAAGCAUAUAUGGAAUAUGGACUCAACUGGUAAAGCCUCAAAUCAUCUAGUCAAUGCACCCAUUGCACUUGUCAACUUGGUCUCUCAGUAAUAGCCUCAAAUCACAAAUAGACGAAGGCACUUGUCAACUUGGUCUCUCAGUAAAGCGCCCAUUUCGCAUCAUUUUUUGUGCAGUAGCAAAAUGCCACACAACACUCCAAAACAUGGUCUAGGCUCUAAUGGAGUAGAUUGGAUGCAUUUGUUGCAAACAAAUCCAUUGGAAGUUUGCAACCUAGAAAUAGUGCAUUCAGGUACCGAAAUGCACCCGUUUCACAUUGUUUUUCGUGUAGUAGCGAAAUGCUCCAAAACACUGCCAAACAUGGUCUACAGUCUCAUGGAGUAGAUUGGAUACAUUCGUUGCGACAAAAUCUGUUGAAAGUUCGCUAUCCCAAAACAUGCAUUCGGGUUCGGAGACGCACCUGUUCCACAUCGUUUUUCAUGUAGUAGCAAAAUGCUCCAAACAAGCCCAAACAUGGUCUAGGGUCUAAUGGAGUAGAUUGGAUGCGUUCAUUGCGAAAAAAUAUGUCGGAAAUUUGUUACCUUGAAGCAGUGCAUUCGGGCACCGAAACACACUUGUUUUGCAUCCUUUUUCGAGCAGCAGUGAAAUGCUCCAAAAUACAACCAAACAUGUUCCCUAGUGUAAUGGAGUAGAUCGGAAACAUUCCUUGCGAAAAAAUCCAUCGGAAGUUCGCUACUUGGAAACAGCGCAUUCAGGUACCGAAAUGCACCAUUUCGCAUCAUUUUUCGUGCAGUACCAAAAUGCUCCAAAAUAUUCACAAACAGGAUCUUAGGUCUAAUUGAGUAGAUUGGAUGCGUUCGUUGCGAAAAAAUACGUUGGAAGUUCGCUAUCUGGAAAUAGUUCAUUCGGGUACCGAAAUGCACCCGUUUCGCAUCAUAUUCCAUGCAGUAGCGAAUGCUCCAAAAGACUCCCAAACAUAGUCUAGGGUCUAAUGUAGUAGAUUGGAUGCAUUUAUCAUGAAAAAAUCCGUCGGAAGUUCGCUACCCGGAAACAGUGCAUUCGGGUACCGUAACGCACCCGUGUCACAUCAUUUUCCGUGUAGUAGUGAAAUGCUCCAAAAAAAACUCCCAAAAAUGGUCUAGGGUCCAAUGGAGUAGACUGGAUGCGUUAGUUGCGAAAAAAUCCAUUGGAAGUUUGUGUGGCGGAACCACCUCGGAUUAGCUUAGAUUAAGUAGGGUUAAGCCGCCUAACAUGCGACACUCCUGCCUAAACGGAGUUAAUACGAAGUGCCGUCGGAUUUCAUCCGAUUUAACCACUUAAACAGGAUCGAGUUCAGCAAACCCACACGAAGGUGAGUGGUUACAGAGAAUACAACAAGUCCACUGAGUUUAACAAGUUUUUACCCAUUUUAGUUCGGUCCAAAAAAAAAAUCCCACAUCGGAGUUUUACAAGUUUUCCAGAAAACAACGAAGAAAACACUAGCGGAAGACUUCGUCGGGGUCGGACAUCCCUGGUGAGGCCAACCGGGACAUCACUGGCUCCUCUCCUCGCCGUCCGAGGAAGGAUCCCACUCGACCGUCCAGCCUGGCGGGAGCUGGGGCGGCCAAGCAACAACCAGAGAGGGGUCGGAAGCAGCAACUUCACCGGAAAAACAAGAGCCACAACAAGGCUGAGCUACUAAGCUCAACAAGACUUAACCGAUAGGAGUAAGGACUACUCCUCCUUCUAGACAUGCAAGCUGUUUGGCUGAGGGGUUGGUUUGCCAAAGCACUAAGUAAAACCCUAUUUUCAAGUUUUAGCUUCGGUUCUAAGUUCAUUAACCGGUCUAGGUUUUGCAACCUAUUCUAAGCAAUCAUAGAACCAAACAAGAUGUGUAGAUAUAACAACAACAUUGCCAUCAUCAGAUUCCUCAUUUACUCAGGGUGACAUAGUGAUCAAGCAAUCUCAAACUGUGAGAGGCAGACGAAUCGAUUCGAGUUCUUUAACCAUGCAUGGUGAACCUAGCCUCACGACAUCCGCGCACCCGGAGGUUGCUUCCUGUGUCGGCCUUCCCCAUCAAUCCCCUAACCCGUGUCGGGCCCAUUUCCUUUGGUGCAAGGUUCCACAGACCCGGCCUCUGCCGUUCUGUGACCACGCUUGCCACCACGUGCGACAACCAGCAGGGGAAACUCCGUUCCAAGAACAAUGGGGCGACCGCUCACGUCUAGGUUCAAUCCGGUACUAGGCUUCCUCAUCCCAUACUAAGUAUGAGGCUAGUACUUUCAAACACUUGAUCACGAACACCACCACUGUCGGGCCUUAGCAAGAUUUCAUAGACAGACGGGGCAACCAUCCGACCACCAAAAAGUUACCAAACCCUGCCCCGUCCAUCGUCCUUAUAGUUAUAACAGGAGAGUAAACAUGCAACUCCUACAACUCGCGAGUGACAGGAAAUCACUCGACUUUUACCGUCUCCUGGUUAGGCAAUGCAGCUACUCGGUUCAACAGCUAGUGCUCAGAUCACUGGGAUAACUAAGUCAUGCAUCUAGGGUUUCACACAACUCCUAUACGUAAAUGCACAAGCAUGUUACAGAAGGCGGUCUGGCAAAACACGUAGGAUUUUCAUGCAACCGGGGCUUGCCUUCAAGCAAGGAGGACGGGAACUGCUCGACUUCAGGGGUGACUUCGACUUCUGCGGGCAGGAACUCGGCUACAGCUUCUUCUUCUGGCGCCGGGUGAAGCUCGUAGAAGCCGUCGGCGAGGUGCAGCUCUACACGAAUGCAAUGCAAGGGUUAGCUUAGAUAGUUAUUUCAACAGCAAUACUGGCUCGCCUGAGCCCAGAAACUCGCGACAAAGAGCAGGAGGUUAUGGUGGUCUGAGAGAGCUGAUGAUGAUCAAGAGGUAAGGGUAGGAAUGGAAUUAGUGGUCUGAUCCUUGAACUAGAGGAUGUGAUAAACUGGGGGUCCUUAGACGCAAGCGCUGAAGGGUUCCCAAGUUUUACACAUACACCCUCGAGUUGAAGAAAAAGAUCACAGCCAAGCCCUCGGGCGAGGCGGAUAAGGGUCGGCGGAUAGAAGGGGUCGGGCGAGACGGAACCGGGGUCGGGCGGAUAGGAGGGGUCGGGCGAGGCGGACUGGGGUCGGCAACUCACCUUCUUCCUGAAAGGAAAGCUCGGGGUCGAAAAGAAGCGGACUUCGGGCGGAGGAACUAAGGUUUGAACAGAAGCUAAGACCGGCAAUGCUCCGGCGGCGGCGCUGCUUCCUGCGGAUCACAAGAGAGCUUUUACACAGCACGGAGGAGCAAGCUGCGGGGUGACUUGGAGAAAACUGAGAGAGAACUGAGAGAAGAACUCCUCAAGGACUGGCUGGGUGGCGCUAUGAGCUUGAGCAGAGAGCGAGAGAAGGCUGAAGGCAACAAGGGCGGAGGGAACUCCGGCGACGGGGGCAUUCCUUUUAUAGCUGCUGGAGCAGAGGAAAGGAAACGGCGCGGAGAGAGAGAAGGGGAGCGGCGCGAAGGCCGGGGAGAGGCAAUGGAGUGCUCUGCCGGGGCGGCGAUUGAGCGAAGAGGGCGGUGGUGCAGAACUCCGGGGGUGACGCCAGCGAUCAUUGCGUUCUGCCGUCAGGGCGGCGUAGGAGCGGGUAGACUGGUGGUUGAGAUUUGGCGGAAAGCGGGCGUCGUCGUGCGGAAGAUUUGAUAGAAGCGACCGGUUUAACGACGCUAGCAUCGAGGGCGCACAGGUGAGAAGACAGGCGGACGCGGGCGCGGGGGAGAGCGCGGAACAACAGAUUGUCGGGCGGCUUCUGACAGAGCGAGGGAAAGGAACUGUCGCGGCCGCGGUCGGGGUUGGCGGUGAAGGAAUCGUCGUGUAGCGGCGACCGGGCGGCGCGACUGUGGCUGAAAGGGGCGGAAAAGACGGGCGACAUCGGGCUCUGGGGCUGGGAUCUGGCGGCGUGAUGAUGGGCGUGGGAGGCGAGGCUCUGCAGAAAGGGGUGCAGAGGGCUUUCGCUGCCAUUGGGGAAGGGGCGCGGGAACCCACUCGGUUGCUUGCCGGAGACAAAACUGAGCGGCGGCGUCGGAGAAGACGAGCCACGCGGCAGUAAGACUCUGAGGCGGCCAUGCAACUCGAGUGCGGCUGUCGCGGGGGAUCUGGAAAAGAUCUCACGGGUCCACCGGUGGAUAGAUCGGACGGGUGAGGAAGAUUAACAGAAUCCGGCGGUGGGCUGAGCUCGCCGGGGUCGGGAGAGGAGCGAAGCGGGAAGGGGUCGGAUCUCAGGGGUCGGGACCAGGCGGAUAGCUGAGCACUUAGGCGCGGUCAAGCAAGACAGAUGACUAGGAUCAAGGGUUUUGAUCAUACUAACACGGGAAGGUUUAGGGGUCGGUCGUUACAGCCUACCCCUCUUAAAAAGAAUCUCGUCCUGAGAUUCAGAGAUCAAGGGGUGUGCUGUCCUUACCUCCUUGAUGGGAUAGAAAACCUGGGAAAUGCUUGUUCAGAUAUUCGUCCGUUUCCCAUGUUGCUUCAUCCUCGGUGUGGUUUCUCCAGAGGAUCUUGUACAUCUUUACCACUUGGCGUCGGGUGUGCCUUUCCUUUUGGUCAAGAACUCGAUCUGGGUACUCGGCGUAGGUCAGGUCAGGUUCUACCUGAAGCUGUCCUUGCUCUAAGAUCUCUGCUGGAACUCGGACACAUUUCUUCAGUUGAGACACAUGGAAAACAUCAUGUAUGGCCGAUAGCUGUUCUGGGAGUUGGAUCCGGUAAGCAACGGGUCCACAUACCUCCACAAUCUCAUAAGGGCCAACAUAGCGGGGAGCUAACUUGCCUUUUAUUCCAAACCGCUGCACUCCUUUGGUCGGGGAGACUCGAAGGUACACAUGAUCACCAAGGUCGAACUGCAGGGGUCUUCUCCGCUGGUCGGAGUAACUCUUCUGUCGAGAUUGGGCAGCCUUGAGAUUUGCUUGAAUUACCUUCACUUGCUUUUCGGCUUCUGCCGCUAAGUCAGGGCCAUAGACCUGUCUUUCCCCUGGUUGGGACCAGUUCAAGGGUGUUCUGCAUCUUCGGCCAUACAGGGCCUCAAACGGUGCCAUCUUCAAACUGGCCUGAUAGCUGUUAUUGUAGGAGAAUUCUGCUAAGGGCAGACACUUGUCCCAGCUCUUAUCAUAGUGGAUAACACAAGCUCUUAACAUGUCUUCAAGAAUCUGGUUGACUCUCUCGGUUUGGCCAUCAGUUUGAGGAUGAUAGGUCGAGCUUCGGAUGAGCUUGGUGCCCAUAGAUGCUUGUAGCUGCUCCCAAAAGCGUGCCACAAACUGAACUCCUCGAUCAGAGACGAUGGUCUUGGGUACACCAUGUAGGGAAACUAUACGGUCGGGGUACAACUCUGCAUAUUGUUUGACUGUGUAGGUGGUGCGAAUAGGAAGGAAAUGUGCUGUCUUGGUCAGACGGUCCACUAUAACCCAGAUGGAAUCAUAUCGUUGUGUUGUAAGGGGUAACCCAACUAUGAAGUCCAUGCUGAUGUCUUCCCAUUUCCAAGAGGGAAUAGGUAGCGGCUGCAAGGUUCCUGCUACCUUCAAAUGACUGGCCUUGACACGUUGACAGGUGUCACAUUCUGAGACAUAGCGAGCUAUUUCUGGUUUCAUUCCACUCCACCAAAAGGUUUGACGAAGAUCAUGGUACAUCUUAUUGCUGCCAGGAUGGGUUGAGAACUUGGAAAGAUGAGCUUCAUCUAGGAUUUGCUUUUUCAGCUCGGGGUCAGCGGGUACUACUAGUCGGUUUCCAUAAUGCACACCUCCCGUUUGGUCCUGCCGGAAUUGCUUAUACCCCUCAUCCUUUACUGAGAUCUUACUGAUGAUCCAUUUUAUUUCUUCAUCCUUUACUUGUGCUGACCGAAUUUGGUCUUCCAAAACUGAGUCAAGGAUGAUGUGACCAAGGGUUCCUUGAGGAAUAAUCUCCAGACUUAGUUUUCCCAUCUCGUGACACAAGGUUUUGGUGAAGGCUGUUGACAACAAGCAGUUGCAAUGGGGUUUGCGACUGAGGGCAUCGGCUACCACAUUGGCUUUGCCAGGAUGAUAGUGUACUUCCAAUUCAUAAUCCUUUAUCAACUCCAGCCAUCUUCUUUGACGCAUGUUGAGGUCGGCUUGAGUGAAGAUGUACUUGAGGCUCUUGUGGUCGGUGUAGAUGUUGCAGUGAGCUCCCAUUAGGUAGUGCCUCCAUAUCUUCAGGGCAUGUAUCACUGCUGCCAACUCAAGGUCAUGUGUCAGGUAGCUUAGCUCAUGAGGUCGUAACGCACGUGAGGCGUAGGCAAUGACUCGAGUGUCUUGCAUGAGAACACAUCCGAGUCUAGUGCCAGAGGCGUCACAGUAUAUGUCAUACGGCCUAGAGGGGUCGGGCUGAGCCAAAACUGGGGCUGUGGUCAGCAAGUGCUUCAGGGUCUUGAAGGCCUCUUCACACUUGGUGUCCCACACAAAUUUGACCUCUUUCUUCAGCAACUCGGUCAUCGGCUUCGCUAUCUUGGAAAAAUCCGGUAUGAAACGCCGAUAGUAACCUGCCAGUCCAAGGAAACUCCUGAUCUGGUGCACUGAGGCAGGAGACUUCCAUUCCAUGACUUCUUGCACCUUACUGGGGUCUACGGCGAUACCGUCCUUGGAGAUAGUGUGUCCCAAAAACUUGACACUAUCUAACCAAAACUCACACUUGGAGAACUUGGCAUAGAGCUGGUGGUUUCUCAGCCAUUGGAGAAUUAUAUGAAGAUGGUCGGCAUGCUCUUCCUCGUUCUUCGAGUACACUAGGAUAUCAUCAAUGAACACCACUACAAACUUGUCCAGCUCGGGCAUAAACACCGAGUUCAUAAGGUACAUGAAAUAGGCGGGUGCAUUGGUGAGUCCAAAGGACAUGACUAGGUACUCGUACAGUCCAUAUCUGGUAGAGAAAUCUGUCUUGGGUAUGUUGCAGGGUCGAAUCUUUAUUUGGUGAUAACCAGAACGAAGAUCGAUCUUGGAGAACACUUUUGCUCCGGCUAACUGAUCGAACAAGACAUCAAUGCGUGGCAGCGGGUACUUGUUCUUGACUGUCACAGCAUUGAGGGGUCGGUAAUCCACACACAUACGUAGACUGCCAUCUUUCUUCUUCACAAACAGGGCAGGGCAACCCCAAGAUGAUGUACUGGGUCGAAUGAAGCCCUUUUCCAACAGAUCAUGCAACUGGGUCUUCAACACGGCUAACUCAGCGGGUGGCAUCCGAUAGGGUCUCUUAGAUAUCGGGGCUGUGCCCGAAAUCAACUCUAUGGAGAACUCAACUUCUCUAUCAGGUGGCAUACCCGGCAAAUCUUCUGGAAACACAUCAGGGUACUCACAGAUAACAGGGAGGUCUUCUAGACGGGCUCCCAAGAGAGGGUAAGCACAAGGAAGCGAAGACUCAGGAUGGGUCAAAGAUAUGGUAGAACUGCCAUGGGAGGGUGAGCUGAUGUAAAGAGAUCGGGUUGAUGUAUCUAGAACCACAUGAUGUCAGGCCAUCCAAUCCAUACCAAGGAUGAUAUCUAUGCCUUGUAGGUCAAGGAUGAUAAGGUUUUCCUUGAAGAGGGUGGGGCCUAGCUGGAGAGGUACAAGAAUAACAAUCUGAUCCGAUGUUACCCUUCCUCCAGGAGUGGCGAUCACAUAGGGUUCCUUAGUGUGACUAAUACUUAGCCCACAUCCUUCCCUAGCUUUACUCCCGAUAAAGCUAUGGGAAGCUCCCGAAUCAAACAACACAACAACAGCUUGAUUUAAAACAAGGAAAGUACCCGUCAUUACUGGCGCACCUUCGGGGAGCUCGGUCAAGCUGGUGUAGUUGAGUCGGCCUUGUCGGACUCGUACCUUGGGCCUUCUUCCUCUAGCUGCCAUGGGGUUCUGACCUUGCCGUUGAUUCUUGUUCCUGGGGCAGUCCUUUGCAAAAUGUCCUUCAUUGCCGCAGGUAAAACAACGGUUACUGGCUGCCGGGCGAGGUGGCGCUGGCAGGGUCGGCCAGGGCACUUGCGGUUGGAAGCCUGGAAAACGAGGCGUUGUUGCCGGUGGGGGUCGGGCUAUCCAUCUUCCUGACUGUUGGGGUUGGCCAGGGGCUUGUGGAGGAACCAUCCGGAACCUUCGAGUCGGCGGACUCGGAAAUGCCACAGAGGCUUUCCUCUUUUGGUCGGCCUUGAGGGCUUGCAUGCAGUCCUCCUGAGAGAUGGCCAGGUUGACCAACUCAUUGUAGGUGUCCACCUUGAUGGGGUUCAACCUUUCCCUGAGCUCCAAGCUCAGUCCUCGGCGGAAUCUGUCCCGCUUCUUCUCGUCUGUAUCCGCAUGAUAGCCAGCAUAACGGCAUAGGUCAUUGAAACCUUGGGCGUAAUGCAGCACAUCCCGAGUUCCUUGGGUGAGGGCCAGAAACUCGUUGAGCUUACGCUCCAGGAGGCCUUCUGGAAUGUGAUGCGCUUUGAACGCUGUCUUAAACUCGUUCCAACUGACCACGUGGCCAGCCGGCAGCAUGGCAUGGUAGUGGUCCCACCAAAGCCGUGCGGAGCCACGCAGCUGCUGGGCUGCAAACCGAGCCUUGUUGUUGUCGGGGCAUGGAGCGGUGAGGAGCUCGAACUUGGAUUCGAUCGUACGAACCCAAGCGUCAGCAUCGAGCGGUUCUUGUGUCUUUUGGAACAGAGGGGGCUGUGUCCCCAGAAAGUCCUCAUACCGUGCGAUAUGCGGCCGCGGCGGUGCUCUUCCACCAUGUGGCUGUUGUUGUUGUCCUUGCACCAGAUGCCUUAGCAACUCAGUUUGAGUUGCUAGGAUUGCCUCCAAUGGCGAUGGGGGCGGGGGCAGGGGAAGAUCCUGUCACUGAUCACUACCACUGGGCGCAGAACCAGACCUAGUGCGGUGCGCCAUCUGCAAGAGUUAACGCCCCAUCAAUUUCAUAACCUAGGUGUACUCCAACAAAUGGAACGUAUAACUUAAAUCCUUUAAUGCGACUCUUGCCAAUGGUGUAACACACGUCCUCAUAAGGAAAACACACUUUUCUCACUCUCAGAGUAGAUAACCUCUAUCUUGACCUGGUACUCAACUCCAGGCGAACAUGUCAUCUCCAACUCCUGUGUUCCACUUAAACUAAGGGGUCGGGCACGGUCUGUACUGGAAAAGGGUCGGACGAGGCGGAAACUGCCUCAAAGGGUCGGCGCACUCGGUUUCACAAGCUGGGGUCGGCCAACUAAUUAGGCUCCCCGAAAACAGCAUAUGGCGCAACUUACUUAACCUAGCCUCCACACCAUACAAAGAUGAGAAAGCUAUGCACCAGGGUUAACUUCAUAUACAACGGUAUUUCAACACAGGGAGCACUCAACUCGAGGCUAACCUAUUACAACUUUUCCAAAAUCUAGGCUGCCGAGGAGUACAACAAAAAGAUGGUUCCCUGAGAACCCUUAAGCUACCAAUGGACACUAUGAGUCGGAGAAGGGGCGCCGUCUUCCUCUAUAUCCAUGCUGGACGCUCCCUCAUCUUCCUCAGGGUCCUCCUGAGCUUCGAGCUGCAUGUUGAGGGCAUGCAUAUCUUCGAGCUCGGCUUGGUGCUCCUCCAGGUGGGCAUUGGCAACUGCCAACUCCAUUUCCACCUCCAUCUUUUCCUCCGAGAGCUCUAUCAUGCCGUCCACGAGGUCGGCGACUUCUCCUUCUAGCUCGGAGAUCCGAUCUUGCAUAUCGUGGAUCUGGAUACCACGUUGGAUCAGUUGGUAGGUUUGGCCUACCAUGUCUCUUCUUGCUGCCUGGAGGUAACCAUGGGUAUCUGCAGCCGUCUAGGCGAAGAGGGUCAUGGCUCUUCCCUGAAGCUCUAUCAACCGGUAGAGAGCGGCCAUGCACCGGAUGUUGGUGGAGAUGGUGACCAUGGCGCAGGUGGUGGCUAACACCUCGAUGUUCCCGACGCGGUCAAGCCAUGCCGGGUCCAGCCGGUUCCUGACGGGGAAGAGGCCGAUCGGGUCUAGCGUGAUCUCCACGGGAUGCAGCUGACAGAACUGGGUGAGCAACUGAAGAGCGGCGGACUCCCAUGUAUCUUCCGGAGCGAGACCAUAGGCUAUUAUGCCAAGAGAGGGCCAGUCGGGCCGUGCAAGGGGAGGUGGUACCAAAGCUUGCACUUGGCACGUCUGAACGCCCUGUUCCAGAUAUAACCGCCCGGCAUACAAGGGCGGGGAUUGGUACCCAAACCACUUCAGCGUAUCCCACAGAAUCGCGGGAAACCCCUCGAAAUGCAGGCACGUUGACUGGAAGGUACCGUCCGCUCCAAAAAGGACAUGUCCGGGAACAGCCAUCUGGAACCAAGAAAACCGAAAACCACGUGAGAUAACUCCAAGGGUCAGGGGUCGGAUAGAGAAGCAUACGGUUUUAACCGAGAGCACCAAAGAAACUAGAAAUCCUUAGAUCCAAAAGAACUCUUACGAGCAAGGUUACUGUUGAGAGGGAAACAUUACAGAUUUUUAGGUAUGACGCAUGCACGGCCUACCUUACUCUUAACCAAGAAAACAACUGCCCGAACUCGGGUCUUACGCGGUCAGUGCCGGUGACAAGGCAACAAUACGUCUCUCCCUAUAAUAACUAGUCGGUUCUGGUAACGUCUCCUAUGCGAACGCGGUUAGCAACCUGCAGAAAACACCACACACGAACCUUUCGUGCCAGCACCCACGAAAGCGUUCCCAAACAUUACCGCUCACUAUAGGAACGGCACCCAUGCAUUUAAGGCUGCAUGGACAACACUCAACCGUGGAAAUAGGUUCCCUUUGAUUGGAUCCGUAUAACCCUUCGCAUACUCGUGAUGCGGAAUCGGCACACGUAUGACAAACGUGGCGAAACAACCGUGCUGAUAGGUUCGUUGGAAUCGAACCGUACCAACCUUCGUAUGGAACACAUAUGGAACCUGCGCACGUGUAAUAGACGUGGGCGAAAACAACCGCGAAGAUAGGGUCCUUUGAAUGGAGCUCCCCAUCAACCCUCGCAUGCUCGCGAUGCGGAACUCGGCACACAUAUGAUAGACGUGGCGAAGUGCUGGAAGGGUUAGCAAAAUAACCAAUACUUAUUAGUCACCUAAAACAACCCCAAAAUCCCCUAGGGCCUCUCGCACUAAGUCAUCCUUAACGAUCUUACGAGAUUUUCAAAAGUUUCUUGCAACUUUUACCCUUUUCAAGGAAGUGUUUAGGGCUUGUUGGGUUCUCCGAAAUGCUAAACACGGCUCUGAUACCAGCUGUGGCGGAACCACCUCGGAUUAGCUUAGAUUAAGCAGGGUUAAGCCGCCUAACAUGCGACACUCCUGCCUAAACCGAGUUAAUACGAAGUGCCAUCGGAUUUCAUCCGAUUUAACCACUUAAACAGGAUCGAGUUCAGCAAACCCACACGAAGGUGAGUGGUUACAGAGAAUACAACAAGUCCACUGAGUUGAACAAGUUUUUACCCAUUUUAGUUCGGUCCAAAAAAAAAAUCCCACAUCGGAGUUUUACAAGUUUUCCAGAAAACAACGGAGAAAACACUAGCGGAAGACUUCGUCGGGGUCGGACAUCCCUGGUGAGGCCAACCGGGACAUCACUGGCUCCUCUCCUCGCCGUCCGAGGAAGGAUCCCACUCGACCGUCCAGCCUAGCAGGAGCUAGGGCGGCCAAGCACCCACCAGAGAGGGGUCGGAAGCAGCAACUUCACCUGAAAAACAGGAGCCACAACAAGGCUGAGCUACUAAGCUCAACAAGACUUAACCGAUAGGAGUAAGGACUACUCCUCCUUCUAGACAUGCAAGCUGUUUGGCUGAGGGGUUGGUUUGCCAAAGCACUAAGUAAAACCCUAUUUUCAAGUUUUAGCUCCGGUUCUAAGUUCAUUAACCGGUCUAGGUUUUGCAACCUAUUCUAAGCAAUCAUAGUACCAAACAAGAUGUGUAGAUAUAACAACAACAUUGCCAUCAUCAGAUUCCUCAUUUACUCAGGGUGACAUAGCGAUCAAGCAAUCUCAAACUGUGAGAGGCAGACGAAUCGAUUCGAGUUCUUUAACCAUGCAUGGUGAACCUAGCCUCACGACAUCCGCGCACCCGGAGGUUGCUUCCUGUGUCGGCCUUCCCCAUCAAUCCCCUAACCCGUGUCGGGCCCAUUUCCUUUGGUGCAAGGUUCCACAGACCCGGCCUCUGCCGUUCUGUGACCACGCUUGCCACCACGUGCGACAACCAACAGGGGAAACUCCGUUCCAAGAACAAUGGGGCGACCGCUCACGUCUAGGUUCAAUCCGGUACUAAGCUUCCUCAUCCCAUACUAAGUAUGAGGCUAGUACUUUCAAACACUUGAUCACGAACACCACCACUGUCGGGCCUUAGCAAGAUUUCAUAGACAGACGGGGCAACCAUCCGACCACCAAAAAGUUACCAAACCCUGCCCCGUCCAUCGUCCUUAUAGUUAUAACAGGAGAGUAAACAUGCAACUCCUACAACUCGCGAGUGACAGGAAAUCACUCGACUUUUACCGUCUCCUGGUUAGGCAAUGCAGCUACUCGGUCCAACAGCUAGUGCUCAGAUCACUGGGAUAACUAAGUCAUGCAUCUAGGGUUUCACACAACUCCUAUACGUAAAUGCACAACAUGUUACAGAAGGCAUGCACAAGUCUGGCAAAACACGUAGGAUUUUCAUGCAACCGGGGCUUGCCUUCAAGCAAGGAGGACGGGAACUGCUCGACUUCAGGGGUGACUUCGACUUCUGCGGGUCGGGCGAGGUGGACUGGGGUCGGCAACUCACCUUCUUCCUGAAAGGAAAGCUCGGGGUCG
RNAcentral lists this long non-coding RNA (488204 nucleotides) under Setaria viridis. RNAcentral's name for it is "long non-coding RNA (SVIR_LNC001729)". Lineage: Eukaryota; Viridiplantae; Streptophyta; Magnoliopsida; Poales; Poaceae. The record is from RNAcentral.